RNAcentral lists this long non-coding RNA (373344 nucleotides) under Populus tremula. RNAcentral describes it as "long non-coding RNA (PTRE_LNC000073)". Lineage: Eukaryota; Viridiplantae; Streptophyta; Magnoliopsida; Malpighiales; Salicaceae. The record is from RNAcentral.
AAAUGAGGAGACCCCCGAGGGCAAAAGACAACCCUAUAGUUGGUCCCGCCAGGGCAUGUAAAUGUGCUCGAAGGGUCAUCCUGGGGAUAGCUGUAAGAAGUAGGGCACCUAUCCUUAAAAAACCUUGAGAAAUAGGUAGGGCCACAGCUCCCCUGCCCAUUAGUGCAGCAAUAUUCGUUAGUUUUGAACACAGUGCAUGGGUUAUUACACCCCCCAGGAGCCCUCAAAAUUGUGAAUGAUGUUUUUUCUAGUUUUGUUUAUUGAUGAAGUCUUAGAUAAGGUAUGAAGCAUCUUUAAAUAUAACCAAUUUUGAAGCAUAUGCAUCAUGUUUUCUCUUGCCAAUCCCAUUCAUUCAUAUUUACACAGAAUCAUGUUUUUUUUUUCAUAGUAUGGUCACCUGAGAACAGCAUUUAUCAUGUCUUCUUUACCUUACGUACUGAUUUCCUCCUUGGCCUUUCUCUCUUUUUAUUCAUUUCGAAGGAUACGCAUCAUGUUUUCUCUUACCAGCUCCGUUCAUGCAGCAAUUGAUGUCUGAUGAAAUGUCCUCAUAAAGAAUUUACCAUGUCUUCUUUAGCGUCUGUACUGAUUUUCUCUUUGGCUCUUUUACACUCUUCAUUCUUGAAAUAAGUCUUACUAACUUAAUGUUUUUCUUCUUGUUCUCUCCUUUAUGGUAUUCCUCUAAUGACCUAAAUUUAUCUACUAUCUUGCCCUUCUCUGUUUUGCAGUCUGCAAAUUAGCUGUAUAUACAUCCGAACUGGGCUUACAGGCAUUGGAAGUGUAGAAAGUACAUUCCAAACCUUUUGACAUCUUUCAUCCAAUGAUUUAAUUUGCUUGGUUAUCUCACUUUGUUACAUUUUGGGUUUCUAUGGAACCAGACAGAAGUCAUUGUCUUCAAUGAAGUUGACAUAGUAAUUGCAACCUUACAUAUAUUUAUGCUAUAUUGCCAAAUUGCUCCAAGAGAUAACUCAGUGGGAACCUGCAGUAGCUUUAAAGCUCACUGUUAAGAGGUCGGAAGCUAAAACCAUUCGCAUCUGGGAAGCUGGGAGGAUGAUAAUCAGUGAAUGAGUGUGAUUUUAUUAUCAAAUCAUGAAUAAAUAGGUAGGUCUGUGGUUCUGUGGAUAAAAAAUGUAUAAUCAGUGAAUAAGCUCCAACUUCACUGCUUUGCUUACUAUUUCCAGAUACUUCGAGUUAAUAGAAUGUGUAAAACCGGUCGCACACCCAUAGGUACACACAUACACAAACGUCUUACAUUUUUUUUUUUUUUGUCAUAGGAGGUCUCUGUAGUACCUUUCCUGCUUCCUUUUUAUGAUAGGAAAUGUUCUUGGCACCCAUCAAGAGUCUCAAAUUCUGACUGAUAAGGAUAUCGAAUUUUCCUCACUUCCUGAGAUCAACCAGGCUCUGCAGCCCCCUAAUGUUAGACACCUCAAACGAGACCUAAGAGUCUAACGAUUGGGAAGGAAUGAAAGCCAGGACUAUCUGGCAUAAGACUCGGAUCGAGGAUCUAAUCUGUCUGUGGCCCCAAUGCACCAUUUCUAUCCAUGAUCCCAAGCCAUCACCAGCUUGGGUGGCUUGUUAUUUCAAGCAGGGAUGGGAAUAUGGGAUGCGUGUCUAUAUACAUAUAAGUGAAGUUUUCCCCUCGUUUUCUGAAUUGUGAUAAGCUCUAACAUGAAUUAAAUUAUCUAUGCGCUUGGAACACGUAUUUCCUCUUCAUGCAAAAGCACUAGAUUUUCUGUCAUCCAUUUUCAUCAUGGCAUGUCACGUCCCGCUAAAUGUUAUUCUGGAGAUUCUUUGCUUGCUUUAAAAUGUCUAACCCCUGGGAAUGUCAACAAGAAAUAUUUGUGUUUCUUCAUCCAACCAAAUCAAAACCUCAUAAAUUUUAUUGGAACAAAAGCAGGCCUCACUGCAAAACAAGCUAGAUAGCUUAGGAUUAGGAAUGAUCUCUACUUCGAACAUAAAUAUAAUGGAGAUGCAGAGAGAGAGAGAGAGAUGCAAUAUGUUUGUGUAUUUGUGUGUAUCUGUGAAAGAGAGAUCAUAUUGGAAGGCAGGUAAAGUUAUAGCAGACACCAGGGCCAAAGAGUUACUGUUAAAACCUGCAAACUAUGCCAACCAUGUCUAAAUGCUCCUUUUGUUUUGCAUUCCUAUCAAGCACAAUAUCACAUUAAUUACCAAAACAACAUGGCAAAUAAAAGAAUUCCUUGAGAAUUUUAAAAUAAAGCCUUAACUUAUUCAACACUCCCUUAAAAUUUGUAAUUGUUUCACAGCUAUCCUGUUUCAUAUGUUUUUUCUUCAUAGCAGUAUAAUUCUCUGGGAGUUUUAAAAUAAUGCCAUAACUUUCUCUACCCUUGAAAUUUGUAAUUGUUUCACAAUUAUCCUCCAUAGAUUUAAUAUCUCAAUUAAAAUAAAUAUAAGGUGUUUUUUCAGAAAGGAAAGUGUUUUUUAGUAAGAAAAUGGUAACUUCAUUAUACUAAAUAAAGUAUAAAUACAUCACUAUUACAUCAUUAUUUUCAUACUACGUUCAGAGAAAAUAUAAUUUAUUGUUUGUGUCAUAACCUGUUUUUGACUUCUAAUUUCUAAAUACAUUUUCAAAAUAUAAAAUUCUUUCAAGAAUAUGCUUGCAACAAAGUUCAAUUAGUGUCGCUUUACCGAAAGCCAUCAUACUUGCACGGGACAGGGAGAGGUAAUGCCUAGCCACGCACCUAAAAGAUCAGAGAAAAGUACUAAAAGCUCAGCAUAAAAUGGCACCUGGCCAAGGAUAUUCCCUUUCUUUUAUUUUUUUUUAUUUUUAAUAUUUAGGGAUAGAAAAUCAUUUUUUUUAUAUAUAUUUUUAUAAUAUUAAGUGAUGGAUAAUUUUAAAUAUAUUGACAGCACUUGGAGAUCAUGUUUUUACAUUACAACAAAUUCAGCGCAGUAAAGCGCGGGACACGUGUAUAGAUUGAGACCGUUUGAAAUGGAGGAAUAGCGCGUGGAAUAUUAUUUGCCUUAUCCAUUCCUUCACUUCGCAUGCAUUGCAUCUGCCUUAUAAUUUUGUUGGAGAAAACUUGAAUUGAUGUGACAACAUGGGAAAUUAGUGCAUGCAACAGUAAAUAAGAUGGUGAUCUUAUCAGAGCCAGCGACGAAAUUAAAAUAAUAAUAAUAAUAAUAAUAAUAAUUAAUUAAUACGGGAACCAACUGCAAAGAAAAUCUUGGUUUAUGUAAUUACUUGUCAAUGGGAACGGAUUUGGUCACUGAAAAACAUGUGGCAACUAGGUCAUGUCAUCAAAUUAAAAUAAACUCAACGUAGUAGGGAUGGAAUUUGCUGAUUAAAUUUUAAAUUUAUAUUUUAAAAAUUAUUAAUUUGAAUUUUAUAAUUUUUAGGGUCAUUGAAGAUUUACACGGUCUUUCUUUUUCAGCAUCAACAAGGAAAAACCAAUUUUCAUGUGGUGCUGAAUAUUGAACUGAAGGUUCACUUGCAAAUAUUUCCACACAAGAGUGAGCGUUGAAAACACGGCAAUACUAAUUUCUAAAAUUGAUAUUUUUUCAACAGUCUGAUGAGAACUGUUCUCGGGGACCGAUACAGUUCGUCCGAUGGCAACUGUUCUCAGAAACAUCUACUCCUCUAUUAUUACUUGAAGGGUUAAGCAAUUUAUCAUCACCCCAACUUUUAUAUAAUAUAAAAAAAAUCUCAUCAAUUUAUUUUCUCUUCUAGCAUCAACAAGGGAGAACCAAUCUUCAUUUGUUCUGUCCUUACCUCCAAGUCUUCGGAACUUGGAUGUUUAGAUAUUGUCCACUCUUCAUGUGGUGCUGAAUAUAGAACUGAAGGUUGAAUUAUAUAUUUAAUUGCGAAUAAAAAAAGCUCUCUUAAUUAUUUUAUAUUGUUUUUAACUUUGUGUAAUAUCCUCAUACCCUUUUUAAAGGAUAAGACUUGUCCCGUUCGGGAUUUGUAGCUACCCCUUUCAAUAAGUGUGUUUUUUAAAGAUCAAAUUUGUAUACAGAGUUUUAGCUUAAUUAGACCACGCCUCAUUCCAAUCAAAGUAUUUGAUCAAAAUUGGAUGGAUCUCUAAAUUACUUUUUUGAGAAUUUGCAAAUUUUUCAGAUCACACAGAAACAAUACACUAUGUUCUUUUUAAAAAAAAUUAUAAUCACACAGAAACAAUAUACAAUAUGCUUCUCUUAAUAUAUUAAAGAAAGAAUGAUUUGUUGUAUUGGUUUUUUUUUAUAUAGGAUUCAAAGUCUUUAAGAAAAGAAAAAAAUACACAACAAUAGGGGAAAAUCAUAGCCAUGUGAUUAAACAUUUCUUUAUUUCACUGGAAUUUUUAUUACAUCCCAGCAUGGAAACAGGCAAGAACAAAACACACAGACUCGUUUUUUGUUCUUUUAGGAGGAAAAAGAAAAGAAAAAGAUACACACAGCCAUACGUACAUAAUACACGGACCUCAAUUCACCAGAUUUUCAAGGCAGCACAUAAUAUUUAUUAUAAAUCAAGUCGUCAGCUAUGUUCUUAGCUUCUUGCUUACUCUGCACGCUGUUCUUCAACCAUCUCCAAGGGGAAAUGAGGAGACCCCCGAGGGCAAAAGACAACCCUAUAGUUGGUCCCGCCAGGGCAUGUAAAUGUGCUCGAAGGGUCAUCCUGGGGAUAGCUGUAAGAAGUAGGGCACCUAUCCUUAAAAAACCUUGAGAAAUAGGUAGGGCCACAGCUCCCCUGCCCAUUAGUGCAGCAAUAUUCGUUAGUUUUGAACACAGUGCAUGGGUUAUUACACCCACCAGGAGCCCUCAAUUCAUUAGGACAUUGCCCAUUAAUAUCUGCUGUGCACAGAAGCGCUUGACACUUCCCUGAGCCACCGCCUGAUGUUGGACUAAAUUCUAUAGGGAUAUUAAAUCCAUCAACAAGCGAUAUAUCAUAAAAAUCCAAGUUACCAAACUGAUUUAACGCAUAUUCUGCUAGAGUGUUGGGAGGGACACCCCAGCCCUUGCACUGUAGGCCACCGGUGCAAUCCCCGGUUUGGCAACGACCCUGACCGCUACCAUCGAAGUUACAAUUUGUCCUGCCCCAUAUACGAGCCAUGGACGUGCUAGCCGGCACGUUAAGAUUCCAAGUUUGGCCACGGUCUAGACGGCGCCCACCGCCAGGUGAGGCUGCGGCCCACACAGUGUAAGGGCAAUUGUUUCGGAUUUCAAAGGUGGCUGCAUUGGUAGAGAUGAAGAGAAGGCUAAAGAGGAGGGAGGAGGUGAGAAAUUUGGUUAAGUGAGUCAUAGCUGAUUACUGGAUACCAGCUUAUGUCAAUCUGUGGUUUGAUUCAUGGUGUCAUUUAUGGUCUUUAUAUAGGGGAGGGGCGGCUUUUGGAUUCCUAUACAUUAUGGCAAGUGCACAGUAUUAAAUUUUGAAAUAGAGGCGGCUGCGUGCCUGCCUGCCUUCGUAGCUAUAAGCUUUAUUGAUAAAAAGAAAAAGAAAAAAAAAUCAAAAGUUAGUUUGGUGGUUGAAAAAAUAUGAUUGAUGCUUUGAAUUUUUUUUAUAUCUAAAGUAUAAAACUAAUAUCAAAACAAAUUUAAGUAAAUGAAUGAGUGUUUCUUAGUGUGUUAGUGAUUAUUUUUUAAAGUAUUUUUUAUUUAUAAAUAUAUUAAAAUAAUAUAUAUUUUUUAUUUUAAAAAAAUUAUUUUUGAUAUCAGUGUAUUAAAAUUAUUUAAAAAUAUAAAAAAUUAAUUUUAAACAAAAUAAAAUUUAAAUUUUACUUAAUCUUUAUUUUGAAAAGCAAAGGGCUAAAUUUAUCUGAAUGCAAUAAACCAACGUGCAGGUGUAUUCUUAAAAUCAUUCUAAAAAAGAUUUUUUUUGUUACAGAUUCUAUAUAAAAAAAAAGAUUUAAUAUCAUAAAUAUGCAAGUUGAAUGGAUAAUAUUUCUUGUAUAAAAAAGAGAAGCUAGGAAAUCAUUAGGGGAGCGUGCCUUGUAGAUUUCAGAAAAGUUGCCUCUUCUUUUCUCAACUGUUAACCCAAAUACAUUGUAUCGAUAGAAUGUGGUUGGUAUCAUCAUGUAGACUUUUCUCAUGUGAAUACGUGUCUUAAAAUGUGUCCUACACGCUAGUUCUUCAACUCUCCUUGUUUGUUUUUUUUUUUUUUUUAAAGUAUUUUUAAAAAUUAUUAUUAUUAUUUAUUUGUUUUAAAUUAUUUUGAUGUUUUAAUGAUAAAAAUAAUUUUUUAAAAAUAAAAAAUAACAGGUAUUAUAAUAACAAAAUAGAUAUAAGAAAAUGUUCAUGAAAUAUAUCAAUAAAUAUAAAUUUUCAUUUCGAGUUAUUAAGAUAACAGACUUAACAGUAAUAUGUUCUCUCUACUUAAAAUUCCGGGACAAAUGAAGAUUUAAGAAAAAAAAAGAGCUUAGAAUUGAAGAAAGGAGCCGAAGAAAUGAAAGAAUGGAGGUGAAGAGAGGAAAAAUGAGGUUGAAAAAACCAAAAGUCUGCAAUUUUUUUUUUCAAGAUAAUUACAUUUUUUUAUAUAUAUAUUUUGACUCGUUUAAUGUUUUCAAUAUAAAUUUUAAGAAAUUAUUGUUGGAUUCGGUGGUCAACGAAAACAUAUUUUAAUUUUUAUAUUUAAUGAAUAUAAAUCCGCACUAUUUUCUUAUAAACUCAUUUUAUCUCUCUUCCAAAUACAAUAUCUCUCUGCAUUGUCUAUCUCUCUCUAAACAUACAAAACAGCAAUAUUUUUGUUUUUUUUCUACUUAAUCUCUUCGUAUAAAUAUGGGGAGCUGAAAACUUCUUGCCGGUGUUAUUUUAUUCAAUUUUUUUAAAAUCAUAAAAACCCCGUGUUUUGAUAAAUUAGACUGCGUUUGGUUUGCAACCAGUUUUACGCCAAGUUUGCGGCGCAAUAAACAUAUACAGUAAAGUAAUUGAUAAGAAAUUAAAUUAUAUUUUGCACUGGUUUGAAAUAUAGUUUUUAUAAAAUAGUUUUUAUAUAUUUUUUAAAUUAAAUUUUUUAAAUUUAUAUUUAUUUUUGUAUUUCAAAAGUAUUUUUAAAAAAAUUAUUUUUUUUUAUUUUAAAUUAAUAUUUUAUUUUGUUGGGUUGAUAUAAAAAAAAAAUUUAAUAAAAUUUUUUUUAUUUUAAUAUAUUUAUAGAUAAAAAUAUUUUAUAUAUUUUUUUACUAUACAUAAAUUUAAAUAACAAUUUUUAUCAAACACACUCACUAUAAUUUUUUAAAAUUUACUUUUUUUAAAUUACAAUCACGAAAACUACCUUAAAAACAAUCACAAACUCUGAAGAUUACUACGGAUGAGCAGCUAUGAUGAGCUUCGCAGGGAACUUGCUAUGAUGAGUAGCUAUGAUCAGCUUGCUAUAUUUUAUUCAAUUUUUAUUCACUAGAUACUUUCGAGUUGAGCAGCUAUGAUGAGCUUCGCAGGGAGCUUGCCUGCUUGUUUCGCCUAGAAGGGUAUAUUCUUCUUUUGAUUUGUAUCUUGCCAGGGAAAUUUGUUUCCUCGGCGUUUCAUAAAUUGCCACAGCUUGCUCUGAGAGGCAGUGAUUGUUUACUUUUAUGAUGAUUAGGAAGCAAAUUCAACAAGUUUCGGCAUUCUUACCCAUGGGUUCAAUUGGGGGAUGCUUUGAUAUAAACCUAUCUUUCAUAACUAAGCGGCAUUGUAGCAAGUAGAGAAGAUAGCUUUGGUAAAGGAAGGAAGGCUAUGGCUAAAGCACUAGUAGUAGAUCUGAUAGCUAUGUCCCUAGUAACAGAUUGUUUUCUUCUUGUUCUUUGCCAUAACGCCCAUUCUGGGACGAGUUGGAAAAAGAAUUCCUAACCUAAACCUAGUCCCAUUCCAAGACUACACUUUCUUUUCUUGGUCUGGAUCUAUCUCUUUUGUUUUGAAUCCCCUGCCUACUAGGAUACCUGGCUUGCCCCCUGUUGCUAUGUUUCGCCAAGGUUCAAUCUCAACUUUUCUGACCUUUUCGAAUAGAGCUUGUGAAGAAAAGAAAAGAAAAGCUAUUUUAAUUCCUUGACCUUUUCGAAUAGAACAAGGAAGAGUUGAAACGGUGAAAGUUGAUUUUGGAUAUACUAUUAUGAAUCCUUUGGUUCUUUUCUUCCCUAAUACAGUAGAAAAAAAGAACACCGAUGAUGCCCCAAAUUGUUCGAUGAAAUGUCUAAAAGGAAUUUGUGUUGAUGAAAUCAUAGAUGACAUUAUAAAUUAUAGAUGGCAUUUUUAUUAUUUUGAUAAAUAUAAUGAUAAAUUUAUAAAUAAUUAGAUGUUUUUUGCUGAUUUUUUUAGGAUAUUAAGUGUUAACGUUUACAUAAAUUUCAGAAAGAUAAUUGUUAUUUCUCAGGCCUUGGAUGGAUAUGAGUCACUCUUUUGUUGUUGGAUUUUCAUUCACUUAUGACGCUCAUACCCUGUUUGUCAAAAUGCCUCAACCAAUUGGACUUUUAUAACUUUUAAGAAACCAAAACUAAAACGUUUACGACUUAUUUGAAGGUCAAGUUUAUUUUCAUCAUUCUGAUUUUGAUUUUGUUGCUGUCUACUUAAAAUGCAGCUUGAAGGAAAGGGCUUCUCUCUCUUCGAAGACUCUGACAGUAUUUGCUUAAGAUGUCACCUGUGGUAGACGUUAUCGAUUGUUCAAAUAUUAAUCUCUGCUUGGUUCAACUCUAGCAAAGAUGCCAUCAUCAGUAUCACCGCGGUUGCUCUUUCUUGUUGGGGAGUCAUGAAGUUAUCUUUUGGUUCCAUCUCGGCUUUUUGUCAACGAAGUGUGUCGUAUUGACAGGGACAAACACGCACCUCUCACUCUUGCAAAUCUUGGAUUUAAUACCGAGUUUGGAACAACUACCAAAAAUAAAAGAAAUAAACCUGAGAAUCUGAAAGUGAAUUAUCCGAAUGAAGCACCGAAAAGUAGAACGAAGGCGGUUGGAAGCAACAAAACUAGAGUCGGUUCCAUUUGCUCCGAAGUCAUUUCUGAGCUUGGCCUUCCUUCGCCGUUGAUAGAAAGGUUAGAGAGUGGACGAUUUAAUGUUCCAACUAAUGUUCAAUCUGCAGCAAUCUCGACUAUUCUCAAGAACCAUGAUGUUGUCAUACAAAUAUACUGGGCUAGGGAAGACACUUGCAUAUGUACUUCCUAUACCGUGUGAAGUUGGACCUCUGAAGAAUAAAUCUUCAAGUGGCGAUAAAGAAACUCGGAAAAAAAACAGGCAUAGAAGCAGUGAUUGUGGCGCCGUCUAGAGAGCUAGGUAUGCAAAUAGUGAGAGGGGUUUAGAAGCUGUUAGGACCUGAUAACAUGAGUGGUUCAGCAACUUGUACUGGUCAAGACAGAAAGAAGAUUUAAAGAAAAACAAGCCAUUGAUUGUUUAGGGUACACCUGGCAGGAUUGCAGAGAUUAGUGCAGCUGAUAAACUUCAUACCCGUGGUUGUCAUUUUUUGGUCUUAAAUGGAAUUGAUGAGCUUCUUUCAUUUAACUUCCUGAAACUGUUAAUCUGUCCAGGCCUAUUUCUAAUUCAAGCUCAGACUCAAAUCUCCAGCCUCGGGCAACAGUACAGAGCCUUCCUGCAGCAUCCAAACGCUAUUUUGCACCGCAAGGUUGGUACUCUGAGAAGAUGUGUUCAUGCAAUGGAUGCGCAGUAUGUGAUAGCCUUCAUGAACCAUACAAGGCAGCUAAAAGAUGGUGUCUUCAAACUAGAGGCUCGUGCGAUGAAAAAUGCAGAGCUCCAUGGAGAUCUUGGCAAGCUUGGUAGGUCGACAAUUUUAAAGAAAUUUAAAAGUGGGCUGGAGAGAGUUCUCAUAACGAAUGAACUUGCAGCAAGGGGUCCGGGUGUUCCAGAGUGUGAUCUUGUUGUCAAUCUUGACUUGCCUACGGACUCAAUUCAUUAUGCACAUCAAGCUGGCAGGACUGGCCGGCUUGGUAGGAAGGGCACUGUGGUGACAAUUUGCGAGGAGCCAGGAAUGUUUGCUGUGAAGAAACUGCAGAAGCAGCUUGGGGUCUGUAUCCCUGCAUGCGAGUUUACAAAGGGCAAGCUUGUUGUCACUGAAGAAGAGAAGAAACACGCGGAGGCCUUGAGGUGAUGGACAGAUUAUUAUAUCUUUUGGUUUUGCUUAUUUCCAUCAAGAUAACGGGUAUGUUUUAUGGCAUAGUCAAUCCCUGCUGUUUUCUUAAGCAGCUUUUUGCGGCUAGAUUAUGUUGAAUUUGAAGUUUAUUAUGACAUAUUCAGUUCUUAGAGCUUAAAGUAAUAGUAAACACUUAUAAAGCCUAUGAUUAUGACCUUCAUGUAAAAUAGCUAAAAAUCAACUCAUCUAUUAAUCCAGUAGUAACAACCUAGCACCCAAUCAUGUUUAACCUGGGAAAAAAGAGGAAGGAAAAUGAUUGUACUUCAUAUGAUUGAAGAAGCAGCAGAGCAUGAUUUUACACCAGGCAUGCCCAUAAAGGGGAUUCCUUUUCUUUUACAUGCGAAAUCAGAGAGGAUUUGUUGUGGUUCAGAGAGAAAGCUAGGAUUUUAAGCAGGCACGAGAUGCGUCACCAGAUGAUUCUCUUGCAUAGCUUGUAGCCUGAUAACAGAGUGCAUAUCACAAUGACAAGGAAAGUCACAAACGACACGAUUGCGGAAAUGAUGACCGCCUUCAAGAUCGAUGCAGUUUUAUCAAUCUGUUGGAUGGACACUAUUGCUACCGAACUAGAAGAGAUCAGAAGAUAGCCUGCCACCUUUAUAUGCUUACAAAAAGAUUAGUAAUCGGGGAACUGUAUUUUCCUCAUAGAGACUGAAGGCCAAAAACAUUGAGAGAGGAAUUAAAGGGAUUGUUUUAAGCUUCUAUGAAACUGCACUUACUUGAUCAAGAAUGAAGCUCAUGUAGUCCGAGAACAUGUCUGAGAUGAGGAUGCCUCUUUGUGCAAUGUCCCAAAUACCUUUGAAGAGUUGGAAAGCAGAAUAAACGAACACCAAAACAGAUGCAAUGAAGCAGUACCUACAUAAGGAAGUAGAGUGAUCAGAUUAUUAUUUUUGACACAUAAUUCGUAAUAUGAAAAUAAAAUACCAUAGAGUGAUCAGAUUUAUUUCUUGCUUUUGAUUUGUGGGUUGCUGAAUUAAUUUUUUUUUUUAGAGCUCCUCGUUAGUGAAAAUAUGGAAACUAAAAUUUCAGAACUUUUGGUAUAGGGCUACACUUACAGCAAUUCUGAGUAGUCAGCGAAGCUAGAAGGACGUGGGCUACCCUUCUUGGAUGAUGAAGCAGCCAGGGAAAGUGCAGAGACGAAGGACAACACAAGUGCCAAGAAUCGAAGGAUGAGAUUGGAAAGGUAAACGGGAGGUCUGGUGCUCAAUCGUGCGGAGGCAUCUGAGAAAGAGAAUGGUGAAGGUGUUGGGAAUGGUUGUUGCGAUUGAGAAUUGGCUGAUACAGGCGACACAGCAGCCAUGGGUCUGCAAGCAACAACAAACAUCUCUCCUUCCUGCUUCAUUUUUUUAGUUUGCUGUCCAAGUCCAACUGCUCCUUCCUUUAAAGAAAUGGUUCCUCAAACUGCUUCCAGUGGUUUUUUCUAUGGUUUUUAGGAGAAGGUGGGGGGAGGCUUCAACAUCAACUUUGUUUUUAAGUUUGGUUCUUACAACACUCUGCAUCUUCAGUGUGUUUUUGUUAUAUUAUUCAUGGAAUUUCCAGGAAGAGUUAGGUAUUGAUGGCAAAGUUAAAAACGGACUGUAUACUAUAUAGUUGACCAUUAAGAAUAAAGAAUAACAAAUAAAUGAGCUAGCAAUGUACUGCAGCCUGUGAAAUAAAAUACAGUGGAUUCGUUUAAUAUUUUUUUUUUGGUUUUUUUUCUUCUGAUUUUCUGCCUUUUUUUCAAAGAAUUUUAUUUUUUGAUGUUGUGUUGAUUAAGAUUGAUAAUUUAUUUUGAUUUUUUAUAUAGUUUUCAUGGUUUUAAAAAAAACCAUUAUAAUAUUGAGGGGUGCUUGUCUUCGUGAAAAAGAAUUUAAUUUUAUUAUUUGUAAGAGGUUGAAAAUGAAAGUAUCAAAAUUAAAAUAAAGAAAAAAUAGCAACUCUUUUCUUUUUAAGAAAAUUGUGGUGUAACUCUAGUCCUUUUUCUUUUUUAGGCUUUGUUUAUUGAUUUUUUUUAAUAUUUUCAAUUGUAUCCUUUAAUAUUGUGUUUAGUGAUAUUUUCAAAAAAAAAUCUGAUCCCUUUAAUUUGAAAAUUAAAUGGUUUAGUUUAUUUUUUUUAUUUACAUUUUAGUCACUAAGUUUGAAAAAAAAAAAAGGAGCCUUGUUAGAAAACAACAAAGAAGAAAGAAAGAGUUAAGUUGGUUAGAUUCCAAUGACAAAAAUAAUCAAAUUUGGUGUUAAUAUUUUUUGUUGAGAGGAGUGUCAAUGAGGUUUUUUUGGAUUUUCAUGUUGCUAGAAAAGGUAGGUUCGUGUUGGGGGAGGUUUUUUUUUUAUUAUUCGAUUUUGUAUUUUUGAACUGUUUUUUUUUUAAAAAUAUAUUGUUUUUUUUAUGAGGUUCAAAUAGAGUUUAUUAGAUUUUUUAAGUAAAAAUGAGUUAAAAAUAUAGUUUUAGAUAAAAAAAAAAAAAACACUGUAAUUUCCCACAGUCUCAUGAUGGGUAGAAUUUGGAAAAGGUGACAAUGCAUCGUCUAUCAUAAUAGAAGACAUUUUAUUUUGAUUCUUUUGUUGCUUUCUCAAUACGAGAAAAAGAAGAAGCCCAAAAGCUGACAAGUCCCUGUGAAUGAGCUUGUUUUUAAAAGCCCCACACACUUGUUUUUUUUUAUAUAUAUAUAUAUAUAUAUAAAUUAUUAAACAAUUAAUAUUUAAUUUUUUAAAAUCUAAAUAAUUUAAUAUAUAUAUAUUUUUUUGUUUUAAAUUCUAAGAUUAAUUAAUGAUUUUUUUAGAUAUUAUUUUACUAAAUUUAAUUUAAUUUUUAAUUUGUUCUCAAACAAUCAUUUUUUUAUACAACCAAUCAUAUUCUUUUUUUUUUAAUUUUAUUUGGUUGCUUUACUAUGAUUGCUAAAUUUUGUUAUCAUAUAAUUAAAAAAAAAAAGUUUCAGAAAGUAAACAUAUUAAACUCAAUCAGGCCUAUGAUCAAAGUCGUGGGUUUGAUAUAUAAUAUGUCAUCGUCUCAAUAUUAAAAAACAUACAUCAUCUUAAAAAAAAAAAGUCGAGGUAUAUUUUUAUCUAUCUUCUGAGUUACUUUUAAACCUUCCAAACCAACCAAGUCAUAUUAGAUUAACUUUUAUAUGAUUUAAUUUAAAAUUCAUGCUAGGCAAAGAAUCGGGUCAAAAAGUUUCAAAGAUGACUAACUAAGCCAGGUUUAGUGACACUUUCAAAGAGUUCACCACGAUAAUGAAUGGGCAUUAUGUUAUUAUUGUGUUUUUUAACUAAGAAAAAAAAAAUUCUAGUGAAUGUUUUUUAAAAAGCUCAUUAAUGAGACAAAUGAGUUGUAGUUAUAGAUGUAUCCUUGUCCUAAUUAGUUUUUGAUAUGUCUUCUAAAUGCUUUUAGCUUUUAUUCAAUAAAUAACAUAGAAAAAACUAGUUGUUUUUUUUUUUAAAAUCAAAGAUAUUAAUAAGAAAAGGAAGUCAUUUAUUAGCAAAUUAUUUUUUCUUCAAUGAAAUUUAAAUCAUUACUCUUCUUAUAAAAACAUUAAUGAUGUAUAAUUAAAUUAAAAAUUUAAUGAUCUUCUUGUGACCCAUGAUCAAAUAUCUUUAAUUGCGCUUGUUUUUAACUUUAUAACUUAGUCUUUAGAUAGUGUUAGAAUUUCAUUUUAGUAUUUAUUAACACAUAUGAUCUUUAAUUUAUUUUAUUAAAUGCAUACAUCAUGGUUUGAGUUAAUAAUUAAGAUUUUUUAACUACUAGAAAAUACAUUUAAAAUUCCUUUUUUGUUAAAAAAAAUAUUAUGAUCCAUGAGAUAUCACGUGAAACUUAUCUAAAAAAACAAAUAACUAAAAAAACUCAAAUUUUUACUGUAAAUAAAAACACAGAUUACUAUGAAUUUGAACAAUAAUAUAACUAUUUUUUCCUUUCAAGAAAAAUCAUUGAACUUUAUAUUGAGGGUAAUAUGGUUUUUUUUCAUGGCUCAUUAAUUAUUUUUUAGCUAAUCAGGGUACAUUCUUUUUAUAUUUUUAAGCACAACAAAAUAACUUAAUAACUCUUAAAAACAAAACAAAAAAAAAAGAAUUCAAGGGCUUUUUGAAAUUUUACUUUUAAAAUUAUGAUAAAAUGAUUCAAUUACUCUUAAAAUGAUUUUUUUUUAAUUGGUGUUUAGGGGCUUUAUUACAUUUUUAUUUUAGAUUUUUUGUUAUAAUUAGGUUUAAUAAAGGAAAAUGUAGUAUUUAAAUAAAUAUAGAAUAUUGUUUAACAACUAAAAGAGGAUGGCGCGUGUAAUGCAAGUGUUAGUGUGUUAGAUAUACCUGAGCCCUACAAGUGACAUAUGAGGGGGUGUACGACGAUCAAAAGGUCACUUUUAGGGCAACAUUCAAAUUAUUUUGACUACCACUCCAGCUCUGAAUGGCCAACAUACAUCUGGUUAGGUUAGAAAAUCAAGACUAUGAGUAUAUAACCCAACAAACUAAUUUUUCAACUUGUUUAAAGCCAAAAACACCUUAAAACCAGUCGUAGAACAUGUAAAAACCAAUCUAGCAACCCAAUAAACAACUAAAAUCACAAAAUCAAUCCAAAAAAGUUUUCUCAGCCUCUAUUUAUAUAUGUUUUUAGACAAUAUCAAAGCUUAAAAAAACUAUCAUAAAACUUCUCUCACCAAGUAUAAUCUAUUGACACCAAUUUCAAUUAUUUUAGUAGUCAGAAUAGAUGUAAAUAAUGAUUUUCUCUCUAAUAAGCUAGAAUCCAAGGUGCUCUUCUCUCAUGAAAAAGGAUUGAAAAAUAAACUUUGUCAAUAAAAUUAAAAUUUUAAAACUGAAGGGACUAAUUAUCUAUAAACUAAAAAAUAUAAGGGACUAAAAUAAACUCUUUUAUAUGAAAUUCAAAUCCACUAUUUAUUUUACCUGUUAUUUUCACUUUAGUUCUAUGAUUUUUAAUCCAACUUUUUUUAAAAAAAAUAUGUAUUUGGGUGCAAAUUUGAGCUCAAAAGAACUCAAUUUAUGCAAGGAAAAAUCAAGAACCAAAUUAAAAAAAAAAUUAACCAUUCUAAACUACAAUGUGAGAAGAUGCACAGUACAAUUUGCUAUGUCAAAACAUCAUUUGUUUUAGUGUAUUAUUAAUUAAUAAUGAUGGUGGUGAUGAGGAAAAGAGGGAAAGGCACACGUCAAUUCUUGCGUGGUCAACUUUAAUUGCUGUAUUAAAGAAUCCUAAACUUGUUGCAAGUAACAAUAAUGAAACAUUAAGAAACUGGGAUGGGAAAGGAAGAGUGACAGACAGGUUAUACUAGUUCUGCCCAAAAUGAGAAGGAGAUAACGGUGACAGGUUAUUCAGCGCAACUUCCUUUCGGUUUUUAUUUUAUUUUUGACAGUGAAGUUUGGAUUUUGAUGAGAGAGAGAGAGAGAGAGAGAGAGAGAUUUCCAAGAACUAGAUAGGAGGUCGCUGUGAGGGUGUGUGGCAAAUAGUCCAACAAUCCCACGNNNNNNNNNNNNNNNNNNNNNNNNNNNNNNNNNNNNNNNNNNNNNNNNNNNNNNNNNNNNNNNNNNNNNNNNNNNNNNNNNNNNNNNNNNNNNNNNNNNNNNNNNNNNNNNNNNNNNNNNNNNNNNNNNNNNNNNNNNNNNNNNNNNNNNNNNNNNNNNNNNNNNNNNNNNNNNNNNNNNNNNNNNNNNNNNNNNNNNNNNNNNNNNNNNNNNNNNNNNNNNNNNNNNNNNNNNNNNNNNNNNNNNNNNNNNNNNNNNNNNNNNNNNNNNNNNNNNNNNNNNNNNNNNNNNNNNNNNNNNNNNNNNNNNNNNNNNNNNNNNNNNNNNNNNNNNNNNNNNNNNNNNNNNNNNNNNNNNNNNNNNNNNNNNNNNNNNNNNNNNNNNNNNNNNNNNNNNNNNNNNNNNNNNNNNNNNNNNNNNNNNNNNNNNNNNNNNNNNNNNNNNNNNNNNNNNNNNNNNNNNNNNNNNNNNNNNNNNNNNNNNNNNNNNNNNNNNNNNNUUGGAUUUUCAUUCACUUAUGACGCUCAUACCCUGUUUGUCAAAAUGCCUCAACCAAUUGGACUUUUAUAACUUUUAAGAAACCAAAACUAAAACGUUUACGACUUAUUUGAAGGUCAAGUUUAUUUUCAUCAUUCUGAUUUUGAUUUUGUUGCUGUCUACUUAAAAUGCAGCUUGAAGGAAAGGGCUUCUCUCUCUUCGAAGACUCUGACAGUAUUUGCUUAAGAUGUCACCUGUGGUAGACGUUAUCGAUUGUUCAAAUAUUAAUCUCUGCUUGGUUCAACUCUAGCAAAGAUGCCAUCAUCAGUAUCACCGCGGUUGCUCUUUCUUGUUGGGGAGUCAUGAAGUUAUCUUUUGGUUCCAUCUCGGCUUUUUGUCAACGAAGUGUGUCGUAUUGACAGGGACAAACACGCACCUCUCACUCUUGCAAAUCUUGGAUUUAAUACCGAGUUUGGAACAACUACCAAAAAUAAAAGAAAUAAACCUGAGAAUCUGAAAGUGAAUUAUCCGAAUGAAGCACCGAAAAGUAGAACGAAGGCGGUUGGAAGCAACAAAACUAGAGUCGGUUCCAUUUGCUCCGAAGUCAUUUUCUGAGCUUGGCCUUCCUUCGCCGUUGAUAGAAAGGUUAGAGAGUGGACGAUUUAAUGUUCCAACUAAUGUUCAAUCUGCAGCAAUCUCGACUAUUCUCAAGAACCAUGAUGUUGUCAUACAAUUAUAUACUGGGCUAGGGAAGACACUUGCAUAUGUACUUCCUAUACCGUGUGAAGUUGGACCUCUGAAGAAUAAAUCUUCAAGUGGCGAUAAAGAAACUCGGAAAAAAACAGGCAUAGAAGCAGUGAUUGUGGCGCCGUCUAGAGAGCUAGGUAUGCAAAUAGUGAGAGGGGUUUAGAAGCUGUUAGGACCUGAUAACAUGAGUGGUUCAGCAACUUGUACUGGUCAAGACAGAAAGAAGAUUUAAAGAAAAACAAGCCAUUGAUUGUUUAGGGUACACCUGGCAGGAUUGCAGAGAUUAGUGCAGCUGAUAAACUUCAUACCCGUGGUUGUCAUUUUUUGGUCUUAAAUGGAAUUGAUGAGCUUCUUUCAUUUAACUUCCUGAAACUGUUAAUCUGUCCAGGCCUAUUUCUAAUUCAAGCUCAGACUCAAAUCUCCAGCCUCGGGCAACAGUACAGAGCCUUCCUGCAGCAUCCAAACGCUAUUUUGCACCGCAAGGUUGGUACUCUGAGAAGAUGUGUUCAUGCAAUGGAUGCGCAGUAUGUGAUAGCCUUCAUGAACCAUACAAGGCAGCUAAAAGAUGGUGUCUUCAAACUAGAGGCUCGUGCGAUGAAAAAUGCAGAGCUCCAUGGAGAUCUUGGCAAGCUUGGUAGGUCGACAAUUUUAAAGAAAUUUAAAAGUGGGCUGGAGAGAGUUCUCAUAACGAAUGAACUUGCAGCAAGGGGUCCGGGUGUUCCAGAGUGUGAUCUUGUUGUCAAUCUUGACUUGCCUACGGACUCAAUUCAUUAUGCACAUCAAGCUGGCAGGACUGGCCGGCUUGGUAGGAAGGGCACUGUGGUGACAAUUUGCGAGGAGCCAGGAAUGUUUGCUGUGAAGAAACUGCAGAAGCAGCUUGGGGUCUGUAUCCCUGCAUGCGAGUUUACAAAGGGCAAGCUUGUUGUCACUGAAGAAGAGAAGAAACACGCGGAGGCCUUGAGGUGAUGGACAGAUUAUUAUAUCUUUUGGUUUUGCUUAUUUCCAUCAAGAUAACGGGUAUGUUUUAUGGCAUAGUCAAUCCCUGCUGUUUUCUUAAGCAGCUUUUUGCGGCUAGAUUAUGUUGAAUUUGAAGUUUAUUAUGACAUAUUCAGUUCUUAGAGCUUAAAGUAAUAGUAAACACUUAUAAAGCCUAUGAUUAUGACCUUCAUGUAAAAUAGCUAAAAAUCAACUCAUCUAUUAAUCCAGUAGUAACAACCUAGCACCCAAUCAUGUUUAACCUGGGAAAAAAGAGGAAGGAAAAUGAUUGUACUUCAUAUGAUUGAAGAAGCAGCAGAGCAUGAUUUUACACCAGGCAUGCCCAUAAAGGGGAUUCCUUUUCUUUUACAUGCGAAAUCAGAGAGGAUUUGUUGUGGUUCAGAGAGAAAGCUAGGAUUUUAAGCAGGCACGAGAUGCGUCACCAGAUGAUUCUCUUGCAUAGCUUGUAGCCUGAUAACAGAGUGCAUAUCACAAUGACAAGGAAAGUCACAAACGACACGAUUGCGGAAAUGAUGACCGCCUUCAAGAUCGAUGCAGUUUUAUCAAUCUGUUGGAUGGACACUAUUGCUACCGAACUAGAAGAGAUCAGAAGAUAGCCUGCCACCUUUAUAUGCUUACAAAAAGAUUAGUAAUCGGGGAACUGUAUUUUCCUCAUAGAGACUGAAGGCCAAAAACAUUGAGAGAGGAAUUAAAGGGAUUGUUUUAAGCUUCUAUGAAACUGCACUUACUUGAUCAAGAAUGAAGCUCAUGUAGUCCGAGAACAUGUCUGAGAUGAGGAUGCCUCUUUGUGCAAUGUCCCAAAUACCUUUGAAGAGUUGGAAAGCAGAAUAAACGAACACCAAAACAGAUGCAAUGAAGCAGUACCUACAUAAGGAAGUAGAGUGAUCAGAUUAUUAUUUGUUGACACAUAAUUCGUAAUAUGAAAAUAAAAUACCAUAGAGUGAUCAGAUUUAUUUCUUGCUUUUGAUUUGUGGGUUGCUGAAUUAAUUUUUUUUUUUAGAGCUCCUCGUUAGUGAAAAUAUGGAAACUAAAAUUUCAGAACUUUUGGUAUAGGGCUACACUUACAGCAAUUCUGAGUAGUCAGCGAAGCUAGAAGGACGUGGGCUACCCUUCUUGGAUGAUGAAGCAGCCAGGGAAAGUGCAGAGACGAAGGACAACACAAGUGCCAAGAAUCGAAGGAUGAGAUUGGAAAGGUAAACGGGAGGUCUGGUGCUCAAUCGUGCGGAGGCAUCUGAGAAAGAGAAUGGUGAAGGUGUUGGGAAUGGUUGUUGCGAUUGAGAAUUGGCUGAUACAGGCGACACAGCAGCCAUGGGUCUGCAAGCAACAACAAACAUCUCUCCUUCCUGCUUCAUUUUUUUAGUUUGCUGUCCAAGUCCAACUGCUCCUUCCUUUAAAGAAAUGGUUCCUCAAACUGCUUCCAGUGGUUUUUUCUAUGGUUUUUAGGAGAAGGUGGGGGGAGGCUUCAACAUCAACUUUGUUUUUAAGUUUGGUUCUUACAACACUCUGCAUCUUCAGUGUGUUUUUGUUAUAUUAUUCAUGGAAUUUCCAGGAAGAGUUAGGUAUUGAUGGCAAAGUUAAAAACGGACUGUAUACUAUAUAGUUGACCAUUAAGAAUAAAGAAUAACAAAUAAAUGAGCUAGCAAUGUACUGCAGCCUGUGAAAUAAAAUACAGUGGAUUCGUUUAAUAUUUUUUUUUUGGUUUUUUUUCUUCUGAUUUUCUGCCUUUUUUUCAAAGAAUUUUAUUUUUUGAUGUUGUGUUGAUUAAGAUUGAUAAUUUAUUUUGAUUUUUUAUAUAGUUUUCAUGGUUUUAAAAAAAAACCAUUAUAAUAUUGAGGGGUGCUUGUCUUCGUGAAAAAGAAUUUAAUUUUAUUAUUUGUAAGAGGUUGAAAAUGAAAGUAUCAAAAUUAAAAUAAAGAAAAAAUAGCAACUCUUUUCUUUUUAAGAAAAUUGUGGUGUAACUCUAGUCCUUUUUCUUUUUUAGGCUUUGUUUAUUGAUUUUUUUUAAUAUUUUCAAUUGUAUCCUUUAAUAUUGUGUUUAGUGAUAUUUUCAAAAAAAAAUCUGAUCCCUUUAAUUUGAAAAUUAAAUGGUUUAGUUUAUUUUUUUUAUUUACAUUUUAGUCACUAAGUUUGAAAAAAAAAAAAGGAGCCUUGUUAGAAAACAACAAAGAAGAAAGAAAGAGUUAAGUUGGUUAGAUUCCAAUGACAAAAAUAAUCAAAUUUGGUGUUAAUAUUUUUUGUUGAGAGGAGUGUCAAUGAGGUUUUUUUGGAUUUUCAUGUUGCUAGAAAAGGUAGGUUCGUGUUGGGGGAGGUUUUUUUUUUAAUUAUUCGAUUUUGUAUUUUUGAACUGUUUUUUUUUUAAAAUUAUAUAUUGUUUUUUUUAUGAGGUUCAAAUAGAGUUUAUUAGAUUUUUUAAGUAAAAAUGAGUUAAAAAUAUAGUUUUAGAUAAAAAAAAAAAAAAACACUGUAAUUUCCCACAGUCUCAUGAUGGGUAGAAUUUGGAAAAGGUGACAAUGCAUCGUCUAUCAUAAUAGAAGACAUUUUAUUUUGAUUCUUUUGUUGCUUUCUCAAUACGAGAAAAAGAAGAAGCCCAAAAGCUGACAAGUCCCUGUGAAUGAGCUUGUUUUUAAAAGCCCCACACACUUGUUUUUUUUUUAUAUAUAUAUAUAUAUAUAUAUAUAAAUUAUUAAACAAUUAAUAUUUAAUUUUUUAAAAUCUAAAUAAUUUAAUAUAUAUAUAUUUUUUUGUUUUAAAUUCUAAGAUUAAUUAAUGAUUUUUUUAGAUAUUAUUUUACUAAAUUUAAUUUAAUUUUUAAUUUGUUCUCAAACAAUCAUUUUUUUUAUACAACCAAUCAUAUUCUUUUUUUUUUUAAUUUUAUUUGGUUGCUUUACUAUGAUUGCUAAAUUUUGUUAUCAUAUAAUUAAAUAAAAAAAUAGUUUCAGAAAGUAAACAUAUUAAACUCAAUCAGGCCUAUGAUCAAAGUCGUGGGUUUGAUAUAUAAUAUGUCAUCGUCUCAAUAUUAAAAAACAUACAUCAUCUUAAAAAAAAAAAGUCGAGGUAUAUUUUUAUCUAUCUUCUGAGUUACUUUUAAACCUUCCAAACCAACCAAGUCAUAUUAGAUUAACUUUUAUAUGAUUUAAUUUAAAAUUCAUGCUAGGCAAAGAAUCGGGUCAAAAAGUUUCAAAGAUGACUAACUAAGCCAGGUUUAGUGACACUUUCAAAGAGUUCACCACGAUAAUGAAUGGGCAUUAUGUUAUUAUUGUGUUUUUUAACUAAGAAAAAAAAAAAUUCUAGUGAAUGUUUUUUAAAAAGCUCAUUAAUGAGACAAAUGAGUUGUAGUUAUAGAUGUAUCCUUGUCCUAAUUAGUUUUUGAUAUGUCUUCUAAAUGCUUUUAGCUUUUAUUCAAUAAAUAACAUAGAAAAAACUAGUUGUUUUUUUUUUAAAAUCAAAGAUAUUAAUAAGAAAAGGAAGUCAUUUAUUAGCAAAUUAUUUUUUCUUCAAUGAAAUUUAAAUCAUUACUCUUCUUAUAAAAACAUUAAUGAUGUAUAAUUAAAUUAAAAAUUUAAUGAUCUUCUUGUGACCCAUGAUCAAAUAUCUUUAAUUGCGCUUGUUUUUAACUUUAUAACUUAGUCUUUAGAUAGUGUUAGAAUUUCAUUUUAGUAUUUAUUAACACAUAUGAUCUUUAAUUUAUUUUAUUAAAUGCAUACAUCAUGGUUUGAGUUAAUAAUUAAGAUUUUUUAACUACUAGAAAAUACAUUUAAAAUUCCUUUUUUGUUAAAAAAAAUAUUAUGAUCCAUGAGAUAUCACGUGAAACUUAUCUAAAAAAACAAAUAACUAAAAAAACUCAAAUUUUUACUGUAAAUAAAAACACAGAUUACUAUGAAUUUGAACAAUAAUAUAACUAUUUUUUCCUUUCAAGAAAAAUCAUUGAACUUUAUAUUGAGGGUAAUAUGGUUUUUUUUUCAUGGCUCAUUAAUUAUUUUUUAGCUAAUCAGGGUACAUUCUUUUUAUAUUUUUAAGCACAACAAAAUAACUUAAUAACUCUUAAAAACAAAACAAAAAAAAAGAAUUCAAGGGCUUUUUGAAAUUUUACUUUUAAAAUUAUGAUAAAAUGAUUCAAUUACUCUUAAAAUGAUUUUUUUUUAAUUGGUGUUUAGGGGCUUUAUUACAUUUUUAUUUUAGAUUUUUUGUUAUAAUUAGGUUUAAUAAAGGAAAAUGUAGUAUUUAAAUAAAUAUAGAAUAUUGUUUAACAACUAAAAGAGGAUGGCGCGUGUAAUGCAAGUGUUAGUGUGUUAGAUAUACCUGAGCCCUACAAGUGACAUAUGAGGGGGUGUACGACGAUCAAAAGGUCACUUUUAGGGCAACAUUCAAAUUAUUUUGACUACCACUCCAGCUCUGAAUGGCCAACAUACAUCUGGUUAGGUUAGAAAAUCAAGACUAUGAGUAUAUAACCCAACAAACUAAUUUUUCAACUUGUUUAAAGCCAAAAACACCUUAAAACCAGUCGUAGAACAUGUAAAAACCAAUCUAGCAACCCAAUAAACAACUAAAAUCACAAAAUCAAUCCAAAAAAGUUUUCUCAGCCUCUAUUUAUAUAUGUUUUUAGACAAUAUCAAAGCUUAAAAAAACUAUCAUAAAACUUCUCUCACCAAGUAUAAUCUAUUGACACCAAUUUCAAUUAUUUUAGUAGUCAGAAUAGAUGUAAAUAAUGAUUUUCUCUCUAAUAAGCUAGAAUCCAAGGUGCUCUUCUCUCAUGAAAAAGGAUUGAAAAAUAAACUUUGUCAAUAAAAUUAAAAUUUUAAAACUGAAGGGACUAAUUAUCUAUAAACUAAAAAAUAUAAGGGACUAAAAUAAACUCUUUUAUAUGAAAUUCAAAUCCACUAUUUAUUUUACCUGUUAUUUUCACUUUAGUUCUAUGAUUUUUAAUCCAACUUUUUUUAAAAAAAAUAUGUAUUUGGGUGCAAAUUUGAGCUCAAAAGAACUCAAUUUAUGCAAGGAAAAAUCAAGAACCAAAUUAAAAAAAAAAUUAACCAUUCUAAACUACAAUGUGAGAAGAUGCACAGUACAAUUUGCUAUGUCAAAACAUCAUUUGUUUUAGUGUAUUAUUAAUUAAUAAUGAUGGUGGUGAUGAGGAAAAGAGGGAAAGGCACACGUCAAUUCUUGCGUGGUCAACUUUAAUUGCUGUAUUAAAGAAUCCUAAACUUGUUGCAAGUAACAAUAAUGAAACAUUAAGAAACUGGGAUGGGAAAGGAAGAGUGACAGACAGGUUAUACUAGUUCUGCCCAAAAUGAGAAGGAGAUAACGGUGACAGGUUAUUCAGCGCAACUUCCUUUCGGUUUUUAUUUUAUUUUUGACAGUGAAGUUUGGAUUUUGAUGAGAGAGAGAGAGAGAGAGAGAGAGAGAUUUCCAAGAACUAGAUAGGAGGUCGCUGUGAGGGUGUGUGGCAAAUAGUCCAACAAUCCCACCGAUCAGGUCAAAGUCGAAGUCAUGUAAGACAAGCUCCCCGUAGUUACUGUGGUCCAUGCGCCGUGGAUUGACCUGGAUGAAGAAAUAGCUUGUGCAGUGAACCCAUCAGCAUUGUUCUCUGCACAUCUCCUUCACGCCCGUAUUUUGCCCUGAGAAUCCUAUCACCGUAAUUAUAACAAAGGACCGACAGAUUGGACUGAAACUGAUGCUACAAUUAGCUUGUGAAAUUCAACAAGAACCAAAAUGAUCGAUUCAGAUUUAUAGCAGUCCAUGGGCUACAGGUAUUUUAUUAAGCCUGGCAUUGUUAUUAGGAAUGCAAAAGAGAAGAACCUUGUAAAAUGCCAAAAUGUCAGGAAAAACGAUGGGUUGAGAACAUACUUCCAGCCAAGUUCUUCCUCAGCUUUCUCCGUAGGAGCAUAACUUGACAGGGAUUUUCUGAAAACAGAAUUUAUAGUGAACACUCUGACUAGCUGCAUUUCUUUAAGAGAAGGAAUGACAGGUGAGGAGAAGGAACAGUCACCUGGUCAGAAGCUUUUUCAAAUGCGCCAUUACCAUCCUUUGUGGGAUAGUCAUCACUGCAUACAUUAAGCUCAGGAAAUCUGCCACCAGGUACUUGUUGUAUGUAGGGCAGGUGAUUGUUUGGGAUACCCUUGGAAUAUUCUUCACCAAGUUUACCACUCUCAUGAGCUCCCCAGCAGGGUUGAAGUAUCUGAGUAAAAUGAUACUCCAUUCUGGUUCUGCCUUUUGAACACCUUAAGCAAAUUCUUCAAGGAAAAGCUAGCAAGGAAAAUACAAAAAUGUACAAAAGGCAAAGAAACAGGACCACUUUGACAUGAAGAAGGCCACCCCAACUCCAGCAUGUUAAUCCAACUUCAAACAUUAAUCAUAAGACUAGUGCAAAUACAGGGGAAAAAGGGGAAUACAAGCAAAAGAAGAUUUAUACCUUGGUCCGUCCAUAAGGAUACAUUGCCAUUAGCUUGAAGUCCUCAACACAUGGAGUGUCUUUUAGUUGGCCACAAAAAGUUGCAGAUGAUGACCUUUUUUUGGAAGUACUCAACACAUAAACUCUAAUGUAUUUUUAGCUUUGAACCGAACUCGGUCCAACUAGAACAAUGAAUGCAUAUUUUACUGUUUAUGGGUUUUUUUCAUAUAAAAAGCAGUAAAGAGCUGUUUCAUGUAAACAUGUGGCACAUCCAUAGUUGAUGAUGGGUUCUACUAGCAAGAAAUUAUUUUUGUUGCAAUACCAAUCAACAAUAAUUGUGGCUGCGGGUGAACCUCAUCCGUAACCAACAAUACCAAAUAGCAUCUAAGUACCGGCUAGAAAUAAACCAAAUAUAAAAUAUCAAAACAUCAAAAUCUUUGUUUAUGUGACGGGAAAGCUUGAGUUCUCUUUUUUUGGAAGUCCUCAACACAUGAACUCUAAUGUAUGUUUAGCUUUGAACCAAACUCGGUCCAACUAGAACAAUGAAUGCAUGCUCUACUGUUUAUGGGUUUUUUUUCACAUAAGAAGCAGUAAAGAGCUGUUUCAUGUAAACAUGUGGCACAUCCAUAGUUGAUGAUGGGUUCUACUAGCAAGAAAUUACUUUUGUUGCAAUACCAAUCAACAAUAAUUGUAGCUGCGAGUGAACCUCAUCCGUAACCAACAAUACCAAAUAGCAUUUAAGUAUCGUCUAGAAACAAACCAAAUAUAAAAUAUCAAAACAUCAAAAUCUUUGUUUAUGCGACGAAAAAGCUUGAGUUCUCUUUUUUUGGAAGUCCUCAACACAUGAACUCUAAUGUAUUUUUAGCUUUGAACCGAACUCGGUCCAACUAGAACAAUGAAUGCAUGCUCUACUGUUUAUUGGUGUUUUCACAUAAAAAGCAGUAAAGAGCUGUUUCAUGUAAACAUGUGGCACAUCCAUAGUUGAUGAUGAGUUCUACUAGCAAGAAAUUAUUUUUGUUGCAAUACCAAUCAACAAUAAUUGUGGUUGCGGGUGAACCUCAUCCGUACCCACAAUACCAAAUAGUAUUUAAGUACCGUCUAGAAACAAACCAAAUAUAAAAUAUCAAAACAUCAAAAUCUUUGUUUAUGCGACGGGAAAGGUUAAGCUCUCUUUUAAAUCAUUAAACAAAAAAUGAAAGUUAUAGUUUCUUUACAAUCAUAAAAAGUAUUAAUAAUUAAUGUCUGACCUUUAGGGCUAAAAACAAGCAAAAUUCCUCUAUUUUAAGAGGGAAAGUGAUAGGAUCAAACCUCUACAAUACUAAUUUAAAAAUACAAAUAAUAGUAUAUGAUUUAAGGUUUUUUCUUUGAUUUUUUUCUAGGACCUAUCAAAUUAACAAGAUCAUGUUGGAGUAAAUUUUAUACAAUUUAAUUUAAAAAAUUAGGCUAAUUAAAGAGAGUAGAGACAAAAAUUUUCAAAUUUGAAUUGUUAUUUGAAGUUUAAUGAUAAUGCUAAAAGUUUCGAACGAUUUAGAUAUAUUUUUUUAUAUGUAAAAAAAUUAGGUUCAAACCCACAAUAAAAAUACGAGCAAUAAACUAGUUAUGUGUGAAAUUAUCAAAUCAAGUUUAAUAUUUUUUAUUGACCGAAAUUCGUUGUCCAUGGUUGUUAUUGGGUAAGACCUUCAAAAGAGUUCUACCCGAUCAAGUGGAAAUGAGUUUGUACACACACCUAAUGUAGUAAUUGUGAUUGGAGGUGAGUAACUUUUUAUUGUGAAGCUCAAAGUUGUUUAGGCAUCCCAGUAAGAAUUAUGGGGAAAAAAAGAAAGAUAAAUUCCUCCCACACACUUCAGUACUCUACUUGGAUAUAAAAGGUUUGUAAGGUAGAAUGCGAAAAGGUUUAAUUUGAUACCUGCAACACUUUCUUCUACUAUAACUUCAUCCACACAUACAAUAGCUGAACUUCUUGUGAACCAGUACAAGAACUUGAGACCCAUCAAUGGAGGAUCAAGGAAUUAUAUAGAGUUCACUCGAGCUAGGGCUGAAUCUUUUUGUAUACGGGAUUUCAGGGACAAUCCUGAAGAGUUUCUGGUUGUAUAUAAAGGGACUCUUGCCUUUGAAGACCAUAGUGGAGAACCAGUUGGUGGAUUUGAUGAGCGAUCUCCACUUCUAUAAUUUAUCAAAAGAUUUUAAUGCAUGUUUUACACAGUUCUUAUCACCUUGCUGCCAUUCCUGACUUUCAUAGGAUUUCCCUGAGACGUGCCUAAGCUGUCGCACAAGUAUCUAAUGUUUUCGGAUUGUUUAGAUAUAAUAAUUUUUAAAAAUUAAAAAAUAUUAUUUUAAUAUAUUUUUAAAUAAAAAAUAUUUAAAAAGACAAUCACAAUCUCCACAAUAUUCCGCUCUUCUCCUUUGAUGCUAUCUGGUUGGGCUUUAUGGGGUUGUUCGGUUUUGACAGUUAUUGGGCCUGUAUGGGCCUUCUUCUCUUCUCCAUUUGCCGCUCCUUGAUUCAUGAAUUCCUUUUACCCCCAUAGAUAACAAUUCAGGGAAAGCAACUGAAAAGCGACCCGUGAAUCUUCUUGGGUUUUUGUUCUUCAUAUUGUUUCAAAUUUCACGGGUAGAAGCCCCUGCCUGGUUCAAGAUCAUGGUAAUAAUGGUAUAGUUCAUUCCAGCUAGAAUGCUUGCCCUAUACUGCGGUCUGAUUAUAGAGCAAAUUAGCAGAUAAGGUCAGAUUGAGCAGCUUGUCUGUUAUGUUUAAUAAAUUUAGGUGUGGGUGUGGUGGAUCUACUAGUAACCUCUGGUGAUUAUUACACUUGAAAGUGUUGUUGGCUUGGUGGACUGCAUAUAAAGCCUUGAAAUCCCUUCACCUUUUUCUCCCCCUGUAUUUUAUCAUUAGACUCCACUCCUACUUUUUAUUUGGGAAAUAUCCUGUGAAUGCUAACGUUAUUGCUCAUAAAUAUUCAUGUUUUUGCAUCCUAGCUUCAUGCAUCCAAAUUAAAAAUCAAACCAGCCAUAGCUAGAGAGUGCCUGCACCUUCUUUUUUGAACUGAUUUUAAUCUAAUAGAUACUAAUUUUAUAAAAAAUACAGUUCCAUCGCAUUCCAAACCCCGACUAGGGAAUAGCUAAAAGUGAAAUUAAGUUAAAAUUGUUAAUCGAAAUAUGAAUGACAUAAAUUUAAGAGGAUUGGAGACGUGGAAGCAAUCAAUUUCAACGAGUGAAAACUAUUCCGAAGAUAUAUAUACAGUGUUUCAAGAGAAGAGAGUUGUUAACACUAUUCCUUACCACUAGAAGACAUAAUCAUACACAAAAAUAAAUAAAGUUAAAAAAAAAUACCCCAAAAAAGCAAAAGAUAAGGAAUCUUCCAUGAAAACUCAAUUGCGUAAAGCAUGGCUAUGGAAUAAAUGAAGCAAGUCGUUAAAGAUAGCGUAUAAGAAAAUAAAAUGAAAAUCACAUGCAUCUCAUACCAGAGAUAUUCUAUGCUCCCUCGCACCAAAAUUGACCUAAUCAACACCAAAUUACAUCAUCAUAUCAAUGGAAAUCUACCACGGUCAUGAUUUCAAGCACCAAGUUACUAUCAUGCAUCACGAGUCUACUGCGGUCUUCCUUUUUCCAAUAAUUAAUCCCCCCCCCCCCUCUCUCUAAAAUAAGCUUUUGUUUGUAUUUUGAUCUCUGUCCACCUUUCUUUUUGUUUGUGACUUUUCAGCUUCUCUUCUCUUCUUUCUUUUAUUCUGUCCGAAGCAAACUGACACUGUAAGUUUAUAUAUUUUCACGUACACUGUAAGUACAAAGACUAAAGCUUCUGCCUUCCAAUUUCGAGCUUGAAUUUAUUUCUUUCUUUUUUUGAGCUUAAAAGGACUGUCUCUUAGGUGAAUUUUGAUGUUUCAAGAGUUUCUAUGUUUCUUUCAAGUGAAUUUGGAGAUGGGUUUUUAAUUUUAAGCAUGGUUGUUUCGUAUAUUUUGCUCUUUAUUUAUUUUUUUAGUUUUUGGUUAGUUUGUGAUGUUCAAAAGGUUAGGACAUUUAGAUCUGGUGUUGAUAGAUUAUGUUUUGGGUUGCUAAGGUUGAGGAGGCUAUGUUAGUCUGUUUUGAAAACUGGGGCAUUGAAGACCGGAUCUAAUUCAAUAACAGUUGUUGAGUGCAUGCCAAGGUCUUUGUGGUAGUGUGAAAAUGGUGUCUUUGUCUUCUUGAAUUUUGUUGAAUUGACCUGGAGUGGACUAUAACUGUAUUAGAAUUCAAGAUUUUCGCUUCCAGUGUGGAUUAGACAUUAGUUAGGGGAUAAAAUGAGGGGCCAAGGUGAUAAUUUCCUCUUGUAAAAGAAGCGCACAAGAAACUAAGAGUUGCAAAUCAUACACGUGGUAUGACCACGGUGAUCAGAGGAAUUUAUUCAUGAAUUUGGAAUCAACUCAUCAAGGAUUGAUGUCAAGAUAAGAGUUAAAUCGUUAAAAUUUGUCAUAACAGUCGAUGUAUACAGGUACUUUAAAGUCAUCAUGCCCACAUUUUAAUCAUGGAGUUUGGUACCACAAACAAACGGGGAAUUUUCCGCCAUGCUGUUUUCACUGAUUAUGGAAUACUGUGCCUUGUUUUUUUCUUUUCCUUUUCCUUUUUGAAUGUGAUUUUAAUUCUGGAUUUUAUGCUUGGGCAGGUAUCUUUGCAUAGCUGCUGAUAACGAAACGCCAAUACAAGUUUCUAUUCCAACUCAUCAGAUUGACAUUCCCAAGCUGUGUCAUUUUCUGUGCUCCUUUUAUGGGGUUUUUUUGCUGGCAAAGCAAUUAUGUUAAGUAUAUUUGUUGCAUUCAUGGCAACUAAAUUGGUGCAAUUGUGAGAGUUCGUGUGGAUCUUUAGUUAGAAUUUGCUGUCAUUUCGUCAGUUGUUGAAAUAAAUAUGCGCUCGUGGUGGGGAAAGUCUUCAUCCAUAGAGGAAAAUAAGAAAGCAAACAAGGAAAGUUUCAUUGAUACAAUAAAUAGGAAAUUGAAGAUUACAUCAGAAGAAAAGAGCAAUGGUAAAUCAGGAGGAUCUUGGAGAAGUUGUAAAGAUACUCUUUCAGAAAGGGGCUCUUUAUCCCGUGUCCCAUCAAGAUCACCAUCACUUUCCUCACAUGUAUCACGUUGUCAAAGUUUUGCUGAAAGGCCUCAGGCUCAACCACUUCCUCUUCCACUUCCGGGGGUGUGCCAUCCUAGCAUUGGGCACAGUGAUUCUGGAAUUGGUGCUUCAGUGAAACCAGGAUUGAAAGGAGGUGCCAAGCCGUUGCAUCUUUUGCCCCUUCCACGACCUGGACAUGUCCCUAAUAGACUGGACCAAGCAGACACAGUGGGGGAUAUAGCCACUGCUUCCGUGUCCAGUGAUAGCUCCAUAGAUAGUGAUGACUUGUCUGAAUCACGAGCCCUUAGCCCACUCACAUCUGACUAUGAAAAUGGGAACAUAACUGCUGUGAACAGCCCUCCAAGGUUAGCUUCCAUACGUGCCAUUGAAAGUUUUAAAGUGUCUUUCCAGGUUUUGUUUUUAUCUCUGACAAAAUUUGUUCUUAUGCCUGCUGAAGCAUUAUGCAACAGGAUCAAUCCCCAAUUGUAAAUAAAAAGAACUCAAUAGAAACUUUGAAACCUGCUAAUUUACCUGUAAAUAAUCAGAUUCUGCCUACACCACCAAAACGGGCAAUUUUUAGCUCUCAAGUGCAGAAUUUACAGAUUCCUCACCGAGGAGCAUUCUUUAGUGCUCCAGACAGCUCAUUGUCGAGUCCUAGAAGCCCAAUGAGAGCAUUUGGCACUGAGCAAGUUAUCAACAAUGGUUUCUGGGCAGGAAAGACCUACUCAGAUAUUGGUUUACUAGGAUCUGGACAGUGCUCGAGUCCAGGUUCAGGCUAUAAUUCUGGGCAGAACUCGAUAGGUGGAGAUAUGUCAGGACAGCUUCUUUGGCCAAACAGUAGAUGCAGUCCUGAGUGUUCUCCAUUACCUAGCCCCAGAAUGACCAGCCCAGGUCCCAGCUCCAGAAUACACAGUGGUGCUGUCACACCUCUGCACCAUCGAGCUGUAGGGGUUACCAUAGAGUCGCCUACAAGCCGUCCUGAUGAUGGAAAGCAACAAAGCCACCGCUUGCCUCUUCCCCCGAUAACAACCUCUCCCUUUUCUCCUACCUAUUCAACUACAACAUCUCCUUCAGUGCUUCGAAGUCCUAAUAGGAUGGAGAAUCCAACAAGUCCUGGUUCACGCUGGAAGAAAGGUCGUUUACUUGGGAGAGGCAGUUUUGGAGAUGUAUAUCUUGGGUUUAACAGGUCUGUACAAAGGUUAUUGCUAAAUUCUUUAUUGUACAGACAUGAGUGAUUUAGCAUCAUAAAAACAUAAAGAAAAUUUAUUCCAUAAAUGACAGGGUGGGGGAAGCAGAUCCAUUUAGUUUCACUGCUUGUUUGAGAUUGAGACUAAAUUGAGUUGAGUUGACAUUGUUUCAGAUUAGUUAUGACCUGUGCAAUUACAAAAUAUUUGUUUUACUCUUCUAUGACAUUUCACCUCUGUAAAGCAACUGUCGAUCUGUCAUGGUUCUUUCACCAUCUUCAUCAUUGUCAUGUGUCAAGUGAUAUUUUAAUCCUUCGUUUACUUCACAGUUGAACUAAAGAUAUGUCUCCUCCUCCUCCUCCUCCUCCUCCCUCCACAGCUCACACACACCCUCUUUAACUCUUUCUGCAUCCUCCUGGGGUGACUUGUUUGCAACAGUAUCUCGUAGAGUUCCCAUCUGCAAUUGUCAUCACUAUCACCAUCCUUGUCAUUGUUAUCAUGCAUUCAAAUCUUAUGUUUUUUAUCAUUUCAUUUCAUGAUUAAACCGGAUAUUCAAUGAUAUUCUUGAACACGUAUCUGUCUCCAUACUGCAUUGAGUUAUCAACCAUUUACCAUACACAUUAUUUUAUACAUUUUGCAUGUCUUGUUUAAUUUAUUUUUUUGUUUGGACCUUAGUGAAAGUGGUGAGAUGUGUACAAUGAAGGAGGUAACUCUAUUUUCAGAUGAUGCAAAAUCAAAGGAAAGUGCACAGCAGCUGGGACAGGUAACGUUUUUUUUUUCUUGUGUUAUUUCAUAAGUGGUUUAAGAUAUCUUGUUGUUUGUCCUCUUCUCAGAACUUUUGAGGAAGAUUUUCUAGUUAUUGAUAACGUGUGCAGGAAAUUAUGCUUCUGAGUCGCUUAAGACAUCCUAAUAUAGUGCAGUAUUAUGGAUCUGAAACGGUAACAUUUUUCAUACCAGCUUUAUGUUACCUCCUUAAAGAUUCUUACAUUCUGAAUAAUUUCAUUUUACAUGUUAUUAAUAAACUAUUGAUUUCUUAUGUUCAUCAUUCCAAAUUAUUGAGACUCCAGAUAUGUUACAGACUUGCAGUAAUUUUAAGUAGACUAUUUGUGAUAUUUUCUGGGAUUUUUAUAAUUCCAUUGUAUCAAUAUUUUUUCAUUUAUGCCUUAUGGCAGUGUGUUGUCUUUAGAUACUUUAUCAGAUUAAUGAAUAAGAUUUUGCUAACUGAAUUGGUUUAUUAUUUCAUAACAGGUGGAGGACAAAUUGUAUAUAUACUUGGAGUAUGUGUCUGGUGGCUCCAUCUAUAAACUUCUUCAAGAAUAUGGCCAAUUUGGUGAAAAAGCUAUUUGUAGUUACACCCAACAAAUCUUGAGUGGGCUUGCUUAUUUACAUGCUAAAAAAACUGUCCAUAGGUGAGCCUUAUAAUUGCUAUCUCAUGGCUUUAAUAUCGAACCAUAAUUUACUCUAAUCUCUUAUAAACAUGACCAUGUUAAUGCCAUAAGUUUCUAUUGUGUUCAGAGACAUUAAAGGAGCUAAUAUUCUGGUUGAUCCCACUGGCCGUGUGAAACUGGCAGAUUUUGGGAUGGCAAAGCAUGUAAGGAUUUUAUCUGGAAUUUUAUUUUCUCUAGUUACGCAAACCUGGAAAAACACGUUGACUGCCUUUGCCAUUUGUUUAAACAAUGCUAAAAUAUGUUGGUUAUGUAACCGAAGGAAAUUAAUUCUCUAUAACUGCUAUCUGUUUGGUUUAGUUGCAAAGCAAGAGCGAAAUUUACUCUUAUGCAUAUUAACCUAUAGGCAAUGUGCUGUACCCAUUUUAACUCGGUUGAUCUCCAGAUAUCUGGGCAGUCUUGUCCAUUGUCAUUCAGAGGAAGCCCUUACUGGAUGGCUCCUGAGGUCAGCCUUGGUCAAUUGUCACUUUCUGAAUUGACAUUUCUUUGUGAUGCUUUUAAGUAACACAUUUCUUAAAUUCAUUAAUUGUUUUCAGGUUAUAAAGAAUUCAAAUGGUUGUAAUCUUGCUGUUGAUAUAUGGAGCCUUGGGUGCACUGUCUUGGAGAUGGCAACAACAAAACCACCUUGGAGCCAGUAUGAAGGGGUUAGUAAAAUCGAAAGACAACAGCUUGAAUUUUCUAGCCAUACAACUUGUUUUGCAAUUUGAAUGGCACUGCUUGCACAUCUAAAUAUGUUUCUUGGUCAGAUUGCUGUUGUGCUAGAAUUGAUCUUAUUUCUUACCCGCAUUUUUCUUCACUUCUUGAAAGGUUCCUGCUAUGUUUAAGAUUGGAAACAGCAAGGAACUUCCAGAAAUCCCUGAUCAUCUGUCAGAUGAUGGAAAGGAUUUUGUGCGGCAAUGUUUGCAACGGAACCCAGCACAUCGCCCUACAGCUGCUCAACUUUUGGAUCACCCUUUUGUGAAAAAUGUUGCUUCCAUGGAGAGGCCAUUUGUUUCCAUUGAGCCUUCAGAAGAACUGCCUCCAUUUAUGAAUUCAGGAAGAUCAAUGGUAUUCAGAUUUUUUCUUAGUGCCUGUUAUGAUAUUAAGUAUUGCAUUUUUUUUCCUCACGGAUUAUAUGAGAUAAGUGGAAGUUCUAUUGCUACUGUUUAUGGAACUUAAAUAUUUUUUUUAAAAAAACAAAAGAUUUCAUCUCAUAAAAAGAAGAAAAUAUACAGAGGAAGUCAGGAGAAUAAGCCAUCUUCCAAACUAAGAAACAGAGCAUAACUAAACUAUGAUAAUAAGCAUCCCAAACUCAUGGUACUUCAAUAUUGGCUGGCAGUUAAGUAAAUGAAUGGAUGAAUGUGUUAAGUGGGAGUUACUAGCUAUAUGGUUAGUUUUAUCUUAUGCACAGAAACUUAGACGGCUAGUAUAUGUGAUCUUGUCUUAUCUUGUUCAUGUUUUGCUUGCUAAUGCUACCAUUAUGUAUUUUGUUUUCUUCGUGAUGCACUAUAUGGAAUAAUUCCUUUCACUUCGCCUGACUUAUCUGUUGUGGCCUUGAUGAUGUUUCUUGAAUUGACUGAUGGGUUGAAAUUUUGGAACUUCCAAUAGGGAACUGGACCUGCAAGACAUGUUUCAGGCUUCGACUCAGACGAGAUUGCUAUCCAUCAAUCUAGAGGGUCAAAAUUUGGUUUGGGGUUUAGGUCCCUCUUCUCUCUCUCACUCCCUCCCUCCCUCCCUCCCCCACCUUUCCACCCACACACUCACACACACACAUGUGUGCACUUGCCCUUUUUUUUUCUUUGCACCAUUGCAUAUGAAAGAUUGUCUGAUGAAGUUUGUCUAAUGUGUUGGUAGGAUUACUGGCAUGUCUAGUUCUGUCUUAUCUGAAGACUGACUAAUACUGCACAAUGCAUUUCAGCUAGAGAUUUUUCAACAAGGCACAGAAAAAAAUAUUAUGUCAGUUUGUGUUUGAAAUUCAAUGACUUGCUAUGGGAGCAGUGUUGAAGGAAGUCAGUGUUCAAAGACCUCUUUUUUCUAGUCAUCUUCUCCCCCAACUUGCAUGAAAUGAGUUGGAAGCAUUAUUACAAUUUUUUUACAUUGGAUGUUAUUAUCACCUUGUACAACUGCCAGCAAUAAAUCAUCCUGCGUUCUUUGUUCUGUCAAUAACUUUUAAUGUGAAGACAUCUUUCAUUGGUUUUGCUCUGUCCCUGUAACAUUUUGUCCUCAUUGCCCUGAGGUGCAUUUGAAAUUUGAAGCUGCAUGUUAGCAUUUGCUGUAUUGAGGGGAGAAAUCCUUGUUCUUUAGCUAGUUUUCUUCUUAUUAUUAUUAAUUCGAUCUUUUUUCCUAUUUCAGUAAUGUCUAUACAAUGAAGAACUCGUCAUGUCCAUUGUCUCCUGUUGGAAGCCCUCUUCUCCAUUCAAGGUCACCACUGAAUUUGAGUGGAAGGAUGUCUCCAUCUCCUAUAUCUAGCCCUCAUACUGCAUCUGGUUCAUCCACACCUCUCACUGGUGGUUGUGGCGCCAUUCCAUUUCAUCACGCAAAGCAGCCCAUUACUUGCUUGCAAGAAAGCACAGGAAUGAUCCCUAGGUCCCAAAGUAGUUUCUAUCCCAAUAGCAGUAGCCCUUAUCAGGAGCCAAAGCCUGAUCUAUUUCGAGGUGUGUCACAAGCCUCUUGUGUUUUCCAGGAAAUAAUUUCUUCAGAAAACAGUGCUCUUGGAAAUCAGUUGGGACAGGCUGAACUCUAUGAUAGGCACCCUGUUUUAGCUGAUCGCGUGUCCCAGCAGCUCCUAAGGGAUCAUAUGAAAUUGAAGCCCUCCCUGGACCUAAAUCCUAACUCAUCAAUUAUUGGCCACUACAACGGAAUCUAAAGUCUAAACUAUGCAUGAAUCCAUCCAUUAUCAGAAAAGGUUUUCUUGGCACUGUUAACUCCUGAUGCCUCCUCUAUCUUUUUCAUUCUAAUCAAGGGGAGACAAAUCCUAUCCGUGUGCUAAAAAUAAAGACUGGACAAGUGAUCCUAGUUGGUCAGAUCUUUUGGAAGCUUCAAGGGCUGGAGAGAUUUCUUGGAAAUUGCCUUGGAGCUUUGUUUCAUAGUUCUUAUGGCAAGCAAUCAGUUAGCUUAGAUAUGGGAGGACUCAAGUGUGGAAAUUUGGUAGCACUUGCAAACUAUUCCACUUGUGUUGGUGAUUGAAGCUCUUUACCUGGCAGCUAUAUACUUUACUGAAGCCACUAACUCUUUUUUUUUCUCACAACUUUGUUGACCAACAGUCGUUUGCAAACUCUUUAGUGUAUGAAGAUUUUGAUUAUGCCGAGAAAAUUGCCUUCUGAGCUCCCAUAUUCAUCAGCUCCUCACAAUCAAGUGUAUAACUGCUAGUAUAUAGAACCGAGAUUUAUUAUACUUGGAAUGCAGAGAUAGAAAGGGCUACUACCAUUUGUGGAUUUCAUAGCUUUUAUCUCCCCUAUAAUAAUUUUUGGGUGGAAGGGUGUGGUGGGAGUUGAAAACAAAUAUUGCACAGAAAGACGAUACCAAGUUGGAAAUCCAGAUUUUUGUGAAGAUGACAGUUGAGAAUUUGCCAGGCUUGGCCUGUAUUUCCUUAAUCAGUUUAUAACAGCUCAGUGCAAAACUUGUUGUGGGCUGCACUGCUGAUAUUCUUGUAUCUAAUGUAUACAGUUAUACCUAGCAUCAAAUGAAGAAAUCUGAUUCAACCUGUGCACUAGAGCAAAACAACCUGCAUUUGUAAAUUUUGGGGACAGUAAUGAGCCAGGUUUGUCUUUAAAUCUAGUUCUGCCGCAUCAUGACUUGAACCGGAAUGUGUUUUUGAGCCAGUUUUGUAUAUCUUUUAUAGCAUCAAACCAAGCAAAUUCUUUCAUUUACUUUUUUUAAAAAAUUGUUCAAUGGACAUAGAAUGUCCACAAGAGUACAAACAACUUUAUUUACUGCCAAAAAAACUAUGAAAGAAUCCUGACUAUUUUUUGUCAGUGAUGAUCAAGCUGAAAUCCCAGAGCUUUUUGGCCAAUUCUGCAUCUUUGGCCUGAGAGCUUGGUUCUGCUAUGUCACGGUCCAUAAAAUAGUUUCCACUCAUCCCUUUAACUUGAACUUGUGGGUGCAAUGCAAUGUGGCAUGUAGUUGCUGCUCCCUGUAACCAGAGUCAAAUGAAAUGAUUAAGCAACCAGGCCUCAUGGAGUUAAUAAUGGAUUGUAAGUAGCAAACAGAUUGAUUGUUCAGACAACAAUUUCAUCAUUGUUUUCCAAUUUGCGCACUCAGUUUACCCUAUUGAGAUAAAUUUCUGCGAUGUGUUUCUCAGGACUUUGAAAGCCAUACCUGCUGAACAUUUUUUGUCAUGUAUUUGCCGAACAAGCUGAAAAUAGCUGCAUCGAGACCAAUGGAUGGGAAAGAUAUUAAUAAAACCAGGCAAUUUUCGGUACUGUGAGUGAAAAAGAAGAAAUACACAAAGCUGAUUAUAGUCGAAAGGUCCAUGGCAUAAGCAACAAAUACAAGUCAUUAAAGAUUUUUCAAAUGUUCUGUAAAAUAUGCAAGAAGACCAACAGUUCCGUAAUCCAACAUCAGAUUAAUCAAAUCCUGUAAAACAGUAAAGGUAUGUUGUCAAAGCACAGAAUAUCAGAAUGAUCAAAUGAAAAGGCUUGAGAAAAGUCUACCAUUAACAAAACCCCGGUGACGCAGAAGAUUGGUAUGGAUUGCUCCGGGAUGUAGUGAAUUAGCAGUUAUCUCUUCCCCUUCUUCCUGUAAAUUCAGGCGAUAAUGGACCGACAAUUUUGUAUUAGAGUCUUCCUAUCAGUAUAAUGUGAUUACCACUCACAUUUCAACCUAAGACAUUUAAUUUGUUCAUAUUUUGUGGUGGUAAUCUUCAAUACCAAACUGCUUAAAUUGGUGACUCAUGGUGUCUGAUAAAGAAAGUAACUUGAGUACAGCCAAAAAAAGAAACCUUUAUUGUGAUACUAGGUAAACAAAAUUAAGAUAAUUUUAGGACAUUAUGCUUUAAUUACCUUCAGGCGCCUUGCAAGCUCAUUGGCGUGCAAUAUGUUAGCAAGCUUUGAUUGUCCAUAAGAAAACCAACUAAUAGAAUAGGAAAUUAUCAGCCAUCAGAAAGAGCAAGGAAGACAGAAACUGCUGAUGCUCGAUGAAGACAUUGAACAUUAUAUGUAGGAACUUCAAACCAUGGGCACGAAUAUUCCUGCCAUCAAGCUGUUUCCUACCUCGCCUCGUUACAGAUUUUAUCGAAACAAAUCCCUUCACGUCUCAUAAUUAUGUUUGGGAUUUUGGAACUAUAGCGGUGGCACAAUUAUAAAUUUCAACUUUAUUUACAAAACUAGAUUUUUUUAUAUUUUUUUUCUCUUUAUACUUGAUAUUUUUUUAUUUUUUUAUACUUGAUAAUUAUCAUUAUAUAUGAUAAUAUGCAUGCUAAGGUCUGUAAUUUUAAAUAUUUAAUUUUAUGUUUAGAAUGCACAAGUUUUGUUUUAAAUCCUUUUACAAGAUUUGGUUUUUUACCUUGUUUUAUAAAAUAAUAUUUGAUAUUAUAAUUGCUCAAAAAUACAUAAAAAUAAUAUAUUUUUUUAAAAAAAUAUUUUUAGCAUUAAUACAUCAAAACAAUAUAAAAACAUUAAAAAAUUUAAUAAAAUACAGUUAUCCAUCCUGGUAAGACCAGGAUGGAGAGACAAGAUCAUUAUAGGAGCUAAAUUGUCUUUGUACAAACCACUCCUCUCUGUCAAGAAGAAUAACGCACACUCUUCACUCUUGUCAACUGAUAAUAAGCUCUAGGUUAAUCUGAAGGGCCUGCAGUCUUGAUAAAGUAUUUCCAUGUUAAGCUUGACCGGCUGCUUUCUCACCAGCUUUCCAGGUGGAUGAGCAAUAAACUACGAAAUACUACAAACAUAAUUACACAGGAAAUCUUCUUUUUCCUAGUCCAAUUCUUGACUACGUUGGAGAAGGACAUGGGGGCAUGGUCUUUGUAGUUCUCCUUGUGUCCAUAAGACUCUGAGAUCCCCUCUUUUCUUCCCCAACGCCAGGAAAGUUCCUGCAUCAACGCAUGAAUUUUAUUUAUAGGGUUAAACACUAAACCAUUUUGCUUUUUCAGAUUGUUUUCCACUCUUUCUGUGAAAAAGAAUUUACCAAGGGUGAAUGGGACGAUAUAUAGCAGCGCUGGCUGCCCAUGGCCAUCCAUCAAGUUCAGUGCAACAUAAGUAAUGAGAAGACCUGCCGCGUUUCAUGAUUAAAAAGGGAACAUGUAAGAGAAAAGUGCUAUUUCAAAAUUCCAAAGUAUAUGAACAGCACAACAGUCCUCUUUAUCCUUUCAUUUUGAAAUGCAAUUUAGUGGUUCCAAUAGAGAAAGGAGAAUAGUUUGAUAAUUCCAUACCUAAUCCGUAAGCAAGCAUUGCCCAUGGGAAGUACCCAGCACGUAGGCUCUUAUUUGCUGACCAAUCAUACCUGCAAGAACAAUUGAUUUGUUUAUUUUUUUAGUAUAGAAAAUCUUGAUGAAAUUAAGAACUUGCAAGCUGAAAAAGAAGCCCAGGACCAAAGGUGGAGCAGCAUGCCUCAUCGUUUUUCUACUUCAAAAAUGCCAAGAGUGUUUAUUGAAGCUCAAUCAAAGGAGAGCUGUUCUUUAGCUGCUGUUAUCUUUCUGUUGUAACAAACUGUAUUCAAAUAAUUGUUUUGAUUGUACCAUAUUUUGUGGGAUAUUCUUUGUAAACCGUUUGGGAUGUUUAUGAUCUAUAUAAAUCCCAUUCAAUGUGUUAAAUAAUAAGAUCAUUUUUAUUCAGCAAUUACUUCUCUUAAGGUCUCACGGUGCUAUUCUGUUUAUUUGGAGAAAAAAGACAUGGCAGAUUUGGAUUCUUAUAACUUGGAGAGCUAGAACUACGGUUGCAAAUAUUCUUACAACAACUUAGAAAGCUAGCAGCUAAAGCAAGCAUCAGAGCUUUGAAAUAGAACGGAAGAAGAAAAGAUACUGCUAGAAGGUGAAAGCCCCAAUUUCGUGAUCCAAAUUGCUGUAACUGCAUUUUUCCCUGUCUUUUUAUCUAUUUUUUAUUUUAGAAAAGAACAGUUUGCAAAAAAGAAUUCGUUGAUCACAGAAAUAUAAAAAAAUUAGCUUAACCUGGAGGGAAAUAUGAGGAAUAAACACCAGAGAAUGCUAGCAAAUAUCAAGUUUACAAGUAUACAAAUAGGCUAAGGGUAUACUUCUUGCAAAGGCAUGCCAGAGAAUCAUGGAGUGGAGUGUAAACCUGAGGGAAAAUGCUAUCAGCAACCCAGGUAAAAGGAUGUCGCCAAACCCUAUGAUGCUGUAACCACCCCAAGGAUCAAACAAGCGUGGAAUCUUUAACAGCAUUGGGAUACCAUCCUCUCCACUUCUAUCACCACGAGCCACCUAAGAAAAAAGGUGUGGCCAAUCUUUAUACUUCAGCAAGCAAACAAAUUGAUUAUCGAAAGUCAACCAAAAGAUAAACGUGAUAGAUAGUAAAAGUACCAGGGGAUUACUUACCACAAUCAUGACGCUUUCAUGGAACAACUUCUUGGAAACAAACACCCAAAAGAUGUCAUACAAGAACGCACAACUGAGAAGAACAGUACCCACCUGAUUUACAAACAUUUUCACUCAUUUCAGAAGAACCACUGAGUCACCAGAAAUAGUAUCUGUCCUAAAAAUUUGCUCUAUCUAAAUCGACGCUGAGUGAUACUAAACCUGGUAAAACUAGAAUGAGUACAGUUGAAAGAAUAAAAAGGCAAAAAAAGGCAAUUAAGAAAAGAUAAAAAUGAUGGGAAAUAAAAAAUCUAAGGGGCAGCCUAUGCAGGCCCAUUACUUGGUGCAACAGAAAAAGUUUUAAGCUCACAACCACAAGGAACGAUUCUUCCUCACACCCUGCCUUGGUGGGGGCCAAAACUAUCGCAAUAACUUGUACUUAUUAGCUUACUAGAUUUUUUAAGAACAUUACCUUGAGAUUAGGUACUUGGACAAUUUGCAGAACAGUGAUUAUCAGUGCAAUUCCCUGGUUUACAAACAAAUAAAGGACAAAGGAUUAUUAGCUGAAUUGCUCCACUUGACAACUUCACCCAAAAUGAGAUAUACGAGAUAGAUUGCAAAAGGCCAUAAUGUAUGCCACUUAUUAUCCAUUUCAUUUUGGAGUCAUUAAUUAUUAGUGGGAUUGGAAUGGAAAGUACAGUAGAUGGCACUACUAAAGCAGCAACCAGAGAGAGAAUUCUUUAUAAUCUUGAUAAUUGGAAACUUGAAAAUUGCAGAAAGCAUUAACCGAUUUGGAAAGAAGGUGUCCUUACAAGUAUAUCUUGACCUAUCCAGGCAAAGGAGAGAUUGCGAUGCAUAGCCCAACCAACUGCAAAUGCUAUGCAGAAUGGAGAAACAGCUAACGUUAGGUACGAGAGAGCUCCAAAGAUUGGUACUUUUAUGUAUGAUUCUCCAGCAUGCUUGAACCACCUGCACAAUUAUUGUAACUUUAGCUCCCGACCACUGAACUGGUAGAAAAUACUUAGGUAAUCUGACAGCAAGCAUCCAUGGAUAACCAGCUCUAUAAAAACUCCCAGCCAGUAACUUCAAAUACUUAAUAACUUUUCAUAUAAUCCCUCCCUCAACAGCUGCAUUUUAUACAAUAACAUUUAUAGCACUGGAUUGUAAUCACAAAAUGAGCAAACGAAACUUCCUUAGGAGGGGGUGUGCAAUUUUCACUGUUACACUACUUUUCUGGAAACCUACCAACAAAUAGGAACUUUUAACCAAGUUCCCCAAAUCAAAGAUUAAAGAAUAGUUAUGAGCAACUGAAAUAUGGAACGUGGCUAGCAAGGAGUUUAAAAAGUGAAAAAAAUUCAGUAACACAGUAAGUCAUUUAUAAAUAAGAGACUGAUUAUAUACCUUGACAAUAAAGCAACCAGGCAAGUUUGCAAGCCCUGCAGAUGCAUGAAACUACAUGCUUAAAAUUGAUUCCAGCAAAAGAAAAGGGAAAAAAAAAAGGAAAACAUGAACAAACCUGUAACAUUAGGAUGUUCAGAUGUCAAAAAUUUUGAUCACAGUUUGCAUAACAAUUACCACUUGUAAGCAUGGUAAUAAUGCAAGUAGACAUGUACAUAAAUGGUAAGUAUUUGCUACUGGCACCACAUUCCAAUCACGAUUUCAGUGUCAAAAGGGAAAAGUCAUACCUCCACACCACCUAUGCAGAACAGGACCACCAAAAGCUCAAUGAACCAAUAUGACAUGAGUUCGUAAAGUAGGACCAGGAAGCAUGAAGCAAAGACAAUAAACAGGACAGCUGAUGCUGUAUUGAUGUCUAGAACACUACUAACACCCACAGCUUUAUCAUUUGGAACUUCAUCCACAGCAUCCUACAUGAAGAAGACAGAAUCAUAAAUCAGUAAGAAAGUAGAAGUUGUAAGGAAAAAAAUAACUCUUCAAGAAGAAAGUGCUAAGAUGAUGCUAUUUUGCAAAUAUUGUCCAAAAAACCACCUUCAAUAGCUUGUCCUGUUCGGCAGCUGCUUCUCUGGCAGUCCACGCAGACCAAUAAGAAGCGCACAAGAUGGUACCAACAGCCAUUAACCACAAAAAGACUUCGGCGACAUCAACUAAUGGUCGCUUUGGAGAGUAAAGCUGCACAGACACUGCAAACAGGCAAUUAUUUUUAGACAACUCUUCCACAAGAAGGAAACUGCCAAUAUAUGUACGCAGCACAUCAAAGCAGAAAAGUAGUCACCACCUAAACAAAUGGACAAACAUCUUCAGAAAAAUGAAAUAUCCAAAAGCAGGUAAGAUCAAGUUAACAGAUGAAUUUGCAUGUUACCCUGAAACCAUGUGGACUAUGGAAGAGAACUUACCUGAUAUAUUAGUCAACAGCAUUUUUUCCAAGCUUGCACCAGCAUCUUGUGGGAGUAUAAUAGCAGGUAUGUGUAUAUCUACAUCAGUUUCAUCUGGCUCACAGACCAUCUUGUAAAGUUCUGUAGAGAAGGGAAACAAAUUCCAGGCAAAAUAAGCCGCAAAAUAAGCCAUAGCGAUAGAAAUUGACAGUAAAGGACUUUAUAUUGCUUGUCAUGACCAAGCAAGCAUUGGUGUAAGCAAAUUGUGGGUAAAUUCAAGAGAAGUUCCUCUUCCAUGUCCAUGAAGAUUAAAAGGAUGAUGUGUUUAAAAGAGUUCAAAGAAGAAUUUCACAUGCAAGUUCGUGGAUGGAGUUCAAGCAGCUGUAAAUGUAAUCCUAACAUACCUAUUAAGUUAAAAAUGGCAGAUUUAUUGGGCUUUGGGAAUUAACAAAACAACGUCCAUAAAAUGAGUGUAGCUAAAAUGAAAAAGUUCAGACGGAAAAGGGAUUGGACAGGAUGGUGGAAAAAGAUUCAUAUUCCCAAUAGCUUUAAGAAUUAGCGUGUUUGAUUGAGUUGACAUCAGGGCUAUUAUCAUUGUUUGCUGAGAGCUUCCAUUAAGAUCCCUACCGAUAAGAAAUGCAUCAAAUAUAGCAGCAAAUACGCCAAUUACCUUUUUGGUUAUUUAUAAUGAGCACAGCUGAAGCACCAGCAGCUUCUGCAUUAUUUGCUUUGGUUGUGAACUUGCAGUGACCUCGGUGAACCAAGAUGACAUCUCUAUCAAGCUAACAAAUUGAAGAACAUCGACUUUAGUAAAUGUCCACAGCAUAUCGAUGAAUUAUACAACUACGUUCAAAUAUCUUGGGCAUAUAUAAUAUUACUAAGUAUAAACCUUGUGCUUAGGUGCACUACAACAAUCUGGAGGAUCUGAAAGUGUAAGGCGAAUUUGGUUUGCAUUUUUCUCUUUUGACACAAUGGUAGUGCCAAAUCUAGCACCCACGCCAACAAAUUCAGCAUCCUCUUCUCCACCGACCCAAGUUUGAACUUUUACCUAACAAAACCAGCCACUAAGUUAACAGAUAAAUAAUAUGAAUUCAAUCAGACUCUAGAGCUAACUAAAGUACAAUUGCAGACCCCGUAAAAUCUUAUGAAGGCAACUUUCCGACAAAACCAGAUAACAAACAGUUGGCUCCAAUGGAAUGACCUAAAUCAAAAGAAAGGUUGACAUUUCUAUCACUAAAUGUUUUUCCCAAUUAUAGCUCAUAAUAUAAGUACAUUUGAUGUAACCUAAAGAACCCAAAAGAGAGCCGAAAAGGGAGACAAGGACCAGUACUAAAUUAUGGUCAUAAAAAGGAAAGAAACCAUCUUCAAAACUGUACUUUAAAACUUUUCUAAAACAUGCAAAACGAAGUCAACCCUAGAGGGCAAAUCAGGCACCAAAUCCAAAUACACAGAAUCAAAACCUCAACAAGAUCACAAAUUUACAAACUCCAACUUUUGAGGGAUCACAUUACUAGCUCCAGAUCACACAAAAUUGUAAAACAGAAACAAAAAAAAAUCAAAAACAUGUAAUCAUGUUAAAACAAAUAUAGUUAACAAUAACCAAUUAAACAUUUAUACAAUUUUAAGCUACAACUAAACCAUAAAAAUACAAACAAAAUACACAAAAUCCAAGCAAUGAAAAGAGAAAAUAAUCAAAACCCGGUUGAGAAACCAUCAAAGCAAGAACUGGGUCGAUAUAAAUAAUCAGCAUUUUAAAUGUUACCAAAACGAAGUCAUUUUCACAGCCAGGCUUUUUGGGAGCUAAGUUAUCAUCAUUGACUAUAUCUCCUGCUGUCACAGAAGAUGGAUGACACGCCAGUGAAAUCACACCUGUUAUAGUGAUUAUAGAGCACAGUUUUCUAAAAUCCAUGGAUUGAUUUUAAGCUAUCUUUCUUGGCGUUCUCUUCUUUCCCUACUAACAUAAAUGAAAAUUUAGAGCAAGAGAGAGAAACAGAAUCUUGUCUUGUCUUGUCUUGUUCUGUUCUGUGUUCUGUAGCCGUGGCAGGUAUGCUAUUCGGACAGGGUCAAUUAUAAUGGGUGAAAAUAUUUUUAUUUAGAAAUAUAUUAAAAUAAAAGUUUUUUAAUUUUUAAAAAUUAUUUUGGUAUUAAUAUAUGAAAAUAAUUUAAAAAUAUAAAAAAAUUCUUUUAAAUUGAAAAAAAAUUAAAAAUUUUAAUAACACAAUUUACAUUUUACACCAUGUUUCCAAACACUAUAUUUUUAAAAUUAAUUAUUUUUUUAAAUAUAUUAAAAUAAUAUUUUUUAUUUUAAAAUUUAUUUUUAAUAUUAACAAUUAAAAACGAUUUAAAAAUAAAAUAAUAAUAAUUUAAAAUAAAUUUUUUUACCAUGAAAAUAAACACAAUCAUAGUAAAUAGUAAAAUAAAUAAAAAAGUGAGAUCACAGACAAAGAUCAAAACUGCAAUUAGUAUUCAACAAUCAUGAUUAAAAAGAUAAUAUUAUUCUGAUUUUUUUUAUACAAUUAGUAAUCAUGAUAUGAAAUGCGUUUCAUAUACAGCCUCUUUGGAAUUUUUUGCUGAGUAGUAAGCCUAAUUUUCCCCUUUUUUUAUUUUCCACUUCGGUUUUAAGUUUUUUGAAAAGAAAAAAGAAGAAGAUUUCAUUAAUAUAUUAAUAAUAUCCAGCCGGGGAAAAAAAUUUAAUUAUCAUAUAAAAACUUCAAUACAUAUUUGAUUAAUACAAGAUUCAAAAUUUUCAGAGAAACAUUAUUAUCAUAUUUCGAAUCAUAAUUAAUUUUAAGUUUAAUAACUUAAAUGAGGUGAGAAAAAAAAUAUUAUUUCUAUUUAUUUGUUUUUAAAAAAAUAUUUAAGAAAAUAACAGCUACCAUAUUACCCAGUAACUUAAGUAAUUAUCAAUAUUGAUGUUAAACCUUUUACUUUCCGGGCCUAAGUGAAGGCAGAUUUGAUCCAUCUUGUCACAUAACUUAAGGUUUGGCGGAGGAGAAUAAAGUAUUUGCAGGUUUUUCAAGCUUCGAAAGAAACAGGACACCUCCCUGGACUUUAUUCCCUUCACCUUCAACAGGCUAGAGGAAGGUGUAGUAUUUUGCUGAAUAAAGUUGGCACUAAUUGAUCAAAUCCAAAUGAAAAGGAGAUAAACUAUUCCUAUUGACCGACCAUCCAUGGUUGCAGCAUCCAUGCAGCCUGUUUUUGAGAGGAUGACAUUAAAGAAGAAAUCAAUCUCAAAUAUUCCGUUUUCAUGCCUAGUUAUUUUACUUGAUGCAUUGAAACUUCAGAUACCCCCCAUCAUGGGAAACACAGAUACAAAGUUAAUUGAAAGAGCAUCCCUCAUCUCACUUGUGCCCAUGUUGAAAACAAUAUAAAUCAAGUAUCGAAACUAGGAUCUUUGAAAAUGUCAAAAUAGUUCUCUCCUACAUCUGGUAAGGAUUGAAACCAGGCAAAAACAAUAUAGAGAUGUUAGGAAUCUUGUGAUCCAUAGUUGAGUUUCACCUCGAAUGAAAACUAUUUUGGGAAUUGAUAACCAUCUUGAUAUGACGUUAGUCUACCAUCAACUUUGUAACUAGAAUGGUUGAGGAAGUUGCUGGCCAUCAACUGUUCUGAGAAAGAGUAGCUUCCCCCCGGAAGCCUGGUGGCUCCUCCAUUCAUGUUCAGACCUGGGGUGCUGCUUUCACGAGCUAGAUUUUCCAAGCUGACUUGGGUCGGGAUGUUAAAACUACUAUUUGCAGCCUGAAGAAAUGGAAGUGGGAGUCCAUUUCCAACCAUUGAUGACAUGGUGCUGUUUUGGUUGAAGUAACUGACGUCUCUGGAACUCAUUUGAGCAAAGCUUCUACUUCUUUCUUCUGGCUGCAUGCCCUGAAAGUAUCCAUGAUGACUGCUUGAACCUAGUAUCAGAUUCGAUCUUUCUGAACUCAUGCCUAUUCGAUUCCCAGCAAAUCUUGGUUGAAUAGAGUUCAAUGAAUAUGUGUCCAACCUAUGGUUUGCUUCAAGAGGCUUUGUUAACACAGUAGGCAGUGUUAAGUACAUUGAAGAAGCUACCUGAUUGGAGGAGCCAGUUGGAAACAUUGGCUCGACAGUUAAUGCCAGCCUUUCUCCUUUGUUCUUCUUGCCUGACGUCAUGGAUCCAAUCGCUUGGGCAUAAUCAGAUUGAUGUUCAGGUGCUUGAUGGUGAUUAUUAGAAUCAGUGAUUUUUCUGCCUUUUGCAGACCUCUCUAAAGAUCCACCAUUGCAUUGAGCUCUUAUGCCCAACACAAUACUCUUUGGCUUCUGCACUUGCACAUUCUUAUCUGAAGGACUAGGUUUAGAAUUCAUCUUGGCAGAUAAUGCCAUUCUUUCUUCUCUUUCCUUCUCGGUUGUUGUCAUGGGUACAAUUGCUCGGCUAAUAUGACUAUCCAAUGUUAGACUGCAAUUACUAGAAUCAGUUGAUUUGUUGGUUUUGCCAAACCCUUCUGUAGACCCACCAUUGCAAUCUUGAGAUCCUUUGCACAAACUGAAGGCAUUUCUAUGUUGCAGGAAAAUGUUCUCCUGAAAAUUCUUCUGAUGAUGCACUUCGGUGUUCUCCUGAAAGUUGAUUAGGUUCUGCCUGUGGACAUUCUCCGCAAACUUAUCAUGGGGCUGCGCUUGGCCAUAGCCCUGAAUGUUGUUUUGAUUCUGGACUGGUAUGUUCCCGAAAGUGUUUUGGUUCUGAACUUGUGCAUUCUCCUCAAAGCUGGUUUGAAGCUGCAAUUGAACUUUCUCUCCUCUAAAGCUGCCUUCUCUUGUUUCCAGCUCAGAAACAGUCUCCUCUUCCACCAAUUUCUGCAUUUCUUCCCUCAUCCACUUCAACAAAUUCUCUCUUGAAACUUUAAGAUCCUCUAAUAAAAAGUUCAUGUACUUCUUAAAAUCAUCAAAUACAGCUUGUUCAUCAGUACUGGGUUUACUCUUCUUACGGCGGACUUCUCUGUGAGGGCCCUUCUUCUUUUCAUUAGGAGUUGAAUCAUUCUUUUUACUCCUCCUUCUUCGGCCAUUUUCAGCUUUCCCAGAUUUCAUUUGGUCUGAAAUACCAGGAUCACAGUUGCCAAUCGGGUGCAAUUUACUAGCAUCACUAGUUUCAUCAUUAUCAACUGAAAUGAAGCUCGAGAUCAGUUUGUGUUUUUUUAGAGCUGGUUCGCCACUUGGUUUUGAAUCAUUGCUUGAAGAAUCAGAGUCGUCGUCUUUCCUCCUAAACUCCCAGCAUUGCUGCAGUUUCAGUUGCUCUGCCAUUUUAGAAAUGGGGGACAUCAUGAAAAACCAGAAUUUCACUAACUCUGGACCAUCAAAUAACUUGGAAGAUGUUGAAUUAUCAAUGUUAUUUUUUCAUCCCCUGGAGGAUCACAGCACCAAUUCCUGCCCACGUAUCAUCAAGACUCCAUGAUUUUCUGAAGUGCAAAAGCUGCUAGACAAUCAAACAGCCCACCAAACUUCGACUUCAACUCAUUAAGCAGGAACCUGACUACAUUGAAACUACUUCAAAGUGAAAACAAGUUUAUCAAACAAAGAGCAACCAAUAAUCAAAGAGUAAUGAAUUCAAUGACUUCAUGGAUUCUAUGUACUUUCGAGAUUGUGUAACGACAGGCUCAAUAUCUACAGAAACACAAACCCAUGUGUAAAAGAAAGAGCACAAUCUUGAUCUUAAAGGAACAAGUGUAUAGUUUCAAAACCCCACCUCACUAAGGCCUGAGAUGAAAACCAGCAGAAAACAAAUCCAAUUCCUGAACCUCAAAUACCUUUCAAUGAGGCAAUAAAGUUCAAAUAAAGGCACAAACUUGCAUAGCAAACUGCUAUUUUAUAAAAUCCAUAAUCAGAAACAAAAUGCAGAAUAAUGCUUCAAUCAGAGUUUCAAAAGAGAGAAUAACAUAGCAUAACAAAACUAGUGAACAGAUACUAAUCAACUUAUAGGAUAUAUCUACCAUCUUGUAUGUUGGUCUCAUAAACCCAAAACACCAGAACAAUACAGAAAAGAGCUUCAAACAAUUCCAAAAUACAAAUAUAAUGUACAUAAAAUCCACAAAAAAGAAAACUGGAUUCAAAGUCAUUCUCUUUUUCAUGAUAUUGCAUACAGAAAGAAAAGAACAGAAAGCAAAAAAGAGCAUUAACAAAUAAAAAAGAUUCGGAAUAAAAUCAUAAGAGCACAAAGUAAUGAGUUUUUCAUAGAUGGACAUAAACUCACCAUGUAACAAGACAAGAAGAUGCUUCUCUCUCCCCCUCUCUCUCUCUCUGUCAAACAUCAACCUCUAAGUCCCAUUUCUUUCAGUAGAGCUGUUUUCACUGUGGCAUUUAUAUCUCCACUCUCUCUCUCUUUAAAAGGCAAGAAAAGAUAUGUUUUCGUCUGUCUGUGUAGUGUUUCCAUCUGUGCAGUGUGAGUGUGUUUUGCUGUUUAUGGAAGUGAGUCAGUGAGUUGGGUGGUAAGUAGCAGAGAGAGUUAUGGGUGGCAUUUUUAACCCUUUUUGUUACUUGUGGCUGGCCAUUGUAAACUGUCUUGUUGAGAAAGAGAUAAAUUUGUCUUUCCAUGUAAACUGGCUUCGUAUCUCCAAGCCUUGUAACUUCCCUGCCGUAGGACUUACUUCCAUCUUAUGUUCAUGUAACAGCUGUAAAGAUUAAUGGGAUUUAUGUAUUUAUUGAUUAUUUAAGUAAUUUGGCAAUUAUAGAGAAACCCAUUUAAUGUUUUUACUAUAUGGUGCGAUCAUGUUAUAAAUGGUUUCUGUGGACAAAUUUAGAAACGGUGUUCUUUGGAUAGCAUGUUGAAUCAAACAUGGCUAUGGAAUGUUGUUUUUCCUCUUACUUCUCUUCAAUCUGGAACUUACAAGAGCUGUAAUUUGCGUAUACUUACAGUUUCAGUAUAUAUAAAUAGAAUAACAUGGCGUAAAUAGAGAAUCACCAAACGCAUUUGCACCAAGGCAUUAACUUUACAUUAAUAUUAUUAGAAGCUGUGAGAAAUAUCGAAGAAAGAAAACUGAAAUUUACCAAUAUAUUUCUAUAUAGGGAUAUUUUUAUUAAUUUUUAUAGAUCAUGGAUUUUAUUCUCUUUAUUUCUUGUAUCUGUUUUUUUUUUAAAUUCAAGUAAACUAUAAAAAAUAACUAGUAAAAUAUCAUUAAUUACUCUUUAAAUAUCAUAAAAUUUCUCGUAAAAGAGAUGAAUCGAGCUAGAAACUAUCAUUAGUAGGCAAGUUGAUGAUGAAAAACAAAUAUAUUUUUUAUCCACAGGGAUAAUUCAGCCAAUUAAACAUUGAAUUUCAAAACUUACAUGAGGGAUUAUCAGUUCCGGAAUUAGAGGGUAAUUCUCAUGACCCCUUUCCUUUUCCCUUCUAUUCUUCUUGACUUAGCAUUGCUUGAAUAACAGGUUAUCGAAACCUAUUAGCAAAAUGAAAUAAUUUGAAUUUCCAUGGAGACAACGAUGAUUGAUGAGUACUAAAUACAUUUCUUGAUACUACUUUAGCAAAUAGUCCAGUAUAAAAGAGACGUCUAAAAUUAACAACAAUCAAAUCAUCAAGGACACUUCAAAAGUGCAAGGCCUUGUUCUGUCAGGAUCAUCAUGGUGGGAAGACAGAUCACAUGCACUCUACGUCUAUCAACCUUCGGGCAUAUAUUCUGAUUAUUAAUCAUGAAUAUAACUUGAGCAUUUGUUAAUUUUCUGACAGUCACCGUAUGAUUGAUGAGAAAAAAAGCUUAUUGUCGGGAUUAAGGAGUCGUUUUUUUUUUUUCCAGCAAAUACUAUGACUCGUUACGGUUCUACCAUUAAAUCUAGUAGCUUCUCAACUUCCCGUACUGGCUCAACAAGAAGAGGAAACGGGCCAUUGAAAUGCACCACAAUAUCAUCAUACAGGAUUCGAAACGCAGACAAAAUCAAUUUGGUAUUCAGUCCAAGAACUGCUCUCUUAAGUAGCAUGGACCGACAUUCAGAUUCUUGAGGACAAGAAUCUCUUGAAGAGGGGAGUAUGUUACGAACUAGGAGACAUGAUGAAGGCUGGAAGGAGAGCAACAACAGCACUGAAAGAAUAACGGUUAGUUUGGUGGAAUUCUGUUAGCUGGAAGUUACUGUUAGUAGUUAAUUAGUUAGAAAAGCAGUUGAGUUAGUCAAGGAAGUAGUGGUUAGAGUCAGUAGGCUUGAAUAUAGUAAGAAUAAAAGCUUGUAUAUAAACUGGUGUAUGGAAAGGUGUUGAGAUAGGAAAAUACAGAAUAUUAUUCUCGAUCUCUGCUCACCCCUCUGUUCUCCUUUCUCUUCUCAAUUCUUUACUCCUUCUCCUCUGCUCUCUCUUCUUUCGGUUCUUUCUCAAUUUCUAUUCUCUUUUCUUUACACUCUUUCUCAUUCAUGUUAAGCUGAGCUUAACACACGCAGUCCUGCAAUAUGCUUACAAAAUUGUGCUGAUACUUCAGAUUCCUAUCCAACAUGUUUACACCGCAGAUUUUAGAUUGCACAAAGAUCCGAAAAACCAGCAGGACAAAAAAAUUAUAGCUUUUACAAACUCAUUUAAGGGAUUGCACAGUGAAGAUCUUACCAAUUACCUAAUCCUCUCUGAAGGUUUCAUCAAGAAUUGCACCGUGGAGAUCUUACCAGCCACAAAGCACUCUCUUCCUUUAGACAAUUAUCGUUAGGAAUUGAAGAGAUAUGCUCUUAUACAAGAAGGGAAAAAAAAACAAACAAAACCAAAACUACUGUUCCCUUCGUCGCUUUGGAUGGGCUCGAUAAUACCAAUUCUCCUCUCUGAAACUAAAUCAAUGGCUUUCUGGUAACCUGUGGCAGCAGAGGCAAGUUCAAAAAAGAAAAAGCAUGAGAUAUAUAAAAAUGUUAUUUUCUUUUUCAUAUUCUUCAAGUUCUGACCAAUCACAUGUGACAAUCAAUCAACAAGAGACCAAGAAAUUUUUCUUCUUCUGUUUUGGUUGUUACUCUGCACAUGUCGCACAAUCACAUUGAGUGUUUGAGAUCCUAAAUGUUUGAAUAAUCUGUCUGAUGACAAGCAUUGAAAUCAGAAAAGAUUUUAAAAGAUGCAAGUUGGAAUGAGACUCCCAAAUGAACGCUUCCACAUAGGCAUGAAAGGAGGAAGAAAUGUUGAACCAUGAAUCUAAAUUUCUUUACACAAUAGAAUGGUACUUCCAUGUCCCAGUAAUCCAUACCGUAUCAGCAGCUUAUUAUAGACAGGUUAGACAAAUUUCACAAUUGGUCCUUGACAAUAUGAGAACAAUCAAGACCAAGCUGCAUUCUUAUUAGUAUGUCAAAAUAACAGGGAAUUAACUUACCGCCAUGGGAAUUCACUUGUGUCUAUCCCAGCUUGGUGAAGCUCGUCAACAUACUGCAAUGCUUCCCUGCACUCUUCCCGGUCAUCAAAGAAUUCUUUUUUGUCACCUUCAAUCUCAUAUGUUUCAUGGCCUUUACCAGCAACAACCUGCAGUUUAGAGAAUAUUCAAGAGACAAAAUACAAAUAAAAUUACGGUGAGAAUAAUUUCAAGGAGACAAUUCAGUUUUUCAUUGAAAAAUACGGAACCAUCUGUCCAUAAAUCUUCAAAAAGAGUAGUAGUGAAAUGAGCAUAAACACUUACAACCAUAUCGCCUUCUUCACCCAUGGCAACAGCACAACGGACAGCUACUCGUCUAAUGUCAUGCAAAAACAGACGAUGGCCAUUUGGAAGAGGAGGGUAGUAAUCAUUUUCCCCAUGUUUCAAAUAUUCCUGCAUUGACCAUCCUACGCCAGCCAACAUGUCAUCCAAUAUGUCCACUGAUGAAGAUGAAACGGGUUAGUAAUAACUUUUGCAAAGAUGGCAUUUUAGUUACGCAGUACAGUUCAACAUGCAUACAUGGAUCUUCACCCCUUGGAUUGUCAGAUGUCAGAAUUGUCACGUCACUUUUAUCUGUUGCAAUUUUUGUCAUUAUUGGUCUCUUGCCUCUGUCUCUCUCUCCGCCACAACCAAUAACUUCACAAAAAGCAAGAAGAUGGUCAGGUUAACAAUACUUACAUUUCUUCAUGAAACUCAUCACUUCCCAGCUAUCCCAACUGACAUGGCAACUUUAUUGAAGUGAAUUGGCAAUUUUCUCUUCCAACAACAAUCAGAACCUAAUUCUAACUUGUCGAAUGUUGGAGAAAAUAAGAAGAUAACUAUGAACAGAUCAGGACUAAUGUCAAUAAAUUGGAGCUUGCAAAUCCCAAUUACAUAUGGAAUUCUCAGGAUUAUGAUUAUCUUCAGCAGUUUUGGACCUAAACAAAGGAUAACUACUAAAUCACUGUAUUUGCACUGCCAGACUUGGGAUAAUUAUCCACGAAUGGAAGAGAACAUUUAGCUAUGGCAAGAUCAAUGGUUGACAAAAACUUAAAUCAAUAUAUCAUCAUUAAAGAAUUAAGAGAAUCAAUACGACAAAGCAUAUUUCUAGCUUGAGAAUUUCCUGUGCAUAUAAUACUCAGCCUAGCUUUUAUCACUUCCUUAUAGCAAAUGUUCCAAGACUUUGUACAAGGAAAAAGACUUAAAAACGCCUUAUCCAAGCAUAAAGCUAGAAUUAUCACAAACUUAGAGAAGUAGCACUGAAUGCAUGAUGAAGGUUAGGAGAAAGCAAUAGAAACGCACCUGUGAUAACUCUUUUAGGCCUAAGCUCCCUUACGGAAUCAAGUAGUCUAGAUAGGGCAUCAGGUGUAUGAGCAUAGUCCACAAUCACCCCAAAUGCCUGCUCCUCGUCAAUUAACUCACACCUACCAGGUACUGCAUCUAUCUCUUCAAUCCCUCUAACAAUGUCUUCCAAUGGUGCACCAACUGCAAUCCCAACAGCCACAGCCGCAAGAAUAUUGUAGAUAUUGUGCUUCCCAAGCAAUCCUGAUGAAAUCUCUAAAAUACCAUGGGGUGUAUUAACCAAAACUUGUGUCUCAAACAGGGAGAGCUCAAACUUCAAGGGAUGAACAUCUGCAUUUUUAUUUUCCAUAGCAAAGGUCACAACUGGCACCUCUUGGUUUCCUUGAGCAAUAAAGAAAGGUGCAUUUGGGUCAUCAAUGUUAACUACUUUCCUAUGCCUUUCUGGAUCCACCAUCCGAGCAAACAACUUAGCCUUGGCAUUCUUAUACUCCUCUUCUGUCCCAUGAAAAUCUAAAUGAUCCCUCGUCAAAUUGGUAAAAACAGCAAUAUCAAAAUCAACCUCAUCACACCUCCCUAGAGCCAGUCCCUGGGAAGUAGCCUCCAUCACAACAGCUUCAGUUCCAUUAUGCAGCAUCUUAGCCAUCAAAUUCUGAACCAAAAUGGCACCUGGGGUUGUGUUAGGUGCCUCCAGUUUAUGAUCCCCGUGUAUAUAGUAUGCCACCGUACUCAACAUUCCAGUCCUCAACCCCAUUGCCUCAUACAUCCCUUUAACCAAAUUCGCUGUCGUAGUUUUCCCAUUCGUCCCAGUUAUCCCAAUCACAGCCAUAUUCUUUGAAGGGAACUUAUAAAAUGCUGCAGCCAAUGCAGGCAAAACUGCAUUAGUAUCCUCCACAAUCACCAAAGCCUUACACCCCAAAGUCUCUUCAAUAUCAACCUCCUUGCUAGCCACAACCGCUACAGCACCUCUCUUAUCAGCCUCGCUCAAAUACAAAUGUCCAUCCGUCUUCAUCCCCACACGACAAACAAACAAAUCACCAGCACUCACCACUCUCGAAUCAUCCUGUAUACCAGUAAUCUCCACCUCCAAAUCCCCCAAAACCGAAACCGGCACUACUUUGCUCUCAUCCAAAAGCUCAGCUAAACUCAUCCUAAACUUUGGUUCCACAAUAUUCACCUUCACUUUCCCGAUACUAUCAAAAUCCAAAUCAAAACUCUUUUCAUCCAAAGACGCCCCAGCAUUGCUUUUUCCACUCUUUUCACCCACACCCACAUCAAACCCACUUGAACCAUCUUCAUCACUGUCAGUAUCAAUCACAGUCAACCCUGUUAGUUCAUCAAUCUCCUCCAAGUCCACCACCUCUUCAGGCUCUAACUCUUCAACACCUUCCAUAACAUCACUACUUCCUUUAAUGUCUUUUGGUUUUAACAGUCCUUGUUUAACAAGUUCUUGUCUUUCCAUUACGAUAGCCUUAUCAAUCUCACCAAACAAAUCAUCACCGUCACUAUUUAAGGAAUUGGGAUUUACCUCGGUAUCUGCAAUGGCUUUGAGAAACGUUGAUUGGUUCUUUUUGAAGUCUUCUUCUUGAGCUUUUCUUGCUCUUGAAGCUUGGAUAUGAACUUGUUCCCAUUUUGAUACUCCAUGUGCUGUAUCUUCUGGUGCUUCAGGUGGGUCAUUAUCUGCUGUGUUUGGGUAGAAUUUUCCAUCUGGCCCAAUAGCAAAUAGCGAGUGUUUUGUGCCGUGGAGAGAAAGAAAUAAAGGGGUUUUAGGGAGAGAAGGAAAUAAAUUGCGGGGUUUGAAGAAGGUUGGUUUUGGAGAGAGCAAGUUUGGGUUUUGAGAGAGAAAUGUGUGCGAUUGGAGAGUGAAUGUGAAGGCCAUUGACAUGAUGAGAGAUGAAAUGAUAGUGGAAGGGGAUAAGGGAGGUUUAGUGCUGAAGGGAAAAACGGUGCGCUUUCAGGUGAGAGCGAACAGGACAGUCUUUUUCUUCUUCCACUUUUUCUUUUUUGUUAAAUUAUUUUUCCUUUAUCUUAUCUGAUUCUUUUCUUUUCUUUUUUGAAUUAGGCGAAAUUGGGAUAUGGCUGCCAGGGUUGCUAUUACAUUCCAAUUACAAAUUUUUUUAAAAAAAACCCUUGAAUUAAAACCCAUAGAAAAUUCAUUGUGCAUCUAUAUAUAAUUCCCUAUUCACCACAAUGAUAUAAUUACUAUUUUACCCUUUAAAAAAUCAACAUUAGUCCAUUAGAUGGUCUUUUUCAAACAAUUCACAUUAUAAAAUUAAUUGGGGAUAAUUUGGUCUUUUUACUUUUAAAAUACACAUUGUAGUGACUACUACAUUGCCCUCACAAGUAAAAUAUUUUAAAAAAUUAUGCCAAAACAAUUAUUUUACAUUUUAAAAGUAUAAUAUAAAGAUUAUAUUACUCUUACAUGCAAGAAUUGUUAAAAUUAUGUAAAUGAGUUUUUUUUAUUUUUUCAUGUUGGUUCUUUUGUAAUUAAUAAGUUGACAUGAGGUGAUUUGAUCUUUUAAAUAAAAUAAAUAUUGUUAAAAAAAAAAGUUAUUAGCAUAUGUGGAAAUAGACGACGUGUUGUGUCUCCUCACCUCUAAACAUCGCUUUACAAUGCAACAUUCAAAGCAUCUCCCCAUUUUCUUUUCAUAGCGCCGCACAUGUCAAUUAUGGCUAGAUGCAUAAGUUCUAAUAGACUUUUUCUUUUUUCUUUUUUCCUGGUCAAAAUAUAAAUUUGUUAUUUAAUUUAUUUUUAAUUUAAUCAUCAUUCUUUUUUAUUACUAUUUAUUUUAUUUUUAUUAAUUUUUUCUUCAAUUUUACCUCUCAUUAUUUAGUUAUAUUUAAUUUUUAAAUCAAAUUUGAUUUUUAUUUUUUUAUUCUUGUUCUUUUUAUGUUGGAAAAAUUAUACGUACCCCACAGCAUUGCUCGGGUUUCUUGUCUAGGAUACAACUAUUAAUUUGUCGGCAUUGGGAUAUGUUUUUCUUUUCCUUUUUCUUUUCAAGUACAGUUUAGAGAUACAAGUUUAGGUGUGUAUAGACAUAACUUAGGGUGGGAUUGGGUGUUAGUAACCGAUGUAUUUAACUAAAAAAAAACAUAUGUUUAAGUUGAUAGAUGGCUUGGAAUGUUGAGAAAGCUAGAGGUGCAUUCCAUAAAUAUUUAUAAAAAUAAGUCUUAUCUUCAGUUUAGAAGAACCUCUGAUACUUAAAUUAACACUAAUAUAAAAAGAAAUAAAGCCUUAAAUACUUCCUUUGCUCCAACUCCAAGUGUGUUCGACCGGUCUAGACUUGAGCAUUCCGGGCAGUGGGAACUAUAGAUAGCCUUAUACUCAGAGAUGUUGUCUUGUCGGAUCUAAAGAAGGCCCAUCGGACUGCAAAAGAAGGCCCAGGACUGCAAAAGAGGGCCCAAUGCUCACCAAGGCAAGUGACUGCAAAAGAAGGCCCAUAGGAUCAACAUUUUCGCAAGCAUUACAGGGAGGGAUGUGGAGGGAAGGUUCUUCUAGGGUUGCUAAUCCGUGGAGGCUUUAAACACUGCAAAUUUCAUGGUCAUAGAAGACUAAAAGCAUACGCGUGGAUAAAUCAUCACCCCAUUCCAAUCUCUUCACACAGGCCACAAGCUCAGAGGAGUAGUUAAUAUAUUAUUAAUUUCCGGUCAAACUUCGAAGCAUUUCCCCGUCAACCCGGCUAUUAUUUUCAUUAUCAUUUUCGUUUUCUGUAUUUUGCUACUUGGCAAGUAUGGAGUGGAAUCUACACUCGUUAUCACCCUCUCCUUCUGGUGAUUAAAAACUGAACGUGGAGACAGAUAAUACCCACAAAGAACACUACGAGAAGAGAUUUGCUUAAUAGGAUCCAUGCCUAAUUAACUGCUCCAGAUGUGGACGGCUAACCCUCUCCUAUUUGAUCAACUCUGCCAUCGUAUUAUUCAUUUUCCUUGUUCGUCAGGUUGUGAUGAAGUCCUUCACACGCACAGGCUGUGGGACCGCGCUAGAUUAUUUUUUUAAAAAAAAAUUAAUAUUCACAUGUCACGAACACGUUAUGAUGGCGAUAGGCAAGAUUGCAUGAUCACUUAAUUAUCCAUCAUAAAAAAUCUUUGAAUUGGACCUUCGAGAUCUAUAUAAGAUCAUUAAAGUGAUUUUUUUAUUAUUAAUUGUUAUAUUAGUGUAUCUGUUUUGACGUACCCAGAUUAAAUCUUAAAUAAAUUAUUUAUAUUUAUAGAGCAAUGCUGAUUUUAUUUGAUAGUUUUAUAAGGUUCACUUACGUACGAAAGACACUGACAAUUGGAUACACGAGAGUGAUUAUCAGAAUUCAUUUUUAUUUAAUGCUAAGUGAAUUCUGUAAAAUAACCAUAUAAAUUACGUAAGACUAACGUUACUUGUGCUUGAAUCAAUGCAUUUCAUAAGAAACUAUCACCGUGAAGAUCUCGUCUUGUAUUAAAAGUUAAAACUAGAAUUAGGGCAAACCAACGGUCCUAAACGGCGCUACGGUUGCGCGAUGUCUCGUUAAAGAACGCAGCACCACCGCGAAAGGUGGCACAAAACAAGACCCUAGGUAUUUGCGUACGAUACCAUAGAAGAUAGGGCACAGGCGGGUUCUUUUAGGAAGAGCAUACGAGGCGGGAGAGAGAUUUGCGUUGUGGACAGGGAAUUCAGGAGGGAUUUAGGGAGGGUAGAUUGAGUGUCAAGGAUCCCAUACGUUGACCAGAUGACCCCAUGGAUGACGAAUACUCUAGCCAGUGUGACAGGUGGCUGUAUCGGAUGCAAUGACUUUUCCAAUUUCUUUAAAACUUUGAAGAAAAUAAAAUCCAAUGAUGGCUUGAGCCGUUAACUUGAUGUUUCAAACAAACAUCGAGUUCAGCGUACACGUGUUAUUGUGUUUUCCAGGGAUGAAAAUACCUCAAGUAGUUGAAAGUCUGGAAAAAAAACAAAACCUUACCUUCUUGAAAUUAUAAUUUUGGUAUAGGAUUUAAAGAUUAAAGAUGGUUGAAGAUAACCUUUAAGUUAUAGCUUCUUCUUCUUCUUUUUUUGUAAUUAAAGUUCCUAUAGAGAAUUUUCGGUGGAAUUUAUGCAGAAUUGUAAUGUAAUGUAUUGAUUAAAAAGAUAUUUUAAAAAUUAUGAUUUUAGUGGAGAGCUUUCCGGAGGAAAAUACCAUGAGUCGGAAGAAAAAAAACCACACUUUCUUGCAAUUAAAAUUUCAGUAAAGAAAAUAAAUUUAAGAAAAAAUAUAAAUUAUAUCUUUUUUAUUAUAAAAAUUUGUAUAGUAGAAUUUUCAAUAAAACACAUGUAAAAUUGUUACGUGUUAAAUACUAUAAUGGUGUUAUAAAAUAAUAUAAAUUAUAUCAUGUGACCUUACCUAACAACUAAAUUAUUAGGUUGAGAUUUUUUAUGACAUAGUAUCAAAGUUUUGAUGAUUAAGCGAUCACGAGUUAGUAUCUUAUCAUCCUCUCUUUUGUUUGAUAAAAAAAAAAAUCAAGCACAAGAUAGUGUGAACCUAUAUAAAUUUUAAGUCUAAAGAACUUUCACUUGAGGAGUGUAUUAGAGAAUGGUAUAAAUUAUAUCAUAAAAUCUCACUUACCAAUUUAAACUAUUAAAUUAAAAUAAUUAUUUGAUAAAUCAAUAUAAAUAUAUUUCAACCAAUCGCAGCCACCAUGUUGACAAACCAGCCCUUACAAUAAUUCACACGUCUUGAUUUUGAUUUUCAGCGGUGCCAAGAGUAAAUAAUUUCAUGAUCCAAUCGUAUGUGAAAAUCUUGAUUCAAAUUUCACUCGGCAGCCGGCGCAUGAGAUCACGAGUGGCAUUUUACGUGUCUUCAAGAACAAUCCAUUUGUUUCACUAUCAAAACAAAUUUUAAAUUUGAAGCAAUCGAGAGUCUACCAUGUAAAUGUGCAUUCCAUGAAUCCAAAGAAACUACAGGCAACGUAUCGCAACACUUGUUGACAGAGUAUUUCCUUGGACCUUUAUGUGCUCUGUUUUAUUCACCGAUGCUCUGUUUUGGAAGCUCACCGGAGGUAAAGUGACCCAUGGCAGUCAAAAAUUCAAACCCUAAGAAUAUGAAAGGUCUAUGCUCUAUCUUUUCUAGGGAUUGAAAGGUCUAGAUUGAAUAAGGACAUCCAUUUUCAAAUUUUUUAACCCAUGACUAGAAAACAACACCUCCUACAACAGGGGCCCUUCCUUCGAAAUCCUGACAUUAAACUGACAAAAUAUAGCAGCCAGAGAGACAACAACCUUUCUCCAGUAUCCCAACGCACACCAUUUCCCAUGUAAAAAGAAACUUCACAAUCAACAAAAUUAUUUAAUAGAUCUCAUAUUUUUAUUAGAGGGCAGAAUAACGCCUCAUAAACACACACUGAAAUAUAUGAUAAUCUUCUCAAUUAUCAUAAGAUAAUAACAUGUAAACUAUAACCCGGUUCACAUUUUCUUAAAAAAUAAUGAACUAGUCACUCUAGUCCAAAAAUCCCAUAUUCAGCCCUCCUUUAAUAUUGCCUUUCAACCAGAAAAUGCAUUUUCAAAUAAAAAAACAUUUUUAAAAAAAAUCACUACUACACUUUUAAAAACCCCUAAAUCUUUAUUAUUUCACACCCGUUUAUAAAAUCCUUUUUUUUUUUCAAUCUUUUUGUUAUCCUCUGCCGAGAUAUUACUUUAGCUAUCAAUUGAAAAGGCAACGGAAUUGGCAAAUGUUUAAGAAGUUGACGGUCGGGGACUAAAAUAUAACUCAUAAAAAAGAGGGACUAAGCUAUUACUUUCUUAAGAAAACAAGGAGUAAGCUAUAGUUUACUUAAUAACAGAUUCACCUAAACGACCCCUCUUCUAUCACCAACCAAAACAUUAAAGCGGCUUACAUUUUUAACCUUAUAAGACAUUAUCAACAGACAAGAGUGGGUGUAUGUCUAUGUGUACAUGUGUUGUGGUCUGUAUGUUGAAUACUACUAGUUAUUGAAAGACAGAGGGAAAAUGGGAAAGCAAGACAAGUUUAGCUGCUACAUUUGAAAAGGCUUGUAAUUCCCUUGUUGGCACGUAUCUGCCUGCCAAUUGCCACAUGAUGGUCAGUGACUCAGCAUCAUUGAUUAACUGCUUUGGCUCACAGGCCAUUGUCACCCGUUCUUUGUUUUUCAAGUCCUUUUCUAACUCCCAAAAAACUCUCUUUAAUGGCAGUAACAUUAAAGGGCAAUGAGUAAUGACUACUCCCAUAAUUUGACCAAAGGAAACUUUUUAUUAUUAGUAGACGAGGGGACUAGGGUUGUGUUCGUUUGUUCCUUUGUUAUUAGUAAAUGAAAGGACAGACAGAGGUUACUGUUUCUCAUUUACCCAUUUGAGUUCUUCAGCUUGUGGUGGGAGGAAGACUCGGUUCAUGUGCUUCUGUUUUCAAUUUUCAAGAACUACCCCAGGUACUUAUAUUUCUGCUGCUACUACUGCUACCGUGGUUUUUUUUUUUCCUUGCUUGUGUCAGUGCAAUUUUUGUGAAGGUUGGUAGUAAUCCGUGGAAAAUUGCGUUUGGUGGGGGCAUUUGGUGAUUUUCCAUGGAUAUUCAACAAGUGUGAGUUUGUAUGAACUCAGCUUCUAAUUUUGUUCUGUAUUCAGUGAAAAUGAUGAUGAAAAAGAAGUUGUUUUAAGUAUUGGAUUGGUAGUUGAUGAAAGUUUUUUGAAAUUAUGUUUCCUGGUUUCAAGUUCGCUGUGAAAUGUGUAAAACAAUGAUUCAGUUUUCUCUCUUUAGAUUUCUUUUCUAGAAUCUGGACGGGAGUUUGAAAUUAUAAGAAUUUGUAGAAGAUUCAACAUCCAGAUAUGAUUUCUGAAACUGGAUGGAGAGAAUUAUAAGGACUCAUUAACAAUUCUUGAGACAAUUUAUCAUUUUCAAUUUGUUUUUUUGAAUGUUUGAGAACUAUAUUCUAAGGCAAUUAGAAUGCUUGCAAUCUGUCUAUAAAGUUUUGUUUUUUCUGUACUUUACACAUAUUUCUUUCCUUGCUCAGAUUCAAUGCUGGCAUAUCGGUGAUGCUGUGAUUGGAUGCAUAUUACACACCAUGUCUACUAGCACUAAUUCUCAUAUCAUGGAAAGGAGGUCGCCGAGGAGCCCUUUGCCGAGGAGCCCUUUUCCGAAGAGCCCAAUGCCACAGAGUCCUGAAUUCUAUGAAAAAUACAAGUCUAAAUGUGCAUAUGGCUUAAUUAACAUCUUUCUUUUCCGCCAACGUCAAUCAAAGAAGCUGAUUUCUGAUAAGGCAGUUUUGAAGAGACAUGCUGUUGGUAAGAAUUCUUUGAUUUAUGUUGUAUUAUAAUAACCUGACAUGAUUUAAUGGGUUCAGUCCUGCGACUACAGAAAUGCAGAAAAUUGCAGAGGAAGAUAUGCCCAUCAAGCAGCAGAUAAAGAAGACCACUGCAAAAGUGGAACAUGUACAAUCUGAUACUGAACUUGCUGGUGACUCAUCAACAAGCCAUAGAAAAGCAAUCAAGGCUGCUCGGAAACCUCGUCGUUUACCUAUUUAUGGUUGUUAUGAUGUAGCAACCAUGGGGCAUGCAAAAUCUGUUCAUGAAAAUUCAGCGGAUGAUUCUUCAAAAAAGUUGGAAUCUGCAGUGACCAAAGAAUCACUUUCCAAUCAAGUGCAACCUAGAAACGAAACCGAUUGUAACUGUAGAAGUAUCCAACAUGGAAAGCAUGGCCAAUCUAAGGAGAUCAAUCUUCAGGUUCGCGUGAAUGAAGCUGCUGAAGCUUUUAUAAAUCAGAAGUUGAUUGAUGGAAAACACCUCAGCACAGAUGGGGCAGAUGACCAGUCUAAACAUUUCAUGGAUGCACUAGAGAUACUGAAUUCCAACAAGGACCUGUUCAUAAAACUCCUACAAGACCCCAAUUCUCUACUGGUGAAACAUAUUGAAGACUUGCGAGACUCUCAGGAAAAAGUGCAGCAGAUUAAAUCUUACCCCGAAGAUAAAUUGCCAGAACAACACAAAAAUGAUUCAAGGGAAUGUGAAAGGACUGACUGUACCCGAAACUUCAACUCCAUUGAUAGAUACCUGUCCAAGGGAACUGGUGAUCCUCAACCCUUGGAGACAAUAGUAGUUUUGAAGCCUGGCUCUGCGAGCUUGCAAAACUGUGCGGAUGGAAUCAGUCAUGACUCUCCACCAGUUCAUUAUAGGUUAAAAAAUGUGCAGCAGAGUGUUAAACCUUCAUUUUUUCCCCUUGUCAAAAUGAAAAGAAAGUUGAUGCAUGCUAUGCGGGUGAGCAGGAAAGAGCAGCAGUUGAUGUUGACUGAUGGUGCAGUGCAGAAGUCCAAAUAUAUUUUCCAAGAGAGUGAAAAAUGUGGUGGCGGAGGUGUGGAUAUUAAUGAAAGAAACUCACCAGGUGAAACCUCUUGUUAUUUAGGAAGAACAACCAUGGAUGUCAGGAGUGAAGACCAGAUGGACAAAGUGGAAAUAAUUGAAUCUAGUGUUAGAGAGGAAGCUGCUACAGCCAGUAAAAAAGGUCAUGAAAGCUCAAGAUUUUCAAAUCUCAGGCAUUCCAAGGAAACUAACAAUGACAAAUAUGUUGAGACAAGGGUACAUCUAUCUGACUUUUUAAUGAAUGAAAAUGUGAAUCUUUCGAGAAAGCAGAGACCAAAAACCUGGGAUGGGAUGAGUUCUCUUCCUGAAAUUGAAUUCUUUCCUAUGGCCGGUCCUAGAUGUCAAGCGGAGCAUGCCCGUGUCACUCCACAAAUGAGAUUUUCUCCCUAUAGCAGUUAUCAACCGGUGAACAAGAACAAGUGGAAUCAGAGUGAACAGAGAAACAACUCAAGUCCAACCCGGAAGAAUUUAGAGGCUCCACCAUGGGCCAAUAAUAAAAAAUGUGAGGAUCAAUUACAUAUCUUCGAGACAGAGAAAACUAUUUCAGACAAACUUGUCCCUGAUGUCAAAGAGGAUGAAAACAUCUCUUCUCUUGAAAAUGAUUCUAGCCCUAGAGGUGAGCUUUUGUCAAUUUAAUCUUCAUCAUGCUUGUAAUUCUGUUUGGUAUAAGCAGUACAUAAUUUUCUACAGUUUUCACCAAAAUAAUAGGAAAAAGGGACAGUAAAAUUUCAGAAGAAUGUAGUCCCUCCGGCGUGCCCUCCAGACUAGAUGGCUCGCACAAUAGCGAUGCUAAUGAAAGCACCUGUACUGCAAAUACAACUGACGAACAUGAAUCCUCAAAAUUCUUUAGACUGGUAAAUGACUGUUUCCCCUGUCUAUUGAAUUGUUGCUGUCUUUCAAUUUGUUUUGAUAGCUCUUUCAGUUUGCUGGUUUCCUGCUAUUUGAUGUGCCCAUUUGCAUCAUUUCCCUGCCAAUUUUCUCUUUCAGGAUUCAUCUGCAGAUAAUCAGAUGUCACCAUCUUCAACAAGUGAUUAUUUAUCAAGCCCUUCAACCAUCCAGAGGGUUGAAGACUUGGAAAAGGCCAAAGAGAGAGCAGAGCAGCCAAGUCCAGUAUCUGUCCUUGAGCAUUUUUUCAUGGAAGAUAUGAUUACUAGACCUUCAAGCCACGCAUCGCGGCCUGGUAAGCUCUUAUGUUAGGGAAUUAUUACAUGUACUUUUUCCUGAUUUUGCAAUCUUGUUGACACAAUUAAAGUUAUGCAGCUGAACUAUCAGCCCUGCCACUAAGAAUAGGUAAUGAGGAAGACUAUUUGGCUGCUCUUGUUCACUCCCCUUUGGAUCUGAAGAUUAAUUCAAGCACUUCUUUGGAAGAGCUAGGAUCCGUGUUUGAGUGUAUAGGUGCAGUUUUGAGAGCUUCUGGCUUUAAUUUGGAUGAUCUCUCAUCAAAGUGCCAUGGUGAGUCCUGUGGUGGUCGUAAGCUCGUUUGUGAUUAUUUUGUCGAAGUCCUUCUAGAGGUAUACCAGAACUACACGAGAAGCUCCCCUUGGUUGUCAUUUGUCGAACCAAAAGUUCGACCUGUUACAAUCGCAGAAAACAUGGCUCAACAAGUGAUGAAACAUGUUGAACGGAACAUACUCUUACAGCCACCUUCACAAACAUUAGAUCAUCUUGUUGAAAAGGACUUGACCAGCUCUGUGACAUGGUUGGAUGCCCGGAUUGAUGCUGAAUAUGUUGUUAGUAUGAUAGUAGAAAGUGUUCUAGAAGAAGUGAUAAUGGAGACUGCAAUUGAGUAGGUAGAUAGUAGUAGAAUUCUCCGUUGCUUGUGUGUUUUGGUCAAAAUUGCACAACAGAAUUCUGCCAGGCAGCUUGAGCAGGUUAACAUAAUCGGCUUUCUACAUUCUAGAUCGCGCAAGUAAAUGUUUGCACAUCUUCAAAAGGAUUUUUUUAAGAAUUGCAAAGCCGGGAUUGGACAAGAAUGGAGGGAGUUGUGUUAACUGACUGGCAGUUGGUCAGAGGCACUGGCGAAACCAUGGCAUGCAGCUCCAACUUCCUGCAUAUAGUAGAGUUUAAACUGAACCUUCGACAGCCAUCAAUUAUAGGACUUUCCUUCGGUUAAUUGUAAAGAUAAUCAUACUGGACAUAUACCUUCGUCGUACACUUCCGAAUGCUUCGUGGAACAUCAUAACCAGUCAGAUAAGCUGUUUUGAAUACUCUUAUGACAAGUCUGUUCCUUUUUCUCGCAUGCCAAGACAUGCGUGGUGCUUAUAGAAGUUGUUCAGUGCGAUUGGUUUGCUCGUGUAAGGCUAUUUAUUAGCGUACUUUUCUUGGUAUUUUGAAUUAGCAAAAUUUUCCAGUCAUAGGGGUCUCAAGUUUGUACCAGCUCAUUUCAUUUCAUUUGCUUCGCCUACUUCAAGAAGGUUUCACCACUGUUUGAAACCACUACGUCCAUGUCUAGUUCUUCUGUCCAUGUACAAUUAAGCAGUUUAGAAUGCUAUAAUGUUAUGAUAAAUUAUCAUUGUCUACUAUGCCUAUAAAGCACAAUGAUUUGCAAUAAUCCUCUAAAAGCACAGCACAGGUAGUUUGCUUGCGAUAGAUAAAAGUGCGAAUCUUCUAAUUGAUAAGUCGACUAUCAGUAUUGAUGGCAAGUUCAAGGAAGAUAACACAGAUGUUAACUGAAAACAAAAGCAUUUUGCUGCAUAAAGAGACCAAAACUGAACAGGAAAAAAAGUGAAGAGAGCAUUGUCUUGUGUUCCAUUUAUAAUCUAAAGGAAUGAAUCAGCAAGCAAAUAUUUGUUUGAACAAACAUCCAUUGCAUUUGUAGCACUGUCUUGUAUUCGAUUUAUAACCUAAAGGAAUGCCAUGCAAAAACAGACGAUGGCCAUUUGGAAGAGGAGGGCAGUGCUUAUUUUCCCCAUGUCAUGAAAUCACAUCACACUACCGACUAAUGGAGUCGCUUGUGGAAGAAUGAAGCUAUACAUGUAUCUUAGCAAGCUCUUGACAAAUAAUAAAUUAAAUCAAUAAAGUCUUGAAAUAAAUUAUCUUCCGGAAGACAUAUGCCUAUAAGAAACACCGAAGAUAGAAACCAAUUCCAGAAAAGAGGGGGGGAAAGCCAAGCCAAAAGACAAAAGCAUCCAAGAAACUAUUAGCAGAGGGAGGAAGAUUAAAAAGAUUAUAACAGUCCCGCCAUUGCUUGCAAUUUUUUUCUCAGUCGUGAGAUGUAAUCCUUCCAAAGGAGGUAAGUGUAAAUAGUAAAUACAAUUUCAUGAUAAAGCAAGCAAUACCACACUUUUCAUAAACAUCAACAAGGGAUCUGACCAAUCGUUAAAGCUAUUCUAAUCGUCGAUCCAUUUGUCUUUACGAAGCAGUCUGGAGCUUUUGGUAAUGUUGAGCUCAUUCAAGAACCCUUUCAAUCGAGCGCUCGUAGGUUCAUUUACCAUUGCAGCAUCAUAUCGUCUUUGCAAGUGACGAACCCCUUCCAUCAGUCCUCCUUUGGAGGCAUGGUAGAUAAAACAAUGCUCACCAAAUAACAUGUGCUACUUUGAGGCAUUGGAUCAUUUGCUAUAUGGGAUGUUUUCCCAGUUGGUUCAUCAAACUCCUAUAGCAAAUUGUUUGGUGGGAAAUAAGUUUUAUUAGGAGGUCAUUUUGACAAAUUCUGUUCUUCGUCAUGAGCAGCACCAAAGAAGAGAUUAUUCACGCUUCUGUAAGCAACUCAUCACUCUAGUCGUAUUUUAGGGUCUGUACACUUCAAGAGAGAGUAUGCGUAUUUCAUUAAAUGGUCUCCGCGAUUACCAAAGGCAUGAACUUCGCAAAUUCGCUGGAUAGAUUGGUUAGAUUGGUGACAGAAAGAUCUGUGACUCACCAGCAUCAGAUGAUUGUGAUUAUACUUUUAUUAAGAUGCUCAUGAUCUAUUAAUUGACGUUGGAUAUGGUUCGAUCUUAUUUGCAAUUAUCGCGGCUGUUUAUCCCGAUAUAGAGUGUGUUUGGUAUUACGGUAGCUGUUGUGGUUAUGGUUUGAAAAAAGUUGUUUUAUAAAAAGUAUUUUUAAUUGAGGUUGGUUUGAAAAAAUAGGUGUUUGGUUAAAACUGUGGUUGAAAUUGAGGUUGAAUAAAAAGUAGUUUAAUGUGUUUGGUUAAGAAUGCUUUUGAAAUUAAAAUUAUAAAAUAAUAAUUUUAAAAUAUAUAUAUAUAUUAAUAUUGAUGGUUUUUAAUUUAAAUGUUGUAGAUUUAACUAUUGUUAUUAUUUCAUGAAAUAAAUAAUACUUUAUAUGAAAUAUUUUUUAUUAUUCCAUUAAACCAUCUACAAUUACAUUACGUACAAAAUUCAUCCGACAAGAACUAUAAUUUCUAUAAUUUUUUAAGCAUGCAAUAAAAUUAGAUAAAAUAUUAUCAGGAAUAAAAUUGAUUUGAUAUUACAGUGCGAGUGAAUUUAAUUCACUCUACACUAGUUUUUCAGGAAAAAAAAUAUUGUUUACAUGGCAAUACAAGUAAAUUUAAUUUACUUUAAACUAGUUUUUUUUUUUUUUUAAUGUACAAAAAAUAAAAAAAAAUCACGCGAGCAGUGCAAGUGAAUUGUACUGUGCACAUAAUUAGCCACUAAUCGUUCCAACCACAGGUUGAAACUAGUGAAAAAAGCAGGAUUUUAUUGCUUCGCCAAAAUCGUGUUCCUGCCGCUAUAAAUGAUAGGGCCCACGUUUUUUUAUUUCUUAAAAAUCAGUAACCAAACGUUUUAUAAAUGCGUUUUUAAAAAAACACAACCGUUAACGCGUUGCCAAACCGAUUCAUAGCAACUUCAAGUCUUGAUCAUAUGUGCUUCAAAGAACGAGCCAUUAUAACGUCGAAGAAUGUUGCAGUCAAUGUGAUCAUUGCAAUUGAUUUGACACUCGGAGAUAUACAUGUCUGCUCGUGGGUUUACGAGUUUCGUUAAAAGUUAUUUUUAAAGUUUUUUAUUAUUUAAAAAUAUAUUAAAAAAAUAUUAUUUAAAAAAAUGUUUUUUUUAUAUUAAUACGUUUUAAUGAUUUAAAAAUAUUAAAAAAUAAUAAUUUAAAAUUAAAAAAAUUAAAUGUUUUUAAAAAAAUGAUUAGCAUAUCAUUCAAUAAAGCCAUGAUAUUUGUAUUUGAUUGAGUUUACAAAUCAAUUGGCUUUUAGGGGUGUGCUUCCCCAUAAAAUUUCAUUAAAAACAGGAAUGUCAAUCAUGAUGCUUUAAAUAAUAAUAAUUAUUAUUAUUAUUAUCAUUUUAAUGUAAAAAUAUUAAAAAUAAAUAUUAAAAAAUAAAAAAUAUAUUAUUUUAAUAUAUUUUAAAAUAAAAAAAUAUAUACUAUAAUAUUAAACAUACAUUAAAAACUUUUAUUACCUCAUAAUUCAUUGAGUCGAGUAUAAGUUUAAUGACAAACUUAUUCUAAUUUAUGAUAUGUCGCUUUCUUUUGAUUUUGUGAACUCAAGACACAUCAAAUCAAUAACUUAUUAUAUUUUAAUAUUUAUUUAAUUUUUUAAUUUCAUUUGUAGGGUGAAACUUGAAAAAAUUUGAUUUUUUAUAAGUUCUUUUAAUUGAAAGAAAAAGAAAAUAUUUCCAUUGAGGUAAUUAUUAUGAUUUCAUCUAUAACACUUAUUUUUGUUACUAUAAAAAAUACCAUCAUUAAAAAAAAAUACCCUCGUUGUUAAUUUUAAUUAAAAUGGAAGUUUAAAAAACAUCAUUGUUUCAUGAAAAACAAUAAUAUAUUUUAUUCAUGUAUUUAAAUAAACAUUUAUUACUUUAUUAGUGUAUGAAAACCUGCACAUUCAUAGGAACCCGACUUUAAAUUGUGCUCUUUUAAUAAUAAAAAAAAAAUGCAAGAUUUUAUUGCUUAUAUGGCUAAGCAUCUUAUCUCCACUUCUCUUUCAUAUCAUCACCUUUUUUUCUUUUUCUUUUUGCUCUUGUGGCCUUUCUCACUGUUAUUUCAAGUGUUCAUGGGCCACAAAAUUUUCAGGAAGUUAAUUCUCAAUAUGUAUGAAAAUGAGUUAUGAAUGAUAAAUUUCAAGCUCUGGGUUGGAAUCAAACUUAAAGUAUUGUCAAACUUCCCAGAAAAAAAAACAAGUAUGCAGUUGACAAACAUAAGGUAUUUCUUGUGGUCCAGGAACUUAACAAACUUUUGAAGUGGACUACAAGGAAAUUGUUGCUCUUAUUGGUAAGAUGAACAUUAUAUGUGUUCUAUUAUCAGUUGCUAUAAAUAAUGGAUGGUCAAUAUGUUAAAUGGACAUCAAGGAUGCUUUCUUGCACGGGAAUCUUGACGUUGAGGACUACAUGAAAUUAGCACCUGGUCAUCUUCAAAGUCAAGAUCCUACCUUGGUGUGUUAACUUCACAAAUUAAUUUACAAACUGAAACAAUCUAUGCGUGCUUGGUUUCAUGAGGAGUAAUCCCGGCUCAUUUUUCUUUGUCCAUCUUGGACCUAAAGAGACAUUGGUGUUCUUAUCUAUGUUCAUGAUCUUAUUAUUAUAUGAAAUAAUACUGUGGCUAUUUAUCAUCUCAUGUCCACACUUCAACAUCAAUUUCCUAAUAAAAAUCUCCACAACUUGAAGUAUUUUUUCAGAAUUGAAAUGACAGUUUCCCAUUAAAUUGUUAUUGCUUAACCAACAUAAAUAUAUUUUUUACUUGUUUAAAUAUGCUAAAAUGAUGGAUGCCUAGCUUGAUUCUACCCCAUUAGGUAAUAAAUUGAUGCUUGAAACAGUCAGUAAGCCUCUUCAGUCUAUUAAAUCAUUACCAGCAUCUUGUGGGUAAGCUUAUUUACCUUAUUAUUACUCAACCUGACAUAACAUAUAUAGUUAGUCUUGUUAGUCAACUCAUGCAUGUGCCUAUUGUCUUUCAUUUGAGUAUUGUCAAGUGCAUCUUGCGCUAUCUUGAAGGUUUUAUUAGAAGUGGAAUCGUCAUGAUUAAUAAUAAUCAUACUCAAAUAACUGAAUAUAGUGAUUAAAAUUGGACUAGAAAUGCUAUUGAUCAAAAUCAGCCAUAAGUUAUUAUAUGUUUGUUGGUGGUAAUCUUGUCCACUGACAUAGAAAAAAACAUGGUGCACAAUAUAGUGUUGAAGCUAAACAAUGACAUCUUAUGCUUGUAAAUUAAUUUGGCUUAAAGUCUUCUUACUGAACUACAAUCCUCAAUUAUUUUUUUUGACAACAAGUCAUCAUGUAUAUUGUUGUUAAUUCAGUAUUUCAUGAAAAAACAAAAUACAUUAAGAUUAAUUAUUAUUUUAUUCAUCUACAAGUUUAGUCCUAAAUUAUCAAACACAUUACCCCCGCAGUCAUUAUAGAUAGGCUUGUUGAUGUGUUCAUCAAGGUCUUGUCCUCUACUCACUUUCAUCAUUUAUUGUCCAAGCAUGGAUCAAUUAAUCCCGUUGAUCCAACUUCAGGGGGGAUAUGAAAGGAAAGCCUAAAUUGUUCCCGUUAUUAUUGGCAUUUGUUAUGUAAAUUAGGUGUUAUGGAUUAGCAUAUUUGUAGAUAACGAUAAGACCUAGUUGUUCCAAAUUGUUGUCUAAAUUGCAGGAGUAACAUGUGGUUGUUAGUAUAUUUUCAAUUUAAUUUGUAUUCUGCACACGUAAAGAUUGAUGAUUGUUCAAAUAAAGUAGACUCUAAUAUUUCAAAUUUCUUCAGAAGACUUCAGCAAAUCCAUCAGCUUUCUCAAUGAGCUCAUCGAUCAACUGGAAUGGAAGCAAUUGACUCAUCUUUGCUAUCACCAAGGAGGGAUACAUGUUGGUACCCACGCCAGGCCCGGGCCCAGUCUCUUUGCCAAUUGCAAGUUGAUCAGCAGUGAUCAUUUUAACAUUGACACCAAGGUCAAGUGCUCGCCAGAUAGUCUCAGCGCUACCAUGCCUUGGAGGGUCAAAAAGUAGCAAGUAACUUUGGUGAUGCAGACUGGUAUAAGCUUUUUUGUCGAUCCCUCGUAAAUAAUAUGUUCUAUAAUGUUUGUGCGUGUACUAUGGCUCUCGAGAACAUCUUCAUACAGUACUCAAAACUCGUACUAAAGCUAGAACACUUUCUUUUCUUGGCCGCUUAUAAUGAUUGACAGCAAUAUUUUCGGGGUGUCUCCGAUGCUAGCUGGUCUUACAUGCUCUCUUUUUUCUUUUAAUGGAAAAACUUGUCCGGGCUUGAACUACCUAAGCUAGCUGAUCUUACACGUGUUUUACAUGUCCCCCCCCCCCCUCUUAUAAUGGAAAAACUAGUCUGGACUUCAACUACCUAUGCCAGUGUUAUACACUUGCUGUGUGGGUGAUGGAGAAACUAACUCUGACCUUAACCAUCUACAAUAUACAUUGUUUCUUCAUGUUCUUCUUUUAUAAUGAGAAAUCAGAUCGAUAAACACAGUUUGGCCCUUGAAUUUGCAGGUGUACAACCCCCCACGCGCUAAAACAAUCCAACUUUAAUGGAAUUUAUCUGCAUGCCUUUACUUUUCUUGUCAUCUAUUUAUCUUUCCGAAGUCGACUGCCAAGUGCCAUGAGCAGCAGCCCACGUAACCUAUCUGAAUUUUCUCUUAGCCAAUGAUGUACUACUAUGUUCUACUAUAAUAUAUGAUUGGCUUCUACAUGUGCUCUCACCACUUAUCACUUUAUCAGCAGUGCAGUGGACGAACUGGUGUUGGUUUUAAAUCUUAACUUCAUUCUAUCACCGGGCCAGCUUUUCAGACACUGGUAUCGGGUUUUAGGCAAGCCGUUAUUGGUGAAUUCACAUACUGCAUUCUAGCAUCAAUUAAUCUCCACUAAAAUUGACAAUCAAGAAGGGGAAGUUUUAGUCAAAUGGAUUUUGGGAAUUUAAUAGACUGUUAAAAAUACGUUGGUCAAAUACUCAUUCUAGUGCAGAGUCCACGCUAAAUCAUUGAAGAAAAUACAGAUGUUCAGAACAAGAGCAUUUUCUGUUUAUUAGACUGCUCUACGUGGAGGAAAUUCUAUGUUCUAUAGCUGUGAUCUACAAAGCCUUCCACGACACGGAAUUUUACAAAUGAAGCAGUGAAUUCUAACCACACUGUCAUCGAUUUGAGAAUAAGUUUCAACAUUUCCCAGCAACUCUUCGAAGGGCUUGUUUGAUUGUGCCAAUGGAUGCAGCAUUCAAUCCCUUGUGCUGUAAUAAACAUUAUGACAUUACUUAAGGAAUCAUGGUUAAUAAUAAUCAACAAGUUAACCUCGAUGAUAUAAAUAGAUGGUCACUUCCAUUGUGCAAUCUUGAGUUCAUACCUUUGAUUUGAUAGUCAGAGAAAGGAUCCCGUCCAUGGUAGAUGAUUGAACCGAGUGAGAAUCUAAAUGGAGAUGACUAGCUACAUCCAUUAUCUCCAGCAAUAUUCCCUCCCUCCAAAGACACUUGAUCUCGAUUAGAACAUCCUCUUUAUUCACGCUGACAGUUAUACUUUCAGCUGAACCAUCUUUUAAUACAUUAUGGUUGAUAUCUGGCUCCAUUUCAUCAAUGUCUGGAGCCUUCCUCUUAUUUGUCAACGAAUGUUUUCCAUUUCCAAUCUUAUUGCUGCCAUAGUUAUCAGAUGUCCUCUCCGCAGUAUCUUGGGGUUUUCUUUUGGUAAGAACCUCCAAUAGCUCCCUAUUAGAUCCCAACUCUUCAACCUUUCUUUCAAGCUCUUGAAGGUAUUCGAUGGUCUCAUCUAGUAUAGAUACUUUAUCAACCUGCACAAACAAUGAAAAAAUUAACCUAUGGCUCCCAGUUCAAGACCAAUUAACUCUUGGGAACUAAUUCUUAACUACCUUGCUGAUUGAAGGGACAAUUGAUUUCAGAAUCAUAAACCUUUUAUUCAGCUUUUCUCUUUGCUUCCUCUCAGAUAAUGCAUGGCUUGCACCAUUUUCAUCAGCCUCUGGCCUCCCUACUACAACUUUAUUGCUAUUAUAUUCUGGAGAGUCAAGCAAGCCAUCAACAUGCAUCCGAGGAACUUCAAGUAGUAUCUUCUUUAGUACUUUUUGUCGAGUUCCACUUUUCAAUUUGUGAGGAUGCACUGAUCCUGCUUUCCUCCAACUGACAAAGCUCGAUUCCUGGUGACAAUUCUGGACAUCGGGUCCUAAAAUCAAUGGAUUGGAGGUCUUUAAGAGACAUGAGAGAACACUUUGAUAAUGAAAAUCUUCGCUUUGAAGGUCCAAUGAAGUCAGCUUCGUGUGAUUGCAGCCUUGAACAUCCAGAAGAUUCUGGUUAUUUACCUUCACAUUCUUCAAAAUCGGAACAACCUUCACAGGAUCUACAAUGGUUUGAGAAAUGCAGUCACUAGAAUUCAAGGAAUGAUGGACACUGUGGUCAUCAUCCAUGAACUGCAAACUUUGCAUUUGGGAAGCUCCUCCAUUUAGCCCUUCAACCAUAAUCGAAUCUGCAGCCGGCUGAUCAUUUGAAUUGCGGUUAGGGGAAGAUAUGUCUAGUUCUCCACAUCCUAUAACUGGAAUCGGUUUGGUGUCAAGUGUUUCACGAUUGAAGGUGGCACAUGCAAGCUCUUUGUCACUUCUUGCACUAGAAUUCUUGGCAGCUACUGCGUAUGGGAUCUCCAAGAAUGAUGUUUUUAUGUGAUUAAUGAGACUUGGGUCCUCCAAAACCUUUAGAAAACAAAUUACAAUGAAGCAACAUGACUAGAAUUGGCGAAUGUAGUGGUGUACAGACAACUAAUCUGUAGUUGGUUAUACUCUAAAUUGAGAUCUGACAGAAGUAUUUACCUGCUCAGUCACACCCAGCUCAAUCACACCUCUCAUAAAUUGAAAGCAAACCACGGUCUGAAAGUUUAAACAGGAAAGUUUGCUCAGAUUUUGGUAUAAUCCAUUUAUGCUGGUUCUUAAAUAUUCUUUCAUAGAGGAUGUAAUGCAUUCAGUAAAAAGUGCAGUGUUGUGUGCCUGAGCCUAUAAUAUACUGGAAUUCUACUAGGAAAUAGGUAGAAUUGGCACCUGAAUUGAUGCACUCUGAGGGUUAUGUCGCCACAAUUCCCAUCAUAGAACAAGAGACAAAAGGAUUAAAAGGAAAAAAGGUAAGUUUCUUUUAUCAUUUUGAGUAUGUCUAACGGGCACAACUUUUAUUCAGAAAUGAAAUAAGAUCUCAGAAAGGAAACAGAAUCCUGACCUUAGCUAGCAGAGAGCGACUGAAUACUUUACUAUCUGCAGAAUGAGCAUUGCAUAGCCAAGUAGGAUGACCAUUUGCUAAUGUUGUUCCUGGCAAGCUAUGAACACAAUUCAAAGGAAGAAUUAACGACAUUUGAACUCUAAAAACGAGUAAAUUGAAAGGCCUGGUUCAGAAAAAUGGUAAAGAAAAUGAAGUUACCCUUGGCCGAUGUCGAAUAUGAAGGACAUGCAAACCAAAUAAUACCACUCUGUAUCAGUGAGAUCUUCUGGAGAUAAUGCAGCUGAAGGUCUUCUAGCUUGUGGACUGGCUUCACCAACUGAAAGUGACUCGUAGAGUUCUCUUAAUUGCUCACUUCUCUGUAAACCCAAUUCAUCUUCAUCAAGCUCUAUGGAUUGAAUUGUCUUCCUUGUUUUAAUAUCUCCGUUGUAGUACCCAUCACCCCACUCCAACAAUCUACAAAAUUCACAUUUACCAGUGAUAAGAACAUGAACAAAUAAUGCAUGAGAGCUAUAAGCAUGAGCAGCUCAUAUAUGAUCAUAGUGUUCAUGGCUAUAAUCAACACACAAACAAAUAGACUGCCCUUUCUCUCAGGGCGGGCAAAAAAAGAAAUGCUUAUCAUAAAUGCUAUGUUCUUUUGUUGGGGAAAGGUAAAUACAUCUUCAAAGAAAGGAACCAUGAGCCAUCUUGAUAGAUGUUCUGUAAAAUGUGGACAAUGAAGUUUUAGAAAGGGGUCGAUUCCUUUAAAGCUAAGCCUAAAGUUUAAUUCAUGAAGCUAAAAAUGCCAAUUACAUGUCAAAAUCAUUACCAUUUACACAAUUCUUUACACAAAAACCAGAUUUCACUCUAACCAUAGAAGAUCAAACAUAUUACACUCUUUCUGAAAACUGAACUCCCUGCACCCAGUUCCAACAUGUAAAUGAACUCCCAGAAACUCAGCUGACCCACUUUCACAAAUACUACAAACAAAACACAGAAAAUUUUCUUUCACGAGAUUCUUAAAAUAUAUUUUAUUUCACUAAAAAAAGAACAAUCUCUAAAAAUAAAGUAAAAUAUUAGCACCGAUACACACAACAAAAAUUGAGGAGAUAUGGAAAGGUUUAGUUAGUACCCUGGUUGUCUUGCUGAAAUGGACCAGAAGAUUGCGUAGCUCCACUGAAUGCUCCUGACAGCAAGAGCAAGCUGUUUCUUGAGGUUCCCUGGUAGUCUCUCUUGGUUGUGGAGCUUAGUAGCCAUAUUUUAAGAUCAAGAGGAUAAAACUAACCACUUCUAUCAGAUCAGUCACAAAACAAGAAUCUUGCUUUGAACUUUAUUCUGUAUUUCUAAGCACCGGAAACUUCGACGAUGGAAUAUUCAGUAUCUUAAGAACCACAUGCUUAAAAUCUUGAUUCUUCAAUACCAAAAGUAGGUUUGUUCAAGAAAACAACAGAGACUAGAAACUCAGGGUUGGAACUUGUGAGAUUAGUAGUGAAGCCUGGAGGAUUAACCAAAGAGGAAGUUCAGCUCCUCGUUUUAUCAGAAGUGAAAAACAUACUAUUUUGGAGACUAACUAGACAAGUGUAGUAAUUAAGUUAUCUCCUGUUAUGAAACAAGAAACAAAACACAAACUUUGAUAAGGAAAGGGACAGUAAAUGGAAGUAGAAUCUUUCUUGGUUUCUACUUUCAAUCUUGUAAAUGGUAUCUUAAUUUAUUGCUCAGAAAAACAUUCUAGUGUAGCUACUAGCCUAAACAGAGUAAGCCCAGAAAGACAAAGCUCAUGAAUGUUGGAAAACAUACCCCUGCUUAUUUCCCUUCCUUUUUAAGCCCCAGAAAGACAAAGCUCGUGAAUGGUUGGAAAACACAAACCCACUUAUUUCCCUUCCUUUUUUCUUCUUUUUCAAGCUCUAAAAAACACAACAGAAUCGGUUUAAGAGCCUAUUAAAAGAUCUGGGUAUUCACUGACCCAGAAAACUGAGACACUUGGACCUACAAUACUGUCCACGCAAAACAACUUUCUUCUUUAUUGAACUCAACGAAAGUUAUUUUCACCAAAAAAACAGCUCAAAAAUACUUCUUAUGGUCGGCAAAUACUGAGAGGGAGAGAGAUAUACUAUAGUUUACUUUUAAGACAAAACGGCUCCAAGACAAGCAGUAUUCCAUGUGCAAAAUUUAAGUGCUUGAUUUUUGCUUCAUUUCUUCUUCAAGUGGAGAUCUUAAAACCACCCAAAGAAAUUUGCAGAGAACGAAUGAUGUAUUAUGAGAAGAAAGAUUUUCAUCCUUUGAAUUCAAAGUUCAUGCAAGUAAGGGAACAGAGAGAGAGAGAGAGAGAGAGCAGAUGGAGAGAUGGUGGGGCCCUGAGCAUUUAAGCAAUGGAGAGAUCAUCUUGUACUAACUAGUAACAAUAUGCUUUGAUAGUGGAAUUUCGUGAAAAAUGGAGUCUUAAGUAAGAAAAAACCAAGAAUAUUUAUUAUCUUCUUGUAAUAUAUGACUUUAGUGCUUUUUUUUUUCAUAAAAAAACAAAUAACCAAAACUUUAAUUAAUCGAAUGAUGAAAUUAAAAAUUAAAAGAACUUUAACAAAAGAUUUAAGGAAAAAAUUAAAAAUUAAAAAAAUAAACAUCAAAAUGAAAAAAAAAAUAUAUAUAUAUAUGAAAAUUUUGUAAUUGAAGGACUAAAUUGAAAAAAAAAUAUAAAAGAAAUAAAAAUAAAAUAAAAGAUAAAAAAAAGAGGACUGGAAUUGAAAAAUAAAAAAUAAAAAAAGAUAAUUAUGCACUUUAUUUAGUAUGAAAGAGAAAAUAAAAAGAAAAAAAAACGAUUAUUAAUGAUAAUCCGGUCACCAUACAUUGUCACAAACCACACCAUGUGGAAAAAGACAUAGUGGUGCAUGCAUAGAGAUGACGGAAGGCAAAGUUUGGUUAUCGGAUGGCGUCUAACACGCUGCUUCAAUUAUACAAACGUCAUCCACUUAUUGGCUCUCGCUGAGCAUACCAUAACAACUUUUUUAUUAAAAAAUUAAAAAAAUCAAUUUGAAAAUACCAAAACACUCUCAUGAAUCUGAUAAUUACUAAAAACAUCGUGUGAAAGUACAAAAACAUCCCAGAUGAAAACUUUAUUUUGUCUUUUCUAAAAUCAAUUUCAUGUUUUAGUUGUACAUGAAAAUUUAAAAAAUAAAAAAUAAAAAACUCUUAUCCAACAAUACAAUGUUUUUUUUUUAUAUUAGGGAUAAAUAAAUAUUUUUACUAAUUAAAAGUUUAUAAAAAGUUAAAAACAAUCUUUGGUCAACAACUUUAAAUCUUGUUCAUUUCAGGAUAAAAAUAUAUUUUUAUAAUAAAUAAAUAAAACCUUGGACAUCCCCCUAACAAUCUUAUAAUCACCAAGACACCUCCACUCAGGGGGGAAAAAAUAAUUUUACCAUAAUAACUGUGUCUAAUGCUACAGUAGAACACUCACACCCUUCCCACACAGUCACACACAUAUAAAUAUAUACACCCAUCAACCAACUUUUCUACGCUGCAUUGCGAGAGUAGGAUUAAAAGUUCAUUUUUAAUGUUAAAAAAAUGAAUUGACAUUGCUAUCAUUUGUUAUCAUUAUAAAAAAAUUAAUUAUAAAUUUAAAAGUUAAUGCGUGUACCGAAUAAAAUAAAUAAAAUAUUAUAUAUGAAAAGCGAGCUCCAAUGAAAAAAAAACAAACACAUUGAAAAUUGUACUUCAUUGCUUGUAUGCAGUCAAAGAAAAAAAAGAGUUAUCGCCAUAAAAUAAAAUUAAAAAAAAAAAACUAUUUAUUUUAAUAACAACAUUCAAGUCGGUGGAGUGUAAAACUGCAAAUCUUUUUCACCCACUCAAGAAUAUAUAAUUACCAAAAAGUGGCGUGCAUGAAGUAAGCAAGCGGUGUGGGGACCCAAGGCAAGAGGUCCUGGUUGUCGUGAAGGUCUUGAGUUGAAAAGGUAAAAAACUGAGUGGGCGGGUUCGUUCUUGUUCUUGAUUUUUAUUUCCUUUUAAGUUUUAAUUGAGCAUGUGUGUGAAAUACUUUAGUGUGAAAAUUUAAAUCAGGCCAACGAGAACAGGACGGCGUGAAUCCCUCUCCGUCAACAACAUCACGGCAUUGACCAGGGCUCAGCUUCACAAAUUAUUGGCCUGGAUCGCAAUUGCAUGUGUAUUAUCAGAACGAUGACGUCAUUGCCGCUUUUAUAUAUAUAAAUGACGUCCUCGAUACCCACUCCACACACAUACUGACACAUGCAAUAAUAUAUUAUCAUGCAUUAUUUAUUCUUUAUACAAUACAACAAGACAUGGGGUUUUUACUGCAGUGAAAACCCCACUUUGAACUUAUUUGUAUAAGUUUUUUAUUUUUUUAUGUAAUUAAUGUGUUUUAUUAAUUUUAUUUUUUAAUAAUAUAUUUGUUUUUAAAUGGUUAUUUCUCUCUUAUUACAUUAAUUAAUCCAAUUAACUCGGAUUUUUUUUUCUUAACAAUUCACUAAAACAUACAAAUUUUUCUAUUUAGCAAUUUAUAAUAAAAACCCAACUUUGACCUUAUUUGCACAUGUGCUUUGCUCUUGUUUUUUUUUCUUUAAAUAUUUUUUCAAUCAAUGUUUUUUUUAAAAAAAAUUAUCAUUUAAUAUCACUUUUUUUUUUAUUGGACUAUCUCACUCUCAUAAUACAAAUCGCGAGUUUAGUGGGUUAAUCUAUUUGACUCGGAUUUUUUUUUAAUUAAUUGUUUUUUUCAAUUUCAUCAUUUAAUAUUGAGUUGAAUGGAAAUUAUGCUUCAUAAUUUGUUUAGUUUGCUUUCUAUUAGGCUAUUCCAGCCUCGUGACCCAGGAAUAAUGCUUAAUAAAUUAACAUGAGUUUACUCUAGUUAUUUUUUAUAUUUUUUUUAAUUGAUUUUUUUUCAACUUUAUUAUUCAUUUUUGGGUCGGUUGGAAAUUGAUCUUCUUGAUCUCUUUUUAUUUGUUUUUUAUAGGGAUGUCAUGGUUUCAUAAAUGUGUGCACGAGUUUUGGCUUUUUAACCUAGUUAAAUCAAGUUGUUUUUUUAUUAUUAUUUUUUUCUUAGAGGUUAUCUCAUUUUCAUGACUCGGGUCAUGGGUCCUUCAACAUAUGAUUUAUUUUAUUGGGUUAUCCUCGUCUCUUGAUCUAGGUCCCGGGUUAAUCCAAUUAACUCAGUUUUUUUUUUCAAUUUCAUCAUUUAAUAUUGUGUUUCAUUAGGAAUUAAUCUUUGUAAUUUGUUUUGAUUUGCUUUUUAUUAGGUUAUCCUGACCUUAUAACUCAAGAAAAAUGCUUAACAGGUUGACAAUGUCGAUUGAGAAUUGAACUUCAUAAUAUAUUUUAAUGUAAUUUUUAUGAGAUUAUCUUAAUUUCAUGAUCAGAGCCGUGAAUUUGGUAGGUUAAAUUAGGUUUUUUUUUUCAUUUUCUUUCUAUGAUGUUUUCUUUAUAUCAUGACUCGGGUCAUGAGCUUGUCGGAUUAACUUGAGUUAUUGUUUUUAUUUUUUUAAUCUCAUCCUUCAAUAUUAUGUUGAUUGAAAAUGAAACUUUAUAAUUUAUUUUAAUUUUCUUUCUAAGAGGUUAUCUCGAUUUUCUAACAUGGAUCACAGGUUUGAUAGGUUAACUCGGUUCGUUUUUAUAGGUCAUUUUUUUAAUUGAUUUUUUUUUAAUUUUAUCUUUUAAUACUUGAUUAAUUGAGAAUUAGGCUUUAGAAUUUAUUUUGAAUUGUUUCUAUAGGGUUAUCAUAGUCUCAUAACCUGCAUCGUGGAUUCGACAUGUUAACUUGGGUUGAUCCAAGUCAAUCGAAUAUUUUAUUAUUUUGAUAUUAAAAAAAUACUUUUUUAAAAUAAUUUUAAAUUUGAAGGAAGAAUAAAUCGAAGACUAAUUUAAAAACUUGAAGGGUUAGUAAAAAAAUCAUGGAAGAAUGAGAAAAUUGUUUUUUUUUCAAAGUCACUAACAUCAAACUAGACUCCCGGUGAAUGAGAAUUUUUUUAUUUAAAAAAAUAAGUCUCUAACAUCGAACUAGACUCCCAAUGACCACAUGCAUGGCUCAAACAUGGAGGGGCCCACUUGCAUGCCACUUCUCAAGAGGUUUUUUUAAGAAGGAUAAAAUUAUAAAAAUAAAAUUAUUAUUCCAAUGCGUCUUGGGCUCCGAUGCUUCACUUAUCUCUCUUUAGUUUUAGUUUUUAUUUUUUUUUAAUGAAUGAAUUGGCAAAGAUAUCAAAAAUAAAAUAAAAAGAAGAAGCAAAAGGUACGAGGAUACUGUUACUAUUGUCUUAUUAGACUAAACAGAACUCAACAACUUGUCCAGCAAUUACAGAGAACGUUUUGUCCAACAGAAAUAUGAAAUGGAUGCAUGAUUUUCAAUAUUUUAGGCAUACGUUGAAUAUUCGAUGAAUCUUUCUACAAUAUGGAAAAAAGUUAUCUUGCCCUCUUAUCUAAUCAAUAAUUCGAGUAAUCUUUCUUUUCACGUUAAUUUCUUUCUUCUUCUGCUUUUUUUUGUGCUCCAGAAGAAAAGAAGCAUGACAUAGACGUGAAAUAAUUUAUUUUAAUUUGUUUUUUUAUGAUUAUUCUGCUCUUAUAAUUUAUGCUUGACAUAUUAAUUUGAGCAAUUAUUUUAGUUGAAUUUUGUUUUUAAUUUUACCCUUUAAUAUUAGGUUGAUUGGGAACUAAAUUUAAUAAUUUUUUAUUUUAUUUUAUUUUUAUUUUUAUUUUUAUUUUUUCUUUGCCCUGGAGGAAAAGAACCGUGACAUGGACAUGGAAUAUUCGCAACCUUUUUAUCCACCCCUUUUUAACUAAUAAGUGAUAAACAUGCAAGUUGUGAUACGUAACUAAAAUGGGGUUACCACCUUUCCUGAUACCAUCAUGAUUUUUUUGAAAAACUAAAGUGUUGAAGAGGGGAAUGCUGAAAUCUUCUGUUCAAAUAUAAUAUUUCUUAUUGGGGAAAUAUAUUUUUAAAUUUAAUAAAUGAAUUUGUUUUUUAUUAUUUCUUAUUGAAAAAUAAAAGGUUAAAAAAAUAAUAAUUUUACGGGUCAACUGUGUUGGCUCGAUUAUUUUUUUAAUUAAUUUUUUCUCAACUUUAUUCUUCGAGUUGUUUGAGAAUUAAAAUUUAUAAUUGUUUUUUUACUUGGUUUCGACGGGGUUAUCAUGGUUUCAUGAUUCAGGUCACGAGUUUUAUGCGUUAGUUGUGUUGACUUGGAUCAUUUUUUAUUUUAUUUUUAGUUAUUUUUUCCCUAAACUUCAUCAUUAAAAAUUGAGUUUACAUGAAAUUGGGUUUUAAAUUAUUAAUCAUGGUUUCAUAAACCCGGUUGCGAGUUUUACAAGUUAUUUAGGAUGACUUAGGUUUUUUAUGGUAUUUUUUAAUUGAAUAUUAAUUUUUCAAUUUAAUCCUUCAAUAUUUGGUUGUUCAUAAUUUAGGUAGCGGAUUUGAGAUGUUAACUAGAGUUAAUUCGAAUCGAUCUAAUUUGUUGUUUUUUCAAUAUUUUUUUAAAAUAUUAUCUUGAUUUUUUUAAAACCAAACUUUAUUUUUAUUGAUUGUUUAAGUUGUUUUUAGAUAUAGCAAGCCAUCUAAAUUAUAUUAAAUUAAAUUAAUCUUUACAUAGUUAAUUUUUUUUUAUAAAAGAAAAACAUAUUAAAAACAUCCGGAUAUCUUCUUUACUUUAAAAAACUCGAUCCUCGCCGGCAAUAAUCUAGGAUGUAUUAAAUAGUAGCUGACAUGUAUCCACAGCGUAGCUAGCAGCCUCGCACCACCGAUCUGCAAAUCAUUUUUGCCCUUCAUAUAUAAUCAUCGCGAUAAUUCCAAGAAACACACUCAUAUUGGAUAAUCCUAGAUUCCUCCGACAUCAUUCCAACCUUUCUCCGACUAGGGUUAAUAUUAUAUUCCUUGUGCGUGCUCAUCUGCCUGUUAUUUGACAAAACAUACGUGUAAAAGAACAGAUUCUGAACUGGAUUUUCAGAUUUCAUGUGAUCGCUUUCAAUGAUUUUUCCAGGCUAAAUUAUAAAAUACUCGACUUUAGUGAAGAAAAUAUAGUCUUCUGAACUAAAAUAUAGGCUAAAUUAUUAGGGUUUUGUUAAAAAGAUUGAUGGAAAAACCCCUAAAAGCCCUCACUAUUCCUCGUGAUCUCUCUGCAAUAAUAAAAUAAUAAUACUAAUUAAAAAAAAAGAAAACACUCUCUCUUUCUCCUUUCUCGUGCUUUUCUUUUUAUUUUGUAAGAGUGCCUUUUGGUUUCAUUAGCUCAGAGCAAGGGUUGAGGAUUAAGGAGGGUUUUUUCAUCAAAAUUCUAAACAAUUGUCAAAAUAAAAGGAAGUCAUAUUAAUUAAGGGGGAUAUUAUAGAUUUUUUAUUUUUUUAUUAAGAGGGUAUUUGUUUUUCGUUUAAGUUGAGAGAAAUAUUAUGUAUGCAUGUGUCUUUUGUCAUUAUCCUGCCAAUAAUUCAAACACCAAAAUGCAAGCAUACCUAUCACUACAUCUACGAGGGUGUUUGGUUUAGAGGUAUGAUGAUUUGUUUCAAAAAUAUAAUUCUUUUGAAACAUAAAUUAUACAUUUAAAAAUUAAAAAUACAUAUUUUUUAUAUAAACCACAUAAACAAAAACCAAAACCACCUCCGAACCAACUACCUUCCUGAUUAUCUUUCCUAAUUAACGUGGCUUGGUAAGGGGCAAGCUAAUACAUGGAUCUCAUAGCAUAUAUAUAAAUGUUUUAUUUAUUUGAAUUUGAGUUUUUUUUAUUUAAAAAAGCUUUAACAUCUUAUCGUUCAUUCUCCAAUUUAUUUAUAUAUUAAUAUUCUAUUUUUUUAUACACACUAUUAUUACAUGAAAUGAUCUUUGAUUAAUAUUUGAGUGCUUGAGAUGGUCAGCAGCGAGGAAAAAAUAAAACAAAUUAUUUUUUAAAAUAUUUUUUAUUUUAAAAUAACCACAAUAAAUUUAAUUUCAAUUCCAAACAUUCACGAAUUGACUUUUGAAUUCUGAAUAGAAAUUAUUUGAGAGGAAGAAAAUUUUUACCCGGGAUUUCUUAUUUUCUGAAGCAACGUUCGUGAUUGGUCCACCGUGGCUUGUUCCUUUUGGUCCAGCUUGACCUUGAGCCACUUUAUUAAUUUCAUCUUGUUGACGCCAUGUCCCGGUUCAUUUUCAUCUAUACGCAUGUCUGCUGUUGUUUAAUCACGAUGUGGUUAAAUUGGAUUUUCAAUCAUUUUCAGUUGCUGUCACUCAUAUUCUAAUUUCCAACUUAAUUAUUAUACAUUCAUGCUAAGAAACGUGUAUAACUACGGUUAUGUCAUCAUGUCUUGCUUGCAUUGCAGUUCAAUCAUAUUUUAAAAUUUUGUUAGUUUUAAAUUAAUCAUUUAAUUUGUUUAUUGAUGUUUUUAAAAGUAGGAUUAUAGUAUGAAACUCAAGUUUAUUAAUUAUUUUGAUGUUUUGAUAUUAAAAAUAAAUUUUAAAAUAAUAUAUUUAUUAAUAAUAUUUUUUUUAAAUAAUCUCUACCACGCUUAAAAUCACUUAGAAAAUAAAAUAAAAGGCGAUCCCAUCAAGUAGAGUCGUCCCACCUCGCUUCCUACAAGCUGAGAGGUUAGAAUUAUUCACGCAUGAAUUUGCAAUCAAUAAUGCAAUCCAAAGUCACCAAAAUGUAUGAUAAAUCAAAAUUAAACUCUUGACCUUUUGGGUUCUUCGUUCAAGUUAGCGACUUUUCUGGGACGCGUGAACAAGACAGAUGAUCAAAUUCUCCAUGACCAUUGUUGCUGUAAAUGGAAAAGAUGAUGGGUUCAUUAAUCAAUUCAUAUAAACCUCUGGUUGGAAAUCGACAGCAUGGAUUUGCUUUUGCUUUUCAAGGGGGGUUAUUUCUUUCUCCUUUUUAUUGUUUCGUGUUUUAUAUAAUAAUAGUUUUUAUGGUUAUAGUUUUAAAAUAUAUGUUUUAAAAAAUAAAUUAUAGUUUUUUUUCUUAAUUAAGUUUUAAAAAAGAAUUUUUAAUGAGAUUCAUGUAAAAUUAUAAUAUGUAUUAAUUAAUCAAACAAAUAUUUUCAGUAUUAACCAGUAAAACACAAUCUUAAUGAGAUCGCAUCUCACUCUGGAUAUACUCUAAAUUAACCAUAGUGAUUUUUAUAUAUAUUAUUACAUAACAUCAUGUUAAUUCAAUAGUUUUUGAUAGGGGGGGUCGUAGAGAAAAUCCAGUGAUGGGCAUCCAAUAGAAUAAAGAACAAAAGGUCAAUCCACGUGCUCGGAGGUAAAAACAUAUUAUCAACAAGUGGGGUCUAUCUACGUCAUAUUAUGAUGCUAGAUGGGGUUUAAAUUGAAUUGCAUUGAUGUGUUUCUUUUUGUCGUCAAAUAAUAUUUUUAAAAAUUUUUGAUUUUUUUUUCAAACUAUAUUUUUCAAAAAAUUUAGGAUGUUUUGAUAUGCUAAUAUUAAAAAUAAAUUUUAAAAAAUAUAAAAUAUAUUAUUUUAAUAUAUUUUUAAGAAAAAAAUACUUUAAAAAACAACUGUCUUCAUGAUCCCAAACACUAAAGAAAAAAAAAUUGAAAGUUCAUUUCAUGGGUUAAGAGUCUAUUUGAUAUUGUGGUUUCAGUUGCUUUUCAAAGUGUUUUUCGCUCGAAAAUACAUCAAAAUAAUAUUUUUAAAAUUUUAUUUUUGACAUUAACACAUCAAAACAAUAUAAAAACAUAAAAAAUAAUAAUUUAAAAAAUCAAUUUUUUGGCAAACAUGCCGCUAGCUGUAUUACCAAACAAGUUUUAAAUAGUCUCCCCACUCACUCCAUCUCAUUAAUUUUGGUUAAAAUUCACAAUCAAACUAUGAGAAUAUAUCUUCUCACAAGUAUUAGAGAUAAAAAUAAUUUGCCUCGAUGAAAACAAAACCUAAAUUGUUGAGAACAAGUAUAAGGUGUGAUUUCCUCUUUAUAAUUAAAUGAGAAUGGGGUGAGGAAAAUGAUUCCCACCUAAUAAGGUCUGAUUUUAUUUCAUGGGCUUAAAGGCCAUAACGAUGCUUGAGAUAAGAUUAUUAAUCUUUUAAUUCUUAUAAUUUGGUCCAUCUUUUCUUGGCGAAAUAACAGUCCCUCGUUAAAGCUAUGAGAGAUAAAAGUCAUUUUAUUUCAGAAAAAAACCCUAAAAAUAGAUAUAUGUAAUUUGUAGACUAGAAAAAUUGAACCUGCCUCGUGGAGGUUAUCAUGGUCCCUUUUUAUAGCUCUUGAGGUCCCCCUCAUUUCAUGAAUGUGGAAAAUGUUUACAUAUCAGCCUAAUAUCUCUGUCUUGUCAAGAUAAAAUAUUUUUAACUCAUCAGAGUAAAAUAUCUAUGAUUGAUCAGAGUAAAAUAUCUAUGACUAUGGGUCCGGCAGUUCACCAAACCCAUACACGUCAAGGAUUUGCGUUUGGCUAAGUCCAGAGAUGAUGGAUUAUCACCUUAAACUUUGUUCACCUUAAACCAGUAGAUAAGAGCUAUUUGACCUUUUUCAAAAAAUUUACAGGUCCCUAAAGAACUAUUAGAAUCUUCAUGCCUUGGUGUCUUGUCUUUACUAGGAGAAUGUGUCAAUUGGGAAAUAAAAUAGUGGUUUGCAUUAAAUAAAAUAAUUGAGUGAAUUUCUGAAAAUCUGUGAUUAUAUCAAAAAUCAUUUAUAUGAUGGUGGGAGUAAAUAGAUUCUUUUUUAACCCUAUUCAUUUUUUCCUAUGACUUUUUUUUUUACUUUUUUUUUGUGCUUUUUUAUAACCUUCUCUCAUAGAAAGACCCUAAAUUAUCUUUGCCACCUUUAUUCUUGAUCCAAAAUAGGAAAAACUAUUUCAGACAUCUCUUUCCUCGAAUACUUUUUCCUAUCUUUCUUUUACUCAAAGCAAAAAUGGACCCUAAGAACAUCAAGUCUGUCUCUAAAAGGAGAAGCGCUCCUUUAAUUGUUUUUUAUAAGCAAUCUAGUAUCAUCUAUUUGCUUCUUAUGUUGAUCAUUAUUCUUACUAACAAUAACUGAUCUCAAAUUUACUUGUAAGCUCAAUUUUGAGUUCACCAUUAAGGAUUUGGGUAAUAAUCUCAGUUACUUUCUUUGCCUUGAAGCUUCACUAACUACAAAUGAUCUUUUUAUUAGUAAGUCAAAAUAUGCUUGAGAUAUUCUUAUUCAAGAUCAAUAAUUACUUGACAAAAAACAUAACCAUACUCUUAUGAUUUUUUCCCAACACUUAUUUGCUAGUGGUCCUUUAUUUUUAUUUUGAAUAGGUAUAGUUGAAUAUGUCAAAGAAUUAAUUCAAUCUAAAAAUUUAAGUUGUUAGGCGAGGUUCCAUGUAUUAAUUUAUAUUAUUGUCUAACACAUCUUCUCAAGUAAAAGUUUAUUGGGCUUGAAAUUUGCAUAGAUUCAUAUUACAUUGUGCUUAAUUUUUAUUAAAUAAAUCGAGAUGGUGGAAUUCGAACUCGUAAUCACCUAGUUAUCAAGACUCUGAUAACAUAUUAAAAAACUAAUUCAACCUAAAAAUUUAAAUUAUUAGGUGAGAUCUCAUAUAUUAAUUUAUAUUAAUUUCUACAACAGAACCAUUAGCCUAAAAUGAUUGAACCCAUAGUAGCAAACAUUAAUGCAGGAGUACUAAAUUGAUGAUUGAUUAAUUUAUUAAUUAUUCAAAAACUGAAAGACAUCUACAAUAUUUAUGGUGACCAUGUGUACUCUCUCUCUCUCUCUCUCACACACACACUAUAUAUAUAUAUAUAUAUAUAUAUAUAUAUAUAUAUAUAUAUAUAUAUAUAUUCUUUUUAUGUUAUUAUUUUUAAAAUUUCAUACUUUAGAAUUAUGUCGAUUCGAAUUUCAGAUUGAUAAUUUAUUUUUACUUUUGUUUUAUAUGGUUAUUAAGAUUUCGAAAAAACAACCCGUCGUUAGGAAUUGGUGCCCAACUUCACAUAAAAAUAUUUGAUUUAGUUGUUUACAAUGAAUUUAAAUAAAAAAUUAAAUUAAUGGGCUCAGACACUCAAGUUGUUGUAGGCCUGCAUGCUUGGGCUUUUUUUUUUUUUCCAUUUGAUGUUUUCUAAUUUUAUUUUUAUUUUCUUGUUGAUUUGUUUUUUCAUUUUCAUGAUAGUAUUAUUUAAAAAAUUUUAUUGUUUUAUAGGCUCAGGCUCACAUGUUAUAAAAAACAUAAAAAAAAACCAAAUACAAUGUAAUUCAUAACCUAAAUAAUGAGUUUAGAGAGUUAGACUACAAAAUCUAGAUCAAUUCAAUAUAUUAUUUUUUUAUAGUUUAAAAAAGAGUUCUAUCAUCUUGGAUUUUUUUUUUCAGUUUUAAAAAACAUUUGGGAGUGAAAUCCUUUGCACUGAUUUUUAUAUAUAAGUUAGUGUAGAAAACUAGGAUAAAUAUAUAUUUUUUUCUUGGAGUUCAAAAAAGUAUGGAGAGUCUUGAUGUCCUAUUUUAGAACUUGUUUGGAGUUGUGUUUGCACCGGAGUUUUAAUAAAAAUAUGAUUAUUUUUUGCUUAAAUUGUUUUGUAUUAUUUUAAUGUGUUGAUAUUAAAAAUAUAUUUUUAUAAAAACAUUUUGAAAAACAAUCACUAUCACACUCUUAAACACCCCUUUAUACUAGAGGAAGAAGAAAAUAAACAAGAGAAUUGUUUUUUUUUUUUGUCAAAUUAGCACAAUAAACAUAAAUAAUUAGCGAAAUAACACAAUUUGAAAAAGAUUUUAUGAAAUAACACUUUUUCACAUUCUAACGCUUCAGAAGUGCGACAAGGUAAAAGUAUAAUUAUCUAGCUCAAUUUAGUCAGCUGGAUGGAUCUGAUUGUAUUGAUCGGUAAACUAUUUUACAUAAAAACCAUAAUUUUAUAAAUAUUUUCUUCUAAAUAUAUUUUAUGAAUUAAAAUAUAAUUCUUUGUCCAACUUAUAAACUAAAAAAUAGAUUUUAGUUAAAAUCUCAAAAAAUUAUUACUCAUAUAAUAGUGAUGUUGAGAUUUUCAAUAUCAAUGAUAUAGUUGAGCUUAUAAUAUCAAAUAAUUCCGGGCAUUAAAAUACAAAUCUACUAUAACUAAAUAAAAAUUUACUCCAAAUAAAUUAUAAAAAUAAUAUAGCAAAUAUGGAAUUUCACCGAAUUUUUUCAAUGGAUGGUAUUCCGGUUUCUUAUAAUGUGCUAGUUUUUGUUUUAAAAAGGGUGGGCCCAUACGCCAGACUGCUGCAAAAUACGCCAUCAUUUUUCUUGAAAUGAGAAAUUAAUAUGAAUAAAUACCACUGACUGUAGGAGUCCAAUCUCCAGACCCUUCGACUAUCCCCACACUACCUACUAGUCAAAGACCAUAUCCAGGCGGCGGUUUUGCCAGUCAUAAUCAUAGAAAGAGUAACGGUGGCCCUACUCAAACGUGGACAGCCAUCAGCCGUUGGAUCUAUUGACUUCGGGUGCUCUCCUUUACAGAAUUGUUCCAAAACAACUCCCAAGGACUUUAGUAGUAAUCAUAGAAAGAGUAACGCUCACAUUAACCUCUUAAUUUCCGGUAAAACUAUAUGGUGGCGAGCCAUCAUUAACAUAAUAACAGCAGUAAUAAUAAAAAAAAUAAAUCUUGAAGAAAUUAUUGAACAUUUAUGAAGGGGUGAGCACAAACUCAUUGUGUUUUGAAAUUUGUCUUGACAGGGACCAAAGCCUGUGUUAGGUUCAACGCGGGAUAAUGUAUUUUUAAGAGACAAUUAUUUUGUUUUGUGAUGAUGUGGUUGGUGGGCCAAUUAAAUUGAUUGCUUUUUGUCAUUUAACCUGUCACCCUUCCUUUCAUCUGUUAAAUGAAUUCAGGAGAAAAUAACGUCUGUAUUAGCAUUGUUUUCCUCCAUGAAUUACUUUAAUUUCACCUCCCACUCCAUCCAUGGGAGGUUAGGCAGAGUAGUGGGGCAGCCAUUGAAGCCAGGCUACAUGACAGGGUCGGUCCAUUGCAUGAAGUACAUACUGCUCGGAAGGAGAAGUAUAUUUAAUUCAUAUAUAUAUUAUUAUUACACUUGCAAUAUAAAUACAUUAUUCUAAAGAAAGAAUUCCCAUCAGUAAUGGAGGCUGACAGUAUCAGUUGGGUGGUGGACUGUGGAGAGAAGAAUAAUUGGCCUCUACUGUUUAGUUCCCCCUACGGAUGAAUUAUAUCACUAUCCUCUUGCUUCAAAUCAUCCUAUGAAAUUAAAAAAAAAAAAAAACAAUUUAUUAAUUGGGAUAAAGUUUAAGAAAAAAAACUUAAAAUUAUAUUUAAACCGUGUUCUUUUCUUCAUGAUAAAUUAACAGUCUCGAUUUCCCAACCUUAUCCUCUGUUUAAUUUGAAUUUACGUAUUACUGUUAUUAUUAUUUUGGUUCAGGUUGAUGCCCACAGACCGUGUUCAAUGUAUGUUUGUAAUUGUAUUUUCUAGAGUGUUUUUUAAUUAUAAAUAUAGUAAAAUAAUAAUUUUUUAAUUUUAAAAAAUUAUUGUUGAUACCAAGACAUUAAAAUAAUAUAAAAAUAUUAAAAAAUUAAUUAUUCAUUUUAUUAGUGGUUAAUUAUCACAGGUCACUUUUAAGAACAGAGCUCGCCAUCAUCUUCUCUCGUGACUGUGACACUGAGACAUGUGCGCGCCCUAUAGCCUGUAAUUAAUGAGGUGGUCCAAGAAUGCAUCAAUCACAUUGAUGUUGCGACGGCUUAUCGUCUGUCUCUGUGCUCAAUUGUAUAUAUUUUAACACCAAGUGUUGUUUUCCCAAUCCAUACAGUGCCCAGUGUGACCCCUCUCCUCUGUUUUCUAUAUAUAUAUAUAUUUCUGGGUCGUGAGUUACGAGUUUUGCAACUACUUGUGAUUUAUUAUACUCCUUUUUCUUUUCCUUUUCUUUUUUUAAUCAAAUUCAAGAGUGUGUGUGUUAGGGCAGACUGCUACAACUAGUCCACUAACUCUGCUUCUUUCUUGUUUCGCCCACUAUCAAACAUAAUUAACGCCAAAAACAUCCUUGAGUUCAUACACACAUGACAGGGGAAAGAAUUCAAGAAAAGGUGCUUGCUUGAUCAACUUGAAUAAGGAAGAAGAGCUAGCAUGCUGGCACUGGUUCUGUUAUUACCAAACUAUCCCUGUCGACGGCUAAGGCUGUGGUUGUUUAUUUGGAGCUAUUGCGUUUGCGAUGCAAAAAACACAGUAAUAUGUUUGUUUACACACUAAAUUGUGUUUUUUACUGUGAAGUCCACUAAAAUUUUUUGCGUUUUAAAGGUGUUUUUAAAAAAUUUUAUUUUUUUUACUUCAUAUCAUUUUUUUUGUUUUCAUAUCAUUUUAAUGCAAUGAUAUCAAAAAUAAUUUUUUAAAAAUAUAAAAAUUAUUUUGAUUCAUUUCCUAGUAAAAAGAUCUUUGAAAAGUAACCGCAACCACAUAAUUACUUUGAUUCAAAAAUAAUUUUUAAAAAAUAAAAAAAAUUAUUUAGAUUUAUUUCCUAGUAAAAGGAUCUUUGAAAAGUAACCGCAACUACACAAUUACCAAACAUUUUAUACAUAAAUUUUACCAAAUUCGUAUUUAAAUCCAACCACACCUAACCAUAUUUUUUAAAAUUUAUAUUUUUCAAACUAAAACUAGGAAUCCAUUUGGUUACGUAGUUGAUUCUGCGUUUGAAGCAACCACAACAACUCAAUUGUUUGGUUAUGCUCCCACAGCAUAUUUAUAGCAGUGGGGCCUACCAUUAAUUGUGACGCAGGUUCCAAGAAGCAGCAAAGAGCUGCUUCUUGGAUUGGAAAACUCAUGAAUAGUAUUAUUUAUGGUUUUCUUUCCCGAACAGUGGAGGUUCAUGGGUUUUUUUUUCGACCGGACCAGUCUAGUUUAAAGCUAAAAAUACAUUGAACUGGAUCUGACCUAAUAAAAAAAAAUAUUUUUUAUUUUUAAUUGUUUUUUAUUCGAAAAACUAGCCUUAAAAAAUAUUUUAUAUAAAUUAUUAUUUAUUUCAUGAUAUAAUAGUAAUAGUUAAAUCUAUAAUAUUUAAAUUAAAAACCAUUAAUAUUAAUAUAUAUUUUUAAAAAUUAUUUUAUAACCUCAAUUUCAAAAGCAGUCUUAACCAAACAUAUUAAACUACUUUUUAUUCAACUUCAAUUUUAACCACAGUUUUAAUCAAAUAUAUAUUUUUUCAAAUCAAUUAUAACUAAAAAUAUUUUUUUUCAAAUCACAACUACAAUAAUUACCGCAAGUCACACUCUAAGUAAAAAAAAAUUAAACGCACUCUAAUUCCAGGACAAACACGUUGGGAAAUCAUUGCAUGUCUGGUCUAUGCGUGCAUCUUCCAUGGUUUAUUUAGGGCGAGUCAAACAACGUUAGGUAGCCCACUCACACGCAAGAGUCUUUUAUCUUCAAGCAUCCGUGAUCAAGAAUGUCUAGAGAUUUGGGACUCUGAAUUGGUCUCUGUGCUAACAGUUCCUAAACUGCAAUUUGUGCAAAAGAGAGGGGACCUAAUUAAGUUUCCCAGUAAUCAAGGUGCAUUAAUUAGUGGUUGAUUACCUUUAUUACAGUCACGACAAUCUACUUAAUGAGUGCAUGGAAACGUGCUCUUGGAGCCUAUUCCCUCUUUCCUAAUGUUGCCGAGUGUUGAUUGACCGAAUUGUUUGGUUUAUUAUGACUUUUCUUUUUUCUUUUUCACGGGUUGAUUAGAUACGCAACCAAAUCGUUGAAAAUAGACUAUAGUAUAGGUGGUAAACCAUACUUUAACCCAUAUGAGAUUUUAAGAAAAAGCUUAAAUCUCCAGACUUCCUAGGGAAGAUUACAAAUUAAGAAAAAAGGAGCAGGUUCCUUGGGUUUUGUUAUCUACUAUUUCACCUCCAACUUCCAAGGGAAGUAUUAUUUACUCUAAACAUUUGAGAUUAAUGUGAACCCUCUUCAUAUAAAACCUAACCCUUGCGAUGAACGUGUUCCUCGUUUAUCUAAAUGAUGCUCGAACAGGACAAAAGCCGGAACAAGUUUCAAUAAGGCGUGAUUAUUACUUUAGGACAAUCAUUUGCUAACCUAAAAAUCAAACUCCAUGAAAAAACCUUUUCCUCCUCCCGGUUUCACACUCCAUAAUUUAAGCCCAUUCCAUCUUUUUCAGGAAAGAACCUCGUUGUUCAAGAUCCCAUCACCAAUAGUCACGCACUAUUGGAGACAGCAUGAUAUCACCACUGCCCCGGGCAUAGCGUGGCCACAAUCUUUCUUCUACACUAUGAUUGGAGAGGGGCAGGGGUUGAUGAUUCUUUUUCGGGCCUUCAUGGGCUUUUCUUUUACUUGGGCCUGUUGUCUAUCCUGAAGUCCAGAAACGCGGUUGCCAGGGUUUCCAGCUUCUCCAAUAAUUGGCUCGUGUCUCCUUCCAUGCAUUCGGAAUUGGAAUCCAGAAAUGAACCAUGCUUGAUGUCACAAUGGUGACAGAGCAGCAACGUCCUCGGUUGCUGAAAAGGAGCAAUGGUCAUUACAGAGCAUCACUUAGGGCUAUCACAGCAUUGUCAAGAAAAGGCCAGAUCCUUUUCAAUAAAAGUCAGCUAGCCAAGCCAAGAAUAUCAAUUCACCUACCAGGGGAAAAUAGUGUGCAAUUGAACUAAUGUUAUUAAUCGUGCUUAACAGCUGUUCAUGCUUUCAGAUAUCAAUAGCCCACCAAUGAUCUCAUGCACAGUUGUGCUCCCCGGAGCAGCCAGAUGUGGAAUUCACAGAAAACGAGUAAAUCAAAUAGAAUUUUAAAACGAGUUACCCUUUCACCAAAUAAUACAAACCUUCCCAAGUAAAAUCAGCUUGGGAAGCAGAUGAAGUUGUAUAUAAAAAGCUCCCGUGAGUGAUAAACACCAUUCAGGCGAGUAACUCCAUGUUAGUGGUUCAUGGAAAGCGGAGGAGUUUGGUCACAGCCGAGUCCAGCACAUCGACAUUUCUCCUCAGGUUUUUUCUAAUCAAGCAUUAAGAAACCCAAGAAUACCGAAGAAGACAACCAAGAGAAAUGCACUACAAGAAUUUUUUUUAUAGUAGAAAGAGUCGCUUUCUUGAAUGCAAAGGCCUGUGGUUCCCAGAGAAGAAGGAACCACCUGGCAAUUUGGUUACCUCCGUGCUAGAAGGAGAAACCAAAUAGGUAAGAUGAGCCUGUCGGUUCAUCAUAAGCAGCUUAAAGCAGCAAGUGGGGUAAGUGACAUUUACACAAGUAUGCUAAGAAAACAAACACAAAAGGAUACAGUUGAGUCGCUAGAGUGUCAAUGCCCUUCAUUUCCUCGUUCAAUCUGCACCAUAAUUCCAGAAAUGGGUUGGUAAAGGCAUAUCUAAAAUAUCAUCAACUAUUCGCAAAUAAGGACUGUACACAGGUUUUCAAGACUCCAAGUUGGGUUGCUUGAGUAAGUAGUUAGCCAACAAAAGGAGCUAUCUCCAGCCACGUUUUUCAGCGCCCUAACCAGUUAUCUCUAGUAGACAUGAAAAUUAUUUAACACUGUUUUUAAAUUCUGGUUUAUACUCAGAAGAGGGUGGCAAAACAAUAUGGUGACAGAUAGUUCUGGCAAACAAAAACUCGCACAAAUUGGAGGUUCAAUUCUCAACGCAUAGGUAACGAAAUACUUGUCCAGAUAUAUUAAGCUGCAAAACUUUGAUUCUAUUUUCUAAUCACAAAGACACUAUCCCAGGAGCAAUUGAGGGAAACAACAAGGUGGUGAAAAAUUAAGCAGAACAAUCUCAUCCAGAUUCAGCUACCAACCAUGUUGCACUCCAAAAAUCUUUCACACAUGCAGAUUAUCCAACAUUCUUCAUUAAAUCCCAGUAAGUAAGAAAGAAAUAUAACCAUCAGCAUUUUUUUUCUGCACUUAACAUUUUGAAAACCAUGUAAAAAUUAUGCUUCACAGAACCAGAAAACUAUCUGCAAAUAUAUAUAUAUAUAUAUAAAAGCACAAGGCAUCUUAUAGAAGUUGUGACUAUACUUAACAUUUAUUACUCUAAACUUUCAGCUUGUUUGGGAAUGCGGCUGGCAGCGCGUUACCAAAAUUUUUUUAUUUUUUUUCUGGCUUAAAAUUAAGUUUUUUUUAUGUUUUGAUAUGCUAAUAUCAAAAAUAAAUUUUAAAAAGUAAAAAAAUAUCAUUUAGAUGUAUUUCCAGCAAAAAAGUAAAAUGUAAUCAUCAUCCGAGUAAAAUUUAAACUUUACCAGUUAAUCAAGCAUGAGCACAAGAACUUGCUCUCUAUACUGUUAAUAUUUCUCCUAAUUAAAAAUACAAUAAAAGCAAUUUUACAACCCUUCUCUUUUGAUUAAUUAAACCUUUCAAAUUUAAGAAUUACAAAUUAAUUAAAUUAUACCUCAUACACGAAUUUAUGUACCGAUUUCCCUUCGUUGCUGCAUCAAGCACUGCAAGAUUAGAUACAAUGAUCAAAGAUUUACAAAAAAAAUAAAAAAUAUUCACAAUUAAUAUCAACAAUAAUCAAAUUCUUAAAAAUAAAGAUCUAAUUAUUUUUACCAGAUUCUUGAAGACGAGCAGUAGCAUCACCAAAACAUUGCAUAUGAUCAACUGAUGUACUAGUAGCCUACAAUUAUCACACACAAAAAAAACUUCAUUUCCUUUUCUCAAGAACCAAACAGAAAGUUAGAAGAGUCAAAGCUGACCUCGGAGAGAGCGAAACGAAGUGAAGCGAAGAGAGAAGUGAAGCUACCGGCGAUGGCUAGAGAGUCUCUCUCGAUGAUUUCUAAUGCCUUGAAGAUCUCGCCCUGGUUCAAAUUGGUUUUCGGUUCACGGCGGUCGGGUUCAUCGGGACACAUGGCCGGUGGAUCCAGGUCUGGUUGUAUGAUUACUGAUUCUGUAUCCGUUGAUUGAUCUCUCUGAAUUGCUGCCGCUUCUUCCAUUUCCCGCGAUUUAAAGAAAGACAGAGAUUUGUAUUUGCUAUUUUUAAUUAGUUAUAGAUGAGGAAUUCAGUGAUCUUUGUAAAAAAUUUACCACCAUCUAUUUUCGUUUGGGCUUUGUGCAUAUUGGAUAUAGUUUUCGUUUUUUACUUUUUAAAUUAUCCAUUUACGGGAAGCCCAAGCACAAAUUCAAAAUAACUUUAUUAAACUCGUUUAGCCUAACAGAUUAACUUAAUAAACCAUCAAUUUUAAAGUUUAAUUUAGGCUAAAUUUCCUUUUUUUUUUUUUUUUGAUGAAGACCCUGGGUGUCCGGACCAGUUUACGCGCACCACAACUAAUCCCAGGACCUACUGAACAUCCUGCAAGCCCAGUAGGCAGGUAAGGCACCGCGGGGGUGACAGACUGGUACUCUUGAGGAUCGAACCCAGGACGUUCGCAAAGGCAAGCCUUGCAGUUGAUCAAUGGGCUAGACCCUCAAGUGUUAGGCUAAAUUUCCUUGCAAACUAGGGUGGAUGUAGACUGGAUAAGACCUAACCUGGUCAAUUCAAAUAAUAUUUUAUAAAAAAAAUUCCAAAACAAUGCAUUUUUCAUUUUUUUAAAUUUUUAUCUAAAACAAUUGGUGUAGUCCAAUUUUUAACCCUAUUUUUAUAUAUUUUAAAAAAUAAAAAAAAUAAAAUCUUUUAUUAAUGUUAACAUGUGACCCUUUGAAAAAAAAUAAAAGAAUAGGGAAAUAAAAGUAGAAAAGAUGAUUGGGUAAUGAAAACAAGAGAUUCAUAUAAAUCGAAGAAUAUAAGUUCUGUUUUUAGUAGGAAACUUUUUAUUUCUAUCAUUUUCAAUAAAUUAUUCUAUAUGAAUUAAUAUAAACAGUUCAUAUAAAUCACAAUUCAUGUAUUUAUUUUAAAUUUAUAAAUAAUUUUGGUGUGAUAAUAUGUCUUUACGUUAAUAACAUAAUCAUUAUUGGUACUAACAUGAAUGAUGUUAAUAAUAUGAAGAAAUGUAUAAUCUUAAAACUUAAAAUGAAGGAUUUAAACAAGGUAGAUAUAAUUAGGGGUGUUUAAAAAAAUCGAUCAACUGAUUAAACUGUAAAAAGAAAAACAUUAAAUGAAAACACUGAAUCGAGAGAAAAAAUUGAUUAGGCCGGUUUAAAAAUUAGAAAACUUACUCGGUCCGGUUCGGUUUUGAUUUUAAAAACAAAAUUAUGUAACCAAACUGGACCCAAUGUGUCUUAAAGGCUUAAAUAAAAAAACCAAUCAACCGAUUAAACCGUAAAAAGAAAAACAUUAUAUGAAAACACCGAAUCGAGAGAAAAAAUUGAUCAGGCCAGUUUGAAAAUUAGAAAACUCACUUAGUUUAAUUCGGUUUUAAAAACAAAAAUUAGGUAACCAAAUUGGGCUCGAUGUGUCUUAAAAGCUUAAACCCACUUUAAAAAAGAAAGGGGUAUAAAUAGAAAAGUAACCUAACCUACGUUUACAAAUUUCCCCACUUUUCAAAUAAAAACAGCAGCCACCUCAUUCCAUCUCUCUUUGGCUGCCAUCCCCCCUUCUAGUUUAUGUGUUUAGAUUUCGUUUUGAUUCUUAAAUGCCUUUGGGUUUUGUUUUACAAUUUUCACUUCCAUUAUUGUACCUCAUCAUUUAAAAUGUAUAUUCUACACAUAAAAACCAUGGUGAGCCGGUGUAUAAUCCACUCCACUUUUCUAGUACAGUUGUUGGAAGUGGAUAAUGCUUUCUAUAUUAAGAUUAGAAGUGUUCUUCCUCGUUCAUCCACACUAAUCACAAUUGUACUUUUAAAAAGGGUGAUGCCUUCACUGCACAACUUGCAUAAUUUUCUUCUCUGAUAAAUUUGUUUUUGCAUACUCUGGCAGGGACCUUGAGAGAGUAUAAUAAAUAAUUUGUUCACAAAUUUUCUUCUUUUCACCUUUCUUUUUUGUGUGUGUUGGCCAAGGUGAUUAGAUUUUUCGGUUUUAACCCUAAACAACUAAUCUUAACCGAACCAGUUCGAUUUGAACUAGUUUUCAGUUCAAUUUGGUCCAUUUUCUUAGGAAAUUUCAUUUUCUGGUUUAGUUGGGAUUUUCAGCCUAAAAUGAAUCGAACCAUGAACCACCCCUAUGUAUAAUUUUAGGUAUAAAAGUAAGAAAAUAUGGUGGGGGGUUUUGCCCUUUGCCAAUCUCAUUAUAUUGAUAAAGUCUUAAAUAAAUUUAAUCAAUUGAAUAUCAAAGAAGCAAAUACUCUCUAUGAUGUUUCUUUUAAGUUGACUAAAUAUGCUAGUGCAAUUAGUAGCUUAAUGUAUGUCAUGUAUUGUACUAGACUAAAUAUUGCUUUCAUAAUAUGUAAAUUGUCUAGAUACACAAGUAAUCCUAGUAAGGAUCAUUGGAAAGAAAUUACAAGAUUACAUCACUUAAAAAAGACUAUGAAUUUUAGAUUGUUUUAUAAUAAUUUUCCAGUUGUACUUUAAAUUUAUAUCAGUGCUAGUUGGAUAACUAAUGCAGGUGACAAUAAGGCAACCUCUGGAUAAGUAUUUAAUUUAGGAGGUGGUGUUAUUUCUUAGGUUUUAAAGAAACAAACAUUUAUAACUCAUUUUACAAUGAAAUUCGAGUUCAUAGCUCUAAUAGUCACAGGUAAAAAGACAAAAUAGUUGAGAAAUAUGUUAUUGAUAUUAAGUUGUCCACAACCGAUGUCAUCUAUCUCUUUACAUUGUUAUAGUCAAGCAACUAUGUCCAAAGCAUUUAGUAAAAUUUAUAGUGAAAAAUCUAGACAUAUCAACUUGAAACAUAAAUAUACUAAGCAAUUAAUUUCUGAUAGGAUAAUUAUCAUUGUGUAUGUUAGAUCUUGCAAUAAUCUAGCAGAUCUUUCACUAAAUAUCUCUAAAGAGAUUUAGUUAGAAAAAUUUAUGCUAGUAUGAGAUUAAGACCAUUUAAUUAAACUUACUAAUAAAAAGAACCCAACUUGUAUUAGUACUUUUGCUAGUUAUGAGUUUCACGUGUAAUAACAAAUUAUUAGUAAGAAUUGUGUAUACUAAUUUGUGUAUGAAAUCAAUAUUUACAAAAUUAGUAUUCCAAAUAAUAGGAGGAUGAAUAACUAACAUUGUUAAUGAAAUCUCAAUGUAAAAUGGAAAUUUCACUAAUAUGAACAUAUAAAGUGGUGCCGUUUCAAUAAAAAUUUAGAAAACUCCAUAAAUGUUCAUGAAUUCAUAAAGUAGCAUAAAACUAUAUUAGUGCUGAAAUAAUGGUGAACUUCUAUUUUGGAUUAAUUGGAUAAGGUGUAUAGUAUUUUGAAUUUUAUUGAAUAAAAUCUUGAUUUAAGCUUUUUUAGAAUCAUGAUUUCUUUAGAGUUUUGAAAUGCUUAGACUAAGAAGAGGUUUAAAUCUAAAGAUACAUUUUUUUAUGCAUUAUACAUGAUACCGUCUAAUAUUACAAGAUAAGUAGGGGAUUGUUAUUAAAAUAUUACUUGUAUAUUAGGUAAUUAAAAAGAACUUUAUCCUACAUUAGAAAUGUAAGAUGUUUUAUUAGUUAGUUGGAGAGUUGUUCAUUUUUUCUCAAGUAAUUAGAUGUAAGUACUUUUUUCAAAAAAAAUUAAUAAUUUAUAUCUUAUAAAAAAAAUAUGUCAGUAUAAUCUCUCUUUUAUUUAAUAAAAAUAAAAAACAACAAGAACAAAUAUAAAAAAACAUUUGGACAAUCUGAAAUCAGAAUAAAAAAUGUAUCCUUCUUUAUAUAUAUAUAUAUAUUUAGAAAACAUCUUACCAUAAUCAUAGUUUAAAUUAAACAAAAAAUAAUGUUAUAAUAAUUCCAAUGCAAAUGUAUUAAAAGAAUAUGAGAAUAAGAUAUCACCAUGCAUUGUCUUGAAAAAUAUUUUUUAAAAGCAUUAUUUAACUCAGUUAUGCUGGUAGGUCAAUGUAGAGACACUUUAUCCCAAUUGUUUGCUUGGCACAAUUUUCAAUUUAAACUUGGUAUAAAUUAAUAUUUUAUGACUCGAUUGACUAAUCAGAUCCAAACGUGACUUGGUUGACAAAUUUAAAACCUAGUUUGACAAAACAAAAUGAAAACGGUGUCAUUCUAGCAUUUUUAAAAUAUUGAAUCGAUGAUGUUUUGGAUUGACUCGAGUUAAUCUGAGCUAAACCGUUACUCCCACAACCUAGGUCAUUGACUUGGUCAUCUACUAACUUUAUUUAUUGGAAUUAAUUUUUUAUUUAGUCAUAUGAUAAUAAUAAAAAAAACAAAAAUAUGUAUGAAACAAAUUAAAUAAAAUUUAAGGAAAAAAACACAAAAAAAAAGUCAUCAUGGAGGGUUGUAAAAAAGUGUGCUUGCUUCAAUAAAAUAAUAUCUGGAGACUUGUUGGGUUGGGCCCUCAGCUAUCAUAGGAUUCAAAUUAAACUAGAUGAAAGUUCAUCUUAUGUAACCCAAUUGACCAAGUGAGUCUAAGCGUGAUAUUGUCAAACUAGCAAAAACUUGGUUUAACUUAAUAAAAAACAAAUCAAGGCGACACUAUUUUAAUAUAUUUUUUUAAAAAAAUAUUUAGACAAUGAUAUUUUAGAUUGAUCCUAGUCAAUUUAUGUUAAACAUGUCGAACACAUGAGUUGGAUCAUGUACUCAAGUAUGUCUAUCAAACGACACGUCAUUUAUUGUGAUAAAUGACUUAUCACUAUUGGUUGGCUUUUAGCCCACUGCCAUCCAUCUUUGGUGGCUAGAAAAUCAAGGCAAACUUGAAGGACAAAAAAAAUAUAUUCCAACCCCUUUUCAUUUGAAAACAUAUGAGAAACAUAAUAAACACCUCAAUAAAUCCAUUUUAAUUCUUAAAUUAACAUUUAAUUCUUUUAAAAAAUGAAAAGUAACCUAAAUUCAAAACUAUCCACGAGCCUUGAUCUAUUUUUCCUGGCAAGAUGAAAGAUCAAAAACUUCUAAAUAGGUCUUUUCUCAUUGAACGAAACUUGUUGAUAUCAAGAUUGAUUAUUUUUGUUGACAGAAUAUGGUCAAUCAAUAACUUUAUCUUUGUUUUGUUAUUUUUCAAUAACUUUCUCUCUUCUCUUUCUCUCGCAAAUCCAAUGAAUGAAAAACAAAUAAAAUGAACUUCUGGUUCAAAAUUAAAACCUCAUAACUAAAGGAACUAUAAAAGAAGAAAAAGGAAAUAUAUGUACUAAAAAUAAUUUUUUUUUGAGUGAAUUUGAUAGUGACCAUGCAUUUUUUCUUGUCUUGCAUUCCUUCCUCUUUCUUUUACUUGUAUAUUUAACUACUAAUUAAACCAUAGUCCAUUAAAUUAUGUUUCAAUGAAGUUUAAAAAUCUAGAAAAAUCCUUCAAAUCCAUAGCGCUAGAAAAUUUAGUUUUCUUUUGAUAUUUAGUUCCUUAGUUGUAAUAAAAGGAUGAACCUAAAAAAAUAAUCCCAAGUACACUCAAUUUUCCUUCAAAUACAUUUUUUUUUUUAUCAAUUUUAUCUCUCAAGUUUUUAAAAUUCUCAAUUAAGUUUAUCCAUCCAUAUUUCAUCACGGAUCCAAUUCAAAAGAUACUUUCUUUAUAAGAAACACUAUCAUUUUGUAGAAAAUUUAACGUUUUAUAUUUAGAAUUAUAAUAAAGGACCCUAUUGAAAUAUCCAAGUAAUCAGGGAAUAAAAUUGAUACAAAAAUUAUUUGGGAGUAAAAUUUAUUAUAUCCCAAUAGUUAGGGGUAUAUUUGAGGUUUGUCUAAAAGGAAAAAGGUAUACAAUGUAUGUAUUUUUGUCUCUUUUCACCCUCUUUGGUGAUUACAUCAUCUUCCCUUUCUUUUCUUGAUCCUGUCCACCGCUUCUUGUUCACAGUUUUUCCUUUGGGUUUUAUUCUCUCUUAUUUUGAAGAUGUCUAGUGAAAUACCCUUUAUUAGUAGCCACGAAAACAACAAUGGAUGGGAUCAAGAUAUUUCAAGAUUGAUCCUUUUUGAUGAAUCAGCACGCAUACUCUUGGAAUUCGAAGUGUCCACGUCUGUAUUGGAUGAUUUGAGUGAAGAUGACUAUUUUGAUUUUGAAGAUGAUAGUACUGAUGGUCAGGAAGAUAUGGGUUUUGAGGAUAACAUGUCUUCUGUUUCUUCAGAAUCAUACACUAGUCAUGUUCUUGAUGAUAAUGAUCUUUCAAUGCAGCUGCGGACAGAACUUUCCCUGGGUGAAGUUUCGCCCUUUCCUCCGCCGUAUACUUUCACUCUUUAUUCUGCUGGUUUUUAUCUUGAAGAUCCAUCUUUGAGGUUAGCAAAAACAUUGAGUGAUAAUGAAGGUCCAAAGGUGCCGUCCGCGAGUAAAGAAUCCAUUGAAAACUUGGAGGAGGUGAAGAUUGAUAGGGGAUCAUCAAAUUUGGAGUGUCCCGUUUGCUUAGAAACGAUCUCAACGGGGUCCGAAGCUAAAUGCAUGCCAUGCUUUCAUAUCUACCAUGGGAAGUGCAUUGUUGAGUGGUUAAUGAAUAGCAAUACAUGCCCUGUUUGUCGCUACCAGAUGCCUACGGAGUCUUGAUUGAUUUUGUUUCAAAUUGGUUCUUGAACAUGUCUUGAAAUUCUUUGAUUUUGUUGUCUUCCGUACUUUCAUCUUUUUUCUUAGUUUAGGGAGUAGUAGCACUAUUACUUUGUCCUCGGAAGCCAGGGACUGUGAGAACGCAGGUCCACUGGUUUUCCUUUGUUUGAUGGUACAAUCCUGUUUGUCAACAUGCAUGUAGGCAUUUAUUUUCUAGCUUUCCUUGACCAAAAUCCUAGAAAAGUUAUCUUUUAGACGAAGCAUGAUGAUCAGCUUAUGGUUUGUUUCAAUGGAAGAUCUACUUCUUCUUUUUCCAUUUUUUUUUCGGGGCCUGUUUAUAACCAGAAGCCAGCAAGUUCUGAGUUAAUUUUCGUUGCAAGGAAGCAUCAUGCCAUAUUGGCAUGCGUGUAUGAUAACUAAGCAGGCGAAAUCAAUCAAGACUAGAAAAUGAUUUCGUUGCAGUGCUAAUUUCCCGAUGAAAUAUUUAUCCAAAUUUGUCUUGAAAAUUUAUGUAUGCUAUAGAAAACAAAAGGUAUCGGGUGCACGGAGCCAGAGUUUUUUAAAUAGAAGGACAAAUUAUUAAUAAAUACUAUAUUACGUAGAUAUGUAUUAAAAAUUAAUUCAAAACAUAUAUACUAAUUCAUAUCAAGUAAAAUUAAUUUAAAAAUACUUUUAAAAUGAAAAAACUUACAUUAUAAUUGUUUUUUUCGAGUUUUUAUAUUUUGAAACCGCUUCAUAAUAGCUUCAUUAUCAAUCUUAUCGAAGAUAUCUUUCUUAAUAUAUACAACCAAACUAUCAUUCAUCCACUUAUCUCCCAUCCUUUUCCGCAAUCUACUUUAACAGUAUGCAUAGCAGAAAAAACUCUAUCAACUGUAGCAGUUUCAACUGGUAGAAGUAAUGACAAUUUGAUAAGCAUAUAUACUAAUGGAAAUAUCAAAUUCUUCUUUGUUUUUACCAUUUUCUCUACAAUACUAGCAAUACAUUCAAUACCAAAGAACUCAUCAUCACCAUGUAGAUCAAUAAUACACGUAUCAAGUUGAUCAUCAAGUACUAUAAGAUCCGCUAUAGAGAAUUCACUGCGAUAAAAAGAGCAAGGCAAGGCAAUUAAGCUUUUCUUUGUUGAAAAUAGAUAAAGAGUCACUUGGGUUUAAACAUGCCACACAAAGAAGUAACUCUGUAUUCAUCUCAGUAGAAUGAUCAUCCAACUCAGUGAGUUGCAUGUCAAUGAUAUUGUUAAACAAUUCAUAACAGAAAUGGUAUAGGUUUGUAAUCCUUUGAGAUUUUUGCCUUGUGAACACCCACGAAGCUUGUACUCAUUAUCCAUGUUUAGAAUAUUAAUAUCAUGUUUGAUGCAAAAACAUGGCACUUCUUCUAGUAAAGAUUCCCAAUCAUUCUUUCUCAUAAUUUUGAAUUGUUCCUUUGAUGCUUUCAAUAAAUUCAUAGCAUUUUUUAUGUCUUGAUCUUUUCUUUGUAAUGCUUGUGAGAACUCAUUAGUAACUGCUAGUAUCCUUUUCAAACAAUGAAGCAUAAACACAAAAUUAAAUGAUUCCAUAAUACCUAUUAAAACAACAACUUUUUUUUCUUUUCUGUUCUGAGUUCUUCCCAUCCUCCCUUAUAAUCUAAAGCACAUCAAGAACUGAUGAAAACAUUAUAAGUAGAGGAACAAUUGUAACAUAGUGGGAGCCCCAACGGGUAUCACCAUACCUUUUAAGAGAAGUUUCUUGAUUCAGGCCUCGUCCACUAGAAAUUUCUUCAUUUUCAAGUCCUUCAAUAAUUCUAGCAUAUUGUUUUUCUCUAAUCACCUCCAUCCUUUUACAUAAUGCUCCAACUAUGUUUAUAAUGCUAGAAAUGAAAUUGAAGACAUCUCUAACUUCAUUACGCUUCUUUGUAACAACUACAAGAGUCAAUUGAAGUCUGUGAGCAAAACAAUAUACAUAAUAUGCACUUAGAUUAUUAUUUAGAAUAAGUGCUUUCAAUCCAUUGAAUUCACCUUGCAUGUUAUUAGCUCCAUCAUAUUCCUGACCAUGCAAUCUUAAUAUACUUAGCCCAUGUUUAGAAAACAAAGCUUCAAUAGCUGCCUUGAGUGAAUUAGCAGUUGUAUCUGACAUAUGUUGAAUGCCAAGAAAACAUUCAAUUAUAUGUCUAUUGUUGUCUACAUAUUGUAGAACAACUGUCAUUUAUUCUUUGAUUGAUAUGUCACGUAACUCAUCAAUUAAAAUUAAAAAUAAUGAGUCACCUAGAUCUUUGAUAAUCACAUUGUAAUCUCUUCUACAACAGUUUGAGUAAUGUCUUUUUGAAUAUUUGAAGAAGUCAAUUUGUUAUGUCUCGGAGUUUCACUGAAAGUAACUCUUUUAAUAAGUUUAUUAUUUCGAGAAAGGAAAUGCAAGAGCUUUAGAUAAUUUCCUUGAUUGCUUGAACAUUCACAUUCAUCAUGGCCACGAAAUGGAAGUCCUGGUGCAACAAAAAAAGAGCACACUCUACUGAAGCAUUCAAUCGAGUUUGAUGAUCACUUUGACUUUUUACUAUCUGCUCAGAUAACAAAGUCAUGAUACUUUAUUUUUCAUUCAUCAAAUUCUCAUAUUUUAUUCGAGCUGCAUUGCGACUACCAUUAAACUUUCCAAUGUGAAGUUCGAAUCUUUUCUCUUUUUUUUUUUUUUAAUUUGAAAACCCAUCACCCAUAAACGAAUCAACACCCCCCUUUGACUUGAAGAGGUAACAAUACAAGCAAAAGGCAACAUCUUUGGCUAUGCUGUACUCUAACCAUAUUGGGUAUAUACCAAACCAAGCCGAAUUAAAGUGUCGUAGUGUUGAUAUAUUUCCAAAUUGUUUUUGAGGAAAAUCAUAGUGUGAAGGUUGACGAGGACCUUUUUGUAGAUAAGCUCUUCGAAUUGCAUCCCUAUCAUUUAUAUGGUAUUCAUAAAUUGGUCUUCUUAAGCCAGGGUCAAAGGAUAGUGUCAGGGAGGAUUUCAAUGUGACUUUUGUUUGAACUUGAUUGAGUUACAUGACUUGAAGCUUUGAUUGACUCAUUAUUCUCAAGGGAUUUACGCUUGAAAUACUUGUCUAGUGACAUGUUAAUUUAAUAUGAACCUGCUGGAUUUUUUUUAUCAUCAUUAGUGUCUACAUAAUAAUUAACAUAACUACAUAAUAAUUCAUUGUUAAACAAAAGUCAGUUGAGUUAUACAAUAAUUCUAAAUCUUCCAUAUGAAAUUUAUAGCAAAAUAAACAUCAGUUCAUCAAAAUCAAAACCUAUUUCAAUUCAUAUCUAUAUGCAUAUAAUAAGUAUGUUGAUUAAAUUAUACUUAAUCAUUUCUAGACAUUUAAUUAAAGAACAAUGCCUAUUGUAUGUAUAAGAGGAACAAUGUUUGAAAAAAAUGUUUUUUACUUGAUAUUUUACUUACAAACAAAUCAUGUGAAAAUAUUAAAUUUCAAUAAACUACUCUGUGAUUGCAAGAGAUUCCAAGAAUAGUGGUUUUGCAUAAAUAUUAAUUUAUUCCUUUAUAAUAAGAAAAGAAACACUUAAUUGAUUAAAUUAACAUAUUUAAACAUUUAUUUUGAACAUAUUAUUAAAACCCCUAAAUUAUCAUAAACCCUAAUAUUUUUAAUAACUAAAUAUAAAAGAAUAAAACUAAAAUUAGACAAUGAAAUAAAUAGAAUAGAUGAAGAAAAUUUACCUAAAGCAUAAAACAAAAUACAAAGAAGAUUAAUUGCUUAACUAUACUUGAUGAGAAAUUUGCAUAUGGGACAGGCAGGGAAUGACAACUCAUGAAAAAAAAAGAAAAAACUCUUUGUUAGUCAGGGGAAGAUAAAGAAAGAAAAGGGAAAAAUGAAAAAAAUUAGGGCAAUGAGUGUACUUUAUAUCUAUAUAUAUAUAUACAUAUAAGUAAUCAAUAAUAAACAAUAAUAAAUUUCCUUCUUCCAUGUAGCAAUAAUUCACUAAACUAAUAUAUUAAUAUAAAAAAAUUAAAAAAAAUUAAAGGGGCAUUUGUCCCUAUGUCUUCACUGGUGUUAAUUUAAUCCAAAAAUGAUCAAUAAUGACUCAUCCUGAAUCAUUUAUAUAUUUAUACAAAUAUAUUAUAUAAAUAUAUUUGUAGAACAUUUAGAUUUUUUUUAAUAUAAUAUUAUAUAUACAUAUCUUAAUAUUGACAUGAAAUACAUGAUUACAUACAUACAUACGUACAUAUAAAUAAAUGAUACAUAUUAUACAUAUUAUUUUUUAUUGAAUAAUAAAUAAUAAUAAAUAUAUGUAUGGAUACUUGAAAUUUAAUUGAUAGUUUAUGAAUAUCUAAAUUUGUUAUCCAAUAAAAAAUAAAUAUAAUAUAAAUAUCAAGAAAUCCAACCUACAAUUACUCAUUGCUAUCCCUAGCAAAAUAAAAAAGAACAAAAUGGGAACAUUGAAGGGUAUAGCUCAACUGAUCAUGUCCUAAGUUUGUUCUCUAGAGAUCACUAGUUUAAGUCUCACAAACCUCAUAACCAUUAGAGGCUUAUAUGAUCGUUAACUUCAGGGUUCGUGGAAUUAGUCGAAGUGCACGCAAGCUGACCCAAACACCCGUUAAUAAUAAUAAAAAAAGGACAAAUGGAUGAUGCGUGUGAAGCCAUUCAUUAAAGUUGAACCAAUCGAUGCCUGCUAAGAUAGGAGAGACAAUUGGAAAACUUUAUGACUUGAGCAAUGUCAAUGAAAUAAUUGGAUGCAAUCUUCUUGCUUAAAAAUUAAAAAAGUAAUUCUUAUAUUUACUUAGGAUAGGUUAUGUUUAAUAAUUGGUAAAAUUUAUAUAAAAAAAAUUUUAGGCUAGGCCCAGGCAACUAGCCACCCUGGUUGCCCAUUUUAGAUAACCAAGUGUGGUUGUCUGGGCUUGACCCAACGACCAAUCUAAUUUUAUUUCUUUCUCUUUAAGAUUUUUUUUUUUCUGUCUAUGCAUUUUCCUUUCAUAUUUAUACAUUUAUUUUCUAGGGUACUAACAAUUAUAACAUGUAGCCACAUAAUUUUUGUUGUCUUGUAUGUGUAUGCUUUUUACAAAUAAACAUUGUUUUCUAACACCAAUAGCUAUAUUACUGCUACGCCUACCAACUCACAUGAACACCAAUAAAAAUAAAUAUAUCGUAUCACAAAGACAUGGCACAUCAAUUUCUACUACAUUCACAUACCAAGCACAAAACCCAUGAAACAACAUCAUACUAACCGGUGAACCACCUAGUUGGUCAGUGACACAAUUCCUCCUUCAUGAAGAAAUGUUCAAGCUAGGUGUUUAAAUACACUCGAUCUAACAAGUAAAACAAGAUCAAAUUUGGAGACAAAGACUCUCCACAAUAAAGAGUCACAAAGUCUCUAUUUAGGUAAACUCUCAAAGUUCAUAGACUUUUCAAAGUCACACAAAGCCAACCACAUCCAAAUAUACACACAAUGUACUUUCAUUUUUCUUUUCUAUAUAUUUUCUUCUCCCUCACAUACAAUUACCAACUUAAGCAUGAGAAAGUCUCUCGAUCUAUUAGGGAUAUACUUUUUCAAGAACUCUCAAAUACAAGCUUAGUCCAGAUUACAUUUCUUGGCCUAGUCUCGCAGUAGACCAUAGAAAGCUAAUUUUUAUUUGAGGGUUUUUUUAAAUGAUUUCAUCAGUUAUAUCGUUUAUAAGGAUUGGAAAAAAAAUCAAUUUAUUAUUGUUUAACACAUUUCACCAAGAACAUUUUCUAUAUCUAACAUAACUCAUAACCAUAUCCUUACUAAAUGGACUCUAGCUCCCUCAAGAUUUUAUCAAUUCUGUAACCAAGUGUAAAUGCUCAAUGAUGCUAUUGCAACAAUGCAACUAUAUUAGCACACUUUUUGUUAUGAACAACUAUAAGCUAAUAUGCAUACACUCUCUAAUUCUAUGCAAAAACAAAGUAUAUCAUAUAAUGAUAUGCAAGCGAAAUAUAGAUGUAAAAACACAAUGUUAUAUGUAGAUACAAAGCCUGAUUAUUUAUAAACCCAUUUUAUUAAAUUUAAAUCCUUCUCCGUUUCAAAGAUAAUGCGAUCAUUCAUGUUACAUAUAUUUUAAUUUUUAAACUUGAUGAUUUGAAUUAGGUGAAAAAAAAGAUAACAAGCAAUUAAAUUAAUUACUAUUUUUAUUAAAUAUUAAAUCGUGUUUAUUCUAUUUAAAUUUUAUAGCUUAGAUUAAAAAAAACCAUGAAGAAAAUUACUGGAUCCCAUUUUAUUCCCAAAAAAAAAAUCAGUUGCAUUAGACAUCAAAUCAUGUUAGUUAGUAAAAGUCAGCAGUUCCGCACGUUUAUGAAAUCCAACAAAAAGUCUUGCAUUACCACACCUUCUACACUUCUAUAUAGCAAUGCAAUUUUGAUAGCAUUCGUCUGCUUUUCAAUAAAACGUCGUAGUUUCACUUUUCAAUACCUUGUUUUGUUAUGGUUUCAAUUUCAAAUCCCAAUAAAAUAAAGUUAAGAGAGAAAAACCAAAACGAUAAAAGCUACAAGGCGGGAAUUCCACUCCAAAUUUAGUGGGGCUGGGGUCACCACGGACCCCACCUUCCAGAAUUUUUUUUUUUUUAGCUAUUUCAAAAAAUAAAAAAAACCCAAAAUUGAAAAAACGCGUUACAUUUCCCAGCUAAGAUAGGCAAACGAAGCUGUUUUCCUUUCUCGAUCUUUAGACCCCAAUAGAAGGAAAAACCGAAAUCAGUUCCGAUUUCGUUCAGAACGUUGUCGAUCUAUACAUUUCUUCCUCGACGAUUUCUCUCUUACGGCUUCUUCUAUAGCAAUGGCUGUUGAUUCUUCGCGAUCUCGCGUUCGCUUCUGCCUCUAACAAUCUCUCUCAAGUUCGAGCUUUCAUUACUCACAUUUUGACCGUAGCACUCCUUUUUCUUCUAAUUAGGGUCAAAUGUCGAUCUGGUGGCGAAUUCGCGUAUUUUUGGUCAUAUAUGGAAGUGCAUUUGUGAUUAAUGUGUUUGAAAUGAAGAAUUUUUUUUGCUCUUGUUAGGGUUUUUGCAUUUUUUUUUUAAAUUAUUGAAUUCAUAAGGUAGCUAACGAUGUAGAGGUAAAUUGUAGUUAACGAAUUUUCGUUGCAUCUGUUUUUCUGGCUGAGGUUAAUUAGAAUAGGCUAUUAAAUUUGAUGAAGCUAAAUAAUACUGUUUAGUUGAUUUUGUAGUGAUUUUUUUUAUUCCUUUUUUCUUUUCUCUUUGUUUUUGGUAAAGUGUAGGGAAAGAAAAGAAUCUAAAGCCAGCGUUUUUAGCCUUUUGUGACAAACUCUCUCUCAUUUUUCUUAACCUGAGUUUAAAGUAGAUAAAAUAUUUACAAUUAGAGUUGCUAAGGUGUGGAAAUUAAUAUUUUGAACAUUUAUUUUGUGCAGUUCCAUAAUUAACACGUAGAAGCAAAUAAUUCUAGAUCAUUGAAACAUGGAUAUUUCGCCAGAACGCAGCUUGAGCGAAAAUGGGGGAUAUGACAGCUCUAAUGAAGCUCAUGAUGAUGAUGGUAAGGAACGCGCAAAAUCCCGUGCUGCUUUUUUUUAUCCUUUCUUGAUUAUGUGUCUUAGUUGAGAAUUUUGAUUUGGUUGCAGUCAAUAUUCAAUCAUUGGUUGAUUGGUUAAACCAUGCCCUACCGCAUUUAAAUAUGCCAUUGGAUGCUUCAGAGGAGGAACUGAGAGCAUACUUGAUUGAUGGCUCUGUCUUGUGUAGUAUUUUGAACAAGUUCUGUCCUGGUUUAGUUGAAAUGGUUGGAUUUCUUUCUUAUCAACGUUUCUGCUGUAUGGUUCUGUUUAUCUCGUACAUUUUUCUUUUUAUGGUUUUGUAUUUUUCUAACAGGAAUUUGGAUUUGUUUUUUGGGCUUUUAGAGAGGCAGUUCUGAACCUGGACCAGAAAAUAUCCGAAAGUUUCUAGCAGCUAUGGAUGAAUUGGCCUUGCCUAGGUUUGUACUUGCAGACAUACAGGAGGUAAGCAAAUUGUUUUUUUGUAAUAAAAGCAAUUGUAGUUUGAAUUUCAGUCUAAUAUUGAUUCAGCUAGGUAUCAUUCAUUUGAUUUUGGGAUUCAAACUCAAAUGAAAGUGGAACCGACUUGACAUUAGAUCUGUUCUCUAAAGACAAUAUGAUUAAAAUAGUCAUGUGUUGACACACUAGGUCUAUUAAUAAGUCAUCUCCUAGUUAGAUUUCAGUGAAGUGGGUCUUGGAAGGGAGUGUUAAACCUAGUUGAUACAUUGUUGUGACAAAUUAACCUUUUAUAUCAUUGUGCUUCAUCAUUGAUCUAGUUUGACGUCUAGCAGGGUUGGCUCUUGUUGGUAGUUAUAUGAAAUAUAAGGUUUAAGGUGAUGAGCACAUCAUUUGGUUUGGGGCUUAUUGUGAAAUUUCCCAAUACCACUUGCCUUUGCAUUUGGCAUAAAAAAACUGGAUAUUCUGUUACUAGCUUUCAUGUCCUUGUCUCUUGUAAAAAUUUACUGAAACAGAUAAUAUGAGAUGCUUUGCAGGGAUACAUGGAGCCAGUUCUGCAGUGUCUUGUGACCCUUAAAACACACAUUGAAUUUAAUGGUGGGAAAGAGAGCAUCCGUGAGCAUCUAAGAAGAAGAUGGAAUCUACCAAAGAUGGAGUUUUCAGAGGGAAUCGAUAACUCGCAAGUGGACACAAUGACAUAUGGUGAAAACUCUUCCAUAUAUGGAGAAGAGAGGCAAAGAGAUUCUUUUGACAACAAAUAUGGAAGCGGUAUGGAUGGUUCUAUCUCAUUAAAAUUGUAUGAAACAGAAGUUGUACUUGUAUGCAUUAAAAUUGCAACUUUCUAAUUACAUGCGCGAUUAGAUUUGCUUGGCAAGGUCCAAACAGAUCUUUCUGCAUUUGAUUGGGGUUAUUGUGAUCCUGUAUGGGGCAGCUAUGAAGGGAAUAAUACUAAACCUGAUCUUGGUUCUAUCUUAUUCUUGUUCUUCUGGUUGCAAAUAUGGAAGCGGUAUGGGUGGUUCUAUCUCAUUAAAAUUGUAUGAAACAGAAGUUGUACUUGUAUGCAUUAAAAUUGCAACUUUCUAAUUACAUGCGCGAUAGAUUUGCUUGGCAAGGUCCAAACAGAUCUUUCUGCAUUUGAUUGGGGUUAUUGUGAUCCUGUAAGGGGCAGCUAUGAAGGGAAUAAUACUAAACCUGAUCUUGGUUUUAUCUUAUUCUUGUUCUUCUGGUUGUUUCCUAUUCAGCGUCUGCUGCUUUGGUGCAUGAUGUUGUACACAAUUUAUCUGAGAUGUUCCAACAAAAGCAAGGGUCUUAUGCUGAUCUUUCAGAUUCCAAUAUUUUGGAAUUGAUGAAAUCAAAUGGGUUGGACGUAAGUUUCUGGCAUCUUGUGUGUUUGUGUGAUGAUCAAUUAAGAAAGCUAACUUCAAGAGCGAUGCUGCUCUAAUGCAUUUUUUUUCAUUCCUUUGAGCAGAAUACCUCUACUCGAACAUUGUUCAGCUUAGUGAACAGAAUUCUGGAAGAAAGCAUUGAAAGAAAGAAUGGGCAUGUCCAUCAUGUAUGCCAAUCAGAUGAUGCAAAGACACUACAUGUCUAAUGCAUGUUUCAAUUGAUAUAUUGUUUGAUCAAUAAUUUCUUGAUUUCUCUCUCUUUUGUCUCUAAGUGAUGUCCUUUGUAUGUUUUGAAUAGCAGAUGGCUCAUAUUGUGAAGAAAGUUGUGCAAGUUAUUGAACAACGGGUUUCAACUCUAGCAGUGAACUUGAAAGAUGUAAUGUUGAGUUGUCUUCUAGAUUACAUUCAUUUGUAAUAUUUUGUAUAUUGCUCACGCAUAUUGAUGACCAUUUUGUUGCCUACUUGUAGCAAAACAAUCUUUACAAGGUUCGCUUGGGAAAGUGCCAAUCACGAAUAAAAGUCUUAGAGACCCUUGCAGCUGGAACCACAGAAGAAAUUCGGGUACCUUGAAUAAAACUUUUAAUUGUCUUGCCUAUCUUAUUUGAAUUUUGUUCAAAUAAUUGAUAUUUAUCCUUUUCUUAUUUAUUUAAUAUUUAAAUGCAGGUUUUGCUGUCACAGCUACAACAAAUCAAGGUGUGACUUUGUUAUUCCAUAUUUCGGUAGCAUGCUAUUUCUGUUCAUUCCUAGUUUCCAAUGUCAGGCUGUUCUUAGCCUUUAGGCAAAUGCAACACAAUCAGGAUGCAUCUUUUGGUAUUGACAUUAUGUAUACACCAAAGAAGGGAAAAGAAAAGAAAGAAAAGAAAAUAAUUGAACUCACAUUGGUGUUGAACAUUGCAUAGCCUAGUGCAUAUGACCAGGAACUGCAGAUUUGCUCAAUUCCUCAACUACUGCAUUAUAUAGUGGUACCGUUUAUGCUGGGUGUUGCCUGCAACCUAAGUUGAAAUAUUUAGCCCCUGAUUUUGCAGGUUUGAAGGAACUGUGAUUUGAUUAAGUUGUAUAUAUAUUUUGAUUAGCAGCUGAUGUGCACAAUAGUGUCUUUAAUUUGUUGUGUAUAGUCUUCUUAUUUGUCUUAUAUUUGUAACUGUUACAUGCUGCAUAAUUGAGGAGGUUAUCCAUGUGCUUUAUUGAUGAAUGAUUCUUUUUGCGAGUGGAAGGUGGCAAGCUUUUAAAAUUAAGUAGAAAGGCAUCUAAUAUAGUCAUUUUUCAUAACUGAUAAGCAAGAACACCCACAAAGAUGUAAUAGUGUUUGUCUGUGUUAUAUUGCUUGUUCUGUAACUCUCUUUUUUUUCCAUCAUUUUUUUUUGUUGCAGAUUGAGAAAACUAAAAUAGAGGAAAAGAAAAAACUUGAAGAGCAGGAGCUACUUAGAACAAAGCAAGAGAAAAUCCACAGUGAUAUUGAGAACUCAACGCUGAAACAUGAACUAGAGAUAGCCAAGACAACACAUGAAGAGCAUUACUUGCUAUUGCAAGUGCAGGCUGAGGAAACUAAAGUUGAAUUGGAGAAGAAAUUAAAGGAACUUGAAUGCUUCUUAGCAGAAUCAAAGAAGAGGGUGAAAGAACUCGAGUCAUUUUCUGAAUCUAAAUCACAGAGAUGGAAAAGUAAAGAGGGCUCAUAUAGAAGCUUUAUAGAUUAUCAAUCUAGAGCUUUGAAGGUUUGCCUCACUCUCUUGUUCUUAAGUGAGCUUCUGUUGAUGUUAAGUCAGUAAAUUAAUAAUACUUUUACUGUUAGGAAUUGAGGGCAGCUGCUGACUCUGUAAAACAUGAGAUCUUGAAGGCCAAAAGGAGUUACGCUGAGGAAUUUAAUUUCUUGGGUAGGAUUGACUGUCUGCUAUAGUUUAGUUUAGUAUUGUUUUUCAAUUUUGUUUAUUAAUUUGAUGUCAACAAGUGCGUUCUGUGAUUUGAGGGGCUUUCUCUCAUGCUGUGCAUGUUUUUUUUUUUUUUUUUUUAAAUCUUGAGCAGGUGUGAAGCUUAAAGGACUAGCAGAUGCUGCUGCAAAUUAUCAUUCAGUUCUUGCAGAAAAUCGAAGGCUAUACAACGAGGUUCAGGAUUUGAAAGGUACACUGCUCCAUAUGUUUUGCUUGGUAUGCUCAUGUUGCUUGUGCUGAUUGCUGCACUUGUUUUAGGAAAUGUUAUAGUGCAUUUUCUUUGUAGCUUAUGCUUAUCUAUCAUCUGAUCAUAGGCAAUAUUAGAGUGUAUUGUCGGAUAAGACCAUUCCUUCCUGGACAAUCUAAGAAGCGAACAACAGUAGAAUAUAUUGGCGAGAAUGGUGAAUUGGUUAUAUCAAAUCCUUCAAAACAAGGAAAAGACAGUCAUAGGCUUUUCAAAUUAAACAAGGUUUUUGGUCCAGCAGCUACUCAAGGUUAGAGUUUUCCUUUUCUUUCAUUUCUUUUUUCAAAAAUCAAAGAUUGAUUUUACUUCACAUUUUUCCUUUGAAUUCCUUUUUUUUUGUUUUUUUUUUUUACAAAUAACCAAAGUUGUUGGAAGGCUUGCAUUCAGUUGCACAUAUUUGUAUUCUAGAGAUUGUAUAUGACUCCUAGCUUUAUGUUCUUGUUAACAUAUGUUGGCAGAGGAGGUAUUUUUAGACACCCAACCACUUAUUCGGUCUGUCCUUGAUGGAUACAAUGUAUGUAUAUUUGCAUAUGGUCAAACAGGCUCAGGAAAGACCUAUACAAUGGUAUGAUAAUCUAUUUUUUCUCACCUAAACAUUUUCAUUAUUAUAAACCUUUUGCUUACAAAUUGUACUUUGUGCUCGUGUCUUUCCUCUAGAGUGGGCCUACUAUGACAUCACAAGAAGAUUGGGGGGUCAAUUACCGAGCGCUGCAUGAUCUUUUUCAGAUCUCCCAAAACAGGAAAAGCUCCAUUACAUAUGAAGUUGGUGUUCAAAUGGUAGAAAUUUACAAUGAGCAAGUUCGUGAUUUACUCUCAAGUGAUGGUCCUCACAGAAGAUAUCCUUCAUGUUCAUUAUCUUCAAUUUUGUUAUUAUUUUUCGUGGUUGGCAAUUUCAACUCUAUAGCUUUAACUGGGUUGAUCCUGUUAUCCUUUCUGGUUCUUUAUUGAUUUAUGAACGCAAAUUCUUGCUUUCUGGUUGAUUUCUUGUUGGUUAAUUCAGAGUUUGCUCCUACUAAUCUUGAUUUUAGUGGUAAAAUAUUUGUAUUUCCCCUAACUUGCACACACUUGGGAUUUGGAGUACAACCCAACCAAAUGGAUUGGCUGUCCCUGAUGCCAGCAUGCAUGCUGUUACAUCAACUGCAGAUGUGUUGGAAUUAAUGCGCAUUGGGUUAAUGAACCGUGCAGUGGGCGCUACAGCUCUAAAUGAAAGAAGUAGUAGAUCCCACAGGUUGUCUCUUUUAUGGUGAUUGUUGGCACAGUAGGUUUUAACAAACUGUUUUUGUUUUAACUGAACUCUUAUUUUGCAGUGUUCUCACCAUUCAUGUCUAUGGCAUGGACUUGGAAACUGGUGCUGUUUUACGUGGUAACCUACACUUGGUUGACCUUGCUGGUAGUGAAAGAGUGGAUCGAUCUGAAGCUACUGGAGAAAGGUUGAGGGAAGCACAACAUAUAAAUAAAUCAUUAUCUGCACUCGGGGAUGUUAUAUUUUCUUUAGCGCAAAAGAGUCAGCAUGUGCCAUACAGAAAUAGCAAACUAACUCAAGUACUUCAAAGUUCAUUAGGUGCUUUUUUAUCUAAAGUGCUUUGUCAUAAUUUACGACUCAUAAUGUCUGAUAAAGUAAAUUUGAUUCUCUAAGUCUUAUUAGAAUGCACUAAUGGCUUCCCUAUAUUUUUUCCACAUUCUAGGUGGUCAAGCGAAGACCCUCAUGUUUGUGCAGCUUAAUCCUGAUGUAGAUUCCUAUUCAGAAACUAUAAGUACUUUGAAGUUUGCUGAGAGGGUUUCAGGGGUUGAGUUAGGUGCUGCAAAGAGCAACAAAGAGGGAAGAAAUAUUAGAGAACUCAUGGAGCAGGUUGAAGACUUAUUCAUUCAUCAAUACUUAUAAAAGUUGUGCGUGAUUACUUUGAAUUGUCUCCUGGAAUAGAGAUAACCCGUGAUUGGUGAAUGUUCAGCCAUAUCAACAGGCACAUGUGAAAGUGAAUGGGAAACCCCAUUAACCAGUGUCCCUUGACCAGCAUUUAUCUCUUUGACUUUGACCUUUAUUAGCAUUACCUUUGCCUGACCUCAUGGAGUGACUGGCUUCUUCACCUUCGUAGGAUAUAGAUAUUCGAAGUUGAUAGGGGUGAGAAUGAGGAUAUUAUUGUUCUGUUGCCCAUGUUAUUCGAGUCAUAAAGCUCAGUUGCUUAACAGAAUUUGAGUUUCCUUGAGCAUUCAAUAGACUUUACCUGUUUUCAAUUUUUUUAUAAUCUGCAUUGAAUAAUUUGAGUCCAUUUGAUUCAAUAUAUUCAAAGUCAACCUUGCAGGUUGGAUUGCUCAAAGAGACAAUUUCAAGGAAAGAUGAUGAGAUUGAGCGGCUGCAGCAUCUCCAGGCGAGUGGCAAUGGUGUGAAGUGUGAUAUGAAUUCACGUAGGUAUGAUUCUUCUUCUCCAAGAAGACAUUCAAUUGGGACUGCACUACAUAACCAAAGGCUAUCAGGAGGGAAAGGUUCAGGGCUUUUUGAGAAAGCAUCUUCUGAGACGGACAACUGUUCUGGGAACAGUGAAAGACACUCUGAAGCUGGUUCUGUAAAGUCAAUGGAUGACUUUAAGGAUCUCAAAACUUUGCUUCCACAGUCAAAGUCAAUGGAUGACUUAUCAGUCAAAAAGGAAUUUGUCUCUCAGCCUAAGUUUGUUGGACCAGGUGUUGAUCAGAAUGAUAAAGAAGACCUUGAUCUCUUGGGCUUUGGAGAUGCAGAUUCUGAUGAGCGAUUAAGUGACAUAUCUGAUGGUUGUCUUUCAAGGGCUGAAACUGAAGGCUCUCUGGGUAGUGCUGUAGAGUUCACUCUUUUCCCUGAAUCUAAACCUUCUGAAGUUGCAAAACCAGCCGGAAAGGCUGAGAACAAGAGGUGCGUAUGCUUCAAUUUCUUGAUAAAUUUGAAUGUUCUGCAAUCUUUUUUUGCGGGUUUAGACAGCUACUUUCUGGUGUUUUCUGAUACUUUCUUCUCAUUUCAAUUCAUGAGUCUGCUGUAAUACUACACUCUGACUGCCACUCACAGUUUUAUCACUAAAGUAAAUCCAGUGUAAAAGUUCUGAUAUUCACAAUAUAAAUUGUUUCACUUUCCCCAACUUUUUCAAUCGCACAUAAACUAAGUUUAUAUUUAAAAGUUAUUGCUCAAUUUUUACAGGACCUGCUAUUGUAUCAUAUGCAUACUUUCAGUGCUGUUAUACCUGCACUUUUACUGUAGUUAAACUAAAACUUUUCCCUGAAGGUAUUGGCAGUUUAAUUUUCUAGACUCCAUGUGAAAUGGGCAUUUCUCUUUGUUCUUCAGUUUGAUAGUUUCUGGUCAAUUGUCCUCAUCUCUUUCCUCAUUUUGUAUAUGGGAAGCCACCAUUGAUUUUGUAUCUCCAGCAUAAAAAAAGAAAGAAAAAAAAAGAAUGUAUUUGCUUUAUGAUGCCAUACGGCUUUCCAGUGCAUAGUGACAUUGUCACAUCUCUUUAUUCGUAGAUUUCAUAUCACUUACUAUGUUCUGUCGCUUCUUCCUAUUUAAAGGUGUUUUUGUGUUGCAGUUCUUGACGACAAUGAUUUUAAUCUGAUUUAUAUACCGCAGUGUUGAAAUGAAUCCCUAGCCUGACAAAUUUUGCUGUUUUCAGCAGACUGGCUUAUUCAUCUGGGCUUCCUAAGCCUUCGCAAAGACCGGCGCAAACAAGAUUACCACGCUUGUCUCUGGCUAAGAGCUCUGCCUCCAAGGCUUCAUCGAGUACGAAUAUUUCAUGCUUUAACCAUUUAUCCCCUCUUAUGAUUAUAAUGCAGGACAAGUUCUUAUAGCUAUUAUAGCUUCGUGUACAUCGAUGCCCUACACUAUAAGGAUCCCUGACAUCUCUAUCUUCCUCUUGUUUUUUCCUUGUAAGGUAUGUCAGAAUCUAGGAAACCUCCUGCAAGCGCUUUCUCUGCAACCAAGACAGUGAAACGAUGGCACUGAAAGUGGAGGGAGUUUUAAGAUGGUAGAAGAAUUGACACUUAACCUUAGCAGCUGGUGUCUCUAACUGAAAAUGAUUAUCUUUACCUCUAGUUGCUUCCAUUUGUCUCGUGGAAGUGUUUGUAUUUGUAUAUGCUCAAGGAUGGGCAAAAUGGUAACUCACGUUGGUUUUACCAUUCUGUCACUAUUUAUAUCACGUUCUGUUUUUUGUUUUUAUUUGACGGUACUAACUCUCCUGUUUUUCACUUUUGUUUUUUGUUUUAAAAAAAAAAAUACUCCGAAGGCCAAAAGAACAGAGAUUAAUAUUAAUUAACAAUAACAAUACAAUUAACAAUUAACAUUAAUUAGCAUUAACAAUUAAGGAUUAAGAAAAGAAGCUAAAUUAGGAUGGUGUUUCGCUGUACUGAACUGUGGACGUUCACUUGCUUUGUGGAUUGAGUGGCAAAACUAAUUUAAUAAAGCGUUUAACUUUAUUUAGGUAAAACUAUCCUAUGCUGAUAAGUAAACUAAAAAAAUUUUAGAAGCCUCGAAUCCUUCAAUGCAAAUUUUAUGUGAAGUUUAUCAAUUAAAUAGAAAAUAUAAGAAUCACGAUUAAUAUAUCAUCAACAUAAACGUAAACUAAAAAUAAAUGAGAGCACUACUAUGUUGAUAAGUAAAAAGUGAAUGAUCCACUUGAGAUCCAAUAAGGCCAAGCUCCAUAAAAAACUGAGAUAUGCGUUUUAACCAAGCUUGAGGAGCUUGUUUGAGUCUAUAAAAAGCCUUGUUGAGUUUACACAUAUAGUCAGGAAAAUCAAGAUCAACACAGCCACAGGUUUGUUAAUCUUUUGAAUUAUUGUUAUGUAGUCUCAUGUGAUCCUUGACUCACAAAGUUAGGUAGUAGAAGUAUCGCAUUUGUCAAGCUCUCCCAUUGAAACACACACGCACACCUCCAUCCAUAUUUGAACUGAUGCACCAAAACCCAUUUUGUACUUCUGUUCUAGAAUAGCUUUAUAUGGAUGUAUCUUGAAUCCGUCUGUACAAUUUAAUUGCAAGGAUAUGUUAGGAACUUUAUCAUUCAAGAUCUUUAUGACAAAGGAAAGACAGAUAUUAUUCAUUGUCAUGACAUUAAUAGAUUUUCAACUGAUGAGAAGUUUCUGUAGUCUGGUUUUUCCUAUUCCAAAGCCUGAGUGUGCAUUUGGGUGACUUCACAAGAAUUAGGUGCGAAGAUCCUUUCAGUUAGUUGCGUAAUCUGAAACUUAUGAUAUUUCUCCAUAUGCUGCCUGCUAUCAUCAUAACCUUUUGCACGUUUCUGAAAAAGUGGCAUUUUGCAGAUUCCUGGAUCCAUGAGCCCAUAUGGAAGCGUAUUUCAUGCACUUCAAGAAACAGGCAAGAAUGAAGGUUUGAAGGGCCUCUAUAGGUACAGUUGAUUUGGAUCUGCACAUUUUCAUCAAAGCAUGAUAAUUUUUUUCACAAUCUGUUUACAUGCUUAAAAUGGUGGAACAUUUCAAGUUCUCAAGUCAUCUUUGAUGAGUCUUACCUUCUAAGAACAGAUAACUCUGCUUUGGUUUUUGAGUUGAAGAAUGUCGAGUGUUCAAAAUCUGAAGUUUUCUAGAACGAACUAUGGUAUGUAAAAGCGUGACAUAUUUGGCAAAGCUGUUAGAAGUUUGAGGCAUAUGUGUGAGCUUGUAGUGAUUAACAUGGCCUUUCAAAAUCUUUUCAAAGUAAUUUUAGCUUUUUGAAUUAUCGUUUUAGAAUUAUAUUCCCAGCAUUGAAAUCUGCAGAUGCUAGCAGCUAUGCUUAACCACUUUUCUUUUUGUUUCCAAUUUCAGGUGAUUAACUCCAAGAUUGGUUAUGUACAUAUCUCAAGUUGCUGGAGAACAUUGACCAGCUUAUAUUCUAUCGCAUUCAUGGUGUUUGUAUGGUCAACCAAUUAAUAAAAUGUCCACGUUUUCCCUUUUCCCUUUUCUAACUAAAAAAAAUUCUCGAAAUAAUAAUUAAAAUCAUCGGUAGGUCAUCAGCUUUCCCUGGCUAUUCGAUGAUUAAAGCCAUAUUGAAACUUUUUGAAAAUAACAGGAGUCAUGUUGAGAAAUCUCAAUUAUAGGGGCUAGAGUGAAAGCAUUGUUGAAUAUAUAGGAGCUAAAAUUUAAUCUAUAUCUUCUUACUGUUUCAUUUUUCCCAAGGGAACAUACGAUGCCCAGGUAGAGUUGAUGUGUGUACUUGAUAGCCUCUUCUUUCCACGCUUCAGCUCGAGGGUACGAGGAGCUGCAUUGAUGCUUUCUACCAAGAUGGGUAACUUUUAUUUUCGAUUGCAAAAAAGGCCUGUUAGUAUGAAGGCAGCUACUACUGUUAGUAUUAGAUUAGCAAUUCAUGACAGCAAGAGGAAGAUGACAUGAGGGCCACAAACAAAUGGGAGAAUUUUCAAAAUUGUAAUAAGAAUUUGUUUGGUACAGGCCAACUGUUAUGGGAGCAUGCUCGAUGGGACAAAACAUGUCAAGAUUUUCUUAUGUAAGCAAGGACAUGUCCUUCAAAAGGUAACCACAGCAUGGCUCUGUCAUGAUUGUAAUCGAGGACAGAAAAAAUCUGGAAAGCAAUGUAUCAUUGUUUUCGGAAUCCCAAGUCCCAAGUGUGAAAAAUUAUUGAGCUAUCAGGUAGUGAAUAAAAAGAGGUAACUGCAUCUGCAUGAAGUAUUUAACCAGGAUAAAGGAAUCCAUUAUUCAUUAUUUUGAAGUGACAACAAUUUUGAACUUCACAGCUCCAAAUAUAUUAAUAAAAAAAGAAAAAGAAAAAAAAAGUAUAAGACCCCUUCUUUCUUUCCACUCAGCACUUUCUCCCUCCCUAUCAAGUUACAAUUAUGGACAGCAAUGUGUUUCUAUUCUAUUUCUAGCUAGUUGAAAAAUGGAAAAACAAAAUAGAAUCAAAUUAUACAUUGAAAAAAUCCUGACGAGCACAGCUGUUUAAAGGUUGCUAGUUAGCCUUGGCAAAGAUUACUGCAACCGGCCACUUCCUGCCGCCUCCUUUUAGAUCAUGAAAAACUCUUUCUUCGUUGGAUUUUUUUUGUUCCAGUUACUUGCAAGCCUGAUCAGCGUUUCUCUACAGGAAGCAUUCAGCGUUACAAAGCAAACUGUCGAGUCUAUACCCGAGAAAUUGGAGAAAAGGGAGGGUUAAGCACGUAAGACUGCCUGAUCCCUUCCACUUUCUUGGAUGCUUUUCUUUUCUCCUCCUCUGUGACUGUUUCAAUUAAGAACUUCACUUCCUCCUCAAUAAGCAUUUUCAGUGAAUUGCAAUGUGAUAACUGAUUGCCUCUUUCCUCUCUAGUCACACCAGUGGCUUCUGUACCAUGCAAUAUAGCAACACAUAUGGAAAAUGCUUGCAAUGUGGAUAAUUGUGCAUGGAAAUCAACAGCAUAUUGACCCUCUUCAAGAACUGUCAUGGUCAAUGCUGGUAUAUUCUCUUUUGUUCCCUUCACAAAAAUUGAUUCUGGUUACAGCUAGGAAGAAACUAAUUACAUGAUUCAUAUCAACAAUAAAGCAAAGUUAACCAUAUUCAGUUCCUGGGAUUUAUUGUUUUUUAUCCAAGUGUAAGAAUUCCAUUUUAACAGUGUUAGCAAUGCAAAAUAUCCUCGAGUACCAAUCAAGAAGCUUACCAUAAGAAAAAGUUCCAGAGGCCGCUGAUUAUCCAAGAGUGGCUCAUCUUCAGCACAUUGGAUGCCAGGAUUGCCAAAAACGGUAAGGGGGCAGGCCAUAUCCCAGCCACCACAGUCACAGCCUCCACCAGAUCUCCAUCUAUCAAGCAAUGAAGAAGGACCCCGACUAUCACCGUUUGGCAAACUAUGAUUGCCAGUUGGAAUCACCACCUUCACGUUCUCUGGAUUUUCUUUAUCUGGUAUAGUUUUCCUCCUUUGCUCACCAACAGAAAGGUUGAGCAGAUUUGAAUGCAUUUCAUCACUACCCUUGUCCCCCCUUUUGUAUUUCAGGCUCUCUCUCUUUGCAAAUGGGAGUUGAAUAACAACGGCUGCUAUUUCAAGGUCUGGAUGCAAAACUGCAGAUGCCCGUGGAUAAGGAUUGGAAGAAUCAAAGUGGCCUCUAUCAAAAGCAUAGUUUGGUUGAUGCUUCACUGCAUCAGAGUUACCACCCAUCUCAUGACUUCCACCAACCAAGCCUGGAUUGGCACUGCUGUCAGGUCUAAAAUCAGGGGAGUCUUCAGUAGAAACUCUGUGUCUUGCAUGCGCAAUAUCGUACAUCACAAACUCUGUCACCAUAGAGUUGUCAAAGUCCCCACCAUCUUUUAAUUUUGAACAUAAAUAACACGAAACUUGCAUCUGCCCCACUACCAACGAUUCCUUAUUGCCAUCAGUCAACCCCCAUCCUGUGGCAUUGCUCUUUUUUCUACUGGAAAUGGAGUGAAAUGUAUAGACCCAAUUAAAUGCGUUAUUUGUUUUCCAUGUCUUAGCCACCAGAACUUCUUCAGGGAAAUCUAAUGAGAACUCGAAAAAUGGCAUCCCGUGUUUAUUUUCCAACUUCAGUCGACCAUGUAGGUGAACUGGUGAACACGCUACAGCUGAAUGAUGGUGAUCUUUCUGGGCAGUCUGAGAAUCAAAAUCUACCUUUUGAUCUGUAUGUGAGAAGUCAUGGAACAAAUAUUUCCGAAAUGUCUGAUUCCUUCUCAUGUUUGACAUCCCAGUAGUUUUGGCAUCACCUGGUUCAGGGACAUGACCUAACGGACUCCGGAGAGACUUGGACUUUGUGAAUGGAUCGAACAUCAUCCGCAUGGGACUAAAUCGGGACUUUGAGCUGGCUCCAUUAGAUAAAUAACUUCCUGAAGAAGAAGGUGAACAGGGAAUUUCUACCUUAGCAGAGAGUGAUUUCUGGAAUGUCAGGGCUGUAUCUCUUUCCAGAAGCUCAUUACCAUCAUUUAGUGGACCAACAACUUGCUCACAUUUGAAGUUUGGAUUCCCAAUCGAGUCACUUCCAACUACUCCAGCAGAAUGUUUAUCUCUCUUAUCCAAAUUUGGACAAAUUUCAGUGAAGUCAUCUGAUGAGCAUGGCUCUAUGCAAGGUCUUCGAACAGACAUUGGAUUCAAGUUUGAGCUCACAGAGCUUGCAGGAGAUCUCUUCUGCGUGGUCUCUUCAUCUAAGCAAUGCAGAGAGUCAACAAUUCUGAAAGAAAACGAAGUGUCACUAGCACGCGACGGUUCAAUUUUUCUCCUUCCCUCAUUACAGCCCAUUUCCUUCAUUCUCCUUACUUCUCUGGAGCUUUGAUACAUGGAGCCUCGCUUUGGCUCUAUGUGACCUUCUGAACCAACAGGUCUAGACAGAGCAUUCUUGCAAGAGGAACUACGGUAACGACGGAAACUAAUCUCAGUGAAGCUCUCCUUUACCCUCAAAAUAUCAUCUUUGCGUGUGAGUUUGCCAUUCACACUUCUCUUUUCAACUUCUGAACAACGUCGAUGAGGAAGAACAGUAUUAGGACUCAGAUCUGAGAUGCUACUCUUCUCAGAAUCCAACUCCAUCUCCAGUUCCAUUUAAAGAUCCAAAAUUCUACAAAAGAACAAAUCCAAAAUAAGAAGACAAAUAUGGUAAUAUCUGAAGAAGAAGAAGAAGAAGAAGAAGCAAAAGACCCAGAAAUGGGAAAGUAGCAAUAUCUAUGAAAUCUGAUUAUAAAACUCUCAGAAUCCCAAUUCAGAUAUGCAAGGAUUGAUUAGAAUUCCUACAAUAAUAGCAGCUAACUUAACUGGCAACUAUACGUCACCAGAGACCAGUAGUCUUGUAAUCAAUAAAAAAAAAUCAUCUGCAUUUAAAAGGAUUAUUCAAUUGCCAUCAUAUGCAUUUGUUUUGACAUCCAGCUAUAAACAACAAAUAGAUAUCUGCUUUUAAGCAAAGUAACUAUACAAAUCACACAGGAAACGGAAAAACAAACAAUAAAAAACAGCUGCCUACUAAGAACUUGAAAAGCCAGCACAUUAUUGUUUACAAAGACCAAUCUGCGCAUAUGAAGAGCUGUCUCUAAUAUUCUAAUUUUGAAGAGCUAAUAUAAAGGUUGAAGUAGUAGUGUAAUGACCUUCACAAAAAAUUAUUGUUUCAAAAAGCAUGCUCCCCAUUUGAUGAUUCCAAAGUUUGAGAUCAAAAAAACCUCAAAAGAAACUAACUUUGAUGAUCCAUAAAACUGAAAAACUUGAACUAACAAGGAAUCCUACGAUCUAUGAAAAUUUAACUCCCAGAAAAAAGAGUAAAGUGCCAGACAUAAAGGCUAUAUACAAUUAUUAGCAACAACUUUAUAUUCACUUGCAUUCUAAGCCAAAAAAAAGAACAACUUGAGGAAAUGGUCAUACCCCACUAGAUCUCUCAGUAGUGAAUUCAAAGAAAACCCCAACAAACUGCAAGUAGCUACAAUCAUAUCCAUCCAAUCUCUUCCAGCUAAAGUCUUUUAUCAAUAUAAAAAAAAAAAAAAAAAAAAACCCAUCUUUAAGAACAGUCAGCCAUGACCCCAAAGAGUGUUUACACCCUCAAAGAAUCAACACACAGUACAAAGUGAAAGCAAGAAAAAAAAAACAAGUAGACCAAUGACAGUGAAGCAUAAUAACCAAAAAAGGUGAGUUUUAGAGAGAGAGAGAGUGUGUGUGCAUGCCUUGGAUAGUGUAUGUGUCUUCGUUUCUUCUAUAGAGUGAAGUCUCACUCCUCUCUCCUCUCUCUCUCGCACUCACUCACAUGAGAAAGAGUUGCAAUGAGAGACAGAGAGCUGCUAAGUUUCUGUUCAUGUCAACUAAAAAGCCAUCGUGUGUUCAAGUCAUGAUUUGCAGCUAGCUAUGCUGCUGAUGCUGCUGCUUGUGUUUUCUUUUUGGGUUUUGCUUUAUUUAUUUGUUUUAAUUUUCUUUUCCAAUACCUUUUGGCUUUUUAGAUGGGGGGACAGUCAUGUAUGGAAAGACAUCUAUGCCCUUCUAAUAAGGAUGAGCUCCAUUCUCUGGGUGAGGGUGAUUCUGGCUAUUUGCAUGUGUUUUAAAUUAAGAGGGACAGAUUCACUGCUACAUCUCAUUAUCUUAUUGUUUUGGGAAUAGCAGGAGGUAUCAAGACAAGAUGAUGCCUACAUUUAAUUUAGCUGUUUCCAAUAAUUAAUCUAGCAAUUGAUAUUGGUGUACUAAAAUGCAGAUCCCAUUUAACUGUAAUUACUAUAAAGUCCUCAGUGUUUGAAGCUGUGAAAUUGUUUGCUGGCAGGUAUGACCCUAGAGUAGCAAGCAAAAUUCCAUUUCCAGCGUACCUGUUGAGAGAAAACAUAAUUCCAAGGCAUUUAUCACAAGUGAGAUAUUCUAUACCAUCUGUACCUCUGAUAGCUGCUUAAAGGGUUUCUGGUACUGGUUCUUCGCCUCCCUCUUUUAUUUCCAUACCUACAUCACAUGGUUGAACUAAAGUUUAGGCGUGAGUGGUCCUUAAAGUAAAUAAAAGUGGUUCGGAUUGAUUUAAGAACUAGUUGGAUUGAAUGAAAAACUUUACUUGUUUGUUCGUAACAUACUCCAUGAAAUUUGUUGAUUUGUCCACCAGGUUGUCGAGUCCCCAGCAGCCUGUGACUAGGCUUUGUGGCAGCCACAUAAAAGUGCUGAAAGGGCAGUAGUGUCAUAUGGAAUCUGUGGGCACCCCUUUCUGCUUCAUGGUCAAAGGGGAAUAUGGUAAAAACAAGUGCACGAUGGCUGGUUUAGGCGGGAGGAAGCAAAACUGAGGGGAGGCAGUCUGUCUCAGCGACACGCAAUCUGCCACAUAAAAUUAAGCUUCCUUUUUCUUUUCUUUUUUCAAUCAGGGUUAAAUAUGAAUCAAAGAACAUGUAGCCGGUGGGGAAUCCUCUGUCUAUCAAAAGCACUUGAACAACAGAGAGCUUAAAAAAGCCUCGAGAGCGGGUCAUGAGGAUGCUAUUUUUCUUUCUUGCGGCCCAUGCGUACUAGCAGCGAGCUAGAUAUUUGCACGCUUCCCAAAAAGGUUUAUCCAUUUCGGUUGAGAUCCAAAUAACUACAGCAAUUUCAGUUAAUUUAGAUUUUGAUGCAUGGACGAGGAGGACAUGCCAUGAUUAGGUUUACAAUGAAAUUCCAUCCAGCAAUGAUUAGGUAAAAAGAACUCUUUUAAGCUUUUGACAGUAUUGCUAACAUAAACCUACUCCUGUACACCAACUCUUUGCUAAUUAUCUGAUAAAUAAACCUAACCUUCAGAAACGGGCAUAGCCCACUUGGAACAACUGUACAAGCAAAAGCAGAUUCCUGGCUGUAUUUACUACUCAACAUUCUUUCAAAUUUCAAAUUUCGGGAUUCUCUUCAAUCUUGACCUUGUUAAAUGAUCUCUGGUUUUCCAAGACGGGCAUGUAUGGUUCGCUUGUUUUCUUGAGGAAUUCAGCUGCCUUGUCAGAUUCACGGGGACUCACUAGCUUCUUCUCAACCUCGUCAAACUUGGCAGUUGCCCAUGGUGCAGUGCCUACACUUCUGGCAGAACUUGGUGUAUCUAUUGAUAGCAUAGAUACCUCAUCCCUGGAUGCAUACCAGGAAUUGCCACAGGCAAUACACUCCAACUGUAAACCGGAGAAACUAAAGUAACUGCAGGGCUUAGAUAUGGCAGUUAUGCACAUAGAUAAUAACCAGUACACAUCGGAGCUUGCAAUUCAGAGUUGCACUAUGUAGUCCAAUCAUUCAAAAUAACUUCAUUUGAAAGUCACAUUUAUAUUAUAGAUAAAACAUUCAAGACUUCAAAUUCAGGAGGAAAAAAAAAAACUUGCUAUUCCAUAAACAUUUCUUAGAUUUCAUGCUUCCAUGAAAAAUGUCUCAUGGAAUACAGGUUAACAGGAGAAUUUGGCAGAGCCAAGCCCUCCAGAACAGAUGCCCACUGCCAUUACAUGCUGCUAAUGCAAAGUACAUGACCUCUUUAGGUCAGGACCUAUCAUUAAAUGCAAUGAGUUGAAGAAGAGAUAGCUAUCAAACAGGAAUAUCUGCAAGAUUAGCAACUGAAAGAAUAACUCUUUAUGAUGUCAACUUAGUUAAGGUCCAAAGACAAGUCAAACCCAAGGAACUUCCAGAUGAUACAAUCAAAACAUGCAAAUUGGUUUUGAAUUCCAUGUUUGGUCCCAAUACUUGUGCAAUAUGACAAGACGAGAAUCCGGAGAUAGAAAAUAAAGGGUUUUAAUCUCCAAUCAGAAUUGCUGUUGCUUCAACAUAUAAGAAAACAAUUCAUGGUUUAUAUUUUCUUAUCUAUGAGCAACAGCAGUGGACAUUUUGUUCGUUGAACUAUCAUAGGUUUUUAUCUCCAAUCACAAUGCCUUACGGAAGUUGUUCACUAUCAUGGAUGGCCUAUGGAAUCUGAAAUGCAAUCUGAGUUACCGUGGUCAGUAAAAUUUUGACUUGUAAGCCAAUAUUUCAUAUAGGGAUUUAAUACAUGCACAAGAGGACUGAACCACAACUAUCAAUAAUUUAGCAGACAUGGAAAUGCAGACCUGUUGUCUACAGCUUGAUUGUAUGAACAUAUCAUGCUACUGUGCACGAAACAAUAGCACAUCUAUCAACUCACUUUAUGCAUUGUGCGUUUGCACCCUAGCUCAUUAAAUGUAGUGCAGUCAGUACGGCAACACAACUUGCUAAAUAUUUGAAAUUAUUGUUAUGUCAAAAAUAAUAGUGGGGUAGAGAACAAGGUUCUGGUGUGAAGAAAACCUGGUAGCGGGCUCCAUGUCCUGCUUGGAUGAUGUCCCUUAGUCCCACUUUAAACUCACUGCAUCUUGAGCAACGAGCAUCCGUCAUCUGAUACACAUGCAAACAGGUCAGCCAAGCAGUGAGAGCACAAGCACACAUCCAAGUGUAUGUCCAAAAAAAAUUCUAAUAUCUCAAAGUUAAAACCAAAGUGUGGUCAAAUGAAAUAACCUGCAUACGCUCUGACUCCUCAGGCUCCUUCUUUGCAGUUUCCUCUGCUGUUAAACCCUCCUGAAGAUAAGUUUGUUAAUUCAUACACUUCAUGAAUGUUGUACACAUUCCAGAUGCAAAUCACAACAGCAGAAAUGAACAAAAUAAUGGCGAGCAGGAAGAGAACUUGUACCUUUAACUCAUUCGGUGACAUGUUCAAUAUUUUUGAGGGCUCCAACUCUCUGUUUAGCAGACGGCAGGCUAGGAAUGCAUUAUUCUGAAAAAAAUUUAAAGAAGAAAAAUUGAUGUCAAUAUCCUCAGCAAAAGAAGGUAAGAUGUUCAGUCAAAAGUUGGAAACUCAACACCAUUAGUUCAAGAUGCAUCCUGUUCCACCACAAAGUAUUAAGCAUAUGAAUUUGGACCAUACUCCACACAAUAAGAUCAAUACUGCUUCAGGCAAACCUACUUGAAUGCUUAGUUUUUCCUUUAAAAGCAUUCCGUUCAAAAGCUUUUGAUAAAAUUUCAAUCUUUCAUUUCAAUAUGCAACUAAAUACAUAUGUAUUAGCAUCAUUGAUUUUAAGAACAUACCUGUUUUCUCUUUUAAAAGAAUUUCGUUAAAAUGCAGACAGAAAACACUUAAAUAUUUUAUUUUGGUAAACCAGCUAAACACGUACAUGUGUGAAUCACUAGUAUCCAAAUGUAAAGUAACAGUAACUGCAGUCCCACUAAAUGACUGCACAUCAUUUAUGAAGACUGAACUCAGCUCCGUUGCAGUAUUGCACCUUUAUCCCUGAGCAGAAAGGAGGAAGAGUAUCCAUGCAGAGUGAACCCCCAGAGCACAGCAACCUCGAAAGAAAGGGAAAGCAAUACUAACCUUGAGGUUGAACACUAGCUGACGCAACUUUUGAUUAUACUUCUGAAAAUCAGAGGAAAGUGCAUCAUGCGAUGCCUUCUCAAGAGCACUUACUGCAGGAACAGCAGCUUCUGGCCAGGGAAAAGACUUGCCUCCCUGUCAUGUACAACAAAUUAGAGUGCUGGAGUCGUAAAAUCUUCAAAAUUGUAAAAUUUCCAUCCCUAAUCUGCUCAUAAUCAGGAUACCAAAAAUGGAAUUCACUAUAUCAUAUGCCAAAGCUAAGUACACAACAAAUUAUACACCUUCACACUAUUUUCUUCAGAUCCAUUUGCAGCUCCCUGGGACUUCUGCUCUUUUUUAUGGUCCACGCCAUCAGAACCACCUUUUAUCUUAUCAUCAUCAAGGGUGCUGUUAGAGGAAAUGCACAUAUACUGAAUACACUGAAGAAGCCGCUCCAGCCAUUUGUCUCGAUGGGUAUCACCAGUCAAUGCAUCAAACUUUACUAAGAUGGCAUAAUACUCCGAGCCAUUGCCUGUACAGCUUCCUGGUGUUUCAGCUUUAAAAUUAUCAGAUCUGGUAGUUGCUUCUUCCUCCCUUGUCACAUCAAGAGGUGAAACAGUCUUCCUCCUCAGAGUUCUUUUUGCCUUUGUUGGAUCUUCCAGUUCAGGAGGAGCUGCAGCAGGAGCAUCUUCAACUUCAAUGUCAGGAAGGUCUCCCAUCCGUGAUAGAGUUUUCUGAACAAGAAGAUCAAUUUCAUGCUGCUUGUUAUCUUCAUAAUCCUUAUCAGUAAGCUUCCAAAGCUUCCUCUCCACAGUGUCAUACACUUUCCGGACAAUGAAACCAGGAUACUGUUUGCGAUUUGGGAGCUGUUUGUGAACUGGGACAAAAUGCACCACACACUUGUGCAUGACAGACUCUGCUGGAACCUCGUCACGAUGAAAACUAUAAAAGAGCUCCCUGGUAUCACGUGACUGCCAGCUUCCACCACCUUUUCUCUCAGCCUCCUCUGGGCGAUAAAACCACUGCCCAGUGACCAUCAUGCUGCCAUCCUUAGUCUGAGAAAUAUCCUAUCAACAGAAUAACACUUCCAUUGGACACGAUGGAAAGUGAUGACAGAAAUCUUACAUAAUAAAUACAAAAUGAAAGCAAAAACAAUCUAAACAAAUUUACUUGUUGAGUAUUAAUUAUGAUUACUGAUAAGGAAGCAUAAAAUUGGCCCAGCAGUGUGUACUUAGAAACUUUUACUAGAAAGACCUAUGACAUAAUAAAAUGUGAGAAAACGGUUACAAAAUGAAAUUUUCAUUCAGUGUGAAGAGAAGUUUAGUUGCAUCCCCAGAAGUGCAAAAAAAAAAAAGGAAUCUAAAUGAUUAAAUUGCAGAGGUAUGCAACCCCAGUCCAUUUUCCUACUAGUGGUCGGGGGUCUUCUCAUAAUCUUGAAUGUAAAUUUAUUCCCAUUCGAAAAAUGACUGAACCCAAUUCCCAAGUUAAUUGAGAUUCAUAAUUUACCACCGUUUCAUGUUAGGAAAUAUUUUAAUAUAUCAUUCAUUUAAACCCAUCACCCAUUAUUUAGUUAAGGGCUGUCCAUCGUUAGAAUCAAACAUUACUAAAGAUGAUUAAUUUCAAACCAGAACAAAACCUGCACAGAAACUCCAAGAAAUUUGCACGGCAUUAACCACAAAAGAAUCUGAUUAUCAAGGUGAACAGAAAAAUCAAUUUUUCGCUUAACCACCAAAUCAUCCACCGUCAAAGAGACAAUACUGAAUAAAAAGUGGAGGCAAAACCAUAUGAAAUUCAAAUUAGAGCAUCUAAGCAUGAGAUGCAUAUCCAGCAAAUAGGACACAGAACACACAAGGAACUAAAAUAAUAUUAGUUACCUUGAUAAUUGCCACAUAAGGUUUUUGCUCUUUAUCUUCGGGAACUAGAAGGACAGGAUCCUCCUGCAGAACAAUCAGAGAAGAAACAAACAAAUAUCCACAGUAAUGAUCAUAUGAACAAUUAGGGAUGAGCAGUAAAAGCAACAAUGAUUCCACGAAAUCCCUCAAAACCACUGCUGCAUUUACAGGCUAAGUAUGGAUAAUAAAACAGCGGACAGCUUAAGAAUGCGACGAUUCAUUCAACGAACAAAAUCAAUUGACAAAAUUAAAGCGCAAAACCUAAUAUUUCUCCCAAAAAAAUGUAGCUAAAUAGCAAAAAGAAUCCUAAUUGUACGAAUUAAAUUAAAUGAAAAAACUCACAAGCUCAUAUCUAUUCCCGUCAAACUCAAAAGCAUCAUAAUGGGUUCUCCUCCCUCUCCCUUUCCCAGAAACCCUAGUCAAAUCCCCAACGGGCUUGGCAUCCUCCUGCGGCACCUCUUCCUCUUCCUCUGGAUCCUCCUCUGGAUCCUCCUCUACUUCAUCCUCCGAUUUUUCUUCUCUUAAUUUCUUCCUGGGUCUUCCUCUCCCUCUCCUUGUCGUCACUACUUCUUCUUCCUCUUCUUCUUCUUCAAGCUUCAUUUUCUUCCUCUUCCUCUCGCUGAUGUCUCCAGGCCUUGUGGUCGUUGAUGAUGAUCGUGCCUUAGGUGGCGCCUCGUCCUCUUCAUCGCUAGUGGAGACCUGAGCGAAUCUUCGGUUUCCCAUUUGGGUUUUGGUUUCUUCACUGUCAACAGCAGUGGUGAAGAUAAGUUACCAAGGAGGAAGCCGUUGGAUUCCUUAUAUAGGACACUGGUAGAAUACAGAAAUGGCCUUAUAAAUUGAACUAAACUGCAUCUAUGCCAUUUAAUUGAAUUCUGUAGUGUUAUUAUUAUAAUUAUUAUUAUUAUUAUCACCAAUGCGUGUGAUUUUUAUUAUAUAUGAAUGUAUUGUGAAGCAAUAGAUAAUUAACUGUGAAUUUAUUGUAUAUGCAUGCAUUGUUAAUGAAGAGAUAAUUAAUUGUGGACUUGUAUAUUUGCUUUGCUAUACAUUAAAAUGUAUGAGGAUUUUUAUUGUACAUGUACUGUAAAUCAAUAUAUAAUUAACUAUGGAUAGCACUGUAGCACCUUGAGGUCAUUCCACUCCUGUGUUUUUAGUCAAGAAUUGCAGCUGGGGGUGUAAACUCUACCAAAAGCCGUUGGGUCUAGCUUUAGUAGUUGGACCCAACGUUGUUAGGUUUGGUUGACAAGCCAGACCCAAAACACUUUCAAAAAUACUAAUAGUGUUGGGUCCUAUCUCAUUGUAGACGUCACUAUAGCGUCUGGGGGCGUUGUUUUUUGUUUGUAAAUCAGAAAGGAUUGUUGCGUCGUUGCAACAAAACCCAAUAGCUUUGGGUCCAGCUUCCACCAGGACUCAAUGGCAUUGGGUCUUGUUUGACCCAUUAGAGUUGGUCCUACCCCCAACAGGACCAAGACUUUAAUUUCUUUUUUCUCUUUCAUACGGUAGAUAGGAAAUAAAUAGAUGAUAAUUUUUUUCUAUUUAAGGUUCGGUUGGAUUUCCUUAUUUAAUCAUGUUUGUUUUUGCCUUUCAAAAAUAUUUUAGAAAUAAAAUUUUAUUUUUUUCUUUUACUUCAAAUUAAGAUUUUUAUUUUUUUUUCAAAAUAAAAACAUUCAUAAAAAUUAUAAUUUUAAUAUUGUCAUAUUAAAGUUGAUGGGGCUCUAAAUAAUUUUUUUGUUCACAUGGUAUACUUUAUAUUUUUGUAUUAUAUAAGAGAAUUUUUUAACAAUAAAAUCCAACAUGUAAUUGCAUUUGCUUUCUGCUGGGCUCUUUCAAAAUGCGUGAGGGUUGACAUAGACAAUUUGCAUUGUAGACGACAUUGUAGGCAUAUACUGCUUUCACCGUCGAUAAUACUGUAGUGCCCUAGGGGGCAUUCCUUAGCUAUGUUUUUGAAAUAUGACUGGGGCACUGUCUUUUCUGUCAAAAGCUGUUGGGUCUAACUUGACAGUUAGGUCCAAUUUUGUUGGGUUUGGCUACCACGUCAGGCUCAAAACAUUUCUAAAAAGUGUAAAAAAAGAAAGGGUUAGGUAUGGCUUAGGUUUGCCAAAGUAGUUGUACCCAAUAUCCUUUUUUUAUAUUCUAAAAAAAUUAGGUGAUGAUUUAGUUUUUCUUUCAACAAUGCUUUAAAAAAAUUAAUAAUUUUUUAUUUUUUUCUUUACUUCAAAUUAUUUAUUUUUUUAGUUCAUAUUAAGAUGUUUUUGUAUUAUCUUGAUGUGAUUAUAUAAGAAAUAGAUUUGAACAAAUAAAAAAUAUUAUCUUAAUAUGUUUUUUUUAAAAAAUUUUAAGAUAUUUCCAAUUUUUUUUCACUUGAAUUUUUUUUCUUUUCACUUAUUCAUUUUUUCAUAUUGUAAAGAGAAAAUAAAUUAACGUGACUUUUUUUAUAUUAUACAAAAGUUAGGUGAUAAUAAUUUUUUUUUCAGGUUGAGUUAAAUAUCCUUAUUAAAGCAUGCUUGUUUUUGUAUUUCAAAAAUACUUUGAAAAAAUUUUGAAAUUUUUUUAUUGUUUUAUUUACUUCAAAUUAAUAUUUUUUAUGUUUUUUUUUUAUUAUUUUUUAACUAUUGAGAUUAGAUGUAGCUAGGCUGCCAGAUCCAAAGAUAAUAUAUUAAGUUGGGUCUUGCCCCAGAAAACCCAAAAUAGCUUUAGGUCUUCUUGUGGCUAGACCCAUCAGCCUUGGCUCUUGCUGUGAGCAGGACCUAUCAGCUUUGGGUCCUACCCCUAGCAGAACCUAAUGUUCUUAAUUUUUUUUCUUUGCUCUUAUGUAACUUUUUCCCCUAUAUUUAAGACAAAAUAAAUUGAUGAAUUUUUUUUAUAUUGUUUAAAAGUUUGGUGAUCAUAAUUUUUUUUUCAUUCGAGGUUGUGUUAAAUUUUCUUAUUAAAGUAUAUUUGUUUUUGUGUUUCAAAAAUUCUUUGAAAAAAAUUUGAUAAUUUUUUAAUCUUUUAUUUACUUCAAAUUAAUAUAUUUUCCUUAAUUCAUAUUAAGAUGUUUUUGUAUUAUUUUUAUGUGAUUAUAUAAAAAUAGAUUUUAAAAAAAAUAUUUUGGAUAAUAUUAUAAGGAUAUUGGGUCUAGAUAAUAUUAUAAAGUUAUAUAAAUGUUUGAUUUUUUUUAUCCAAUAGUUUUGAAUUAUAUAUACUAUUGAAUAUAUAAAUAAAUUGUGCGUUUGGUUCUGCCCUGUAAGACCAAUAAUUUUGGGUUCGGCUCUCCAACAAGACUUAAUAGCAAUGGGUCCUCCUAGUACCUAGACCCAUCAGCUUUGGUUCUACCUCUAGUAGCACCUAUCAACGUUGGGUUCUGCCCCUACCAGGACCUAAAAGUUUUGGAUACAGUUGCCUAAUAGAACUUAAUAGCUUUGGGUUUGGUCAUUACUAAACCCAUCAAUAUUGGAUCUAACUUCCCAGCAUGACCUAACAGCUUUGAAUUUUGGUUUAGUUAUCAGACUCAAGACACUUAAAAGAUUAUUUAUAAUCUUUAUUUUUUACAUUUGAAAUAAAAAUAUUAUAACCCACUGCAGAGCACAAAUUAAUAUACUAGUUGUUUUUUUAUAUGUUGCAUGAAGAAACACAUUUGAUAAAGUUUUAGAUGAUAAAUUUGAAAAAAAAAAUUGAAAUUUAUAGUAAGGGAAAUGGUGCUUUCUUAUGAGUAUAUAUAUUUUUUCAUUGCUAAAGAAUGUUAUGAUAAAGUAUGGUAUGUUUUUUCUUAAGGUGCAAUUACCUUACUAUAUUAAAAAUUUGGGAAAGCUUAUCAAGUUUAUAUGAAUAUUGAUGGUUCUUUUUUUCAAUUUAUCCCUUUUUUUUUUAAUUUUUUUUAAAUUUCAUCAUAAUAUUUUUUUAAUAAAUGUUUGGAUUGUUUAUGAAUUAGUUAAAUCAACCGAAUUAUAACAUAGCAACUUUUAUAUUAUUUAAUUUUAAAUUUAGGUUAUAUAAAGAGUUAGAUCAAGAAGUUUUUUCUUGUUAAUUUCAUUAUUAUUUUUUUAUCCUUAUAUCUAUUGACCAAUCGGGCGGAUGACCUUUGAAUUGACGAAGUCAAUUGUAUUGUAUUGGAGUCACUCUCAUAUAGUUUAAUUUUAAACCCGAAUUGGACAAGGAGUCGGAUUAAGAGAUUUCAAGAUUGACAUGUUGAGCCUGGUUUAAUAACAAUAAUAAAUAGUUCUUUAUGUUCUUGAUAUUUUUUAAAAUUAAAAAAAAAAAUUGACCCACGACAUAAAUUUAACCUGUAAACUAUACUUUAGUUUAAAUUAUAAAAUAUUUCUGGGACUAAAAAUCUUUUCAUUCUCUAUCAUAACAAUAAGAGUUUUUUAAUUUAACCAUUGUUUUAAUGAGAAAUUGAUUUUUAACAAAAAGAAAAUCCCUUCGUAUUCCUCUUGCAACAUACAAGAAAAAAGUAAAAUAUAGAAAGAAAUAUUCAAUGACAACUUAAAUCAUAGCACUGCAAAGCCUUCACCCUGCUUUUCCCACAGGUCAUCUAAACCUUGAACGCGCUCACUUGAUGCCAAUUAACAAUAAAACUAAUAAGCCUUAUAAAGCAUGAAAUGCUUUCUGUCUAAUUUAUGAAAGAAGACAGUAUUUUAAUGCAAGACAUGUGCUUCUCUUCAUUCUCUGUGUACAGAUUCUCGCUGCCUACUCAAAAUUAAUAAUAAUAAUAAUAAUAAUAAUAAAGACAGGAAUCAAGAGUGCCAGAGGCUUCAUAUGACUAGAGGAUAGCAUCACUCGGUCAAGGGUUGAAGUUCCUGUCCAUCCAUGUCAAGAAAGCCAGUGUCUGUUGUUUAUAGAGAAAUGUAAAUGGAGCAUCACCAGUUAUGAUCAUUAUUAAGUGGAGGUUGUCUUUCUAACUAUGAACAUGACUUGAAGAAGCGAGUCUUGCAUAUCAGAACUUCACGUUUUCAGCAACACCAUUUGCUAAUGAUGUAGUCAUUGAUCAGUGUGAACUUUGUGAGACACGUUCGAGUUCUGUUUCAUGUGCAAAACGUAGUGAAAACUCUUUGAUUCAGAUGCUUCAUUAGAAACCUAGGCAGCACGUAAAAGGAAUGGUAAAAAAACCUCAGAACCGAAUUGAAAAUGAUCAUUUAAAAAGAAAAGGUGGUUAUAAUUUAUACCGUUCAUGUUUAUAAAUAACGAUCUACCUAAAUGUCCACAGGACAUGACCAGAUUCAUUUAACUCUACAACGCACCAUGACGCAGCCAGGAAAAAGCUGUAAGAUCAUGUUAGACCUGUGUAGACAGCAUGAUUUUGGAGCAUAAAAUGAAGUCGGGCAGCAAAAGUGGCAGAGACAAAGAUAACAAAAAGAUGAAAGCAAAACGAAUAAAGGAAGUUUCAGAGUCAGAUGAUUCAGACAACCCCUUGUGAUCUUCGCAUCUUAAACACGAGAAUGCUUAUCCUACCUGUACAAACAUUGAAUUAGUCAAAUCAAUAAUGUUUUGACAGCUUCAUGCACAUUGAUGUCAAUCAUUUCCUUCAUGCUAGUCCAAGAUUCUGUUUCUUUUACUUGCUGUUCCAAGUUUUUGAGCAACUAUUGCAGCAAACUCCCCUCUGGCUACUUGCAUCCUAAUCUAUUCUUUCACCUCUCUGCAUCCAAAGAAUUGUUAGAACAUUAGGUUGAUCAGAAAUGCUAGUUACGGUCCUUGUCGGUCCAGAGCUUUUGCUGGACGGAUGUUUUCUGCAAUCUGGAAGCUGCUUGUUGACAGGGACAAAAUGCACCUCACACUUGUGCAUUACACAUUUUGCUGGGACCUCAACAUGAUAGGUACUGUAGAAUAGCUCCCUAGUGUCACGUAUCUGCCAGCUUCCACCACCAUUUUUCUCAGCCUCUUCAGGGCGAUAUAACCAUUGUCCAGUGACCAUCACCAUCACCAUACCAUCAAUGGUCUGAGUAAUGUCCUGUCAAUAGAAUGACAUGUCCGUUGGUCUCAAAGGAAAGAGAUGACAUGGAAGUUUUUAGUUUGCAUUUGGUUAGUGUCCUGGUACAGAAGGCACAAACACAGAAGAGAUAGAAACGUAUUUGGUUGGAUGGACGGAGACGGAGAUACAAAAUAAAUCUAUCUCUAUAACAAUUUUUAGAGUGAAUUUCUUUUCUUCCCAAACAGGAAGUAAAGAGGGACAUGUCCCUUCUAUUUUCACUGUCCUCAUCUCUUCUGUCUUGAAACAGGAAUCAAAUGUUAAUGCUAUGAAAGCAAUCUCAAUUAAUUCAAUAGUUGAGAUUGAAUGGAAGUAAAGAGCUCUUGAAACAGGAACCUUGAUAGUUGCAAUGCCCGGCUUUUGCUCUUUAGUUUCAGGAGCUAGAAGCACAGGAUCCUCCUGUCGGACAAGGAAACCAGAAACAGAAAGAUAUAACCUGACGAUGACAUGAACAAUUAGGAAAAAAAGAAAGCAAAUGCAACCAUGAUUCCACACAAAGGUCCUCAAAACAAGUGAUGCAUCUCCACAUCAAAUUGAAACACACAAACAGUUUACAGCUUAAAUUUCAAAAUUGUCCAGUUAGCUAACCUAACUUGACCACAACACCCUAUAACAAGGAAUUACUCAAACAUGAAAACCCUAGCUCGAAGCAAUCAAAGAAUGAAAACAAUUGAAAGAAGAAAAACAAGAACUCUGAAUUCCAUCAAUCAUUUCAGUUCCUUUCCCUGUAAAUGUGCAUUUUCCCAGAAGCCGCUUCAAGCUCAGGAGAGUUUGCUCCUCAUUUUCACUCCCCAAAUCUGUUACCCCACACAAACUCCAAAUCCUCAACAAAAUAGGUCCAGAAUAAAAACCGCGUCUGAUCAAUAAAACAAACCAGACAAUAGCUAUUUUUAUUAUUUUUUUAAGGGGUAAUUGCCGUGAGUUAUUAAAUUAAUCGUGCAAGGAUCCCACUAAAAACGUCAAGUUUUGGUAGAAGAGGCUUGAGGUGGUGGGGUAUAUACAUUUGUUAUUUUCCAAAACUGGAUCACCAUUUUGUGACCUUCUUCUUUCUGGAAUAAAGCUUGAAACUCUUCUUUUUUCCCCUUCAGAAUUGUUUACACAGCAAUGCAAAAGGAUUGGCCAUGAAAAUAUCAGCAGCAGUCUAAAAUGCUUAAAUGAUUUUCCUUUUUUAAAUAAACAUUGGCUUUUUCAAACUUAUAAUGUUUCGACUCCUAUCGUGUUCUUUUCUCCACAAUUUCCUUCAGGGUUGUCCAAGAUUUUCUCUUUCUUCUACUUAACGUGCUACUGACAGUUUUUCCCGCAUCCAUUGCAGCAGAACUGCUUUCAGACUGCUCUUUUUUGUUUGCUGAUCUAUUUCUCUUUCUCUUCUUUGCAUCCAACAGAGACGAUUUGUUGCUUGGUUGUGGAGUUGCUGGACUGUUUGUGAUGUAAGUGCUUGCCGAUAUUUACCGAUUAAAGCAGUCUCGUCAUUCUUAAUCAUCUCGAUUGUCUUAACUCUCGCAAAUGGAGUUGCUAGACUGUUCAUGAUGGAAGUAUCCACACAUAUUAAUUGCAGGCAAAGUGUUCUCGUGUAUCUUGAUUAUCUUAUCUUUGCUACUCGUGCCUUCCUCCGAGUUGGCAGACUUUUGAUUUAGCAGCCGGCGUGGGCUUGGGUGGGCAUAUUUCCUUCAGGCCUUUAGGAGUUCCUCUUUUUUGUUUAAAAUAUGAACAGUUGUGGCAUUUGUACACCACAUUAUUCUUCAUCAAAGUAUAAAACUUCUUGUCCCGGUGCCUUGCCUUUGCUCGAUUCUUUCAAUUCGUAUUGUGCAGAUUAAGCCAGCCUGAAGAAUUGUCUCGCACCUGCAAAACAAGGGAUUCCCGAUUAGGCGGAAAAUCCCUACUGACCAUGACAAGAUUGAAUUUCAACAGCAAAAACAUAAAGAAUCAAGAUAAGAAUGGGGUUGCGACUGUGAUCUCCCAGUCAGCAAAUGACUUCCUGUUCAUACAAGCUCAUCUUCACCAGUAAUUAACAACACAUGCAAGAUUACGCAUUCAAGUAGAGUGCCAUUUCCACACAAGUAGAAAUAUCAUAGGUUUGAAUUACAUGAAAGAAGCAAUCAGUUACAUGCGGCUAGCCUUGUUGCCCAACAUUGCCGAAAAAGGAAUCUAGAGCUUAAUUUUGAAUUGAGGCGUGGGAAUGAAUUCUAAAUUAUCUACGUGUCGUCAUCAUGGCAGCCAAGAAAAGGGAUUGUUCUAGUUGGUCGAGAUUGUGACUUCAAAAAAGACUUAGAUAGAUGUUGUUGUGUUUUUUUUGUCAUGGUGUGAGGUUUAGAGUUCAAAACUAAUUUGAGUUGGGGUGAUUCGUACAGUCGGAGAAUUUGACCGACGUUGCUGGUUCAAUGUUUUCUCAGAUACCCUUUGGAAGUAGGGGAGAGGAGGCCAUGAAGACGUGUCCAGGGAAACCAAUCAAGUAGCCAGUCAUCCUUGUCCAAAACUAUAAUUCCACCUUUCAAUCUUCGUAGUAUAGAAAAUGACUUCAAUUCACGACUUUCGUCGUUUUUACUUGUAAAACUUUAUAGAAUAAUUCUUCCAUUCUCCGGAGAAUAAAUUCACUAAACUAGAAAAAAACAAAAUGUAUUUCAGUGUUUAUUCUUUGUACCUAGAGUCCUUAAUUUCCACUCAUUAAAUGAAAUGGUAUUUACUCACUAGUAUCAAAUUACAUAGUUGGCUUGCACUCUAUGUUAUGUUGGGGGUAAGAUAAAAAUAAAUGAUUGUAAGAAAAAUAUAUAUAUACAAGUGUUGUUAACAUUUUCUAGCAUGGGGAUUGAACCAAUAUGAUUUAUUUAACUUGAUAUAUUCGAAAAUAACUAGAAUUACAUGUAAAAAGUAAUUUGACUCACAAAAAUUCACAAAAAAGAUUCUUUAAAAAAAAAUUAUUAAAACAACUACAUAUUUAAUCGACCCUAACGAACCUAAAUUAACAUGUUAAAUUCAUGACAUGGAUUAUGAGACUAUAAUAACACUAUAUAAAACAAAUAUAAACAAAUUAUAAAACUCAUUUCUCAAUCAAUCCAAUGAUGAUUAAUAAAUUUAAUAAAAAAAAUAAAAAUAAAAAUAAAAUGACUCAGGUCAUGAGAUCAUGAUAACUUCAUAGAAAGUAAAUCAAAAUAAAUUAUAAAGCAUAAUUUUCAAUCAACUCAAAGUUGAAUGAUGAAAUUGAAAAAAACAUUCAAUUAAAAAGAAACACGAAAAAUGACCUUAGUAAACUUUGGUUAGUCCGCCAAACUCAUGAUCUAGGGUCAUGAGAUUGGGAUAGCCUCGUAAAAAGUAAACUAAAAAAAUAACCCUAGUUAGCCCUAGUUAACUUGUCAAAUUCGCGACCUAGAUCAUGAGAUUAGGAUAGCAUUAAAAAAGAAAAUUAAAACAAAUUAUGAAGUUUAAUUCCAAAUAAAUCCAUUAUUGAAUGAUGAAAAUUAAAAAUAAAUCAAUCUAAAAAUAUGACACAAUAAAACAACUUAAGUCUAUCCAAGUAAACCCAUAAAACUCGUGACUCGGGUCAUAAGAUCAAGAUAAUCUCAUAGAAAGCAAACCAAAAUAAAUCAUGAAGCUUAAUUUUUAAUAAACUCAAUGUUGAAUGAUAAAAUUAAAAAAAUACUAAUUAAAAAAAAAAACCUCUAGUCAAUCGGGUUAACCUUUCAAACUCGUGAUACGUGUCAUAAGACUGAAUUAACCAUAUAGAAAAAAAAAAUCGUAAAGCUUAAUCUUCAAUAAACCAAAUUGUAAAUGAUAAAAUUAAAUAAAAAAAAACUUAAAUUUUUUAUUAAAAAACAAAACAAAAACAAAAAAAAUUAUUGUAAUGAAUAUUAUUUUAAUACACGGUAAAAACAUCACAUCUCUUAAAUUAAUAAUUAUAAUUAAAUAAUGUUUUUUAUUCAGUCCCGACUUAUUAAAUGACAUGUUGAUUAAUUAAUAAAUUUCUUUAGUUAAAAAGAUAUUAUUUUAUAGAAGUUUGUGUGUGUGUGUGUGUGUGUUAACGAUUAAGAUGUUUUCAAGCUACUAUCUGUGUAAACAGGCUAACAUUCACAUUAACGCAUUCACAAAUUUAGUCAUUACUUUAAUCAAAUCUCCAGAUAAAAUAUUGUUUUUUAAUUAUAACUCAAAACAAUAACAUGAGAAAUAAAUAUACUUAUCACCAUAAUCAAACAUCAAGACCACGCUGAUAAAAAUCAACAUCCAGAUGGAAAUGUGGGCAGGGAAGCCAGGAUUUUUGUGAACUGGUGCCGAUAUGAAAUGUUAUUAUGAUAUAUCAAUAGAUUAUUUAGGUUAAAAAUUGUUACACAAUAAGUGCUAAUUUUGGGGUGCAAAAUGUAUGUUUUUGUAAUUUAAGAAUCCUAGAUUUAAGAGUACAUUUAUAAAAAUCAAAAUUUUUAAAUUUUAAAGGUGUCAUGCUCCCAGACUUUUAAAUUCCACUCGCAUGAGAAUUUAUUUAUUUUUAUGUUUCAAGAGUAUUUUUGAAAAAAAUUAAAUUUUUUAUUUUUUUUAUUUACUUCAUAUUAAAUUUUUUAUGUUACAAUAUUUUUUUGAUAUAUUGAUAUCAAAAAUAAUUUUUAAAAUUUAUAAUAAUAUUAUUUUGGUAUAUUUUCAAGCAUGCAUUCACGUAAACAAAGUUUUUAUCUUUUAAGACAAUUUAAAAAAUACAUCCUCUAUAUGAAUAUAAUACAACGGUUAAAAUUUAAAAAGAUAUUUCCUCAAAUAUAUAUUGUAUUUGUUAUUUUUUUAAAAAAAUAUUUUUUUUAAUUAUGGUAUAAUUAAUUAAAAAAUAAAUUCGAAAUAUUUUUUAUCUUUUAUUACAUUUGCUCAAUCAUACUGCAAGUCCUUGGAUGACAACCAUCUCAUUCAUCACCGAUCAACCCUCGCCAGCAUAGAACCACCGCUAGUAUCUUGGCAAAAAACCACUACGAUCUACAAACAAUUGUUAGCCCUUUUUGGUCUGAAUUUCACGUUUUUUAGUUUUUGUUGAACUAUAUAUAUAUAUAUAUAUAUAUAUAUAUAUAUAUAGUUUGCAAGUUGGGAAAAGGAUUAUGGACUUGUGUCUUGAUAGGAUUACGAAGCCAUCGGAAUAUCGGAUAGCUGUAUUGGGCUUCGAGUGUUUUUGGGGUAUUGGUUUUGGAUUAGAAUCCUUUGUGUUUUAGAAAUGCUUUCUGUUGAUAAUGAAAUGAAAUCAAAGCCGGGGAAAGGAUUUUUGAUGAGUUGUUAGAUCGUCUUUGUAGAGAAAAAAUCAUAAUAUAUAUAUAUGUAUAUUUUUUUUAUCAUGAAUUCUUUUUAUAUAUAAACAAAAAUCUUGUUUAGAUGUCAAAUGAAUCCUGUUUCGUUAUGUGACUCCACUAUUUAGAAAUGCGGUACAAAUCAUCUUUCUCAAAAUUUUAAUUUUUUUUACUAAAAAUUAUUAUUAUUUAUAUAUUUUAGAUCGUUUUGAUAUAUUAAUCUUAAAAAUAAUUUUUAAAAAUAAAAAAAAUAUUUUAAUGUAUUUUAAUAUAAAAAAUACUUUGAAAAGUAAUCACAACUACAAUUCCAAACAACAAAAAUGUCACUAAUAUAUUUCAAGCACAAGUUUUCAUUCUAUAAACUCAAGUAUAGAAAGCAUCUUGUUGCAUAUUUGUUGUUUAAAGAUCUUGAUAGUAUUUGGAGUUAUAACAGUAGAGUAUAUUUUAUUUAAAAAUUUAACUAAAUAAUAUUUUUUUAAAAAAAUAUUUUAUUAUCAAUAUACCAAAAUAAUAAUUUAAAACAUUUUAAAAAAAUUAAACACAAAAACAAAUAAAAUACAAAAAGUUUCCAUUUUCAAUGGUAGCUAAAGCAAUAUAAAAUAAUGAUGUGGCCCACCACCCUCCUUGGCCACGUGGUUGGAAUGACUAAAUGAUCCUUCACUUGGAAUUUAAUUGAAAAAUAGGCUAAGAAGUCAACUCAAUCUGGAGUACCAGUGUAAUAAUGCAACUAGACAUGGUAGGUGACCAGAUACAAUUCAUGCUGAAAAAUAUCAGAGAAUUAAAGUAAACGGUUUGAAUUUAAUUUUGGAUUUUUUUUUAAUAAAAUAUAUCAUCCAAUAAAAGGUUGUGCUUUUUAUUAGGUGAAGUUAUAGGCACAUCCUGACAUCAAAAUUAUACAUUUUAAAAAGAUUUUCAAAUCAAGACUUCCCUUCCAUUAUUAAAAUAACCUACACCCCGCGGGAAAAAAAAAACUGUAAAUUUAUCUUAAUUCACUCUAUAUUAUAACAGUGAGAUUUUAUUUUUACCUUUUUUAUAAAAAAAAUCAAUGCUUUCUUACAGAGGGAAGAUGGUAUUUUCACCAUGCUGUCAUUUUAUAUUUAUUUGAAGGUAUUUCAGUUUUUUUUUAAUUUUUUACACAAUUAAAUUAUUUGGUUAUUCUUAAAAAUAAAACAAAAAUAAAUAAGGUUUAAAGAUUUUUUUGGAAUGUUUUUUUGACAUGGAUGUGCAACUACUCUAUUGCCCUUGAAAUUAAAAGGUCUUAAGCCCUUUUUUAGAGGCAUGUUGGUAUUUUCAUAUUGAUUUUCUUUGUAAUUAUUGGGUUGUCUCAUGGGUGAUUUAGUAAUUUACUUAAUAAACAAAUAAAAAAAAGACAAAGUUGAUGACAUGUUUAUGAAACUUGCUAGUGCGUGUGUCACUCUAUCGUUUUCAAGUAACACAUGUGGUGACUCACAUCGAGUAAAAUUCAACUUCCUUGGUGUUUUUGAUUUGCAACAGAAGAGUUAACUCUUUGUGCUACUUAUGCGGCUUAAUUCCUAAUGAUUUGAUAACAAUUAAUUUUUUUUAUAUUAAUUUUUUUUCUUAAUUUUUAUAUUGCAAUAUUUCAUAACAAUCCUUCAAGUUUUUUUCUUGUAAUUUUGAUCUUUAUUCUUUUAAUUGUUAUUUUUUUUAUUUGAAUUAGUUUAAUGAAUUAAUUUUUUUUUUCUCGAUUUCAUCUUUUAUUAAUUUUUUUUUAUUUUUAAAUUGAUUCUCGUUCUUUUAAAAAAAAUCAUUCACUGUAUAUUAAAUUUUUAAUUUUCUAAUAUUUUUAUAUUUUUUUAUAAGAUUAUAAAAAAAAUAAUCCAACUCACGUGGUAUCACGGGAAAAAAACUAUUCAUACACUACAUGAACAUAGGGCACGUAAAUGCCUUACAUUGAUCAUUAAUUAAAGGAAACUUGUACGUUGGAGCAUUUACUUUUGAAGUUGCUUUCAAUCAUGUAUUUGCCAAAUUCCGAUACUUCAGCAUCGUGAUCAUAAGUUUUUCUUUGCUCUCUCGAUUAGUAUGCUUUUUGACACUCAUUUCUCUUCCAAAACCGGCAUCUCUAGGCUUUAAGUUACUGUUUAAUAUUUUCAUAAUUUCUUGAGUUGUGAUUGCGAUUUAUAAAUUAUGUUAAAAAAAUAGUGAGAUUUAUAUAAAAAUAUUGAUAUUUGAUUUUUGGAUUUAAAAAAGAAUUUCAAUUCACAUAAUAUUAAUUAAUUAGUACUGAAAAUGAUGGUGGAUACAAGUAAUACAAAUUAUUUAGAUAUUAUAGUUUACCAUGUUUGUUUCUAUCUUUAAAAAUACUUUUAAAAAAUUUAAAAAGUUUUUAUUUUUUAUUUAUUUUAAAUUAAUAUAUUUUUUAUGUUUUCAAAUCAUUUUAAUGUGCUAAUAUCAAAAAUAAUUAUUUUUUUUUAAAAAAAUUAUUUUAAUAUAUUUUUAAAUAAAAAAUAUUUUUAAAAAUAACCACAAUCACAUUUAAAAAAACAACAUCUGUAUCAAGGGCUUCACUUACCAUUUGCAAUCAUGUUCUAUCCUAAACAUAUAACAAAUGAAGCAUAUGCUUUUAUAUUUUUAUUUAACAGAAUUUUCGUUUUUAGUUAUAGAAAAUCCUAAUAAGAGAAGGUAAGGGAAAUAAAAAGGUGGGAGUAAUUUAUUUUUGGGACAUAAAACUGACACGUGCACAGCAAACCGGCCCCUUUUGCCGGCUUGACCGGUCUCCGUAAACAAGCCUGGAUGUAAUUAUAAGCCACAGAAAACCACCACCUUUCCUUCAUCAACAAACAACACACACACAUAUUCACAUAUCCCUUCCUUCCUCGAAGAAUCUAGCCUCUCCCCUCUCCUUCGCCAUUCUCAUCCACCAAAUCUUUAAUCAGCGGUCACUUCUCCCCAGGUUCUCCAUUCCCUUUUUUUCCCCACUCUAAAAUUGAUAGAAGUCUUCUUAAAUUAGAGGCCUUUUUUAUUUGUUGUAUAUUUGCGUUGUUUUAGCUUUCUGGGGUUCAGUUUUUAUAGGUUUUAUAGCUCUUUUUUUUUUUGAGGUUUUAGAUUGUUGGGGUUAAUGGGUUAUGCUUCGUUUGGCUUUUAAGGAAGCAAGUUGGGUUCUUUUUAGAGUAAGAAAGCCUUGCUUUAUCCUUGUCUCUUUUACGGUUUUUAGAGAAUAUUAUUAGAAGACUCUGUAUAGCUUUCUAUCAAAAAGCCUAGGUAUUGAAUUGAUGUGUGUAAUUAUAAUUACUGCUGUUUAAAUUUUAAAUUGUGUACGGUUCCAUAGGAAUUGAUUUAGGGGAAGUUAGGUUAGAUUCGUGUUGGAAUUUGUUGGCGGGUUUGGCUAUUCUGAGAACCGGUAAACAUGGCGGAUUCAAUUGCUGCAGCAUCUCUUAUUGGGUAUAGGCCACUCAGUGGAGGAUUGUCUGUUAAGGAUGGUUCUUACAGGAGGAAAUCUUUGAGUAGUUGUUGGCGUCCUGUAAAUGAGUUUGUGGGAAAAAUGAUUCUUUAUUCUUCGCCUAUGUUGCCAAGAAUGAAAAUUGAUAGGUUAGUUAAUACCUCGAUUAAGGCUCUGGCAACGGAGCUUACAAAAGAGGCGUAUUCAUACAGAGAGAGAGAGAGAAUACCACGGACUUGGAAUUACCGAGUUGAUACUGGUGCUGAUAGAAAACCAGGUUUGUGGCCACCAGAGAAUAGAGCGGAUAACCCUUCGUUGCAUAACCCCUUGAUUCGACAAGAAAGGAUGGGUUGUGGCUGGUUGGGUGCUAUAUUUGAGUGGGAGGGUGUGAUAAUUGAGGAUAAUCCUGAUCUUGAGAGGCAAGCCUGGCUCUCUCUUUCUCAAGAAGAAGGGAAACCUGCUCCUCCAGCCUUUAUUUUGAGACGAGUAGAAGGGAUGAAGAAUGAGCAAGCGAUAUCUGAAGUCUUGUGUUGGUCGAGAGACCCAGCAGAGAUGAAAAGAAUGGCUACGAGGAGGGAAGAAAUCUACCAAUCACUGCAAGGUGGGAUAUAUAGAUUACGGACUGGUUCAAAGGAGUUUGUGAAUAUUUUGAUGCGUCACAAGAUACCAAUGGCAUUGGUUUCCACACGUCCAAGAAAGACUCUCGAGAAUGCAAUUGGAACCAUUGGGAUAGAAGGGUAUUUCACUGUUAUUGUAGCAGCAGAAGAUGUUCACAGGGGGAAGCCGGAUCCGGAGAUGUUUAGUUAUGCAGCCCAGCUUCUAAACUUUAUACCACAACGCUGUAUUGUGUUUGGGAACUCUAAUCAGGCCGUGGAGGCUGCCCAUGAUGCUUUUAUGAAGUGUGUAGCUGUUGCUAGCAAGCAUCCUGUGUACGAGCUUGGUGCUGCAGACUUGGCGGUGAGGAAAUUAGAUGAACUUUCAAUUGUUGAUCUGAAAAAUCUUGCUGAUAUUGAAUCCCCAGAAUUUGGGCCUCCUGAGCCAGAGUUGGAGCUGGAGCUGGAGGAGGAUAAUGAUCGAUCUACCGCAGUGGGAGUUGAUGAUAUCUUCUGGUAACUCUUAUGAAUUGUACAGUUUACUUUGUGCUUUAUCAAAUUCUUGUUGACAAUAGUUAUAUAUUGCCCCCCCAAGAAUCACUGCUAACCAAUGAAUCCCUUGCCGUGUACAAGGGAUAAAAAGGAUUAAAAAGUAGAAAGGGGAAAUAGAAGAAAAACAGGAAGAAAAAAAAAAGGCAGUCUGCAUUGGACUAGCAUUACCUUAUGAUGUAUGUAUCAUCCGUACCAUGUAUAUAAUUGUGUUUCAGCAAUUUUUCUGUGUUGCUUCUCCCUAUUUCUGUUUGAACUUUAGAAUUGUUUCAACUGUACGCGUAAAAAUCAUAUGCAACAUCACUCAAUAUGGUCUCUAUUUCUCAUAUUGUUCACCAUUCUCUUACCACCUCUGCAACACAAGUGCUUAAUUAGUGAUAAGUGAUUUAGAUGAUUAGGUUAAGACUUACGAGCUAGUUCGUAAUGCUUGGCAUGUUUCCUUGGAGGUUGGGUUGGUUUAAUGAAAUCCUUGGUUUCUCAAAGGUACCGGGAUGUUUGGCUGAGCAGUUUGGCAUCUGUAAUUUCAUUGCUUGCUUCCCUCCAAGGGACCAAUGAUUUGACCUGUACAAUUAUUAGAUCCCUCCACGUAAAAUUAUUAAAUGAAGAGUGAACUAGCCUUUGUGGCAAAAGUGUCCCCUUUCGUUAAGUUCUCAACUAUUCUUUUGUAAUUUUGCUCGAAAGUCGUGAGUUGCUUCAUAUUGGUUUCUCAAGGCUCCGUUCUCAUAAUUUGGUACUGAGUUUCUCUGCAGCUUCUUCUGGGUUCUAAUCCAAAGGGACCAAUGACCAGGAUGUUCACGAGUCGACGUUGACAUUCCAGAAGGAGAAUGAAAAAUGAUUUAACUCAAUAAUUUAGAUGCAAGGAUAUUUAAAUUCAUGAUUAUUCUGUUCUGAUUAUGAGAGCACUCGAUCUGACUCAUCACCAACUGCCUAAUUGCUGUCUUGUAAGAUAGGGUGACACUUGAGUUGGAGCCCAACUUGGAAACGUAUGCCACCAGACUGUCACAAGCAAAGUUGUUAAAAUCGUGUUUUGACUCGUAAAAUUAUACGAGUCGUUCGAUUUUACGAGUCAAAACAUGCUUUGCGUGCUGAAUCGUUUGAAAAAAUCGAAAAUGAAUGAAAUCAGGUUAAAAUUGAAUAAAAUCGUUAAAAUCGAGUGAAAUCGCGAAAAAUCACGAUUUCAGGGCCGAUUUCACGAUUUUAACAAAAUGAAUGCACUGAAGUAAAAUUCCCCCCCCCCCCCAAUGCUCCGGCUGUCCGGCGCCUAACGCCUCCACCUCGAUCAAGCUCCCUUUAUUUUCACCAUUCAGCUCCAACUCAAGCGCAUCAAAAUCAUGGUCCAUGUCACCAGCUCCAUCAUCAUAAGUACCCAACAAACCAUCAUACGUUAACCCUUUUUCCCCUUCAAUAAACUCCCCUUCAAUUUAUUUAUUAUUUUAUUUUCUAGCUGAUUAUUAAUUAAAUAAAUGGAGUGGAUUAAUGAGGGCGGUAAGGUCAUUAAAGCUAUUUAAUAAGAAUUACUUUAAAAAGAAAAUUAAUUAAAAAUAUAAUAAAAUAAUAUUUUUUUAUUUUUAAUAUUAUUACAUUAAAAUAUUUAAAAAACCAAAAACUUUAAUUUAAAACAAAAUAAAGAUUUAAAAAUUUAAUUUUUAAAAAAUAUUUUUAAAACAUGAAACAAACACUUUGACUAAUAUUGAAAAAUUUGAUUGGUUCAGCAUUCUGAUUAGAAUUUAACCGACUCAGAAUCUCAAUUGAUUUAAAUUAAAAAAUAAUAGAAAAAAAUAUAAUUAAUUGAGUUAAAUGUAAUUUUUAAUCUAUUAAUUUUUUUUAUAAAUCAUAUUAACCGAAUAUUAUUUCAAUUUCGCUCAAGUUUUAUGGUAGAAACUGGUGAAGAGCGUGUAUCACACCUGACAGUAUUUUAAAAUGCUUGAACUAUAUAUGAAUUUUUAUUUGAAGGCUUGAAAUAUGUAUGAAGUUUUAUUUGAAACAUGUUUUUUAAUGUGCUUGAACUAUGUAUGAAUUUUUAUUUGAAACAUGAAUUUUUUUUAAUGUAUUUUAAAAUUCCUUACGAUUUUACGAUCCAAUUUUGUGAAGGGCUUUCCGUUUCGUUCUAAAAUCGUGAUUUUAACAACCUUGAUCACAAGCACGGAGCAAAACAUAAAAGAACUUGUCCUAGCACCAUAAAAAGAAAAGAAAAAAGAGAGACGAAAACAGGGGGACUGGAAAUUUGUUGUGCAAUCCCAAUUUGAUAGGCUUGAUUAAAGUAGAAGUGUUUGGGAGUGAUAGCGGUUGUUUAAAAAUUAUUAUUUGAAAUGCAGUUUUAAAAUGAUCUUUUCCGUUUAAAAUUAUUCCAGGUUACAUGAUUUCUCUUGAAAAUACUUUCAAAUGCAUAUAAAUGGUAAUUUUUCGACUUCAUCGAAGAUGUCAUAUAUGUCUAGUCGAUAGCAAGAAUCAAUAACUUAGCUCAGGAGAUCCAUACCAUAACCGAAGGAAAGUAAACCUGAAGCUAAGGCAAAGAGUCGAAAGACUUUAAAGGCCAAUGCGUCUGGUGGAUCCAGAUUUAAACCAUCCAAGAUAUGGCCCAGAGUAUACAAACCUCGCAUCCUUCCAAGGAUAUGUUCAGUACAAUAACUGAGUUCUUCGACCCAUGUUUUUGAGCUGAUGUUCUUUUGCCGCCUGACAUUGCAGCUAGGGACCUUCCAAGCAACAAAGCUUUUGUCUGUAUGCGAGGAAGAUUUCUGUACUGCCUUUUCGUCUACUGGUUGCGUGGCAUUUUCAUGGCAUUUUUAGAAGGUGUUUGGGAAUGUGUUAGCUGUUGCUUUUCAAAUAGCUUUUCGUGCUGAAAAGCAUACCAAUAAUGAUUUUUUAUUUUUUUAAAAUCAUUUUUGAUAUCAGCACAUCAAAACGAUUCAAAACGUACAAACCGCACUCAAUUUUAGCAAAAAAAAAAAGAAAAAAAAUUCAAAAUUUAUGAAAAAGCAGGUUGAAACUCUGCUCCAAACGGGCUCUUAAAGCGUGUUUGGCAGUGUGGUAGCGGUUGCUUUUCAAAUAGUUUUUCAUGCCGAAAUACAUGCCAAUGAUGUUUUUUCAUUUUUUAAAAAUCAUUUUUGAUAUCAGCACAUCAAAACGAUCCAAAAAGUACAAACCACACUCAAUUUUAGCAAAAUAAUAAUAAUAAAAAAAAAUUUAAUUUGACAAAACACAGGUUGAAACGCACUGCCAAACACUAAAGCUCCAAACCCACCCAGUGUGUGCGUUCCGCACGCUAACUAAUUUAUCUUUUUUUAUUUACUUCACUUUUUAUAUUUGUUUACUUGUUCUAAAUUAAUUAAAAUUUAUUUUAUUAUGUAAAAUCAAGCAUCAACCUAGCACUUUAAAUUUAUCUUGAUAUUGUGAGAUCCUUAUUUUAAGAAAACUAAAACAAGCUAUCAAAUCAAAUCCCAAAUAAAACCAAUAUAAAAGGAAUUAAAUUGAAAAAAUAAUUAAGAAAUCAAAAUUAAAAAAAAAACAUGAACUUCCUUCUUACCAUUCAAAUAAAUCCCUAUAUUAACCAAAAAAAAUAAACUAAACAUUUAUUUAAGCGAUGAUGAGAGCAAUAACUAUUUAAAAUAAAUAGAAUUGAAGUUUGUUUUGCCAAGAUAAUAAUUAACUGAAAAUCAAAAAAUUAUUUUGAUAAAGAAAUAUAAAUCACCAAGAUUAAUUGUAAAUCAAGGCAGUUAAAAAAACAAAUAAGAAGAAAAAAACUAAGGGACCAAAGCUUGAAAAUCUUACGAUCUUAAGAAAAAGGAAAACACUUGGAAAGAACCAUGUUACUUCUGAGAGGCUACUUGUAGGUUUUUGGUGGGAGGGAGGGAGAGAGAGGUGGAGAAUUUUAAUUAAUUAUCCUGGAAGCUAGUGAUAAAAAACAAAAAGAAGACAAGAAGACAGAGAGAGUACGUCUUGAUUGGGUUUCCGACAAGAAGGACAGUUUGGAUUGUAAUGGCGGUUGAACUUCUCGUUUUCCAGCUAGGAAGGUUUCAAGUAGAAAGCCACUUGUGUUUGUCGUUGGCGUGAGCCGCCAGUUGGAAUCGAUCCCAGUUCAAAGUGACCCAGAAACGUGUACGUAUUUGCCAUCGGUAAUCUUCGUUGACUAUCUGGCAAAAAAAAAAAAAAAACUGCAGAAAGCCCUUGUUUGCAAUUUCUUUAGGUUUUAGAGCCCAUGAGAAACAAGAAUCAACUCCUAUUUAUUUUAGAUUGUUUUAAUAUGCUAAUCUUAAAAAUAAUUUUUAAAAAUAAAAAAAAUAUUAUUUUAAUAUAUUUCAAUAUAAAAAAUAUUUUAAAAAAUAAUUAUAACCACACUCUAAAUUAAACCCUAAGUAAUAAAACUUUUAAAUAACCACUAUAACUUUUGCGUAAUUAUAUGAAAUUAUCAUAUCCUUGUUGAAUCCGUUGAAUAGAUUACUGUUAAGUUCCUAUAAAUCCAUUUCUAAUUCCCCAACACCUUUUUUUACUGUAUUUCAAUCCAAAAUCACAAUGCAAAGUGUAAAUCUUGUAUACAGUAAGAACAAAUCAUGGUUGCUUGUUAGGGGUUUUUUAUAUAUUUGAUAAUUUUAAAAUAUAAUUAUUAAACUCGAUCUAAUUAGCCGAUAUUGAGUUUGUAUUUGGCAAAACACAAGCAUGUAAUUAAUCUAAAAGAAUCACUUGACUUGACAGGUAAAUCUGAAAUCUGAUAAUGGAAACCCAAAAAAAACCCGCCUCUUUUUAUUUUUUCUCUCUCCGUCUACUUUUUUUUUUUUGGGUGAGGCAGCAACCGUCUUCCCUAUUUUUACACCAAAAGAAAUCCACCUGGACCACCAAUUGAGAGAGACGAGUAGAAGAUCCCAGAUGUAUCUAUGAUUGUCCUCAUUUUAUUUAACAAAAUGAAAAAUCAAAUCUUUAGUGUUUUUUUUUUUUUUUUUCAUGGAGUAGCAGCAGGCAAAACACACAUGGACUUGGAGGCUAGAACCCGUGUGCUAGCCUAACUUGAUUUUUUUUCAUGAAGGAGGAAGAUGGCAUGCCGUUUGCUGCUUUAAAAAUUUUUUUUAUCAUAGAGACACAUCGUUCAUUUACUCAAUUUUCGAUAGUCAAAAUGGCCAUAAGAUUAGGCAAAAAAACAAAUUGUGUAUUUUGAAACCAACUACCCAUUGCAACCAGUUUCUUAACCCAAAUCUUGAUAAACCCACUUGUAACCUUAAAGUAGCAAAAAAUCGUUUUAAACUCAAGAAAUCAAACCAAUAUCGCAUAUCUUCUCAAGUUCCUUUUUUUUUUUGGCAAGAUAAGUAUCAAAAACUAUCACAUUAAACUAUAUUAUCCAAUGAAAUAUUUUAACAUCAAAUUUUACUAUUCUAGUUGCAAAAUCGCGACAACUAAAUACUCUUUUUCAUUACCAUUAUUUUUAGUAAGAUUUUCUUAUCUAAAAACUUAAAAAAAAACAAAAUAAAAUUUUAAAUCAAAAUAAAAAUUACCAAAAAUUUAGGAUCAUAUUCGAUUUUUCAUGUUUGACAUUUUAGUAUUUUUUUUAAUCUAGUAAUUUUAUUAAAUUUAAAUUUAACUCCAACUAAUUAGGCCAUAAAAGUACCUAGCUAAAAAAAAAGAAAAAAAAAAGUGGAGUUAGCUUGUUGACUGUUUAUAUCAAUAAACCAACUAAAAUGACGCCUCAUCUCUUUUUUUUAGAUAUAUUAGGUUUCCCAUCAAAUAAAAUAAUAUGUUCUUACUGCCCCUACAUUGCUUAGAUUUUUAAAUUCGAAUGUAAUUAUGGAUAUUCAACUCUUGACGUUGCAGUCAUCAAAUACACCAUCAUCCUUGUCGCAACCUCGCGAAAACACGGUGUCAUGGUGACCCUCUCUGCGACAGGGAUUUAUAUCAGGGUUUUUGUUUUGUAAAUAAGAAAAUCGUCACCUAGUAUUAUGAUCACUAGGAACCCUAAUUGGUCUUUCAGAGAUUCUAAGGUAAGGGAUUGGUUGCAUAAAGGGAAGGUUUUAGUACUCCUAGUACGCCUUACCUAAGGCAAGUUGCAUGGUGUUUGGUUUGUCUUAUAAUUGCUAUGGUGAUGGCGUACUCUAAUCAAUUUUCCUAGGAAGAGUUUGCUAUGAUGAAUAGACUUGGAUUCAAAGUCUAAAAGAAAGAACCCUUGGCCAAUAUGGAUCAUAUCUUUAGAUAUGUCUAUAGAUUGUCAAGGAGAACCGAUGCAAAUCUUUUGAAAUUUGUGUUUGAUUUGAAAUAAAUUUACAACUUAUGAAUUAAGAGACAACUAAGAUAGAAAUCUAAGGAGAUUCAAUGUGCUUAAAAGCUUAUUUUUUCCUUUAGCAUUUCAAGUGUUCGCGACUCAUCAAUCACAGGGAAGAGAAACAAGAAAAACUAAGUAAGAAAUCUAAGGAAAUUCAAAGUGCUUUAGAAGCUCAUUUUUUCCUUAGUAUUCUAUUCUUUCACAGCUCGUAAACCGUGGAGUCAAAAAUUAAAAUGUCCCCAAUUAUAAUCGAUACUUUUUUAAAGGAUAUGUGAUUAAAUAAAUAAUCAUGACUUAUUAUUUCUAAAAAAGUAUUUUGGAUAUUCAACACUUGGGGUUUCUUUAUCCAAAUAUCAACAGUGAAUAAACAAAUUACUUCUUCCAAUAAUAUUUUAGAUAUUAACUCAUUUGGGUUUUCUUUAUCCAAAUAUUAAUAGUGAAUAAAGACGAAUUCCAUAAAAAUAAAAUUUUUAUAUUUUUAGAAUAUUGGCCAACACCCUUUGAAAUUUACAAACAUGUUGUAAAAUCUAAAAUGCAGGAAAAUAAUUUUUUUUGUGUUUAAGAAAUCCAUGCUAAAACAUAUUUUUUUGAAAUCUCGAAUAUUUAUUUUUUUAGAAAAAGGAAUGUUCAAAAUAUGUUACGGUAUUGGUCGUAUCCUAUAUAUUUAUUUUUUGUUUUAUAUAUAUAUAGGAAAUUCUUCUUCCUAUGUAUAGAAAAACCAACUCGGCCCAUGUGUGUGUGUGUGCGUGCAAAAAAAAAAACCAUAAAAUAAAUACACGAAAAAAUCCAACGAUCUCACUCAUUUUUUUUAGGGUUAGGUCCAGCUCGACCCAUGUGGCUGGGGUGAACCCUGUAGGCCUAGCUGGGUCACUGGCCCAAACCAGUGACCCGGCUGGGCACAAAGGCUCACGCAUGCCUUGGUUGGUUACUGUCCAAUUGAAUUAUAAUUCACUUGAACAGUAACAAUGCAACUAAGAAUGCAUGCAAAAGCUAGGAGUAACAAACCUGGAGGUGGAAAUGAAGGAGCUGCAGCGAUGUUGAAGGCAUGCUGGCUAAUCUAUUCGUGUUCGACUGUUUCAUCCCUUUUCCCUCUGUUCUCUGCUUACGUCUGUCUCCUGCAUUUAGCUUUGCGUCUUUGUCCCUUUCUCUCUACUAGUUUUAGCUUUGGUUUCUUUUCUCUCCCUCACCUCCAUUCUGCUUUCCCUAUCUCACAGUAAUGCAAGGAUGAAGGAAAGAAACUCCCUUUGUUCUUUGUGUUUUCCCUCUCCUCUCCCUUUCUCUUUUUCUUUUGUUUCUCUGCUUUUUUUCGUAUCUUCCUUCGCCUCCUGCAGGUCUCACCAAAUUUGACAGACAAAAGUUUCUGUCAAUGUUUAGCAACAAAGCUUCCUCUUUAUGUGCUGUAGAUCUCCAACAUUUCUUCUCUUCCUCUCUUGUUUUUUUUUUUUUCGUUCUUCUUCUCCUAGCAUAAAGGUUUAUAUAGCCUAAAACGCAGCUCUAGUUAGGAAACAAAAUAUGGGGACACAAUCGCUAGUGGCUUGCAAUCAAAUAAAGCAAAUUAGAAAGCAAAAUAUUCCGAUUGAUUAUGUGAUAUUGGUAAUUAUUCUCCACGUGUAGAAUCCUAGCCAUUAAAUGAUGGUGCAGCUUUCCACAGCUAGCCUAGGUGUUCAAAGCCGUUGCCUUUAGACCAAAGAUGAAAAGAAGCUGGUGGGACUUGUCGUAGGGUUCGUUGCGUGCAGAACAUUGGUUUGUUCUGCACGCAACAUAAUUAAUUUUAGGUUCCUUCUAAUUUAAAUCUUCAAUUCAAUCUCUAAUUUUAAAAAAUUUCAAUUUAGUCCAUGAUAAAAAAAAGUCCUCCAAAUCAGCCCAUAAUCCCUCGAAUCAGACCUGCGGGUUAGAACCCUUCUCAUGGUAGGAUUCCCUGUUUUCAUACUAGAUAUUCAAACGGGAAUAUCUUGAGUUUCUGAUAUUGAAAUCAAGCGAUUAAAAAUUCAUCUACACGUACAGGACUACAACUUUCAUGAAGGAUUCAAAGUGAGAUAAAUUUGUUUUGAAGAAUAGAAUCUGGUCGCAAUCUGGCUGGUCAAAAGGAUCUCUUGAUCUGAUUCAACAACUAACAAUGUCGAGCCUCCUAAUCUGAUUGAGAGUCUGACAUAAUAACAGUGAGCCCUAGGACCUAAUAAAAAUGUAGGUCAAUUCUUUAACAUUUCAUGACUGACAAAAUAUAGUUGGGAUAAUCAGAUAUUGUAUGAAACCCAUUCAGAAUCAAAGCCUAAGUUGGAAUAAAAAAUUGCGAUAAUAGCAUAAUUAGUUUUUUUAGUGCAAAUUGUGAGACAUUUAUCUCACCUUAAAGACCGAACAAAGAAGAAACGAAUUUAGCAUUAUGAAGACUCCUAAUCAGUCUAAGAAACUUGACAAUUUUGUCAGCAAAGAGAGGAGGAUAAAUAGAGCAGAAAACAGCUGAAAUAAGGUUCAAAAAACACUUUUUUUUUCUCUGUUUUUGUCAAUUCCUCAACAAUCAUGAACUAAACUCCUACAUUUGAUUCAAGAGAGGUACACACUAUCUUCAGCACGUGAGGUCUAAAAAUAAAUAACAACAAUCCUUGUCCAGGUUUCCCCGGAGUUUAUAUCGCCGACAAUAACUUAUUCUUACAAAAAAAUAAUUAUCACAUAUAUUUAUAUGAAUUUUCAUAUAUAAAGUGGUUUAUAUAAUCUUUUACUUCUUAUACUAAAUAGAAUUAAUACCAAUUCAAUUUAUUAUUAUUAUUUUAAAAAGGAGCAAUUUUGUAUUUUACAACCCUUCCUCUCUCGUGAAUGUAAAUUAAACACAAGAGAAUCAGUUGCGCUGAAUUAAAAAAAAAAAAUGCAUAGCAAUAAGUUACAAUUAAAAAUGGAAUCCCUCGUAGUUCUACUAUAUUGACAUUCACAUUAUUUUCUUAUAAUUCAGCAGAAAGAAAAUGUGCUAAUAAAUAUUUUUGGUAUAAUGCUUUAUUUUCUUUGGUUAAUGUUUAAAUUCAAGGCUGUGAUAAGUUGGUCAAUAUUAACGGGCUGAUUUGUUUGUGGUUGUGAUUACUUUUCAAAUAAUUUUUCGUGUCAAAAUACAUGUAAUAAUUUUUUUAAUUUUUUAAAAAUUAUUUUUGACAUUAGCACAUCAAAAUAAUUUGAAAACACUAAAAACAUAUUAAUUUAAAAUUAAUAAAAAAAAUUAAUUUUUUUCAAAAACACUUUUAAAUAAGUAGUUAGCCAAUUCAAGUGGGACAUAAAGCAGAAACAAACAUGAUUUAUUCUCCCCAAGUUAUUAUUGCUGACUUUUUUAAAAAUUAUUAGAUUUAUUUUAUUGAUUUUUUAAUAAAAUUAUUAAUGCUAUAAUUAGAAUUUCAGUAUAUUUCUAGAGUUUUAUACUUUUAUUUAUUUAUUUUUCUUAUCUUUUUAAAAUUUAUUAGAUUUAUUUUCUCUAUUUUUAAAAUAAAAUUAUUAAUGCUAUAAUUAGAAUUUCAGAAUAUUUUUAGAGUUUUAAUAUAUGUUUGUUUCUGCCAAACACUGCCAAAGUUAUUUAUUUAUCUUUGUUGUCUAUCAUCUCUCAUGUCUAUUUAAUAUAUUUCUAAAAAUAUUACUAUUUUAAAUAACAACAAGUUAUAAAAUUAUUUUUUCACUCAUGAAAUGAAAUGUAUAAACUGUAAUUGUUUUUUUCAAUCCCGAUUUUUUUAAAAAAAAAUUAUGCUAAAAACUAAAAAUAAUCCUUGGAAAAGUGGUGACGUGUAAGAAACCCAGCAAAAAUGGCGUCGAGUGGAGCAUAAAAGCAAAGAAAUGGAAGCACUGCAUCGUUGUUUGUAGGGCCGCACUCAUUUGAUUUUUUCCUUCCUUUACUCACUCUCUAGUCUCUUCGCUUUACUACAAAAGCCAAACCAGCCCAACCAAAGAUCUUUCCUUUCUUAGCUGCCACCUCUGUCAAAAAUAUAUUUCUCCUCUUGCAAAUUCUUCAAUCCAUAAGAACCUGCUACUAUUCAAUCCCUACAAUUGUUUACGUUUCUCUUCUUCUUUAAGGUAAAAACUUCGUCUUUUUUUUUCCUUCAAGUUUUUGGUUCAUUUGAUGCUUUCGUUGCGUUACUGGUCUUUUUAUAUUAUAUGUUUUUACCUAAUGGUAGAAAUGAAUGUCGCGUUGUUAAAUGGUGCAUUGGGUUUUGUGAAGGUAAGGAGAAGUGGAGUAUUUUAAUUUCUUUAGCAUUUUUUUUUUCGCUAAUUUUUGUGAAGCGACCCUUUGUUGAUUCUUGAUUUGAUAAGCUAAUGUGGGUACUGUUUAUCCUGAUAUGAUAGGCAGCGUAGCACAUGCUGGAGUUUUUUUUUUUUUUGUAAGCAAUGGAUAUCAUGUGAAAUUAUUGGAAGUAUCUCUUUAACUUUUAUUUUUGUUUUGAGUUUUGGUCACUGAAAGUUGAAAAGGGGCAUUAUGUGAAAUUGUUGAAAGCUGAAUAAGUUCCGUAUAGCUAACUUUUCCGACGUUUUACCACUGGCUGGAAUAUAAUUUCUUUGUGUUUAUGGUUUUCUCGCUGGAUGCUUGGUUCCUGUUGAUUUUGACUUUGUAAGUUGUAAUUGAAAGGAUGGGUGGGUAGUUGCAGGCAUGACGCUGGUUGGCCAGGCUGGUCCAUCAUCCUCUAUACUUACGGAGAUAAGCCGCUGUAAAGCUGCACAAAAUGUGGUUAUUGCUAUGGCUAGAAGCACUGAUGCAUCUAAGCUAAAGGAAACACCUCCCAGAUUCUCUUCAUUGUCAUGUAACUCUAGCAAGACACCUCAGAUUCUGAGUUCAGAGAGUCUGUCAGUAGGAAUGAAGAGAGGGCAUCGAGUUGUUGUUGCGGCGAGCCCUCCUACAGAAGAUGCUGUCAUUGCCACAGAACCACUAACAAAAGAGGAUCUUAUCGGAUACCUUGCCUCUGGUUGCAAACCUAAGGAAAAUUGGAGGUAAAUUCUCAAUUCGUGAUUCUAGUUGGAUUGGAGUGGUAUCUUCGUCUUGUUGGAGACCUUGUCACUGGCUGCAACCCCAAGGAAAAGUAGAAUAUUGUCAAAAUUUUGCAUAGAUAAAAGGCUCUUCUUUUGCCCAUUCCACCACUCCUAAAUUCUGCAAUUCGUAGCGAUUCUUGAAUUUUUGCAAUUCAUAUACUCUGUCACAAGACAUGUACAUAUCCAUCGAAGGUCAAUUACGAUCAAACAUAUAUCCAUAAGAGUUUGUUGUACCCUUCUGACUAGUCUAUCUCAAACUGUAGUGCUUUGCAUGUUGUAAAUCCAAGUACCUUCUGUUAAAGAAAAGGGUUUUGUUCCUUGUCCUUGGUAACAAACUUGUUAUUAUCCCAUUUCAUUUUGUUUUGGUUGAUACUCAGUACUAUUGGGUUUUCAUACCUGAUUUCUGGUUUUACCUAUACCCUAGGUAUUGCUCAUUUACCGUGUUGCUUUUGCAGAAUAGGUACAGAACACGAGAAGUUUGGUUUUGAGAUUGGAACUGUACGUCCAAUGAAAUAUGAGCAAAUUGCAGAGUUGCUUCAUGGUAUUGCUGAGAGGUUUGACUGGGACAGAAUAAUGGAAGGUGACAACAUCAUAGGACUUCAACAGGUAAAAUGGUCAUCGUGGUUAUCUUUAUCUCUUUUUCAUAGCUAACUGCAUCUCAUACUUAUGCAUAUCUUAUACUCUGCUCUGGACUUUUUUUCUACUGUUUAUAUACAAGCUAAUUGCAUAUCUUACAUAGGAAAUUUUGUGCUGUUUUCUCAAAUGGCCUGGGUUGUGGAUUAUGUGGUUUUAAUUGCUGUGGCCAGGGGAAGCAAAGCAUAUCAUUAGAGCCUGGUGGUCAGUUUGAGCUCAGUGGUGCUCCUGUAGAAACUUUGCAUCAAACGUGUGCUGAGGUUAAUUCACACCUUUAUCAGGUAAGUUGAGAUUACUACACAUCAACAUGACUUUUGCUCAGGUUAAUUCAACAUUUGGAUUUAUUUCUGGUAGUAGGACAAUUUUAUUUUUUUUGCAAACAUCAUCUGGAUGAAUAUGAGAUUGCGUGAUGGUGCUGUUUUCUUUUUCUCAAAUUUUUAUGAAACACACAUUCACUAUGUCCUUGUGAUCUUGCUGUCUUCAUAUGUUAAUUUUACCAGGUGAAAGCUGUGGCAGAGGAAAUGGGAAUUGGAUUCUUAGGAAUUGGCUUCCAGCCCAAAUGGGGACUUAAAGACAUACCUGUUAUGCCCAAGGUAUAAUAAUCCAAUCAAUUUAUUAUCCUUCUCAUGCAAUUAGCUUGGGUGGAAAAUAUACUAAGACAUGAAUACAUGGAUUAUUAAGGAAAGUAAAAGGUAAUAGUUGUCAUGGAAUGAGCUUGAACAUGCUUUCCAUGCACGACAAAUGUGCCCUUGUAAACUUUUUAUGCAAGUUUUUGUGACAUUUAACAGAAGGGAUAGAAUAAAUAAAAUUAUGAUCAUACACGUUUGUAUUCUUGGUUUUUAUAUUGUUUCAUUUUCAUGUUUGGCCUUUUCAUGUCAAACCUUCAUAGUAUGCCAUGAAUGCUUCCUUCUUUGUUAAAUAUGGCAGAUUGUGUCUCUGAGCUUUCACAUAUCUUAUGCCAAUCUCUUGAGAAUUGUUUAGUUUUGUGGCUCAAAACUGAUUUGUCCAGCCAACUAUACUCCCUAAUAUAUUCUUUCUAUAAGCCAUCUAAAGUUGCAUAUGUAGACUGAUUUAAGUGUUCAUGCCUAGAGGAAAAGCCUAGAAAUACAGGGGCUACUUUUAAGUAUUGGAAUAUUUCAUAGAGGUUCCUUUCCAAUCUAUCCUACAACAUACCAUCAGUGAUAUUUAAUUUAUGUUUGUUAUCCCAGCGAUACUAGGCUUCUCAUUUUAAUCUCUUUUUUCAAUGCCUCUUUUCUUUUCCUUUUGUUUUUAGUGCUGUUUAUAAUCAUGCUUUCCCUUGGAAAUUUGAUUGCUUGUCUACUGACAUGUAUGUUGUCCAGGGAAGAUAUGAUAUCAUGAGGAAUUACAUGCCUAAAGUUGGCUCGCUGGGACUAGAUAUGAUGUUUAGGACUUGCACCGUUCAGGUUAGAUGAAUUUUGCUUUAUUCACUGGUUUGGUCAUUUUGAAGCAAUUUCUUGCCUGGUGGUUACUUUUUUAUUCUUUCCUGGUGGCUAAUUUUCUAGUGUAACCUUCCUUUUCUGUAUUUGAUGAUUUUUUGUCUAAUGUAUAUUGAUAACUUUUUAUAUAUGAAAUAUUAAACUUUCAAUAGGUUAAUCUGGACUUCAUUUCUGAAGCUGACAUGAUAAGAAAAUUUCGUGCUGGCCUUGCUUUGCAGCCGGUGAGAAUUUUUCCUAAAUUUUGAGUUUUUUUCAAACACAAAUUUUUCUGAUUCUGUGAUAUCUUUUUAUUGGAAAAUAAACAGGUAGCAACAGCUCUAUUUGCAAACUCACCUUUCACCGAAGGAAAACCAAAUGGCUAUCUCAGCCUAAGAAGGUUUCUAAACGUAAUUGCACUGGUGUACUUAAUAUGAAAUCUGUUUCCCGUAGGCUUCUUAGUGAUGUUUCUUUACCUGAGCAGCCAUAUCUGGACUGAUACUGACAACAAUCGUGCUGGCAUGCUUCCAUUUGUUUUCAAUGACACCUUUGGGUAAGUUAUUAACUUGUUAUUUGAGAGGAAAAUAACAUUUAAGCUUUUAAUUUUUGGGUUGGGGGUUGUGGAGGAUGAGCAGGUUUGGGAAUCCAUCUACAGAAUUUGUAUUUUUGAGUUAAUUUUAUUUUGAACACUGUGAUGUACAGAAAUCUAAGUUGGCAUCGACUAUGAGCACAGAUGAUCACUAUCUGUGUGAGUAUAUAUCUAAGGAUAUGUAUAGUUUAGCUCCUUGCUAUUUUGUUUGCGAUUAAGAGGAGUCAUCAUCACCCCUGACUUCUGAGUUAAAAAGGAUUUAACAUUGCCAGCAUCAAUCCCCUUUUUUAUCAGUUCUCAGAUCAGGGGUAAAUAAAUGUGGACACAUGCCCAUUCCUGCAUACAAAUACAUGUUACAUGUAUGUUUGCAAGGUUAAGUUCAUAAUGUAUGCAUGAAUACUCGCAUAAACAAAUGCGCACGCACAUGGUGCAUGAAGUUGAUUGUAUGAUUGUAGUUCUGCUUUAUUUUUCCCUUUGCAGGUUUGAGCAGUAUGUUGAUUAUGCUCUUGAUGUUCCAAUGUAUUUUGUUUAUCGGAAAAAGAAGUAUAUUGACUGUACUGGAAUGUCAUUCCGGGUUUCUUUCUAUCCUUUAUAGCCUUGUAAUUUAAGGUUUUUGAUUUUUCACCAUUUUUGCAGGAACCUUCUCCAUUAAAUCAAGCUACUAAUUGGUGACCAUUUUAUAUUUUUCAGGACUUUUUGGCUGGAAAACUUCCUUGCAUUCCUGGUGAAUUGCCAACUCUUAAUGACUGGGAAAACCAUUUGACAACAAUAUUUCCUGAGGUUAAAUGAUGUGCAUUUUGGUUCUUUUGCCAAAAAAUAUCGUGUUGUGAUCUUGGCUCAUUUAACACAUUACUUUCUCAUUUCUUUCAGGUCAGGUUGAAGAGAUACUUAGAGAUGAGGGGUGCUGAUGGAGGGCCUUGGAGGAGGUUAUGUGCUUUGCCAGCAUUUUGGGUAGUUGGCCACUUUGAUCCCUUUCUUUUUCUUUUUUGGUUGCAUGAUUUGUCUGUCUAAAAUGAUUUUUGCAAAAAAUUUUAUAUGAAAUGAACAGUAGAACAGUUACAGUACAAGGAUGUGAAACUUGAAAAUUUUAACUUGUACCCAUAGCAUGGUUUUAUUGCUUUGUCUUCUUUUAGUUUGGCACCCUUUUCAACAGAUCCGUAUUCUUCAUAAUUGAAUGGAGGAUUUUAUUACUUGCCUCCAUUUAAACAAUAUCAUCAGUUCAUUUUGAUUUCUGUUUUCAUAUGUCAGGUAGGGCUGUUAUACGAUGAAGACUCACUUCAAAGUGUUCUAGACAUGACAGCUGACUGGACCUCUGAAGAAAGACAGAUGUUAAGGAAUAAGGUAACCCAAAACUCUUUUACAAUGGAACUCUAAAUCUCCAUUCCUCAAAUUAUAAUAUGCCUAACACAAGAUCUGCAGAAGUGAUUUUUUGAGUGAGUCAUAGUUGUACGAUGUUUUCUUUUAGGAUGUCAUGCAGUAAACUGAAUAUAAGCAAAAGACCAUGACCCUGUUGAAGUCAAUAGUAAAAGACUUGAGCGUGUUGUGUUGCUUGUUGGCAUUUAUUUUGUUAACGUGAAAAGGCUGCCAUAGAAGGAUCCACAAUAUGGUGGACUGACAGAUGAUGAAAAUUUUAAUCUUGAAAGAGACUUUCAUUUACUUUUUCUCAACAUUCCUGAUGCAAGUUCAUGAAACCUGACAUUGCUAGAGGCAUGGGUUUGUGUUUUAAAUAUCUGCCAUGGCAUUGUAUUUAUGUGAGUAUAUGUGGUGUUAAUAAGGACAGUUCUUGCUUGCUAUUUAUUUUUUUCCCACAACAGAGAUGCAGCCUGUAUGUCUUCUGUAAUCAUGACAUUGAAUCUGAUAUAAAAUUGUUUUUUAGGUUCCAAAGACAGGUCUUAAGACACCAUUUCGGGGUGGACUGUUGAGACAUGUUGCCGAAGAAGUUCUAAAGCUGGCUAAGGUAACUUUAUUUUUUUUCCCAAUAAUGGUAGUUGGCUAAGUUAACCUGCAGACUGCUUUUCUUCAGCUUUAAGUAAACACUAGGUUAUUGCCCGUGCUAUCGAUACGGCUUGGACCAAAUUCUUUUGGAAUGUAAAAGGAUAAUAUCUUGACCAUCAGAGUUUUUUCAGCAUUGACUUUAAACUUGGUACAACAUUUUAAACUCGAAAACUCUCGAUUCAAGAUUCAAUUUUUUGCUUAGCUCGAGUUUUAAAUUAAAUCUUGUGAGAGUUGUCUUGACAUGACCUUGUUGACCGGUAGAUUCAAAGAAAAAAAUUCAAAGGAAAAGAAUUGUUAAGUUCAGCCUAGUUCACCCAUCAAACCCGCUACUUGAAUUAUAAAAUACAUUGAAUUAAAUUUUAUUUAAUUAUAUGAUAAGAAUUAUGAAACUGAUUCUUAAUUAGCCCUUUAUUGAAUGAUAAAAAUUAAUAAAAACUCAACAUUAAAAUAUGGAUUUAGAAAAAAAAAACCCAAAAAGAGAAAAAUCAAAUGCCAUUAAAAAAAGCCAUGGGUUUGUUGUAAAAAAGCCUAGGUGCAUGGACUUGAGGCAGUCUUAUGUGUAUGGGAUAAUUUGUUUUUUCUUUUUACCUUUUUCUUUGAAAAAAAAAGUUAUGUGACAGAUUACUGUCGCAACAAAAACUAAUAGCCACCAUAGUGCUUAAACAUGCAACCUUGCCUAUUUAAGGACUUGUUUGGUAUUGUUUAGUAUUAUGAUAGUGAUUACAUUUCAAAAUGCUUUUUACUUGGAAAUACAUUAAGAUAAUAUUUUUAUUUUUUAAAAUUUAUUUUUGACAUCAGUAUAUCAAAACAAUCAAAAAAUACAAAAAAACUUAAUUUUAAGCAAAUAAAAAAUAAAAUAAAAAUUAAUUUUUUUGAAAGUGUUUUCGAAAUGUAAAAAUAAAAAGAUACCAAGGAUACAUGGUAAACCAAGUGAGUUAUAGAACAAAUAUGUCAUCAAACAAUUAAAACAAUAUAUUAACUUGGUUAAACACGCUUAUUCUACUGCAGGAUGGCUUAGAAAGGAGAGGCUUUAAGGAAGUUGGCUUCUUGAAUGCAGUGUCUGAUGUGGUUAGCACAGGUAAUUUAGAAGUAAUUAUGCAUUUAUCUUUGCAUGUUUCCCCAGUAAUUUGGCUAUGUUAACCUGCAUAAGUUGGUUUCUUAAUGGUCACGAUGAUUGAUAAUUUUAUGGCAGGUGUAACACCGGCAGAAAAGCUUUUGGAACUUUACCAUGGAAAGUGGGGGCGGUCUAUAGAUCCUGUUUUUGAAGAGCUACUUUACUAAGGUGAAUUAGAUUUUUGUAGCACUGCAGCAGUGUCCUACUGUGUAACUCUCUCUCUCUCUCUCUCUCUGGGUUUAAACCUUGUUUAUGUUCUGAACUACUUUCUUCAACUGAUACUGAUAGUUUGUCUUUUGCCGAAUAAAUUUCAAUGUAAAUCCUUGGUAUGAGGAUUCUCUCAAAACUCUCAUCGAAUAACACCCAGACAGUGUGGAGCCAGUGAACAAUUUUUUAGCUUCCAUAGCAAUAACACGCCGAUCAUGUGCUUUUCACAAGCAUUCAUUGUAACGUUUCCCUCCUUGUGUCACGCAUCUCAUUCUCAACAUCCCUAAUGAAAAUGGUUAACCCGAUUUGUUAUGUAAUUCUAUUUUCAUAAACGAACCAGGUUUUCAUUGAUCACAGUAUGCAAAUGGAUUAUGAGGUUGGUGAAGUGUGUAACAGAAAUAUGAAAGAAGGAUCUAAACUUAAAUGCUUAUUUUCAGUUCAAACACUGUUACAUGGCAAAUAAAAUGUCAGUUCUCAUUUUAAGAAUGAUGGUAGCUAGCUUCAUUUCAUAAAAAGUCUUUUCAGUAACAUCCUACAUUUCCACACAAUGGUAGGACCUUCAACACUAUGCUCUUCUAGCAAGUAUUUAAUUGUCAAUUGCCUGGCUUGCCUUUUGUAUCCCAAAAACCUUAUGUGAUCUUGUCCACCAACCCUAUCUCGUCAGGUCACCCGCCACGUCCGAGCCAUGUGGGCUGCCAGCACCCAACAGGUACCGUGUGCUUCCCAGACCCGCUAGAGAUACAUACCCCACCAUAUUACCAUCUAAUAUGGUAGCUAUCCAUGCCACUGUUUUGUUUAGUUUCUCCUAGUGUUUUGGCGCUUCUUAUUGAUUACAUAAAUUUCAUUUGUUUGGUGUAUACAACCAAUGGAAAGAUUCGUGGGAGGAUAUGUCAAAUGUAUCUGGCUGGAGAGAGAGGUGUGUGAGAUUGCUGCCGGGGGGAUCCUAACAUGAGAGGGUGGUAAUUUAGAUGGGGACUGGCCAUCAUCCCUACCACUCUUGAGUAGGUGUUGAAUGGCUUGAAAACGAUGCUAUAACAGCAAAUUCUUAGACACAUAUCCAUGAACAUCAUCAAAUCUUAUCUCGUACUACCUUUUUGUCUGUUAGUAAAGUAAAAUGCUAGUAUGAAGUUUUGAGUCAAAAUUCAGUCAGCUAUCAUUUUCCCAUUCAAUUUAGCCUGCAGCAGAUGAUGAUGAUGAUGAUGAUGGAAGUACUGAGAUCUGUUGAAUGUUUAUUAUGUAUUUAGGUUUAAUAGAUUAUAUUAGAAGCAAACUACUAAAUCACAUUUUUCUCUUUUGGCUCAAUGGGAUUUUUUUGAACCUCAUACUUGGCAUAGGAUCCCAACAUCAAGAAGCCAACUAGUCCUUGUGGUGGAAUGUCUGGAAGGAGGGCCAGAAAGAAUACUUGUUUAAGAAGAGAGAGACAGACCGAAAACAGGAAGGUCUCAUGCUCUGCAAUAAUUGAAGCUUCUUAGCUCUCACCCUUGUGACACCACCCUUAGGUAUUAUAUCGCAAAUUAGGCACCUAAUUUGAUCUUAAAUCACUAAUGCGAUCUUACACCAUGAUAUUUGUGGCAUAACCACCUUAUUAGUCUGAACAUUACCAGAGUACCCUCCCUAUAUGUCUGUCAUCUCAUUUCUGUCCGAGUGACCAAGUUGUCUGAAAAUAUCUCGAAAUAAUGAAGAGGUUUCUAUUGACUGCCAAGUUUAUUGUAUGAUGCUAGACCGUAAAUUUCUACCAGGUAAAAAUUUGCUGGCAAUGUGGUUACCUUACCUGGUGCAAUCAAGGAACUAGGAAGAAGAUUUUCUUUGCAUGAUCAGUAUGUUCUCUAUAAUAUGACAAGAAUUCAGUAGUUGUUUAAUAUUUUUGCUUAAGAAAACAGUAAAACUCUACAAGCCACCAAGGAAUUAGAGAUGUUCAUCAAAAGAAAGAAAAGGCGUUAAAGAGUGAGUAAAGGAUCAGCAUUCAUGAAAUGUUCUCGUUAAUACACCAAUCCAGAAAUGGUGGAUUGAAGUAAGAAGGAAGAAGGAAGUUGAUAAUAAAAUAAUAGAAUUCCAUCCAAUCAUUUUGGAGGAGAGCAAGCUCAAGGCAGAGAGAGAGACAGAAAUGGGGCAGUUUUGGAAUCUUAAAUGACAGACAGACAGAGAGAAAGAAAAUCAAUCAUACUGGAGGUUGGGUUGGCUAUUUUAGAUUGAGUGAAGCCAAUGUAUGAUUGCAACUUGUUGUUAUUAUUAUUAUAUCCAUGUCCAGCUCACAACUCUUGUUGGAGCUUGACAUGUUCCCCUCCUAACGGAGACACAUCGUAUUAUUCAUUAAAUUUUCUCUAUAUUUCUCACUUUCUGACACGGAAGAUAUCGAAACCUUCUUAAAAUCCUAUCCCUCUUGCACCUACAAAAGCCCUGCAACUUUACGUUCUUCCUCACUCUCUCCCCUCCAGUCCCCUCCCUAUAUUUCUUCUCUUAACAUUUUCAUUUUUUUUAUUAAGACUAAUCAAUCAAGAUGAGAGAAAUCCUUCAUGUCCAAGCUGGUCAGUGUGGUAACCAAAUUGGUGGCAAGUUUUGGGAGGUUGUGUGUGAUGAACACGGAAUUGAUCCCACAGGGAAUUAUGCUGGCAACUCUAAUGUUCAACUUGAGAGGGUUAAUGUUUACUACAAUGAGGCUAGUGGCGGUCGUUAUGUGCCUAGAGCUGUGCUAAUGGACCUUGAGCCAGGGACCAUGGACAGCUUGAGGACUGGUCCCUACGGGCAAAUCUUUAGGCCUGACAAUUUUGUUUUCGGCCAAAAUGGAGCUGGAAAUAACUGGGCUAAGGGACAUUACACUGAAGGAGCUGAACUGAUCGAUUCUGUUCUUGAUGUUGUUCGAAAAGAAGCUGAGAAUUGUGAUUGCUUACAAGGUAUGACUUCCACAUCCUUACAUUUGUAGGUAAAUCGUGUUCAGUUUAGUUCAUUUAUCAUUGCUUGGCACACGCUAACUUUAUUUUCUUGAAUUGAUGACUGAUAAUGUGAUUAGGCUUCCAAAUCUGUCAUUCUCUGGGAGGUGGAACUGGAUCAGGAAUGGGGACUCUGCUCAUAUCAAAGAUCAGGGAAGAAUACCCUGAUAGGAUGAUGUUAACUUUCUCAGUAUUUCCAUCUCCCAAGGUUUCUGAUACUGUGGUUGAGCCCUACAAUGCAACCCUCUCUGUACACCAACUAGUUGAAAAUGCUGAUGAGUGUAUGGUCCUUGACAACGAGGCUCUCUAUGAUAUCUGCUUUCGAACUCUCAAGCUCACCAAUCCAAGCUGUAAGUGAACCAUGCCUCAAUUUUUCAUCCUUGUUAGUAUUCAUACAUGUAUAAACUGCAACAUCUCUAAUAUGAAUGUACGAAAUUAUGUUACAGUUGGUGAUCUUAACCACUUGAUCUCGACAACCAUGAGUGGAGUAACAUGUUGCCUUCGAUUCCCGGGCCAAUUGAACUCUGAUCUUCGAAAACUAGCCGUGAACUUAAUCCCCUUCCCACGUCUCCAUUUCUUCAUGGUUGGUUUUGCACCAUUAACCUCCCAAGGCUCACAACAGUACCGUGCCUUAACCAUCCCGGAGCUGACACAACAAAUGUGGGAUGCUAAAAACAUGAUGUGUGCAGCUGACCCUCGGCACGGUAGGUACUUAACAGCCUCAGCUAUGUUUCGAGGCAAAAUGAGCACUAAGGAAGUUGAUGAGCAGAUGAUGAAUGUGCAAAACAAGAACUCAUCAUAUUUUGUUGAGUGGAUUCCAAAUAAUGUUAAAUCAAGUGUUUGUGACAUUCCACCAACUGGGUUAGCAAUGUCAUCAACAUUUAUGGGAAAUUCUACGUCUAUUCAAGAAAUGUUUAGGCGUGUUUCGGAACAAUUUACAGUCAUGUUUAGGAGAAAAGCGUUUUUGCACUGGUACACUGGGGAAGGAAUGGAUGAAAUGGAGUUUACUGAGGCUGAAAGUAACAUGAACGAUUUGGUUUCUGAAUAUCAACAAUAUCAAGAUGCCGCAGCCGAUAAUGAGGGGGAGUAUGAUGAAGAAGAGCCUAUGGAGAACUAAGGAGAAUUUGAUCUGGUUAUUUUCCUAUGGCCAUGGCUUCAAGGAUGAGUUGUUUCUGGUGGAGUUAUUUAUGUUACUGUAUGGAGGUCAAUAUUUGAAUAAUUUGGGCCUCUGAUGACCGUGAGAUUGUGAAUAUUUCUAUUUAUAAUCUGUGAGUAUAAAAUUUGUAUUACUGUUUUGUUAUAAUGUGGAUGAUUAUCGUUUUUCUUCAUCUAUUUUACAUUAUCUACAUUUUUUCUCCUAAUAAUAUUAAUUUUACCGAAAUUAUUUCUUGAAAAAUCUCAACAUCUUAAUUUCGUAGAAUUCACUAUUAGAGUAUCACACGUUCAAUUAAAUGAGAUAUUUCUGGGACGUAAUUUGAGGAUGAUUUUUUUAAUAAAAUCAGCAUUUCUUGUUUUUCUUUAAAUUCUAGUAGUAAAUACAUGGAAAUCCCUAGUUUUCAAAUGAGAAAGUUAGCUAUCUAUAAAUUUAUAAUUUACUAAAAACAUUUGAGGUAAAAUCUCAGGUACUUAAUCGUUCAUAUGAAUAUGCAUUACUAUACAUUAUCUAUAUGAAGUACCCGUCUUUUUUUUUUCUUUUUAAUUGAUUCUUUCUAUAGUUUAAUUAUGUAAAAUUAUGGUGAACAUAUUAAAUUAAAAAACAAAGAACUGACAAGAAAAAACAUGGUCAAUCCCAAAUUUAAAAUAAUUUUUUUAUUUUAAUCCUAAAAUUUAUUUUGUUUGUUUUUUAGUUUUUUGAUUUGAGAAAGAAAAAAAACUAUCCAAAAAAAACAGCGUAAGAGAGAAAAAAUUAAUGGAUAUAAUAAUUCUAACAAUCAAAAUGGUUAAACUUGAUAUCAAAUGAUUCAAUUUAAUGAGAGGAAUUUGAUGAUAAUGGUUUUACACCCUCAUCUUGCUUGAAAAGGUAAAUCAUGCAUAAGAGAAUUUUUUAUUUUUUUGACUAAUUUAUAGGUGUUUUAAGUUGAAAAAUUAGUUUAGUGAGGCUUCUAGAGUAUUUCUUAGAUGUUUUAUGUUAAAAUAGGUUAAAAGAUAAAAUUUUAAACUUAAAAACAUCUCUAUUUGAUUUUUUACCCAUCCCCAAAAUAGUUGGGAUUUGAGUUGAUACAUUAAUUUUUAUAAAAUUAAAAGGGAUUAAUAACAUGUGUCGUACACCCUUUAAUGAAGAAAAUAUAUAUAAGCCCAAGUAUAUAGGAUUGAGUAGCUGGUCAAGUCCUCAGACUUGGCUUUCAAGGUCUAUUAGCACAUGACUUCUAUAUUUUUUAAAAAUAAUAUAAUAAAGUGCAUCUACAAUACUAAUAUAUUUUUUAUUAUUAAAAAUUAAUUUGAAAUCCUUUCAUGCAGAAAAAAUAUACAAGCCCAAACAUAUGGAUUUUUGAGUAGUUGAUCAAAUGCGCAGACUUAGCAUGCAAGGUUUGUUAGUGCUUGAUUUCUAUAUUUUAAACAUAUAAUAUAAUAAAAUAUAUUUACAAUAUUAAUAUUUUUUUAUUAUAUUAAAAAUUAACUUGAAAUCCUAUUUUAAAUCUGGUGUAGUUUCGUAAAACAGAAUGAUAAGAAGGGCUUCGCCUUACCAGGGAAACAGAAAUCAAAUGUUCAAUUAAAUAUUAAUAUUAGAUUAUUGAAAAAACGAAAAUAACUUGUGUCCAUAGCCCCGUCGCAGAGAAUGAGGAUGCACUUGUUCAAGAGGUCAUUGGUGUGGCCUUUUUUCUUAUUUUUUUAAGCAAUUACUAGAUAUUUUUUUUCUUCUAUUCCAACUGUCGAAAAAGGUCUUCAUGGGAGUAGCAUGCCUCCAUCAACCCAACCCCACGCACACGGAAGCGUGGUCAAGCCCUGGCAUGGUUCGUUCCCACUUCUAGGGUUUGCUCCUACUUCUCUUAUGUUCAGUCAGGGCUCCUUGGUUACCUAGUCUGGUAUUAGCUGGAUCGGUCCAAUGAACUGUCCAGCCCUAGGGAUGCACCUCCUACCAUGACACAAACAGAAGAAAAAAGGCUGAGGUAGAGAACUUGAAAUCUGUUUACCAAGCAAACUCUAACAAGCUAUCACCAAAACUCUUAGAUUGUUACCAUUUUUUGUUCAGAUCCUAGGGAAGUUGCAAAAAAGAAAAUUUCUACGGGAAUAUUUGUCUACGUUGUAGAUGUUCAAUCUAAGAAUUGCUAAUACAUUUAAACCGCAAAAAGAUUAGACAGUCACUACUUAGAUGGUAAGUUGAGACCACUAGAAACUCUCUACCUGCACGAGCACACAACUGCUGUUGCACGAUCAAACUUAUAUAUUUACACAAUAACAAGCCACUGCUGAAAAGCAAGAUAUAUUUGAUUAAAAAACUUAGCAUACAAAAACACCAAUUCCACCUCUGCUUGUGCAGCCACAACCAAUAGCACUGUACAUAAAUUACAAGGAUUACAACAUUUUAUUUUCACCCUCUAAAAGCAAUUUGAAACCACAGGUGAUUCCAUCUACAAACAUGUAAUCUGUCACAAGAAUGUCUUAAUUAUUCCUCCAGAUUUUUGUAUUGGAAAAGGUCAGCAAACAGAAACAAGGGUAUUGUUCAUAUGCGCAUUAGUGACCAAUAUGGCAACACCUAGUAACUGACCAUACCUAACCCGUCAAAAAUGUUUCGAAAGAAUUCUUUAAGAUGACAACCAAUCAAUGCAUGAAGUAGAUCGGAGCCAUUCACAGCCAGUUUUUUGCUGUGAGGUCAACUCAAAAAAACAUUGGAUCAUCCUGAUUUGAAAUUAAGCUCGUGUUCACCAUUGGUAGUCAUCUUAAGGAAAUGAGCAAUCCAAGAAGAGAUUUAUUUUGACCCUUGUCCUUCUGCUAUCAUGCAUUUGUGUUCCUUUUAUUUUCAAGAGUUGAUGCCUCUUUUAGAGCUGCUUUUGCCUCAUUCUCCUUUCCCAUUGUUAAAAGAGCUGCUGCUUGUAAAUAAGAUGCAAUAUGCCAAAUAGGGGAUAUUGCCUGGGCUUGCAGUGCAUCAUUUAGGGCCUGCUGGGGCAUGUCACUCAAGAGGUAGGAUAGACUUCGGCGUGCAUGAACGGUUGGGGAAACCAUGGUUCCAAUAGCAAUGAACUGCAAAGUGAUAAAAUGUGAGCUCAAUUUUGAAUUUUGAUCAUAAUCGAUAGAACAAUUUGUAACUUCUGAUUGCAUCAGAAAUACAUAACCCCACUAAAAGAAUCCUAAUUUUGAGAUCUCAAAGUUCUGUAAAGAUAGGCUUUUUUUCUAGUUUGAUUGUAAAUUCAUGAACACCACUUCUACCUGUACUCUCCACAGUAAUAAAAUCACCUAUUUUAUCCACUUCAACCAAUCUCAAAGGUCAUCUAGCCAAAAAAUAGAAACCAAUUAACCUGGGAAUAGAAUUCAGUGGCAGCUCUAAAAUCUUUGUGCCGGAAAGCAACAUCUCCCUUCUUCUUUGAAUUUAAUGUUUCCUGCAUUUGGUCGGUCCACAUCUGGAACGAAAGCUACAAGACAGUAAAAAAAAAAAAAGCAAGCAGGUCAUAUGAAAAAAUGUUAUAGCCGAACCAGUCAGGCAUGUGUGAGGAAUCAAUGACACGUGUGAAAUAAAGGAGAUGCAAACACAGGAUGAGUGCACUCUAUGGGAUCUAAGAAUCAAGUGAUUAUUCACCAGCAUCCAUGUAAAAUCACUAGGGAAAAAAUGGCAAACGUAUACAAACAUGAGCAUGGAAAUAAAUAAAACAUUAACUAAAUAAAUGCUAAUGGUGAAAUUAUGAGCAUCAAGCAAUAUUAAAAAGACCAAUCAAGAAAUAUCAAGUGACAUUCUUUUAAUAUUAUCAUUGCUAAAAUCAUAAGUAAAGCAUUCAAAUGUUCAAGGUCAAAAUGAUGCUAACAUAGCAAAGCAAAACCUUGAAGCUAGAAUGAUUUAUCAAUUUCUUAAUUUUCAAUUCCACGGAUCUAGUGUAGCAAAAAAGAAAAUGAAAAUAUUCCUUAAGAGAUCUUCAAAAAACACCAUAACUUGACAUAAUGAAAACAAAUUUUGAAUCUCUAACUAAAGCGACAACAAAAGGCCCAGAUGGUUGCAUUAAUAGCAUUCCAUUACUGUUACCAUUUUAUUAUAUCAGAAACAAACCUCAGUUGCUGCACCCUCAUCAUCUUUAUACCCAAGCUUUUCUAAAAUCUCAUGUAUGGCAGUCAAAUCCAUUCUUAAACAAGCCUCGCCAAGUGGUGACAGCGGUAAUGCUGCAGCACCAUCUUGUAUCCCCAUCAAUUCAUGAGAAGGAACCUGCAAAUCAGACUAAUAAGUCCAUUGAAGGAUAGAGUGAUUCAAAACUUUCAAUUCACACCAUCAAGACAAAAGAGAAUGUUGCGUAUUGUAGUUUGUAAAAAUCUCAAGUAAUAGAUCAGCACCAAAACUCAAAGUAAUAAAUCAGAAAAGAGCCAUUCCAAAAGGUGUUUUAAUAGACACCGCCAACUGAGUAAUGCUUAUUGCAGGCCCUGACAAAAACCAUUAUUUCAUCCACAGAACACAUUUCCAGUUAUCAGGUCAUGUAAAUGAAUAAUCAUUCUUAUGUUUAUGACUAAGAAUGUCAUUUAUCUUCUUCUUCUUUUAAUGGCUUUGAGAGUAAAAUGAAGUUGCUGCCUGUGGAAGGAUUCAUUUGAGAAAGUCAAGGCAUUAUACAGAUAAGAUGCCAGAUACUUAAAAAUAACUAGAUAACAACCAACCUCGGUAUCCUUCUGCAGAGGAAUCAAAGCAGCAACUAAAGACUUAGGAUUUGGUCGCUCCCGGGGCUCAUAUUGUAAACAGCGUGAAGCUAAUCGCACCAACUCAGUUCCAUCAUCAUUUGCAAAUUGGCCUUCCAAGCAAGAAUCUGACAGCAUUUGAAUAUUUCUGUCCCUUAUCAAGUCCAGUGCCUGAAAUAAAUUGUGCAGUAAACUAUUAGCUGCCAAUUAUGUGAUACUCUAAAUGUUCAGAAGGAUAACAAGCACAAUUAUAUGAUACUCUAAAUGUUCCUGAUGGGAGUUUAACCAAGCAUGUUUGAACAAUUCGUUUUAUUGUUCAAACAUGCUUGGUUAAACUCCCAUCAGGAACAACAGCCAACACAAUAAUUUCAGGAAUGCAUGUACAUCUAGAACAAUAAAAAUGAACAAUGGAAUCACUACAUCUAGUCAUACUGCAGCCACUGCCUUUAUCCCAGGCAACGUCCCAGAUUAUGUUGUGAUUCCAGUGGGAAGAUAGAGCCUUGAGGUGUGCAGAAUAAUAAAUAAAGAAAUUUGCAAUAAAACCAACUAACAGGUGCUUAAUGUUUCUGCAUCAAAAUGAUCCUAUUGAGGAGGAAACUUACAUGGCUGGGAGGAAUAUGUUUCCCACUGAGAAGGUCCAGCAAAAGGGUGCCAAAGCUAUAAAUUACACUUUCUGCUGUUACCCUUCCUAUAGAAUGAAUGAAAAAUUGAAGUAAUAUAGGAGAUAAACUAAUCAACAAACCAUGAUUAUGAUAGCUGAUAAGGAAAAUAAUGGAUGAGCAUAAAUUAUGUUAAGAACUUGAAUGAUCAAUGUGAUACACCAUCCAGGAUUCAAUUGAAACAAUAAUUCCAUAUGCCAUAUAUACAGAGAUCAAGCUUGCAGGUGGAGGAACAUUUAGCUGGUUCGAAAGAAUUAAGUACCUGUCCUCAGAUACUCAGGAGGUGUAAAUGCCAAGUUUGUACUGUAACUUUUUCCAUCUAUACUGUUCUUCAUCAGACCAAAGCAUGAAAGUCUAGGGUUGCCCUCCUAACAAAUAGAAUGAUGAAAUGAAAAUGGACUCUGUUAAAUCCUAACUGUGGAUACUGGACACAGUAAAAAUAAUGAGAUACUUACAUCAUCAAAGACAACUCUAUAAGCAUUCAGAUCAUGAUACAGAGCACGUCCCUUGCUGGCACAAUAUUCUAGAGCUUGCGCAAGAUGUAGAGCCACUCUAAGUCGCAUUGCCCAUUUCAUUGGCUGUGUUUCCCCUGAAGAAACCAGAAGGUCAACAUUGAGUUGUGAGAAAAUUUUAAGAGCAAUAAAAGAACAAGACUGCUCCUUGGUAUCUUGGUUUGGUGUACUAACUCCAAGCACAAAGCAAGAGCUCAAGCUACAGAAAUGGUGAGCAAAACAAGAGCAGAUCUUUUGUAUCGCAAAAAUCUAUAACAGAAUGUUGUUGUUUGUAGCAAAGAGUAUAAAAGAGAAAUGUGUUAUUUUUCCUCCAUAAUGUACUGCAGGCGCACAAACUUCCAAUAAUAGGAAUAAUAACUGCUCAAUUGGACACACAAGCUUGGAAAUUAAAAGAAAGAAACCCGCAAUAUCCACUAGAUGCUAAAGGAAAGGAAAGGGCACCAGAAACAAACUUACAAUGGAAUAGGUGUUUGGCCAAUGUAUCAUUGGGCAUAAAUUCAGAAACGAGUAACCUCUCAUCCCCUUCACAACAACAGCCGAGCAAAUUUGCCAACCUAUGGUUCCUCAGCUGACCAACAGUUCUUGCUUCUUCCUAAAGUCAUGGAACAAGAACAUCAUCAUGCUACUGGCAGUUGUGUAGGUAAAUGGAAAGGCCAGGACAAAAAUGCACAUGGUAUUUGGUAAAUAGAAAAUGCCAUGCUUCACUUACCAAAAACUGCCUGGCAUCAGGCCAAGAAGAUCUAUUAAACCGUUUCACAACAAUCCUUCUCUGAUUCUCAAGCUUCCCCUUAUAAACCACAUUUGGAGCCUUUUCCCCGUGUUCAGAAACUAUAUUUUCCACAGAAAACCCAGAUGUCGCCAUCCUGAGGGUUUCAAUGUUGUAUUCUCGGAAUGCAGGCAAAUCAUCGAGUUCACUCCUCUCUUCAUUAUCUACAAACACCAAACAACCCAAAGAUCAAAAUGACACCACAUAUAUAAACAAACAAAAACCUCCCAUUUCACUUACCCUCAUUGUGGUCUUCGGGAACUGAUCCAUUAUAGUCAGAACUCCAACAACACUUGGUGAGCUUUGAACACUCGCAACCCAUUCCAGUAACACAAUUUGAAAGCAAGCACUAAUCAAUUCGAAUCUUCAAAGCCCAAACUUUCUCUAGCUCAACCGCUCCAUUAGCUUCAGCAGACCAAUCCUUUCUUAAAAUUUUACAAUAUCUCAACGGCAUUCAUAUCAAAAAAUACUUCAAUUCUCGCUGCAAUCAGAAUAGAAAAGAUUGGAACUUUGCCCUCAAAUGCUUUUUUUUAGAACAACUCAAUUAACCUAUGGCAAUAACAGUACAAUUCAAACAUUUCAUUCUACAACAGCCCGAAGCUACAAAAGAACAAAAUAAGAAUCUUAUAAUGUCACAUCAUCAGUUCUCUAAAUUUGAAAAAAAAAAAGGAGCAAAUCCUAAUUCUUAUCAAAACAACAUCAUUUUUAUCAAGUACGAAUUCUUCAUUUCCUUAUGAAUCUAAACUCCACAAAAGAUAUGCGAAAAAGAGAGAUUCCCAGAUGCUAAUUUGCUUUUCCUUAGCUAUCUCAACAACCAAACAAAAGAAAGCAUCGAAAGAAAAGGAAAGCAAUACCCUAUCAGCAACGAUUCCACCGAGUCAACCCAGUCCAGCAGCAGCAGCAGCAAGACUUUAUCUCUCUCACCCUCUCUCCCUGCAUCAGCUUCAAGUGAUUCACUUUAUAGAAAACCAAAUCAAACCCACAGAACUUGAAUAAAUAAAAAAGAACACAAACAAAGAGCACAAAAGAGAGUCUUGAACGUGAAGAGGGAGAGCUAAAGAGAAAGGACUCCAAGCUUUAAUCAAUUCCUUGAUGGGUUGAAGAGAGAGAAUUAUUACAAGGUUUUAUGCUUGUGUUUUCUAGUUUGUGUUGGUAAUGAAAAUAAAUGGACCUUGGGUUCUUGAAAAGUUGGGUUCCGUGUGUAUUUGAAUCUGGGAGAGAGAUCUUUCAGCUCAUUUAUUUCUUUCUAGGUGAGAGAAUGAGAAUUUUGAGGGCUUUGAGAUUUGGAUUACAGUAUCGAAUUUCUUAUAAAGUAUUAUAUAAUAAACUAAAUAGUUUAAUAUUUAUUUAUAUAUAUAUAUAAAAAAAAUAUUAAACUAUUUAGAGAGGGAGGGAGGGAGGGAGACAUGUGUGAGAGAUUUCCUUGUCUUUGCUAUUUGCUUGCAGUGCUGUUGUUUUUGAAUGUAUUAUUGUUUUGCUUUGCUUUCUAUCUUUAUUUACCUUAAUUUCCACCGACAUGACACUCACUUUUCUCAGUCUCCUACAACUAAGCCACCAUUAUCAAUGGCCUCCUGCCCUGUUAUUAGUUUUAGUUAUAUGAAAUCCAAUAUUGAGAUUUUGAGAAUAAUUCAGCUGUAAGAAGUUGAUAAAAACUAUUCCUUUUUUUUUUUUCUGGUUUUGACGGGGAAGGUAUUAUCAAAUCUCCGUCGCAAGAAAUUACUUUCACGGACUCGUAUCUAACUAAAAUGAUCCUAGCAUGAAGACAACAUUUAUUUUUACGUGAACUUAAAAUAGGCUGUUCCCCCACUUCGAGAGAGAUUUUUAUUUGUUAAACAAAUAACGUGCACUGACACAGUAACUUUAUUUUUGUCUUUAAACACUCUCUUUUGUCUUUUCUUCGUUUUUUUUUUUUAUAGCGAGUUAAAAUACUUUCUUGAAUUAAUUUGUUUUUAUGCUUUAAAUAUAUUUUUUUUAAAAAAAUUAAUUUUUUUUAUUUCAAAUUAAUAUUUUUAUGGUAUUUUUAGAUCAUUUUGAUGCGUUAAUUUUAAAAAAAUAAAAAAAUAUUAUUUUGUUAUAUUUUUAAAUGAAAAACACUUUAAAAAACAAUCGUAACCACACUCCCAAACAAGCUAAGUAAUUUUAUGUUUUUUUAAAAUUACAGCAAUUUGUAUGGUUAUGAUUUUUAAAAAAUAUACAUUAAGUUAAAAUUUAUAUAAGAUGGAUUUAUUAUUACAAAACAAAUAAAAAAAUUUCUUGAAUGAAAAAUAAAUUAUUGUGGGGUUCGGUGUAAAGACAGAAUUUUCAUGUGGUUAGAUAAAAUGCAGAAGCUACAAUAAUACUUGCACUACCAAAACAGUCUCCAACUCUUGUUGGAUUUUUAAGUAGUUGAUGUUGUCGAGCAAUUAUUUUUUGAAGAAAAAAAAAGUACUGUGUCAUCCUAUAGAAUUUUCUAUAGUUUUUUUAUUGACAAUUUUGUUAUUUAAAGCAAAAUAAGUAUUUUAGUUAUUAAAUUGAAUAUAAUGACAAAUUGUAAAUAACCAAAUAUCUUUUUGUUGAUUUUUUUUAUAUAUCAUGUAAAGUGUUAUAAAAUUAUAAGGUUUUUUAUGUAAUUUUUAAAAGAAAAAAAAAGUAAAUUAUAGAAUAAUUUUUUCAUUAAUUUUAAAACGUUAAACCAUGUAUUGAAAAACAAAAGAGUAGAGAAAUAUUUAAUUUUAGUAUGAAUAGUUCCACUUGAUCAAAUAGAAUGGUUGAACUUGGUAUUAAAGUAUAUAUUUGGAUGCAGAGGAUGAAAUUCUGCUUGUGUUUUGCUUUAAAUUACUUUUUUUUUAAUGUUAUUAAAUAGUUUUGAUGUAUUGGUAUUAAAAAUAAAUUAAUAUAUAUAUAUAUAUAUAUUAUUGUAAUAUAUUUAAAAAAAAACACUUUAAAAAAUAUAAUUCCUUACAUUCCCCAUAAACUUGUCAAAAAAUUAUCUCGAUCUAAUAGCUUAAACUAUAAGACGAGGUUCCAGAAUAUGAUUUAUAUUAUUUUCUAACAUACUCUUUCAAGUAAAAGUUCUUUGUGCUUAAAACUUACAUAGAUCCAUAUUAGUCUGUGUUUAAUUUUUUAUUAAAAAAUAGAAUAGUCAUCAAGACUCUGAUAUAAUAUCAAAAAAUCAUCUCAACUUAAAAAUUAAUAAUUUUUAAUUAUUAAAUAAGUUCUCAAAAUAUAAUUUAUAUUAUUCUAUAACUUAAAACCUAUUUAAAAAAAAAACGUGGCCUUUAGCAAAGGUGAUACAGUCUUUCUUACUGCUGAUAUCCUUUUAUAUAUUUUUUAAUCGUUUCGAAGAUGAUUGAGCAAGCUUUGGUCUCCGUUCAAUCGCAAGAUUCGCAACAUGACUCCCACUACUGCUGCUGUCAAGUUGGCUUUCUGGUUUCAUAGCUGGGUGGCCUGUGCUUGUCAAGGAAACAGAUUGAUUGUACAGAGAAAUUCAACGAACAUCACCAUGGUUAAUUAUUGGCCGUCUUCUCUCCAUGAAUCUAUAAUUACUGGCAACUCUUUAAUAAUCACAGAAACAGAGGAUGGGAGCACAGAUAGAUUACCAUGGUUGAAGAAACAGAGGUUGAAGAAACAGAGGCCUCUGCAUCUUGGACUUUAGUUCAGCACAGUCCCACUUUUCACUUUCAGCCAUGGGUUUUUGUCUUUCAACAAGUUUCAUUUCACAGACUAAAAUUGUUCUCUGCCACGCCCUUACGUGUCAUCAUUUGAGCCUCUGAAUCAUUAGCAACGCCACAAUAUAGAUAUUAAUAAACUAUUUUAAUUUAAUAACUUAAAUUAUUAAAUAAAAUUUUAAAAUAUAAUUUAUAUUAUUAUUUAAUAUACUUCCUCAAAUGAAAACUUUUUGGACUUAAAACUUGUAUAAGUUCAUAUUACUUUAUGUUUAAUUUAUAUCAAAUAAAUAGGAAUGAUGAGAUUCAAACUCGUGAUCAGUUAAUUAUCAAGGCUCUAAUAUCAUGUCAAAAAAUUAUAUUAAUUCAAUAACUUAAGUUAUUAAGUAAUAUCUCAUUAUAUAAUUUAUAUUAUUUAAAAAAAAUGAAAUAGAUCGCACAUAAUUGCAGCAACAUGAAUAUCUUCAUGCUGAGGUGCUUCAUGGACCAGUGACUGUGUCCUUUCAGCUUGGAUCGGCAGUAUUUAUACAUGUCAGUGUCAUUUAUACGAGUAGUGGGUCUAGAAAUGGAACGUUCUAAAGUGGACAUUUAACUCUUUUGGUUGCUUUAGGAGUCGAUAAUGCUGCCAUGGGCAACUUGUCUUUGUAAAAGUAAGGUCUCGAUGUAAGGAUAACACUGAUCCUAAUCACUAAAUGAAUCUUCCCAAUAUCACCCUUUUUAUAUAAAAAAAACCCGCCAUUUAAUUGAUAGGAUUCAUUAAUGGAGUACGUACGUUGUUUAGAAAAAGAAAAGAAUCGGAAAGAAUAUAAGAUGAUGAUACUGGCAUUGCUCUCAACUUGACUGGAAAUGGCUUUUACAUGAUAUAUAGUUUUCAAAUCCUGUUGAGUCCGGUGAAAACUUACUGAUUUGAAGAUGAAAUCAGAUCGGGUUAAAAAAAAAAAAUUUGAUGUAACUCAAUAAUUUAGUAAUAUCUAGUUAAAAAUUCAGUUGCGACCCGUUGAUUUUUAUAGUUUUUUAUUAAAAUAACGUUGUUUCAAUUAAUUUUUUUUACCCAAACAAUCCAAUAACCAGUUAAAAUCUGAAACUUAAAUCUUAAACCAGACCAGCUUUAAACUGGACCACCAAACCUGAUGAUAACUAUCCAUGAGAUCACAUCGUACUACGUGCCUAGUUAUUGACAGGCAAGUGAACUUCUGCCUGAUUUUAAUAAUAUAUAUAUAUAUAUAUAUAUAUAUAUAUAUUUGAAAUAAUCUUAAGUAUUAAAGAUUUUCAAAUGAAAUUUAAUUUUUAACGUGGACUUUUGAGUCGAAUCUCAACUUCGAGGCAAUUUUUAACAAGUGCCUGUCAUGACCGCAACCAUGUUUUUCUUUGGCAAGUCGAUGGAUUUUUUUUAUUUUUAUUUUUUGUGGGGGACAAUUUAUAGUUUACUAAUUCUUUCUAUUUUUGUCAAGAGAAAUCCCUCCACUAAAAAAAAAAAACACAUUUAAAAGUGUGGUUAGGUAUGCAAGAACUUGAAUUCAUUAUCCAGUUAGAAAGUUCCCAUGUCUUUGUUUCGUUUGAAUAUAAUUUUGAUUUUUUUUAUUAGGAAGUCUUAGGUUUACGAUGAAUGGGAAUUUAGAGGAAAAAAAAUACUACUUUCAUUGUAUAAUUCAAGUUCUUAGAUACUCCCUCAACAAAAAAUAUUAAAAACUAAUUCUUUUAAAUUCUUGUGGGAAAUAUAAAUAUAUAAAACACAUAUUAUAUAUGCAUCGAUAACAAUUAGUGUUUAGCAAAAUAACAAAAUUAUUUGAGAUAUCUAUAAAAAUCGAUACACAACUAACUAACUAGAUGAUUUUGGUUAGGAAAAAUUUUAAAAAAUUUAUUCGAUUUAAUAAUAAUUUAAAAUUUUAAUAAUAAAAAAAAAUUAAUUGAACCAAAUCAAACAGAAAAUCAACCAUAAAAUAAAGAUCUAUUAAAUCAAAAUCUAUAUAAAAAAUAAUCCAACUAAAAAGCUUAAUGUAAAUUUAUUCAGUUUUAACCGGCCGAACUAGUCAACUUAUCCUUUCAUUUGAUUCAGAAUUUUGAUAAAAAAAAAAUCUAAUUCAAUUAAACUUUUUUUAUCCAAACUAAAAUGUUUUAGCCAUGCUUAUUCAUAAUUAACAAAAACUAAAACAUGAGGUAUUAUUAAUCCCUACAUAUAGCAUUGUUUACUAGAACAGGGCUUUGGCUUUUUUUUGUUAAUAUUAUCAUUUAAUAUUAGACUUGUUAUAAAUAAGAGUAGAGCUUUAUAAUUUAUUUCUAAAAACUAAUGGCUUUCAAAAGAUAAAUUUUAUAAGAAUUAGAUUAUGUUUUUAAUAUUGAUGUAAUUGAUAAAACAAUAUCAAAACUAAAAAAACACGUUACCUGGAAUUUACAUUUUAACAAAUAAUAAAUUACCGGCUAAAAAAUAAAAUAAAAAAACUAGUUGGGAUUAUAACUUCCUCCAAUAUUAAUGAAAAACAAUUAUCACAAAAACUAAUAAGCAUGAGUAAAAUAUUGUUUGAUUAAGACUCAUUACGUUGUGGAUUAUUAUAGUGAAAUGAUGUUUUUACUCUCUACGAUGCAAGUUAAAUAAAUGUAAUUUAAUGGGUAAAAUUGUAAUUUCUUGAAGUUCCCUUGGCAUUUCUAAAUUGAUUGGGGUAAAUUAAUCUUCUAAUAUUUCUUAGCACACUAAAAAGAACUAAUAAUCCUUAAAAAAAAACCUUCAACUAAUGUUCAAGGCUUUUAGUACAAUAAAAUGACUUUAAUAUCCUUAAGAGCAAAUACUGCUAAACUUGUUUUGAGGGUUUUUUAUAUUUUUUUUGUUAUAAUCAAGUUGAUUUUAAAAUAGUUAUAUAUUAAAUAAGUAUAUAAUGUUAUUAUGAAAAACUGGUUGGCGUAUAAUGCAAGUGCCAACAUAUAUGGCACCCCCACACUCUUCGAGAGGAGCGUGAGGUGCCAUCAGGCAAUGGAACAUUGACUUUCAUGGUGGUGUUGGAAGCGUUGCAACACCUUUUUCCACAUAAAGCACAUCAUAAGGUGUUUUAUGCGGCAGUUUGUCAACAACUUGUUAUUUCUUAUCCUCUUCUUUCAUCCUUUCCUUUCUCAAAAUCCACAACCAAUUAAACUUUCAGAAUUAUCCUUCCAUUUACUCAUAUUUCAACUUUGGUCCUGGUUGUUUUUGUUUUUUCUUCUCGACCCUUUUAUAAAAUUUUAUUUUUUUUAAUUUUAUUAUUGGAUCCACAAUAAUAAUUUGUUAUUUUUUAAAAUAUAGUCUUUUUUUAUUUUUAUAUUUGGAUUCUUUUAUGAGAUUGAUUUUUCUUUUUAAUUUUUCUCUUCAAUUCAAAAUUCUCACUAAUCCUUUUAUUUAUCUUUUAUUACAAAUUAAGACCUUAUUUUCUUAAUUGUUAUUUUUUUUUAUCCCUUGGCGUAAUUGAUUUUUUGUAUAACUGUCCUCUCAUUUACUAAUAUUUUAGAUUGAUCAUCAAUUUUUUAUUUCUAUUUUUUUGUUCUUGCUCUUUUGUUAAAUUUCAAUUUGUUUUCAAUUUCAUCAUUGGAUCCAUAAUUAUAAUUUGUUAUUUUUCAUAUAUGGUCCUUAUUUUUUUUGUUUUUAUUUAUAGUUUUGAAUUUUUUUGUGAAUUUGAUUUUUCUUUUCAGUUUCACCAUUCAAUUCAAAAUUAUAGGGAGUCUUAUCAUUUAUGUUUUUUUUUUCAAAUUCUAUCUUUAUUUUUUUAAUUAUUAUUUUUUUUUUGAUCAUUUUGUAUAAUUUAUUUUUUAAUUUCAUCAUUUGAUAUUUGAUUUACUAGAGUUUGAGAUUCAUGGUUUUUUUAAAUGGGGUGUUUUUUGUUUUAGUGAUUUGGAUCACAAGUUUUAAAAGUUAACAUAAGUUUUUUUAUUUACAUAUUUUUUUAUUUUAUCAUUCAACGUUGUUUAUUUUUAAAAAAUGAGCUUCAUGGUUUUUUCCAGUUUCUUUUCAAUCAAGUUAUUACGAUUUUAUGACUUGUGCAACAAGUUUGGCUGGGUAACCCAAGUAUUUUUCUUGGAUUUUUUUAAAUUUUAUUAUUUAAUAUGAGAAAAUUUAACUUUAUAUUUUUUUCUCUUUUAACAAACACAUCUAUUUUUUAUGUCAUCGUCAUCACCUUUUAUUUUAAAAUUUGCUUCAUUUUUUUUUUUAUAUAAUUAAAUAAAAUCAUCUUAUUAGUUUCAAUAAAACUUAUAAAUUGAAAAAUUGAUUUUUUUUUAACACAUCAGCAUUACGUUAUAUUAAAAAAAAUAACCCAGCUAAUGGCUGGCGAGGCGCAGCCUUUUAUCUGGUAAUAUAUAAAAAGGGAAAAGCGAACGAGAGUGGGAGGGGCAGUUUCGGAAAAGAAAACGACGGUCUUGCGAUGCAGAAAGUAAAACGGUGCGUUUUUGUCUUCGCCCGCUUCUGCUAUAUGCCGUGGAUACUGCAUAAGCCAACGAUCAAAGUAGUUAAGAUUGGUGCUACUUUUGCAGUCUCGAUACCUUAAAAAACGCUGUUGGUCAUUUAUUUUCAUGUUGUCUGAAACCUAAUCACUUCAAUAACUAAAACCCAUCAAUCACAAUUAAUCGAAGGUUAUAAUAACUCAUGCUGUCUCUCUCUGUUUUUUUCAAACCUGGUUUCUUACACCACCUAUUUGUAAAAAUGUCGCAAUGGAACCCAGUGUGGGAAAACACAAUCAAAUUUCUGUCCUUUUGCUAAUUUUUCUUGCUUCGAUUUCAGUUUGAUUAUGUUCAAAAUUAGGAAAAAUGCUGUGUUUCUGAUUUGUUCUUUUGUGUCAAUGUAAUAAUAGAUGAAGUAUGUGAGACCACUGAGCUUGUUCCAUGAGUUGUUGAAGACAAGUGCAGUCAAUCAAGGGAGGUUCCUUGGACUGGAUGUUGGUGACAAGUAUGUUGGUUUAGCUGUCUCUGACCCACUUAAUAAAAUCGCUUCCCCUUUAAGGUAUAUAGUAAGAAUUACUGUUGUAUUUCAUUUUCCUUAUCAUGUCAUUUUCUUUUCUGUCAUUCUGUUUUUCAAGUUUGUGUUUUCGGGGUUUUGUUGAUUAUGGGUGCCCAUGUUGUUGUGUUUUACUUUCCUUGUUUGUUGACACUGCAGUGUAUUGUUAAGGAAGAAAAGUAAUAUUGAAUUGAUGGCUACUGAUUUCCAAAGUUUGGUGAGUGUUUCUUUUCUUUUAUGUUGUCCAAAGCUUGUUCGUUUGUAUUUCCUUUGUUUAUAGUUUUGAGAGCGUGUCCUGUUAUUUAUGGUUUUGUUGUUAUAUACCCAUUUGCGAACUAUGCUAUGCGUUAACCAUAUGAGAGCUGGCAUGACAGUAAAGCAUUCUUAAUCGCUAGGAGCUUAGAACUUAGAAGUUAGAACGAUGUAAAAAUCAAUUAGGUUUUCUGAGACAUGUUGAUCCUAGGUGCGAGUUAUAGCUGUUAUUCUUUUUCUGCUUAUGUUUAUGUGCAGAUUUCUGAACUUUCCUUGGGGGGUUUCAUUGUUGGCUACCCUUUUGACAGGCAACGAGGUGCUCCUGAUGUAUGUUUUAAUCCUGUUGGCUAUCAAUUUGAUCUAUUCUCAUUUACUUAUUGCUGAUGUUUUGUUUUUCCUCUUUUACUAGGCUGUGCGGGUGAAGCUUUUUGUUGAUGACCUAUGCAGAACAGGGAAACUUGAAGGUGUAAAAUUCACAUAUUGGGAUGAGUGUUUUACAUCAAAGGUGCUUGCUUACUGUUAAUUGUAAAAUGCUCACUUCAUUGUUGAAUUUUUUUAUAUGGCCAUAGGUUAGAGGAGCAGAUGCUAGGUCGCUCACAGUUUGUGUUGCUUACAGAAUGUGGAAUUGCUAGUGAAGCCUUUGGAUUUACAUCCAGUUCAUGCUAAAUCUAUAAUGGACAAGUUUGCUGCAGUUGGAAUUCUCCAGGUAUCUUAUUGUAAAUCAUCCCUCUCAAUUUUCAACCAGUUUUGAACUCCCUCUCAAUUUUCAACCAGUUUUGAACUCGGUAUAGAAGAUUGCCCUUUAAGCACUGUGAGUUGUGUCUAUUAACUUGUUUAUUUGUGGCAGGGGUACCUGGAUUAUGUGAACAAGAAGAUGAAGUUGGAGUCUGCAGAAUAGGGUAUUUCAAGUCAAUGUAUGUGAAUUCUUUUAUCUAAGGUAUAAGAGCUAGAUUUUAUGAUAUUACUCCUUGUUCUCAAUUCUAAAGUUCCAUAAGUUGUGCUACCACUUUUACUACUGGCGCUUCGUUCUCAAGCCAAUGAUUCCUCCGUUUGCCUGCCAAGCCUAGGAAUCAUCUAGUAUGCGAGAUAGGUUCUUGGUACUGAUUGACACAGACUUGAAAGAAGGAAACUUGUUACGUCAAACAGUUGCUUGACUUUAGCAUGUGAUGUAUUCUUCGUGAUUUUUUAUUGAGAAUGAUGGUUAUUCUUUUCUUUAGUAAUCUACGUUCUUCUGUAAAGAGGAAAGAUGGUACCAGCUCACAUUAUUUGAAAAGUUAAAACUUUCAGACUGUCUCUCAAGUGUGCUGAUAUCGUCAUUUUUCCUGGUAUCCUUAUUUCUUGCAGAUGAUUAAUUAGGCAGGAUAGAAGGUGGUGAACUUGUGCAUGCCUGUUUCCGUGGAGGAGUGAAGACCAAAAGGAUGGUUCCUCGUUUUUCUUUUUACCCCCUUUCGUGCUCUUAAUGUACGGAAAUUUGGAUGACCUACCUCGCUUACCUAGCCAUGCUUAACUAAGGCCAUGAGGUCUUCCUCAUCUGGUUUCCUGGUUCUUUUCAUAUCUUGGACUUGAUUUGUAUUCAAAAUUGAAGUCAAUAGAUUUUAUACUUGGUUUCCGUUUGAUGUGCAUAUAAGCAUAUAGAGGCUAGUAGCCCUUUUCUUUUCUUCUCUCUUUUUUGUUCUUUUAAAAACUUUAAUUUAACCCAGGAAAAUAUCCAAUGUGAAAAAUAGAGUAUACACAGUGCAGGCUAAAAUAUAGAGGAGAGCAGGUGAAUGCUCUCUAGUUUCAGAAAUGGUCCAAAGGUCUGUUUCCUUUUGGGAAGACAAUAUUUUUUACCGUAUUACAAGACAGGACAGUUGCUGGGUGGAGCCAAAUAUAGCACCAGUAAAAGAUUAUGACCACUGACCUUCUUUUCUUGUUUAAUAGGAACCUGGUUAGUUUGGAAUCAAUAGUUGGAGAGUUUCACAGGAGCCUUUUUUAGCUCUAUCUAUAACAACAACAUAAGUUUGCAGAUUUGGUUUCUCAUCACAAGUGGAAGACAUACACACCAGUGCUAAUGGCGGUUCAACAGCAAAAAGGUAGAGUCCACAUCAUGCUUCUUGUUUAUCCAUGCGCUUCAAAAAACAUGGAGAAAGGCAUAUUCACCAAGUUUAUAACCCUCUCUUGCCAUGUUCUUGCUUACAGCAGCCGUGUGCCGUUGUAUCAGCGACUAACAAAGGAAUAGGACUGCAAGUGUCUCUUUUCUCUCAAAUUGACAGUAUCCAGCUUUUGAUCCAAGAUAUCAAUAGCUAGAUGAUUUAGUCUUCAUAAUCCGGUCCAUAUCAACAACAACCAGCACCACCACCACAACCAGCACCAACCCCAAUCCCAAACUAGUUGGAUCGGCUAUAUGGAUCCGUUUGCACCAUUCCAUAAGAUCUUAUGCAAUUGUAUUUCUUGAAGCUCUGUGAAUAUCUAAAUAUGCAUCUGAUCCACCUAUACCCAUUUUGUAUAUCAGAAUCUAUACACACCAUUGUAAAAUGCAUAUGCAACAUCUUGCAUUAGCAAUAAAGCAAGAGAAGCUAACGUUGGGUCUAGAUAUUGUAGUAGUUAUUUAAAGUGUUUUUUAUUUGAAAAUAUAUUAAAAUAAUAUAUUUUUAAAAAAAUAAUUUUGAUAUUAGUAUAUCAAAACAAUAUCAAAAACACACAAAAAAAAUUUAAUUUAAAAUAAAACAUCAUUUUAAAAAAAAAUACAGUGCCACUGCAAAAACUAAAGAAUCUUGUACCAAUAUGCUUGUAGCUUAGCGACACUUACAAAAGUGAAAGAGGUCUCGGCCUCCAAUCCCAUUACACUACAUUAAAUCACGUUACACUAUAAACUAAAGGAAAACGAGAUUUUUCUAUUCAUUUCACUGUCGCCCAUGACCAUUUGGAAUGCUACAUUCUACCUCCUUUUUUUCCUCGAUCAAUUAUUUGAUUUGAUAUUUUUUUUUAAUGUCAUCCUCCAUGUUAUUUUAGCAUGAUUUUAAACUUUAUAGUUUAUUUUAGCUCGCGUUAUACAUUGUAUUCGGGAUGUCAAAGAAUGUCUUGGGGUUAAAAUAUUGCUCAAUUUUACAAUAUAGGAUAUAAUUUAAUUCAUUGACAAAUUUUGAAACAAUAAAUACCAAAUUUUACCUAGGAACAAAAAAUAGUUUUUUUUUUUUUUGCUAUUCUUGGGAGCAUAAAAGUACAAUUUGAUCUUUGUAUUUUGUAUUUUUUUAAUUUUUGAUCCCUGUUUUUUAAAGUUUACGUUUCAAUACUAAACUUUAAUUUUUUACAUUUCAAUCUAUGAAAUUUAAAAGGAAAAAGAAAAUUGCUGACAAAUAUAAGAGAAGAGAGAAAAUUGAUCGGUUAACAAUUUUAGCAGCCAAAAAAUUUUAUAUUGCAUCAAUGAGUUCGUCUUAGAAAGAAAAUAUCAUAAAAAUAGAUCAUGAUUCUUAAUGAUUUUUUAGAUUCCAUUAGAUUUUGGAUUUUUAUGAUCAUUUUAUGUUUUGGGGGGGUUUAAAUGGAUUUAUUGAGGUUCUUAUAAUGUUUUUAGAUCAAAAUAUAUUCAAAUUUAGGUUUUUGAUGUCUAAAACCUCAGAACCUAGACUUUUUUAGAGAUUUUGUUUGUCCACCCAUUAAAAAAAAAAAAAAUAGGAACAAGAUGCGUGGGCCUAACCUUUUUUAAGAUGUCUCUUUAUUUUUUAUUUUUAAAGUUCUAGAUAAAAAAAUCUCUUUAAAUUAUUUAUUGAAAUAAUAUUUGAGUAAUUAUUUAAUUAUGUCAUUGAUCUAAUAUGUAAUUAAAAAGAUUAAAAAAGGGCUUUUGAUUAGUAGUAUAGGUUUUUUUCAUUUUUAUUUAGGAUAAUAAUAGUUCUUGUAGAUAUUUUUGUAAUGUUGUCAAUAAAAUAUACUUCUAAUAAAAUAAUUUUUUUUUCAAUUAAACAUUUGAUAAGAAAAUGAAAAGGACAAUUUCGAAACUUUGUAGGGUCUGUUAUUUGAUAAGAAAACGGAAUACUGAAACUUUGUAAAUUUAUUUGUUGUACCUAAUGGAUCUUUAGAUGUUCUUCUAUUCUCAUUCAUGUGGAUCUCUUAGACUUGUUUACUUUUCUCUAUUGUUAUCAUAAGGUCCAGUAGCUUUUUAAGAACUGAAAAAGAACUAUAUAUAUAUAAAGUCUCAAAAAUCUAACUAGCUUACUGUUUGGAAUUGCGGUUCAACCCGCUUUUUUUAUAUUUUUGGAUUGUUUUGAUGUAUUGAUAUUAAAAAUAAUUUUUUUUUAAAAAACAUUAUUUUGAUGUGCUUUAAACCACAACCAUAAUCCCAAACAUGCCCUUAGGUUGUUGAGCUGGAUAAUCGGUUAAUCAAUUAAUCAAAACAAUCUUGUCCAUUCUCCUUAGUCAAGGUGAUUGAUAACUUGUACUUGGUAAAGCCAAGAUGAAUUGUGGCUAGUACCGGCAAAAGAUCCCAUUUAGUGGGGACUCUCAGAUAUUUAAGUAUUUUUUUCCGCUUCAAAUUAAUAUUUUUUAGUGUUUUAGAUCAUUUUGAUGCGUUCAUAUCAAAAAUAAUUUUUUAAAAAUAAAAAUAUAUUAUUUUAAUAAAGUAAAAAAUACCUUGAAAAGCAAUCAUAACUACCAAAUAUUUUGUACAUGGUUUUUAUUGCACAUAAAGUUUAAGCAUAAUUUUUUACCAAACAUGUAUCUAAUAAAUAUAAUUAAUUAUAUUUUUUUAAAAUUUUUUUUUUUUUAAAUCACAGCCACCAAAACUAGAUAAAAAAGAGAUAAGGUUCUCACAUUAUCUGUCAACAACACCAGUUCGUAGAUUUGGCUUCUCAUAAAAAACGGAAAACACCAAACCAGUUCUACAGCAAUAAAGUAGGUUCAUAUGAUGCUUCUUGUUUAAUCCCAAAAAGACAGAAAAGCAUGCAUACCUUGUCUUUAACAAUGGCUUGCCAUGUUCAUGACUGUAGCAGGUUUGCUGUUGUUAUAGGGCUAACAAAGAAAAAAGAAAUACUCGUAUAUUUGGUCUAUAUACAAAUUUUCAAAAAUAAAUUCAAUGAAUUUUUUAUUUAUAUUUUAUCCUGGGUCGUAAAUUCAUGUUGGAUUAAUUAGAAAAUACUUCUUUUUUAAACUUGGAACGAUUCGUACCUCGAGUUAGCCAAGUAUCGUCUAUUGUACGUAGUCUACUCUAAUUCAAAGCACACCAAACAUAGUACAAAAUAGUUAUUUGUCUAAUCUCUUCUAGUACAAUCAAUAAUAUACAAUAUACCAAACACUGCCUUGUCAAGACUGCAAUGAUCCGUGUAUUUUUUUAGUUGAUAGCUACGCAAACUCAGAUUUCCAUGGGCUUAAAAAAAGCCCAUGUAACAUGUUGAAAGCUACGACGAGGCAAGACAAUUUAAUAACGAAAUGUCAUUUUCCUUGUACCUGCAAACCUCCCCCUGCAAACAUCAACUUCCUUGCUUUUCCUUGCAUAAUUUUAUAGUAUUAUUUCAUUGCCCAUCACUGUUAGAAACAUUGUUUUGUUUGGUUCUCCUGACAAAGGUAUCCUCGAAAGAUCCCUCUCCUUCCCUCUCUAUCUCAGUUUUACAUCAAAGUAGUGUACAGUGUCACCAGAAGAACCGGCGAAAGUCUCAUCUCCUCGCACUCCAAAAGUUAUGAAAGGAGAGAGACAGAGAGAAACAAGAAAGAGAGGGAUCGUUGUGUAACAUCUAGUGCAAGGUUUGGUACUUUUGGUAGGCCACCACACAACGCACUUUUGUCAAAAUACUCACACACACACAUACAAUUACACAUUACUUACAUGACUACUGAACAAUAAAAGAAACAAAAGGCAAAGGGAAGGUCUUUAAUUCAAAAACUCACAUAAUUUUCAAUUUAUUUUUCUUCUCUCUCUCUCUCUCUCUUCUUGACCAGCACCUGCAUUUCCCCGUCAAAACUCUUGAUGAUGUUCAAAUCUAGGGUUUUUGUUGUUAUGUCAUGGUUCAAUACUAUUUGAGUUGUUUAGCCCUUUUGGCUUUUGUAACUUUCAAAGCUGCUCCUAAUUCUGCUCUCAACAUAUGUUCACAAAAUAAGUUGUCUUUUUGGGCUGCGAGACUUAAAUUUCUUGCUUGUCGAGCAUCAUCUUCUUGCUAGGUUUAGUGGGUUUAGUCAAUUUUUGCUAGAUUUUCUUGAUUCUCUCCGUUGAUUUUCUUGCUAGUCAUCUUAGAAACCUUUGAGAAUUCCUUCGUAUCUAUUUUUUUUUUUUGAGGUUUUAGGGCUAAAAGGGUUUUCAUUUCCUUUCAUCUUUUCACCUCUCAACUUGAAAAUCUGAAAUUUUGUUGCAGUCUAACAUUUGCACUCUUUAUAGAAAAACCCUUGCAAAACCCUUGUCUUGAAACCCUCACCUUUAUUUACUAAUUUUCACAAAAUUGGGUUAAAUUCUAAAGGGUCUAAAAAAUACACAAUCUUUAGCAACUAAACAAAGAAGGAAAGAAGAAUAAGUUAUUAUUUUUCCCCUCUGAUCUUGUACCGUAGUGAUCUUGCUCUAUUUUGCUCAGUAAAUGCAUGGAUGGAAGAGAAGCCAUGCCAUUUUCUAGUGGGUCAUCUCCAUACCAUAUUCAUAGAGGAAGUGGGUUUCUUGGGCCCGGGUAUGGAUCACAACAUGGUGUAUCGCAUCCCCCACCUGGGUUCAGAUCCUUGUCAAAUCCUCAACUUGCAGCUCAAUCAAAUGUCCGGUCUGGCUCAACUGUGCCAGCAUUUUCAAUAGAGCCACCAGAUGUCAAUUUCGGUCAUGGCAUUAACAUGGCUGCAACCUCUGAGGUGCAAGUGGGUGAACCAGUGAAGAAGAAGCGAGGGAGACCCCGGAAAUACGGCUUGGCUGGGCAGGUUUCACUUGGAUUGUCUCCCUUGCCAAAUAAGCCUAAGCCAUCUUCAGGGGAGGAUUCUUCCACCCCAAAAAGAAAUAGAGGGCGGCCGCCUGGGAGUGGAAGGAAGCAGCAAUUGGCGACUCUUGGCAAGUAUUUGAAUUAGAUUAUUUUGUAGUUAUAUGCUAUUUUAAGUUAAUAAUAUGAAAUCUUAUUGGCAUUUAAUGUGGUUUAAUAAUCAGUUAUAAUGCAGGGAAUUCACACUUGCUUAAUAUUAGGAAGUAAGGAAUUGUGCUCAAUAGUGAUCUUGUCAUUUUAUUUUCAUGGAAUUAUUUAAUUUGCAAUGUUCUGCAUUUGUUAUCAUAAUUUUGCUUGGACAUAAAUGCUAAGCUUUUAUCCAUUUAAUUGCCUUGCUCUAUUCUUUCAAAGCUGUUGCCAUCUGUCAAUUAAAUCUUUUGAAUGCUUCUUGUCUUAAAGCAGUUUUAAUCUGUCUUUGAUGUUAAGUUUGAUUUUGAUAUCUGUGUUGUCUUUUAUAUCUAAGGCUUGUUGAUUUCUUCUAAUUUUCUAAAAUGUUUUUAAUUGAUAUUGCAAGGUGAAUGGAUGAACAGUACUGCUGGAGUAGCUUUUUCUCCGCAUGUGAUCAGCAUUGGAGUUGGAGAGGUAUGCUAUAUCCUUUGUAAUGUCAAGUUUUCUAGGACAUUUGACUUGUAAUCAAGUUGUGAGGUCUACUAAUUUAGAUCAAGAUUCAGUUAACUUGAAAGGUUUUCCUCCGUGAAACACAUUUUACUGGCCACAUUUAUGAUUUUUUAAAUAUGAAAGAAGCUGAUCACAUCUUCAUUGGAAUUGAAUGCAUGAGUUUUCUUGCAUCUUGAAGGGGAGAAAUACCAGUAUUAGGAUAGCUGUCCUUGACAUUGAAGCUUCCUUAAUGUUUGUGCAAGUCUGUGUUGUCCAAUAUUUAAAGUGAACUUGUAUGGUUUUCCUCCAUGAAACACAUUUUUCUGGCUGCUUUUGUACUUUUUAAAAUAUGAAAGAAUCUAGUCUUAGCAUCACUGGAAUUGAAUGCAUGAGGUUUUCUAGCACUUGUGGAGAUGUAGAAAUAACAAUAUCAGGAUACUUGCCCUGACAUUGAAGCUUUCAAUGCUUUUGUAAGUUUGUGUUUUGUCCAGUAUGUGAGUGGUUUAGCUAUACGAAAUAGUUAAACAGUUUGUUGAAAACAAAAAUUGCAUGUCAAUGGAGAAACUUGGUGUGUAAGUGCAUGCUCACGCAUACAUGCUUUUGCACAUAUGAAGUUGCAUAAUUUCCCAAUUUCAUGUUGAUCUGAAACCUGUUACAUUGUUCUUUGUAGGAUAUUGUUUCAAAACUACUGUCAUUUUCCCAACAAAGGCCAAGGGCUGUUUGCAUCUUGUCUGGCACUGGUACAGUUUCCUCAGUAACACUCCGUCAGCCAGCAUCUUCUGGGUCCUCUAUCACAUAUGAGGUUAAGGCAGUCGCAUAUUUAUGGAUAUUUUUCUAGAUUAAACUGUUUCCUCUGAGUAACUUAGCUUCCUUAGCUUAAUUUAUAUGAAAAUGCUGAUCUGAAAAUUGGGUGUGAAUGUCAGUUUACCACACUUAUAUUUCUCUUUCCCCCCAAUAAGUUUUAUUAGAAUCUCACCAGCUUUCUGACUUGUUUCAUAGUAUAGUAGCUCUUUUCUCAUCAUCUAAUAUGUCAAUGUACUGACUUAAUGAAUUCCUUACUUAUUAUUGAGUUUGAGCAUGUCUAGCUUCCUGAUACUUUCUUAAACGCUCUCUUGUUAUUUAUUAAAACACUGAAGGUAAGAGCUUGUGCAAACAAUGUAACAGCUGUUAACUUCUGGAUUUUUGGAUCCACUAGUGAAGUCAGAAUCAAUAAUUGAAUAAAUGAAUUCUAGGGAAUAUUUGAACAUAGAAUGCAAGAAGAACCAGGGAAUGGUAAGGUUCUGGUGGAAAUGAGGAAAGAAAGGGUAGAUGGGACUCAAGUCCAUCUGGAGGUGAUUGAGCUUUGAAUGAAAAUAAAUUGAAGCUGAAGCUUAGUUGCUGAAGGUUAUGAUCUAUUCAAAUUUUGAUAAAAGCUAAUGGUUGGGAGUUUCCUUGAAGGUCUGGAAUUUGAAUAUGGAACAUGAUUGGGCAUAUGUUUUAUCUAGUAGGUUAGGUUUUAGGCAGGGUUAAGUGUCUAAUUUUGGUUAUAGGUUCAUACUUCCAUGACUUGCCUGGGAUUACAUGGAUAGCAAAUGGUCUAUAGGCGAGGAUUCUAAUGUUGUUACGAGGAACUAAUUCACUGGUCUCAAAUUAUUGAAUUAUCAAUUAAUGUGCCACCUAAGUGCAGAUAAUAAAACCAAUUUUGACUAUCAUUUGUCUUAAACUUUGGGCAUAAUCAUAUAUCGGGGAUGAUGAAGACAAGAGUGCAUUCCUGGCAUGAACAUUCUGGACUAGUGGUUAACUGUUACUUUGAACUUUGGGUGCAAGGUUCCAAAAUCUAAUCGAAAGAGCAAGCAUUUGUCACGUUCCGGUAAUACUUCCAGAGAUAGGAUGGUAAUUCUUGGCUUCAAUUUAUUUAUUUUGUGGUAGUUCUCACAUGUUUAGCCACAUUAACUUGUCCAGCAAGUUCCAGGGGUAGCAAACACUUUUUUACUUUCUUUCAAAAAAUAAGGAUGUGCCAUUUCAUAGUGGAUCAAAGUGGCUUCAGAGUUUUGGCAGAUUUAAUGUAAAAUAAGAGAACUUUUGAAGGCGGUCAUUUGAAGUAUUGCUAUAUGUUUGGCUACAUUGAAUUGUUUAGUGAGUUUGAGGACUGCAAACACUUUCUGUAGUGGAUUUAAGCUGGUGCUGAGUAUUGUGGUUUAAUGGGAAAAAAAGUUGCAACUCAAGGUGGAUCAAUCUGAAAAUGCAUUUGGUCAAGUAAUUUUUCUUGAUUUAUCGUAUUGAUGAAAAAUGAGCUGCAUUACACACAAGCUGCAUGACCAUGAACCUUUCAAAAUGUGUAUUGUUGGACUUGGAUUGGUCAUUUUUGCCUUUUACUUCUGCUUAGGUACUUUUUAAUUGUUUUAACCUUGUUUUUAGCAGCAAGAAGGAACUCAUUUAGAAUAUUUAACUUUUGUAGGGCCGUUUCGAGAUAUUAUGCUUGUCAGGCUCUUACUUGGUCGCUGAAGAUGGUGGGCCUCGCAAUCGAACCGGUGGUGUAAGUGCUUCUCUUUCUAGUCCUGAUGGCCAUGUCAUUGGUGGUGCAAUUGCAGUGCUUAUUGCUGCCAGCCCAGUUCAGGUAAUAUUCUGAUGCUCUGAGUUAUGUUGUACCUUCCAUUGGUCAUUCUAUGAUGAUGUUAACUUAGAAUCUUUAAUACUUACUGAAAGUCCAUAUCUUCUUUAUGAUGAGUGCCAUGUGCUAAAAAUUGUAAAAUUUUCUCAAUGUUCAAAUCUGUUUUAAUAGUAAUUCAGACCUUCAGUUUGCGGAAAACAGCUAGAAUCAUGAACACCAUGCUCAAUAUAUGGUAUAGAAUGGCAUGCAAAAUUCAUGGUUCAUCUUUUGCAUUUAUGUGAAGUGUGCAGCAUUGUUUGGGAUGUGCAACAUUCGCAAUGGGUGAUCACAUUGCAUAUAGAAUGCUUACUUUAAGAUAUACAAUAUCAAUUGUGUAUUGGAUUAUUUUAUUUGAUACUGAACUUGGUAAAAACAGAACGGUUUGAGUAACUAAAAUUUGAGACUAUUUGGUUUUGAAUCUUCUUGCUAUUGGAUUAUGAUUACCAGUAAAUAUAUAUCCCUUUUGGUAUUGUGUUUAUACACGUUCUUUUAUAGUCUAGCUUAUUAGUCUAGUGGCGGGGUCAUGAUAAAAUGAUAAAGGACUCUUCAAUUGUUGCAGGUGGUGGUCUGUAGUUUUGUUUAUGGUGUUUCUAAGAAGGAUAAACAAGUAAGCCAUCCCAUAAAUGAAAAAGACGCCACAUCUUGGCCUGAUGAUAAUUUAGAUAACCUGAAAUCAGUCACACCUACUAGCAUGCCUCCUCAAAGUUUCACUUCCUCUCCGACAAGCAUUUGGCCCGGACCACGACCAGUUGAUAUGAGAAACCCCCACACUGAUAUUGACUUGACGCGAGGAUGACUGUUUGCUGCAACAGACACAUGGCAAUUUUGUACAUUUCUGUUGUUGUAAAUGUAUCCAAUCCUGUGAUAAUUAUGAACUCAAUUCUCCCAACUAAAGGGCAAUGCGUUUGUGCUAACGUAGUUUGUACAAGAAGCCAUCAUUUAACCUUUUCAAGUGACAGUGUAAACUUGUCAAAAUUUCCAGGUAAACAUUAAUCUCUAGCAGAAAGAAAUCGCUGUUUCAAGCAGAUGAUGACUGCUAUUCUUUGGACCUUUGGUUUCUCUGGUAACUCAUUUCUAGUUUAACCGAGUCUUGGCAGGAGUUUCCUUGCAAGCAUUACCCAGAUUAAUUCUUUGUGAAUGAAACCUAGAUGUUGCUUGAGCAUGCCAUAAUUUUGAUGGCUACUAUUGGAUUUUGUCAAUCAGGGAGAAAACACCAGCCUUCAAGUGUAAAAACGAUCUGACUUAUUCUGCUGGGUUUCCAGACAUGGCCCAGAUAUCAGUGUUUUUUGAGGGAGAUGAGUUAAUAGUAUAGUGUCUUGUAUGUGCUGCAAAAGGCAUCCUAAGGAACCAAAAUUAUUUAUUCCGUACAUGGGUUGGUAUUAAAUAUAAUGGCGACAAUGUUAUAGCUCUGAGGGUCCGUUGUUAUGAAACAGCCCGUGUCUAAAGGAAACUUGAACCCUAGUGAAUCUUGGAUGAGUAUUUCUAAGUCGAAAUGAUUUUUUGACAAGUAAUAAUCAUAAACAACAAAAGAAUCUCAAAUGACCCUUUACCACCGCUCGAGUAACAUUGUUUACAUGCGUUGUAAAAUCUCCUUGUCGCAACCAGGAGGCGGUCUUUGAUAGUUUCAUCUCACACUCCGUCCUUUAGCCCCACCGUGUUCUAUAUACUCAGAUAUAUGCACUUUAUGCACGCUGGUAGCCAAUCAGCACCGCUGCAAAAAGACAUCUGAAAAAAUGAAGCAAGUUUGCUCAAGUUUUACUUAAUUCCUAGUCCUCUUCGUGCUUCUUGUCACAGUAAGUGUAUUGGUUGAAGCACAAAAGUGCAAGUCAAGUGGCAAAGUUGAAGGAAAGAAGCCUCCGAAAAAAGAAUGCAACCAGGAAAAUGGCGCAGAACGCUGUGAAGAAGACAAACUUUACACCACCUACAAGUGUUCACCACCCGUAUAUGUGCUCUUCCAGUAAACAGUUUUGAGGAGGGUGGAGAUGCGGCUGCACCAUCAGAAUGCGAUGGUACGUACCAUGACAAUUACACACCUGUGGUGGCAUUGUCAACGGCAUGGUUCGGUAAAAAGAGAUGCCACCACCAUAUCACCAUUAAUGGAAAUGGAAGUUAGGAAAGCUUUAGGCAUAAAUGACAAGGAAUGGGGAUGGCUGGAUAUCACCUGGUCUGAUGCUUGAUUUCCACUUGUUUUCUUUCUUGUGCUCUGCAAUAAUCUUUCAUCGCUGCAAGACAACGCUGUUUUAUUCCCGACUCUUCACUUCUGGUUGAAAAGGACCCAGUUCACAAACCUGUUCCGCUGGAACACAGGAAAUGCACAACAGUAGUGCAACAAAGUGGGAAGUACCAAGAAAAUUGUCGUGGUACCUUUUGAGCUACGGACAAUUUCGCACUUAAAGAAGAUUUUUUCUUUUUCUUUUUCAAAUUGGCAUUUCUUUUUAUUUAUCUUUAUUCAUUGUUAUAAAAAUAAAAUAAAAAUGAACUAAAAGAGUGAACACCGUCAGGGCUAUCCAACGAAAAAUUCAGCAUCAACGCUCAUAACAUAAAAAUAUUAACAUUAUCUUGUUAUGUCAGGAGUAACCAAAUCCAAACCAACUUACAACAUCCAAAAUCUGGGGAAUGAAAGAUCUCAAGCCAAGAAACAAAGUGUAUACUGCUGGAUCUUGCAACACCUAUGUCUCACACUUGUCUUAUUCUGCAAUACAUAUUUAACAAGUCUUAAUAAAAACAGCGCAGGGCAACCAGAAUCCUUGUGCUUCCAUUCUUAUAUGAUCUUGAAUCCUUUAUACCAACAAAUCAUGAGAUCUCCAGCAGUUGCUUUAUGUCACGCUGCAAAAACAUUAAAAGGCUUGAGAUUUCCCACUAUAUACCAACAGAAGCCAGCAUAACUGAGAGAAACUAGAGAUUCAAGCACGUUUCCUAUGGUGUUUUUUUCUGUUACCUCAAGACUAAGAGGUGAAGUUGUGGGGUAGUAACGACCAACAACCUGGCCAUCCUUGUUGACAAGGAACUUGGCGAAGUUCCACUGAAUAUCAUCACCAAAAAUUCCCCAUUUCCCCAACUUCAAGAACUUGUACAGUGGAGAAGCAUUCUCACCAUUUACAUCAAUCUAAAGGGCAAACGUGGGAGAAAGAUUAGAAUACUAUUCACACAUCACAUUAAAAUUAGAAUUUCAAUCUUUCAGAUACUAAAUAAAUGGUCAAACUCCUGCACACAGAACCAGACUUCGGUAAAAUCGAAAAGUAUCACAGUUGUUAAUGCAGCAAGAUUGGAGCGAUUUUGACUUUUAUAUGAGCAAGCAUGCAGUUGAAAUAGAUUAAAAGAUAACACCAGGAAACAAGUCAUUUGGCAUAUGUGCUUCCGUCUGGCAACCACGUAAACCUCUCUACAAAAUCCUUCCCAUAGCCACUGUAAAAAAUUUAGCAGGGGAAAGGGUGGGGAGGGGGAGGCAAGGGAAUUAAGAGAGCAGUCAACUUCCAUGCAACUAGCAUUUACCUUUUCAAAGAUGGGAAAUUCUGAUUUGAAGCGAGUGCAGACAAAGUCUGUGAUCUGAUCAUUAGUUCCUGGUUCCUCCUCACCAAACUGAUUGCAUGGAAAUGCCAGUAUCUCCAGUCCUGCACCAAGCCAUCAAGACCUAGAUGUCAUAUAGAAAAGUAGAAGUAAAACAAGAACUGUAUUCAAGUAACAGGCACUGAACAUGCCCAGAGAUAUGAAGGAGCAAGGGCAUAUAAUUCACAUGCUAGAAAAAUGAUGCUUUGAGAAUACCAUUCUCAUGCAUGCUAAUGCUUUUGACAUAAUGUAAAGUCAGGGGCUUAAGAUAUAAAAUGCAAGCUUAAGUCGCUAACCUUGAUCUUUGUACUUCUCAUAUAAUUGAUUCAAUUCAGCGUAAUUUGAGUUGGUCAUCCCACUGUAUAAUCAACCAACAUGAAGCAAAACCAACAAAUAAGGACCUUAAUUGCCUCCUAAAUUAUCUUAAUAGUGGCUAAAGAAUACCAAGAGUACUAACCUCGAAAUAAAAAAAUUCGAAGUUCAAUCUUAUCCAUUGAAAAGAAAAUAAAACAGACGCAACAUGGGAAUUACCAUUUUGAAGCAACAUUAACAAUCAGCAACACUUUUCCCUUGAAAAUGCUAAGAUCCACAUCAUUUUCCUUAGCAUCCUGCAUUGAAACACAGCAAAGCAACCACCCAUAACAGUAUUUGGACUGAAUUGUAGUUUAAAGGAUAAAAACGCAUCCUUUGUGUUUAUAGUUGCAAACCUACAUGGAAAGAAUUUGGGCCAAGAAACUACUACUCACUAACCUUGAUAGUGAAGUCAUGGACUGAUUCUGGGUUCUUUGAGGUUUGGGUUGCCAUUGAAGAAGCUAAAGAGGCGGAGAGAAGCAAGUGAAGAAGCAGUAAAAGAGUAAAACAGCUAAAGCAAAACGAAGAGAACUGAGACGGAAUCAUCAACACCUACUUUGAGUUUUGACUUUUGCAGAUUCUGUUCUCACAUCGCACGUGCCUGUCUGUCUGUCUGUAUGUCCAUCAUGCUGUAAGUUUUGUGGAUGAACAUGUGACCGAACAUAUUCGCUGCUUUCGCUAAAAAGAACAAUAGACGAGGACCGUUCAUGGCUCAGGUGAGAGGCCCUGGAAAUGGAGCCCAGAUUGUUGGGCCUAACCCCACCGAAGUGUUAGCAGGCCUGCUCCAUAUGGAACAUCCCAAUUCCCAUGCAGCGGACAUCUCAUUCUCAGCAAGUAAUAUUAAUAAUAAAAAAAUAAAUAAAAAAACUUUUUUGAUAAAAAUCAGAAAGCUUUUAUGUAUUUCAUGAAAUAUUUUAUUUUUCUUUUUGAGAUCUGAUCUAAAAUGUCAUAAACUCAUGGUCGUUAGUCUCAACUUUGCAGGGAAAUGAUUGGAUGGUGCUACAGGUUGCAAUCAAAUGGCUGAGAUGAAUUGUUAAAAAGUCGUAUUAAUUACUUCUGUUAUCCAAUGUAUACAAAUAAAGAUGAUAAUGUUUUUUGAAAAUUAGAUUAUUUUUAUAAAAAAAUAUUGAAAAAUCAAUACAUUUUGAAAAAAAGGAAGAAAUUAACACAAUUUAUAUAUAUUACGAUUGAGAAAUACAAUAUUCAAAUUUAUCACUAUUAAAAAUAUGAUAUAUCAAAAAAUAUUAUGACAAAAGUUGCAUGUAAAGCGGUAAGAGGAGAAAGAAAAAAAAUAAAAAGGAAAUUUUGGCAUACUAGAGCUCUGAUCAUGACAUCAUUGUUAUAAUUAAAAAGAUCUCAAUGAAAUAAAUUUAAGGACACCAAGAAAGGUCAUCAAUAAUGACCCGAGUGUGUCACACUCACAGCUCAAAGGUGACGAGUGGCUUAUUACCUUUGAUGAUAAUUGUUACGCACUUUAUUUACCGUUUAUGAUUUUUUUUAGUGUCGUUAAACUUAUCUCAUCGAAAUCUUUUUGAUAAUAUCAAUAAGUAUGUAGUAAGAGCUUCAAUGUACUUUCAAAAUUUUUUCUCUCUCUCCUCUCUCCUCUCUCCUUAUAUGCUAUUUAUUCUAUAAUUUUGUUGAAUGUUAUGUUUUUUUAAUAGCAACAAACUUGAAUGUAAUGUUUUUUAAUCAUAACAUGUAAAAAUUAUAUUAUUUCACCACCAAUUCUUUCCCACACUAUGUUAUUUUAUCAUUAUUUUUGUCAUAACCCAUUUUUAGGUUAUUCCUCAAUUCAUAUUUGUUUUCCCUUAAAAAAAAUACAAAAACAUUUGAAAAAUAUAACAGUGAAAAAAAGGAUGCCAAAAUACUCAAAAAAUGGUAAAAAAAUUGGUCAAGGAGGUUCAAAAAUACAAAAAUUAAAAUUUGACAGUAUUUUAUUGACUGAUGAGAGCUCUGUUGACAAAGAAAAUUCAAUUUGAGAAAGAAAAGACCAAAAUUAGAUAUUUAUGGACUCAAUUUAAUUUUAUUAAAGGUUUAAUUGAAUUUAUAUAGAGUUUGAUUGCAAGAAAAAUUGAUUUUGGAGUUAAUUUGAGCUUUAAUUGGAAGACAUUGAAGUUCUGGGUUCAAAAUAUAAUUUUCAAGAGUUAAUUUGGUCAAACCAUGGGCUUAAUUGAAUAAAUAUUAAAGUUUGAUAGCCAAUUAGGGACUUAAUUGAAGAAAUCCAAAACCAAAAACUAAAUUUAAAAAUGCGUGUAAAUAGAGGGGCUGCAAUUAAACCAAAUCAGGGGGAAGAAAUUAGAAGUGUAUUGCUCAAUUGAGUGUCAAAUUGCAUAAAUUUAAGAUCAAGAACCAAUUUGGAAUAGGCAGCCAACUUUAGGGACGGUGUUUGAAUUUGUCAGGGAUGCAAUUGAAUUGAAUUUUAAAAUCAAAAUUGCAACUGAGGACUCGAUUGAACAAAUCACAAAUUAAGGACUGAUUUGUACUUUCACAUAAGUUUGGCGUCGUUUUCAUUUAAAUGAAACGACAUGUUUUGCCUAAAACGACGCCGUUUCAUACAUUGUUUAUUUUUUUAAAAAAGACCCAAAAUGAUGCCUUUUUAAACGACAUCGUACGUCUUCUUCUUCUUUCCUUGGACGUGCAGAAAACAAGGGAAGGGAGCUUUUGUUCCCCUAUUUUGCACCGCCUUUUUCUUCCUCCUUUUAGCUCAGAAAGAUGUCGACCAAGGACACCCAUUUGCUCAGUUGACCCGUGGCCUCCAAUGUGUUGGAGAAAUGGAGGAGACGUGCCUUCUCGAACAAUCAUGUAGCGGUAGCACAGUGGCCGCCCUGGCCAUGUCUCUCCCCAUUUUCACCACCCUUCUUUUGUCUAAAAAUACAGAGGUAGAGAAGAGGCGAAAAGGGGGCAAAAUAGGAGAGAACGAGAAAAAAUAAAAAAAAGGAAGAAUAGUGAAAGAGAAGAUGAAUAACAUAGUCGAAAAAAGAAGAAAAUAAAACAGGGAGGGAAGGAAAAAAAUAAAACAAAGGAAGAGAGAAAAGAAUAGAGGGGUAAGACCAAAAGAAAAGGGAAGAAAAAGGAAGAGAGAAGAGAGAAAAGAGGAGGAGAAAAGGAAAGAAAAAAAAAAAACAGAGAAGGGAGAGGAAGAAGAAGGAGAAAAACCACCGGCCAUAAACAUUGCCACCGCGACAACAAUACCUCCACCGUCAACAGCACCACCUCGACGCCACCCCAGACUGCCCCAUCUCUUUCUCCUCUGCUCAGUCGCUAUUUGCGUCUACAUGCAAAACAUGAAUAAUUCACGUUUUGCAGCAAAUGAUUGAGGGGCUGGUUACUGUGCUUAGACACAGUAACCAUCCCAUUUAGUUUUGGGCUGGGUCUAACCUAACCCUUUGAUCUGGGCUAGGUCCGACCCAUUUUAAAAGAAAAUUUAAGUUUGUUUUAAUAUUUGUGAUUUCCCCUACCUUUUGAUUUAUGUUUCCUUUUUUUUUUUGCUUAAAUAGCAACCUUUUUUUUUUGUCAUUUUGAAAAAAUAUGAAUCUGGUAUUAAAAUACCCGAUUUUCAUCAAAACUUCCAAAAAUACAAAAACUAAAAAAAAAAAUAUUUUUGUGCAUACAACCAAGUAUCUAAAAGCUAAAAAAUCAUAUUGUGUUUGUCAUACACCAGCAAAAAAUAUUUUAGCUUGAAUUUUGGCUUUAAUAACCAGUUUAUUAAAGUCAAGAGAAAAUUGGCCAAAAUUCAAAAAUAACAAAAAUUUUAUUUUGUUUGUCUUUUAGUAUCCGGGGUACAACAUUACAUGUAAUAUGUAUUCUGGAUAUUACAUUUUUUUUCAGACGCUAUAACAGUUAGGUUUUAUCCUAUUAAGAUAAGAACCUCGUUACAGAGAAGGACUUUUCUUAAAUCUUAGAUAGACAUGACCAAUAAUUAGAAACCACAACAAGACCUUUGAUUUUAUCAGACAACAAAACAAUGCAACUUACCUUAGAUAGGGCGUAGUUGGGAUGCUAAUACCUUCCCUUUAAGCAACCAGUUUUCGUACAUGAUCUCUGAGAGCAGUUAGGGUUCCUAGUGACCAGAAUACUAGGUGGCGACUCCCAUUCAAAAUUUUCAUUAAUAAGAGACAGGAAUUCCUUGUCUCUUCACAUUUGCCAGAUAGGCCAUUAUAUUUUUCCUUGAAGGUGGAUAAUCGCCGCAACACCUCACACGUGCGAUAAUUUUAAAAAACCAUGCUAAUAAACAAAAAUAGCAGUAGAUAACAUCCUCUAAUCCCUUGUAGCUAUUCAUUAGAUAAUGAUGGCAUACAACAACAAGAUUAAAAUAAAGGGAUAACUAGAAAUCAAUCCUCAAUGUUCAAAGUCAUUAAUAAAUUAGUCCUUAACUUGUUGAUAUUUUUUUCUAACAAGUUCAUCAUCCUCCAAGUUUUCUUAAAAUAAAAUUGAAUUCAUGAAUAAAAUGAUAAUUAUUGUAUUUCAAUGCAAGUGAAUUAGGAAAAAGGUGUCAGAAAACUUUUUGAGAAUUAUAUAUAUAUAUAUAUAUAUAUAUAUAUAUAUGUUGAUCUUGGUAUAUAGAUAGUAAGUUAUAGUUUAGUUUACACAAUAUGAAAGUUUAUGUAACCAAGUUAAUCUUGUAAUAGAGAUCAAAAUAGAAUCUUAGCAAUCAUUUAUAUAUUGAAAUUUGCAUUGGGAAUCAAAACAUAAAUUUAGCAUGCAAACUAAAUAUAUAAAACAAUUAUUAAACUUGAAAUGAUAUUAGUUGAUAAGAAACAUAAUUAUUUGGUGAAACAUUUUAAAAUAUAUUAAAAAAAUAGUGAUUGCUAUCAAGGAUAAAUUAUUUGUUAUUAAAACGUUAUUGUUUCUAUAUUGAUGUGAUGAAAUGAUGUCAACAAGUCUUUUAAGAUUCUAACAACAUUAACUUGAUUCGUAAAAUUGAAUUUAAUUCAUAAAAAUAAUUUAAAAUUCAAUUGAUAAUCUAUUAUAAUUAUUAUGUUUGAAAUAAAAAACUAAAUCACAAAAUUAAAUUCAAUUGUAUUAUUUGAAAUAUUUUUACUAUAACAUCUUAAGGAUCCAAUUUUCCAAACAAGUCCUUGCUCAAGUCAUCUCUCUCUCCAUCUCUCCUUUUAUAUAUUGUUGAUUUUUGUUUAAUCAGAAUUUGAAUUAUUAGUGAAUGACUAAUAUUUUGUUGAAUUGAAAUUAGGUUUAAGUUAUUUUUUAAUUAGAAGCCGGAAAAGCUCAUUUCCUUAUAAAGAAUUGAUUAAAUUAGGUCAAAGUGUUUUUUUUUUUUAUUAUUUUGGAAUAUUAUAUAUGAGGAUUUGUGAUAUUUAAUUGGAGAUUAUUGGUUUUUUCUAUGUGAGUGUAGAUAUUUUUGCUUGAAAAUAUAUCAAAAUAUUUUUUUUAUUUCUUAUAUCAACAUAUUAAAAUAAUAAAAAAAUACUAAAAAACUAUUAAUUUAAUAUUUUUUUCAAACAAGAAAAAACUAUGGAAAGUACAAGAAUUUAAUUAAGGCUAUUCCAAACAGCUACAGGAAUACCUAAUCUUGUCAUCCAACAGGUACAGAAAGAUCCAAACACUCAGUAGGAAGCAUUCUUCUUCGCAAAAAGCCACAUUCUUGAUUAGGAGGAGGAGAAGGAGAGUGAUACAACAGUAAAGUUGAAUAAGAUCCUUGAAAGACAGACGGGGUUAUACAUUAAAAAUAAAUAAACAAGAAAGGAAGAAAAGCAUAUGGUCCGUAUAACGUUCUAAACUACUUUCUCAAGAUUAGCUAUUAUUCGUCUUGCGAUCUUUGCAAAAGUGAAAAAGACCGGGUAAAUACAACCACAACAUCACAACAUGAUGUUUAUGUUGGAUUUUUCACAGGGAUGUAGUGAAACAAAUUUAGAGUUAUUUAGGGUUUAUGUGAAAAUUACUUGAAGAUUAUAUGUUUUUUUUUUUACUUUGAGUAUUUAUAUCAAGGUUAGGUUAUUACAAACCACAAGUUGUCCAAGUAUUCAGUCUUAAACAGUAAUCUAUACAAAUCACUAGUGAGAAAUCUCUUAUACCUUUUAGAAGAAAGAUUAAUAUACUUAGAGUGCUAGCUCUUUUUUUUGUUUUAAAUGUUAAAGUAGUAUACUUUUCUCACCACUCUUUUUUUUAUAGAAAAUAAAAAAACAUAACGUUCUAUUUAUAAAGAAACCUAAAAAAUCCUAUAAACCUAUAAAUAAGUUUAUUCAAUCAAAGUCUCAACUUGAUUUUUCUAGAUCUAUAAUUGUAAUUUCCUGUAUUAAAUACAUUUCAGUUUUAAUCUCUAAAAUUUAUUUACAAUCAAGUUACAUUUGAUUAAUCAUUCCAUUUUAAUUUCUAACCAAUAAUUCUUAUGUAUGUUAUUUAUUAGGUUCCUUAAUAAGUUAACACAAAUAUAAAUCAUAAUUUUAAAUAAAAUAAAAUAAAAUAAAAUAAACAACUAAAUUUAUUAUUAAUUCAAUAAUUGAUUUAUAUUUGAAAAUCAAAUAUAAUAUCUAGUAAUCUAUCAUGAUCUCUCAUAUAUUAAGAAAGUGAUCUUCCAUAUAUUAAAAAAGUUAUAAGUGAUUUUACUUAACCUUUCAGUGACUAGUUUGUCUGUAUAAUUAUUAUCACUUCAUCAUCGAGUAUGUCUAUUUUAUUAAAUCUUUUUAGUUCUCAACAUUAUAGUCAUUGAUUAUUUGAAUAAAAUUUUUAAAUUCUUUUCAAAACUCAUUCUCCUCUUAAGUACUCCAAUACCUUCAUAUAAUUUAUGUUAUACCUAAAAUCUUCCAGUUUGUUACUUUAGGAUAAUGUGUUGUCAAUAUCAAUUGUGAAUUGGAUUAUUGCAUAGUUAAUGCUUACUUUAAGAUAUAUAAUAUCAAUUAUGAAUUGGAUUAUUUUAUUUGAUGCUGAACUUGGUAAAAACAGAACGAUUUGAGUAACUAAAAUUUGAGACUAUGUGGUUUUGAAUCUUCUUGCUAUUGGAUUAUUCUUUUGAUUACUAGUAAAUAUAUAUAUCCCUUUUGGUAUUGUGUUUAUACAUGUUCCUUUAUAGUCUUGCUUAUUAGUCUAGUGGCGGGGUCAUGAUAAAAUGAUAAAGGACUCUUCAAUUGCUGCAGGUGGUGGUCUGUAGUUUUGUUUAUGGUGUUUCUAAUAAUGAUAAACAAGUAAGCCAUCCCAUAAAUGAAAAAGACUCCACAUCUUGGCCUGAUGAUAAUUUAGAUAACCUGAAAUCAGUCACACCUAUUAGCAUGCCUCAAAGUUUCACUUCCUCUCCGACGAGCAUUUGGCCUGUGUUAAAAGGAAAUGAAUCUCAUUAAGGAGAAAAUUGUGGAUCAGGAUCAAUGCACCAGAUCAGCCUAGCAUGAUCUUAGGAAUCAUUUUAAUGUAUAGUUGACAUUCCUAGAAUAUUUAGAAUCUGUCUCUAUAUAAUGGCUAGCCAUUCUGUACGAACACACUUACUGCAAUAUACAAUCCCUUUUUCAUUACUCUGUUAUUUUCAAUUAUCAUUCUGCUAUUUUGUUUAUGGUAUCAGAGCACUGGUUCUAGUGUCUCUAGCCUAACACCUUCCGCUACAACCAAAACACAAACACCAUUGUAUUGACAACAUGGCCAACACAGGAAUCAACACAACUGAAAUCCUAGACAAAUCCACAGAUUUCACAUCACAGAACAGAGAAGAGAGAGGGAUUUUCUUACCCGAUCCUUUGGCUCUACAUCAUUCAGACACACCAGGACUCACCCUGGUCAGCACACUUUUGAAUGGACGCAACUAUGGGGAAUGGUGUCGUUCAAUGCGCCGCAGCCUCAGCGCCAAAAACAAACUUGGUCUCAUCGAUGGAUCCAUAGAAGCUCCGCCAACAAAUGAUGCAAAAUUCCCAUUAUGGCAAUGCUGCAAUGAUCUGGUGGUGUCCUGGAUCCUCAAUUCUGUUCAACCAGAGAUAGCUCGUAGCGUCAUCUACUCAGAUACAGCAGCCGUGAUUUGGAACGACCUCAAAGACAGAUUUUCCCAAGGAGACGAAUCCAGAAUCUACCAAAUACGACAAGAAAUUGUUGAAUGUCGUCAAGGGUCCCUCUCCAUAUCUGCCUAUUAUACAAACUCAAAGGGCUUUGGGAUGAAUUAGGGUCUUACCAGGAACCCAUCCCUUGCUCUUGCGACAUGCUGAAAAAGCUUGCUGACAGAGAAGAGAAGGAGAAGAUGAUGCAAUUUUUAAUGGGGCUUAACGAACCCUAUUCCCAAAUCCGUGGGUCGAUCUUGAUGAUGAAUCCCCUACCCGAUACACGACGAACCCAUGGCCUUAUUCUCCAACAAGAGAGGCAAAUGGAGGUAGCAGCACGCAAUUCCAUCGUGCCGGCCUCCCAUGCGAUGCAGGUUGCACGACGGGGAGGAUCACAGACGGUGACUUCAUUUGGCAGCAGGAAGUUCUGCACUCACUGUGAGCAAGGAGGACAUUUGGUUGAUCAAUGUUAUUAUCUAAUUGGGUUUCCAAUUGGCCACAAAUGGCAUGGAAAAAACAUGAAGCCAAGAAAUAAGAAGACAACGAUCAAAACAUUGAGAUGAAAGGGAAUCGACUGAUGAAAGCCCAACCUUCACAGCUGAAGAGUAUAAGCAAAUCAUGGCAUUACUGAAAAACGGUAACAAUCAACCAUUUGCAAACGCAACAGGUAUUGCUACACCCAAUUGUGAUAAUUUUAAUACACAUUCAACUUUAUAUUGGAUAGUGGACAGUGGAGCAACAGAUCAUGUAUCACAAUUACCACCAACGCACAACAAAAAGAAAUUGAUUCAUGACUUUGUUGGUUUACCUAAUGGAGAACAGACACGCAUCAACAGUAUAGGGUCUAUUCAAUUAUCAUCAGACUUAUCUCUGGAUGGAGUCCUCCAUGUGCCUAAUUUUCGUGUGAACUUAAUAUCUGUAAGCAAAUUGACACGGGCUUUGAGAUGUAUAGUGAUAUUUUACCCAAAUUUUUUGUUGUGCAGGACGUGGAUACGAGGAGGACGAUUGGCCUGGGCAAGCAUUUUAAUGGUCUUUACUAUCUCACCCCUGCCCAAAAUCCUUGCCUCAUCAAUCACAUCACUUGCACUUCAAACCUUUGGCAUCAACGACUCGGACACCCAUCUGCUGCUCCCCUCCACCAUUUAUCCCAAUCUUUCCCUGAUAUUGUUUUUAAUAAUAAGCAUGUCUGCGAGAUUUGCCCUCUAGCAAAACAAACUCGUUUAUCUUUUCCUACAAGCUCAAUAAAUACCAUUGCACCAUUUGAUUUAGUUCAUUGUGAUGUUUGGGGACCACACAAAAUCCAUACACAUUCUGGGGCUCGUUAUUUUUUAACGAUUGUUGAUGACUUUACUCGUUUCACCUGGGUACACCUCAUGAGUCUUAAAUCCAACACCCAAUCAUUGAUAAAGUCCUUUUUCUCUUGGGUAAAAACACAAUUUAAUAGGGAUAUCAAAAUCUUACGUUCAGAUAAUGGGGGGAAUUCACUUCACUACGUUCUUUUCUUGAUGAACGUGGUACCAUUUUCCAACACACAUGUGCUUAUACCCCUCAACAAAAUGGAGUGGUUGAGCGCAAACACCGUCAUCUUCUAAAUGUAGCCCGAGCCCUUCGCUUUCAAGCCAAUUUACCACUACAAUUUUGGGGGGAAAGUGUCCAAACAUCAUGUUACCUGAUCAACCAUCUACCUACUCCCCUGUUUUCUCACAAAUCCCCAUAUGAACUUUUAUACCACACUCCACCCAACUACUCUACUCUUCGGGUUUUUGGUUGCCUAUGUUAUGCCACAAAUCUCACCCCUGAUCAUAAACUUGAUUGUCGUGCUCACCGUUGCAUUUUCAUUGGAUAUCCUCAUGGCCAAAAAGGAUAUCGUGUCUAUGAUCUUGAAAGCAAGAAAUUUUUUACCUCACGAGAUGUCACUUUCCAUGAACAUACAUUUCCCUUCACUAAGCUACCACCAGAAACUCUAGACGACAACCCAGUUUUGCCUAUCCCCAGUAGCCUCGCCACAUUACCUGAGACCACCACCCAUCCUCAACCCACACUAUCUAAUCAGCCUUCCACCCAACCGAAUCUUGCACCACCUUCCCCCUCCCACAAUACAUCCCUCCGCGACGGUUGCACUCCUCACCCAACCCCACUCAAGUUUACUCUCGUCGCCCUCACACCACAACCACUGUCCCAUUAGAACCUCCUGUUACGACAUCCAGUCAUCCGUCCCGUCAACAUUCAUUGAUCCAUCUGUGUCCUCCUUAACCAACGUCACUGAACCCCCCAUUGUCGACCCAAUACAGACCCUCCCUGAACCUCGCCAUUCCACCCGCCUUCAUCGGCCUCCACCUUACCUACAAGACUUCCAAACCUAUCAUGUGCUGUCCUUGGCCCUGACGUCUCCUCUGCAUCCAUGUCUGGUACACGUUAUCCACUCCACCGGUAUGUCUCUUACUCUGGCCUCUCUAGUCCAUAUCGUUCCUUUGUGAGUAAUAUAUCUCGCUUGGUUGAGCCAGCCACUUAUGAGCAGGCUCGUCAUGAUCCCCAGUGGGUUGCAGCCAUGACUGCUGAAAUUACAGCUCUUGAAGAAAAUCACACUUGGUCCACUGUUCCUUUACCCCCUGGCCAACGACCCAUCGGUUGCAAGUGGAUUUUUAAGAUCAAGUACAAAGCUGAUGGCAGCAUCGAGCGUUACAAAGCCAGGCUUGUUGCAAAGGGCUUUACACAACGCGAAGGUAUCGAUUACAAAGACACCUUCGCCCCGUUGCCAAAAUGACCACCGUCCGCUGCCUCCUCGCAGUAGCAGCUGUUAGGCACUGGCCAUUACAUCAGAUGGAUGUCCAAAAUGCUUUCUUACAUGGCGAGCUCAGUGAAGAAGUAUAUAUGCUCCCACCUCCUGGUUAUCGUCGACAGGGGGAGAAUACAGUUUGUCGACUCCAUAAGUCACUUUAUGGACUUAAGCAAGCAUCUCGUAGUUGGUUUCGCAGAUUCUCAUGUGCAAUCCAAGAAAUUGGAUUCCAACAAUCUCGUGCUGACUAUUCACUUUUUACACAGGUUCGUGGGAUUCCAUUACAAUCAUAUUACUUUACGUCGAUGAUAUGGUUGUUACUGGGAAUGAUGAAAAGGCUAUUAAUGAUCUCAAGGCGUUCCUCAACAGUUGCUUCAAAAUUAAAGAUCUUGGACCAUUAAAAUACUUUCUUGGGAUCGAGGUAGCACGAUCCAAGACAGGGAUUACAGUAUGUCAACGAAAAUACACGUUAGACAUAUUGGAGGAAGCUGGGUUACUUGGAGCAAAGCCAGCUAAGGUACCCAUGGAGCCUGACUUAGCAUUAACAGAUACAGGGAGUGCGGCACUUAAAGACCCUACUAGAUACCGACAUCUAGUUGGAAAAUUGAUCUACCUCACAAUUAGCAGACCAGAAAUCACGUACUCCGUGAACACACUCAGUCAAUUCAUGCAGGAACCAAAACUACAUCAUCUCAAGACUGCUCAUCGACUCCUCCAUUACUUGAAAGCAGCCCAGGACAAGGGUUAUUAUUUCCUUCAGAUAGCCCGCUCCACUUGAUAGGGUAUUGUGAUGCAGACUGGGCAAGGUGUCCAAUUACACGACGAUCUGUAACAGGAUAUUGCACCUUCCUUGGAAAAUCACUUGUGUCUUGGAAAAGUAGAAAGCAGAUAACAAUAUCGAGAUCAUCAGCGGAGGCGGAAUAUCGCUCCAUGGCUGCAGCUGCUUGUGAGCUUACCUGGUUGAGGUACUUAUUGAAAGAUUUGGGAGUAUCACACCCUGGACCAGCAAAAUUGUUUUGUGAUAAUCAGGCGGCUUUACACAUUGCCGCAAAUCCAGUUUAUCACGAACGAACAAAACAUAUUGAACUAUAUUGUCAUACAAUUCGAGAAAGAAUUCAAAGAGGAGAAGUCAAGACAUCGUAUGUUCAAACUGGAAAGCAAAUUGCAGAUUUGUUCACAAAACCAUUGUGAUCGCCAGUGUUUCAUACACAUCUCAGCAAGUUGGGUGUCAUAGACAUUCAUACUCCAACUUGAGGGGGAGUGUUAAAAGGAAAUGAAUCUCAUUAAGGAGAAAAUUGUGGAUCGGGAUCAAUGCACCAGAUCAGCCUAGCAUGAUCUUAGGAAUCAUUUUAAUGUAUAGUUGACAUUCCUAGAAUAGUUAGAAUCUAUCUCUAUAUAAUGGCUAGCCAUUCUGUACAAACACACUUACUGCAAUAUACAAUCCCUUUUUCAUUACUCUGUUAUUUUCAAUUAUCAUUCUGCUAUUUUAGGACCACGACCAGUUGAUAUGAGAAACCCCCACACUGAUAUUGACUUGACGCGAGGAUGACUGUUUGCUGCAACAGACACAUGGCAAUUUCGUACAUUUCUGUUGUUGUAAAUGUAUCCAAUCCUGUGAUAAUUAUGAACUCAAUUCUCCCAACUAAAGGGCAAUGCGUUUGUGCUAACGUAGUUUGUACAAGAAGCCAUCAUUUAACCUUUUCAAGUGACAGUGUAAACUUGUCAAAAUUUCCAGGUAAACAUUAAUCUCUAGCAGAAAGAAAUCGCUGUUUCAAGCAGAUGAUGACUGCUAUUCUUUGGACCUUUGGUUUCUCUGGUAACUCAUUUCUAGUUUAGCCGAGUCUUGGCAGGAGCUUCCUUCCCAGAUUAAUUCUUUGUGAAGGAAACCUCGAUGUUGCUUGAGCAUGACAUAAUUUUGAUGGCUACUAUUGGAUUUUGUCAAUCAGGGAGAAAACACAAGCCUUCAAGUGUAAAAACGACCUGACUUAUUCUGUUGGGUUUCCAGACAUGGCCUCAGAUGUCAGUGUUUUUUGAGGGAGAUGAGUUAAUAGUAUAGUGUCUUGUAUCUGCUGCAGAAGGCAUCCUAAGGAACCAAAAUUAUUUAUUCCCGUACAUGGGAUGGUAUUAAAUAUAAUGGUGACAAUGUUAUAGCUCUGAGGGUCCUUUGUUAUGAAACAGCCCGUGGCUAAAGGAAACUUGAACCCUAGUGAAUCUUGGAGAAGUAUUUCUAAGUCGAAAUGAUUUUUUGACAAGUAAUAAUCCUAAACAACAAAAGAAUCUCAAAUAACCCUUUACCACCGUGCGAGUAACAUUGAUUACAUGCGUUGUAAAAUCUCCUUGUCACAACCAGGAGGCAGUCUUUGAUAGUUUCAGCUCACACUCCGUCCUUUAGCCCCACCAUGUUCUAUACACUCAGAUAUAUGCACUUUAUGCACGCUGGUAGCCAAUCAGCACCGCUGCAAAAAGACAUCUGAAAAAAUGAAGAAAGUUUGCUCGAGUUUUACUUAAUUCCUAGUCCUCUUCGUGCUUCUUGUCACAGUAAGUGUAUUGGUUGAAGCAAAAAAGUGCAAGUCAAGUGGCAAAGUUGAAGGAAAGAAGCCUCCGAAAAAAGAAUGGAACCAGGAAAAUGGCGCGGAACGCUGUGAAGAAAAUUAUUAUACGGGAAUGGAUAUAAGAUGUUGAUAAUAUUAACAUUAUCUUGUUAUGUCAGGAAUAACCAAAUCCAAACAACCUUACAACAUCCAAAAUCUGGGGAAUGAAAGAUCUCAAGCCAAGAAACAAAGUGUAUACUGCUGGAUCUUGCAACACCUAUGUCUCACACUUGUCUUAUUCUGCAAUACAUAUUUAACAAGUCUUAAUAAAAACAGCGCAGGGCAACCAGAAUCCUUGUGCUUCCAUUCUUAUAUGAUCUUGAAUCCUUUAUACCAACAAAUCAUGAGAUCUCCAGCAGUUGCUUUAUGUCACGCUGCAAAAACAUUAAAAGGCUUGAGAUUUCCCACUAUAUACCAACAGAAGCCAGCAUAACUGAGAGAAACUAGAGAUUCAAGCACGUUUCCUGUGGUGUUUUUUUCUGUUACCUCAAGACUAAGAGGUGAAGUUGUGGGGUAGUAACGACCAACAACCUGGCCAUCCUUGUUGACAAGGAACUUGGCGAAGUUCCACUGAAUAUCAUCACCAAAAAUUCCCCAUUUCCCCAACUUCAAGAACUUGUACAGUGGAGAAGCAUUCUCACCAUUUACAUCAAUCUAAAGGGCAAACGUGGGAGAAAGAUUAGAAUACUAUUCACACAUCACAUUAAAAUUAGAAUUUCAAUCUUUCAGAUACUAAAUAAAUGGUCAAACUCCUGCACACAGAACCAGACUUUGGUAAAAUCGAAAAGUAUCACAGUUGUUAAUGCAACAAGAUUGGAGCGAUUUUGACUUUUAUAUGAGCAAGCAUACAGUUGAAAUAGAUUAAAAGAUAACACCAGGAAACAUGUCAUUUGGCAUAUGUGCUUCCAUCUGGCAACCACGUAAACCUCUCUACAAAAUCCUUCCCAUAGCCACUGUAAAAAAUUUAGCAGGGGAAAGGGGGGGAGGGGGGGCAAGUCUUCUAACAUUUCAACAAAUGAAUUAAGAGAGCAGUCAACUUCCAUGCAACUAGCAUUUACCUUGUCAAAGAUGGGAAAUUCUGAUUUGAAGCGAGUGCAGACAAAGUCUGUGAUCUGAUCAUUAGUUCCUGGUUCCUCCUCACCAAACUGAUUGCAUGGAAAUGCCAGUAUCUCCAGUCCUGCACCAAGCCAUCAAGACCUAGAUGUCAUAUAGAAAAGUAGAAGUAAAACAAGAACUGUAUUCAAGUAACAGGCACUGAACAUGCCCAGAGAUAUGAAGAAAAAUGAUGCUUUGAGAAUACCAUUCUCAUGCAUGCUAAUGCUUUUGACAUAAUGUAAAGUCAGUGGCUUAAGAUAUAAAAUGCAAGCUUAAGUCGCUAACCUUGAUCUUUGUACUUCUCAUAUAAUUGAUUCAAUUCAGCGUAAUUUGAGUUGGUCAUCCCACUGUAUAAUCAACCAACAUGAAGCAAAACCAACAAAUAAGGACCUUAAUUGCCUCCUAAAUUAUCUUAAUAGUGGCUAAAGAAUACCAAGAGUACUAACCUCGAAAUAAAAAAAUUCGAAGUUCAAUCUUAUCCAUUGAAAAGAAAAUAAAAAAGACGGAACAUGGGAAUUACCAUUUUGAAGCAACAUUAACAAUCAGCAACACUUUUCCCUUGAAAAUGCUAAGAUCCACAUCAUUUUCCUUAGCAUCCUGCAUUGAAACACAGCAAAGCAACCACCCAUAUCAGUAUUUGGACUGAAUUGUAGUUUAAAGGAUAAAAACGCAUCCUUUGUGUUUAUAGUUGCAAACCUACAUGGAAAGAAUUUGGGCCAAGAAACUACUACUCACUAACCUUGAUAGUGAAGUCAUGGACUGAUUCUGGGUUCUUUGAGGUUUGGGUUGCCAUUGAAGAAGCUAAAGAGGCGGAGAGAAGCAAGUGAAGAAGCGGUAAAAGAGUAAAACAGCUAAAGCAAAACGAAGAGAACUGAGACGGAAUCAUCAACACCUGUUUUGAGUUUUGACUUUUGCAGAUUCUGUUCUCACAUCGCACGUGCCUGUCUGUCUGUCUGUAUGUCCAUCAUGCUGUAAGUUUUGUGGAUGAACAUGUGACCGAACAUAUUCGCACGUGUGCUUUCGCUAAAAAGAACAAUAGACUAGGACCGUUCAUGGCUCAGGUGAGAGGCCCUGGAAAUGGAGCCCAGAUUGUUGGGCCUAACCCCCUAAGUGUUAGCAGGCCUGAUCCAUAUGGAACAUCCCAAUUCCCAUGCAGCGGACAUCUCAUUCUCAGCAAGUAAUAUUAAUAAUAAAAAAAUAAAAAAAACUUUUUUGAUAAAAAUCAGAAAGCUUUUAUGCAUUUCAUGAAAUAUUUUAUUUUUCUUUUUGAGAUCUGAUCUGAAAUGUCAUAAACUCAUGGUCGUUAGUCUCAACUUUGCAGGUGAAAUGAUUGGUUGGUGCUACAGGUUGCAAUCAAAUGGCUGAGAUGAAUUGUCAAAGACUCGUAUUAAUUACUUUAUUUGUCCAAUGCAUACGAAUAAAGAUGAUAUUUUUUUUUUAAAAUUAGAUCAUUUUAAAAAAAUUGAAAAACAUAAUACAUUUUGAAAAAAAUGGAAGAAAUUAACACAAUUUAUAUAUAUUAUAAUUAAAAAACGCAACAUUCAAACUUAUCACUAUUAAAAAAUAUGAUAUCUAAAAAACAAUUAUGACCCAAGUUGCGCAAAGAGCGAUAAAAGAAGAGAGAGAAAAAUAAAAAGAAACCUUGGUACUGGAGCUCCGAUCAUGAUAUCAUUGUUACCAUUAAAAAGAUCUCCAUGAAAUAAAUCCAAGGACACCAAAAAAUAUGAUCAAUAAUGACCUGAGUGUAUCAUACUUACAGCUCAAAGGUGACGAGUGGCUUACUACCUUUGAUGGCAAUUAUGACCUAAUCUAUUUUCUGUUUAUGAUCUUUUUUAGUGUCGUUAAACUUGUCUCAUCGAAAUUUUUUUUAUAAUAGCAGUAAGUAUGUAAUAAGAGCUUUAAUGUGCUUUUGAAUUUUUUUUUCUCUCUCCUCUCUCCUUAUAUGCUAUUUAUUCUAUAAUUUUUUUAUUGUUAUAUUUAUUAAUAGCGACAAACUUUAAAGUAAUAUUUUUUAAUCAUAACAUGUAAAAAUUAUAUCAUUUCACCUAUUCUUUCCCACACUAUGUUAUUUUAUCACUAUUUUAAAAAACAAUGCUAAUAAACAAAAAUAACAGUAGAUGACAUCCUCUAAUCCUCUAUAGCUAUUCAUUAGAUGAUGAUGACAUAUAGAAACAAGAUUAAAGUAAAGGGAUAACUUCAAAUCAAUCCUUAGUUUUGAGAGUCACUAAUAAAUUAGUGACUCAACUUGUUGAUUGUUCAUCCUCCUCCAAGUUUUAUUAAAAUAAAAUUGAAUUUAUGAAUAAAAUAGUAUAUAUAUAUAUAUAUAUAUAUAUAUGUGUGUGUGUGUGUGUGUGUGUGUGUUGAACUUGGUCUAUAGAUAUAUUAUUGUAUUAGCGACGGAACAGGAAAUUAUUGAUGAUCAAUAUUCCGACGAACCGAUUCCAUCGAUGAUGCCUUACAAUAACGAAUUUAAUCCGUUGGUAAAAUUAUUUAAUGAUGUAGUGUUCAAACUAAACAUAUAAAACAAUUAUUAAACUUGAAAUAAUGCAAGUUGAUAAGAAACGUAACUAUUUGUUGAAACAUUUUAAAAUAGAUUAAAAAAAAAGUUAUUGUUGUCAAUGAUAAAUUAUUUGUUAUUAAAACUUUAUUGUUUCUAUCUUGGUGUGAUGAAAUGAUGUCAAAAAAUCUCUUAAGAUUCCAACAACAUUUAAAAUUCAAUAAUAAAUCAUAAUCUAUUAUAAUUAUUAUGUUUGAAAUAAAAUAAUAAAUCACAAAAUUAAAUUCAAUUGUAUUAUUUGAAAUAUUUUUACUAUAGCAUCAUAAGGAUCCAAUUUUCCAAACAAGCCCCUGCUCAAGUCAUCUCCCUCUCCCUCUCUCCUUUUAUAUAUUGUUGAUUUUUGUUUAAUAUCGAAUUUGAAUUAUUAGUUAAUGACUAAUAUUUUGUUGAAUUGAAAUUAGGUUUAAGUUAUUUGUUAAUUAGAAGCCUCAUAGUGAAAAAGUUCAUUUCUUUAUAAAGAAUUGAUUAAAUUAGGUCAAAGUUUUUUUUAUUAUUAUUUUGGAAUAUUAUAUAUGAGGAUUUGUGAUAUUUAAUUGGAGAUUUUUAUAUGGGUGUAGAUAUUUUGCUUGAAAAUACAUCAAAAUAUUUUUUUAUAUUUUUUAUAUCAACAUAUUAAAAUAAAAGAUACUAAAAAAUUAUUAAUUUAAUAUUUUUUCACACGAGAAAAAACUAUGGCAAAUACAAGAAUUUAUUUAAGGCUAUUCCAAACAGCUGCAAGAGUACCUAAUCUCUAUUGUCAUCUAACAAGUAUAGAAAGAUCCGAACACUCAGUAGGAAUCAUUCUUCUUCGCAAGAAGCCAGAUUCCGAUUGGGAGGAGGAGGAGACUAAUACAACAAUAAAAAAAAACAAUAUAAAAAGAAAAGCAUACGGUCCGUAUAACGUUGUAAACUACUUUCUCAAGAUUAGUUAUAAUUCAUCUUGCGAUCCUUGCAAAAGUGAAAAAGACCAUGUACAUACACCCACAUCAUCCCAACAACAACAUGAUGUUUAUGUUGGAUUUUUCACAGGGAUGCAGUGAAACAAAUUUAAAGUUAUUUAGGGUUUAUGUGAAAAUUACUUGAAUAUUAUAUGUUUAUUUUUUAACUUUGAAUAUUUACAUCAAGGUUAGGUUAUUACAAACCAUAAGUUAUCCAAGAAUCCGGUCUCUAAUGAUAAUCUAUACAAAUCACUAGUGAGAAAUCUCUUAUACCCUUUUCGAAGAGAAAUUGAUAUACCUUAGAGUACUAGCUCUUUCUUUUGUAUUUUAAGUAUUAAAGUAAUAUACUUUUCUCACCACUCUUUUUUUUUUAUAUAAAAUAAAAAAACACAGCGUUCUAUUUAUAAAGAAACCUAAAAAACCCUAUAAACAUAUAAAUAAGUUUAUUCAAUUAAAGUCUCUACUUGAUUUUCUAGGUUUAUAAUUGUAAUUUCUUAUAUUAAUUACAUUCCAGUCCUUAAUUUCUAAAAUUUAUUUACAAUUGAGUUACACUUGAUUAAUCAUUCCAUUUUUUUAAUUUAUUAUUUAUGUAAUUUAUUAUGUUCUUUAAUAAGUUAGCCCGAAUAUAAAUCAUAAUCCUAAAUAAAAUAAGAUUAAAUAAAUUAAACAACUAAAUUUAUUAUCAAUUCAAUAAUUAAUUUAUAUUUAAAAAUCAAAUACAAUAUCUAGCAAUCUAUCAUGAUCUCUCAUAUAUUAGAAAAAUAAUCUCCUAUAUAUUAAAAAAAAUCAUAAGUAAUUUUACUUAACCUUUUAGUAACUAGUUUCUCUGCAUAAUUGUUUUCCAUUCAUCUUCGAGUAUGUCUAUUUUAUUAAAUCUUUUUAGUUCUUAACAUUAUAGUAAUUUAUUAUUUAAAUAAGAUUUUAAAAUUCUUUUCAAAAUUCAUUCCUCUCUUAAUUAUUCAAAUAUAUUCAUAUAAUUUAUGUUAUAGCUAAAAUAUUUGGUUUGUUACUUUAGAACAAUGUGAUGUCAAGAUCAAACAUUACACUUUUUAUAUAAAAGUAAAUUUAAGAAUCACAUGCACAACUAUCCCAAAAACCUUUUCAUAAAUAUAAAUGAUCUUUUCAUAUAAAAUUUUCUUGUGGUCAGUUUAAUAUCUAUGUUAUAUAACAAACACCUACAUAUUAAUUUCUCAUACCUCAUUUUAUAAAAGCAUAUCUUUCCUUUCAUAAAAAAAAAACAUAAUAAAUAUCAGUCUCAACAACUCUAAUUAAUGUAACAAUCUUAAUAGAACAUUAACAUGAACAUUUACAAACCAUGCUUUAAAGCAAUAGAAUUCUAAUAAUUAUAACAACUUUAUAAUUUUCUUUGCAAAAUAUUUUUUCCCAUAAACUUUAUCUUUACUCUAGAUUUAUUAAUUAAACAUUAAAUUCAUUAAUCAAAUAUAAAUAAAUAUUAAAAAUAAUUUUUUUAUUAAUAAUAAAUAUAUUUUACAUAAAUAAAUUCAUUAUUCCUCGUAGAACAUAUUCAUUAACAGUUUAUUCAUAGCAGCGCUGCGUCCUCUUUUAUUUCUUCAAUAGGCAAUUAAACAACCAUGCCUUGAGCAAUUAAGCAAUCCCCAGUAGUUUCUUGACAUCUUUCUGCAGAGAGUAACAAUGACCAGGAUCAUAUCAGUUACAAAUUAGACAUCCGAAAUCAAAUGUAGUAGCUGGAUAUGGGGAAUGUAUGGCGGAACCAGAUCUUACCUCAAUGCUAAGAGGGGAAGUAGUGGGAGCAUAACGAUCCACAACUUUGCCAUCUUUAUCCACCAGAAACUUGGAAAAGUUCCAUUUGAUGCUGUCCCCAAAAAGUCCACCCUUGCUAGACUUCAAGAACUUGUAAAUUGGAGCAGCAUUCUUACCAUUCACGUCAACCUAUACCGAGACAUGCAUUGUUAACCUCAAGAUCAACAUUAAUUGACUCCUCUCCUCAUGAAACUAUAUAAUAUGCUUAAAUAAGGGGGACUUCAAUCAUCGAAAGUUCAUCAAAAACUCAACAUGAAAUGGUGGGAAAAUUUUGGCAGUCAUGCGAGAAAGAAAAUUGAUUAUAAAUUAAGAAAUCCAUCUUCAUCAGGCUGUAAAAUCUCAGAGUUAGCAUACCUUAUCAAAUAUGGGAUAGUCAGCCUUAAAGCGAGUACAAGCAAACUCCACUAUUUGUUCAUUGCUCCCUGGCUCCUGAGAUCCAAACUGAUUGCAUGGAAAAGCCAGAAUCUCCAAACCUGCAUCAACACAAAGGCAAGUGGUAAGAAAAAAGAAGGGGCAUUACAGCAAGAUGGCAAUGACUGCAAGGUUUAGCCAGAGCCAAUCAGUUAGAUACGAAGUUGAACUUCGCAAAGAGUCAUCAGAAAGAUACAGGCAAACCCAUGUAGCAGCCCAGCUAGGACACUAAUAGGGGUUCAUAUAUUCCUAGAGCAGAAGCUAACUCAUGAAAAAAAAGGCACAUACAAGCAAUAAACAUUGAAGUGCCACACCACAAAACAUAAAAUAUAAUAGAAGUUAACCUUGAUCCCUGUAUUUUUCAUAUAGCUGGGUCAACUCCGUGUAGUUUGAAUUGGUUAAGCCACUGCACCAAAAUUAAAGGUUAGAGAAGUAAACAGUAGACUCCUGUCUAAGAGAUGGUGAAGAAGGAUCCUCCUUCAACUGAAAGGGAUUCUUCACCCUUAUUUCCCAACUUAUGAGUUCACUUCAACAAAGUGAGGAGUGAACCCACUAACGAACACCUGUGGCACACUAAUUAUUAGUCCGGGGAGUUUGAUUGGAACUGAGUCGAGGAGCAUUAUCUUACAGCAUAGUUAUCCUUAAAAGAAAUGGACAUCUCCUUAAUAAAAACCAGAAAACCCCAGUCUCUUCCCGUCAAGGACAGAUGAAAAGGGAGGAAAUGAAUUACCAUUGUGAAGCAACAUUGACAAUCACGAGGACCUUCCCCUUAUAUAUGCUGAGGUCAACAUCAUUUUCCCUAGCAUCCUACAGUCAAGAGAGAACCAAGGCAUUAUAUAUAAAUAUAAGUAGAACACAGAGGAAUCAUAGGUAAUACAUUAGAUGGUUCAAUGGUAACAGGGAAACAGCCAAUAAGCCGCAAAUCCACAGAUUGAGAUGUUCAAUCGAUUAAGAUUAAAAGACAACCUCCAUGAUUUUUAACAGAAAUUAUGCUAGUUCGUACCACCUCAACAACCUUAAAAAAUAAGACCUUCCUUGCAUAAAAAACCAUUUGAGUCCUCUUUUUUUCUCCCCUUAACUACAAUUAAAGAGAUCCUCUAAAUUUCCAGCAGCAAAACAAAUGAUUAGACUACUAUUAAGCACCGUUCAAAUCAAACAAACAAAAAAGGAAAAUAAAAGCCAGUUAUGAUACCAAAACCUCAAUAUCAGCAUCAAGCGAGCAAGUUUAUUGAGAAAGACUGAGAGAAAAAACAUAUAAAAUACAACAAAAAAUUACCUUAACAGUGAAAUCAUGAACUGAUUGAGCACUGGAUUGGCUAGCCAUUGAAUGAUUGAAUCUCAAAUAACCCAAUAAAGGCCUUGAAUUCUCUGUUCAGAGCGACAGGGAAAUCAAAGAGACUGGUGAAUUAUGCAAGGAAGAUAAAAGGGUUCGCUAGGAAUUGAAAGAUAAGAGCUUCGAUAAUAAAAAUGAUGCAAAGUUGAGAGUUUUAUGAGAGAUAGAGAAUGCGAGAGCAGGAACAGAGCAUUGAGACUUUAAAGGAAAGAGUAGUGGGGCCCGAGGUAGAUGGUCAACUUUUGGGUUUGAUCGGUAGGACAGAAGAUGCUGAGGAUACACGUCGUGGAUGGAUAUGAAUAUACGUGGGUGAAGUUCAGGCCAAGGUUAUUGGACGGUCAGGAUUGUUGUUGCAUGGCGGUGUGAAACGGAAGAUGCGGGUGUCAAAAGGUCUUCCUAGAUGACUGUUUUUUUUUUUUUUUUUUGCGAGCUUCAAAUGCUCAGACGUGGGUUCUAAUAUUUGGCGGCCAGUGUUUCUAGAACUACAUUAUUUCGCUUUUUCAAAAUCUGCCUGUAGUGGUUUGGUUCAAGAUGAUCAUAGAGAGGUGACGACAAGGCUGGCGCGCUGCCGCGUCACCACUCACGUAACAAUUAGUUUUUUUAUUUUUUAAUUAUAUUUUAUAUUUAUUAAAAUAUUAAAUUUUAUUAAAAAUCUAAGAUAAAUAAAAUGUAAUUUUACAAAUAAUUUAAUGCUUUUAUUUUUAUGAAAAAUGUUUUUUUUUUAUUAGUUUUUUUAAAAUGCUCGACGAUUUUCUUUUAAUGAAAAGAAUGAACACAAAUAUUCUUCGUUUUUUCUUUGGUCGAAACGAAGCUGUUAAUUUUAUAUAAAGAAGGACUAUAGGAUAAAAAAUCCAAUACACGAGUGCAUGCCCGAAAAAAGAAGGUGAAUAAAAGUAUAUAUUAGCAAGCGGGUCUCAUCAAGCAUUGUAUGACAGCACAGAAUAUUGACAUUUUUAACUUAGAUUCCGUGUGAAGAAAGAAUGGUGUCCAGAAUUUAAAAUCUAAAAUCUGUAAAAUUGGUAUCAUAUCAUGUAAAAUGAAUUGUCUCCAUUUUGUACACCCUUCAUGGUAUUAAAAAAAUCAAUUACGAAAGAAAAGAGGAGGGAAAAACAAAAGGCUGAUAUGAACAUCAUUGCAUUUUGCUAACCCUCUCGAGCAGGGUGUUCACUGUUAUGGAGAAAGCAUCCUGAAACUUUUCAAACCGACAGCUUGAAUCACCAUACACCAACCCAGGUAGAAGUUCAUACACGAUGUACCUCCUCAUAUCAUCUCUUUCCCUUGCAGAAAUACUGCUUAGCCUCCCCACCACAUUCACCUUCAUCUGCCUCACUUCUUCUUGAUCUAUGAACACUGAGUAUUUACCAUGAUCCUCCGGUAAAUGCCAUGGAUAUUGGUAAUAAGCGGUAAAGGGAUCGAAAAGCACCGGUAUGCAUCCCGAAACAAGUGAAUCAAAUACUGAUUUUCUUGUUGGACUAUCACCAGGAGGCUGCAAGCAGAAUUCAGACUCCAAAAACAGCUUCGUGACUGAUUCAGGCUGAUCACAUCCACCUGAUUUACAAUCCAGAAACUGGCAUUUAUCACUGCUUGUUGAAGUGCACUGAUUGAUCAAUGUUGACCUUAUGCUCUCGGGUUGAUCAGGCCGCGCUGCUCCGGCAAAACUGACGAGGUUCUUUCGAGGUGUCCCGAUGAUCUUUUGCUGCCAUGCAACAAUAUCGUCAUCUGAAUGAGGGUGAAAGAAGGUUGGAUGUGGAAUUGCAAUGUCGUUGACUUCCCAUGGUUGUCGUUCGAUCAAGAGCUUUAUCGGGUUCUGCAUUUGCUCAAGCUCUAGAAAUCUAGUGCCCCAGGAAGUAUAAUUCUUUCUCCUGAAAUCCCAAGAGAUUUUUCCCAACACAAACACAUGAUCCGUGCCAGAAUUUUGAACCCAGGGUCUUCUAUGCUCGAGCCACUUCAUUAGAUCCAUUGCCAAAGAGUCUUUAACGUCACCAGAGACAUUCUUGAAAUGCCACCUCAGGAUGUCUAGACCACCAUAAUAUGGGACAUAAAAGAGCUUUGCUUCACUUUCAUUGUAAACCCUACAUGGAUGGGUCAGAAUUCUUGAGUGAAAUAUAGGCUCCAAUGAGUACUGAUGGGUGUGAUACCAGCCCUUUCCAAGGUCUGCUAUUGGCUCCCCCAGCGCCUCGUUAUUGAAAUAUUUGCAGAAAUCUGUCCAUGGCAUCAUGUCUCCACACUGACCUAUCAGGUCCUUGUUGAAUUUUGAUGGAAGAUCAUAAACAUACACCCCCCUCCCAUCACAGGAAGCAUGGUUUGUAUUAGACAUCCACGAUCGAUGCAGCUGUAGUUGCUCCUUGACAGCCUUCUUGGCAGUGGCAAUCUCCUCGUUCCUGUUUUUGUCUGUCCCAUCUAUCACGGCUGGAAUCGAGUCCUCCGUGAAAACGUUGGCAACUUCUUUGAUGUUGCCAAUGGUGCUCGAACUAAGAGCAUUGGCGAUCUCUUUGCUGUCUGUGAUGGGUUCAGGAGUACUAGCGGCCUUGACAUAUUCUGCAACGCUACUAUUGGAGCCAGGACUAGAAUCGAUAACUUUGAUAUUGCUAGUAGAGCCAGGACUAGUAAAACUAUUGUUGAUAAGUGGAACUGGGAUUUCAAAUUUAGGCUGAGUACCGGCGGACAGGCAGUAAAGAUUGUUGAGCUUCCGCGAGGAAACACAGAUAUGAACAAUCUUGCCAGAGAUAAUGGUGGUGGAGGAGGACCACAGGUACACAAGAAUCAAAAGAAGAAUGCCAAGGGGGAUUCGAGACAGAAUUUUGAAAAGGAAAGUAGCACAGGAACAAUGCUCAUUUGUUUCUGCUUUUUUGGAUGGUUUAGGUUUCCUUCUGUUAAUGGAAACAGCCAUUUUUCGGAAAGAAGGUUGCUAAUCCAUGGCUUUGAUUCUGGUUUUCUACUAGGGGUAGGUUGCAUCUCAACAACAAUUAUGCUCUAGUUUCUUAACUUGGUUGCACGUACAUGGUAAGUGCCUAACUUGUAUGCACGUUACAGUACAUUGACAUCCAUAAUUUCAGCACUACUAUAAGAAUAUUAGAUUCCAUGGAUGACCUAAAUCCUGAUGUGGAUUGCUUCUAUUUUUAGGUCAAACAAGAGCCCAUUUUAAAAAUGAACAUUCAUGAGCAAGCCCCACCAACGUAAAACAUGCCAUUUGCACGCUAUUGAAUAGCUGUCCUGUAUGAUUAUCAAAAGAAAAGCAUGUCGUUUGUUAUGAACAGACCAUGUCACCAUGGAAGAUCAAACCCCAGUUUCUUACUAAAUUUGCCUUUGUUAAAGCAAUUCAAAUUAACAAAAAAUAAAUACAAAUAUAAAAAAGAAAGAAGUUAGGGGUUUUCAUUAAUCACUAUAUUCUAAAAUGUUCAAUUUGUAUAUAGACUAAACUGAAAAUCAUAUUCUAAUUUUAAUAAAUAAAACAAGAUAAAUAUAUAUAUUUCUUAACAGUACGAUUCCCUUCCCUUCUAUUUUCUCCUAGUAACUGUUAUUUUUCAAUAUUUGGACAGGAAUGAGCAAACGAAAUAUAUAGAAUGAGCAGUUGUCUUCUAUAAAUUGAGUUCUUGGCAAUGGCUUGUGUCACAAAAAGCUGCUUCUCCAAUUGUAACUUCAUCUGAAUCUAGCUUAGUUUUUUUUUAUUAUUAUUAUUCACGUGGCUAAUCUCCACGGGCCUUAUUAGGUAACUGGCUUUUGGGAUGAGCUUAUAAAUCAGACAUGGUGAUUCUAUGGAUUAUCAGAUUAUCAGAGUAAAGUUCAUUGGAAGUGGGAGAAGCAAAAUGAAGGGCAUCGAGAGGGUAGGAAACGUUAAUCACAAAAAAAAUAUAAAAAAAAUUGUUAGAACUGGGAAGGAAAUGUUUUUGAAGCUUAAACUUCCACUUCAUCAGAGGAUAUGCUGGAGCGGUAAUAAUAAAGAAUAAGAGAAAGUCUGAAUUCAUAAUUAAUCUCCAAAUAUCCCUAAACAUCUUCAUGAGUAUAGUACAUCAGACAGUGUCUUAUGAAAUUGAGAACCCAGAGUUGUUCGGGAGGAGGGGGGGGAUCAGAAAUUGACAAAGAAGCAACCUAUAGAAACAUCGGCAGAGUUUAUGCUCUAAUCAAAUUCUAUUUAACAACUCCUUAAGCUACUUCUGUGUGGCCACACGGCACACAUGCCAGAUACAAAUUAUUCGCAGUCUACUUUAGCGAUUACACCAUUCAUGGUCAAUCCAUUGUGAACGAGAAGUGCAAAGGAAACAAUACAAAGAACUAGAGUGAAGCACUUACAAAUUCUAACGUGAAAGUGCGAGCAUCCAGUUCCCAAUUCACAGCAUACUAUCUGUCCGAGAAGGAAGCCGGCGAAAGAAGUUUAUGGGCACAGACGGUGUCCUGUAGCGAAAUCUUGGAUGCCUCAUCAUGUAGAAGCCAGCCAAAGCUGCUAUGACCUGAAAUGGUGUCACAAAUAAAACCAGAGCAGCUACGAGGCAGAAUAUAACAAAGAUGGCAGUGGCGCGUGGAUCGCGCCAGCUUAACAGUGCCUGAAAUCGCUCUCCUUGGGUUGCUAUAUCCCCCACAACUGUUUGAAUCCUUCCCGAAACACUUCGUAACCUAUCAUACCUCAUUCUGACCAGCUCAGGGCUCCUGCUUGUUGGGAAUGUAUCAAACUCCUCGUCAAGCUCAUCAGGAUGCACUACCUCAGCUUGUGAAAUCUUUGUGUUCAUAUGGGGAGGGUACCUUGGUCGAUAUCGGUAAUUCCAAAUGCCUAUCAGAAACAUGUAAAGAAAAACUGUGGGCAGAAUAAGUUCUGGGAAGCAAGCAAGCAUGAGAUAGAGCACAUGAACAAGCACGGUAGUGAUAGGAUUCUUCCACAUGCAAAUAUCCCCAAACCACUUUCCAGCUGCAAACAAUCCUGAGAAAAUUGUCAUUAAUCGAAAGAAAUUUGCCUUGCUUCGGCGCAUGCUCCAGAGGUGUGCAUCCACAUCUGACAUGUACUCCACCACUUCUUUCCUAAGAGGAGGUUCUGCCCGACCUAAUCGUAAUGCCACUAUAUUGACAGCUUGGUGGCGAAGCAUAUCUAGUUGCAUCACAGUGAAAGGCCUGAUAUAGUGCAUUUUGGGUAGAAGUGGUCGUGAGUACUGAUAAAGCAUGUUCGCAAAAGAUACGCAUGUAAAUCUGAUUGCCAAAUGCAACUCCCCCAUCUUCUUAACUCCAGUAGGAUGAAGAACCAGCAAGGGAUAAGAGUGCGUAUAAACACGCCCAGUUUCGAGUGUGGAGAUGCGAAUCCGAACCUUCCCAAUCUUUAGAUCCUUUCCACUUGAACCUUUUUCCCCAAGCUGGUUGUUGUCAAAUACACCAACUGUAAGAACUGUAGCUGGAUCAAAAACUUCCCAUGUGUACUGCUCAUUGUAUUUGGGAGACAGGUUGUCAAUAAGGGUGCGUGUCCGGACCCAUUUGUGACCAUACUUUGCAACACAGUAUGUAUCCGAUGUACCCCUUCCAUCUCGUGUUUUCAUAGGAUGGAGUCCUACAGCAUUUAAGAUGCCAAGUUCCAGCAUCCCAAUAGGAGGCCUCCAAAGCUGUUUUGCUGUAGGACGAAGAUCACUGCUGUAAUGAGUUGACUCGUCAAGAACAUGGUAUCCUCCAUCUAAGCAGACUCGAAGAUGGAUACGGCUAGAGAACUUAUCUUUCUUGAGCUGAUCUACAUCCACAGCAACUGGCUUUUCCAGGUUAAACCAACAAGAAUGAAUUAUCCUAUCGUCAGCACGCUUCUCCACAGAGCUCAACGGGAUGAUGGCCCUCCCAAUUAUCUCAUCUUUGCCAGGACCGACACGAUCCUCAACCGAAAGAACCAGGUGGUCUUCAAAGGGUUCAGCAGCAACAAAUAAAAGAUCCUCAUUCCAUAAGGCACUAAAAGUCCGAGCCUGAUAUGUCUUCGUUUUCAAAACUUGGUUUCCAAUCUGUACCUUAACGUACACUUCAGGGAAACGGUUCUUCUCUGAUGGGACUAAGUCUUGUGCCUCAACAACGUUAACACGUACAUACCACAACCUCGGUGCAUGAUAGACCUUUGAACGUAUCACAGUGGAGGAAGCCGGUGUACUAUCUACAGGGGUAGCUGCAUCAGAAUGCCAGGCAUCAGGAAAGGCCUCGUCUGCUUGGGUUCCAAUCCAUACUGCAAGCAUCAGCUCGCCCUUUAUCUUCUCUCCCUUCUUGUCCUCAAGCCGAUACCACUCUGGAGCUAGAGGACUAUCUGGUGGGACUCGCAAUGGAACCUCAUUGAUGUCAAACCUUAUGACGCCCACAAAGUCAUCUUUAAGAAGAUCCCUGUCCUUGAUCACAACUUCUAAAACAGAAGCUUGCAUCCGUUCCCUUGAAAAAGCAAACACUUGAUUCCACUCUGGAUUUUGCUUUUUCUCAAAGUGCUUUGUAAUUCCUCUGUAGUUUCCAAUUCUCACCUCAACAAAUGGAUCAAGACUUCCUGUAACAUCCAUAGCAGGAAGAUCACGAGCUUUAACAACUCUCACGUACAGAAAGUACAUCCUUUCAACAAGAUCAUAAGUGCUUGCAGUCUUGUCACCGUGAAUAACCCGCCCCCCAACAACUCUUCCCCCACCAAGAAAGGGACUUGUCUCUUUAAGGGCAUAGUCAACAGGUUGUGAUGAUGACGCAGAGUACAUGCGAACUAACUUCGGAGGCUGUGUUUCCGCAGCUUUCAUCUCGUCAGCCACGUACUUUGGUACAUGAUGGCUACUUGCUGGAGCAGAAGAAUGAUUCUGAUGCUGAUUUUGCUGGUGAUUUGGGUUAGGAAGAUGAUGAAAGGUGUGUCUCUCAACUCUUUUAUGAGGUACAGAAUUUGUCAUGGGGUGGACCACUGGAGCCUCAGUGUGUGUUAAGCCUGGAUCCAUAGUUGGCAAAGAUUCAACUGCAGGAAGUGGGGUAGAGGAUUUGAUGGAUGCAUCAUCGGUAAUAUAAACUUUCAGGCCAAGCUCUCCUCUCACACGUGAGAAAAUUCCACGCUUUUCCAGAGGGUAGUGUAACACAACAGCAUCAGAGCACAGUACAAAUGAAUUCCCAGUGAGGCAAACCUUACCAAGGAAGGAUCUGGAGUUGGUAGCUCUGAUGUUACAGUACACAUGGGCAUCAAGAGUGAGAUAGUGGAGGUUGGAAGGGUCAGAGACGUUGAAGUAGAAACUCUCAUUCCACACCGGAUUGAGAUCCUUUUCUUUGAUGGUCGUGCGGAACCUCUGGCCAUCGAAGUCGAGCUCUACAAAGGCACUGGAUGAACCGUGCUCGUCUUUGGGCAAAAGAUUGUGCGCACCAACCACCUCUACCCCUAGCUUAAUGUUGCUCAUCAUGAUGCAGAAGCAACCAGGCUCGUUUAGCAAAUAUUAUGAACUACUGGACUUUAGUCUAUAGGUACCUGCAGUGCAGAAAACAACAAAAAUUGUUUUUAAAAAACUGUGAUGCAAAUAUAAACAAAGAAGAAAUGUAAUUUAGAAGCAAUGCACAGAUGAAAGAAAACAUCAAAUGAACGUAAGGGGCUAGGCGUGUCAAAGAGGGUACAAGUCAAUAAUCACGAUGUGAUAUAACUGAAGCUGAACUUGGUAAAUCUAAUUGGAAUGAAUAAUAAUUUAUGAGUUUUGACUAAAUGAUUGAAUGGACUAGUGCAUUUGAAUUGUAUAGCAAACAGAAGAACUUGCACAAAACUGGUUUCGUUAAAAUGGAAUUUUACAAAACUAAAUUAAAACAGAGAGAAACAUGGAUCUGAAUGCCAACCAAUGACUUGGUAAAUAUUGCUACAGUAAUGGCUAUCCCUCGCGGGCAGCUCAGUUCACAGCAGAGCUGGUAUAUAUAUCAGCUAGAAAGUAAACCAACUCCAGUCAUUCAUAAAAUCCCAAUGACGAGCAACAAUUCUAAUAUGUAACUUAGCUCUGUGUGCAUCCAGGAGAAUUCAAUCAUGAAAGCACAAAAAGAAUUUCAUCAAAUCUCUUUAACAUGCUUCAUUAAUUCCACCAUUACUCCUAAACAUUCAUAAAAAUGAAACAGCACAGAUUAUUUACCUCAGAACACCCACUUAUUUCCCAUGAAUUCGAACCUUAAAGAAGCACUAAUUAAGUGGAUGAAGUAAACACCACCAAGAGUACUUUAUAUCUUUUGAGCAAGUUACCAACUCACUUUAUUUUUUGUUUUCUUAACAACCCAUUAGUUAGUUAACUUAAAAUGCUCAAAUUGGAUGAAAUCAAAGGAACUGUAAUCGAAAAGGCAGACAAGUUGAACAUUUUAAUUAAAUCGAGGCAUGUGAUGGACUCCCUACUGAAAAGAUCUCAACACAUGCAAGCAAGCAAAUAAAUAAAUAAUCAAAACAAGUACUUCACGGCAUGGCAUACAAGCUAACUACAUGAUUAUAUGAUCGGUCCACUCUUUGAAGUUAAAGAUCCUAAAAGCACGCUUAAGACACAUGACCUUUUCUUUCGAUUCCAUUUAAUAAUAAUACUAAUAAUAUAAUACUUUGAGGAAAUAACAAAAAGAGAAGCGAUGACACUUUUGUUCCCAAGCUAACAAAAAGAAGGAAAAAGAAAAUUGAUAAAAAAAUCUAAACCAAGAUCUUUUAGAGGAAAACAAAAAUCAAAUAAUGGAAAUCAUAUCAAACUGAACCGCAUGACUCAAUAAAUAACGUUCUAUUUUCUCGGCAACCAAACAGAAAAUGAAACAUCAGAGAAAGAGGUGCAAAAUCAAAGAAGAACAUGCACAUAUCAUUUUUCAUUUAAAAAGAAAAAUGCAAGCCAGAGUUUGCUUCCUGGAGCUAAUUUUUCCAAAAGAAAACAAACAGUAAGAAAAUGAAACUGAGAAAGAAAAGGCGUCACUUCUUUAUACAUACUUGGUAUCGUCACUGAAAAGAAAGAUAACUUUAGAUGGCAAACAUUUUCAAGCAAUCAUGAAGGUGUCUGCAGCUGCAUUUAAGUCACCGUCCAUGAGAGAGAAGUGCGGGUGCUGUGGUUGGGCACGAGAAACUAGGAGGUAGAGAGAGAGGGGGGGUGCAGUGCAGUUUUGAGAGAAAGAGAUUUAAUUAAUUAAUUGCUACGCUGCAUGUGUCUCUUUACUGGUGCAGCAAUAGGAGAGCAAGAAAGCUGAAGAAGCUUCUAUUUUUUAGUUUUCCCGGUAUUUUCAGAGAAAUAACCCGCUGUUGGGGAUUUCAUUUCUACUUCCAUGAGCUUGUUUCUUUCUUUCUUUUCUUUUCACGGUUCCACUCCACUGUGACCAACUGCUUUGAAUUUAUUUGUGUGCGCCCAUGGAUAAAAUGCCAAGGGUCUAACUUGGACCGGCUUUUAACAAUUUUAAAAAUAAUAUCUUAUGAUAAUACAAUAUAUUCAACUGCAAUUUUUAUAUCUAUUUGAAAAAUUAAAAGAUAAAACUAACUUUUUUUAAUCACUUGCCUUUAAUCCUCUUGAUUUUAAAACACGUUUGUUUUUAUAUUUAAAACUCUAUUUUUAUUUAUUUAAAUGUAUAUUUAGCUUUAAAAAAUAUUAAAUUAAUAUUUUUAUUUUAAUAUUUUUUAUGGUAUUAUAAUUUAAAAAAUACAAAAAUAUUUUAAUAUAUUUUUAAAUAAAACAUAUUUUUAAAAAAUAUUAUACACUACAUUACCGUCUACCUAUCUUAAAAGCCACGUUUUUGCAAUCUAGAGUGUGGUUGCGACUACUUUUCAAAGUGUUUUUUACUUAGAAAUGUAUCAAAAUAAUAUUUUUUUUAUUUUUAAAAAAUUAUUUUUGAAUUCAUCACAUCAAAAUGGUCUGAAAAUAUUUAAAAAAUAUUAAUUUGAAGCAAAGAAAAAAUAAAAAAAUUUAUUUUUUAAAAAAACACUUUUAAAACGCAAAAAACAAAAACAAAAUUGACUCAUGUGAAAAAUAUUUUAAAAAAUAAUUACUAUCAUACUCUUAAAUACCCUCUAUGACUUCUAAUCCUUAAAAUAAAAUAAAGAAACAAACAUAUUUAUUAACACUUCACCUAAGCAUGCCUGGGCUUUAUAGUUUUGGGCUUGCAAACACAGUAAUGUCCCCUAUUUAGUGGGUUAUUUUUUUAAUGGCCUUGAAUUUUUAUAUGUUUUAUAAUAGAAUUGAGUUUAAAUAAAUUUAUUAAAAUAAUAUUUAAAUUACUAUUCAAUUAUAACAUAGUUUUUACAUAAUAUAGAUUUUUAUAGUAAUAUUAAUAAUUAUAUAUGAAUCUAAUAUGCUUAAUUUUUUUUUUUAAAAAAAAAACCCUUAUGAACAUUUAAUGCACAUAAAAUAUUUAUAAACUAUUUUUUGUGAUAAGUUUUUUAUAUAGUUUUUCUCAAUUUUAUAUUUUUUAUAUAUUUAUCAUGGAAAUUAUCGAUUUCUUUUUUUAUUCAAACUUUCUUCUAAGAUUAUGAUAAGUCUUAAUUUAAAAACGAUAUUUAUUAAAAAAAAAUGUUUUUGUGAACAAAAAUAGAAACAAAAACACGCGAUUAAGAAAAUGAAGUUUUGAUUAGAGAUAUGUAUUUUUUACUCUUUAUCUCAACUCAAUAUAAUUUUUUAUAAUUUUUAUUUUUAUUUUCUUUAUUUUUUAUUCAAUAAAUCAUACUGUUAUUUAAAAACAUGUGUUUUUACGCACUCAUUGUGUUGGGCAUGCACCCCAUCACUCCUAUGGGCUUGGCUAUCAUAUCAUGUUCGAGCUAAAAAUGUUUGGGUUUAGACAAUACGUUUGAAUUCAUUUUUCAUCUUUAAUGAGCUCAGACACUUUAUUUGAACCCAACAUUUUUUUAAGAAUUUUUUCAAGACUCCAAGUUGAUCUCUCGAUUUUUUAUAUUGACUCGAUACAUUUUAUUUUGAAUAAAAUACAACUUAGAAUAUCACAAAGAAUAAAAUUACACUUUAGUCUAUUCUCUCCACAAAAAAAACAGGACUUAUUUGCUAUAAAUAAAUUAUGAAUUCUUCAAGCUUAAUAUUCACAAUCUCUUCAUUUUUAACACUUUUAACAUAUAUAUUUUUAGAAUUUAUUUUUUUAAAAUAUCAAUGCACUUUCUCUUUCUAUAAAAUUAAAGACUUGGACAUUUGAGAGUUCUCAUAUCCAUCAAAGAAAACCUUUUAUAUAUAUCAGUUAUCAUGAUUUACCAAGCAUUACCGCCCAUAAAUUACCCUGGGCUUUUCAUUUCAUAUUACUAGAUAUCUUAGUUUAAAAAAUGAAUAACAGUACUUGAAUCAAGAAAUUAAUCGAUUAUUUGAUAUACUAGUCUUAUUUCUAAACAUUUUAAAUUUUGAGAUUCAUCAAGUAGUUUGUGAAAAGGUUAUAUAAAAAAUACAUAUUAAAAGGUGAGAAAAAAGUUAAAUAGAAAAAUAAAAUAAUAUAUAUAAGUGAUGAGGUUUGAAAUAUAUUUGUCAUUAAGAGGGUAAUAUUUAAAUGUUACGUGUUAAUAGAGCUAAGAGAUAGCAUAUCUUGAAUGUUUGAGAAGAAUUGAAAAGAAUAUGAAUAAUGGUAAAUUUGGAUAAAGAUAAAAAAAAAAAAGAAAUUUAAAAUUGAAUAUAAUUAUAAAAAAUCAACUAAUGUAAGAAAAAGAAGAAUAAAACAAUUUUAAAUUAAAAAAAUGGAGAAGGACUUCAAAUCUAAAAAUUUUCAUGUGAUAAGUGUCAUGAAUUUCUUUGCCUCGACAAGGAUAGUUUGAUUUAAAGAUGGAGGGUCUCGGCAUGCGGAAAUCUACGUGGAGGAUCCUCCCGUCCUAAAAUAAAAUAAAUAAAAAAACUUUACCAGAUUUAUUUAGUUUUUGUAUUUUAAAAUUAUUAAAAAAGUUGAUUUUUAAUCAAAUUGAUUUUUUUUAUAUUUUUAAUUUUUUUGAUAUUUUUAUUUUAAAAAUAAAUAUUAAAAAAUAAAAAAAUAUUAUUUCAAUAUAUUUCUAAAUAAAUCAUAUGUUUUACAGAGCAAUCUUACACUACCAAAUAAACUAUAUUUAUUAUUGGCCAUAGCUAUAAAAUGCAUGUUUAUUCUUUUUUAUAGAAAUAUUAUUUUAAAAAUUUUAAUUUUUUAUUUAUAAUUUAAUUUUUUAAUAUUUUUAAAUUAUUUUGAUAUAUUAAUAUUAAAAAUAAAUUUUAUAAAAUAAAAAAUAUUAUUUUAAAAUGUAUAUGGACGCUUUUAAGAAACAUGCAAUAAAAAAACAUGAAUAGUAGACAGACCAUCAAUCACUGUGUGCAGGUCAUGCUUUAUAUGGAUAUCUUGUUAUUAAUUAAAUUAGAUAUCCACUCGACCAUUUUGAUGAUAAAGGGUUAAUAGUCUAAUACAAUAACAAACACAUAAGAGUGAUUAACUGUCUAAUAAAUGGUUAGGAAUAAAAAUUUGAAAUUAAAAAAUUUAUUUUUCAUAUAAUUUCAAGUUUCAGCGAAAACUAAUUUAAAUAUUUAUUUUAAUAAAAAAAAUAAAGUAAUUGAACAAAAUUAUUGAUUAACUAAAAUUUAGACGAAGUUUCUUUCUCAUUGUUUAUAGGAUUAACGGUAGUUCACCUUCCCCAUACGCACAUGCAGAAACAUAACAUCCAAUUUGUUUUGGUGGAAGCAUCGAAGCAUACGCUUUACCUUGGCAUGGAGAAAGACUGGAAGGGGAAGAACAUUGACGCUGUUUUUCUCAUCAGCAAAAGCAGAAGAACGGAGUAUCAUAGUGUUCAAGUUUGGUUUAUAUAAAUCAAAUUGAGUUCGAGCGGAGCUUAAGAACCAAAAUAAUGUUAAAGCUUGGUUCGAUACAAUCGAGUUUGAGCUUGUUAGAAAUAAAUUAAAAUCAAAAUUUGAGCUUGUUAAAUAAUUUUAUAUUAUCCUAUAAAAUAUUUUUUUAAAUUAAAAUUAUUUAAACUUAAAACUUGUACAAAUUCUUACUAUUUUGUAAUUAAUUUUUAUUAAUUAAAAUGAUGAUGAUGUUGAUGUUUGAAUUUGUAGUUAUUUAGUUAACAAGGUAUUAAUACCAUGUUAAAUAAUUAUUUCAAUCUAAAAACUUAAAAAAUAAUUUUAUAUUACUAUGUGAAUAUAUAUAAAAAAAGACUUAAAUUUAUAUGAUGGUGAAAAGGGUUUAGAUAAUUGAGACACAAGGGGACAUGCCACUUUAAGAUUUAUAAUUUUCACUAAAUUGUCAGGUCCAAAUUUAGUGCCCUGUUUUGUAGUUCUAAGGCUAUUGGACCUCCCAUCCAGUAAAAGAAAGAUUUGAGUGAUAUUUCUUCCUAAAAAAUAUAUAUUAUUAACUUUCUUUUUUUUCCCCAUCAAAUUCCCCCUCUUAUCUUUCAUUCCCCCCCAAUUUAUGAUAUUUAUCUGAUAGAAAAAGAACAUAAAAUUGACAAAAGAUUUAAGUUAUAGACAGAUUUUAAGAGUGAUUAAAAAUAUAAUAUUUGAAACCAUGAGGAUUAAUCAAUUAUUGUUGGUAAACUACAGGGACUUAGUUAUAAUUAACUCUUACAAUAUAUGUAUGUAUGAUAAGGUUUCAGAGCCUGAGAUAAAACAGUGCAAAAGGGGGAAAAGGCUCUAUCUGCUACCUUAGUACCUCACAUCAACGAUUCAACUGUAAGAACUAAGAAUCAGAGAUCUAGUGAGAGAGAGAAACUAGAAAAUGAAGCUGAAAGUCUAUGCAGAUAGAAUGUCACAGCCAUCACGGGCUGUUCUCAUCUUCUGCAAGUAAUUUUCUUUAUUUCAUUUCCCUUUGUAAUAGGUUCCUCAUGUACUAAUUCUCACUGCAAGUUCUUGAACAGUUUUUUUUUUUUGGCGUGUAUUUGAUCUGGGAAUUGUAUAUUAUUGAUACAGGGUAAACAGGAUAGACUUUGAAGAGGUUAGAGUUGACAUAUCAAAGCGCCAGCAUUUAACUCCUGAAUUCAAAGGUACUCUCAAUCAAGUUGACCCCCUUCGGUGUCUGUCUAUGUUCAUGCUGUGUUUAGUUAUUUGUGAAUCGGGUCAAAAAACUGAGGCUUCUGUUGUUUAUUAGCAGAAUUGAGACCUCCCCAGAUGGAAAUGAUGUUAAUUUAAGUGUUCUUGUCGCUUAAAUUGUGCUAGCAGAAUUAAGUGUUUGUUGAUUAUGGUUUCAGAGAUAAACCCUAUGGGAAAAUUGCCAGCUAUAGUUGAUGGAAGGUUCAAGCUGUUUGAAAGGUAAUUUAAACACUUCCUUGCCUUUGUCAUCUCUCACAUUUUUCGUUUCUGCAAAUCUAGGACCCGAGUUUGUUGCUAGCCAUUUUUUCCUAUGAUUUAGUUAUGUGACCUGCACCAUAAAUUGUAGAUGACAAAGAUAAUUGGCACUCCCUUUUGCCGUUAAACAUUUUAAUUCGUCAAAUUACUUAUUGAAUUGUUGAUUGUUCUUUGCAGUCACGCGAUCUUAAUUUAUCUUGCCUGUGUAUUUCCGGGAGUUGCUGAUCACUGGUAUGUAAAAGCUGCUUAUCCAAUGUAAUUAAUUUCUGUACAUUUUGGGAUAUGGGUGGCUUAAAUAUAGGAAAUUCUUGCUGGAUAAAGAAAUGAAAUGGGUAUUGGCAAUGAUACAGAUAUGAUGUAAGCUGUGUUGUUCUUAACGCCCAAAAAAAUGUGUUGAAAAAAAGCAAGGAACAUGCUCCUGUCACUAAGGGCUCGUGGGCUGUUUCUUGAUCGGUUGUCUUUUGUUGUACGAAGGCAGACUUUGUUGAUUGCUUUAAUCUUUAAGAUAUGAAAGGAGAAACUGGACAAUAUUAGUAUAGUCACUUUUCAAUCUUUAAAAAUAGACAACAUUAGCAGGGCCGUUUUUCUAUUUACUAAAACUUACUGGUUAAAUGAAUAUGAUUCUCACUGUAACCACACUGAAAAGGUGCUUGGUCUUGUCUAAUGCAGGAACAAUGUAUAUUUGGUUGACCUAUGCGUUCUCAUGCAGGAUUUUUAGUAUAUUCAAAGACUAUUUUGUUAUUUUUUAUUUAAUUCCAAGAUUUACAUGCCAUGGCAAAUUAUAAACAAGUCUGCCUGUUCCCACUGUAAGGUACCCAGCGGAUCUUUUCAAAAGAGCUAAAAUCAACUCGGUUUUGGAUUGGCAUCACUCCAACUUACGCCGUGGUGCAGGUAUGCCAUAAAAAAAUUGAUCUGAUACAAUUGUGAGAAUCAUUAUUUUGUACAUGUUUAAUUUGAUUUUGCUGUUAUGCUUCUGACUUGGAAAUUGACAUACAAAACGGCUUAUAUUCCACUGGUUCUAGUUACAAUGUUCCUGGUGAUUUCCACUGGAAAGCUUUUGUUUAUUUUUCUUUCUCAAGAUUCUGAUAAGCUGGUGCUUUUCCAUUUUAUACUCCUUCUUCAGCUGAAUAUGUCAAGAAUACCACAUUAGCACCUGCCCUUGGUCUACCUCUGGAUCCACAAGCAGCUGCUGAGGCCGAGAAAGUUCUGUUUUCAUCCCUGUCAAAGAUAGAGUCUGUGUGGCUUAAGGGAAGUGGCCGGUUCUUGUUAGGUGGAAAUCAACCAUCCAUAGCUGAUCUAAGCCUAGUUUGUGAACUAAUGCAACUGGAGGUACAUAUAUAUGACUCUUCGCUUCUAUGAUAUAAUUAGUAUUGGCUAUGUAACUAAAAAGAAACAAAGAAAGGGAUGUAUUGGCUGCGAUAGAGAUAUAAAUUCUUAGUGAGAGAGAUUUACUCAGAGUUUUGGUAUUAGGGUUUUGAGGCAUGAGGACUUAAUCAAAUUUGAACACAAGGGAAAUAUCUGUGCUGCCUCUCUCCUCCCUUUUCUUUUCCAACACCCAACGACAGGCACACUUGAUCUCACUGUCAGAACAGAGCAAGGUGCUAUAGAGAUGAACAUAACAUGGAUGUAGUAGUGUGAUGGGUUAUGUCUUCUAGGCAGUAGCCAGAAGUCCAACUUGUUUUUAUGGACUAUCGCCUUAUGUUUACUGAUGCUGAAAUGGGAAUCUAACUCUGCAAGGAAGCAUUUCAGCUUCAUGCUCUUACCUUGAUUUUUCCAUGGAUAUAAAGGUUAAUUACAUCAUAAAUUUCACGUGUUUUUUUUAAUGGCUGAAACCUAGAGCAUAAUUUACAGGUGUCUAGGAUUGCAGGCAAUACCUUUUUUGUUCUUGUUCUUAUAUUAGCUGACUGUUUGGGAAGAAAUUUAUUUAAAAAACAUAGAUCUUCUAUAUUUUUUACACUUAUUGAACUGCAAGGUGGGAUUUUUUGUUGCUCUAAAUUUACCUUGAAAUUCUUUCAUAUAAUGCGAGGAAAAGAAUCAAAGAAGUUGCCUCAUGAAGGCAUUCUCAAGUAGAACUUGUUUUUGGCUGUAGGUUUUGGAUGAAAAGGAUUGCAGCCGAAUACUUUGCCCCUACAAGAAGGUUCAGCAGUGGAUGGAGGAUACAAAAAAUGCAACAAGGCCACACUUUGACGAAGUGCAUCAAAUCUUGUUCAAAGCCAAAGUGAAACUGCAGAAGGUACGGUCAAUGAGCACAAACAGUGAGAACUUGAAAACAAAAUUGGCCUCAAAGAUGUAAGAAUUAUUUUGUUUGAUGUCAUAAAUAUACAUAUGAUUAGCAAUCUGGGUUCAUCCUGUAGAGGCUUCAGCCAAGAAUGAUGGUUACUACCAAAUGACUGGAGCAAAUAAUGGGUUGUGCAAGUAAUUGUGACUUGCAAUUUUUUGUAAUAAAAAUUUGGGUUACAAAGAGAUGCUGUAUCACAGACAUCUGAAAAUGCAAUGGACAAAAAGCCUCAUUGUGGAACGUCUUUUGAAUUGAAAAUUGUCACAGCAAUUGUUUAGACUUGUCUGCUAAGCAGUAGUUAUUUCUGGUUGAAAUUUGAUCCAUGCUCUCUUCAAGUGUUUUACUUCUAGAAACUAGGAGUACUAUGUUUUAGUCCAUGACACCAUAUAUGUUUCCAUUCUCCCCGAGGGUAAUUCUCAAUCGUAACUCUUUGAGUUCUUGGCAUCUUUAACUUGCUCAAUCUUUCAUUCCGUGGAGUAGCCACAAAUCCAGAGAGAUCAUAACACAAUGAUCAUAAUGUUAUUUGUAUGCCAAGAAACAGCCAACAUCAUUAAUAGUUCAAGCAACACCUUAAAUUUAUCAUCAAGUUAAUCCUGGGGGUGCGUGCUUGAUCAUGUCUGAGUGUUAUUCUCGUGUUGAUGGCAAUCUCAAGGUAGCAAAACACUUGGCUACAUUUAUUAUAUGCUUGGCACCAAUAUUUCUAUCUGCAAACCUGUGAAAGAAAUCCCGACUUUCACAAGUCUUGCUAUGUUGAUUAUCAUUUGAAACAGGAAGAAAACUCUAAACAUUUCACGCACCAUGUAUAAAAUCUCUCGUCUUUGCUCAUUUUCCUUCACUUUUAAUACCUCAUGCAGCACCAGUCAAUUGGCAACGCUUCCUACAUAUCGUCUACAUAGCUCUCAAUCAAGUCCUGAUCAACUCUUAAUCCCGAUCAAGGUUGUCAAAAACGUUUUUUUAACACGAUACAAAAUACACAAUAUGAACUUGGAUCGUAAACUCGAAUCGUAAAAUCGCAAGAAAAAUAUUUUAACUAAUUAUAUAUUGACAAUUUCAGUCAAGUAGUAAAUAAUAAUAUAACACAAUUAAAAUAAAAGUAAAAUAAACAAUACAAAUAUCCAAAUACCUUAAAAUAUAUAAUUCAAAUAAAAAUUCAUACAUGGUUUAAAUAACUUAAAAAUACGAAAAAAAAAAAGAAAGAUUGAACAACUAUGUUUUAUUGAUAGAGUUUCAGAACAUUUUCUAGAGAACAGAUCUUGAAACACAUUGCAGGCAACUAGUGAGAUGAUACAACAUUCUAAGGUGUAUCACUAACUUUUUUUAAAAAAAUAACAGAGACCAAUACAGUGAACCCGUGAUAACGAGAACAAAAACAUACAAAAUGAUAUCAAUUUAAUCUAAUGCCACCUCACCUUCCACCUUUUUUAUGUUAGUAACAAGUCCUAGAAAUAAUGUCCAAAUAUCCCACCAAGCAAAACAUGUAUUUCGAGUUCUCUUUGAGUCUUUGUCGUUUUUUUUUUGUAGUUAACAAAUGGUUAGUCUAAAACACUAUUUCUCUUUAUAUAAGUAUUCAUAUAUCUUAUUUCACUCAUUUAAUUGAUCACCAUCUACCUCUGUCUUCCCAUGGUUUCGAUCUUCCGAUUAUGCCUUCCCGAUCUAAAAUACAGUUGGACAACGGGGAAAGGGGAGAUUGGGGAGUGAGGACUAUAUAGUGGAGUGUCAGGGGAUUCAGACAUGGAGGUAGUAAAUUUGUUAGCUUUUGCGGGUUAAAACUCGAAAUCGGUCAAACUCGUAAAAUCGAUCCGAUUUUAAGCGAGUUUGAUCGAUUUUGAUCGAGUUUGACCAAUUUCAAGUUUUAAUCCGAUUUGACACGUUAUAUACAUGUUGAAUCGUAAAAUCGUAAGAUUUUAAGAGUCAACUCGUGAUUUUAACAAUCUUGAUCACGAUCUUUAUUCCAUGAAUUUCUAUUUCCUAGAUUUUCCAGUUUCUUGGGCCUUAUGUAAUUCGUCAAUAAGAGAGAGUUCUGAACCACAGUGACUAAAGAGGCAGCCAUGGAGCGGAAAAGGUCCACUAUCCACAGUGUAAACGGAGUCCAGCGCCAGGGAAAAGCGCCCCAGCUGCUAUUGGGAUGCCAAUGACGUUAUACCCCAAAGCCCUAUUUGUAGUUUAAGCCUAUUCAAGAAAACAUGCCGUUCAGACUCUUCAGAGUAUUUUUAUAAAAAUAUUUUUUAAUUUAAAUUUUUUUAAUAUAUAUAUGUAUAUAUAUAUAUUAAUAUUAUUGAAAAAAACCUAAAAAAUUAUUAAUAUAAUAUUUUUUAAAAUAAAAAAAUAAUUUGAAAAAACAGGUUAAAUGUAAAAAAUAAACGCACAUGAACCUAGAUAAGUAUAUAACAGCUAGGCAGUGUUUGGAAACGCGGUUCAACCUGCGUUCUCAAAAAAUUUGAAAGUUUUUUUUUUAUGCUAAAAUUGAGUGCGGUUUGUACUUUUUGGAUCGUUUUGAUGUGCUGAUGUCAAAAAUAAUUUUUUAAAAAUAAAAAAACAUCGUUGGCAUGCAUUUCGGCACGAAAAGUUAUUUAAAAAGCAACCGCUACCACACUUUCAAACACACUCUUAGUACAUCCUCCAAAUUGCUCUUCAAUGGAACUAUGUCAUUGCUUUAGUUUCUACAUCAGUUCUACAUCAACAGGAAUUUCAAUGUUUUGGGUCAGUAUUAAGCUCUUGUUUUCAACUACUAUUUCCUUGUUUCUGACAAUUGCUUUCACUCCAUAGCCAGCAAUGGGCUCAAAUUCUCGUGCUUCAGGCCAGACAGGUCUUCUUCAUCUUCUCUAAUCUUCUUCGCAUACUCCAUGAUAGCCUUAACCAAAUGGUGUUCACUGUUCAUCUGCAAAAGAUAUGCAACCGCAAUGUAAAUUGUUGUUAAAGAACCAUCUCAAUUUAAAAGCUUAAGCUAUUAAGUAAGAUUUAAUAUAUAAUUUGUAUUAUUCUCUAACACAUCCUCUCAAGUGAAAGUCUUUUAAAUUUGAAACUUACACAAAUCCACAUUAUCUUAUACUUAAUUUUUAUCAAAUAAAUAGGGAUAGUGAGAUUUAAACUUAUGACCACUUGGUCAUCAAAGCUCUGAUAUCAUGUCAAAGAACCAACUCAAACCAAUAACUUAAGUUAUUAGGUGAGGUUUCAAUAUAUAAUUUAUAUUAUUCUCUAACACAUUCCCUCAAGUUAAAAGCCUUUGACCUUGAAAUUUGCACAGGUUCACAUUACUUUGUGCUUGAUUUUUUAUUAAAUAAAUGGAAAUGAUGAGAUUUAAACUCAUGACCGCUUGGUUAUCACGGCUCUGAUAUUAUGUUAAAGAAUCAAUUUAACAUAAUAAUUUAAACGGUUAGAUAAAAUUUCAAGAUAUGAUUUAUAUUAAGACUUAAAAGUAGUGACUUCAGGCAAAGUGCAGUAGUUAAACGGAGAAAAGCUUACCCAAGUGGCUGCAAUGAGUUCAUAAAAAUCUCGAAGUACCAUGCUUUUCAACAGUAUUGUUUUGACCACCACUGGUUUUCCAACUGUAAGAGUUCUUGUUUUGUCAAAGACAAUGCAGUUCACCUACAAGAUCAUUAACCACCGCCAUAACAAGUAAUCUGUGAAGAUCCAGAAUUUGUAAAUAGAAAUUGAAUAUUCUGGUUAACCUUAUGUUCCCUUUCUAAUGCUUGACCCCCUUUGAUUAAAACACCUUGAGAUACUCCAACUCCUGUACCAACCAUAGCAGCAGUCGGAGUGGCUAAUCCAACUCCUGUACCCUUGUAUUUUUUGGUUUCAAAGCUGGAGGACUCUUAGUGAGAGGUAGUGGCUAUAGGGAAAGGCACUUCUUAAAUGGGUUGUGAUUCAGGAUCCAAGGGUGAGUGGGGGUGAUGAUCUUGUUUGAUUUAAAAAGGAAGAAAAAGAUAGAAUUUAGCAAUGAUUCUUGAGAAAAUUCAAUUUUCAGGGUCCACCAUUGUCUAAGUUGUACUAGAAUUGUUCUUGCUGUUUUCUUUCUUGUGUGAUUUGAAGAGUUGAAUACAGCCAAUGGAAACUCCAUCACUCCAUGAGAAAUAAUUCUGUUAGGAACAAAGAAACAAUUCUUCGGCUAAAUUCUAUCUCACUCCUCUACGCAGAACAAAGUAGAACCAAACACUUGGCUGCAAACCCUGGUGGUUUUAACAAAUUGUGUUGCCUAUCCAAGCUACUUCUAAAGAAAUAGCAACUCUUGAAAGGGGCUAAGCGGCCACCAUGGUUUGGUGGUGAUAAUACCGUUACUGGUUUUGGCUCUUGCGCCAAGUCUAUACCUAGCAAAAACAAUUUAGUUUCUUGAUCUGGAAAAGGGUAGGUUUGAAGCCUUUCCAUCCUCAUGUUUUGUAUGAAUAUUAAAGAGGAAAGUUUGGUUUACAGCCUGGACUUUCUCCCUUUGUUCAUAUAGAAAUAGAUGCUGAGCAAUAUCCUACAAUGUUUUCAUUUAGUGCUAAGUGGCUACGAAAACGAUAUCCAAGUUUGAUAUUAUAUUCAAGAUUUUCACAGAAAACAAGUGGAUGCCACCUUGUCCAUGUUUCUAUUAUCUGUUGCUGAUUAAGAACGUUUCCUGUCCAGAAUAAGAAAAGAUAACAAUGACAAUGCGAAACCUCCACGUAACAUUUAUCAAUACCCUGUACCUUAAGAGGGUAUUUGAGUGUGUUUGGAGGUUGUUUUCAAGGUAUUUUGUUUUUAGAAAUGUAUUAAAAUAAUAUUUUUUUAUUUUUUUGAAAAACAGAGUUUGUAACGGAAUCCAAAUCAGCCCUAAUCUAUACAGAUUACAUUACAGACAAACAACAAAGAGUUUGAAUGAGACAAGCACAAAAUGACUUAUAAUGCGUCAGAAAGGACUUUUCGCUUGCCCCAAACGACUAGCUUCUGCUUAUCAACAUUUCUGAUCACUUGCUGCUGAACCCAACAAUUGCAGUGGAAACAUGAUGGACUUGCCACAGUUUUUAGUAUUUCGUCUGGCUUUUGGUUACAACCAUUUGUUAUCAAUCAAUGGCACCUGUAUUUUCAUCUGCAAAACUGUGAAAGAACUUUCAGAUUUACAUUAGUCUUUCUAGGAUGAUUAUCAUUAAAAAGAAAAGACCAAAACAAACCGAUGAUUUAUUUCAUGCAUCAGAAAAGCUUUCUUUCUUGCUGACCUUCCUAAAUGCCUUUAUUUAAUACUUAAUACUUGCAUAGAUAUUCAAGAAGCGUCGAAAACGCAUAACACCACUGGCAAAAUAUUUAUAUAUAGAACACCUACACUGCUCAGGGAAGACAUGCUUGAGCUUAUCGCGAGGCAAAUUCCACCCCGGUACAUUUUUACAUAAAACUGAAUCAAAACCAUUGUGAGUGAUCACUCAAUCUUUAUUCCACCAAUAUCUAGAUGUUCCAGCUUCUCGGGCCUUCUAUAAUUCUUCAACAGGAGUGAGCACACAACAACACUGACGGAAGAGGCUGCCAUUGCAGCUCCAGCAAUCCAGGGUGGUAAACGAAAUCCAGUGCCCGGAAAAAGGACCCCGCCAGCUAUUGGGAUGCCCAGGAGGUUAUACCCCAAAGCCCAAAUGUAGUUCAAGCGAAUUCGGGAAAAGGUUUUCCGGGAGAGGUCUAUGGCAGUGAUCACAUCCUCAAGGUUGCUCUUCAUUAGAACUAUGUCAGCCGCCUCUAUAGCAAUAUCUGUGCCUGCACCAAUUGCCAUACCAACAUCUGCUGCAACGAGUGCUGGUGAAUCAUUUAUACCAUCACCUACCAUUGCCACUAUAUAGCCUGCAGCCUGUGAAAGAAAGAAAUUAAAGCCAGGAAACAAUCUUCAUAGCUAAUAAAUUCUAGGAGGAAAGGAAAAGUAAAGCUUCGGAUAAGUACCUGCAAUUCCUUCACUUUCUCUGCUUUCUGCUCAGGCUUGGCUUCUGCGAUAACAGUUUCAAUCCCAACUUCCUUGGCAAUCGAAUUAGCAGUUCCCGAAUUAUCACCUGUGACCAUGAUGCUCCUAACUUUCAUGGACUUGAGAAUGGAAAUGACUUCGUGAGCACCUGGUUUCAAUGGAUCUGAUAUGGCUAGAACUCCAGUCACUUCCCUAUCAAUAGAUACUAAAAUCCCAGUUUGAGCCAUCCCUUCAGUUUCUGCAAGCAUUUCUUCUGCAUCAAUUGGAAUGGGGAUGUUGUGUUCCAACAUCAAGCUUUUAUUUCCCACUAUCACUUCCUUUUUUCUGACAAUAGCCUUCACUCCGUGGCCUGUAAUUGACUGAAAAUUUUGUGCUUCUGGCCACAUAGGGUUCUCUUCAUCUUCUCUGAAUUUCUUGGCAUACUCUACAAUGGCCUUGGCCAAUGGGUGCUCACUGUUUACCUGAUGUGGAUGCAUAUACACCAACUUCAUCAAUGUCCAUCACACAAUAAGCAGAUAGUUGAUCUUAAAUUCUCUAAACUUCAGUAGUCACUAGAAUGACAAGAGCUAGAUUGUAUUUUUAAGCAGACAAUCUUAACAGUGAGUUAAUAAAGAGAAAGCUUACCUCAGCAGCAGCUAUGAGUUCGUAAAAAUCUCGCAGUACCAUAUUUUUCAAGAGUCUUGUGUUAACAACCACAGGCUUUCCCAUCGUCAGAGUUCCUGUCUUGUCAAAGACAAAGCAAUUCACCUGCAAAAUCAUUUAUCAGCAAAGGAGUUACUGAGAGGCCCGUGCCUCAUUUACAGUAUUUCUCAGAUCUGGAAAAAAAAAUUUAAUAACUCGAACAUAUUUCGAUUUCAAUCAGGUUGGGAGAUAUGGUCACGAAGCAAUAUGUGAAUCCUUCAAGACAAUGCCUAUAAAAUUAUCAGGUUUGGUUUAUAGAAAAUUGAAAUUUCUUGCUAACCUUAUGUGCGCUUUCUAAUGCUUGGCCACCUUUGAUUAGAAUGCCCUGAGAUGCACCAACUCCAGUACCAACCAUGACAGCAGUUGGAGUUGCUAAUCCGAGAGCACAAGGGCAGGCUAUGACCAUAACAGAGAUGCCGAGUUGGAGAGCAAGCUGAAAACUAUCCAUGGACUUUGGUAUCCAAGAGUCUGGAUAUCCAUGGAACUUUCCAGCUAAAAACCACGCAAGCCAGGUUGAAAUGGAAAGAAUAAUAACCUGCAAACAUUCACAAGUAAUUAACAAAUAUAAUGCUUAUACAGAAAACUGGUGGCAUGAAUUUAAUGACGAAUUUGAACGUUGUCUUUUGUACUUACAAGAGGCACAAAGUAUUUGGAGAUACGAUCAGCAAACUUCUGUACAGGAGCUUUAGCCAUCUGAGCUGACUCAACGAGUCGAACAAUCUGUGAAAGAGCACUCUCCGAUCCCACCCUCGUUGCCUUAAUAUGCAACACCCCAUUCUCAUUCACAGUCCCACCAAUCACCGUGUCACCUUUCCUCUUUGCCACUGGCCUUGCUUCUCCUGUUAUCAUGCUCUCAUUUACAUGGCUCUGCCCCCAAAUAACAAAACCAUCUGAAGCUGCUUUUGCACCAGGUAUGAUCUUAAUCACAUCAUUCCUUUGUAUCAACCGACUAUCAAUUUCUUCUUCACUGAUCACAUUUCCUUCAUCAUCUAAAGUCAACAAUAUUGCGGUGUCAGGUGUCAAGUUCAUAAGCUUGGCAAUGGCGUCAGAUGUCUUUCCCUUAGCCAGAACCUCAAGAUACUUCCCAAGAAGAAUGAAUGAGAUAAGCAUUGAGCUAGUCUCAAAGAAAUCUGUGGACUCAAAAUCUGUAGAGGAAGCAGCUCUCAACACCGAAUAGACUGAAUAAAAGUAGGCUGCAUUUGUUCCUAAGGCGAUCAACACAUCCAUAUUAGCAGAACCAUGCCUCAAUGCUUUAUAGGAACCUGUAUAGAAUCUCCGGCCUACAAUGAACUGCACUGGAGUAGAUAGAACCCACCUCAAGAUUGCUCCUAUAGAUAGCAUAUUGACUAAUUUGGUGUCUAGAGCAUGCUUAAUUCCAGGGAUAUACAUAAAAAUCAUGGCUAUUAAGAACACUGGAACUGUGAAAACCAAACUCCACAGGAAGGACCGGUAGUAUUGCUUAAUUUCCUCUUUUCUAUGGCUUUCUCUUCCUCCUCCUUCAGGAAAUAUCAUUGCCUUGAAUCGCCCUGUCCCCGUUGAUUCAAUCACUUUGAUAAAAUUUCUAGGACCAGUUACAUCUGGUUUGUAAGAAAGGGAGAUUUUGUUCACUUCACAAUCUAUGUCUAUACUUUGAACACCAGGGAGUGCCUGAAGAGAAUUUUCAAUCAUUCUCAUCGAAUUAUGUGUUCUUACACCAUCAACUUUAAGCCCUAUCUUGCCCAUGUCUUCACCAGUACUAAGAAGUACAGCUUCAAAUCCUGUGUCAUUUAUCGCUUCUAAGAUCUGAUUGCAGCUCAGGAUCUUAGGAUCAUAAUGAACUUCUGCUUCUUCGGUUGCUAAGGCUACUUGAGCUUUUUGCACACCUGGAAUUGCUUGCAAAGCUUGUUCAACAGUAGAGGAGCAAGAAGUGCAAGUCAUUCCAUUAAUACGAAUUCGGCAAACUUGAGUGGAUUUAUCACUGGUUUCUUCUUGAAUCAAUGUGGCCUCAAAUCCAGCAUCUUCAAUAGUCUCACGAAUGGUUUCUUCCUGUCAUUAUCAGAUUACUUAAGACAGGUAGGGAGUGCUUUACUGCUAUAAACUAUCAGUUGGGGCAACUUGACAUAGCAGUGCAGGUUAGUGAAAUGCGACGUCAGAUUGUUGAAACGUAGAAGGAACGCUAGACAUGUUUAUAUUCCAUUUAUAGCUAGCUAGUUAAUAAGGUAUGCUUGUAAAUAUGCUAAUUGCAUGAUACAACUACUAUCUUGAAAGAAGAAGGUGGUAUAUUGCCACUAAAUAGUGUAACAUGCAAUAUGGAAAGUUGUUGAUAUCAAAUUUGAGGCCACCCCUGGAAUUGAAGAGCUUUCCAAACCAAGUAGUCUGUGUUUCAUUUCCACUAUCAAAUGACCCAAAAUUUGUUCGAUUUUGUUAUUGUUUACAAAUCUGAAGGUUGGGAUAUGGGAUUCAGACAUUCUAAGAUGACAUGGCCUCAACCUUAAAUAAAUUUGUCUUCUAAUUCACAUAAUUAAUUAAGCAAGAACUCACAGAUGGUAUUAACUAGGAAAAAACUAGUUGCAGAAUACUAUAAGAUUCUAAAGAAGCACUAAUUAUCAAAGUCCCUCAUGCCUUUCACUUUCCUUAAUCAAAAAAUUAGAAGAAUUUCAAUUGCUUUUACUUCACGCAUGCAACAACAAAAGAAUAUUUUUCGAAAAAAAAACCACAGAUAAUUCAAGAUAAGGACCAAAACAAAGUAUAAAGGAUAACUUACAGUAACAAAACUGGGGUAGAACAGAACUUGAGCCUUAUUAUUCAAGACAUCAACAACAGCCUCUCGUAUUCCGGGAAGCCUUUUGACAGCCUUCUCAACAGAUCCAGCACAAGCAGCGCAUGUCAUUCCCAGAACACAAAACACUGCCUUUGCCUCUGAUCCUUCCACGUUCGUUUCUUGACCCGAAACCCCUUUCGGGUACUUGGGCAUCGAAGGAUACCUUGGCCUUGGCGAUAAGUCCCCAUAACUCUCUUUGCGUAUGCAGGCUAGUGCCAAGAGCUUCGUUGCCAUCAAACGAAGUGUAAUGUUUUUGUCGACCUACGUUCUCCUUCAACUCCUGCACGAGAAGUUAUAAAUAUAUAGGUGAUUUUAUUAUUAUUAUUAUUCUAGGUGCUUGUAUGAUAUUCAGGUAAAAUAUUUUUUAUUUAAAAAUAUAUCAAAAUAUCUUUUUUAAUAUUAACAACUCAAAUUAUCAAGAAACACUAGGAAAAAAACAACUUAAUUUUUUUUUUUUAUGUUAAACAAGUUUUUAAAAUACGUCUGUUAAAAACCAAACACCAAACAGUAUCGAAAUCUUUUAAAAGAAGAGUUCUGAAAUGGGAGAAACUAUUUAUAGGCAUGCUCAGUGGGGUUAGCCAAAAGUUUGCUCGAUUGAGAAGGAGAAAUUUGAAUUUGUAGUGGCUAAUUAAUUAGCAACUAAUUAAGAAUCUAAUGGGGCGACAUGUUUUUUUUUUUUAAUUAACAUGAGCAUCUAGAUUAAUUUAUAUAUAUUUUAACUCUAAAAAAUCAUGUUAAAAACUCUAAAAAUAUUUAAAUUUAUAAUUAUUAAAAAAUAAAUUCAAAACUCAACUAAUUGUACUACCUUCAUUGUGUCAUAAAGGAUUUUUUUAUUAAUGUAAGAUGGGUGGAUUUUUGUAUUAAUGUAAGAUGGGUGGUUUUAUAGUCCUACCACGAACUCUGAGUCUCUGACUUAAAGCAGAUGAUGUCGUGAAAAUCAUUGUUGCAGAAAUAUAUCCAUUGAAAGUGGAUUUGCACUAGUGGAAAUAGUGAAAUAUUACACAGUUAUAUUAAUCAAAUUAAACAACAAUGACAAAGAUUUGAUUCAUUGUAUGUAUUCACAUGAAUCAGGUUCUGUAAUGAUAGAACAAAAAAAUAAUAAUAGAAGAAAAAACGUUGUUCUUUACUUCCUUAAUUAUGAUCAAUCCAUCAUGAUCCUCGUUUUCUAUAUUAUUAUUUUUACAUUAAAUUUAUAAUGAGUUUUAAAAACACAUUUUAAAUGUUAUUUAUGGUUUUUAUUUACAAGUUUUCAGAGAUUCCCAAAUGAAAAAAAAAAAAACAAAUUUUUUCCUUUAUAUACAAGCAUUUUUUAGCAAUGUAAAAUAAUUUUUAUAUAUAUAUAUAUAUAAAUUUCAUUUAGUUAGUGGGGUAUUUUUCCUUUGUAACACAUUAAUAUUUUUCAAGAAUUUUGGCAAAACAACAAUGACAAAAAACUCCUUUUGAAAAAUAGCAUAGUUUUGACAAAGACAAGAUUAAGAAUAAUAAUUUUAACAAAGACGCAAUUAAAAAUAGUGACUUUCACCAUAAAAACUAAACUGGAAAUUAACUCUAACCCAAAUACAAACCUUAAUGAAUAAAAACCAAACACUAACCCUAAAAGCAAACACUAAUCAAUAAUUCUAAAACAAACCCUAACUAAGAGAUUUAAAAGAAUUUUACUUGAUACAAAGAAAAACUGAGAAAUAAAUGAUAACUAGAAUUAAACUUUAUAUUGAUAGUGCAACCUUAACGGUUUAUUAGACCAAAAAUGUUAAGUAAAACUAAUUUUUUUUAAUUGAUUUCGUGGUUGAGUGUAUUUUUUGAGCAACUUUUGUGUCCCAGAACUGAAUCCAUCUUCACAAUUCAAUAUUAAAAGACCUAUAUAUGGAACUAAGAGAUUUAAAAGAAUUUUACUUUAUGUAUAUAAUUAACUUGAUCUUAGUUUUGAUCUUUGAUAGCUAAAAGGAGCUGGUUGCAUCUCCCUAGUUAUUAUAUCAACUCCGUAAAUCAAGUAAAAUAGGAUAGCAUGACUUACCAAUUUAAUUAUUUCUACCAUUGAAGGAUGCAAGCAUACUAGUUAAUUAUAAGUAAAUGCACCGGAAAAUAUUAAUUAAAUUUAUACAUGCAUGAGUAAUUUGUGCAGUGUGAAUUAUGCACUCAAAAGGAAUAAUUAUGAAAAAAGAAGAAGAAGUAGAAACAAUAUGUGUGGUGUAUGGAGAGAGAGACUUUACUUGGAAGAAAUCAUGGAUGCUUUAAACUCCGAUACGCAGUCUGCACACCAAGCAAUGAUUUAUAUAGUGACUUGAACCACCAAUUAAUUCUUGUUAAAUAAAUUAAUUUACAAGACGUACGAAGGAGCUUUACAAUGUCACCCCGUGGACUUUACAAAACCUCGUAUUAUAUUUAUAAGUUCUUGUAAAUAUCUGAUACAAAUUGCUUACGUACCAAGCAUUGAUUUAUAUACAAAUUGCUUAACGAUAGCGAUCAAAAUUUAAUAUAUGUUUAGUAUUGUGGUAUAAAAAGUUAUUUUUAAAAAAAUAUUUUUUACUUAAAAAUAUAUUAAAAUAACUUUUUAUUUUUAAUAUUAACAUAUCAAAACAUCAAAAUUCACUAAAACAAUAAUUUAAUAUUUUUUAAAAUAAAAAUAUUUUAAAGUAGCUUCAACCACGGUUUUAACUGUAAUUUUAAACAAUCUGUUUUAUUAAUAAUGGCAGUAUCUCGUAGAAAACGAACAGUACUAGCAGUUGAAUAACUAUAUAAGAGUUGUUAAAAGUCUGCAUCAUAAAAUAAAAAAUAAAAAAUAAAAAAAGUUCAGAAAAAAUGGACGAAACUCAAAUGGAGAAAUGUGUCAUGAUAACUAAAAUUAUGAAUCCCAAGUUAGUUUCUAACACAAAAAAAAAAAAAAAAGAAGAAGAAGAAGAAGAAAAAGGCAUCUAAAUUAUAAAUGUAUUUUCUGAUAUCAUGAAAUUUAUUAAUAAAAAAAUAAAAAAAUAAUAUCCACGUUUAAUAAAAUAAAUUAAAAAAUAUAAAAAAAUCAAGAUAUAAAAUGAUAUCAACAUAACUUUGGAGGAUGGAAUUUUUAUACCAAUCACGUUGGCUGUUGCCUCAAAAUCAUUAUAACUGGAAACACAGAAAUAAUGUUACAAUAACUUUAUUUCACUAAUUCUCGAUAUUUGAUAUAGUAAAAUAGUGUAAGUUCAUGUUUCAUUAAACUUUCCCACAUGGAUUAGGCUUGUUUUUCCGGUGAAAAGGUGAAAAAAUGUUUUUGAGAAAAUUAAAAAAAAAUAUAUUUUAAUUCUUUUUAUAUUUUCAAAUCGUUUUACAUUAAAAAAAAUUUUAAAAUAAAAAAUUAUAUAUUAUUUUAAUAUAUUUUCAAGUAAAAAAACAUUUUUAAAAAAAAUAUUAUUACAAUAUAUACUUUUAAUUAUGCAUGUAACAUCAAUUGAUAAACAAGCAUUAAUGUAGUAAUAAUUUACUUUGAAAACAGAAGUAUAAAACCUCAAGUUGAAAAGAAUGAAAAAAUUCUAAUUUAAUUACUUGGUAUUUAAUGUUGAUUUUGCUUUUGUCUGACUCAUUUAUUCCAAAGACAAUUCAUUACUUUAUAUUUUGCAAAAAAAAAAAAGAGUCACCCUCUGGAGAUGCAAAACAAAAAUCGAUAAGCUGACAAAAGGCCGUGUGUGUGUGUACAGACACUUACAUUAUUAAUCCCAACCAUACCACGUAACUUGACAAAUUACUUACUGCACAAUACUAUUUUUUAGUUUUCUGCUGUCACCAUUUCUUAUUAUGCCAUGGCGUCAACUGUACACUGUUUGAAUAAUAAUCAUAAUAAUAAUUAUUUUAAUAGAUAAUUAUUGAAACAGGAUAACCUGUUGCGUUUUUUUAAUGGAAAGCUGACCACAUUUUAUAUACACUGUUUCUCUUUUAACUCCUUAAAAUUUGGAUGGUGAUGUGGGAGCCCAAGAAAUUCAAUCAUGUGGCAUAUCUGUUAUAAAAAAUAGUGUAUAAACUUUAAAUCUGCAUUGUAAAGGUAUUUUGUAAUCCCAGCACAGUUUAACAAAAAAAAUUGAGAUAUAUUUAAAAAUAUUAUAUUUUUAACAUAUCUGUUAUAAAAAAUAGUGGUAGUUUAAAAAAUUAUUUCUGAAUCAAAUUAAUUAAUGGUUAUAAAUAUCAAUUUAAAUUUUCAUAAAAAUUUAAUGGCUAAGAAAUGAAAUUUAAUAUCUAAUGGCCAAGAAAAAAUCGGUUAAUAGGGACUCAUUAGAGCUCUGUUUUUUACAUAUUCAGUAUCAUUAGAAAGAUCUCGACAAAACAAUUCUAAUCAUACCUUAAAAGACCAUCAAAUAUGGUUCUAAUUUUCUAGUAAUUUUGUUUAGGGUUAAUUGCGACCUCGUUUAGUGGUUUUCUAAGAUGUAGUUAAAAUUAUUUUGUUAAGAUUUUUCUAACAAUAAUAAAUAUAUUAAAACGGAUCCUUAAUAUCUCCUUGAUUAUGAUUUUUUUCUUCUUCUCUCUCCUGUUCUUCAUUUUAUUUUCGUGGUUAUUGAAUUUUGAAUCUUAUCUUUUAAAUAUUUGAUUUUCAUAAAAAUUUUAAUUGAUUUUUGAUAAAAUUAAUUAUUAAAAAAAGUAAAUAUCAUAAUAUAUAAUUUUUAUUCUCAAUAUCGAUUAUAUAUAGAAUUGAUACUAAGAAAUUCUGUUAUGUUCAAUCAUUAUUUUCAAUAAUACAUUUGUACAGAAUUGAUAUUAAAAAACAAGAUUGUGUUCAAAUUAUGUUAUUUUCCCAUACUUUCCAAACCCGUGUUAUCCUCCUAAAAUUUUUACCAAACCAUGUAAUUUCCUUUUUUAAAAUAAAACUCCUUGGCUAACAGUACUUCGAAAUAUUGCAACCCAAGUCCCUAUUAUCACUUUCUGUCAGCAGCUUUAACUUUAGAAGCCCCCAUUUUGCUGUCCUUUGUUCAACCAGAACCCAAAACUUUCAUCGAUUUGCAAGUUUUGCGAGGCUAGCCCAUAGCGCAGACCUGAGUGCAGCCAUAUUCAAAACCCGGUGUCCAAAAUGCAAUGCAAACUAAUUGUGUAACUCGAAGCCCAAUUCCUGCUGCUAAAAAAGUAUAGAAGGAAAGGAGAAUAGCAUCAAAUAGUUCUGUACCAGAACUGCGCCCCCUAGUUGCAUUCUUUUCUAAAAACAAAUGAUGUCAACAUGCUAUAAAUGUAUUUUAAAAUUAGAUGAAAAAACAAUUAUGACUUGAUUUAUAGACCGAAUGAAUCAAAUAAGUUUACUUAAAUGAUAAAAAAAAGUUAACUCAAAAUUGUUUUUCUGAAAAAGAACAGACAUUUAGCUCAAUUCCCAUCUGAUAAUAAUUAUUGAACUUAAUAAUAAAAAAAAAACCCACUGAGCCUGAUAACCAAUUUAAUGGACAAAACCAUCAUUAUACUACUUCAAUAAACAACAACCAUGAGUAUGUAUAAACAGUAUUUUUUCAAUUCCUUACUAGUUUCUUUUAAUCUUAUUGAAAUCAGCCACAAAUCAGAACUAAUUUGUAUUUUUUUAAAAAAAAGAUCUUUCUAAAAAUUCGAAAUUGCCAUGAUGUUAUUGAAAAUAUACAUGGAUUAUUUAUGCUAACAUUGAUAUGAUUAGUAAUUUAGCUUCUUAGCAAAAAUCCAAAUAUUGGUUGAUUAACACAUAGAUGUGAUGUGGUGAUUAACAAAUUAUACACGAAUGGCUUCAACUAUUGAACACAGUGUGGACAAGUGGCCAACUUGAGUUGGGCUAUCGAGAGGCAUGUCAUAUCCAUUGAGGUUCAUGCUUUGGUGCGUAAGCGCUUACGUUUCUCUACACUGCAAGGAGAGGUUUCCACGAAUCCCAGCCACCACAUCUUUCCAGGUUAUUUGAAUUUCCAUGGCCGGCGCUGAUUUAGUACCUCUUUCUCUUCUAUUUUUGACCACGACCCAAGGUUUAGCUUAGCGGUGGAAAGUAGACUACUGGGUUUUAAAGUUUUAUAUUUUAUAUAUAUAUAUAUAUAUAUAUAGAAAUGGAUUAAAAUAAUAUUUUUAUUUUAAAAAAAUUAUUUUUAAUAUCAAUAUAUUAAAAUAUCUAAAAAUAAAAAAAAUACUAAUUUGAAAUAAAAAACUUUUUAAAUUUUUAAAACUAAAAAAAAAAGCAUAGAUAUUGAAGGAAUAAAGUCUCGGAAGCUAUAAUUAUGCGUCCGCAAAGCUUAAAAGAGACGUAAGGAUCGAAAGUUUAUAGCUGAUGGCUUAUGAAGUAGAAGAAUAAUGUGGAAUUGAAACCCACCUUAGCUGAUGGCUUAUAAACAUUUACACAAUUAUAAAUCACAUCAAAUGAUGUAGAGACAAGGAUAGGGUGCCGAAAAUAAUGCGAUACAUAUCUCAAUAUCUACUAGUUAAUACUUUUUUUUUAGAAAUAUAAAAAAUAAAUAUGCAAGUUUUUUAAAUUUAUUUUUUUAAAAAAUUCUAAUUAUGAAAAGUUUAUGAAAACUAUUUGUGUCAAUAAAUAAAUAAAAAAACAAAAAGUCUAGCUGUAUUCAUAUUUUAUUAUAUAUAUAUAUAUAUUAAUGUAUUGACAUUAAAUUUAUAAGAAUAUGUCUAUAUGUAUAUAUAUUAUGACAUUUUAUUUUUUACCGAAGGCGUGGGCGCCUGAAGUUUCUAAAAAAGAGCUCUUCUGAUGUGGCGGGCUGGUGUAACAUACUGCAGGUAAAGGAGGAACAGUCGGCAUGGCCAUUUCCGAAACAAGUCAACAGCUUGAUAGAAUAAAACUUUUCUUUUAUUUUUCUGAAAAUAACAACACAUUAUUUCAACCACGUCACAUUUCUCCAUUAUGCUUAAAAUAAGAUACGCUUGUGCCAGAUGAGCCUCCGCCUCCCAGACCGUUCAAAAUCUAACCGUAAAGGUCCCUCCACGUGUAAGAAGAAAGUCAGGCAUCCUCAAACUGACCGACUCUUUUUCCUACGUGUAAUCCCUUCUCUCACCUAUGACCUACCUACCUUCCCAGUUACAACCUCCACCUCACACCACUUCCCAUUUAUAAAAUCCCUCUCCUUCGUCACCACCCAACACGCUCUCUGUCAAUUAAAACAUUCACUUCUAAGUUAAAUUAAAUCAAUUUUUUUGAUCCGUAUACACAAAGCUAAAGAAAAUGGAGUCCCUCACUCUGACUGCUUUGUUAAACAAAUCAGCCAAGGAUUUCCCAAAUCGUCGCGCUGUAUCACUCUCUGGCAGACUCGAUUUAACACACGCUCAAUUGCAACAGAUUGUCGAUCAUGCCGCCUCUCUUCUUAUCUCCGCCGGCAUCAAUCCCGGUGAUGUCGUCGCUCUCACCUUCCCCAACACCAUCGAGGUACUGUCGAUUAUGUUUUCCUUUUGCAGAUCCAAAAACUGUACAAAACGUUUUUUUUUUUAAUUUUCACUCAUUAUUUACUCUAUGCAGUUUGUGGUCAUGUUUCUGGCUGUAAUUCGUUGCCGAGCCACAGUUGCGCCGUUAAACCAGGCUUACACAGCCGAGGAGUUCGAGUUUUACCUCUCCGACUCAGAAUCAAAACUCCUAAUCAUGCCACAAGAGCCAAUCCUACCGGCACUAACCGCGGCUUCUAAGCUCAAAAUCCCUCACGUGACAUCCACGCUUGACUUCCAAUCCAAAAGAGUAACUCUCUCAACCGAGUCAGAAUCAGUACCCGACGCUAUUGAUGGUGUAGUGAACGACUCAUCUGACGUGGCUUUGUUCUUACACACUUCUGGCACCACGAGCCGGCCCAAAGGCGUCCCUUUGACUCAGCUGAAUUUGGCCUCUUCGGUUUUGAACAUAAAAUCGGUUUAUAAACUCACCGAGUCUGACUCCACUGUCCUCGUUUUGCCGCUAUUUCACGUGCAUGGAUUAUUAGCUGGGUUGUUGAGCUCGCUAGUGGCUGGAGCCGCCGUGGCUCUUCCAGCCGCCGGGAGAUUUUCUGCUUCAACAUUUUGGAAAGACAUGGUUUCAUAUAAUGCCACGUGGUACACUGCAGUCCCGACAAUUCAUCAAAUUAUUCUUGACCGCCAUGUCAGCAAGCCAGAGCCGGCUUACCCCAAGCUAAGGUUUAUCAGGAGCUGUAGCGCUUCUUUGGCGCCGGUUAUCAUGGAACGGCUAGAGGAGGCCUUUGGCGCACCGGUUUUGGAGGCUUAUGCAAUGACUGAGGCAGCUCAUUUAAUGGCUUCCAACCCGUUACCCGAAGAUGGCCCCCAUAAACCCGGGUCGGUCGGACGACCCAUUGGGCAGGAAAUGGCCAUUUUAAAUGAGAAUGGGGUGGUUCAACCGGUUGGAGUUAGUGGCGAGGUGUGUAUUAGAGGGCCUAAUGUGACCAAGGGUUAUAAGAAUAAUCCUGAAGGCAAUAAGGCUGCUUUUCAAUUCGGGUGGUUCCAUACAGGGGAUGUCGGUUUUCUUGAUGAGGAUGGAUUUUUGCACCUCGUCGGUCGGAUCAAGGAGCUUAUCAACCGUGGAGGUAUGUAUGCACAUUUUAGUUUUGCUCUAUAAUUAGUGCUCUAGUCAAUAAAAUAAAAAUACGUCCCCAGAAUCAAAUUUUGAACAAGAGAAAUAAAUUUUAGCAUUGUUAUCGUGUGCAUGGCAGGGCAUCACAGAGCACGGUCAAGAUGUUUCAGCUGUGAUCAACAUUAGUAGUUCUCUACGAGCAAAAUGUGCAUUAAACAUCAAAUUAUGUGUCUAGUCAAAAUAACAAUAAUAAUAAAAAAAUGCUUUUGAUAUGGAAAGUUCAUAUUCCAAAAUGCAGAUUCUAGAUGGAUUUGCUGUUCUAGAAUUAGAUUGCUUGCUUGUCAUCGAAACCUGAGCGUUAUUAAAAGUCGAAAUGUGUGAACAUGAAGGAAGACGUCGAGUUUAAAACUAAUUGACCAGCUAUUUGCUGGAAUUCAUCGGUUCAAUUUUGCUGAUAUUGUGAUUUGUUCUUGUGUUUUCAGGGGAGAAGAUAUCACCAAUUGAAGUGGAUGCAGUUCUUUUGUCUCAUCCUGACAUUGCUCAGGCUGUCGCCUUCGGAGUUCCAGAUGAAAAAUAUGGUGAAGAGGUAAGGAAUCGUUAUACUGAAGUCAAACCUCAUUGCAGUGGACCACAUCUUGCGUGUGUGAAUUCCUAAUUCUUGGCUUAACUUGACAUUUUGUUUUCUUUACUUGCAGAUAAAUUGUGCCAUAAUUCCAAGGGAAGGAUCGAACAUUGAUGAAGAUGAGGUGCUCAGCUUCUGCAAGAAAAAUCUUGCAACCUUCAAGGUUCCCAAGAAGGUAUUCAUCACUGAUUCACUCCCGAAAACCGCCACCGGAAAGAUUCAGCGCAGGCUUGUAGCGGAGCAUUUUCUUGCUCAAAUCUCCACCGCUAAAGUACCCAAGUUUGGAGCUUAAUUAAUCAGCUAUUAAUUCUCCAUUCUUUAAACGUUUUAAUUACUCGUACGUUCAUAUUGGUUAAUUACAGCGGACAUGACACGAUUAGUUCUGUCUGCUACCAUUUUUAUUGUCCCACAAUGGUUUGCUAUUAAAUAUAUAGCACCCACCGAAAUUACUUUCUUUUAUACAUGUAUACAAAUUUUUAGCAAAACUUUUGCAGUUUAUUAUAUGCCAAUAUCAUGUUGGCAAGCUAAUGUCAACAUGUUACUAAUGAAACCCCCAAAUUCAGAUUUAAAUGCUUCCUGUACUGCUUUGGCCAGUGUCCUGUGUUCAUGAGAUACGCCAUCAUUCUUGCUUUCUGUAUCUUGGACGCACAUAUGAAGCCUUGUGUUUUAAAAAUCUUUCAGAGCUCCUAUCCAAAUUGGAGGAAAAGGAACAGUGCUAUUCAUUGUGCACCUUUUCUUUUCGUAAUCAAACUUUUUUUUUUUUUAGUUUUAUUAUUUCAAGAGUGAGAAAACAGUCUAGUACGAUCUAAAAAGUAUCCCUCGUUGUCUUCUUGCCUGACAGCUUUUGAGGUCAUCAUCACCACGCCAACCUAGUAGCUUCAUCUAACAAUCCACAAUUCUCUUUUUUUAGCUAGCUGGAGCCGGUCUUUCUUUAUUUUAUAAUAUGCUAAGAAAGAAGUGAUUGUCCAUAAUAGAGAAAGAUUACUCCUACAUUCCCAGAAAGGAUUAUAGUGAUGGCUCCAGUUCUAUCUGUUGUGAAUUUUAUCCUGUACAGCUCAAACAAACACCUAAAUACUACUCGAAAUGAAUAUGUGCAAUAAAAUCUUCUUAUUUCAAUGAUUCAAAAAUCCUCUACAAAGAUAUGAUGAUAUAAAAAAAAAAAAAAAACCAGCAAACUGUUCUUUGUAGUAAUAUAAGUUGAUCUAUUUAUCUCUUGAUGUUUAUUGUUACAGCCUUUCAAAUCAUUUAUUUAUCUAUUUUCUCUCUUUGAUUUGGUAUUUUUAUUUAUAUGGAAUACAACUUUAUUGAUGUUUUCUGUAUUAUUGAUUGGUAGAAACCUCAAAUUCAUACUAGAAUGACGAUGAUUCAAUAAAAUUAUUAAAUUAACCAAGUACAAGGAUUUCUUGAGUAAGAACUUAUAUAUCAUCACUUUGAAUAAAUAUAUGACAAAAAAUCCAAAGAAAGAUUUAUCAUUUGAUCAAAAUAAAAUAGACAGAGAAAAUCUUUCAAGAGUUUCUAAUUCUUUGAAAUUAUUAAGAGUCUGUUUGUGGGUUUUGAAUAUUAAGUUACGUAAUCAUACCUACCUCCUACUCUGUAAUCUAUUUUAUAUAUUUCAUGCUGCAAAUACUAUAAUAAAUAUUCAACUUUCCGAUCAAGAUAAGACGACAGACCCUCAGUCGCUAACCCUGAACUCUUUAAGGUAGCAGAAUACACACUACCUCGGAAACUAUACACAGUACCCUGAACUCUUUAACAUAUGCGUAAUUCUUUCAAACAUAUGCGCAUGAUCACAUUCAUUCACAGCUUCCCCCCCGAUGGUCUAAACCAGGCAUGGCAGAAACUCGAACGGGGAUCGUAGCAGGUAUCAACGAGCCUUUUAGACCUUGCUUUCUUCUCUAAUGAUAUUUCGAGUUAGAACAGGAUAGGAUGCAUAUGCGCUCCUUGUGUGCUAUAAUAAGUAUCCCCUCAUCUCUCUUUGCUCUGGGUUUUGCUUAUGUAACCCAAGGUUCUUAGACCUCUGCUAGGUAAAAGCAUCAUGGUUCAGGUAAUCUAAACUACGAGCCCUUGAUCCAGCGAGCCAGGUUCGCGUUUUAUUCCAUGGCGGCUCGAUCGAGAAACUAUUUCUCCACAUGAAGAAACAGGGACUUAGGCAGGCAAGAAAGGACAGCAUGUGGAUAAAGCAUUUGAGUUUUGACCUUUGUUAUAUUUUUACAUUUACAUGCACGCAAGUCUUUUCUUAAACAAUUUUUUAUGUUUUGAAUAUUCUUAUUAUAUAUAUAGUAAACUAAACAACGUUGUUCAAUAUUGUAAUACAUUUAAAACUUGAAGAACAGCCUCUGUUGCGUCCCUUGAAAGUAAAUAUUAAUGUAGUGCCACCAAAUGUUCUUCAUCUAGUUGUUGUGGUUAAGAACCUCUCUCCCCUCCUGUACGUGUUGACUAGAACUGGGAAGCGUCAACAAAACUUUGACUUGUAUUCUGGCAACCAAGCAGAGUGGAACCUCACAUGUUUGCCAGUUAGAAUAAUCACCGGUUCUGAAAUUUCUAAAAUCUUAAAGAAACCUAUUACAUUCAUUACACAAAGAAAACAUAGAUCGGAAUUGGGGAUUUUUGCUAAGCUUUUAUUUGUGUGGUUACAUGAUUUGCAUAAUUGUUAAAAAAAAAUUAAUGACUAUAAAAUUUAAUUUUUAAUCAAGUUAAUAUUAAAGGAUGAAUAUGAUAAAUAAAAAAAAAUCCAUCAAUUUGCUAAUUUCGUUAUCAAAAUCAUGAGAUUAAAAUGACUAAAUAAGAAAUAUAUUAGAAUAAAUGGUGAAACUCAAUUCUUAAUUAAUUCAAUAUUAAAUGUUAAAAUUAAAAAAAAAAUUAAAAAAUAAAAUUAUAAAACUUAAUUAUUAAUCAAUCCAAUAUUAAAAUAAUUAAAAAAAAAACUCUUAAAACUACAGUCAACCAGAGAUAACUUAUCAGACCUACAUCUCUAAUUAUAGAAUCAAAAUAACUUUUUAAAAAAAUUAAGAUAAAUUAUGAAACUAAAUUCAUAAUAAAUUUAAUAUUUUAAAAUAAGAUUGAAAAAUAAAAAUAUAUAUUUUUUAAAUAAUGAUAUGUGAAAAAGAGGUUAGUUUUUAUUAAUAAUUAGUAAUAAUUUUUUUUUUACAAAUUACAUAUAUGCUUACUUGAAGUGUUAAGUUUAUUUCUAAAAAAGAAAAACUAACUAGAAGUUUAUCAUAUGAUCGUAGGUGUACUACGCCCACGCCCAAGGAGCAAAAGACUAGCGUAAAAGCAAUGCAGCUUUGCCUAAUUACCUCAUAAAACAUCAUAUAUUCUGUUAAAUAGGAUUAAAACUACCCUAUGAUAUCAAUAAGAAACCAUUAAAAAAUACUUUAAAUUAAAUAAAUAAAUAAAUAGAAUUAACUAGUUGAAACCAAAAGAAUAUAUAAAGAAAAAGACAUACAUUUUGCCCAAGGAUAUAUAUUUUUUUUUCUUGAACAAUCCAAGAAUAAGUUCAAUACGGGCAUUUCAUAUCUCCUUCUUCCACUUCGCUCUCCUGGUCGAAGAUUGUCUCUCAUCAGAGGGAACUAUACACAAAACACACACAAAAACUAACAAGUUUCAAACCCCAAGAAUCAAAACAGGAAACUGUAAGUCACUGGCUCUCUCUCUCUCUCUCUCUCUAUAUAUAUAUAUAUAUAUAUAUAUUAUGAAGGAAUAAAUUUCAUUUAUCAGGAAAACAACUUAGCAGGGGGUUAGUCCUAUCGUCAUGAUAAUUUUAGAUAGGUUAUGUUAUUUUUAGCUGUUAAUAUUGCAAACUAAAAUUCUUAUUGGCUUUUAUAAAACUGAAUUCUUUUGUGCAUAAUCUAUGAAACCCAUGUGACCCACAAUUUGUUAUGAUGUAUUCUACUUGUUAAAUCUCAUUAUAAUAAUGGGUUUAUUCAUUUCUUAGAAAAGCUUGAGUCCUGAUCAUGUUUUUGUUCUAAUUUGACCUGGUUUAAUACUAUUCAGAGAGUAUUAUUUCUGUUUUUGGUCUUUAGAAAAUCCUGAAAAUUUUACUAUUUGGUUUGGUACCUGUAAGGAUGCUGUUUUAUGUAUUGCCAUAUAAUUAGAGCUUGGAUUGACAAUGUAGGGAUGGAACCAAAUAGUGAAAUAACCAAAGAGAAGUAUGGUGUUGAUAUCUCCUCCAUAAGGGAGGCACAAGUGCGCAUCGACCCAUACAUACACAAAACUCCAGUCUUUACCUCAGGAAGUCUGAAUGACAUGUCUAGAAGGAAGCUGUUUUUCAAAUGUGAAUGUUUUCAGAAAGGGUGAGAGAUUAAUAAGUGGCGAAUACCGAAAGUUUUAGACAUUAGUAUAUUUGAUUUGAUAUUGGGUUUUAACUUCUUUUUUUCUUUGUUUAAUUAUGCGGUGCCUUAAAGACCCAAUUUUGUGUUUUCUAUUCGUUAUCAGUGGGGCAUUCAAGUUCAGAGGUGCGUGCAAUGCCAUAUUUUCACUUAAUAAAGAUCAGGCAGAUAAAGGGGUUGUAACUCACAGCAGGUUUGCUCCGUGUUCUCUGUGCUUUACAGUUCUUCCUGUUUUCUUGUUUGUCUGAAAUUUGCUGAUUGUAUCCUCCCAAAAUAGUGGCAACCACGCUGCAGCAUUGGCUUUGGCUGCAGACUUGCGGGAUAUCCCAGCAUAUGUAGUUAUACCCAACAAUGCUCCAAAUUGCAAAAUUCAGAAUGUGAUACGUUACAGUGGUCAAAUUACGUAUUCUCAGCCUACAUUACAGUCAAGGGAGACUACCACAACAAAGAUCAUGCAAGAAACUGGUGCAGUUCUCAUCCAUCCUUAUAAUGAUGUGCGUAUAAUAAGGUAGUAGGCCCACUCUUAUUUUGUUGCUUCUGCACUUGUGUUGAAUUUGAACCUGCAAAUAGUCCGUACACCAUCUCAUUUAUUUGCAUUAAACUCAUGAUUCCUUUAUUUGUCUGUUAUCUAAUUUUCCUUAAUUUACUGCAACUAGAUCUUCUAGGCUGGUCACUAGUACCUAACUCUGAGUUGACUUCUUUCUUUUGUUCUGUUCUACCCUGAAUUUCUGAUAGGGAUGACCUCUGUGUUAAAUGAAGGAAAAAAUUCUUUACAUGUUCAGAAAAAAAUUUCUAUAGAGCUUAGAAUGUCAUUGAAAGUUUAUGAUUGAAGAAAUGUGAGAUGUAACUAGUGGCCUCUCGAGGCAAAGUUUAUGUCAUUGCCAAGAAUAAUAAAACUGGAAUCAGCUGAACAAUUUAGAAUUCUUUGCAUGGUAUAUUGGUUACUGAUAUGAGCAUUUGUCUUUGCAGCGGGCAGGGUACCAUAGCAUUGGAGCUUCUGGAGCAAGCCCCAGAAAUUGACACUAUAAUAGUUCCUAUUAGUGGUUCGUUUAAUUUCCUUUUAGUGUCAAUUCUUCAUUUUGGUCCUGCAUCGUUUUAUUUGUUUAUUUUUUUUCCAAACCUGAAUCAUCAUUAAAUAAACUGUAGGAGGUGGUUUGAUAUCCGGGGUGGCAUUGGCUGCUAAGUCCAUCAACCCUUUCAUUCGAAUUUUGGCUGCUGAGCCUCGUGGAGCUAAUGAUGCAGCUCUAUCCAAAGCAGCUGGAGAGAUUGUAAAGUUGCCUGAAACCAACACCAUUGCAGAUGGUCUUCGAGCUUCUCUUGGAAGUCUUACCUGGUAAAGCGAACCUUGUGCUUCUUGUGCAUGCAUUGAGGACACACACUUAGUUUUUCAAUAAUCCAUUCUUCCCUACCUGGAUAUUAUGAAGUAUGCUUCUCUGUCUUUUCUUUUCUUGCAUUUAUUUUUAACAGAACUGCAGUGGGCAUGCUCCCAUUUGCCAUUGCUAGCACAUCUCAAGUUCAUCUAAUUUCCUUGCCCUGCUAUCUCACUCCACACCUUAUGGUGGAACAGGCCAGUGGUUCGAGAUUUGGUUGAUGCUGUUAUAACAGUGGAAGAUCAGGAGAUAGUAGAAGCCACGAAACUCUGUUAUGAGGUUCUGAAAGUCGUAGUAGAACCUAGUGGAGCUAUAGGCCUUGCAGCUGUUUUAUCUGAUAGUUUUCAGAAUAACCCUGCCUGGAAGGAUAGCAACCACGUGGGAAUCGUGCUUUCAGGAGGUAAUCUGGAUCUUGGUGUUCUUUGGGAUUCAAUUUGUGGCCUGUAACUCUUCCUUUCCCUUGACAAUGAAGAUUUCUCUCUUGAUGAUUAAAUAGCAUUUCUGCUUUGGGCUUACAUAUGUAUUCUGGCAAGAACAAAAAAAUCAUAGUGUUUUUUUUUCAGAAUAGCAUUGAUGCGUUUUACAUGGCAUCUUUCUGUAGCCCCCUGUUGCAUCUUGCAUAGCUGAUGAUACAGCGCACAGGCAAUUUCUAUCAGAAGCACAUUUACAAAUUGUCAACAAAGAGAUGGGGGUUGGUUGGUAAAUCAUUAGGUCAGUGGGGUAAACUAUAACAAGGGGAAAACGAACACCAGUUCUGUUCUUGGAGUUGAAGCGUAUGAACAAUGGUUUUCAGAUUCCUUUCAUCUAGUGGAUGGGACAGGGACUUAAGGAGGGGUGAAAAUAAGUCAUAGAAUAAAUGGGUUCAUGGCCAUCACCAUGAUGCUUUUUUUUAAAAAAAUCUUGACUGCUAGAGGGAUCAAAGAGUAUAUCUCUUUUAUUAGUAGCUCGCGCAUGAUUAGACCCUGUUUAUUUGCACGUAUCAUAACUUAAUUUUGGAUUUUUUUCUAAAUUCACAUUUUUUUAUAUAAAAAAACCAAAAAAAUAUAAUAAUAAAGGUUGUCAACGUGGAGAAAACAAACCGGAUAAUCAAACUGUAAUUUUCGAGGAGAUUUAAGGCCUAAUUGUAACCUAUUAUGCAAAUUCAAGGUCAAAUUAAAUGAUUAUUUGGCGAAUUUACAUAAAAAUUAAGUCUAAGGACAUAGUUAAAUUUUUAAUUGGUCAAUUUGAUUUAAUCAUGGGCCAAAAUGAAUUUUAAUUAUGUUUAAGAAUUAAUUUGGAUCCCGUUGAACGAUUUAAUUAAGUGCAAGGACUUAAUUAUACUUUAAAUGUGUCAAAUUAAUUUUAUUUGGGGCUUAAUUGGUAAAAAAUUAAGUUUGAGAGCCUAAUUUAGGUUUAAUUGAGAAUAUCAAAAUUUUAAAGAGAUCAAAUUUAAUUUUUAACAAGAUAAUUGAUUGAAAUUAGGGGCCAAAUUACAAGAAAUUUGAAGUUUUUGGGUCAAUUAGAGGCUAAAUUGAAGAAAUUCUCAGCCAAAGACCAAUAUGCAAAAGAUGCCAAACUAUAGGAGCUAAAUUGACAAAAAUCGAGGAUGAAAUUGAAGAAAUUGAAAAUUCAAAGGUCAAUUAGGGGUUCAAUUGAACAAAUCUGAGACCAAGGAUCAUAUUGUAAAAGGAGCAUAAAUCCGGGGCUCAAACAGUAAUUUCUCAAGGGCUUAAUUGCAUUAAAUUGAAAGUUUAGGGUCAAAUAGGGGUUCUAUUGAAAGCAUAUUAAAAUUGAAGGACUAAAUUGAAAAUCAGUUUGGAAUAUAUAAAAAGACAGGAGAGAACCAAACAACGCGUCGUCUAGUUACUGUUCAUUGUCUUCUCCUUUUACCCGAAAAAAACUAGUAUAUUUACCUAAUUUGCAGGCUCAUUUAAUGCAUCUAACAUCCAUCAAAUUUGACAAAUCUUGCACGAAAAUGAUUCUCUACACUUUCUCUACAACCCCAUAUGGCCCGUUCAGACUAAAUGACAACCUAUCGGCGUCGGCGCUAGCCUAAAUAGGCCAACUCAGGCAACUUUUUUCUGCAGAUUUGACAGUUCACCAUGCCUACUUUGAGCCAACGGUUGUGAUCCUUCCCGACUGAAUCAAGGGCUGAAAUGUUUCCCAGUAUAGAUAAGAUUGCCUUCUUCCACUGCCUAUAAAUAGAGGUUGAUUUCAUGGCCUAAGGGAGGAGAAAAUAGAGCCAUCACCAGUACCUCCACCACAGGUAGCUAGCCCAACCACAAGCCGACCACCCCCACACCUGAAACAGUCAUCGUUUAUUCCUCUAUCUCACCUCUGUAAAAUCCUUUUUCCUUCCCCCUUGAUCGACUCCCGCCACCAUUCCUCCCAGCAACGCCACUGAAAUCAUCAGCUCAACCUCCUAAUCACAACUGAUACUCAUUUGUCAAGUGAGUCGCUCCUUCGUUGGCCUCCAUUUCUGAAACCAUUUCGGCUACAUACAGAACGUGAACUACUGCUCAUGUUCUGCACAUAAUAAACUUUAGGAUGGGCUGCACCUGUUCCAGCCCACCCCACCACCUAAAAAGAGACAGUUUUGUGAGGUCGAUUUCAGCCCAACCCACUUAUUUAAUAUUAUAUAAUAUAUAUUAUAUUAUAAUAUUAUAUUUUAAAAAAUAAAACAUCCAAUUUAUUUUUUUCAAAAAUCAUUUUAAAAAUAAAUUGUGAUUUUCUCGCAUAUUUUUCUACCCAUUUUGCAUGAUAUCGGGUUGUAUAUUUACACAGUAAAAUAUAAAUCCGGUAUUAAAAUACUCGGUUUUCUCUGAAAUAUUUCAAAAAAAAAAGUCAAGAAAUCUAAAAAACUUUUAAAUCAAUUUCCCGUUUUAAAACAAUAUAUUUUAUUUUCAUGCAUAUGACCAAAUCCUAAAAUUUUACAAGUAUAUCUUCAUAAAAAAACAAAAAUUGCAUCUUUUUCAUGUUAAAAAAAAAAAUCAAAAAUGGAUAUCGUUACCAGUUUAUGAUUAUCCAUUAGGAUUUGGCCAACAUGUCAAAAAAAAAUUUCCAAUUUUUUUUUAGGAUCCAGAUGUAGACUUUAAUAUUUGUGGGGUAUAAAGUUACCUGAUAAAGUACACCCUCAGGUAUUAAAAAUACAAGGUGUAAAAAUACGAUGCUAAAAUUUAGACUUUAGAACGGUUAGGAUUUAACCCUAUAAGGUAGAAACUCCCUUAUGAAUAGAGAUAUGCCUUGAAUCUUAGAAAUGACCAACGAAUAGAAACUCGACCUAGAGAUACAAUCAAACAACAAAGUAGCCUACCUUAGGUAAGGUGCACUGGGUGACACGUCUCCCCCUUGCAUAACCAGUUCCUUACCCAGACUCUCGCAAAUCAUAGGUUCCUAGUGACCGUAAUACUAGGUCGCGACUCUUAAAUAUUAAUCAUAAUUUUAUGAUUAAAUCCAAAAAAAAAUUUCCAUCACCUCACAAAGAAGGCAUCACACAAGUCUCCACCAUCGCUAGAUGACGUUGCGUUGGUCGCACCCCCACGACAGCAGGAAAGUAGUUUCCUUUUGAAAAAUGGUUUCCUUGAAAAGUGAAUUCCAGAAAAGUAAAUUAUUUUUCUAUAUUUGGUAGUGUCAUGUAAAGUAAGUUGAAAACUAUUUUCCAGUGUUUGGUUAUGUUAUAUAAAAUAAGCUGUAAAAUAGUUUAUUAAAAUAAUAAGGAACAAAUCUUACAAAUUAAAAAGUUGAAUGAGAAUGGAAUUGAAAAAAAAAUCUAAUUUCAUAAAUUAUCUAAAAUAAAAUAAAUAAAAAUUAACAUAAUAGAGAUCAAAUCUAAUAGAUAAAAAAAUUAAAAGAUGAUGAAAUUAAAAUAAUAAUUACUAUUUCAUAAAUUAUUUUAAAUAAAAUAAGUAAAAAUAAAAAGAAUGAGGACCAAAUUUGAUAGAUAAAAAAUUUCAAUUUAAAAAAUGAUAAGAGAAAAGUAAAUAACAAUUAUAAAAAUAAGUAUCAAAGUUAAUAUAAAAAUCAAAUUAAAUCAAAUUUUAAGGGAUGAAUUUGAAAAAAAAAAUUCAAACAAAAUAUAUAGCAAUCAAAGUUUGAAGAUCAAAUUUGACAUAAUCAGCAAAUAAUAUAAUAUUUUUAAAUUUUUCACAACUUCUGGAAAGUAUUUUCCGUCCAAAAUAAAAAGAAAACACUUUCCUGUAAAUCAAGCCAAAUUUUUAUUUGAUAGGAAAGUGUUUUCCGUUAACAGGAAAAUAUUUUUCGUUGACCGAAAAAUGUUUUCCGUUUCCUAAUAGCAAAUAAACACAUGAAAGUUUGAAAAGUGAUUUUCCAGAAACUAUUUCUGGGAAACAAACACACCUUUAGAAGUAUGACUACUUGAACUAGUGACAUAUGACCACCAAAAGUAACCACUACAACAACUAUGUCCCAAAACUGAAGCAAACGAAAAACAAUACAAGAAAGAUUGAAGAAUAAAAUAGAAAAACAAAACAAUAUAAGAUUUUGCCUAAUAAGAUCACACCAUAAACUCUAAUUCAAAAUUUCAUUGCACAAAUAUUAUGCUAAAAAACUCCUUAUUUGAGCUAUUCUAUUCUAUUUAUAUAUUAGUCUAAACUAUUUAUAUACUAGUCAAAAGUUCUGAACAAAAUUGAAAAAAUAAUAUUUUUUUAAACCAAACAAAAAAAAUCUAAUUCAAAUAAGAAAAUACAACAAAUCUUGAAAGCAUAAAGCCUUCUCAAUCUUUACAUUGAAACAUUGAAAUUUGAAGCCAUAACCUUGACUUAUGGUUUGUUAGCUAUUGAUUCAAGUUUAAUGGAUGAUUUUUAUUCAUUGGGGCGCACCUCCCUAUUAUUCUGGUUAAAAUCAAAGUUAUUUUUAUUAAUUAUCUUGAAAACUUGUUGUUUCUCCACGAUCAAAACCCCUAAUAAGCUUUUGAAAAUGUCCACAAAGAUUGCAAACACAACACAACUUGGAUGGACUGUCAUAAUCCAUUUAGGUUCCUGGCAACCAAUCACUUUUCUCUCCUACAAGAUAUUGCCUAAGGAACCAUGGUCACUCUCCUCCUAACUAUGUUCAUGCGGGUCUCUCUAAUUCAACCGAUAAGCCAAUUUUAUAAUUUACCUCUACAUGUUUUUUUAUUAUGAGCUCUUAGACGUUUCUCUCCUGCAAAUGAACCUCCACAUCCCCUCCCUCACCAUGCCAUACUUUAUAACCUCUUCCUAUCAUGUUUGUUAGCAGCACAUAACAAGCAACAAUUUGAGAUUGUUGAGCUCUGAUAUCAACUAACACAAAUAAAAUAACAUAAGAAAGAUAGAAGAAUAAGCAACAUAAAAUCUUAUUGAAUAGUGUCAUACCACAAAUUCUAAUUUCAAAUUUUAUCAUUGAAUAUUUCAUAACUAUUCUAAUACAAAAAACUCUCUAUUACAUCUCUUCUAGGCUACUUAUAUAUUAUUAAAAAGUUCUAAACAAAACUGAAAAAAUAAUAAAAUAGUUUCAAAUCAAGUAGAAAUUUUUUUCCUAAAUCAACUAGUAAAAUAUAACAAAUCUUUAACAAUAACUUCUAGGCAUUAUUGUAAUGCCUUCUCAAUCGUCGAUUAAGAUUUAUGUAUGUUAACAUAAAACUGCGUGUUAGGAAAAAAUCUCUUACAUACAAAGCAUAAUCUAAAAUGAAUUUGGUUGGGUGAUAAAAUCGCUAGGUAUUUAAGUAAAACUAUAUCACAAUCAAUCAUUGCACAACAACAAGCAUUACCAAGUGGUUUUGGACUUUAGCAUAGUAUAAAAAAAUAGUAAGAUAACACAAUACAAGAAAUAUUUAGGUAAAUAAAAUAGUUUAGAGAGUUGUAGUUGACAUCCGCGACUCUCUUAAAUGAUAAAUAGGUUGACACAGUUGUACAACAAAAAGAGAAAGGAGAGGAGAUCAAAAAAAGAAAAGGGAAAGACCUCGGAGAUAUCAAAACUCUAAUGAUGACACCAUCAAUACCAACGAUGAACGAAGUGGACCACACAAGCCGUUUAAAGAUGUCAGAGCUCAAUUAUCUUUGGACAGCUCUAAUCACCGUUGAUGAUAUUUCUUGGUAUCAUUUGAAUUGUUUUUUUUAGAUCUUUUCAACAGUACUGGUGAUGUAGUCAUUAGAGCUAGAAUCUAUUUUUUUUUUCUCAAUCCUCUUUCCUCAUAAUUUGUGAAGAGAGAAGAGAAAAAAAUAUGUGUAUGUAUCAUGAAGACACAUUAAAACUAUGAUUUGAACACUACUAUUACUGUUGAAAAGAUCAUAACAAAACAAAUUUAACAACAUUAAAAAAAGUUAUCAAUAAUGACCAGAAUGGACUACACAAUCGCCUAAAAGCAAGUGAUUACUAACACUUUUAAACAGCUCGUGUGGUUCACUCCAUUCAUCGUUAGUGAUUUAUAUGAAUAUUACUUAAUUCAUUUUACCAAGAUCUUCUUAACAAUACCAAUGAUGUUAUUAUUGAAGUUUUCUCUAAAAUCUUUUUAUUUUAUUGUAAAUUAUGCCUAUGAAAUUUCAAUAUGUCUCUAAAAUCUCUUUUUAUUUUUUUUCUUUUCUCUCUCUUUAUUAUAAAUUAUACCAUCCUAUUUUAUUAUUUAAGAGUUGCAUAUAACACUUGCCCAUACAUGGCAGUCUUUGAUAAGCUAGAAUGUCGACGUGCGAUGUUGGCAAAAAUACGAAAAACAAAUAGCAUUUUCACAACAGAAGUACUGCUUGAAGUUAACUAUUAUUGAGACAACAGCAGUCAGGCCCGUCGCCUUUUUGUAAACUGUGGAGACAACAAAACCAAUUUGAAAGAUGCACACCCACCAAGAAACAAGCAAUGCAAUAUUGCCUGAAAAAUAACUCCACAUAUUGGAAAGACUCCAAAGCAUGUAACAGAAAAAGAGUAGAACAAAAGUAAACCAGUAAAUCCAUACAUCCUAUAACAAACGAAGGAAAGAUUCAGAUUUCAUGUCUUUAGGCCUCAUCCCCGUAUGCUUCCUCCUCAUCUUCAAACUCGCCUUCCUCAUCAGCAGUUGCAUCCUGGUAUUGCUGGUACUCUGAGACCAAAUCAUUCAUGUUGCUCUCAGCCUCUGUAAAUUCCAUCUCAUCCAUUCCCUCUCCAGUGUACCAAUGCAAGAAGGCCUUCCUGCGGAACAUAGCAGUGAACUGCUCACUAACUCUUCUGAACAUUUCUUGGAUUGAUGUGGAGUUGCCAAUGAAAGUGGAAGCCAUUGUCAAGCCUGUAGGAGGGAUGUCACAGACCGUGGACUUGACAUUGUUGGGGAUCCAUUCAACAAAGUAGGACGAGUUCUUGUUUUGGACAUUGAUCAUCUGCUCGUCAACUUCCUUUGUGCUCAUUUUGCCACGAAACAUUGCAGAUGCUGUGAGAUAUCUGCCAUGGCGAGGAUCAGCAGCACACAUCAUGUUCUUGGCAUCCCACAUUUGUUGGGUGAGUUCAGGUACAGUCAGGGCACGGUAUUGCUGAGAGCCACGGGAUGUGAGAGGCGCAAAGCCAACCAUGAAAAAAUGAAGCCGGGGGAAUGGGAUGAGGUUCACAGCAAGUUUGCGAAGGUCUGAGUUGAGCUGACCGGGGAAACGAAGGCAGCAUGUAACACCACUCAUGGUGGCAGAAAUCAGGUGGUUCAGAUCCCCAACUGAUAAACAAAAUUUUCCAGUUAGUUACCAUAAAGAGUAAAGGCAUCUAUCACAUUGAUCAUCACAUCACGGUGAAAAACUAUAUAAUGUAACAGGGAAAGAAAAUUCUCCAAAGUCCCAAAUUUAUUUAUUCUGCGGUUAAAAAAAAAAUUCUUCUCAAAACGUAGGCUUUAUAAAUAUAAGUUACACAGCAACAAAAGAUGAUUGUUACUUGUAGCAAGCCAUGGACAACCAUGUGAUAAACAAUGAGCGUAUCAAAACAAGUAUUAAUGUGGUUAAAGCUAUUAUCCAAGCAAUGAAGCAUUACUAAAAAUGGCAGGACCUAUGAAACUUGGAGGUUCCGUUUGGAAAAACAAUGGUUUUUAGUUGUCAAAACCUUCAUUUCAUAGCGCUUUUGACUUGUGGAAUUUAGAUAGCUUUCAAAACAGCUCUUAGAAUUUUACCAAACACCUCAAGGCUAAGAAAGAAAGCCCAAAAGCCAGGGUUAACAAACGGACACCUAAUCUUAUAUCUUAAACAGCCAUAGCAAAUGAGGCCCAUGUGCACUCACAACUGCAUUUGUGAGUCCAAGUACAGCAUCGAUGCACCACGUUAAUAAGCAUACCCUAAGUGCCAUGAUAGUGCAGCCGCGUGGUUGGCCGCACUACCCUUAAGACAGAGAAGAAUGGGAAAACCAUUUGACGAGUAAUUGAGGAUAUAUUUGUGCACCUACCAUACCAUGAGCACACAGUUUAUUCACGUUCUCAUCCCUAUAGGUACACUAGAGUAUUGUUUCCAAUUCUUGACACAGCAAAUUCCCCGUUUAAAAUAAAGGCCCAAACCAAACUCACCAAAUACCAUCUCACAUCAUGAAUCAUGAUUGCGUUUUCCCUAGUUCAGUUUCCAGGAAAAAAAUGAUCGAAAAACAAAAUAAAAGAAAAACUAUAUUAAAUUAAACAAACAAACAACCAAACCAUUUUCAAUUGGAUAUUGAGAGGGAGGGAGCAAUGGAAGGUUAUCGUUGAAAGGGGUGCUUACAGCUGGGAGUUGUGAGCUUGAGAGUACGGAAGCAGAUAUCAUAAAGGGCUUCAUUAUCAAGAACCAUACACUCAUCUGCAUUUUCAACAAGCUGGUGAACAGAGAGAGUUGCAUUGUAAGGCUCGACCACGGUGUCCGAGACCUUUGGAGAUGGGAACACUGAGAAUGUGAGCAUCAUUCGAUCUGGGUAUUCCUCUCUUAUUUUCGAGAUCAAUAGUGUUCCCAUUCCGGACCCUGUACCACCUCCCAAUGAGUGGCAUACCUGAAACCCUGCAAUUUUCACCAUACUGAUUUUUAACUGCUUAUACAUUAUUAGCACACGUAACUCUAACACAAGAAUUUUUCCCCUCAUUUUCUUGAGAAACAAACAACAAGAGUAAAGGCACAAACCAAAGACCAAACAACCUUACCUUGCAAGCAGUCACAGUUCUCAGCCUCCUUUCUCACAACAUCAAGAACAGAAUCAAUCAACUCGGCUCCCUCAGUAUAAUGCCCUUUAGCCCAGUUAUUACCGGCACCAGAUUGCCCAAACACAAAAUUAUCCGGUCUAAAUAUCUGCCCAAACGGACCAGAUCUAACACUAUCCAUAGUGCCCGGUUCAAGAUCCAUUAAAACAGCGCGAGGCACAAACCUUCCACAACUGGCUUCGUUAUAGUAAACAUUAACUCGCUCUAGUUGAAGAGCUGAGUCACCUUGGUACCGACCCGUUGAGUCAAUCCCGUGUUCUGCACAUACCACUUCCCAAAACUUUGCUCCUAUUUGGUUUCCACAUUGACCUCCUUGGAUGUGAAGGAUUUCCCUCAUUUUCUCGGGAAAGUGAGGGGAAGUGUAGUUGUUGUUUCUUUGUUUUCUAGGGAGUGGGAGCGUGUGUUUUGUGGGUUUCUUGUUUGCUUAUAAGGAGGAGGAUUUGACGGUUUCUGUUAGUUGACGGCGGGGGAAGUGAUUGACGUUUGGUUUUGGUGGGAACUUGAGAUUUUUUAAAUUUGGUUUUGAUUCUCUGGUGGAGGAGCAGGGAUUUUUGUUACUGCAGUUGACACGUGGACUGUAAAAGUCUGUUAUGUGGAUAUCAUUAAUUUAGGCUGGGUUACGAGAGACUUUUUGGGAGUAGUUUCUGUUUUUAGAUGUUUUUUUUAAUAGUUGAUUUUAAAAAUAAAGAAGUAUUUUAAUUUAUUUUAAAUAAAAAAUAUUUUAAAAAAAUAACCUACAUGUACUCGUGAUGAAGCGCCAACAUGGGAGGAGGGAGUGAAUGAAACCGCGAAGAGUAGUGGGUGGGUUCGUAGUUUGACAUGUGGAAUGAGGUGAUUGGUUAAGGGGGCUGAGUAAUUUUUCGGAUUUUGUUUUUUUUUUUAAUUAAAAGGUCACAUAUUAAUGAUUGCAUCAAACGGCUAAGAUCGACGGAAGAGGAAACUUGGGGGCUACUUCAUCAUCAGUGAUGAUCCGACAAAAGGUAGACAUCGCAGGAUUGGAAAUUGCAACCUAAGCAAAGAAACAGCAGUAAGAAAACAGGAAAAAAGAAGAAGAAAUACGACAGCUAUGAACGAGGAGGAGGAGAUGCAAAGAGCUGAUCAUGUGAGAACAGACUUAUCAAUCAAUUAUCGUCCAUCGCAGGUCGCAGCUAAAGAAAGAAAGAGGCUCGCUCGUAAACAAAGCUGACCAGCCACCCUCUUUUCUUCAUCAUCGUCAUCCAAGUUGAGAGGUCAAGUGAUGUGGUGCUGGGCCUUGUCGAUUGCCAUGGAAUAUGGUGGGGAGGAUCUUAAGUGGUGGAGAUGAUUGAUUGAUAGGUCAUUGAUGCCCUACGAGUGAUCAAUUUGGGCUUAGAAUUGGUUCUUUUUUGUUUUCCGACAAUAUUUCAAUCGGUAGGCUUCAACUACAAGGCAAGCUGAGCUAUAUUAAUGCUCAUGAUGAUUGAAAGUUCUUGGGUCACGUUUAGGUUUUUUUUUUUUUUUCCUCUUAUUUAUUAUUCGCCAAGUUUCCUCGUAUGGAAGGUGGAAUCCAAUUUGGUGGUGCCAUUAUCCAAAUUAUUUUUUCUUUUCAUUUUUUGUAAUCUUCAUGAUUGAACAUCCUUAGAUCAUGUUAUGUGUUGCCUUUUUACUCAAUUAUUGUCCAAGUUUCCACAAUUGUUUGAAGUAAAACUAUAAAACGAAUAGAUUGUUGGAAUCAUCCACUUAAGAAUCCAUUUUAAUGGUAUUAUUACCAAAUUGACAAAUAAUCAACUGGUCCUAGCUUCUUACCCUUUCAUGCAUCUCCAUCAUAUUUGAUGGAAAAUGUCAGGGAAAAAAAUUACAGGUUAACAUUAACAAAACAAUGUAAUAGUAUUUUGUAUUUUUUUUAUUCAGUUAUUUUUUUUAAUUUUAUCCUUUAAUAUUAUGUUGUUUUGAAAAAAUACUGGUUAACAUUUUAUUAUUUUUCUUGGGCCGCUUUUUUUAAGAAUUUUUUUUGCUACUUUUUCUAAUUGAUUUUUUUAUUUCAUCCUUUAAUAUUAGGUUAAUUGAAAAUCGAGCUUCAAAAUUUUUUUUGAUUUACUUUCUAUAAGUUAUCUCAAUCUCAUAACUUAAAUCGUUGGUUUGAUAAGUUGACUUAAAUUGAUUAUGUUCACUUUUUGAGGUACUUUUUAAUUAAAUAUGUUUUAAUUGAGCUUUAUAAUUUUUUUUCAAUUUUUUUUCUAUAGAGUUGUCUCGAUCUCAUGGCUUGAGUUGCGGGUUUAGUAGGUUAACUCGAUUUUUUUAUUAUUUUUUUUAAUUGAUUUUUUUUCUAUAUUAUAUUGUUUAGAAAUUGAAUUUCAUAAUAUUUUUUUAAUUUACUUUAUGUAGUUAUCCAAUCUCAUAAAUUUAAUUUUUUUAUUUUAACUUUUAAUAUUAAAUUUAUUAAAAAUAAAACCUCAUAAAAUCAAUCCAACCUACAGCGCAACCCAUCUGAGUAACCUAGUCUCCAUCAUGUCAUGUCGUGUUCGAUGUUUACCUGUAUUUUUGGACUUAUCAACGUUGCAUGAUCCAAAAGAACACAUUUAACCAAAAAUAGAUAGUUUUAGCUUACAAGUUUAGAGGUAGACAUUAUAAGGCAGGAGCCACACAAAAUCGCAACAAUAACAGCCAUCAUUUUCUCUUCCAAACUCCACCUCUCAUGACCCCAACAAACAAGGAUCUCCAUUCUCUUUCUUAACUCUCAUCGGUCCUCUGUGCUCCCUCUCCCUUCGUCCCUUCUCCACAAUUCACAAGGCCCGACCUUCUUCGGUGGCAAAAUGGUAUGUUCUUGCUUCCUUUCUACCUCUCCAUUGCACGAAAAUAUUGCUAUCGAAAACUAUCAUGCGUGAUUAUAAUUUCAAAUUCGAGUUCCUUUAAGGCGACAGCCAUCCUCUCUUGCCAUUCUGAAUACAUGAUUGUUUUUUCUCACCUAAAUUCAAUUUCUUCGUCAAAUUUCACAGUGACAGGAAAGUUCUUAUGGACUUUACUUAAAAUGUUAAUCAUCGUAAAAUGAGCUCCCAUUGUCUCACAUUAUAUUCAAGCAUCUUUUAAAGCUAUCCAAUCUAAAUAUAUUCUUAAUUUGUCCAGUUAUUGAUUUUGGACCUGAGAAAGUUCCCCUGCUUUCUCCCCAUUCCAUGAAAUCACUCCUCCUUUCCAAAUAUAGCGAGAAAAUUGACUUUUGAACAAAUGCCAGGGCAAAACAGUGUUGAUCUCAUCUCAUCCGAGUCACAAACAGUUGCAUUGGAUUUAGUCAAACCCAAAACUCGCAUCAUAUGUACUGAGUGUCAAAUCUUAAAUUAAAGAUUACAAAUAUUUCCUUUCUGCUUAAUGACGAUUAAUUAUUAACUAUAGUGAGCUAUAGUUUCAUUUUUAUUAUUACUGUUUUUAAUACAUGGCACAGGCGAAUUCAGCAUCUGGAAUGGCUGUUGAUGACGAGUGCAAGCUGAGGUUCAUGGAGCUUAAAGCAAAAAGGAGCCACCGAUUUAUCGUCUUCAAGAUUGAAGAAAAGAUCCAACAAGUGGUGGUGGAGACAUUGGGAGAACCUCAACAAAGCUACGAUGAUUUCACUGCCAGUUUGCCAGCCAACGAGUGCCGAUAUGCUGUCUACGAUUUCGAUUUUACUACCGAUGAAAACGUUCAAAAGAGCAAAAUUUUCUUCGUUGCAUGGUAACAUCAAGGAAACAUUGCAAUUGAAUUAUCUUUUUUAUUGCAAGUUUUAUUUUUAUUUUUUUAAUGUGAGUUUAUACUUGUCAUUAUCUAAAAUUAAUAUCGUUCAUAUUUGGUUUCAGGUCACCUGACACAUCGAAGAUAAGAAGUAAGAUGUUGUAUGCUAGUUCAAGGGAUAGAUUCAGGAGAGAGCUUGAUGGGGUUCAAGUUGAGUUACAGGCGACAGAUCCUAGCGAAAUAAGCUUGGACAUUGUCAAGGAACGAGCUUUCUAAACAAAGUUUUUAAUGGAGAUUUCUUUUACCUGGCACUCUAAAUUAUUAGAGCCAAGAUUAUUUUGUACUCUUACCAUACAGAACCUUAUAUUGGCUGGUCACUUGAGUUGUGGUAGAAUUGGUCACUUUAGGGACUAUUUCUAUUAUCAACUGACUUUUCCGGCAGGAUUUCUGAUAGGGUGCGAUUUUCAUCGUAAUCAGGCCAAUCUGAUUUUCAAUCUUGAUUUUUACUUGGGACGAUUUUUAUUUUAUUUUAUCUUAUUGGGUUUAUUCGAGCAUUUGAAUGGGAAUGAAAGUUUCAGCUCUCUCUCUCCAUGUAUAUUUGAGAAUGUUGAGUUGUUAAUUUAAUGGUGAUUUUUUUUUUCAUACUAGAGUUGUAAUGACCUGUGCAUCACUUGGGAUGAGGAUACAUUAGAGUAGAAAACAAAAUUUUAAUUUAUUUAUUUUAUGAAGGAUGUAAUUGGGUCUGCCAUAUAUGUAUAAAAAUAAAUCAACAAUGCUCAGUGUUUGUGCCCUCUGAAAAUAAUCAUUAUGAAUUAUAAAGUGAUUUCUCUUUUUUUGUCCUUAGGAAUUUUUUUUUAUUUUAAUCCCACAAUUUUUUAUUUCUCAAAUCAGUACUUAGUUCAAACAAUUCUUUUCUAGAAAAGACAAGACACCAGACCAGUUAUCUCUCAAGAUAUCUUUUAAGUCUUUAUAUGUCAUACACUUAAAGACUUGGUAGGUAACUAAUGAGUAAAUAUUGUUUAUUCAAAUAUUUUUGUGCAUCAAAAGAGUCUAAGACAAUGUGGGCAUAGUAAGUUAUCAAACCCAAUACACUAGAGUUCAGUCAUCAGCUGAGCCCAAUGCAACAUGAGUGUAACAAGAUAUCAGAAUUAAGUAUACUUGAGUUCAGACAUCCACUAAACUCAAGGUGUUACGAUUUUUUAUGAACAUUUAUAUCAUUUUCAUCUGAGUUUGGCUAUAUACCAAGUCCAAUUAGUCUUAGAAACUUAAGCCUAUGAAGUUCUAUUUUAUAUUAAUGGCAUGACAUACUUGUGUUAGAGAUAAUCAUCUCUCUAUAUCUAUAAAUAUAUGAAAGAUUUUUCAAAUGAUUAACCAUAUUUUUUAUCUCAUUAAUGAUUUGUAAUAAAUAUUUAUUAUUUAUUAAUGAUGAUGUGUAAGAGAUGUUUAUCUCUUAUUAAGGUCAUCAAGUGGAGAUGACCCUUUAAGUUCUUGUCUUUAUCAAAACGACAAGGUUCGGGGAUAUAAAUACCCUUUUAACAACCCAGGUAAUUAAAAGGUUCAUAUCUUUUCUUACUAAAAAAGCUUAUAUAUUUUAUAGCAUUAAUCACUCUAAAAAAUAAAAACAAACACUUGUUCUUGGAAUUUAAAGCUAUUUCUCUUAUUUAUUGGCUUUUCCAUAAAAGUUGUUGAUUCUAUCAUCGGAGAAUCUUUAAAUCUCACCGAUAAAGAUUGUUUUUGUAGGUGCUAAGUCUUUUAUUAUUAAUUUGAGACUUCUCGAGUUAAGGAGAAGAAAACUAAUUAAAUAAACAUUUUGAUUAACAAAUUAUCAAAAACUUGCAAAUUGUGACAGAUAGUUAGAUAAUUUAUGGGUCUAAUAUACAUUACAUCACAUAAGAACUUAGCAUUAAUGCAAAUUGUGAGUGAAAAAUGGAAGUGUAAAUUGUGAAAGAAAAACUUGGGAACGGAUCAUGACUUUAAAAAUUCUAUGCAAUCUGGCACCGAAAAAAAAAUGAUAUUAGCUAAAGUUCUCGCGUGUUGAAUUGAUCACAAAAAUUUCCCUCUACACUUAAGUCAAUAUAAAUAAAAAAUUUCUGAUGUGUACAUUCUGAAGACUGUUCACAGUUUAUGGUGCAUCAAUCCGUACACAGUCACAAGUGCCAUGAUAAAGGAAUGAUCAGUAUGAGGCUCCACCGCCAAGGUUAGUACAUCAUCCCCUAAUAAUACACCCUUGGAUGACUGCUUUCUCUUGGCCUGCACACGCACCAACCACAAAAACUAAAUGUUAAUAACAUGGCCUCUAACAUAAGAUUUAUAGAGGCUGAACUAUAAAAUAUAUAACCGAGUCCCAAAUCGUAAAUUUACAUUUCAGGAAAAUCAGAAGCAUACCUCUGCAACAAUUUCCCCAUUGCUGUUUGUAAUCUUGAAUGCUAAUUUUCCAGACAAGGCUUCUAACUUGUAGUAGCAACUCUCUCGAGCAUCACUGGAUCGAACAGCAAUUUGACAGGAUAGAUCACGUUCGAAUAUUUCUGAACAUCUUUUAACUUGGAAAUAAGGCUCUUGAGGCUUUGAUUUUAAGCCAUCGCUUUUGUAACCCCUCCAUUGUCUGAAAAGGAAUAGUUUCUGCAGUGAUUGAAGAAAAAGCACAUUAAUCUUUGUGACAAAAUUCUUUAAAAUGAUCAGAUUGAUCAUAAAUACAUGCUUGGAAAUCACAUGAACAUACCCUUCUAAGUAUAGUGAAUAGAACAUUUCCCUUGAGAUCCAUGAGGUAAACUUCAUUGCUUCCGGCCUUCUUGUCAUAAUUAUCAACUCGGUAAACAAUCUCACCGUUUUUAUUAAAAACAGUGCAUCCAUUUGUUUGCAUCAAAAGUGAUUUCAUCCAUAUAGUGAAUGUUUCUGGCUUUGAAGACAUGCAAGAGGUAGAAGCAGAGCAAGAAGAAGAGUCAACUUGUGGGAAAGCAUGAACCUUGGCCAUCAGUUGAAUUAAGCGAGCGUGGCUAGCUGGUGGAUGGAGAUCAGUUAGCUCUGCAGGUGGUUCCUUGAACUUCAAGCGAGGACUCGAUGAUGUUUAUGCGGUUUGUAAUGUGUAUAUAUAUAUAGGGAAGCGUAGUACAAAAGAAGAAUAUAAGAAAUAAAAUAUAAAAUGUUUUAAUUUAUUACAAAGUCACACGUUUAUGGUAUGCAUAGGCCUUUACACUUUCUUUGGAGUAUUUGAGUAUUAUACUACGAGGUUCUCAUCUUGUACUACAGUUCCUUUCUUGUUUUUCUUCACUUGGAAGACUUGGAUCGAUCGAGGCAAACAUGCAUGGCUUUGAAAAGGGUGUUGUUUUCUUUUAAUUAUAUAGAUGGCUGGCUCUAUGACAUUAUGCCAUUCUUUGUUUUUGCUUAAACCAUGUGUGUUCCAACGUUUAAUUAAUUAUAUGAAAUCCAAUCGAUGAUCUGGUUGUGCUUGUGUACGAUAGGUAGAGUAGGUAGCACUUUCCUAUAUUACUAUCUUUGCAUAAUUAUUUUUACUAUAUUGUUUUUAAUUGUUAGGUUUUGAGAGUUUUUGUACAAUUCUUACACACAGUUUAAUGAACAUAAGCACAUUUUUUUAUCCAUUUGUUGGAUCAGGUUCAGAAUCUUGCCAUAGAAGGAUUAAUUAUAAAGUGGUACUGGCUUGCCAGCUAUUUUAAUUUGUCUUGAGGCCACCAUUAGAUCUAGAAGAUAUAUACUAUUUCAGAAAUUUCAUUAAUUAUUUUUCUUGUUGUUUUUAAAUUAAUCUUUCUCCUAUUAAUUUAAUCAGAAUUUUAAUAGAGUUUUUUUUUGUUUAAACAAUUUUAUAGGUUAUUUUUUCAAGAUAAUUUCUGAAAUAAAGAUCUUUUAGAAUAUAUCAAAGUGAUAUACAUAUAUAACCUUAAACGGAGCCAAACACAAAAAAGAAGCAGCUUGAGGCAAUAAUAGUGGUUAAAAUGAUUGAUGCAUGAUGCUCCUAUUGUUGACAUUUCAAUCAAUAUUGAUAAAAAAAGAUUUGGAAAAAGAUUCAAUCCCAACUCACACAUACUUAGUGUUCUAACUUCAAUUACCAAUAUUGCUGAUGGUAAAUCUAGAGGUACAUGAACACGAAGUAGAGGUGAAAUUAUUCAUGGGACAAUACAUGUUAAAAACCCAGAGAAACAUGAAGUAAAGGCACAAUGAUCUAAAGUUAGUGAAUAUUUUCUAUUUAAAUUAGACCCGAAAACUAUUGUUUCAGAAUUUUCAUUGUUUUCCUUCUUGUUUUGGAUUAUUUUUCUUUAGAGUUUUAUUAAUUAGGAUGUUUUCUUGUAUUUAAACAUACCUGUAGGCUUUUUUUUUAAAAGAUGAUUUAUAAAUAAAAACCUUUCAAAAUAUAAAUGAGGGCAUCCCCAUGAGGACUACUAACUUUCUAAUAUGCCAUCUCCUGAUCUCUACAACUUAGCAAAUCCUAGAAAGAGGUUUAAAAAAUGAAUUGGAUCUCACAAUGAUGCGAAGGAGAUUCGCAUUAUCAAGCUUUUGAGUUUUCUAGUUUUUAUUUGUUCAUUCAUAGAUAUCUUCACUACCCUUUAUUUAAUAAACAUAUAAAUUAUAUUAUUAUUUUUUUGUAUCAAUCACUAUAGAUAUAGAGAUAUUAUAUUGUGGAUUGUUAUUGUGUGGUGAUGAUUAUAUCCUUUAAAGAGAAUUUUGGUUGCCCUGGUUUUGAGAAUAAAUUUGUCUUUUCAGAAACACCAAUUGAUCAUUAAUAAAUGAUUGUCAAGGGUUACUUUCAUCUUUUUUAUUUUCUCAAAUUACUAUAAUUACUUAGUUUCCCCCAAGCUAAAAAGAAAUAAACUGCUAGGCAAGGAUGUUUAUGCCUUUAUAUUUUUUGCAAGAUUAUGAAAUGACCUUUCUACCCAUACAUUCAGGAAAAAAUAAGGAAAGGAUUCAGAGGUGAUUUUGUCUUUUCACAUUGGUUUUUUUAUGAAUAAUGGAAUCACAAGGGGUGCUUUAGACUUUUUGCUCUGAUUAAUUAAUUUUUAAAUCAAAUAAUAGUUGGCGUGUGGGAUGCGGUAGCGAUCUUAUGGUGGCACAUGCGGUACAUCCCAUGGCCAAAUAUGUUGUUCCAUUAUGUCAUUAGAAGGGCUGCCUUGCCCUCUUUCUCAUAAUGGUAACAUAUGAUAGUGGUUCAUGGAUGGUUUUUCAACGGUGGUCAUUUUUUUUUAUUCCUUUUAGCUUCUCUCUUUCUCUCUCUCCUAUAAAAAGUGCACACCUAUCCUCUUUUUUAUUUGUUUCUCAAUUUUAGUUCUUAGAUUUUUUAUUGCUAAUUUUAGUCCUUGACUCUUUUGGGAAAAAAAUUAAUUUUUUUUUAAUUUCAUCCUUGAAUUACAAUUUGUCGUGGAUUUUUUUUUCUGACUCUUUUUUAAAAGUUUUGUUGUUUUUAAUUUCAUUCUUCAAGCAAAGCUUAUGUUAUUUUGCUUUUUCAAUUUAGUUCUCAUUCUUUUGAUUUUUUUUUUAUUAAAGUUUCUUUUCUUUUCAAUUUAACACUCUAAUACCAAUUUUUUAUGCCAUCUAAUUUAUUUUUUAUUUUGAUUCUCAUACUUUUGAUGCCCUCAUUCUUUUAAUUUUAAUUUUUUGUAUAAUAGAUUUUUUUUUCUGAUUUCAUCCUUUAAUAUUUGAUUUAUUAGAGAUUGAGCUUCGUGGUUUUUUAAUUUUUCAUACUUCCGAUAUAAUGAUACAGGUCACGAGUUUUAAGAGAUGAUAUAGUUAAAGAUUCCUUUUUUUUUCAUUUUUUUUUGUUUAUCAUUCUGCAUUAUUUGUUUUUUCAAAAAAUAUUGGUUUCGUUGUCCUUUUCAAGUUUUUUUCCUAUCAAUUUAUCCUGAUAUUUUUUAAUAGUUUUUUUUUUUAAAAAAAAUGCUUUGUUUUAUUUUAUAAAAAAUAAAGGAUAAAAAUUGAAUGCACAUCUAAUUGAUAUAGAAUUUUUUUUUAUUUACAAUUUCUCACUUUUUUCCUGUUUCUCUUUUAGUUAUUGUUAAUAACUAUUUUAUUUUUUUAUUUAUAUUAAUAAUUAUCAAUUUAUUCCAUUAGAAUGUGGAUAAAGCUUUCGAUUUAUUCUCUGAAUUUUUAAUAUAAAAAAACAUAUUAAAAUAACCUGUUUUUAAAAGACCUGUCUACCCAGGUUUUAUUUUUUAAAAUAAGUUACAGCGUGUGACAGAGUAGGAAUUAAAUAUCUAGUUUAAGAGAUUAGGCGACAUGGUUGAAUGUUCAUGUGGCUUUUUCAGGAAGCAAAAGACUCAAUUGGUUCUGUGGUUGGGGUAACAGAAAGAAACCAUCUUGGCUUGUGUGUUUGCGCAAGAGCCAGACCGCCGAUGACUUUUUCAUGGAAUCCGAUGCAUAACAUUUAAAAUUGUUCUGAUGACAAAGCGUUGGUGUUUAAAAAAAUGUAAGAAAGGUAAAGAACAAACAUGGUUUGCUUGUGUUUGGUUUUGAUUUUGUCGUUGAACAGCUUAUUUCAGAUCGGAGACCAAGAAAUAUUCUAAGUGCCUUCAGUUACACGUGUAUGUAUUGCAACAUUAUAAAAUAAUGGAACCCAACUAUUUAAAUGAUGUACGACAGCAUAUAUUGGUUUAUUUUUUUUUUAAUUGUGUACGCUUUUAUCCAAUUCUAUGCAUGAUAAAGUUCUAGCUGAACCAAAAAAAAAAGGAGAAAGUUUUGGCUUUUUUUUUUUCAAUUUGAAUUAUUGAGAGGUGGCUUACCUUGUACGCAGGGAGGGCCUUUCUCCAUUUAGUGAGGUUUAUUUAUUAUUAAUUUUUUAAAAAAAAGAGAGAGAGAAAACAACUCUAAUAAUAUUAUAUUUUUUGAGAAUCUGGCUGGAUGAUUAUUUCCUAAUAAUAAUUAUUAUUAUUGUUAUGACUUUGUCUGGCAUUUAAAAAGAGUGUCAACAAGUACAACGAGAAAAAUGAAGAGGAGCCUUUAUUAAUUGGUUUAAGGGUAGUGUUUUCCGGUAAUGAUAUUUUAAAAAAUAUUAUUUAAAAAUAUAUUAAAAUAAUUUUUUUUAUUUUUUAAAUUUUAUUUUUAACAUAAAUAUAUUAAAACAAUCUAAAAACUGUAAAAAAAAAAUUUAAAAUAAAAAAAAAUUAAUUUUAAAAAAAACAUGGUUUAACCAACAAAAUAAUUUUAAAAUAUUUUAUAAGGUGGGGUUUUAAUAUUAAUUAAGUUAGUACUCAUUUACAGAAAUUAAAUGAUAAUUAUUUGUUUUGCGCAGCACUUAUUAACUUCUGGGGACUCUGAUCCAUAUGGAGGGUUUAAGCAUACCCCGGCCGCCCUUUGCUCUAUAAUAUUCAAAAUUAAAAAAAAAAACUGGGAAAAAGAUGAUGCAGAAGCUCUAAUUAAUUAACCAUGAGGGUGUUCAAUGCAAGGAAUAAAAAAUAUAUAUAUUAUAUCAAAACUCAACAAAUUAUUAAAUAUCUUCUUUGAUAUAUUCUUUUACAGGGACCUUAGCUAUAUUUUCAUGUUAUCUUUGCCUCUUUUAUAGAGAAUUAUUUAUAUUUUUUAUUUUUUGGCAAACUCUACUAAUAUUGGAAAGGACUAGUACUUAGACAAAAGUUAGAUAACAGUUUUAUUUAUCUCUAGAUCCUUAAUAUUUUGCUCACAUAUAUUAAAAAGAAAAGUCUUUAAAAUAAAAAAAAUUAUAAAAACUAUAAUAACGAUGGUGAUGAUCAUGUGUCAUCACUAUCGCUAUUUGAGCUAGCAAUAGUGAUGAUCCUUCAAGUGCAGGAACUGCCCUUACGGGGGGAGGGGAUUGAAGCAUCCACAACCAACGGAUAUGCAUUAGCCAACAAUCCUGGAACAACAAAAACUCAACAUCAUAUUGUUAGCUGUCAAAUUGACGAUGAAUUUGUUACCACAUAUGAUCAUGGGAUUUGACUUGUGAGUUUGCAUUCAAGAAUGUACACCAGACAAAGACAUCCAUUGUAUUAUAUAUAUAUAUAUAUAUUGGUGACGUUACAUAUAUAUGAUUUCAAUACAAUAUCAUACAAGCUGCUUUAUUCUUCAUUCUUCACUGCGGCAUUUUAUACAGCGGCAUAAAAUCCUUCUAGCUCUCAACUUUCGGUAACAGGAAGCGUCACAUUUAGGAUCUCAAUUGUUUUCUCUGUAAACGUGGUUGGCACUGCGCAAACUUUUUGUAGACGGUGACCAUACAUACAUACAUACAUAUAUAUAUAUACAUAGCUGGAUAGUAAGUACUACAGCUGUGAUUGUAAAUAUCAAACCUUAUGAAAAGAUUUGGAAGUCGAAGGCUCCGCAGAAGAAUUAUUGUUUGGGGACUAGUCUGCAUGUUCUGUUGUAAAUAUGGGGAUUGCUGUCUCAUUGUGCAACAAAUCUAAAAGAUAGUAAGUAAUAUUCUACAGCUUAUGUUUGAUCAAUCCGUAGACAGUGACGAUUGCCAUUAUCAGGGAAUGAUCUACGUGAGGCUCCACAACCAAAGUUAGCACAUCUUCUCCCAGCGUCAUCCCCGAAGAUAAUUGUUUUUGCUUCACCUGCAUGCAUUAACCCAUCAAUCUGAAGAAUUUAGACCUUAAACCUGCCUUUGCAACAAGGAAAAGCUAAAAUCAAUAUGAGGAAACAGAAUACUAACCUCUGCAAUAACAUUUCCAUCAAUGCCUACGAUUCUAAAUGCUGUUUUGCUAGCCAAUUUCUCUACCCAAUAUUUCUCAAAUCCUACAGUAACUUGACAGGCAAAACUUCCCAUACAGAUAAAUCUGCAACAUUUCUUCACUUGAAACCAUGGCUUCUCCUUGUUGGCAUAACUAGAAUUCCAUCGAUAACCAUACCAACAUCCAAAACAAUGUAACCUCUGCAUGGAUAUCGAUAAAAAAAUAAAAAAAAAAACCCAUUUAUAAUUAAUAUGAUCACAAAAUUGCAUCAAACCAAUAUUAAUCACAAACAAUUACAAGAUUUAAUACCUUUCUUCGUAUUGUAACAAGAACUCUGCCUCGAAGAUCCAUGAGAUAGACCUUGUUCCUGCACUUCUUGUCAUAGUUGUCAACGCGAUAAACAAUGUCUCCAUCGGAAUCAAAGACUGUGCAACCAUUAGUUUGGCACAGAAGUGAUUUCAUCCAUAUAGUGUAUGUUUGCCUUUCAAAAGACACGAAAGGGUCUAACGUAGGUCUUUGACACUGAGGAAAAACCUUUGCCAUUAAUGUCAGGAAAGAAACUUUGUUUUUGAAAAUGGAGAUGAAUAUCUGCAUUCUGCAGGGCUAAUUUAUGUUCCAAACGCAUCUUGGAGUGCCAUGGUUCGAUUGAUUAUUAUUUAAUUGGAUUAUACCGUGUGAGACAGUUGUGAAGUCAACUAUAAUUAUGCUUUUGCCUUUGUAGAAAUUAAAAAUUAUUUCUUGAAGUGGAUACAUUUUCACCGAUGUAAUUCAAGUGGAUGACUUAUCAGCAACUUAACCCUAAUUAACAUAAGACUCUGACAAGAAGACAUAACUAAAGCACUUGCCAGUAAAGACGGUGUUCGAGAUUUAUGUAGAUAUUGUUUUUAAAUUUUUUUUAAAAUUUAAUAUUAAUAUCAGUAUAUUAAAAUAAUUUAAAAUUAAAAAAAUAUAUUAUUAUUUUAAAAAAAACAGCUACACCAUACUCACAUAAUCUCCCAAAGAUAACAUUCGAACUUGCAUUUCCCUAUUUUGUCUUGUGAAGAGUAAUAUGCUGAUAUAUAAGUUUUGUUUCACUAUUUAUUUUUGUUUGUGCUAUUAAUAAUAAAAAAAAUAAGUAAAUUUAGGAAACAAUAGUGCAAUCAUAUUAUUUAUUACCACUAGAAAACAUACAAUAAAAUGUUUUAAUUAAGAUAAGAGUAUUUAUCAUUACGGUAUCUCAAUUUACAAUAAAAUAUAUGAUUGGAUCAGAGUUUGAUUCUCGGGCGUGAGGACCAAAUCUUAAUUAUUAGGGCUAAGUAGGCGAGUAUUAUCUUUAUAAAUCUUAUUGAAACAUUUAAAAAAGAAAAUAUUUUUGUAAAAAUCUGCACUCUUCCUGCUGGGUUUCAUGAAAUAAUACUAAAGAAAGAACAGUAUAAUAAGGGGAAAUUCAUGGAGAAGUAUUGGAAAACCCCUCAACUUGUAUGUAGACAAAAGUGAAGGUAGCUUACUUGAAUAUUCUACACUGACAUGAAUGUGCUGUGUCUAGACAAGUUGAAGAUCAUUAUUUAUACAGAAAAACAAGAACAAAAACCUGUCAUCGCACGCUGGUGAUUUCCCGAGCUCCUACUAGACGUCUAAUCCUAUCCCUCUGCUGUUUUUAAAAUAAAAUAAUAAUCAUGGACCAAAAACAGGCAAAAGUACUAGAGAAGGGGUUUGAGUCAUCAUCGACUUCAAUAGCCCGGCACUGAAGAAAAGGUCCGCUCAAACUCUUACUUAAAUCUUGAUAUUGUAUUCAUUUGCAGACAAAAAUUAAAAGUACAAAAAUAUUGACAUGAUGCAAUCAAAACUAAAGAUGUUGUCAUUGUCUCGAUUUUGCUUCAUAAUUAAAUAGAGGAGCAGCUAGCAACUUUAUCUUGUAUAAUAAUAUUAUUUUUUAAAAAAAAAGUGAUAGGGGAUGUUUUUAAAGUAUUUUUUACUUAAAUAUAUUAAAAUAAUAUUUAUUUUUAAUUUUAAAAAAUUAUUUUUGAUAUUAAUAUAUUAAAAUAAUUUAAAAUUAUCAAAAAAAAUAUUAAUUUGAAGAAAAAAAUUAAUUUUUUUUAAAAGAAAUUUAAGAUACAACAACAAACAAGGACUUCAUCUCCUUGAAUAGCACAAUCCUUGUUAGCAGAAAUUGAGCUACAUAUGCAAAGAGCAAAAGAUAAUCAAUUUACUAUAAAUUAAAAAUCUCAAAGAUACAAAACAAAUAAACAUUAUAAGUUAAAUAUUCAAUAUAUUUAAUUUUUAUUCAUUCGUUUUUUAUUUGUCAAACAAACUAUUGUAACCAUUUAUAUACAUAUAAAACAAACUAAAAAACUCUAAAAAUUUUGAACUAAUUUUCCACGAAAACAAGGAGCUAGCCUUCACAUGGUACUUAAUCUUACAAUAAUGCGAAGUAGCCCUUUUCCUUUGAAUUAACAAGAGAAAACUAGAGAGAAGCAGCCUGGUAUAUUAGCACGUACAUUUGAACAGACUUGCACACGUGUGGAUAUAACAUGUGUAAUAAAAAUAUAACGACGAUAAUUUAUCCUUCACUAAUUAAUUAGUUGAAAACAUCUAUAUAUAAAAGCAGCGAAUAGAAAAGGUUGUAAACUUGUAAUCAUGUUUUUCUGGAAUGAAAUUAAGUUCAGUUCAGAUAGUUGACGUUUUAAAAUAUAAUUUAAAUUCUCGGAAACUUAAUUAAACAAUUUUAUGAAACACACCGCAAGUACAAAAUCAUGAUUCACAAGCUAGCUCAUGAAUAGUGUUAGGAACCUCUUUUAAUACUCAGGUAAUAAUUAUUAUUUUUUUAUAAAUAUAUUAAAAUAAUAUUUUUUAUUUUUUAAAAUUUAUUUUUAGCAUAAGUAUAUUAAAAUAUCUAAAAAUAUAUAAAAAAAAUUAAAAAAUAUCAAAUCUUUUUAAAAUUGCUUUUAAAACAAAUUAUAUGGUUUUCUUAUUAAAAAAAAUUAUGGAGUGGUUAAUUAUCCUAGCCAACGGGCUCGGUCUCCCAUGAAUGGUAUGUCCUAUCCAUCAUGAGUUCUUAUUACAUAAAAAGUUAUUUAUAUGAUUACGUCACGAAUAUCUUAUUUCUUUCGGAAUGCAUUUAAUAAAUUUAUUAGAAGGAAGAGGAAGUAAAUUAUGCAUAGAUAUUAUAAUAAAUAAAAUAAGAGUUAUAUGGAGCAUUACUUAAAAGUGUCGGCUGAGAUUAUCUUUCAUUAUAAACCUGACGUAAUAGCAUAGAUCACUUAUGGCGGUUGUUGUAGAGCUCUCUUUUACAGGCCAUGCUAAAUAAACAGAUUAACUCAUUAUUAAGAGAGUUUUUUUUAUCAAAAUAGUACAGUAAAAAAAAACUAGCACUGUAAAAAGAGAAUUUUAAAAAUAAUACAAUGCUGGAAGUUGCAACUAGCCUGAUUUUUUUCCACUCCCACUGUUAGAAAUUCUUAAUUUGUUGGUUUUGUCAGAGAUUGCAAGAAGAGUUUUUUUUUUUUUGAAUUAUCAUAGUAGCCAGAUUAUUAUUUUUUUGAAGAAUAACACAAAUAAAGAUUUAAAUGUAAAAAUAGCAUAGUUUAUAAAGUUGCGCAUAUGUUUUUUUUUUAAUUUAUAAAAAAAUCAUUUAAAAUUGUGUAAGUGGUGCAUGCACAACCUUUAAAUUGGGAGGCUGAAGCCUUCUUUCUUUUCUUUUUUUCCCUGUAACCUUUUAUUUCUUCUUCAGCUAUCUUUUGUUAGGCUCUCAUGCUGACUUGUCGAGCCCUUGCUGUGAGCUUAGCCAUAAAGAUAAUGUUUGAAAAAAAUAGUACAUUGUCUGCCAUCAUAAUGACAUAUAUGCUUAAUAUAAAAGGAAAAUCAAGAAAACAAGUGGAAAAAUACAACGUGACAUUGGCAUCCAUACACUACUUUAGCUUAAUCCAAUUGCUUCAACUUAAUCCAAUGCAUGAUCACAGACAGAGGUUCAAUUAAUUAUGAUUGUUGUUCAACAUAAAAUAUGAUCUGUGCUUGGAUGAGAUUAGGCAGAAAUGAGAAGAGAGAAAAUAAAAUAUAUCUUCAUUUAGGAUUUUUCUUUUUUAUAUUUGUAUUUUUUUAAAAUGAACUCAUGAAGUAAUUAAUAGAAAAUUACUAGUUAUUUUUUUAACACUACAAAAUUUCUCCAUAAUUUUACUUCUAUAAUCCUCACCAAAGUCUGACCAUCAUGUCCUGUUUUUCUUUUUUUAUAUUUAGGGUUUGUUUAGGAGUAUAAUAGGUGUUGUUUUUCAAAAUGUUUUUUACUUGUAAAUAUAUUUAAAUAAUAUUUUUUUAUUUUUAAAAAUUUAUCUUUAAUAUUAACACAUUACAAACACCGUUGAAACACAAUUAGCUUUAAUAUGUUCAAAUGUGUUGGUAUAAACUCAUGCUCAAUUAGUGCAUCUUUACUUAAAAUCCUGCUACUUCAUUUCUUGGUUGUUUUAUGGGAAUGCAAAAAAUUGAGAACUCCACGUAUUUUUAUUGAGAGCUUAAAAGCUGUAAAAAAAUUAUUUUAAUUUAAUACUUUAAGUUAUUAGAUUAUAUCUUAAUAUAUAAUUUAUAUUAUUAUUUAACACACCUUAAAUGAAAGUUUUUUAGGUUUGAAAUUUACAUAGAUCCGUACUAUUUUAUACUUAAUUUUUAUCAAAUAAAUAAAAAUAAUAAGAUUCAAACUCGUAACCGCUUGGUCAUCAAAACUUUAAUACCAUAUUAAAAAAUUAUUUUAAUCAAAAAACUUAAACUAUUAAAUAAAAUUUUAAAAUAUAAUUUAUAUUAUUUUCUAUUAUAAUUAUUCUCAUAACCCAAUCAUUCCAGCUUUUUGGACCAGGUUACCUUUAUGCUUUAGCCUUUUUAAACUCAAUUUUUGUACACAUGGUGACCUUAACUUUUGUCUUUAGCUCAUUACAUAGUUUAAUAGAUGUGUGCCCUACACCUAAGACCUUUUUAUAUGCAUAUUCUUCCUCCUUUUUUUCCACAAAUAACCAUUUUAGAAUCAUCUAAAAAGAACCCUUUUUGUUUGCGCGAAAACAAAAGAAUAAAAAUAUCUUUGCCCAAGUAAGAUAAACAGUUUGAAACAAAUUCCAUCAAUGGAUUCUUAGCAGCCUACAACACCACCAGUAGUUCUCUACUUCUGUCGUUUUGUUGCCAAAUUGGAUGCUCAGCGCAGCUUCAUGGAUGCGAUGUGAAGAUCCUUUUCAAAAAUAUAGAAACCAAACGUGGAAUGUGAUUUUGGAAGCUACAUCCUCCACCUAGAUGUACAUUUUCCACCUGUUUUUUUUUUUUUUUCCUUUUACUGUUUUUCAGUUAUAAUAAUAACUUCUUCAUGUUCUCAUUGGUUGGGCGGCCAUUUCAUACACAACAAUGACAUCAUCGAUCUUUCAAAACUAAUAUAUCUAUCUAUAACGAUAUCUAUGCAACAUCUUUUUAUUAUAUUUUCUCUUAUAUAACAUGUGGCAUUAUCUAUAAGGCGAUUUUUUAAAUUUCUCUCAUGAUAUUUGAUAUUGUUUUAUAUUUUAAAAAAUAUUUCAUACAAGGAGGAUUAAAGUAUAAUCUCAUCCAUAUCUUAUCAGCAGGAUAAUCUUAUUAUAAUUUUAUCAUUAUCUUUAUUUGUUAAUUUAUCUUACUAGUAUAUACAAAUGAAAAAUCUUUUCUAUCUCAACACAAAUUAUCCAUUUUUGUAAUACUAAUUAUGAUAAUACAAAGCAGUGACCAAAAAAAAAAAUUCUAGCAGUUUGGGUCAAGGCCCAAACAGCUACACUAGCGUAGCCCAUCUAGAAUUUUCCUUCUCCUCCCACCUCUUACACUUCACGGGUACGUGUCCAAUAUGCCCACUUUGAAUAUUUUUUUUAGACUUCCAAUGAGUCAGAACGCAAUUUCGUGUACUUUCCACGAACACAAAAUUUUCUUAGUUUUCACUGAAAAAUUUCAUGUAAGCACAAAUUUUAUGCAGGCUGGUAUCACAUUUAUAAUUAAUAGUUACAGUGCAAUAUAUAUAAUAUUGUAUGUAAAUUAAGUGCCUUUUUUCUUAAUUAAUGGUUAUUUCUAACUAAUAUAUUAUUGGCAUUCACUAACCUCAUCACCAAUAACAAUUCAAGACAUUAUAACACAUGACGAAACUAAUAUUUUCCCCAAUCAAUUAUUAUAUAAUUAUUCACGUAUCGAUGUAAGCUGACGUAACUAAAAUCUACAAAUAUAUUAGAUAAACCGAACAAAUUUUCAAGUUCUAAGCUCAACAUCUCUCAUUAUACAAUAAUUCACUUUAUAUAUAUUUUUUCUCUCACGCAUACUUACCAACUUAAGAAUUAUAGAGUCUGUCAUCCCACAAAGAACUUGUUUUGUAGAUAAACUUUCAAGCAUUGAUCAAGCCCAACUAUUCAUAAAAAAUCUAUUUUUUCGUGUGAAGUUUUUUUAUCACUUCAUCACAAAAUAUGAUAAAAAAAAAUCAUGAUAAUCUAACAAACGAAUAAAAACUGUAUAAUUUUAUUUUAUUUUUACAUUUUGGGGAGGAAAUAAUGGGCUUUGUUAUUUUGAUAAAAAAAUAAAUAUCAAUUAUUAAUAAUAUUUUGUAUUAUGUUAUUUACCAAUGUAAAUUAUUAACUAAAUUACAUACAAUUAAAAUUUUAAUUAAAGAUGUUUCAAUUGGUUAGAAUUAUUAGUGAGAAAUUACAAUUGCCUAAACAUGAACAUUAAAAAAAAACUUUCUAAAAAAAUUUACACGUUCCAAAGAUUAGUUCUUAAAAUUCUUUGAUGAUUAGCCAACAAAAAUACGUUUCUGUUUUACUCAAUUUCCCAUCUUCAUUUAAGAAAAAGGAAAGUACUCUGUGAUGGAAAAAGAUAGCUUGCUGUCGUUUCAUGCCCAAACGGCAAGGAAUUCUCUUAGGCUUGCCGUUUGGGAAGGGCCCAAAAGCAAGGAAUGAUAAAUUAUCAUUAGUUUAAAGUUUCCCUGUUUUAAGCCUAUUUCUGUUAUAUUGAAUAAUUCCUCCUUGUCUUGAGGAACAAGAUUGUUUUUCUGUUACAGUAGCACGAUUAUAGGACUUUAAAUCGUGGGCAGUUAUUCUUUUCUUCUUCCAGUGUAAGGCUAUUUAAUGGCCACAUCAGUUGCUUAAUAAAUUAAUCAAUUCUUCCAUCUCUCGUAUAAUCAAACCUGUCAAAGCUCUUUAUUUUUUUUUAUUCUACAAUUGGUAUCAGAGCCUCCUCACGAGGUUUGAUCAAAUUCUUUUCAGGUAUUAAAGUAAAGAGUCAGAGACAUGGCAUCCGAAAAUAGUUUCGUGCAACCUGCCAUUCCAAGGUUUGAUGGUCACUAUGACCAUUGGAGUAUGCUGAUGGAGAAUUUUUUGUGUUCCAAAGAAUAUUGGAACUUGAUAGAAACAGGAAUCAUUGCUGCAGCAGAGGGAUCAAGUCUCAGUGAGAUACAACAGAAGACGUAUGAAGAUUAAAAGCUGAAAGAUCUCAAGGCCAAGAACUAUUUGUUCCAAGCCAUUGAUUGAUCGAUACUGCAAACAUCCUUGAAGAAAGAUACAGCUAAAGAAAUAUGGGAUUCAUUGAAGCAAUAUCAAGGGACAGCACGUGUCAAGCGCGCUCAAUUGCAAGCUCUUCGCAAAGAGUUUGAGGUGUUGCAUAUGAAGAAUGCAGAAUCUGUUAAUGAUUAUUUUGGCAGAACACUCACCAUUGCAAACAAAAUGCGCAUUCAUGGAGAACAAAUGAAUGAUGUGGUUAUCAUUGAAAAGAUUUUGAGGUCUAUGACUUCAAAAUAUGAUUAUGUUGUUUACUCCAUUGAGGAAUCAAAUGAUCUGGACACAAUGUCUAUAGAUGAGCUUCAAAGCAGCCUCUUGGUGCAUGAACAACGGAUCAGCAGACAUGUGAACGAUGAACAAGCACUUCAGAUCACUCAUGGAUUCCUGAAAGAAGGAAGAGGUGGAGGUAGAGGCACUUAUCAAGGACGAGGAAAAGGAAGGGGUAGGUUUAAUAAAUCCAUCCUAGAGUGUUAUUAUUGUCAUGAAUUGGGGCAUUUUCAAUGGGAAUGUCCUAAACGAGACAAGGAACAAAGGGUGAAUUAUGCUGAAACAAAGGAUGAGAUGUUGCUAAUGGCGUUUGUAGAUUCCAACGAGUCUGACAUGGAGCACAUUUGGUUUCUUGAUUCUGGGUGCAGUAAUCACAUGUGUGGGAAACAGAACAUGUUUUUUUUAUCUUGAAAAGCUUUCGAGAAACCGUGAAGCUUGGCAAUGACUCUAGUCUUACUGUACAAGGAAAAGGAAACAUUCGAAUGGAAGUCAAUGGGUGUGUACAUGUAAUCACAGAAGUUUUCUACGUGCCAGACCUAAAGAAUAAAUCUGUUGAGUAUUGGCCAAUUGCAAGAGAAGGGGCUGACAGUUCUCAUUCAACGUGGAAUUUGCAAAAUAUUUCACAAAGAGAAAGGUUUGAUCAUGGAAACAGAAAUGACACACAACAUAAUGUUCACUGUGCAUGCUCGUUAUCCACCUAAAGAAUCAAAAUGUUUCUCCACACUGAUCACAGAUCAAGCAGACCUUUGGCACUGUCGGUAUGGACAUCUCAGCUGGAAUGGGCUCAAAGUGCUACAACAAAAGAAAAUGGUGAAAGGGUUACCUCUGUUUAAAGCCUCAUAAAAGAUUUGUGAGGAUUGCCUGGUGGGAAGACAACAUCGUGAUCCAUUUCCUAGAGCAAGCAUGUGGAGAGCCAACAACAUUCUUCAGUUGGUACAUGCUGACAUAUGUGGACCAAUUAAUCCAGUUUCAAAUGGCAAUAAAAGGUAUCUUAUUACAUUCAUCGAUGAUUACAGCAGGAAAACUUGGGUGUUCUUCUUGAUGGCGAAAUCAGAAGCUUAUUCCACAUUCAAAUCUUUUAACGCCAGAGUUGAGAAGGAAACAAGAUCUUACAUACGGAGUCUUAGAACAGACCGUGGAGGAGAAUUUACAUCACAGGAUUUUACUGACUUCUGCAAUGAGCAUGGCAUUCAAAGGCAGCUGACGACCGCUUAUACACCUCAGCAGAACGGUGUAGCAGAAAGGAAGAACCGCACCAUUAUGAAUAUGGUGCGCAACAUGUUGACAGCAAAGCACAUUCCCAAGACAUUCUGGCAUGAAGCAGUAAACUGGACGGUUCAUAUUCUAAAUCGAUGUCCAACUCUAGCUGUGAAGAACAAAACACCAGCAGAAAUGUGGAAUGGGCACAAGCCAUCAGUGGACUACUUUCGAGUUUUUGGUUGCAUUUCUCACGUGCAUGUACCUGACAGCAAAAGAAUAAAGCUUGAUGCUAGAAGUGUAAAAUGCAUUUUACUGGGGGUAAGUGAUGAAUCUAAGGCUUAUAAAUUGUUUGAUCCAAUUUCAAAUAAAAUCAUUAUAAGCCGAGAUGUAGUAUUUGAAGAAGAUCAGCAAUGGACCUGGGAUGAUGAUCACGCCAUAUACACUGAGCUUGAGUGGGACAACGAAACAGAAGGAGUUGUUGAAACAGAAGGAGCAGUUGAAAAUGCGGGAGGUGACUCUGAAGAAUCUAUUUUCAACGAAGAAACUGGAGACAAUGAACCCGAUGGAGGUAAUAUUGAAACAGAUGGAGGAAAUAUUGAAGCUGAUGGAGGAAAUAUUGAAGCUGAUGGAGAUAACAUUAAUAUCUCACAUGAAGAACAUCCAUCAUCUCUUGCGACACGAACACGAAGACCACCAUUUAUUAUUAUUGGGUCCUCUAUAGCAUAGCAAAUUGACAUCAAACCAACCAUUUGAAAUGUAAUGGCAUGAUAUAUAUAUAUAUAUAUAUAUAUAUAUAUAUAUUGGAAUGAUGAUUUGGCAACAAAAUAUGAAUAAGAGUGACAGUGAACUUUUUAUUUGUUAUUUAGUAGUGAAAUUUUGAUGAUCAAUAUGAAUAAAGAUGUAGUUUACAAAAGAUUAUUUUUUUCUUUUAAAACAAUAAUAAAAAAAUUCAUGUAGAUUUUUAUUUAUCCAAUGUUUUUCAAAUUCUCAAAUCACGAGAUAGAAUCAUUUAUAGUGAAAUUAAAUCCAUUAUAAACAAUCAUACUUAGAAACUAACUGUGUUUUCUACAAUGAAGCAAAAUAUUAGAACAUAAACGGAUUUUCAAAAAAAAAAAAAAGAACCAAUUAAACUAUAGACAAAUACAAAUUAAAACUUGUUGUUAAAUAUUCAAACAACAAGAAGGUAUAAAUUAUUUUAAAAUAUAUUUAUUUGUGUCAAGAAUAAUUUUCAUUCAAAUAUUAAUAAUCAUUGUAACUAUUAAUAAGCCUCAAUUACAUCAAAUAAAUAUAAGAAUAACUUUUUUAAAUAGUGAUUUUAAUGAUGAGGUUUAUAUAUAACAAUAACAACCCGAUAGGUAGUUGAUGGGUAGUUAUUAAUUGACUAGAAAAUAAAAUUUGUAAAUAUAUUAUCAUGAAAAUUUUUAAAAAAUUAUAUUAUCAAAUGAAUAGCAAGUGAUUUCUGAGCACCAUGCCACCUCCUUUCAAACCUGUGGUGUUGAUUUUGUUCAUCAUUAAAGAAACCAAAUUAGCGCGUUUGGCAUUGCGGUCUAAAAAUGCUUUUUAAAAAAAUUUGAAUUUUUUUUUUGCUUUAAAUUAAUAUAUUUUUGAUGUUUCCAAAUUAUUUUGAUGUGUGUUUCAAAAAUGAUUUUUAAAAAAUAAAAAAAUAUUAUUAACAUGUUUUUUAAGUAAAAAAUAAAAACAACAACAACCACACUCUCAAACUACGGAUAAUAAACAAAACUCAUUUCAACCCGGUGAUCUCUAAGGUUGACAGACAUGGGCUGUAGGUCUAUAAAUCAAGAUGAAUUCACACCACUUGCUCUUUAGGGUUUUUUUUUGCUUUUGGACCCUCUUUAAGAUUGUCACCAAGAGCAUUAAAUCAGCCGACAGCUGUAGGAUUUGGGACCAGUACUGGCAACGUCGGUGGCCGAUCAUUUCACUGUCAACGAAUUAAUGAGGAAUGUUGUAAAAUCACGAGUGAAUUUGUAAAAUUUUAAAAUUUUAUAAGUUAACAUAUAUCUAAUUUAUUAAAUCAGAUUAAAAUCUUGAAAUUAAUAAAAUUAAAUUUAACUCUUGUAAAAUCAAUGAACUCAGUAAAGUCGAUUUAAUUUUACAAGUUUAUUAAAUUUAUAAUAUGAUUAUAAAUUAAAUUUAAAUUUGACUUUAAAAUAUAUGCUUACAAGUUUUGAGAGAUUGAAUAUCUUUCAAACCAUAUAUUGGAUAAAGUUGAAAUUUUAUAGGAAAAUAUUAUAUACAUGAAAAUAUAUUGUGGUAAAUUUUCAGGUCAAAUGAAGAUAGGAAAUAUAAUAUUUCAGAUGGUCAAAUAUAAUAAACUAAUAUUGUCAAAUAUGUCAAACAAUACCUUCAUGUACUGUUUAUGAUAUAUCUAGAGCUACCGAAAUUUUACUUCGAUUAAAGUUGGGAUAGAAACUAGACAUCUAAAAAUUUCCAACUAUAUAUCGUGGGCCCAAUAAUUCAUCCAAACGGGAAAGAACGACAUGUUUGAAAUCAGGACUCAAAUCUACCAAGAAUAUUAAAAAAAUUAAAGAUUCAAGCUACAUGGAGAAAUUUUAAUAUGAAGAUUUUUAUUAUUAUUUUAUUUAUUUAUUUUUAAAUAAUUAUUUUUAAUUAAAAAAUUUUUAGCGCAUUAGAUAUUGUUUAAGAGUUUAUUUCAUUGUUAGUUAAUUUAUGUUAAUUAAUUAAUUAUUAAUUUAAAUUCAUUAACUUGCAACCCAAAAGGGGUCCAUCAAAACUUAUUAUGAUAGGAACAACCAAGUUGUCAUUAGGUUUAUGUAUGCUUUCUACUUUUUAAUGAUUUCCCUGUAUUGAAAAAUUAUAUUAUGAGACUUUUUAUUUUUUUAUAUCAUUAAUUUAUUAAUUCAUAUUAUAUAUCCCUCUCAUUUUAUUUAGAUUACUAAUUGAUUAUAAUAUUAUUGACUCAUUUUAUCAGAUUUUAAUAUGUAAUUUAAUUUCUUGACCAAAAUUAUUAAUAUAUAAUUAAUUUAAAAAAUUUUAAUUUUAUAAUGUUGCGAUCGAGUUUAUAUUAUAUUUUUUAUUUCAUAUAAAAAAAAAAUCAACAACCUUGUUCAUGAGCUUUGUCACUGCAUACGCUGACAUAUAGCUCUCGGAUGUGAAGAUAGCGACUGCUUUGUGCUUUAUUGACAAGGAACUGAAAAUCUUCUGCUCAGACAAGUAUUGUUGUUCUAAUAUGAACUUCACACGCAGGAGAUCAAAGCAGUCACAGAAAAGGCUGAAAUAUGCUGAAACGCACCCAUUCCACGGACCACGCUACUGGUAUGAACACUGAUGAGUAAUGAGGUUUUUUGAUCCAAAAGUAAGGGAACUCAUAACGUGUCUGCAUUACAACUCAAGGCUAUGAUUUUGUUGGUGAUUUAGUAGCAAAAGCCUGGCCCCGCUAACACACUCCUGGCAGAUUGGCCUUCCCACACCAAAGCUUGCCACAAAUUGGUGUAUUUUCGUAAUCUUUAUAUAUAUAUAUAAUAAGCUGCUGCCAUACAAUGGACGAAAGCACAUAGAAUCCGGCCUCUCCAAGAGAACAGGGUGACUUCAAAUUACGAGGUCCGGUAGUGAAAAAGGGUUGUUGCUCGUUAUUUUCUUUAGGACCAUUGUUACAGUGAUCGGAGGGGUGAUUUUCUUUUUUUUGGGAUUGCUGGGUGUACUGAUGGUGAUGUCAAACGACUUGGUGAAGUUUUCGGGAGUGAGUAUUAGGUUUAAAUUUCUUUAAGGGAAAGUUUGGUAUGGGCAGCACAAGUAGCAAACCCAUCAAGGGAAAUCAUUGCCUUUUUAGGUUGUUUCUUCUUCAAAAUUCGAUUGUAGUGACAUAUUAUAGAUAAAAAACCAUACCAAACUUUGAAAAAUUCUUGUUUUUCAAUCCACUUUGAUUACCACGAGUUAGACAGCUUACCUAAUCCCACUAUAAAGCAAGCUAUAAACAUACUUAAUAAAAACUAAAUACAAGAUUGCCCACACACUCUAGAGCGCGUAGAUACAACUUCACUGAUAUCACAUGUCAGGUUCCAUGCAAAACUCCUCUACAGCAAUGUCGUGAAUAUUAAUAUUCGAUUCUAGGUUCUUUUAUUCGCAGCAAAAAUUUAAUAUCCUUGUACGUGUGUUGUCGAAGCAGGCGGGGAAAUAAUGGAAAUGAGAAGAAACUAAUAUAAUGCGAAAACACAAUGGGACCAACCCUAAUAUAAAAGAAGAGAUCUCUCAUCAUCUUUCUUUCCUUUUUUUUUUUUUUUUAAUACAAGUAGUUGCUUUAGUAAAAAAGACAUGAGGGGGUCCUUGUCAAGGAAAAGCACAUGGGAUCCCCCCUCAGUCUCUGCAUUGACUCCAUGGAUACAGCCCUUUCAAGAAACCACCACCAACCCAUCUCGACUGGGUACAACCCACCCACGCAUGACCCGUAAGAAGUCUGAAGUCGUUGGCAUGGGGAGUUGUGCCAUGUAGAUGAGAUAUUUAUGUGUCAAAAUCUCAUUCGUGGGUACAGUCCCCGAAGGGUCCCACUGAGCAUUUAUUCCUGACUCCUGCUCAAGUUCAAAAGGGGCUGAGCUCAUCUGAUCAUAUAUAGUCUUAAUUGAAAAUCAUAAGGCUACUUUGCCUUGCCUCCUCAUCCCUUCAAAAAUUCUCGAGAUUUUAUUAUUAUGUUUCUUGUUUGGAAGCACCGUCAGUGAGGACCCUUGGAGAGUGUUUGCCUUGUGAUUUUGUUUUAAAGUUUUUUUUUUAUUUGAAGAAGUAUUAAAAUAAUAUUUUUAUUUAUUUAUUUUUAAUAUUAGCAUAUUAAUAUAGUAAAAAAAACACUAAAAAAUUCAAUAUAAAACUAAAAAAAAUAAAUUUUAAUAAAAAAAACAGAUUAGAACGUACUCUCAAUCUAUUGCUCCAUGUUUAAACAAUGUCCAUGCCUUCUGUCACCGGUCAAAUACACGCAGGGAAAAAAAAAAAAAAGAGGAAGGGAAAGACUCAUGCCGGUGCCAAAACAGAAGGUCAGCCAGAAAAUAUUUGUAUAUUAAAUUAAAAUAUAUUAUAAUGUGUUAUUUAAUAACUUGCCCUUUCAAUGGGGUGCGCUUUGCUAGUUGUUGUUUUCGUACACAACCAUGAAGGCAGUUCAGUUCAUAUAGAGUAAUAUAAUUUUAGGAAGACUUGUCCACAUAUAUGUGAACUCUUGCGGGUGUCGGUCCAUCCUAGCUUGAUGCUAAUCUGUGUGUGUACAUAUUUAGGAGGGUGUUUUGGGGUUUUUAAUGGGCACAUAUUUUUCACCCCUUUUUCCCAUCUCUUUCUUUCUUUUACAUAGGAGAGAAAAUGAGUACAGAACAGAGGGUAGAUGGAGAAGAAAAGACUAUGGGGGAGAGAGUGAGGAUGUUCAAAACAAAACUAACGGAUGCAAUGGAGAUUAAUGAGCUAAUGAGUAGAAGAAAAAAAUCCACAAAAAAGAGGAGAAAGUUGGAGAGGGGGGGAAUGAUAGGCACAAAAUAGACAAUUGAAAGAGAAAAAAAGAACAAAAAAUUGGAGAUUAGAAAAUGGAGAUUCAAAUCUGACAAUUUUAACAUUUCAUUAUUGUUUUGAUCAUAAUUGGAUCUAUAAAAAAAAAUUCAUGCAAUUCUAGUUUCAUUGGAAAAUACCAUCUAUAUAUUUCCAUUAAUAUAUUGUAAUCCUUUUAAUUCAUUACUACAAGAGAGAACCAUGCAUUUGAAGUUGGUGUUUAAUUCUAUUGGCAAAUAAAAAAAAUAUUAAUCUUAUUUAAAUUAGUUGGGAAAUUAUUUUAUUUAUUAUUAGACUUUUUAGAGAUAUUAGAGCUUUUAUUUAAAUUUGAGUUUAUUGAUUUAAUAUUAUUUUUUAAAUUUAUUUAUAUUCAUUAGGAGUAUCAUAUUAGGCUUAUGAUUCUUUUUAGUAUAAAAACUCUUUUGUAUAGAUUUGUAAAACAAAAUAUUUUUAAUAAAAAAAAUUGAUAUUCUUGCUAUCUUUUUAUGUGAUUGAGUAAUUCUCAUACUAAGUUUUUUAUGGAACUUACAAAUUCUUUGAAUGAUUGAUCAACUUCGUUGUGAUUUUAUACUAUUUAUUUACGUUUUUUUAUAGGCAUAGGAUGGAAGUGAUCAUUGCAUAUACCUUUGAUUCUUCAAGGCAAGUUUUUGUUAGAUCAAGUUGCAAACCAUUCAAAUAUAAUUUUAAACGUAUCUUAAAAGGUGUUCAAAUAAAAAGAGUUCAUGCAAAACCUACCUCUUAUGAAGAGCAACUCAAAUAUAAAAAACCUUAAUUUAAAAAAAAAUUCACCAUGACAUUGAGGAUUUUUAUUCUGAUAAGAAUAUAUCGUCAAAUGUAAACUUUAAUAAUUUGUAAAAAGAAAAAUGUAACCUAACAAAAAGAAAAAGAAAUUGUCACUUCCUAUAAUGCAUUUACAAGGUAAUUUCAUGUGAUUGAAGCGUAUAAAUAUUUUAGGUUAUCAUGUAAUUAAAAAAAAAAUUCAAUAAUAAAAAAUGAUAGAUUCAAGUCUUUUGAUAGGUAUAUAUAAAUAUAGAAAAUUAUAAUGGUUAUGGACUGCCUUGUAAUUUAGCAAGCCCAACGGUGGAUAUGAGCUGAAAUAACAUUUCACAUCUGUACCAACCACCUGUUAUUUAGCACCACGAAAUCGUAACGGUUUCUUGAGAAGAUAUGAGGUUAAUGUUGUCAUCAUAUCAUAUUGGAGUCGCUUAAGUGGGUGAUACUAACCUGUUUGGCAACUUGGCGUGCCGUGUUUUUGAAAAAAAAAAUAAAAUUAAUUAUUUUUAUGUUAUUUUGAUUUACUGUUAUAAAAAAAAUUAAAAAUAAAAAACAUUUUAAAAUCAUAAAUACCAAAUUAUCUUUUAUAAAAUGAACGGAGAAUGCGGCACAUGAUUACUGGCGCAAACACUGGAUAUGGGACCUCCUGCUUCUAAUUAUGGAUUCUUUAACACUUAGAAGAGCCCACUUUGGCCUAAUUGAGUUUGUGUUCUUCACAUUUCUCUUUUUUCCCAGAACCUAAAGUAAGAGAUCACCUUUUUUUUUUUCCUCAAAAUUCAUAUCAUUUUUUAGGAAAUUGCCAAAAAAAACUAUGAAAUCAUAUCAUGAAGAUCAAGGACAAUAAUUUAAUGUUAGAAAAUAAAAUUUAUAAAAACCAAUUUAAAAAAAAUAAAAAAUAUCAAUAUUAAAUUGGGCUAAUAUUCAAAACUUAUAAUCUGGAUCAUAAGAUUAUAAUUAUUACAUAGAAGAAAAACAUGAAAAAUUAAUGAAGCAAGAUUCCCAGUAAUCUAAAAAUAAAUAGUAAUAAAAAGAAUGAAGAUCAAAUUUAAUAUAAAAUUAAAUGAAAUAUAAGGGAUUAAAUUAAAAAAUAAAAUAAAUCAAUAAAAUAAAAAAAAUAGUUAUCAAAAUAACAAGGACCAAAUUAGAUACUCAAAUUCAAUGAAAACAAAAUUUUAAAAAAAAUCAACUUAAAAAGCCACUAAAAUAAUAGUUAUAUAAAAAAAUAAGGACUAAAGUUGAUACAAAUACAAACUAACAAAACACAUUUAAAUUUUAGAAGGACAAACAUAAGACUGUGACAAGGAAAGAGAAAAGAGGGAGAAGAAAAAAAAAGUUUAUCAAAGCUCAACCACUAUGUUAUCAACACAUGUCUAACCACCAAAAAAAAGAUGUCUAAACGCUUUCAACAUCGUUGUGGAAGGUGGCGUUUGACCAAUAAAAGAUGUCUUACAUGUUGCUCGAAGAACACAAGAGUCUUUUACUUGUUGAUGCAUGUAUUGCACGUCAAUUACUUUUGUUUUUUGAAUGAUAUUUUAUAUUUAUUAAAAUAAAAAUGACUCCCUGGUUAACUUGAUUACAACUGAAAAAUCACGGUGAAAAUUUAAAAGUAUCCUUAAAUGUUGGUUUAUUUAUUUUUUACUUUUAAAGAUAAUUUAAUCAUUUCAUUAUGCUUUAAAGAGUGAAAAUCUAAAAAAUCUCCUAGCUUCCAAUUAAAUAAAUUGUGCUUUUAAGUGCAAUGUAAUUAUUUUAUAAUGUUUUAAAACAUAUAAAAAGACCAAGCUAAACUGAUUAAUAUGAUAAUAAACAAUGAACUCUAAGAACCGUGUUACCCCUAAAAAUCAGUCCAAUAGUUUGUUUAAUAAAGAAAAAGCACUAUUAAACUAUUACGGUCCACAAUAUUUUGUGUGCCUCUACAGUGAAAUAGUUUUUUUUUGUUGUUAAUAAUGAUGUUGCAUACACGAAAACGUUGAUAAAAUGAAAUAUGUAAAGUAUUUUUCAUGAAAGAAGGUUUAAUAUUUAAUUUCUAAAUCAUUAAAUAUUUUCAAAACACCUGUGAAUAAGAGUCAUACAUAGCUAUUAUGGGUGGUCUUUCUUUUCUGCAUGGAGAAUAAUGUUUUAAACCUUUAGUAGUCUACGUACUGGUUUUCUAAUAAUAUCUUUUUUUUUCCAUCGUGUUGAUUGGUUUGACUAUCGUGCAGAAAAGAAACCAACACUCAAGUCCCCGUGUAAUGCGGUCGGUUGGAUUAAAAAAAAUUUGAAUGUAAAAAUAUAUAUCCAGAUUAUGCAAUUUUUUUUUUGAUAUUAUUAUUAAAUUUGAUUUAACAAGUUAAAAUCUAAACUCUCAACUCAAGUUCUUGUCAAAUUCAGGUUGAUUAAAUCAUAAAAAAAUAUUUUGAUAUGAUUCAAUCAACUUAAUAGAUUUAAAAAAAAUAAAAAAAAAAACAAAAAAACAAAGAUUAGAUAUGCAAGUUUAAAGAUAACAUGCAUAAUUGUUAAAAAUAUAUUUGAUUUUUAAAAAAUUUAAAGCUCAUAUUUUUUUUUUAUAUUGAAACGGUAACAUUGGAUUGAAUCUUAAAUUAAGUUAACUCAUAAAUGUGAUAUAUAUUAUGAAUUCUAAUGAGUUCAAUAAUAUAUUUUUUAAUUAUAUAAUAUAUAAAAAAAGAUCAAUUUAAAACCAAACCAAUAUUAAAGAACAAAAUUUAAAAAAUCAAAAUCAAAAUUUAUAAAAAAUCCAAUAUUAAAGAAAAAAAAAAGUCACACAGUGUGUGAAUCUAAGUUGCCCAAUGUAUGAGGCCUUAAAAAAAAAAACCAUUACCAUUGAACUCCUCCCAUGAAAUUUGUCAAUAUAAAAUUUAACUAUUUUUGCUAUCACGACAAUUAUUUUUUUUUCAUAAUAUUUUGUUAUUUUUUUUAUGAAUUAAUAAAUAAAAUAAAAUUUUAAACUAAAAAUAAAAUUAUUAUGAAUAUGUGGCGAGCCAUACAUUUAUUUCAUGUUUUAAUUUGAAAUUUAAUCUCGUAUAAUCAGAGCAUAAAAAAUGCAAUUAAUCUUUUUAGUUUUUAUCUUCAGAAAACAGUUAUUCGGUUUAUCGUGACCGUAAAUAACUCACUAUUCCUUAACGGGACACGUUAAAAUUUCCAGUUCCCAUCUCAUCUGAGCCGUUGAUCAGUAGUAGUGAAAAGCUCCACGUGACAGCACAUUAACGAAACCUACAAAGUAAGCUCCCAAUAUCUCACGAGAAAAUCUUGCUCAUUCCACAAAUCACCUUGCUAAUGCAAUUAUUAGCGCCAUAAUACACUAAAAUUCCACUAACAAUUUUUAUAAAAUUAAAUUAAUAAGAAUUAAUAAAACUCAAAUUUUAUCUUGCAACCAUAGCUAUCUUGAUUUAGGAGCCGUUGAAUUGUAAUCCAACGAUCUGAAGUUUUUAACAUGCACACACAAUAUCUAAACUGAAAAAACAAAAGAUUAGUAGUUACAGUGUUAACUGUUAAGUACUAACAAAACUUCUCUUGGAAUCAAAGUUUCUCUCUCCCAUCUUUGCCUUGCUUUCGCGUGUACACAGUUGAAGUGAUUUUGCUUUCCUAGGUUGUUGCCAAAUCUUGAAUUUAUGCUUAAACUUAGUGAGUACUAGAGAGUAGGGAUAGUUUUCUUGUUUUCAAGAUAAACAAAGCUUUCACUUCAUCACCACCACAUUGCAAUCAAAGUCUUGAACUCUCUUGUGGUUUCUUUAUAGAACCCCACUUCGCCAAUCAACCUGGUUCCUUUUCCUUUCUAUUGCUCUCUCUUUGGCUAUUGGGUUCAUGAGUUCUUUUGGGUCUUUUUAGUUUUCUUGAAACAAAGAGAGAGGAGUAGAGAUUUCUUGCAGGGUAAAAAUGAGAUCCUAUGCUUCGCUUCAGCUUCUUUCUGUUUUUUCUCUUCUUCUUUUUGUGACUUGUGACUCCUUUGCCAGAGAUGAAGGUAUGCAUUGCCACUCAAGUUCUCAGAUCUUGAAUUUUUUUUUUAUAAAUGCUUUGUUUUGCUGAUAAAAAGUUGGAAAAGACGAUAAACUUGAAUUCUCAUGAUCUGAAAUUGAGCUAACUAGUGUCUCUAGGCUGAAUUGAGCUGUGUUAGUUAUGGUGUAAUCAAUGUGAAAACUUCAAGAUUCGAACUUGGGUUCUUCCUGCAUUUACUUUGUGACCUAAUACCGUUAGUGGCAUUGGAAGUCAUGUGAUCUGAAAGUAAUGCACGGUACUGAAAUUUACUGACCUGAGAAAGUGCUGGACUUUGGUAAUUAUAGAGCCUAGUACUCUUCACUAAAUGGAAUUUAUGAACUUCUGAACAGUUUGGGCACUUACAGCGUUCAAGGAAGCUAUAUAUGAAGACCCACAUAUGGUUUUGUCCAGUUGGAAUGCCUUAGAUGCAGAUCCUUGUGGUUGGUCUGGCAUUUCCUGCUCUUUUGCUGGAGACCAUGUUGUAAAGAUGUAAGAUAUGACCCGUCAAUUUUUUCUUUGUCAAACUUCAGGAUUAGAUACGUUAUAAUCUUUUCUAAAGUAAGAUCCUGAUGCAUAGUAUAUGUGUAGGUGCAUUUUAUCAGUGAAUCAAGUUUGACCAUUUAUCUGUUGGAAUUCUGUUUUUGCAGAAACAUAACUGGGUACUCUUUAAGGGGAUUUCUUGCCCCGGAAUUGGGUCGGAUCAAAUUUUUGCAACAACUGUAUGUUUCUUUGCUCUUCCUCUUCCUUUUCUUUUGCUAUACUGAUACGUAUGCUUUGUAUUUAAGGCUUUUUUCUUUUUCGGUGUUUUUGAUGUUUUGUAGAAUCUUGCACGGCAAUAAUCUGAUUGGGAUUAUACCAAAAGAACUGGGAAUGUUGAAAUACCUCCAGGUCUUGGAUUUGGGAGCAAAUCAAUUAACGGGCCCUAUUCCUCCAGAGAUUGCAAAUCUAAUCAGUGUCAUUAAAAUGUAAAAGAAUUUGUUAUUGUGGUUAGCAAUUGGACUUAUAUGGUUGGCGUUAUUUGAGUUUUUUCUUACUUUCUCAUUUUAUGUUGUGGUAGAAACCUUCAGUCCAAUGGAUUAACAGGAAGCUUGCCUCCUGAACUUGGCAAUUUGAAGUCCCUUCAAGAACUACAGCUUGAUAGGAAUAGACUUCAAGGAUCUGUUCCUGCUAGUAGCAGCUCAGAUUUCACUUCUAGCGCGUAUGGAAUGUAAGUAUAAUUCUGAAAGCACAUAACUCUUUGUUUAUGAUGCAAAUUAGAGGGAAGAAAUAAAUUCUAUUAAGCAACAAUACCAUUCUUAUUUAAAUAUGUUGUACAAGUAUGUGAUUGUAUGAGUGAAAAACAGUUUCGCCAGAAAUCUGAAGCUAUAGAAUGAGACAUAAGAUCAUUUUUAAUCAGUUGAACCUUGUGUUUUUUAUUCUUUAAAUUUGUUACUUAUAAUUCACUCCUGCUUCAGGUAUGCCUCAAACACAAACUUAACUGGCCUGUGUCAAGCAUCUGAAUUAAAAGUGGCUGAUUUCUCCUACAACUUCUUUACUGGGAGCAUUCCUAAGUGCUUGGGGUAUCUUCCGAGGUACAUAAGCUUACUCUAAGCUUUUUCCUACUAGGAUGUGAAUGCUACAUAAGCUUACUAUGUUAAAACGCAUGUCAUUCAGCACAAGCUUCCAAGGGAACUGCCUUCAGAACAAAGAUCCGAGACAGCGUUCCUCUUCUCUUUGUGGUAUGUAUGAAAUGGUUUUCUUUCAGCCUUCAGGCUCCCAUUUCUGUAUUUGUGAACUAUACUACUGUGUGUCAAUAUGUCUAUGGCAUUAAUGUUUGAAAUGAAGAGCAAUCCCCCUGGUAUGCACACUAUGAACAUGAGGUUGUCUGUUUCUAUGUGAAUUGGUAGUGAUAUAUCAUCAUAAAUGCGUUGUCAUGCUAAAAGCUUGAUUUUUGUUCCUCAACAUAAGAAUUGGAUAGAGAUUUCUUUCUCUUUUAGUCUGUGCUCCAAAACGAGUGUGGUGUGUGACAUUCAAAUCUUUAGGUUUUUUAAACAGUGUUGCCCUUCUCUCAAAGGCCCCAACUUUCACAUAAUUCUUUUUUUUUUUUUUUUUGGGAUUGAAGACCUAACCCAAAUGCAUGGGCUCUUAUACUCUCUCCUAGUCUCCUUUUUCCUUAGUAAUUCUGGCAUUGCUUACAUAAAGCUCAAAUUGGGAUGGAGUGGGUGUUGCUUUUGUCUGUGUAAUAACCUAUUGUCCAACUGAACCUUGUAAUAACAGGUGUGUCUGGUGGCCAGUAAUAGAUUACGGUGAUUAUACUGACUUAUUAAUUCCUUUUAUAGAUCAUGCUCCUCCUGCCAGAACCCCUCGAACAACAAACCCCAAGCAACAGCAUGCUGAAGAUUUAUCCAAUCAGCAACGUAGGGCAUCAAAACCUGCCUGGCUUUUGGCUCUGGAAAUAGUGACAGGAACCAUGGUGGGCUGUCUCUUUCUUAUCGCCUUUAUAACUGCUCUUCAGAGAUGCAAGGACAAAUCUUCUCUCAUAAUCCCUUGGAAGAAAUCAUCGAGUCAGAAGGACCAUGUGACAGUAUACAUAGGUUUGCUUCCAUAUUACCAAACCAUUACCUAUGCUUCAGUGUUAUUUAACAGUGUUUUUAAAAGUACUUUGUGUUGUCUUAUUGUGCGUAUAUUUCACACAGAUUCUGAGAUGUUAAAAGAUGUAGUGAGAUUCAGUAGGAUGGAGCUUGAGGUAGCCUGUGAAGACUUCAGUAACAUUAUUGGCUCUUCUCCAGACAGUUUGGUUUACAAGGGCACCGUGAAAGGUGGCCCUGAGAUUGCUGUCAUAUCCCUCGGCAUCAAAGAAGAACACUGGACAGGCUAUCUUGAACUCUAUUUUCAGAGAGAGGUGAAGACUUGUUCCUUGUCACUGCAAUUUUUUUGUAUAAAGCUUUUAUAAAGAAAAGACACUGAACAACUACAGAUGUAAAAGCUGAGAAAUUUGGGAUAGCCUUUUUUGAGAUGCUUUUUUAUUAAUUUUUUAUCCAAUUCAGGUGGCAGAUUUGGCAAGAUUAAAUAAUGAGAAUGCAGGAAAGUUGCUGGGCUAUUGUAGUGAGAGCACUCCAUUUACGAGGAUGUUAGUUUUCGAAUAUGCAUCAAAUGGAACCCUGUAUGAGCACCUUCACUGUAAGUCGAGUUUCUUGCUUUGGACAAUCAACAUUCUUAAAAUGUGAUAUACUUGCUUAAAGUUGAUCAAACAACCUGCACGGAUGCAGAUGGAGAAGGAUGCCAGUUAUCUUGGACACGGCGAAUGAAAAUCAUCAUAGGCAUUGCUCGUGGACUGAAGUACUUUCAUGCUGAACUUGAUCCACCUUUUACUAUAUCAGAGUUAAAUUCCAGUUCUGUGUAUCUCACAGAGGACUUUUCCCCUAAGGUACUCAGUGAUGCCUCUUUCUAUUUUUAUAAACAAGGUUAAACUCAACCCAUUCUACACAAGGAUGAAAAAUUGUGUUCCUAAGUCUGUUGGCACUUCCCUUUUGAUAUCAUAGAAAAAAUGGGAAUUGUUUGCGAUGUCGAGUUCCCCUCAGAUAAGUAAAAUUUUUUUAGCUAUGGUCACUGUUCGCUUAUGUAACCCAAAUGAAUCAUAUCAAGCAUUCUAUCAUUAUACUCUUAUCCGAGAACUGGAAAACUUGAAUGAGCUUUGGUAGCUUGAAAUCAAUGACCUUGGUCACACUUCAUUUCUAGGGUACAUUCAUUGGUUUAAGCAUGUAAAAUCUUUCAAUAUGUCUGAAACUGUCUUCUGCAACCAGAAAUCUAGUACAUGUCAUUCCUUACCCCUAUAAAAUUGUGUUCCUCUGAAAUUUCUAUUUGGUUGUCCCUCAGUUGGUUGAUUUUGAAAGUUGGAAGAGUAUUCUUGCAAGAUCAGAGAAGAACUCAGGCUCCAUAGGCAGCCAAGGUGCUAUUUGUGUGCUUCCAAAUUCUCUGGAGGGACGCCAUCUCGAUGUCCAAGGGAACAUUUAUGCUUUUGGUGUUCUAUUAUUGGAAAUAAUCAGCGGAAGACCUCCACACUGCAAGGACAAGGGGCGCUUGGUAGAUUGGGUAAGAAAUCUUUUGUAGUUGUUUUAAACAUUCACAGAUUUCCAUUAUAGGUAACCUCAAAGAAACAGGUAUCUGGAAAAAUUAUUGCCCAUAUAACUUAAGUGGCGAAAGGCUUAAAAACUUCUCUAUUCUAUAGGCCAAGGACUUCCUCGAACUACCGGAAGCAAUGGCGAAUGUGGUGGAUCCCGAGUUGAAGCAUUUCAGAUUCGAGGACCUCAAUGUUAUAUGUGAAGUGGUAAACCUUUGCAUCCAUCCAGACCCCGCUAAGCAGCCUUCCAUGCAGGAGUUAAGUACCAUUCUAGACAGCAGAAUUGAUACAACUAUACCUGCCGACUUCAAGGCAUCUUCUUUGGCAUGGGCAGAGCUUGCGCUGUCAUCAUAAUUGAUUUGAAGCCUGACGCUAACACACUGUAAAUCAGAUUAAUACAAUUGUAAUAGUCCUUUCUUUUCUUCUACUCUUUUUUUUUUUUUUCCCACACUUCAGUUAUCUGAAGUCCUUGUAAAUGUGUUAAAUUGUGUGCGUGCUAAAAGAAACAAAGAGCUUCUCUAUGACAAUAGCGUUUUUGUAUACCAUUGGAUGAGUAAAGUUACGACAAUAGUAAACUUUUUACUUUAAACCGAGUCGGCAAUUUCUGUUCUCUGGCUAUGAUUUUUUCUCUCUUUUCAUAAAACAGGUCAAAUUGAUGGAAGCUUACUGUUUCAACACGCUAAUUCUAGCAAUCACAUUUAUUUGAAAUGCAUCUACUUUUAUAAAACAAGGUAAAAAACAUAAACCUGGAAUAAAAUUUAAAACACAAACCUCGUAUGCAUUCUAACAAAGUCGAUUUCUCUUUUAAUGUUGCCAUGUUACAACUUACAUCUUCUCCCCUGUAUUACUCGGCAUUCCAUGUUGUCUAAGGAGCAGCCUUAAUUUUAUUGCCAUGGUGCAAAAUUAACGUUGUAGCUGGGUUGAGACUACAAAUGCCAUGAGAUUUUGCAAUAGCAUCGUCCAACUUGUUUAGAUUGAAACACAAGCUAAGCUAAUAUAAAAACAAUACACUUUCACUAGAGUAAAUGAUGGCUCGCUGAGAGUUAUGUAUUAGAUCCAAUUUUUCUAAUUUAUUUUUGUUAAUACAUUCUGAACUUCUUCAACACCUUCUCAACAUAUUUCUUUCUUUUGACAAAUAAAGACACCUUCUCCUUGAUAAAUAUCUAUGCUAAGAAAAUGAUUAAAGUGUAAUUCGAGCCUUUGCAUUAUUUGUUCUUCAUAACCAUUUCCGCUUACUAUUAUAAGAAACGUCGCACCAUUUAUUACCUGCAAUAAUGAUGAAUUAUUCUCAAUCUGUGACCUUUCCUCCAAGUGUCGACCCUUUUCUUUUACUAUAAUGAUACUCCUUUAAUUGUAGUUGUUAUGGUUUUGCGAUAAACAUUUUGCUUUACAUGUAUUCUUGGUAUAUUCUAAACAUUGAUUGAAUUGUAUUCUGAUCAAAGAAACUAUCUCGAUGUGAGCUUUAAAAAUAUUAUGUUUUAAAAAAUAUUAAGUUAAUGGGCACACUUUUUGCUAUGCUUUUCCAUAACAUUUUUCUUUGUUUUUUUUAAUUUUAAUUUUUUUUAAUGUUCUAGCUUUAUAAUUUUUAUUUGUGAUGCCAAGGUGGGUUUUUUUUUUUUUUUUUAUUUACGUGGGUGUCCGGGCCAGCUUGCGCGCACCACGACUAAUUCCACGGCCCACUAAACAUCCUGCAAACCUAGUGAGCAUGUAAGGCACCGCGGGGGUGACAAGCGUGCACAGUGAGAUUUGAACCCUGGUGAAGUGGAAAGGAACAAGACCCUCCCACCACUAGGUCAAGAUCUCAAGUGCGAGGUGGGUUAUUUUGAAUAUGCGAUGAGGGGAGCUGGUGUUGCUUCCCCUCGACACACUUAUUCAUGAGCUAUUCGAUGGACGACACCUCUUCUAGGGGUGUUGAUGGUCGAAUGGGGCAAGAUAACAGUACCACUCAACAUAACCCAGAACAAAUGAUAUGGUCUCCAAUCUCCUUCUCUUCCAGGUUAUGAAUGGUGAGAUUGACAAACACCCCAUUCCCAAGUUUUCAACUUAAUAGCCAGUGUUUUGGAGGGAGCCUUCAAAUAAUUUGUCCAAAAUCAUUAGAAAUCAUGUUUACACCUUCUUCCCUUGUAAAAAUGUUGUUCGGCAAGGAGUUUGCGUUCACACUCGGGGCAUUUUGACUCCUGUCAAAUGUUAUCGGACUUGACUUGAUAGGGUUAAAGAUCUUGCCUUUUAAAGCAUCAUAGUUAUCAAUCUUAUGUCCAAUAACACCAGCGUUGUAUUCACACAUUUGUUAAUAAUAGGUUUUGAUAUUGAUUUAAUACUUAACUAAUUAAAACUUUAAAGAUCUAGUUUCAAACGAAACAAAUAUUCAACUUAUUUUUAAAGAGAUAACAUUUUUAUUUUUAUUUUCUGACUUAAUCUUUGUUAGAUUCAACAUAUUUAUUAUUAUUUAUUCACCCAUGUAAUUCUCAAAUUAUUUUAUUAAAUGCAAAAUUUUUCAGUUUGUAGUAAUUUUUUUAGUAUUUUUUUAUUAACGUUAGCAAGUAGUUUAAUUAAUGACAUUUUAAGAAUAUAAAUACACAAAAAAUCAAAUAGUUAUCUUACUAAAAUUUGCCCGUUGAAGCAUAAAGAUUAAACCAGGGAGGAAUAUCUUCACCCUACUGCUCGUCCUCAUUAAAGCCAUUAAAAAGAAACGGCAACGUUUACCAUAUUCUCAUAACUGAGAAAAUAAGAUGCUGCGGUCAUACUGGUCUUAGUUUGAACUAAGUUGAGCCCUUGAGUAUUUGACCUUUUAUUAAGCUGCUUCCUACAUUAUCUGUUCUCACCCUCGAUCCAUCCUUCGUCUCCAACUCCACUGAGCUUUUUACCGGUAUAGUGUUAUGUCUCUUAGAGUUCCGGUUUUUCUCCUCUCUUUAUUUUGGAGAUUGAAUCAAAAUGCACUUCAAUUAGCUUAGCCUCCAACUCCUGGGGCAGAAAGAUGUUAUUUUCUAGAAAAAAACUUAGCUGAAAAGGGAGGAAGCAACGAUUAUAGGUGUGCCAUUUAUGCAGAAUCUUUCUUGGGAGAGCAGAUUGUUUGCCUUCUCUCUUGCGGACACUAGCUCUACCUUCAAGGCAUUGAGGGUUGGAUAAAAAACCAUUCUCCGUGUCUUUUUUUGCCGGUAAGUUUAUGAAGGAGGAAGAGGAGCUGAAGUUGAAGAAGCUGUUUGAUUUCAACUCUGCAUUUUUCCAAGGCAUAUUUACUAUUUACAGCAGUAGUGACGGGUUAUGCUAUUUAGAGUUGUUAUUUAACAUUUAGAAGUUCUUAGAGGGUGUUUGGGAGUGUGGUAGCUGUUACUUUUCAAAUAGCUUUUCGUGCCGAAAAGCAUGUCAAUAAUGUUUUUUUUAUUUUUUAAAAAUCAUUUUUGAUAUCAGCACAUCAAAACGAUCCAGAAAGUACAAACCGAACUUAAUUUUAGCAAAAAAAAAAAAAAAAAAAAUUUUGAAAUUUGGCAAAAAGCUGUUUGGACCGCAGCGCCAAACAGCCUCUUAGUAUGUGAUUAAUUGUGGUUAGAUAAUUAAUUAUAUAAUUACGAUUGUCGAUUUUUUUUUGUUUCUCCAUUUUCGAAGCUGCUUCAUAUCUGGUAUCACACUUGUGAUUGCCGCAAACUUGUAGUAAAAACAAUGGUGAUCACCAAGGAAAAAAAAUAUUAAUGAAAAGCGAAAAAAAUCACCUAAUACAAAUGGCUCUUGUACACUCGGAUCUUUGUAGUUUCGUCUAACCAUGUACAGAUUAAUUAUUGAUUCUGACAGAAACUGUACACAGUAUAUCAAGAAAGAAAUUAUCAGGUCUUCCUGGCAGUGGCAUUCUUAAGAUUUCGUAGCGUCAUCACCAGCUGUUGUCUUUCACCUUCAACCUGUGCAAACUUGAGACUCAUUUCCGAAUAUCUUUCUUGCAUCUCCUUCAGUUCAUUUUCCAUUGAUUUGUUUCUCUCCUUCAAUGACUCUAGUUCACCCAACUCCUCAUUGGCAUUGUUGUCCGUGUUGUUGACAGAGCAGGUUUUUGGUUGUAACUCCGAUGCACCGGAAUGAUCGCUGGAAGGAAACAGCAAAAGAUUUCAAUCACAGGAACAAGCUAGGAGAAAAGUAGAAUACAAACCAACUCAAAUAGAACUAUUGUUUCUUCAAAAUCAUACCUCUUGAUUGACAGUUUUAAAUUCCCAUUUUCUUUGGACAUCCCUGAUGUACUACUGCUUGGAUUUUCAUCCCUGCUUAAAUCUUCAGCUAUAUCACCAUUUGGAGUAAUCCCAAUGUUGUCUUCAGAUGACUGCAUUGCAGGCUCAACAGUUUAGAUUAAGAAACAGUGUAAUUUUGCACAUUUAACGAAUUUGAAAGAAGAUGUAACAGUUCAAUCGAGAUAGACAACUGGUUAAAAGGUUGCUCAUAGAUCAAAAAAGGAACCUCAUCUAUUUCUUCCAAGGCUCGAAACUCAUCCAUGUCCAGAUAUUUGAGCAACACAAACACAUCGUUUCUAAUGUACAUGAUAUAUAAUGAUUAUCAUUGCUAACCUUUCGGGGUUGGUUGCAGCAGAAACUUGCGCAGUUCUGGUUGAGUUCUUCCACCCUGCCCUCCAACUCUUCAAUUUUGUUUUGAAGAUCCCUUUCCUUCUCUGAAAACGAAUUUGCAGAGGCUUCUAGAGAGGUUUCCUUUAACUUCAUUUGUACCUGCCACACAAAAUCACAAGAAAGGGAGUAUCAAGUCAACUGCAAUUGUGCCAAAUCAAAAACAAAAUUUCAUAAAUCAGGGUGCACUCGGAAUAGGUAAACCAAAGAAUAUGAUGGGAAGAUCAUAAAGGGGUUUGUCCAUCUUGACUCUAGUGACCGUCGUGAUCGCCAACACCAGCUAUUUUGCCAUUGCAUAUUCUAGUUGAAAUUUUUAAUUAAAAAAACUUGAAAAUAAACAUUUACCUCAAGCAAUUUUAUUCUGUCCCUCUGAUUUGCCAUCUCUUUAGAGCCAUAAGGAACUGGAGCAAACUUAUUGUUUCUCAUGGUACUUUUUGUUCCUUCAGAAACUGCUAUGCAUUUGUUGCUUUCCUUGAGUUUCUUCUCCAUGCUGGUCAAAGCAUCUUCCUUCUUCUUCAGCUCACUCUUUAAUUGGAGUAACUGCCUUCUAAGUUUUUCUUUUGCCAACUCAUCCUCAGACAGACAAUGUUUCAAGUCAUCACAUUGAGCUUUAAGCAUUCUGACCUCUGAUUGCAAGAGACUCAUUGCAGACUCCUUCUCAUCCUUGAGACACCUCAUUCUAUUUAACUCCUCCUGCGACUUCUCUGCUUCCUUCUUCAACAAAGAAAUUGUACUCACCAGUUCAUUCCGUUUCAUAUUUCCUUUUUGUACCAGCGCGUCAGUGUGCUUAAUUGAUGUCUUCAUUUGUUCCACCUCUAACCUCAUAUUUUCUUUCUGUUCUGCUUGCUCAGAAAGGUGAUCGUUUUCUAUUGAGAGCAUUUCAAGCUCAGCUUUUAGGCCUUGGAAUUCAUGGGAGAAGGCUCCAACACAUUCUUCAUCAUGCUUCUCUUGCUGUUCAAGCUGUCUGGAUUUAUCCUCAUUCCAUCGACAUCUGUUCUAUCUGAUGCAUUUUCAAAUUCAGUUGGUUGGAAAGAACAUGCAGUUUUGACUCAUAACCAUCCUGAACUGAUUGGAGCUCCUCGUUAGCUUUCUGAAGCAUUUCUUCCAGUUUUCCUUUCUGCAUAUGUAGUUCACUAGCUUCUGCAAGCGCUUUCAUAGCUACCUUCUCAUUUGCAUCAAAAGUUGAGGUCAUAUGAAUGGACAACCUCCUAAAUUCUUCCUGCAGUUUCUCAGCUGUAUUAGCGUUUUUCAACUUGUCUUUCGCAAGGCUUCCUCUGCUUGAAUGGCUCUCUGCUCCUGCUCAACUCUUGCACUUGUUACAACCCCCAGAUCAGCGUCAAACUCUUGGGCCUGCUGUUCCAAUUCUUUCUCCAAGCUCGUUAUACGGGUUUGUAGUUCCUUUAUGGUGGUCAAAGAAUCAGAGUUUUCCUUUGACUGCUUCUUUAGUUCAUUUUCUAAGCUCUCAACCUGAGCUUCUAGUUCAUUUGUGUAGGGAAACGAAGGGGAGCAUUCAUACUGUAUCUUCAGCUGUUCUUGCAGCUGACUUUGUUCUAAUUUAUAUGACAUGUCAUGGUUCUCCUGCUUCAAUAUCUCAUAGUCGAGUGCCAGCUGCUCCAUUUGCAUCUCCAGCUCAUCUCUCUCUCCCCUAUAGAUCUCUAUUUCACUGCAGAGGUCCAUAAUCUUUUGCUCCAGAAGAUACGUUUCUUUAGCAUCCUUAUGCUCCUUAACAAGUUCUUCCAGUGCCUUUUGCUCUUCAUCAUCACAAGUCUGUCUUCUUGAGAUUGCAUUCUCAUAGGAUCUUGCUUUGUUGGAAAGGUCCGAUGUUUCCCUAUUUUUCUGCUCUAACAUUUCAUUGAGGUCUUUCACAGCAAGUAUCAACUCAGCAUUUGUUUCCAGCGUUUUCUGAAGUUGUAACCGGAGGUUGGAAUUCAGGUCCUUCUCAUAAUUCAGCUCUUGUCGAACUUCUUCAACAAAUGGAUCCCCACAUUUGAAAGGUAACUUGUUUCUGCUUUUUGCCUCCUCCAUGCAUUUCUGAAAUGCCUUGAGUUUCUCGCACUCUGACUUGAGCAUAUCUCUCUCCCCUUUUAAUCCCAAGAUUUCUCUGGAGAGGUGCCGCCCCCUUUUGAUCUCUUUUACAAUUUGUUUCCGCAGGGUUUGUAUUUCCAACUCUGACACAUCUUGCUGUCUUGUCAACACAACGAGUUUAGACUUGAGUUUUUCCAACUCAAUAUCUGAAGCCUGUUGAGAUCUCUCUCUUGCAAAGGAGCCUUGAGAACUAUUUGUCGAGUCAUAAUUACUUGUAUCAUGAGCAGAAUCUGCGGAUAGCUCCCAUUGUGGUUGCUGAUGCUCCACAUGGCUUGCUGCGGAAGCAUUUGCUUUUGGCAGGAGAGAUGCUGAAGUGCGGGUUCGAGAUGAUAGAAAGCUAGUAGGGUCCUGUAGCAUGUUGUUUCUCAAUCCAAGUUCUCGUGGGGUAUUGAGUCCAGAGAUACUUUCAGAACAUGACAUUGUAAUGUCAGAUCCACUACAAGUCCUGUCGUUGCCAUUUAAUCCAGAAUUGUGAGAGGCAUUGAUAAGUGGUCCAUCCUGCAGAACAGCAAAAAUCCCAUCAUAUUUUCAUCAAACAUGUACAGAUUAGAGAAGAAAACUGAAAAGGCUGAAAAAGUAGAAUUCUAUUUCAUUUUUCCAAAUGUUAUGCCGUGAUAUCUAAUUAUAAGAAUCAUGCAAGGAGAGAAUUACAGAAAUGAUUUCUGGCACAAGACUUGAAACUUACUUCACUUGAAUGACUAUUGUACCCUCAUCUCUGUUACUUUUGCUUAAUAGGGUGUUCAAGGUUCUGCUCUGGGAUUUUAUGUUUAUAUCUUCAGCUUCCACUCACUGCGAAAGAUUGUAGAGAUGACAAAAAAAAAAAAUCUCUAAACUCUUCAAGGAAAAAAACCAUGGAAAAUUAAAAAAUUUGAUAACAACAAAUGAUAUUUCAUCACUACCUUUGCUCAACAUUUUCUUGCAGCCUCUGAAUUGAAACCUAUUGAAAACCAACAUCUGAAGUUAAAUUUUGAACUUCAAUUACAAAGUGAAACUCUCAAUCUCAUUAAUCCUAAAGGCAAGGAAGGUCUCGUGGGAACUAAGAAUUUUAUCCAUGACUGAUACAAGUGAGGAGAAAAAAUCACAUGCAAAACCCCAUCAGAUUUUGAAUUCUUGAGGGGAAGAGAAACUGUGGAAGCUAUAGUUGCCUCAGCAUAAUCAGUAAAAUCUAUAGAAACUUCUCCAACUAAACUAUUUUUCGAUGAUCCCUGCACAAACCCAAAAAAUCCAAUCACACAACAGACACUCGACAAGAAGUUGAGCAAUAUAAAUCAAUAAUUUGGUAAAAUUCCUUACAGUGGAGACAAAAAUGGUAUAUUCUCUCAUUGAUCUUCCCUGUUUUCACAUCACGAAUGUAUUUCACUGUUUCAUAGACCGGAUACUCCCAUCGACAACUUUCUUCUCGGAACCACUGAUAUAGCCAAUGCAUUCACAUUCAGUUGCGGCAGCUACAUUCACAGAUCACCAUAAAAGUUCCUUAAUUCUUCCAAUUUCUCAAUCACAUUUGACAACAAUGAAAGCAGGAUUCAAAUUCUUAACUGAAUUCAACAAAACAAAAUAAAGCAAUAAUCUUGAAUGAUCUACACACACACACACACAUAUAUAAGGCUCAACUUAUAAGAAACUUCUGGCAUUUUCUUAGUAUCCAAACAGAACUAACUGAACCCGCCACCAAAAGUUCAUUGAAAAAAAGUCCAAAUCUUUCACAAGAACAGCAAUACAAUUAUCUAUAUAAAGUUAGAACUUGAACAAUUAAAAAAAAAAGAGAGCUUCAGUUCAAAGUAUUAAAUUUUAGAGAUUGAAGAAGCAGACAGUUACACGUACAAUGUUAAAUGGUAGCAGCAUGUUACCUGAGUUGCAUGAAACUGCAAUUUGAAGACAGUUUUGAUCUUGUUCUUCUUGCUUCUCCAUCUCGCCGACCUGAACAUUUUCUCCACCGAAAUAUCCAGUAACUCACUGGAAUUCCGGCCAAAGUAGCCGGAAAAUCACCAUUCCAGCGAUCGGUCCAUCCAAUGCAAACAAAAUAUACAGUAUAACAUACAGAGUCGCAGGGAGUCAGGAGAAGUGUACAGGUAAUGGUGCGGGUUUGUGAGUCCAAUGCGAGCUGGAAACUGAGUCAAAGAGAGCGAGUUGAGAAGCAAAAACAGAGAGGGAGAGGCUGGAAAACAGAGGAGACAAAUAAAAAGAGAAGAGAAGAGGUAGCAGAUCUAUGAAAAGGCGGAAUGUGAUGUUUCUCUCCUUUUCUUUGUGCCCGUUUGGUAUUUGUAGUAACGGAUUUUAUAAAUUGCUUAAUGCAUAGUGUAGAAAUAAUGUUAUUUAUUUUUUAAAAUUUAUUUUUUAUAUUAAUAUAUUAAAGUGAUAUAAAAAAUAAUUUGAAAUAAAUUAGAAAAAAAUAAUUAUUUUAAAAAUACUUUUAAGCGCUUGGAAGUAACAAAGCAGGCUUUCAAUAAGUCUUCCCACUUGUUUUUUUUUUUUUAAUCUCUAAAGUACCAAAAAUAAAUAAAUGAAUUCAAUUAAAAUUUGAAAGAGAAGCUUCUCUGUAAUUAAUUAAUUGAGUAACAUAAAAUGCAGUAUUAAAUAUUGUAGCUGGUGAAGGUAUGUUUUGGGGGUAAGGGAGCAGUAAAUACAGUCAAUGCAGCUUUAGGUUUUUAAAUUUGUAAUUAAUAAUAAAGUAAUAAACAAUGUCUUGCAUGAGAUUACAUUGAGGUUUUAAAUUUUGCAUGGCUCAAGAUUUAUAUUUAGAAUUAUUGCCACUUUGGACCACUCUGCAAAUUAUUUUCUUUCCAAAAUUGUGAUUUUCCACCAAAAAAACAAGAGUCAUGUUUUGGAAUGGAAUGACAUAAACACCUCCAACAAGGGCCCAGAGUGGCGUGGCAUUUUUUAUUUUUAUUUUUAUCCCUAAUGUCAAGGACCACCGUAUCAUAACAUUCAAGCCUUUAGUUAUUGUGUAUUCUCUUCAAUAAUAAACAUUCACGCACACGUAUAAAGGACAAUUAACCAUAGCUAAGAUUUUGUAUAAUGAAUCCUAACAUAUGAUAGAUACAAUACUAACAAUAUAAUAUAAUAAAUAACUAAGUUUUUUUUAAUUAAUAUGAAUGUCCAAACCAAUUUGCAUGUACCUAGAUUAAUCUCAUGGACCCUAAAUUAACAAUCAUGUAGAUCUCUAAUGACCAUGAGAUUUGUGAGAUUCGAACUGGUAAUCUCCAGGAAACAAAUUAAAACCUGAUCAACUGAGAUACACAUCAGGAUUAAAUAACUAAGUUUUUGUUUGCAUUUAUACAUGACAUUACAUUAAAUUAAAAUUAUCAACAUCUUUUUAAAUAGCAUUUAAUAUUGUAAUAAUAAUUAUUUUUAAAAUGCUUUUUAUUUAAAAAUAUUAUAUAUUUUUUAAUAUUAAUUUAUUAAAAAAAUCUAAAAAUAUUAAGAUAUUUUCAUCAUUUUAAUAACUUUUUUCUUUUCGGUAAAGAGAGCCCACCUUUUGAACUCGUAGAGGAGGUGCUGAAGGACAGUGGGUAGAAAAGAGCAAAAUAGGAAGCAACGUCAACAGUCACAUCUGACUAAUAAACUUCUGUUUAACGAUUAAUCUUUUUAACAAUCUUAAUCCGAAGAAAAUGACUUAUUAACUAGAAAAAAAAAAAAAAAACCUUUUUGGCAUAGAGGAGUGUUUUUUAUUAUAUUUUUCAUGAUAAUGUCCACGAGACGAUGGGUAAUAGUAUUCUGUGGUUAAUUUUGCAUUGCCUACUAGUAUAUUUGUCCACAUUUUAUUACGGAUCAGACUAAUUAAUUUUUUUUUAAUUUUAAAAAAUUAUUUAGUAUAAAGAAUUUUUUGGUAAUAUCAUUAAAUACAAUCAUGCAGUUUGAUCUUAAAACUUAUCAAUAUGGUUUUUUUCUAGCUCAAAUUUUGAAUUAAACCGCGUGAGAGUUUAAUUAUCCAAAGUAAAUUAUUUAAUUUAAUGAGUCCUAAGAUAACUUGGAUGACUGGUAAAAACAUGACAUGACUUUUAAAAAAACUUUAAAUUCAUUUCUCAACCAAUUCAAUAUUGAAUAAGAAUGAAAUUAAAAAAAAUUAGAAAAGUUAAAGGACCAAAAACUAAAAAAAAAAAAAUAUAUAUAUAUAUAUAUAUAUAUAUAUAUCAAGUUUGAUGGGUAAACCCACUAAACCCAUGAAUUGGAUAACCCGAGUUAACACGUCAAACCCGCAAAAUGGAUAAUGGACUCUAUUGGGAUUAAUAAAUUGUUUUUUUAAAAAACUAUUUAUUAUUUAAUUAAUCAUAUGAUAACAAAAAUAGACAAUUGUAAAAUUAAACGCCAAACCAAUAUUGAGAUUUAAAAAAAAACUAUAAUAACCUCAUAUAAAACAAAACGAAACAAAUUAUAAAACUUAUUUCUCAAUCAGUCUAAUAUUAAAGGAUGAAAUUAAAAAAAUUAUAUAUAUAAAAAGUUAAACUCGCCAUACACGUCAAUAGACCCAUGAAAUUUCUAAAAUUUAAUAACAUGUAUAGAUAAUCACAUAAUCGAGUUUAAUUAGGAAAAAAAAGUGCUCCGCUAAACCCGCAAACAUGAGCAAUCCGGGUUUUCUCACCAAACUCAUAAAACCAGCUUAUUAACUCCAUAAAGUUUAAUAACCUAGUUUUUUUUAAAUUAUUUUUUUAUUUAACUAAUUUUUUUUAAAAAUAAACCAUACCACAAUGCUGUGAUAUUUUUCUGAUACCAACCUGAUGAUGCUGAUAUUUUUUUUUAUAUUACAAUAACUAUUUAAAGACAAAUUAAAACAAACUAUCUACUCUAAAUUCCCAUAAACAUAUAUAAGGACUAUAUUAAAAAAAAACCAACAAUCAAAGAAAAAAUAAGAAGUCAAAAUGCAAAAAAAAAAAAAAAAACCAUAAUUGUAAUUCACAAUGCAAAUAAUAGACAUGGAAAGACAAUAUUUUUCCCAUACUUUUAAUUUAUUUAUAAUAUAGUAAUUAACUAGAUAAUUGAUUUGUCUCAUGUUAUGGGUCAAACCAAUUAUCUUCUAAUGGAAUUUUUUUGGAUAUUAUCAAUGCAUUUUUAAUAAAAAAAAUAAUAAUUAUAAACUUAAAAUGUAAUAUAUAUAUAUAUAUUAAUAAAAUAAAUUAAGAAUUAUAUUGGUUAAUAAAUGCUAAAAAAAGAUUUUGAUGAUUUAAAAUAAUAAUGAAUAAAUCUCUCUAACUAAAACUUAUUGACUUAUUAACGUUCUAGAUUUUUUUUUUUUGGAAAUGUUUUACUAAAAUAUUUGUUUCUUAGACCAUUUUGUGAUUGUUCUAAAAACACAUUUUCUAAAAAAAAAUAAUAUUGUGAUAAUUUUAUUCUGAUUGUAUUAAAAAACAUAAGAAUAAUAUAAUACCUGGUCCAGUGAGUUAAUUUUAAAACCUUCCAAUUUAAUUUUUUAUCUAACUUAAAUUUUAAAUUAAAUAAUAUAAGAAUUAAUUUGACGUGACUUGAUUGAUUUGAUAAAUAAAAAAAAAAACAUGAAUAAUAAUAAAAGCGUGAGUUAGCUUUUAAAAAAAUUACGAUGAUAACUUUUAGAUUUCAUAAUGUUGUCGGGAUCAUGCUCUAGAUCGUGGAUUUCACAAGUUAAAUAUGGUUGACCUGAAUUGAUCAAGUAUGUAAUCAUUUUUAUAUUUAUUUUUAAAAAAUAUAUCAUUUAAUGUAUCAUAAUCUCAAUAUUUAAAAAAUUCUUUGGAAAUUUUACUUCUUAUCAUUUUUUAUAUAUUGUUUUAAGAUUAUAUAUAUAAACAAAUCUUACCCACGGUUAAACAUAGGUCUGAAAAACUAGUCAAUGGUAACUGUUGUCAUUCGUAUUCGUAUUCGUAUUCGUAUUCAGAGCUAAACACUACAAAUUGCUUGUUCGAUAAUGUCAUAUCAAAUUUGUAUGGUCUGUCUCAUCCCAUUAUAAAUUUGUGUAAAUCUACCAUCUGCACAAUGAACCUUUAAUCGUAUUAUCAUUAUAUUUAUUCAUUUUCUAAUUGGUGGACUCAAAUCCACACCACUGUUGUCUUCAGAGAGCUAGCCUGCGAGCUGUGAUCAUAUCUAAGCUGCAUUUUUUUUCCCUGGCCCAAAAUGAAUAUUAGGAUGCACUCAUCAGUCUUGCCACAUGACCUACCUAUAUAUAUUACAAAAUGAAAUUUACGCACUUAGAAAAAAAGAAGGCAAGAUAUGUGAUUGUAGAUGCACUUGUGUUUCGACAUAGCCAUGUGUUUGAGGGCCUAUUUCAAUUUCACAAACCCAUGAAAAGGUGGAGUUCCAUGGCGAAUUGCUUUCAAUGCAGAGGGCCACUAUAUUUGUGGCACUAUUCUCUCCCAUUAUUGUUUUAUUGGGUUAUACCAGCAUUAUUUAUCAACAUUUAUGUGCGUUUAGCUGUUCUGCACUCACAUCACAUAUCCCAUGGCUUUGCUCUUCCUACAUUUUAUGGCAUCUACUUUCUUUCUUCUUCUUCUUCUUUUGAAAUACUUCAUCCAUGAUUCGUACUAUUCAGUUAAUUUCUUCACUUCGAAGUGAAAGUAAAUUCAUGUGAUGUGCAUUAAGAGCGGCCUACGUUGUCCGAUGAAAUAAAUUAUCAGUUCCAUCGUUCCAAGAUAUUGGCUGACUAAAUCAGAAGAUAGAAAAUUUACUAUGCUACUGUCAAAAUAUAUAUUCUGUAACUGCAGAAUUUAACAGAUUUACUUCGAUUCUUUUUCUCUGCUGAUUUUUGUCCAGGAAAUCUAAUCAUAUCUUCACCAUCACUGAUAUCAUGCUUGCUUAUCGUCUCCACGAGAUUUCUGGUCUUUGUGGAAGUUCCAUAGCCCUAAUCAAACAAUUCAAGUAAAACUUUUUUUUUUUUUUGAAUAAAUAGUAAAAAUGAUCUUUGCCUGGAAGAGGGAAAAAAAAGGUUGGAGACAGGCUUCAAUCUUGAGAGAAGUUUCAGUGGGAGCUAUAAAAAUGUUGAUGCUUGUGAUAAUUGGACUGUACGUGUAGGAAAGAUGGUGAUAAAUCACUAGAUGGUCCCCUUCAACCUUUCCACCAUAGUGUUGAGAAGGUCCAUUAAUCCUCUUCCUCAUCAUUACUUCCCACUCUCAUGUUUUCCCUAAAUUACAUAGUCUUGCAAGUUAGUGUCCAAAUCCUUAGAACGUGUAAUUAUAAUCAUCAUGUUGCAAAGCAACAAAGACCUUUAUAGGCUUAUAAACAAGCUUUCAUAAACAGAAUCUCACAUGGAAAUUAAUUUGUGCCAUUAAGAAUCAAGAAAGGACGUAAAGAGGGAGGUUAUCUAUCAAAUCAAGCAUAAGUACAGUCCUCUUAACUAUCGAACAAUGGACACAAUCAAGUUUGUGAUCCAAUAGCCCCCUACCCCAUUUACCUUGCUUUUGUGUUUUUAGGAGCUCAAAAAAAAUUCUUUUCUCUUUUUUUCAAUUUAAUUUGUUCGAAAAAUGAGUAAGAACAAACAGAACUGUCGUUCUUUGUUGUAUCCACUCCACAUUCUGAGACAACAAGAUUCAUGUUCACAAAAGGUACGUAGGCUGCAAGAGUCAAAUUUUGGCUACACUUGCAGACCGAGAUUUGUUCCUUCAGGAAAUGACACGGUACUAGAAUCUUCGUCCAGGUAAAUUUGCAAAGUGAAACAGUUCUCUCCUAGUAUGAUCAUGAAGCCCGAACUGCUGUUUGUUUCCUUGAGAAGAUCCAAGAGACGUCAAUGGAGUUCAAAUCUUAUUCCAAAUUAUUUCUUAGACGAACAGAACUGGACCGACCUAAUGCAUAAAUAAUAGGAACGGGGAAUUGGGAGCCAGAUGUAUAAUCUGCUGGCCAGUUGAGCACUGAUAUAAGUUAAUUUUUGGUAAUUUUAGAGAACCUGAUCUCAAUACCACUUAGCCAUGGAAAUGGAACAUUUAAGAUUUGUAGUUGAAUUGCAUUCAUUAUUAAAUAUAACAUUUAAGAUUUGUAGUUGAAUUGGCAUUCAUUAGUUAAUAGAUUUGUACGUAGUUGAAUUGGCAUUCAUUAUUAAAUAUAACAUUUAAGAUUUGUAGUUGAAUUGGCGUUCAUUAUUAAAUAUAAAGGAUAUUUAUUCAAUUCACCGACAAUGAUCAAAGUUGCUUCAUUUGUCUCUUUUUUUUUUUUUUUAUUAUUUAUUAAUGUGAGUGUCCGUGUCAGUUUGCGUGCUCAACUAAUCCACGGGUCUGAAGUUAACGACCAUGUAAACUCAGUGACCCUGAAAUUUGUGAGACUUGAACCGGUGAUCUCUAAAAAACAAACUAAUCUGAAAGUUAAGCUUUCAGUUAUUUUAUUUAUUACUUUUGCUUUUCUUUAACAUGAUAGAAUCUUGGUUUCUAUAAUCUAAAAAGAAAAAGAAAAGUAUUAAUUACACUCAAGAUUUCUAUAGUUUUCUAUUUUUUUUUAAUUUGCAAAUCAAAUGAAAUAUCCAAACUAUUCUCGUAUAUAUACAUAUGACAUUAAACUAAAUAACAUAUCUAUCUCACAACAUAUAAUAAACUCACAAAAACAAAGCUCAAACACAACAGCCACAACUUAAAACGCAGUAAGGAAUAACAAAACAAAUUGUUAACAAGUGUUGAUUUAUAUUUGUUGGGUAACCAAGGAAUCAAAAUGAUAAAUAUAUUUACAAGGCAUCUCUCGUGCUUUCAGUGAUGGAGUUUUUAGUAGGUUCUGAUUCAAUCAUUGAUUUCAAUUAAUUAAGCAAGGUGGAUGCUGAUUUCGAAUUAGAAUCCAGGAUGAUUUCCAAUCGAAGCAUUAAUUUCCAGGUGGAUGCUGAUUUCGAUUGAUUAAGCAGGAGGAUUUUGCUGGGUUUUGGUUUUGCACCUCUGUGCUUAAUUUUCAAGUUUCAAGGCAUGUCCAGAAGAUAGAAACUUUUCCACUAUAGGCAUUCGUGCCAUCUAUUCAUAAACAUCCAAUUCACUUGAAAAGGAGAACAAUCGGAUAGUGCACGUUCCUAUGGGCAACACUUUCAGAAGGAUUUGCUUUAUGUUUGGUCGAUUCAAGAAAAAAUUAUACCUUCAAUUAUUUCCUAUGAGCUUGCUAGAGAUUGAAAUGAAAAAAGAAAAACAAGUUGGCCAUGAUAACUAAGGUUUUUUUAGUUCAAUAGUAAAGUUAUAAUAUUAAUAUUGUAAGGAUUAUUUAGUCAUUAAAUAAGAUAUAAUAAUAGUACUAUAAAUAAUCUGAUAUUUUUUAUUAUUUUUUUAUGACGUGUCAAUAAAUGAUGAUGUAAAAUAUUAUAAAAUUUACUAUGUAAAGUAUAAUUAAAAAGCAAAACACAGAGGUAUUAAAGCAAAAAAUAAAUAAACUAUACGAAGUUAAAUAUAAUUAACCCGUAAUUUUCUAGAUAUGAAGAUCACGAAUGAAAAAUCAAAACUAAGAUGUAUAUUUAAAACCAGAAGAGAUAUGGAGAUCACAAAAAUUAAAAGUUAAAACUAAGAUGUAUAUCUAAAACAAGAAGAGAAAGGGAGAAAUAAAUAAUGAGGGAGCAUUUGCGCAAACGUGAGAGACAAGGGAAGGUGCUCACGUGAAGGUGGUCGACCCCAUUAGAGAGACCUCACUAAAUACAAUCUAGGGUUCCUGAAGAGGUCACACCUCAUGAUGUUUUUUUGCCCCCUUUUAAUUUCUCCCCUGGAGGCAGUUUGAAAAGGGCAGGGCAAGAAUAGAUGCAAAGAUAUGCUGUGUACGUGUGCAAGCUAGCGCCAUGAAAGAAAACAUCGCGUGAUGAAAGAAAUCGUUUGAAGAGAGUUUUUAAUUAAAUGUUAUGUAUUAAUUAAUUAAAUGUUUUUAAAACUAUAAUUGAAAUAAAACAUAGAUUUUAACCACGCAGCAACACUUUACCAGACAAAUCUUUAAAAAUGUGUUUAGCUUGGAGGUAUGGUGGUUUUUUAAAAAAAACAUAUAAUACUUUUUAAAUACAAAAUAACACCUUUAAAAACUAAAAAAUAUUUUUUUAUCUAAAAAAAUAUAAUCUAUCUCCUAUUCAAACACACACUAAAUGAUGUGGAAAAUGAGUGUGAGGUGUUGAUUAAGAGCAAAGUAUUUUGCAUCUAAAUCGCCUAUAUCAUUUUUUUCUACGAACUUGGUUCUGCAUGCUUCCGGCGUGGAUCAAAUAAAUCCCAAAUAAAUGUAUAGUUAGUUGUCGGCUCAAUACAAUUAAUGCGGUCGGAAUCACAAUAAAGAUAGCAGCAAGUACAAAAAAAAAAAAAACAUAGUAAAGAACGACAUAGGUUAUAACAACAAAACCCUAAAAUGUAAUUUUAUUUAUGAAAAUAAAGUCUAAUAAAGAAAACACAUAUAAAAUCAGUAAAAAUCAUAGAAAAAAACUCAAAAUAUAAUCUUUAAGGCCUGAAGAUUUUUAUAUUUCCAUUAGUUAUUUGUGUUGAGUAUCUUAUAAAAAUGAAUUUGUAGAUUUAAUUCAGAUUAAAAAUUAAUUAUGAUUUUUAUUGUUAUUAUGAUGGUUUGACAACGUCAAAUCAUCUCUUAAACUUGUUUUUAUUUUAUUAUUUCAUAAAAAUAUAUAUGUAUUCUAUUUGUGAUGGAUCUCCUUCUAGCUGUGACAAUUUUCUAUCAUUAUUUAAAACCUCAAUUUCUGCUUGACUAGCUACAUCAAUAACUAUUGAUUGAAACGGGAUUCAUUGGUCUUGUUCGCUGCCCAUAAAAAUAGGUGAAGAGGAUUCUUACAUAACUGUGUUGGAGUUAAACUAUAAUUUUGGCUAUAAGGCAAAACAUGUUUGGAAAAGCCUUGGGCUCAAGCCGGUGCAAUGAUAGGCCCAAGAUGCGUUACGGAGAUAAAUCUAGAGACGGCCCAUCUCUCUGCUCAGGACCAUAUAGCUCUCCACAGAUCAUCUUUUAUACAUAGAAAAAUUACCUUACCAUAGCAUCCUAUAGUUUAAUUUAUGUUGUGGUUAUUUGUUAAAUCUUAAAUUUUAUAUGUACACCAACACUUAAGAUUCUUGUAAAAAAAAUCAAUAAAAAAUAUUCAAUUAUUUACGAGAGUUUUGCGAUCCCACUUUAAAAUAUAUCUAAGAGAAUCUAAUGCACUUGUUAAAAUUAUUGGAUUUGGUAUGAUUAGUUGAGGUAGACGUGUGAUUAGGGAUCAAGGAAAGUGAAGAUGGCCGUUAGGUUUGAUGUCUAGGGGAAGAAAAUGGGUGGAAUAGCUAGAAUUAUUUUUUAAUUCAAUGAAAAACCUAUAAUAUUUAAUGUAAAGGGUUUUUAGUUAUUAAAAUCAAUAAAAAAAUAUUUAAUUAUUUACAAGAGUUUUACUUUGACACUCCAAAAUAUAUUUAAGAGAAUCUAAUGCACUUGUCAUGUAAAGUACCCCAGCUAAGAAAAAUUAAAUAGAAGACCCUGAAAAAAAUUAAAUUAAAAAAAUAAUGAAGACUACCGAUUCAUUUUAAAACCUCAAAUUAAUGAUUGACCGAAUGAUAAUAGGGGGGAAAUCAAAAUUUUAGUUCUUCUCGUGAAAGUCGUCGCCUGUUAGGACAGAGAAUACAGAAGAGAAGAAAAUAAAAAAUAAAAAGAUAGGUGGACUUCUACACUCUUCAACAAAGAAAAUUGCAUGUAUCACAUCGAUCCCAUCACUAGAUUUGAUCCCAGCAUAAUACUUGUAGGAUUUUUUCGAAAAUAGAAUAAAUUAUUUUUUUUACAAUGAAAUCUAUGUAUCUGAUCAAAUCCAACGUAACUAUCCCUACAUCUCUGAAAGUUGACCAGGGUAAUAAAAAAUUGGAAGAACAAAAUGACCAUUUUACACCCAUAUCUAAAAUAAAGAUGAUAUAUUUCAGACAUACUAUAGUAAUUUUUUGUUGAUUUUCCUUCAGACUCUCUAAAAUAAAGUCUGGUAUUUUUCAGACAAGUACUUGUGCAAAAUAUCUUAUUUUUAGGCUUUUUUUUUAUACUAGAAUUUGAAACCAAAGCUGAUGUAGAAUUAAUUUUAGUAAUUAAUAGAAUUAUUCCCACUAUUUAUUAGCUUUAUUUACUUACAAUAAAAAAAUGAUCCAACAAUUUUUUUUAUCUUUAUGGGCCUAAAAAUUAUUUUACAGUAAGUUUAAACACACUUAGCAUAUAAUCUCUUUUAUUUAAAAACUUUGAUGCUCUAAAAGUUUAAUUUUAACCUUAAUUUGACUUUCUACUAUAUAACCUUUGUAAUAUUUUAAUGCAUGAUAUAGGAUUUUUAGGUUUUUAAAACAUGUUAACCACGGAUCUUCAAGAUAAAUUAAUAUUUUAUAUUGAAGUAUUUUUGGUAGAAAAUAAUUUCUAACAAAGUCUUAAAUGAAUGUACUACUUCAGUUUUAGUUUGAUAUCAAAUAUGUCUAUUAAUAGUGUUUUUAAAACAAAUUUAUAACAUGACAAUCAUACCUAAAGAUGUGUUUUGCCAUAUCUUUUCUCUCCUCGAGUCAGCUGAUAUCAUCUCUAUUAAUAGGAUCGGAAAACAUCAUCGUGAUUAAGAACAAAAAAAAAAUCAAUUUUAGUUAGAGUUCAAUUUCUUCAAGGAGAGGAUUAACUAUCCACAAGAAGAUUGCAUUGCAUCUGCUAAUUUACUUAUUUGCUUCAAUCUGAAAUAAAACAUAAGUUCAUAACUAAAUCAAAAAUACAUAUCCUAACCUUCUGUUACGGUGAUGAACGAUUUAAACCUCGAAUCAGUGGUGACAAUAUCUUUUACAAAAUUUACGAAAGCAAUACAUUCUCUACGUGUCAUAACAUCAAAUUCAGCAUAUAAAACCGGCGGCAUGAACAGCCACAUGGCAGUAACCACCACAAAUGCCAACGUCAACAACCUUGACACCACCGUAGCCGGUUGCCAUUUACCAUUAAACGCUUUCUUUAUGACAAUCUCAAUAGCCAAAGAGAUCCCGUGUAGGAAAAAGAAGCAGGUGAGCUCCCAUGUGGGCUUCUUUCUUCCGAUAUUGUAGAAAAUGAUUUCAUGCAUUAUUCCAGAUACCAAGAACGAUGCCAGAACUCCUGGGAGCGCAGCCCACUUUCUUCCAAUCAAGCGGCUAGAAAUGGACAUCACUGGAUUGUAUACGGUUGGGUGUAGGAUACUAGUGACCAUAAGAUUCCACCUUCUUCCCCAGAAGUCCUGCAAUGAGGUGGCUAGGUAUGGCUCAUGGAACUGUGGCUCAAGCUCUAAACGGAGACAGGCUCGAGCAAAGGCUGCAACCACUGCUAAGACAAGUUCUAGACCAAUGUAAAGGUAUACACAAUAGAGAAGCAUUACCAUUUUUGGAUGAACUUGGUCCUUUUGAAGAUAUAUGGGUGCGGUUAUGGCCAAUACUACAAUUUUCAGGCCAUGAUUUAGAGGUGAUUUGUGGCCGCUUCCUUUGCUUACUUCUUUAUCGACUGGUUUUUGCGGGACUUGUUGAAAUUUGAUGGGAAGACAAGCCAAGGAGAUGAAAUAUGGGAAAGAGAGGGGUACAGGGGAGGUUGAUAGAGGGCCCUGACCAAAGGCAAAGAGAAGGAGCUUGAAGUUUGCAAGCCAAGAGAGGAAGAAAGAUGUUGGACCUCCAAGCCAGAUGGUGAAGAGAUUGAGAGGGAGGAAGAAAAGGAAGAGUAUGACGGGGAGGAUUGCAACGAAUCUGAUUACUCCUUUGGAGAUAAUCUUACCUACAAUAUGACAGUACCAGAGCAACAACAAAGCUGAUGCCCAUACCAUGAUGAAGUUUUUUAUCUCACCUUCCAUUUUUUUCACUUUCUUAAUUUCUCUAUGGUUCACCGGAAGGAUUGAUAUUCAGACGGAGAGAUGCUAUUUCGAAUUAGCGCCUAUGAACAUAUAGGGCUCUGAAAGAAAAGUAAAACAAUGAGAAAUCAGGAAAAGAUGUUUAGGGGCAUAGCUUUUAUCAUAUUUGACCUUUUUUAAUUUAGAAGUAUUCAAAAAGUACCAGUGGAAACGUUCGUUCAGAGAAUCAGAUCUGCGUGCUAAUUCCAGUCAAAUAUUCAAGCGGCUCAAUCCUCACGCAGCGUGAAUAAUUAUUGUCCAAAUUGAAAAUAUAUAUUAUAAAAAAAACUAUAUUAAUAGCCAAGGUACUGGUUAACAUGGCUGCCAGAAAGUUUUUACAUCAUUAACAGAUCCAAUUAAGUUAGCUUAAUUUUUUAUAUAUAUUUUUAAUAUUUUAAAAAAGUAUAAUAUUAACCUUGGACGUUUCAUGUACUACUAUAAUAUAUAUAUAUAUAUAUAUAUAUAUAUAUAUAUAUAUAAUUCUUGAUUUAAAUACUAGCCAUCCUUCAGCCGCCGCCGCCGCCUAGUUUGUCAUUUCCUGCCACUUGUCAAUUUUAGAAAUAAAUAUUGUUUGUGCAUGAAGGGGGGCUAAUAUACAAAUAGCGAGGGCAGAGAAAAAAUAAAGCUGAAGCAUAGUUUCCACGAGAGAAAUUGCUUCAGUGUAUACUUGACCAGGGAAAAUUCUUUCAACUUUUAUCAUUCAAAGGACCACACAUCUCAUAUGAUAAAAAAAAUUCCACAUGUUUCUGUUAUUAAAUGAGAUGGAAACUUAAUGACAUUCAAGAGCAAAAGAUUUUUUUAAGGAAGCGUUUGGGACGCGGUGCAAACCGCGUUCCCACCAAAUUUGAAUUUUUUUUUUUUACUAAAAUUUAAUACGGUUUGUACUUUUUGGAUCGUUUUAAUGUACUGAUGUCAAAAAUGAUUUUUAAAAAAUGAAAAAAUAUCAUUGGCAUGCAUUUCGGCACGAAAAGUUAUUUGAAAAGCAACCGCUACCACACUGUCAAACACCCUCUAAAUCUAUUUCGCCUGCAUGACAUGAUGACAUUUAGUAAUAACUAGAAAUAGCCCGUGCUACGUCAUGAAUCAACUUUUUUACAUAAAAAAUACAUAAAAAAAUUAAGAUUUAAGAGUGUUCGAUCUUUCUAUAAAAUUAUACCUAAGAGUAUUAGGUAUGUCUGCCACUCCUGACCCAAAAAUUAUAUUUAUAAUAUUAAUAUAAUAAUAUUAAACUUACAUGACCCAAGUUUAAGUGAGUUUGGUUGCAACAUCAAACCCAAAGUCUUGGAUAUUGGUUUGACUGCAAUGUCGUGUUAUAAAAGUGUGAUAAUUAAAAAGAAAAAAAAUUAAUAUUACAGAAUGAAAUUAAAAAAAAAAAUUGAAAAGAAAAAAAAUAAAGCAAAGCAUUAUUCUGAUUAAUAGUGCUUUGUAAUGAGGGGUAUAUUAAAAUCCCCUUAUAAGAUCACAAUAAUCCAAUAAAUAAAACAAAUAAUAAAGUUUAAUUCUUACUCAAAUCGAUAUUAAAAGAUAAAAUUGAAAGAAAAAACUACUUAAGAAAAGAAAUUUUGCAUCAACUUGUUUAACUUGUUAAACCAAUUUAAUCCGUCAAACUCGGGGUUCGUGUCAUGAAAUGAAAAGAAAAAGGUUGAUGCCCUUUAGUUAUAGUUAAUUACAAUAUUUAAAGAUGAAAUUGGAAAAAAAAACCAGUGAAGAAAAAGAAAAAAAAUCUAAAUCAACUAAGUGAACCCACCAAAUCAGGUCAUGGGAUUCGUGUCAUGAUAGUGUGAUAACUAAAUAGAAAAAAAAAGUAACAUUAAUGAACUAAAUUAAACAAAAAAAAAAAAGGAAAAAAACCUAUAGGAAGAAAAAAAUAAUGAAGAAAAAGAAAAAGAAAAUUUGAAUUAACUAGGUUAACCCGUCAAACUUGGGAUCCGUGUCAUGAAAGUUUGAUAACUAAAUAGAAAAAAACAUAAUAUUAACAAACUAAAUUUUAAAAAAUAAUUAAAAAGAAAAAAAGGAAAAAAAAACAAAAUAGUAAACAAAAAAAGAUUAAUUUAAAAGAAAAAAAAACAAAGAAGAAAAAAAGCCUAAAUGAAGAAAAAAAACUAAUGAAGAAAUAGAAAAAAAAAUCUAAUUAAUUGAGUUAACCAUUCAAACCAGGUUAACCUAUCAAACCUGGGAUUUGUGUUAUGAAAGUUUGAUAAAUGAUUAGGAAAAAAAAUAUUACGGGUUAACCCAAAAUUAGCUAAGUUAACCCGUCAAACCCAGAAUUCAUGUCAUGAAAGUUUGAUAACUAAAUAAAAAAAAAUUUAACAUUAACAAACUAAAUUAAAAAAAAAUUAAUUAAAAAUAAAAACAAAAAAAAUAUGGGUUAACCCGUCAAACGCGAAAUCUGUGUUAUGAAAGUUUGAUAAAUAAAUAAAAAAAUUAAACAUUAACAAAAAAAAAUUAAACAAAAAAAAUAUUCAUUAAAAAAAAUAAAAAAUUAACAUUAACAAAAAAAAUUAAACAAAAAAAGUAUUCAUUAAAAAAAAAAGAAAAAAAGGAAAACAAAAAACAAAAAAAAAGAGAAAAGAAAGAAAGAAAGACAGCUCACCUUUUACUCUGGACUACAUUGUACAGUCUACAGUAAAAGACUAAGCAGUUUUAGUUUAUUAGAUAAUAAUGAAUUUUAGUUAUUAGUAGCUUUGUUACCAUGUUUUGAAUUGAAUAUUUUUUAUUACACACAUGCUUUUAUAAUUUGGUUUUGUACAUAAAAAAUCCCAAUUAAAAUUUAAAAAGUUAAUGGAUACAUCUAAUUAAAUAAAUUAAAAAUUAUUUAUGUAAUAAAAAACUCAUUAAACUUGAUCCCUACCCAGUCAAAGUUAAUUAGCCAAACUUGUGACCCAGGUAAUGGACUUAAUUGGGUUAAACAAUUAUUUUUUUUCUUAUCUAAAAUAAACACCUAGAAAAUUUAAAAUUAAUCAAAUAUCGAGAUGAUUGAAAAAAAAAUUCAAACUAAAAUGAAUUGUAUUGCUCAAUUAAUAAUUAACUAAAUAUUAAGUGAUGAAAUUAAAAAAAAUAAAAGAAAAAAUCAAUUAUAAUUAAUAAAAAAGAAGAAAAAAAAACUCGGGCUCUCAAGCUUGGAUGGCUAAAACUCUUGAGUCUCUAAAAAAACGCCCAACAUGCGGGCUUGGAGUAGCCCACAUGCUUAGGCCUUUUCUUUAAUUUUUUUAAAGGGUGAACGACAAGUCAUUUGCCCUUUAAUUUUUUGAAAAACAAUAGGAGACACAUUGUCCGUAUUUAUGAGGAAAACAAUGCAUCGUUUGCCCUAAUCAGAUUUCGAUGACCUUAAAUUGCUGGGAAAUCAGGUGUGGUUGUUUUAGACUAAGAAAAACCUAUUUUCAAUCACAUUUAACCUAAAAAACAAAAGCAAAAACCAUAAACACCUUAUAAAACAUAUUCGUAGCCUUUAACAACCAAAAUAUUGGCUCCAAAACUCACAAUCAAUCUAAAAUCAAAAGAAACCUUCAAGCUCAAAUUUAUCAUUUCAGGUAAGUUUAAGGAAAAACAAUACUUAGAAUAAACUCUCCAUUAAAAGAAACUCAUCAACGCUAAAAUUAUUUUUUUCAUGGUCGAAAUCAAUCUUAAUUGAAACUUUCUUUCUUUACUAUCAUAAUCCAAUCAUUUUCUUUCUUCUCUCUCAAACAAGAGACUAAAAAAUCAAAAUAAAUAAAGUUUGGAAUCAAAAUUGAAUUUCAUAAAUUUUUAGUAACUAAAAGUUUAUAAUUUGAAAAGUUAGAGGGUUAUAAAUAUUUAGCUCAAAGUUUUUUUUUUUUAAAAAAAAAACCACCUAUUUUUUCGUCCCUUUUCAUUUUAUUCUUAUCUGCGAAUGUUUCUUUUCCUUAAUAAAUAUGCUUUAAUUGGCCAUCAAUUUAGGCAUGUAUUUAGAAGAGAGAGAGAGAGAGACUAAAAAAAACUAUAUCAUUAUAGCAAUCUGCAGUGAUCUAUCUCUAACUAAAUAGUGGUGAGAAAAUAAUAUUUUCCCAUGUCUUUUACAGUAUUUAUAAUGUUAAUAUUUUUUUAUUUUGAGACUGUGAAAACACUCACACACACACAUAUAUAUAUAUAUAUAUAUAUAUAUAUAUAUAUAUGUAUGUAUGUAUUUUAAGAUUGAAAUGGAGAUAUAGUGUUGUGUUAAAUCCAUUCUUUAAAAAAAAAUAAAAAUUCCAAAACAUAGUAGGAUUGCUUCGUCCUAUAAUCCAACGUUCAAGAAGCCUUGUGAUGAAACAAAAGGAGUUUAGGCCAGGAUAGCCAGGUGCCUAAGAAAGAAAAAGAAAUCGGAAAUACUAUAACCCCGAAUUGCACAAUAAAAAAUGAGAAACCUCUAUUGUAAAGAAACAAGGAAAAAGGGCUAAAGAUAUUUGUACAAGGCCUGAGUUCAAGCAGAGUCUUACGAGGCAAUGACCGGCCCAAGAUGUGGCGAAGGAAUUUAUGAAAGUUUUUGACGAGUAAAUUAGGCUUGGAGGCUAUUAUUCUUCUUACAUGAGACCCGAGGGCCUAUUAAAACCAACAAAUUCAUGCAAAUUGAGUUAUCAGCCCACGAAUUGCAUAGAAAACCAGGGGUGUGAGUUUUUAUCCAAAUGGUUUGGUUUGGACUAAAAAUAAAAAAUUUAAACAUUAAUUAAAUUAAAAUUUUUAGUAUUAAUGAUAAAUAUAUUCUUCAUGUCAUUUAUUAUAAGAAAGUUACACGUCUUUCUUGCAAACAAUAGAAGAAAUAAAAGGAGUUUUUUUCUACAAAUUUGUUUUAAUUAGAAAAUUAAAACAUUAUUUUGGCAUUUUAUUUUAAAAUUAAAGUUAGCUUAAACUAUAUGAUGAAAAUAUUAAUAAUCAAAAUAUAAAUAUGAUAUGUUAGGAUUUCUUAUAUAUAAUAAGUAUAAUUACAUAUUUAAAUAUAAAUAUGAUAAUAAAUAACUUAAUAUAACUCUGAGUUGUUUACUUAUAUUUAGUAAAUAUCUAUAGUAGAAAACCUUGUUAUUUUAGAAUUUCACAUUUCAAUUUCAAACUUUAUUUUUUUUUUACAUUUUAGUCCUUAGAUGUUAAGAGAAUAGAGAGAAAACCAUCAAAAGUAAAAGAAGGAACAAAUUUAACAAUACAAAGACCUAGUUUAGAUUUUGUCACAUAAAACUUACAUUUGAUCCAUAAAGUUUCAAUUUAUCUAUCAUUUGGUCCCUGUUAUUUUAGAACUUCACAUUUCUGUGUGUUUGAAUCAUUUUAUAUUGCAAAGUCUAAAUUAAUUUGAGCACACAUGAUGUCCAAAUUAAACGAAUAUUUUGUUACUGCUGUUAAUCUUUUCCUCUUUUGUUUUUUUUUUUCGUGAAAAACUUUGGGUCACCAAACUGAAUAUAUAUAUACUUCUCAUGAUGUAGACCGAAUAUAUGGAAGUAAAUGCUUUGGAGUUGUUGAUGAUGGCUUUAAGACGACAUUCUUUUCCAAAAUAAAAUAAAAAAAGAUGGCGCGCGCGCAUACACUCACUUUUAUAUAUUCCUUUUGUUUUCUAUAUGAUCAAGAUACAUAUAUAUGUCUUAAGAUUAGUAUUGUUAUAGAAUCUGUUUUUUUUUUUCUCAACUAUCUAGAAAAAAAAAACAUUUGGUUAGUAAAAUAAUAUUUGCCUUUUGUAUUAGAUCGUAUAAUUAUGUUUUAAAUAUUAAUUCUAUAAAAAUUAAAAUAAUUUUUUUAUUUAUAAAAACCUAUUUUUUAUUUAUUUUACAAGUAAAAUUCAUUUUACACAAUAAAAACUAUCACAACCAAAACACCACUUUAGUUCUACAAAACAGUACUCGCGGCUCACUCCUAUCUCAUAGGAGAAGUGUAAAGGAGAGCAGUAGUUAUAAAAAAUGUUAUCGAACAGAUGAAUUUUAUCCAUUAUCUCAUAUAAAAAUCUUAAGAGAUUAUUUUUCCCGUAGAAUCUGAUUAUGGCGAAAAUCAUGGCAAAACCUGUCAGAAGUGGGAUUUGAACCCACGCCCUCUCACGAGGACCAGAACUUGAGUCUGGCGCCUUAGACCACUCGGCCAUCCUGACACUGCUUGUUAGCUGUAACAAUUUAUUUAUAAUAUUUAUUUAGAUAUGAUUAAAAUAACCAUGGGUCCUUCAAGAGAUCACAUAUGGUCGAAUCAGCCUCUUUUAUUCUUCCAUGUUUCAAUUUACAAAUGAUGAACUGAUGAAGUCCCGAUAUUCACCGAUAUGCUUGGAUGUAGCAAUGAUUUUUCGGAAAACGGGUUGGAUGAAGUGACUCAGCCCAUUAUAAAAUGAAAGCAGCAGGCUCAAUUUAGAAAAAAAAAGAUUAUAAUAAACGAGUUGAUUUGACCAAAUGCUAGAACUUCAAGGGUAACUCGUAAUUUUCAUGUCUAUUCUGUUUUCACAUCUUUUCUAUUCUGGCUUGGAAAUCGACAACAAAAAUGUUAAUGGCUAUUUCUCAAGGAAAUCCAAAAUAAUUAAAAAAAAAAACUAUAAUUAUUCCUUUUCAUUAUAUAUCAAGACACAUGUUAUUGCUUUGGAAUAAUAAAAUAAUUACUUUAUUAUUCCAAAAAACAUUAAACUUCAGGGUGAUAUGAUUUUUUUUUAUGACAUAUAAGUUAUUUUCAUAUUGAAUGAGAGAAAAAAUAUCUUUUUACAUUUUUCAACACAAUCAAAUAACAGGAUUAUUUUUAAAAACAAAAACUUUUAACUUGGCAACCAGAGUUUUUUUUUUUUUUGUAUUUUUAGUUUUUAAAGCACGGGAAAAUAACUCAUUUACUCUUGAAAUUAAAUUUUUUUGAACAAGAACCAUGGUUUUUUGAUGUUUUCAUCAUGGUAUUUUAGUUUACAAUUAAGUUGAUUAAGAUAAAAUUUGAUAUUUUAAUAAGUAUGAAAUAUUAUUUAAAAAUAGAAGUUGUGCACCUGUAAGUGGGACACGCUUGCUUCUUUUGAGCAGCCCCUCCAUCCCUACGUUACAAGAGCGGAGACUUGUGGUGACCAAACAAUCACUUCUAAGAUGAUAUUUGAAUUGUCAUGGGAGCUUCUCCAUUUCUAUGCAAUGUAUGUGGCAAAUGAACUUUUAAUUUGGUGUCAACGGUCUUUUCUUCUAUUUUUUUUUCUUACUUAACUUCUUACUCCUCAAUUUCCAUGCCUAAACCUCUAAUUUUUCAAACUAAUUCUUUGAUUUAUUUUUCCUUCAUAUUUAAUUUAUUUUUUUUUAUUACUAUUUAUUUUAUUUAAAAUAAUUUAUAAUUUUUUUUUAAUUUUAUCAUUCUUCAAAAAAUUUUAUCUGUCAAUUCGGUUCUCAUAUUUUUUAUUACUAUUUAUUUUAUUUGAUGUGGUUUUUAAAAUUUAUUUUUUAUGAUUUUAUCUUGUUUUAGUUUUUUUUUCUUAUUAGAUUUGAUCUUUAUUCUUUGAAUUGCUUUUUUUUUUUACAAAUAUUUUAAAUUAAUUUUUUUAUUUCAUCCUUUAACAUUAAAUAUAUUAGGAAUUAAACUUAUUGAUUGAACAUGCUAAUAAAUUUUUUAUUAAAAAGAUAUUUAGGAGUUGGAUUUGAUUCACAGAAAAGUAUCAUUAUUGUCAUGCAUUAAACUAAUAAUGCUUGUUUAAAAGGAAAAUUAUGUACAGCAGAAACAUCUAUUCAUGGAUGAUAGCAGCUGUGAUGGUGUUAUUCUGGACAAUUCCCUACUAUUAAACAGUGCUUCAGAGAAACUGAUCACCGAUGAGUGCACCCACAAGCUACAGAGAUUGAUAGGAGCACACUUUCGUGAUUCCAAGCACACCUUUAUAAUGACAGCCUCUGUCAAGCACAAGGAACAUAAAUGACCAAUGGGGCAUACAUACAUACAUAUAUAUAUAUAUAUAUAUAUAUAUAUAUAUAUAAAUGCACAUGAUUAAUUUUAAUAUCUGACUUGAUCAGGAUAUUUGUGAGCUGGAACCCAUGCUGUAGCUUGCUGCUAGUUAUUAACUGCUUCUUUCACACAUUAAGAAACAGAAAAUUCAUCCAAGUCUGGUUAAUGAUGAUUUUUAUUUUCUCAUAAAUAGAGUGGUAACAGGCUGAAGUUAGGUUAUAACUAACCUAUUACAGAGAUUUGGUUACAUAAUUUACUCUGCAGUUACGUACAGACGCUUCCAUAUGUGUUCUUCAUCAAGACAGGGCAUAAUACUUGUAGGUGAAACCAACACCAUAGACACUGUUUAAUUAAAACUACAUUACAUAGCAUGACAAUGCCUAUGCUGAGAACCAGCUGAAGAUUACACUUUCACUGGGCCAUGAGCGACUAAUGACUCGUUCUCAAAUCGAAACGAUGAUGGAUUAGUUUUUUUCUCUUCAGCGCUUCUCCUUCUUGAUUCCUCUUGCCCUUUUCCAGCAAUCGCAGCUCCCUUUUUCUCUUUUCUUCUCCGUAUAACAUACUCUUCAGGAAUAAAUACGUCCAUUAAAUGUACCAGAAGAUGAUAAAAAACUUAAUUAGGUAGGUGAUGCGAAGUGUUACACUUGUGCCUGAAUGGGAAGAAAAAUCAUGUAUUUAUAGGGAAAAUGAAGAGGGGAUACCAUGGGCGUCGAUGCCCAUGUUUUUUCUUCAAACAAGCGAACACUUGUUAAUUUUAUGAAGUACAGUUACCUAGGUGAAAAGAUACAUGUUGGUUUCCGGGAGGUUUUUGACCUUAUUGCAUACCGUGUAAGGCAUCGAGGGAGAAAGGGCAAAAGAGCACGUGAAAGGGCUACAGUAGAGACAGGUGUAAGUGAAACUGAUGGUAAUGCAUCCUUUUGUUCUUGUUUCCAGUUCUGUUUUUAUAUUCAGUUCAUGAGUUCUUUCGGUUAAUUUGUCUUCCACGAGAACAUUUGUUGCUCGAGUAAAUUAUUUGUUAGUCCCUAGGUUUUGGAUGCAAUUAUAUUUUAGUCUUUCAUAUUCUAAAAUCUAUAAAUUAGUCUCACCACAGUUGACUCUUAUUGACUGUUUUCUUAUUACUGUUUCUCUAAGCGUUCACUCUAUUAAUUUUUCUUUAAUGUUAGGUAGUGUUUGGUGUUGUAUUUAAUUAAAUUGUGUUUGAAAGUGCCUUUCAAGGUAUAUUUGGGGCAUAAAAACAUAAAUUUGAUUUUUAAAUGUUUUUGAAUAAUUUUAAUAUACUAUAUUAAAAAAGUAUUCAAAUAUAUAUUUUUAAAAACACCUACAACGCGUUACCAAUUUAAUUAUCAAACAAUACAUAAAACAACAACUGUCUUGAAUCUCACAUUAUCCUGCCAAUGAUCCUAGUUGGUUCAAAAUUUAUCAAGAUUAAGAUUUGUAAAGUUGAUCAAUGAAAUUUCAUUUUGUUUGAAACGGCCAGGGGUGAAAAAAAUAAAAUAAAAUUACUCUCCAGUCCCUAGUUUUUAAACUCAAUUGUUAUUUAGUAUCUUAUGUUUGAGAAUACACACACACAUUUUGUGUGUGUGUGUGUGUGUUCUCAAACAUAAUAUAUAUAUAUAUAUAACCUUCAGGUGCAAUUCACAUAAAUUUUAGGAGUAUCGUUUAUUAUAUUCAUGGUUUCUCAUAGACUCCAAAGAGGAAAAGUAGUUCGGUAUAUAUGCCUUUGAAAAUCAGUCUGGGAAUACUGAGUUUGUUCAUCCUCAAAAUAUUCAUCACAGCAGAGCCUCUAAAAUGGCGCCAUGUGUAUGACAAUGAUUCUCUGUCUGUUACCAUUAAUCAUCAAUCAUGCGUUAAGACAGUGAUAAACAUGUUCCCUGCAGCACACCGAUUCAUCAACUCACAACUCUACUCAGUGCAAGAAAGACGUGAAAAAAAAGGAGAAGAAAGAAGAUUAUAAAAAGGUGUCUUAUAAGUCAAAAGCAUUCGAUGGUCGGUUGUAUAAGAUAAUGUAUUUAAUUAUCUUGAAACAUCAUAGAAGGUGGCUUGAUGAAAAUAUUUUGGGAGCAGUUUAUAAAGGCAUAAAAAGUGAAGGAUUAUAUAUACUUUUUGGGAUAUAUUUGAUAUUUCAGAAGAUUUGUUUCCUUCUUUAACUUUUUAAAUUGGAGCUUUCAAAUCUACAUCCGCUAAAACUUACUGAAUAUACAAAAUUGAUUAACUACGAAAAAUAUCUUUCCUCGAUUAAUACAUAAAUUGACAUGAUAAUACACUGGACCAUGAAAAAACAUGAUUAAUUAAUUAAUUAUAUAUAUAAUAUAAAUAUAAAUGAAUCCAUAUUGUUUCUAAUCCAUCCUCAUAUCCUUAAUUUAAUCAAUUUUAUCCUUAUAACAUGAGUGAAUUUUCAAUUUAUCCUUGUACUAACUUUUUUCAUAGAUCUAAAUUAACUAAAUUGGUAAUCAAAAUAUUUAAUAUUAUAUUGAAAGUGGCCUUUGAGUUCCAUGAACUUUCCAGACAUAUGUUUUUUGUCUGAUAAAUAGAAUAUUGUUUUUUUUUUUUAAAAAAAAAAACAAAUUCACACAAGACAAUACCUUUGUUCCCCUUUGAAACCUCGUUCUCCUUCUAUGUCUCUUCGGUGACCCCUUCAUGCACUUGAGUUGUCAUUUUUUAUAUAAUAUUAAGUCAUGUGCAUGACUAAUUAUAUAAAUUUGGGGGAAGAACUUAAAAGAAUGAUAGAUUGGAAAUUUGGUUAUUUUAUAAGGAUAAAACAGGCUCAAUUAAAAUUAUAAUAACAUAUUGAAAACUCAUCCCAUCAUAUAAAAAUAUAUGCUAGAUCUAGUCACUCUUAAAAUAUUCAUAACUCUCAUUUUUUGCUACACAUUAUAUUUUUAUAUAACACAAGAAAAAAUAAACUGAGCUUAAAAUUUGAACCAUAUGAUUAUGGGAUCCAUUGGUGGUUUUGACUAAUCUAGUGGCUUAAAUUUUUUUAAUCUACUCUCAUGGAUGCAUAUUUGUUUUUUUUUCAAAGGAAAAAAAAGCUUUGUCCACCAAACAAGCUAACUCCCUUACAAGAAAAAUAGGAACCUCAUACCGAGUUUGUUAAAUAAUCAAAAGAAAUAAACUUUGAAUCCAACAAAUAUGAAAUAAUAAAUAUUGGGUCCAUACUUAAUCCAAAAUAGGAGUAGUCCCUUGUAACCUUGAAAUCCAAAGCGAUAACAUCGCCUUCAAGCCAUUGAAUAUGCUCCGGAUAAGCCUAAUAAUAGCUUUAUAUAGAUUAAAUAUCAUAUUAUUCUCUUUUUUAGUAUGAUAUAAGAAAAGAAAAUUCAAAAAAGAAAAAAAAAUAGUAGUAUUAGAAGAAGUGUAAGCUAAUGAAAGCAGAGUUCAUUAUAAAAGUAAUGUACUCUGAAUAGAUAAAGAACAUUGUCAUAGUUAACAAAUCCAAUAAAAAAUAAAGGAUGUGUAUUGAUUUCACAUAUCUCAAUAAGACAUGUCCUAAUGACUACUUCAUCUUUCCUAAAUUGACCUACUAGAGGAUUAGACAACUAGUUAUUCAUUUCUAAACUAUUUGGAUGCUAAUUUAGAAUAUUAAUAGAUCCUCAUGCACCCAAACAAUGAAGAAAAUACUUAUUUCAUCAUUAACAAAGGGAUGUACUUCUAUAAGGCCAUAAUUUUCUAAUGAAGAACACCAUAUCCAAAUAUUAAAUAAUGGUUACCAAGAUCUUUAAGGACCAAUUAGGAAAGAAUAUGGUGACGUAUAUAGUUGACAUAUUGAUAAAGAGCCCCACUUUUAAGUAACACCUCAAAGACUAACAAUAUGUUUUCUUUGUUCUUCACCAAUAUUGGAUGAAGCUCAAUUUAUAAAAGUGCAUUAUUGCUAUACAAUGAGGAGAUUUCCUACGAGUUCUAAUCAAUAAUAAAAGGACACAACUUAAUUUUAAAAAUAUUACAACCAUUAUAGAUAAAGCCCUCAUUGGUUGGCCAAAGAAGUUUAGAGACUAACUAGCUAAGUAGCAACCUUGAAUAAGUGUGUAUCUCAAUUUAGGGAGCUUUGCCUUCCAAUUUUAGGACAUUAAAGGAUGUGUCCACUUUUUAGUAGACUAUCAAGUGUGUGAAAGUCUUUGAAAACCUAAAGUCUCACAUUUCUUUUUCAAGAAUUUUAUCUUAACCCAAAAAAAGAAGGAAAAGACUAUUCCUUUAUCUAAGGAUGGUAAAUUUAGUUGUGAGUGAUGUUAUGGUUAGGGAGGAGCACAAAGUUCACAAACCUGUUUAUUUCGUAAACAAAACCUUUCACAAUGUUGAAAUUAGAUACUUGAAAAUUAAAAAUGUGGUUUUGGUGCUAGUUGUUAUGACCCACUACUCCUAAUAUUUUUAUUUUGUUUUAAUUACUAUCAUCACUCUCAUUUUUUUCAAUUGUUAUUUUUUUAUUGGCAAUUGAUUUUUUAAAUAGUUUUUAUAAUCUCAUAAUAUCUUUAAGAUAUUAUUGUAAUUUAUCUUUGAUUUUUUUCCUGAUUAGAUUUAAAUUAGAUUAGUUUUAUUUGCAUUAUGCAUUUAUAAAAAUGAAAAUUAUAUGUACUUAGCAACCAUAAUUAUUUUUAAAGACAAGUAAAAGAAAAUAAAAAGGAUAACCUAUGUGCAUUUGUAUCUAUCUUUUAAUUCUUACUUUAGAAUUAACUUUUUAUUUUAAUCUUUAAUUAGCAUUCACAAAUCUUGUUGACUUAUUAGAUAAUAUAUUUUUUAACUCAUUAUAUUAAACACAUACAUCCUCUUUCCAUUCUUCAUUUACAAGUUUCAUGACAUUAAAAUUGUAUCCAUGAUAUUGGUGCCUUCUUCUUUUAUAUUCAAAAUUAACUUGAAAUUUUAUCUAUAACACAGAGUGAAUAUUACCUAUUAUAUUAAAAAUAAUACGGUUUUUUUUUUUUUUUUUAUUUUUUUAUGAAGCUUCAUUGUUAAGCUUAUCCUUAGAUAAAACAGGUGUCCUUUUAUUUGAAUCCUUAGAUCAAAUAAUAAUCCUAAUAAUUUAUCAAACUCAAAAAUUAAAAUCCAAUUAACUAGAUCACCAAACAAGAAAAAACCAUAAGUAAAAAAAAUUACCUUCUUAUCAUAGAUAAAAUUCAAAAAGUCCAAGAGACUAGCACUAUUAAAACACAUUUCCAAAAAAUAAACUUAAAAAAGGUCACAAUAACACAACAAAUAAGAAAGGGAGUGUUAUUUCAACUUUAUUUAAGAUCUUAGAUCUUCUCCAAACUGAACAAAAUAUAGAAGAUUUCGAUCUACCAAGUCACUCUCUCAACAACUAAAAAAAAAUAAUGAGUUUUUAUUUUUGGUAAGAUAGAAAAAAAUUAUAUUUUUAUUUAUGCUGAAGAGAAACAUAGACCGGGGGGGGGGAUGUGAGAGAUACUAGAUAAAAAACAUUUACAUUGUAUAAAUGACCUUUUAAUAACAGUGACGUAAAACUCUUUUUUAUUCUCAACUUUUUCUCUUCACCUCUCUCUCUCUCUCUCUCUCUCUCUCGCUAAAUAUUUUUAUUAUUUUUUAAAAUAAAAGAAGAGGUAAAAAAGGGUUAGGAGGUGUAGCAUCCAGGCCUAAAAGCGCAUGAUGUUCUUUUAUUUGGGCUAAAUACUAGGCUCUUUUCUUUAUUUCUUUUUCCAAUCUAAAAGAAAUGUUUAACAUGAUAAUUCAUUUAUUCUUUAAUUUUCACUUGAUUCUUGAAUAAUAUUAUAGAUUUUUAUUAGAAUGGUAACAAUUCUUUUUUCAAUUAUUAUGCAUUUAAUAAUAAUAAUAAUAAUAAUAAUAAUAAUAAAUCUCUCAUGAAUAUUCAUUUAAAAUAAAAAAAAAUUGUUUUCAAAAUUCUUAAAUGGAUUUUUGACAUAAUUUUGUCACAUUCGUUAUAUUUUUAACUUUCAACCAUAGACAAAAUAGAACAUAUUAUUUAGAUGUACAUUUAUUAAACUUGUCUUGACGAUGUAUUUUUUUUUAAAAGUGAUUCCAGUUAAAAAAUAUGCUUUCAAUAAAAUAAUUCAGAAAUACAUUAAUUAUAAAAUUAAAUUUAUAUUAGAGAACUACAUGUUUCCUACUUAUUUCAAAUUACUUAAAUUUUUAAUAAUUGUUUAUUUUAAUAAUCAUUGUGUUUUAUUAGAAAAGUGUGCAUCUAAUAAAAAACAACGAAGUUGUUUUUAAAAAGUUAAAAUAUUUUUAUGAAGAUAUUAUCAAUUAAUUUAUGAAAAAUUAUGUAUUAAUACAAUAUGCAUAAUUUUGAUAAGAACUUAUUUAUUAAUAUUGAAUGAUAAUAAUAUAUCUAUAUUUAUUCUAAUUCCUUUCAAUUUUUUUUUAUCAAAUUACGAACCCAUGAUAAAAAAGAUACAUUUUUUAUUGAAAAAAUAUAUUAAUAAGAAAAGAACAAAAAAUAUACUAGAAAUGUUUUUUUCAAUGAGUUUAAAUUAUUUUUUUUCUAAAAAAAAUAAUUUUAUUAUUAUGUAAUUAAAUAAAAACAUUAAAAAGCUCCUCAUUACAAAAGAUUAAAUAUCUUAAUAUGUAUUUUUAUUUCAGCUUCCCAACUUAAUCUAUAAUUUGAAUGAAUAAAUUUUUUAUUAUUUAUUGAAAAAUAUAGUUCUUAAUUUAUGUUUUACGAAAUAAAUAUUAACUUUUCAAUUUACAUUUAAAUUUUUAUGAUAAAAAAGUUAAUAAUAUCUAUACAUUUUUUAGCUGAAAAAAGUUUCGUUCAAUUCAUCAUCGUAGGUGCACCGUCACUAGCAUCCCCUAAAUGACUUGCAUUUAAAUGAAGAACUCGAUAGCCAUGAUGAGCGUCUAAUCAAUCGCUACAUCUCUUAUUCUUGAAGACUUCAAUUCAUAAGAUUAAUAAUAAUAAUAAUUAUUAUUAUUAUGCGAGAAUUAUAUAUAUAUAUAAAAUUGUUUUUUUGUCCAUACCCAACUUCCAUAUGUACUCACCACCAUCUAGGACCCUGACUCUCCAGCUAUAUUUAUAACAGCCCUUUCUCUUUUAGAUGGUGAUCUUGAUAGAAUUUUACCUGAAGCAUUUGGUGACAAUUGUCUUCGUACAUGGGUUUCCGGGUCUUGGUGGCUAAAGUGAAAGACUUCGUCAUGGGGGAGAAGGAGCCCAAGAAAGCUGAAUCUGAGGGAGCCUCUCUGCCUACACAAGUUCAAGAACAUGGACCUGUUAAGGAAGAGAAAGAAGUCCCUUUAAAUGAUUCUGCUAAUGAGAAGAGCUCGGUCCUAGUUACUGAAAGUAUGUCCUCUCCUUAUUCUUCUCCUUCUUUGCUUUCUGGUUCCUCCUGACAUCGAGAGGAUAAGGAAAGUUCGUAAUUUGGUUUUUCAUGAAAGUUGAUGGCUUGCAAUUUUGAAUAUCUCAAACCCGACUUAACAAUUGAAUGUUUCUCUAAACAUGUUAUAACAAGGCCCUUAAUUGUAUGAUUAAAUCUUCGAUGUAUCAGAGGUUGCAGAUCCACCUGCUACUGCAAAAAACUCCAGGGGGUCAAAUGACAGAGGUAUGCGCAGGCUACUAUCUUAAUCAAAAUUGAUAUCUUUCAUAUCAACAGAUAACAAGGACUUGAAUCGUUCAUCAGAUGCUGUGCUUGCGAGGGUUGAAGCGGAGAAAAGAUGUGCUCUACUUAAAGCAUGGGAAGAAAAUGAGAAAGCUAAAGCGGAGAACAAGUAGGAGACCAUCUCUAAUGCUCUGAAUUGUCCAUCUUUUAGUAUUGGCAUAAUGGAUUCCAAAUCUAGCUUAAAAGCAUGCUUGGAAUGAUUCUGCUUCAAUCUGUUUAUCGAACAAGCUACUAGCUCUUAGUUUAACAAGAUUGCACUAUUUACAACUUUGCUUGUGUCUGAAGUUCUCCUGAAUUAGAAUAUUACUGCAUGGAAAGUAAAUUCGAGCCAGGAAUUGACCAGCUCUUUGGUCAUCCAACAUAAAAUAAUGUAUUUGGAAGUCUCCGAGAUUGAGUCUAGGCGUCCAAGAAUUUUAGACAAGGAUUUGUGCAUUGAAGCAGUAUUACAAGUUAAAAUGUUAAACUUGGUUUUAUAAAGCUUUCAGUUCCUACUCGAUGAUGACCUUCAGAGCUUGUUUCUGAGCAAGUUAUACACGCUGAAUUUUAAAUAGGGCUCACAAGAAACUCUCUGCCAUUGGAUCAUGGGAGACAAUCAAGAGAGAGUCUGUGGAGGCAAAAAUAAAGAAGUAUGAGGUAAUAAACUUAAUGAAUUGAAGUAUCAACUGCUUGUUAUAGCAUGACUAAUCCUCCUUUCCACAUAUAAAAACUGUACAGUUCAAAGUAAUUAUGUAGUAUAUAUUCUUGCAAAAAACUAUUUCAGUAGUGUCUUGAUUAACUUGUGAUAUGGUAGGAAAAAGUGGAAAAGAAGAAGGCUGAAUAUGCAGAGAAAAUGAAGAACAAAGUAGCCGAACUCCACAAGGCAGCCGAGGAGAAGAAAGCAAUGAUUGAAGCAAAAAAAGGCGAGGACCGUCUCAAGGUAGAGGAAACUGCAGCGAAAUUCCGAGCAACUGGGUAUACACCAAGGAAGUGUCUAAGAUGUUUUGGCAAAUUCUAAUGAACAAUAGUAAACGGAAGAGAAAAGGCUGCUAGUAUUGGAUUUGCUUGAUUUUUUGGCUUGUUAUUUUAUGCUGUGCUCAAAUAUUGUUGGUUCAGCUGUAAAUGUCUUUUGAUAUUUGUAAAAAACAAUAAAUUGGAGUGCAUGUGUUCCAUUACCCAAGUUCUGACAAGACCCGAGUUUGAAUUUGAUAUUUUCUUUUGUGUGAGUUGAAUCUCAGUGCAUGUGUUAAAUCAUUUGUGUAUCUGUAGUUCUGAAGAAUUUGGUGACACAACAAUUCAAGGUCUUUAAUUUUGUGUAGUGGCUGCAUUUUUCACACAAUACUUGCUAUGGAUCACACCAGCUACUUGCAGCUCAUAUUUUCUGAUAUGACAAAUGUGUCAUCCAUCACCCAAUUUACUUGCUUCUUAGGCUAAAAUUCUCAACCACCCCAGAAUACUUGGUGAAGAAGGGGAGGCAGAGUUUGUAUAUGAAUGAGUUGUCGGAGACUGAAACCUUUUCGAAUUUCAAUUUUUCAGAUAAACUUUUCAUGAUCAAUAUUCGCUACAUUUGUGAGCUGAUAAUAGCUAAUUCCAUUCUACUUGUAUAUUUGACAAGCAUAAUCAAUUAAAUGUGAGGCUAAUAUCAUGUCAACAGGAGAUACGAGGCUAAUAUUACGCCAAUAAUUUUCUUUAUUCCAUUUCCAAGUUAAAUAAGUUAUGAAAAAAAUUCCAAGAAGCAAUACAUGAUGUCCCUAAUGCCUUGAAUCUUUAUAUGAUGCCCACGGGUGCAGAAGAAAAUCUGUGCAAUUACGACUUAUCCGUUUAUUUUGAGAACUUUCAGCAAUCAAUAUAAUCCUAGUACAGACCACGUCUGUGCACAUUGUUUGCAGCAUUUUAUAUAUAUAGAAUGUAAGCAGAGACUCUUGAAUUGUUGGCCUACAAAUUUUGGAAUCAAAUUGAUGCUAACAUGGUAUUUUGUUGUCAUGUAAACACACGGUUUUUGACAGAUAGGCUGCUAGAUAUAGUAAAAAAUCUAUUUGGAGACAGCUGAGUUGUCUACCAAAUAACAAGAGGAUUGCAGUUGUAUUUGUUACCUCCUGUCUGGACUAUCUUUGAAAGACUUGGUCAGGAAAUGUUUCAGAUCUAUCUGUAAUAGCUCACUAUUCUUAGAACGGUACCCUGCAAGUUCCAAGAGAUAUAGACCCUGGAUCACAUUAGCUUAAAUAAGCGGUUCAAGUCUUUUUGUCCAUCCAUUGAACAUUCAUUUUAUUGACCUUUAAUCUGCUAGUUAUAAUACAGGAAAGGUGAAAGGUAAGAGCAGAUUUUCUAAGUUCUGUUUAUCUUAACUUCUGAGAUUAAGAGCCGAACUUUCAGAAUUUGUUCUUAAAACUUUCCCAUUAAAGCUUUUCUAAGCAACCCUUCUGAAAUCAGAUUCUAUACUGCUCAUUUUAGAUUCAUCAGGAAAAGCAUAAUGGGCUUCACUGGGACCUUAGAGAAAUGCAAGGCCUGUGACAAGACUGUUUAUUUCGUCGAAUUGGUGUCUGCUGAUGGAGUUCCUUAUCAUAAGAAGUGCUUCAAAUGCAGCCACUGCAAUGGACUUCUUGUAGUAUGAGUUCUACUCAUUUAUCCUCUUUUCUUCUUCAUGCCUUUUCUUUUGUGGUUAUUGCCUGAGUAAGAAUCAAUGAAAAUACGGUCCUUUACCAGGAUUAUUGAAACUGAACCACCAUGAAAUUUGUCUUAUAGAUGAGUAGCUAUUCCUCGAUUGAUGGAGUUUUAUACUGCAAACCUCAUUACGACCAGCUCUUCAAGGAGACCGGUACUUUUACCAAGAAAUUCCAACCCUGUGAGAUCCGCUUCUCCGUUUUCCUUUCGUUUAAGUUUCUCUUACAUAUUUUUGGAAUUAGAGUUCCAUGGAGAAGGAUGCAGUCCUCCCUAUUUUACCUUCUUUUUUUUUGCUAACAAUGUGUUUCUGCAAUCCUGACUGUUUAGAUGAAGAGAAGAAAAACUGCCUGGUACCAAGAUUCUUUACAAUCGGUUCUUAAUUUUUCAUUACCUUAAUUUGUUUCUAAUGGAAAUUUCUAGUUUGUUUGCUGGAGUUUGAUGCAUGUUUUCACAAUCAUGCAGACAAAGGCCCCAAGCAAACUUUCCUCCAUGUUCAGAGGCACCCAAGACAAAUGUGCUUUCUGUAAAAAAACUGCAUACCCAUUAGAGAAGGUUUCUAAUCCAUCUGUCUCUCUCUCUCUCUCUCACUCACACACACACACUCAAUUCUUAUUUCCCCAUUCAUUAACAUUCAUUCCUCGUCCAUCAUAUAUAUAUUUGCGCAACUCGAUUGGAAAUGCAAAAGACAGAGUAACUCUCAUUGAUAUCUAUAUUGUACCUUAUUCUGGCACCAAUAUAAUCUCAUGCACCAAGAUCAACUCCGGAAAUAGAUUGAGAUCGAUAUUAUAUGAUGGAGUGAGGAUAAAGAAGCUUAUUGCCGUAACCAAAAUUUUGACAGGUGACUGUGGAGGGAGAAUUCUAUCACAAGUCAUGCUUCAGGUGCUCUCAUGGGGGUUGCUAUAUCACUCCUUCAUCUUAUGCAGCUCUUGAUGGUAUCCUAUACUGCAAGGCCCACUUUGCUCAAUUGUUUAAGCAGAAGGGUAGCUACAGUUAUCUCACCAAAACUGCCACAAUGAAGAAAAACGCAGUAAAAUUGCCAGAAGAAAAAUCCGAAGCAGAAGAAAACAAUGAAACAGUACCAGAAGCAAACGCAGAUGCCAACUCUGAUUUAGCCAUUGACAAGGGACACCAUAAUUCAUGAGAAUGCGCAGAGCUACGUCUCAAUGCUGUGUUGUUCCUUUCACGUGCCUCUCUAGGGGACAUUGAGGUUACAAGAGUGGUUGCUCUCCUUGUUCCUACUCAGGCAUGUGUCGACAGAGAAUGGGAACCUGGAAUUUUGUUUCGCCUUGGAAUUCGGAAACUAAAUAGAGACUUCUGUAAUAUUUCUAUAUUUGCAGGUGCAGUUGAUGAACGAAAAUAAAAUUUCACUUCUUUCUCUUUUGUCUUUAAAUUUCUUCAUCAAUAACAAAAAUGGCCCUUGAAGAAAACAAAACCAUAUUAACACGGGAGAAAUCUAGACAUUGAUAAAGAACGGUCGAAGACAUGAGUUUCCUAAAACCCUCCGGAAACCGCAGUCUAUAGGUCAUUGCUCCAACUCUUCGUAUAAUCUUGCAAGGGCCAUAAAAUCUCAGAUUAACCUUGAUAUUUUUCCUUAGUGCUACACUCAAUUGAUUGUAAGCAUGUGAUUUCAAGCACACCAAAUCUCCCACCUAAAACUCUCUUUCUAUAUAUCCUGCCACUUGUUUCAUCAUGUCCCUAGCCUUUUCCAGUUAAAAUUGCAACCAUUGAUCCAAUCUAGCCCUUAAUUUAUUGAAUCACCUUCUUAAAUGUUGCUACUGGAGAAUUAACCUCUACAUUGGGUGAAGGAUAACCAUGCAAUGAUUGAAAAUGGCUCAUUUUAAUGGAUAAAUGAUAGCUAGAAUUAUACCAUCAUUGAGCUAAAGACAACCAUUCAUGUCAUCUGCUUGGAUUAUGCAUGAUCAUACACCUCAGAUAAGUUUUAAGACAUUGAUUAACCCUUUCUGUUUAUCUAUCAUUUUAAGGAUAGAAAGAUGAGUUCACCCCUUAUAACUUAAACAAUUCUUUCCAAAAUAUACUAAUGAAGAUUUUAUCCCUAUCUAUCACAAUAGCCAUAGAUAAACCAUGGAACUCAUGGAACUUGUAGAUGUAAUCUAAAAACAGCUAAGCAAUUUUCUAAGCUGUAAAAGGAUGAGCUACAGCUAAGAAAUAUCUAUAUUUAGUGAAUCUAUCCACAAUAACCGAUAUUGUGUUCUUUCCCCGAUUUUGGCAAGCCUUAAACUAGAUCCGUGGUUCUAUUUUUUCAAAUACCUUUUGAUAAACGUAGUGGUUGAAGCAAUCUAGGAUGUAACACCCUUUCUUUUUUGGCUUGCUUACGCACAUCAUAUUCUUCCAUGAAUUUUCUCACCAAGGCUUUCAUAUAAGGCCAAUAAAACAUAGCCUUGAGACUCUUAUAAGAAAUAUGCACCCCUGUAUGUCAUUUAACAUGCGAGUCAUAUACAAGACUUAUAAUUCUAUAAAGAUUUUUUAAUCCUUUGUAAUCUUCACUUAUAGCUUUAAACCUUAAAAUUGCAUCAAAUCCAUCUCUCAUGUUCUCGAAUUAGAUUAUAAUUCUAUAUAAAAAAAAUUUAAUUCUUUGUAAUCUUCACUUACUCUUGUGAUAUUUAUAAUUAUAUGAAAGUAUAAGUGAUAAUUAAUCACUUGAAUAAUCUUUUGUCAUAUGAGUCAUUAAGUGAAAUGUUUGAUCUUGAACUUCGAAAAAGAUUGUGAAAAUUUUGUUCUGACCCUUCAAAAAAUACUGUGUGAAGUUUUAUAAUCUUAAUCUAAAAAAAAAUAUUAGUAUAAUCAAUAAAGUCUCAUGUAUUAAAAUAAUUAUGGGUUAAUAGUGAAUAUUCGAAUGAAAAUUUAAAAUAAAUGGAGCAAAUGAGUUAAUUGUGAAUAUUUGAAUGAAAAUUUAAAAUAAAUAGAUCAAAUACUUGCCGAGUUAUUAUAAAAAUGAUAUACUUGUAGAAUGAGGAUUCAAUAAGUUCUCACAUAUCGUUAACACAAUCCACCUUCAGUUAGAUCACUUGGAAGAGGAUUGGGAUAUUCUUAAAAAAGAAAAGAAAAGAAGGAUCGUCAUGUUCAUGAAAAAAAUGCUUAUGUAUUGCUUGCUAAUGAUAUUGUAUAAUUGACUCCAUCAAAAUUCAUAAAGAAAAAAGGUGAGAUAAAAAAUGUUUUUUUCUCAUAAUUUUUAGAUUGACUAUGCCUAUCAAUUUAUUUAUAGAAUGGGUUAAUUAAUAGAUAUAAGAUUCAUGGACAAAAUAAUGUAUGAAUUUCAAAUUAUUUUUGUACCUAUUAAUAUAAUUAAUGAAUUAAGUGGUACGCUGAAUUCAUUUAAUAAUUUUUCACAUGAUGCUUUUUAAAAUAACCUAUAUAAUUAUCUGUAAAAAGGAAAUCAAACACCAAUAUGCAUAAAUAUAGAUAUUUUUAGAGUAAAAUAGUAAUUUCGUUUGAAUUCUUACGUAUUCUUAAAAAUAGACGAAGCACAUUAAAACUAUAUAUAUAUAUAUAUAUAUAUAUAUAUAUAUAUAUAUAAGGAUACAAUGGUCAACGUGGUACAUUGACCCGUAAUCCUAGGGAGGAUAGAUAGAUUGUCAUGCCUUCUGUUUUAAGGGUGUCGUGUCGUGUCGUGUCCGGUCACAGACCAUUUGAAUGAUGAAUCAUGUUCAUCCCUCCCUUCAUGGACCAAAAUACCCCCACUCUCUUCACGAUAUUCCCUGACAACCCUCGACUUGUCCCUCUCUUUUUCACUUGCUUCUACUUCAAGUGCCACUAGCUCACAACUGCUACUCCUUUUUUUCAAUCGAACCCCUCCCUUUCUUUUUUCUGCUGCUUUCUUCUUAUAUACUGAAAACUAAAAGAGAGGGAGGGAGGGAGGGAGAAAUGGGUGUAGGCACCAGCAACUUUGUGAUUAGAUGGAUCAACUUUCUCACCAUGGUAAGCUUUGUUUCUUUUCCACUUUCCCUUUUUGUUCAUCUUUAUUUUGAUUUAGGCUUUCGAGUCAGAUUCGAUGCUACACUGUUAACUGGCCCUUCUGUUUUUUAUAUCUUAUUAUUCUUCUGGCGUUGUUGAUUAUUUUGCAAAGGGUGGUUUUGUUUCUGGGAUAUAAUAAGUUGUUCAUUUUUACGAGGGUUAUAAUUUUUUGAAGUUUGCUUCUUUUGGGGGGUCAUUGUAAUUGUUUGAUUUUUGCAGUCAUGUCUGCUACUUUGUUUAAGAUCAGGGUGCUUUUCUAUCUGCUUUCUUCUUUACACUGAUGAUUAUUGUUGCUCUUGGUUAUGCUGGUAACUGGUUGUCCAUGGUAAUUGGUUUAUAACAAGUGUACAUGGUAUCGUGUUAAAGUUUGUUCCAGAAUAACGAGUUUGCUCUCGUUCAGUUUUUUCUAUUUGGCUUAAUUUACUUUCAAUCGAAGUGAAUACUUUUUUUUUGUUUUGUUUAUAAUGUGAGUUUAUGUGUGUUUCAUCCUCUCAUUGCGUAGCUUUUAGCUAUAGCUGUCAUAAUUUUUGGGGUAUGGAUGAGCACACAUCAUGACAGUUGUCGAAGGUCUCUCACUCUCCCAGUGUUGGGCCUUGGUGCUGUCAUCUUUGUAAUGUAAGUUCAAAUUUUCUAUUGUCAGCCUUCUUAUAACUCUUAUGCAUUUACCUUUAACAGCUACUGAUACAACCUUUUGUUGAUGUUUAGAUCAAUAAUUGGGUUCUUGGGCGCCUUGAAGAGCAACUCCAUACUGUUGUGGAUUGUAUCCUUACUAAAUGACCAAUCUUUUAUAUUUAUUUGCUUGAAUAUUGGUCUGCGCUCUUCAUUUUUUUUGUUUUAUUUGUUGGGCAUCCCUUAACUACUAUUCACUUUCAGUAUCUGGUUAUGCUGUGUAUCAUUUUGGUGGCAAUUCUGGUUUUCACAGUAUUAGCGUAAGUGUGUUGUUUUUCUGGCUUAAUUUUGAUUAUAGCGCACAAGCUCAUGUAUUUUCCCCUUUUUUGAGGUAGAUAACAAACUAUGCAGCAACAUUUCAGGUUUGAAGUUUGAACUUGACAAUGUCUGUCAAUAGUUUGUUGUCUUUUCUAGUUUUCUCAUUGAUUUGCUUAUUAAACAUGAUUCUUGCUCAUUUAUCCUAGUACUUCUGUUGCUACUGUCUUCAAAGUUUUGUCUUCGAAAUAAGGUCAUUUUUUCUAUGCAUUAUGCCAUGAGGUUUAGGUAUACAUCAAUUUCAAACAGAUAAGAUAGAUUGAUUGAUUGGGCCAAAUUGACUAGAACUUAUGCGCUCCCACCAUGUUUAAGCUGCUUUUGUAUUCUGCUAAGAACCAAUAUUAAGUGUGGUGAGCCACAUUUGUUAGAAAAAUGAGAUUAUUUUUUUGGCUCUAGUGGAUACUUAAUUUUUAGGUUGAGGUCCAAGAUCCUUGAUUUAAUUACAUGCUAUCUCAGCUCCAAUGGUCUAACUUAUUGAAAUGGCCAGAUUUUGAGUUGAGCUUGGAGAUAAUGUUGAGGGUAAAUGUGCUGGUAUUUGGUGGAGUUAAAUUUGCAGUUAUCACAUGGGAUUAAGUCUAGCAUACAAUGCAUCAGUAGGAAAGUGAAAAACUUGGAAUAUAUAGCUAGAGAAGUGUUAGCCAUACUAGUUAAAGAUGCAAAGAAGGAUGGAUUGAAAGAGAAUGAGAUAAAGGAAAUCUCUUGUAUUUGAACCCUUUUCAAAUAAUCUCUGAUUUUGGUGCAACCAGGCUGCUGUUUUAUGUUAAUUUAAAAGAAAAAUAUCUCUCUCUUCAUUGGCAUUUUGUCUCUCAUUAAAAGUAAGUCUAAUACAUCUCAUUUUGUCCUCUGUGUUGUUCAAUUAAUUACCAUGAUCUCUACAAUGCUAAUAGAUACACCUCAACAAAAAAUUAAAAAACAGAAGAAGAAGCGACGUGAAGGGUAACCGGUGGCCAUAUUGUAAACUCGUGACAUAGCAAGAAUGAUGCUUCCAAUUCUAUCAACUAAGUAACUAGGAGUUUUCAUCAAUCUUUUCCACUUUUAUGUUACCAUAUUGUUUCAAAACCUUCAACUUUUUCUCUCAACGUGUUUAGCAUUUUUCUUUUGAGUUUGGAAAUCAUACUUAUAAUGCUCCUUGAUUUUGUGAUUUUUCCUGUAGGUUUAUUAUAACUAAUAAUGGAUCCGGUCAUAGUGUCCCUGGUUUGAGGUAAGAAACUUGUAAUCUAGGAAUCAAGUAACUAUGCUUAUAUAUUUUGUUCUGCUUUUGGGUAUCCGUUCUUCAAAUCCGUUGUUCUUCAUCUUGACCCACCAGUCCCUCAACCUCUCUCUCUCUUGCAGUUGGGUCAGAUGUUAGUCUUUCAACAAAAUGCUUCAGAUGAUUAUUUUUGUGAUGAUAAUUGAGCUAUAAUAGCCACUUUCUUUAUUGAUUCUCAUAGACUUUGUUAGCUGGGGUUGUUAUGGUGCAGCUACUAAUACUUUCUUGUCUGGCUAGAUACAAGGAGUAUCAACUUCAGGAUUACAGCUCAUGGUUUCUUAAACAGGUAAAGACUUUGCCUUCUAUGCUAUUUGUUAAAAAAGAUGCUACUUUAAGAUUCAGAUUCUAUACUAACUUGAAAGUUUCAUGCAAUUAUGCCUAAUCCUGGUCUUUGCUUCAGUUGAACAACACCAAGAACUGGAACCGAUUGAAGAGUUGUCUUGUGAAAACAGAUGACUGCAAUAACCUACCAAAAAAAUAUAAGGUCCUGUUUUUUUACCUCAAAAUCUUAUUACUCAUCCAUUUUUUUUCAUAACUCUGAAUGUUUAUUGAUUUCUAGAUUGAUAUUGAUGUUUUUAAACCUGUUGAUUUUAGACUAUUAAGCAGUUCAAGUCAGCCAAACUAACAGCCAUUGAAGCUGGUUGCUGCCGACCACCAUCCGUGUAGGUGUCUUUUUCUGACCUCACUCUCUGAUCAAACAUUCAAGUGAAGUUUUUCUAUUCACGACAAGGAAAUGUGAAGUCUAUUAUUACCUUACUACAAAGAUAUACAUUCUGGCUCGGUGAAAUAUUUGAGUAAUGCAUUUUCAGUCUACACAUCACAGUUACGCAUAAUAUUUGAACAGUGUCACCAAGGUUACCCUUUUUAACAUACUCUGUAGGUGCGGUUAUCCUGCUGUUAAUGCUUCAUACUACGACUUGAGCUUUCAUCCGAUUAGCUCCAAUAAAGACUGCAAACUUUACAAAAAUUCCCGGGCUACCAAAUGCUACAAUUGUAAUUCCUGCAAGUAAGGAUCAUUACUUUUUCAACGCGCCUUUUCAGUUCUGUUAAUACUUUCCUUUUUCUUCUGGUGUACUAUUCUUGUGCAAUCGGUUCUUACUUUUCAGGGCAGGAGUUGCACAAUAUAUGAAAACUGAGUGGAGAUUGGUUGCCAUCUUUAAUGUCAUUCUGUUUGUUGUUCUGGUAAGCUUGUUGCUAUUUCACUUGAAUCUUGUCAUUCCCGGAUGUUCUAACUGCUCUUCUUCUCUGUUGUGAAUGCCAGUCAAUGAUCUAUUUCGUCGGGUGUUGUGCCAGACGAAGUGCAGCCAGGAGUCACUCUAAAGCUUGAAAAAAAAAAGAUGAGAGAAAAACAGAACCGGUUUCUUUGGAAUUUCUAUUAUAUCUCUCUCUAUCAUUUGUUUACCGCAUGUGUAUAUCUCCGUUUGUCAGUUGCUCUUUGAACAUUUGUCAAAUUAGCGAUCAUUUUUCUCAGUUUGAAUGAGACUGAUGGUUUUAUUUCAAGUGAAUGGAUUCUUUCAAUGCGAAAAAGCAAGCCUAGGCCACGACCAAAAAGCUACUGGUCCCAAAUAUGAAAUCAAAUCAAUCCCAUGAAAGUGUAAAUUAAUGGAUCCCUUUUUCAAAAACCUUAAGCCUAUCGAAGCCUGAUAAGUGAAACUGAAUGUCUGAAGGGCAAAAUCCUAUAAUAAGAAUGGUCAUGUUCAAUCCAGCAUUGCCCGAGGAAUCCCUUAGAAGCACUGUUCACUCGAUCCAAUUCCAAAUGCUUCCGGGAAGAUUGAUCACCCCGUUCUUUCAGAUAACUUAUUAUUCUAUUCUACCCUUGGCCUAUUUCCUUUCUCUUAUGCGAAAUGGAAUUCUUGAAUUCUUUAUAUGAUAAUGAUAAUUUUCCAAUAAUUACAACCACUUCAAAAUAUUCAUUUAUUAUUAUAUAUUUAGUAUAAAUAUCUUGAAACUUUUGAACUUCACUCAUGAUGAUUUUUGAGGUAACCAUGCUUUGAACUUUUUCAUAUCUGCAACUUCAACUUUGAAUAUUUUGUCCAAAGCUUUUCAAGAUGUUUUUUGUACUCUUGAUCGAACUAUACAUACCAUAUUAAAUAUUAUUUACUAUAUUUAAGAUGUAAGUAUUGCAUACAAAAUCAAUAUGAUUCUAGAUGUUCAAAGCUACUAUAAUAAUAGAAUUGAAUUCAUUAUUUGAAAAUUUUAGUGCUUUUUCCAACUAGAAUUUUCUCAAGUUCAAAAUGGUCAAAUAAAAAUAAUAUUUUUUUGUAAUAUAUUAAGAUCAUGAUAAAUUUGCAAUCAUAACAAAAGACUAACAUGCUUAUUGAGCAAUUAUAUAUAAAAUUGUUGUAUUCCAAACAUGCAGACUAAUCAUACAUAGAAUUAUACAUAAGAGAAUAGAACUAACUCCUAACAUAAAUUCUUAGCAUUUAUGGAAAGUAUACUUAAAACAAAAUUAAUAAAAGAUAUUAACUUAUUGAAGAACUUACUAUAUAACCAAUUUGAAAUUUGUUGUUAUUGUUAAGAAUCAAUCCCUUAUAAAUAAGACCUUAUUGCUUUUCAUUUGAUGCAAAAAGAUUACAAUAAGCCUGUGGAAUUUCAACAAUAUCACUUUGUUUAUGUGCAUUCCUAAACAAGGUCCAAUUAACGCAAAGAAAUAUAUACUCAAAUAAAAAAUAAAUAAAAAGUCAGAGUAUAAAAUAGAGUGAAACUAGAAAUUCAAGUAAAGAAGAGUUGUAAAUUAUGUAGAUUUUAUGAUGAAAAAAUUAACCUUAAAAUUUUUUUCUUCAACCUGUUUUAUAGAUGAUUUUGGAAUCAAAACUAAUAUAUGAUUAAUUAUGAUAAUUAUCAAAAUAAAUUCCCUCCAUUUAUCAAUUUCGAUGUUUUUUGAUCUAAAAAGACUGUUUAGGUCUAGAUAAAACUCUUUAAGAAAAAAAAAAAACUAAUCAGAUUCUAUCAUUAAUAAGCUAGACUAGACAAAAUAGUGGGCUGUUAAAUUAUUAAUUUUUUAUGAAAUAAACAAAUAUAAAUCUAAAUCCAAGCUCAAAAUAAUUUGGUAAAAAAAUAUUUUUUUGUAGUCUGAAAAAUUAAUUUACAAAGAAUUUAAAUCUAACUUAGCAAGAACCGUGCAACAACUGGUUAAUUUUCAUUGGAUUGUUAGGCUUAGCAAACUCCAUCGAUUGGGGAGGACAUGUCUAUAGACCUCCAAAUAAACGAAGUCCGCCAAUGGGCUCCGGCAAAAAAAACAAUUUUUAAAGACAUGAAUCUCGUUGCAUUAUGUACAGAUAUUAUGGUUAUGGCUAUGCUUUUCAACCUUAUUAUUGUAUAUUUUUUUUGGAGGUCCAGGUGGGUACACAGGAAAUUGAUGCGUGUAGCAUCUUAGAUUAAUAAUGUACUUGAAAGUGAUUGGAAAUAUGAUCGUAUCUGUAUUUUUUAAAAAAAUAUUAUUUUUUUUAAAAUUAAUUUUUUUAAGUAUAUUUUAGAACGUUUUGAUGCGUUGAUUUUAAAAAUAAUUUUUAAAAAAAUAAAAAAAUUAUUUUGAUGCAUUUCAACAUAAAAAAAACUUUAAAAAACAAUUACAACCAUACUCCUAAAUAAUCCCUUCAACUUCAUAUAAUCAAAUUUGAUGAAUAAUAAUUUUUUUGGGGGGUUUAUGAAUACAUUUAUUGAUAGAUUAAAGCCUAUAAUAUAUGUAUUUGGGGUCACCUAUUUCAAAACAUUUGAUGAAUAUUAACUCUCUCUCUCUCUCUCUUUUUCAUUUUUAUUAGAAGAUUCUCCGUUCAUCUUUACAAAAGAAAAGGUUCCGUUAAUCUAAAUUAGCAAUCGAAUCCACAAUGAAUUUUAAAUUUAUUAAAAAAAAAAUUGUUUCGAGUGGUCAACGUUGGUCAAUAGAAAAAAAAAGUUUUUGAAACAAGGGGACUAAUUAAUUGAUUUUUGGAAACUAUAGAGACCAAUUUAUAAUUUACAUUUGUCUUUGUGGGGGAAAAAUCAUGACUAUAAAAGCCAAAACCCAUCUUCUCUUAAACCCUACAAAUAAGUGCUCACCAAACCCUUUCAGUUUGGCAUUUCCACUUCCCUUUCGCCAUCAUGUUCCAAUCACUCAUCCACCGCUCCAAACCCUUUUCGGAACAGCUCCGGACCCGAAUCUUCAUUCGACUAAUGGGUGGUGGACCACGAACCUUCCCUGGAGGUCUAAACAAAUGGCAAUGGAAACGCCUCCACGAGAAAAAAGCCAAAGAAAAAGAGAAACGUCUCCUUGACCAAGAAAAACAACUCUACCAAGCCCGGAUGCGUUCCCACAUCCGCUCCAAACUCGCCGGCCAACCCGACCCGGACCUGAACCCGGACCCAAGUGAGUUCAAUCCCAUGAGCCCCAAAGAGCACAUCAAAGCCCUCGCUGAUCGGUUCAUGAAAGAAGGAGCUGAAGAUUUGUGGAACGAAAUGGAUGGGCCAUUGAAAGCCCCAUCAGAUGAACGGCCAGGAUUUGUUGGGACUAAUCAACGGCCAGGAUCGAUUAAUUCGCCAUUAGAUUUGAGAAAAUUAAUGUCAGAAGGGCGCAAUGUAUCGCGGCAUCGCGAAGAAAACGGGUUUCAUUAUGUGAAAAAUAGAGAUUAUUCCACGCGUAGAGAUUUAGAUUUUGGGUCCAGUGGUGUUUCUGUUAAGCCUUUAGUGCGGAAAGAGAGGAAGUUUAGGAGAAAUGAGAGUUCUUCGAGUGAUGAUGAUGAAGAUUAUGGGUUUGUUAAUGACAAAGUGAUGAAUUUUGGGAGAGAUUCAGGGAAUGAGCGAGGGGCCGUGAGUAAUUCGAGGAAUGUGAGUGAAUUUAUGAAGAAUAAGGGUUUUGAAACACAAAAACAGAGGAGGUUUGGGAGAAAUGAGAGUGAUGAUUUGGGGGGUGGGGAAGAGAGGAGAGGGAGGAGUGCGAAGGAGAUUGGGAGUAGAGAUGCUUUAGGGAAGUAUGAUGUGAAGAAGACAAGAAGGGUUCCAUUAAAGGAGCUUGAGAAUGAUUUUGCGAGUGAAGUGGAGUUGAUUAGGUAUGAGCUAGCGAGGAAGAAGAAGUUGGCCGGAAAUGACGGGGAUAACGAGGACGAGGAUUCAAUUCUUAGCGAUAAACGGUAAGGUUUCUCUUGGUUUUAAAUGGUGUCAUAUGGCAGUAACUACCAAGGUAAUCUCAGCAUUCAUUGGAAAAUGUGCAUAAUUUUUGUCUCGUUUGAAAAGAAUGGGAAAAGUAAAGGGAAGAACUUUGCAUGUUCUGGAGAGUCUAGGGUAGAGUAAAGGCAGAGGUAUUGGAGUAAUGUGUAAUACUGUAAUGUAAUGAUCUUGUGUUUUAUUUGUUAAUUGGUGAUUUUGUGCUGUAUAUAUUUUUGCAGAUUUGAUGAAUGUGGUCUGUCUCCAUCGACUGUCAAAGCACUUACAGCAGCUGGUUAUGUUCAAAUGACCAGGGUACAGGAGGCUACUCUUUCUGUCUGCCUUGAGGGUAUACCAACUGUGUUUUAUGUUUCAUCUUCAGUUAUGAGUGCUUUUGGCAACUAUUCAGUCUGCUAGCUCAAAAUUCAGGAUAGUUCAAUACUGUUAGUGUGCGCAUGCUUGUCAACUUUUUCAUUUUUGGCGUGUGCGAGGCCACGAGUGUGUUUGGCUGCUUGUAGCAUAUCUCAUGUUGUUAUCCUGAAGAAAUGCUCUCUUUGCUCCAUUUUGAUUAUCCAUAAUUUUUUCUCAAACAAGUCAAGCCAUGCUUCAUUUAUUACUAUACCUUUAAUAUACAUGUUGAGAAUAAUUUCUGUUGAAAAAUGAUCAUACUUACACAUUGUAAAGUUUGAAUAAUGGUUUUCACUUCAAUUCGGAGCAGGUAAGGAUGCUAUGGUCAAAGCCAAAACUGGCAAAGGAAAAAGUGCAGCUUUUUUGGUAAACUACAAGUCUCUUGUCAUUCCUGUAAAUUAAUUUGUGCUAUUUUAGCUUCUUUCCUUCAGUGCCAUUGUAAAACACAAACAGCUUCCUGCAAUUGAAGCAGUUUUGAAGGCAAGAAGUAGCAAUGCCAAGCUACGAGUUUCCCCGAUAUAUGUUCUUAUUCUCUGCCCCACAAGAGAGCUAGCAAGUCAGAUAGCAGCAGAAGCAAAUGCUAUACUGAAGUACCAUGAUGGAAUAGUUAUGCAAACACUAGUUGGAGGAACACGUUUCAAAGAUGAUCAGAGAUGCCUUGAAUCUGAUCCUUGUCAGGUUUGAUUGUGUGCUAUUGUGAUUUUUGCGAGUUUAACUUCGACUAAUUUCAUGGCAUGUGCAUGGAAAAGGAGAAAGGCAAAGAAAUAAAUAUGUAGUUGCUAUUCCUGUGUUUCAGGAUUAAAACAUGUAGAUCACUUUCUGGUGCUAACGUUUUCCAGAUACUUGUUGCUACUCCUGGUCGGCUGCUGGAUCACAUUGAGAAUAAAAGUGGUUUAUCCAUGCAUUUGAAGGGAUUGAAGAUGCUUAUACUUGAUGAGGCUGAUCACCUUCUUGAUCUUGGGUUCCGGAAGGAUGUGGAGAAAAUUGUAGACUGCUUGCCCCGUCAGAGACAGUCCUUGCUUUUCUCUGCUACAAUUCCAAAAGAGGUUAAAUUUUUCCUCAUCUCUUUGUUGAUGGGUCAAACAAGCAGCACUAUUGUGUCACAUGACUUCAUUCUGAUUUUAAUCAUGCUUAUGCAGGUUCAUCGAAUUUCUCAGCUUGUAUUGAAAAGGGAACAUGAUUUUGUUAAUACUGUAGGUUGCAUGGAAACUCCUGCUAAGGUAUACCUUAAAUCAAGAAACUGUUAUGGUAAAAUUACAAAUCAGGGAAUGACAGAUGAUGAUUACCUGAUGUUGUUACAAAUUAUCAUGUUACCUAUAAAACAAUGCCCACAGUUACAAAUUAUCAUAUUACCUAUAAAACAAUGCCCACAGUUUGUCUUAGGCUGAACAUUCUAUCACUGGCUUAACGACUAUGGAUGUUUUUAGAUGUCUAAUCACUAUAAGUAAAAUCAUGCUGACUAUUUGGCAUUUGAUUUCGUGAUUGUUUCUAAAUUGAGAAGCAAAAAGCAUCAAUCCUUGUUUCUGCUCCUACAGAUCAAGCAGUCUUUUCUUGUCUCUCCACACGAAUUGCAUUUUCAGGUAGUGCAUUAUCUUCUGAAGGAACAUAUCCAGAAGGCACCUGAUUACAAGGUAAGAUUCUGUAGUUUUUGGAUUUUGUUUAUUUGCAAAGUGGAAUGUGUGUGGUUGAGUCCUGGACAUUUAACUUGCUCCAGGUCAUUGUUUUCUGUACAACUGGGAUGGUAAAAUCACUCAUGUAUCUACUUCUCCGGGAAAUGAAAAUGAAUGUAAGGGAGAUGCAUUCUAGAAAGCCUCAACUCUAUCAAACUCGUGUCUCUGAUGAAUUCCAGGAAUCAAAUCGUUUGAUUCUUGUUACAUCUGAUGUUUCUGCUCGUGGAAUGAAUUAUCCUGAUGUUACUUUGGUCAUUCAGGUACCAACAACUCUUGAGAAAGUUAUAUAUUCAUAUUCUGCUUGUAUAAAUUGCUGAUCAUCAAAUCAUCUAUGCCCCAAGAGGCAGUAUCUCUCCAACACCCAGUAUUAUGUAUAUGUUUUCCCAGUACUGUAAAAUAAUGCAUCAAUUUUAACAAUAAUCAGGUGGGGAUUCCUUGUGAUCGCGAACAAUAUAUAGAUCGGCUUGGAAGAAUAGGACAUGAAGGGAAAGAUGGAGGAGGGAUCUUAUUGCUCGCACCGUGGGAAGAAUAUUUCCUGGAUGAGUUAAAAGACCUGCCACUUGAUAAGUUUCCUUUACCAAAAAUGGAUUCAGAAACUAAGCUUAAGGCACUUCCCUAACUUAUUACCUGCUCUAAUUGCUUCUUUUGUGCUUCUUGUUUUUAUUCAGCAUUCUAAGAGAUUGUAGUUAUGGUUUGAUAUUAAAAGAAAUGAAACUGAACCUAGAGAAUAAGUAUGCAAAGGGCAUGUGUGGAAUUCACAAUUAACAUUCUGAAGCUCUAGGAUUCUUUAUGUUAAACAAGAUUUUUAGUGAUGAAUUCUUUAUGUUGCAGAACUGUGGAAUUAGCAUCAUUUGAUGAUCCUUGAUUGUAUCAGAAAAGGCACAGCCGUGGUCCUGAUAUAGACAGUACCUAAAAUGUAGUCAGCCUCAAUUUGAAGUGCAAAUAUAAUGCUUUCCGCCCUGAAACAUCAAAAUGCAUGCAUUCUAGAGUUGUAGUCCCUCUUAUCUAUUUGUUAUCAGGGCAUGCAAUUUUGCAGGUUUUAUAUGUGUGACUUUUUGCAGAUGGAGGAGUCCAUGUCAAAGAUUGAUAGUAGUGUCAAAGAAGGAGCAUAUCAUGCUUGGCUAGACUAUUAUAACCCCAUCAGAGAAAUUGGAAGGGACAAAACCUCGCUUGUUGAUCUAGCCAACCGAUUUUCCGAGUCAAUAGGCUUACAAAAACCACCUUCCCUCUGCAGAAAAACAGCUUUAAAGAUGGGUUUGAAAGACAUCCCUGGUAUCCGGAUCCGAAGGUAGCACUUACUGGGAGCAUUAAUACAUGCAAGCUGCUGGUUAGUAUUGCUGAGGUUAAAAAAGGAUCAUGAAAUUGUGCUGAAAGACCAGGUUCAACUUUUAUUCCACCUGAAAACUGGUAUAUGUGCUAGGUCUAGCUCCUGCCUUCAAUCAUCAUGCUAUCGCGUCUUCUAAGCUUUGUAAUUGCGCUUUCGAUGGGUUAUUCUAUUGCAUCAUCCAGUGCAGUGCACUCAUGAUCUGGAUUUUGUUUGAUAGUGGGCUGAGAACGACAAUGCACUCAGAUACACGCACCCCUGUCACGCUUUAUAUUGUUUUUUAGUAAUAUCAUUAUUGCUGUUAUUAGUAUUUGUCGAGGAUCUUUAAGUUGCGUUUUUCUCAAGUACGUUUUCCUCUCUUUUUUUUUUUUUUUGUGGGGGGGUUUCGGGGGGGAUAAGCAAUGGGCAUAGGCCUCCCCCAUCCUUUAAUCCCUACCCUAUCUGUCUAUAAGCGUAUAGGAUUCUAAGUGAGAACUCGAAAUCAUAACAGCUGGGGUGCCCUUUGAAGCCCUUGGUUUCACUUUUAAACAUGAAUGCACAUUGAGGGAGAUGAGAAUUACCACUGAACUUGUGAUUUGAUCUCAGGAAGAUACGUAGGAGCUUCAAAUGCAAAUUGAUCGCCUAAGAAUGUAUGUCUAAGCAGAUGUAGAUAUGUUUUAAAGAGUUGCGAAAGGUGUUGGAUCAUUAAACGACUAAACCCGUAUGUCUUGCGUUGUUGCUGUCGCCCCCCUCUAAACACACGUGAUGGUAAAGAAGGAAGGACAGUAGCAACAGCAACUGCUAGACAGAUUAAAGAGCAAAAAUAGUUAAACACUGUUAGUAGUCAGUUGAGAAUUAGUUAGAAGGCGGAAGAGUUCGUUCGUUAACUUGAAGUGUAUAAAUGAUAUAAAAGGGAUUUCAUGGUUCUCUAGUAAUAAGAAUACAAUCAUUCCUUCUCUGCUCUCCUCUUUCGUUCCUCAUCUCAAUUCUUUCCUUGUUAAGCUAUGAGCUAGUACCUUAACAAUUAGUACUAAAGCCCAUCUUAUAAAGUGAAAGACGAUGAAAAACAUUGCAGAAGGUUGAAUGAAAGAUUGCAAGGCCCUCACCAAGAAUUUCAAGAAUCAAUGGUGAAGAGAAAUUGGAGCCAACUCUAAAGGAAUUAAAAUAUCUUAUGCAUGCUUUGAACUCUUCACUUCCUAAAUCUUACUAUAUUUUUCAUUUUUGUUUGUGAAUUAAAGAAAGAUAUUAAAUCUAUGUUGAAGAUACUUAAAUUAAUAGCACUAAUAACAGCCUUUGAGCAAGCCAAAUAACAGGAAUAGUCAAAUAAUGUUGUUGCAAGGAAAAACAAGUUCGUGCCAAUAAUUAAUUUUAAAAUUCACGUGGGGAGGCCAAUAUGUAAUCUUACAGUUAAACCUCUAAAUCAACACAAGAAUGAAAGUCAAUAAAAAUAGAAAAAUGUUUAUGAGACCUUGUAUGAACAAAGGCAUAGAUCAGGGCAGUGUUUCAAAUAUAGAAAUAAAUGUGUACCUGAACAUCGAUAUAAUGCUAAAGGAUUGCACAUGAUUAAAAGUAAUAAGGAUGAAGGUGAAGAAUUUUGGGAUGCUGAGAUAGGGAAUAACAAUGAAAGUAAAACAAAGAAUAAUAAGAUUAAGGAGUUUGGUUUGUCACUAAAUAUAUUUGUUGACAAUUAUGCUCAUAACACUAUCAGGAUUAGAGAAAGCUGCCAAAAAAAUGAGUGGAUUAUUCUAAUUGAUAAUGAAAUCACAUAUAGCUUUAUCGAUGAAUAGAUUAUUAAGUAUUUUAUUAGUAGUGACAAUAACAAAUGGUAGUGUCAUUUUGUAUGACUCUUAUACUCUUGAUUUUAAAUGGCUUAUGCAAAACUACGAAAUUGUAAAGACCUGAGGAUUCUAAAACUAGGAAGAUGUGAUAUUGUGCCGAGGAUAGAUUGGUUAAGAGUGUAUUCCCUAAUUUUAUUUGAAUUUACUAAGACGAAGACAAUUUUUAAAAAAGAAGGAUAAAUGAUAAAGCUAAAAGAAAUUAUGGAUAGAGGUGCAGUUAAGUACAUUACAACAAUAAAGAAAGUUGAGAAAAGUUAAAAAUAAUAAUAAUAGGGUUUAUGAGAUAGUUUUUCUUAGUAGAAGUAAUGGAAGAACCAAAGAAUGUCAUGGCCAGUUUUGAAAUUGGAAGGCUUCUAGAAGUAAUGGAAGAACUAAAGAUUACACAGUUUUGAAAAAAACCAAGCCAAACCAGUUUGAACCGGUUUUUAUUCUAAAAAAACCAAAUCGAACUGAAACUGACCGGUUCGAGCUGGUUUCAAUUUUUUUUAAAAAAAUUCGGUUUAAUUACUUUUUUUUAAUAAAAACUAAAUUGAACUGAAAAUGAUCACCUCUAAUUCGAGGAACCUAAAUAUCUUUCAUCAACUAGGAAGUUCGACUACAGAGUUCCCAUAAAACUAGAGGUUAAACUUGUCAAUUAUUGGCCCUACAAAAGUACUUUUGUUCAAAAAAGAGAAAUUCAAAAACUAGUCAAAAAGACGUUGGAAAGUGGCAUAAUUCAGCAAAAUAUGAGUUAUUUGGCACUAUUGGUAAAGAAAAAUGAUAAUACAUGGAGUUUUUGUGUUAUAUAGAUAGUUGAAAGAAGUAAAAAUAAAAAAAAAAGUUUCUAAUUACAGUGAUAGAUGAUUUGCUGGAUGAGUUGUAAGGUUAGAUUUUUAUAAGGAUUAAAUACAUGUAUAUUUAUUUUCUCAUUUGAACUCAUAAUUUAAGACAAAACCCAACAUCAUAGUAUAUAUACAUCAUAUAUGCAAACAUUAGUCAUGUAAAAUUAAGCUAAAAGAAUAUGUAUUAAAAUCUAGAUAGAAGCAUGCAGUUGAUUUAUUCAGUUGGAUAUUAUGAAAUUUUUAAACCAAUUAAGUGAGUUGAAUUUUUUGAAUUAUAAAAAGAAUCAACUAAAUUAAAUUAAUAUUUACAUUAAAAACAUAUAUGGUUUAACCAAUUUAUAAUUGUUAAGUUUAGAAAAUUAUUUUGGAUGUUGAUUUAGAUUUUUUUAAAAAAAAAACAGGUGUUUAUAAAGUGUUAAAAGCUCAUUAGACCUCUUAGAAAGUGAAAGCAAAAGGAAAAAUAUAUAUGAAGUAAUUUAUGAACUAUUUAGUUUUUUUUUUUUUUAUAUAUAUAUAAAAUAAUUUUCAUUUGUAAAUGUAAUAGAAUCUCCAUACAAAAUAACCAAAUAAAAUUAAUACUUACAUUUUUUAAUAUAAAAACUUUGUUUUCUUCUAAUAUAUAUACUUUUACUUCUUGAGAGAGCUAAACAAUUAUCAUGUGGAUCGCAUUGCAACAUGAUUAUUAUCUUAUUGAUGAUUAUAGGUGAUGAAGUUGUUGAAAACUUAUCAAAUAUUAUGAUUUUCAUAAGAUUGUAAUGGGUUGAAAGGCAUAAGGAGGUUGAAAUUGAAUAAAUAGACACUUGCAAAACAAGUUCUUUAGAAAGGAUGAUGAUUUUUUAUGUCUAAGUUAGUUUAGGUAGGAGUUUGGAGUCUUGUGAGAUAAUGUAAGCAAUAAUCUAAUUACAAAGGAUAUUCAGGUUCAAACAAAUAAAAGAAGAUGAUAUUUUUCUUCUCUCAUAAGAUAACUUGUUUUGGAGUUUAAGGUAAUUUAUAUAACUUUAAAUCCAUGAUAGUGUGUUUAUACAAGGUUAAGAUAAUCAAUAUGCUUGUCACCUAUAGUUUUGAACUACUUUAAGACAAUGCUCUAGAGUGAUAAUGAAUUACUGUAAAAGUUUUUUUUAAUUUUUAAUUUUAUUGUUUAUGUAUUACUAAUGAUAAUAACAAGACCAAAUUUUAUGAAAUAAGUGAUCAAGAGACUUAUAUUUAUUUAUUGCAUAUAUGUUUUGUCGGUUGGUGGUGAGUAAACUAAGUUUGACUAAGAAUAGUGCAUUUAGAUGCGACAAUCAGCGUUAGUUCUAUUAUGGGUUUGGUUUUCAUAAAAUCUUAGUAAGUUCUAUAUCCAAGAGUAUUGUCUUGUUGAGUUAUGUGGAUACCAUAGAUAUAAUUUGCUUUAGAUUUGUUAGGCUAUUAAAGUUUCUAAGAGCCAAAAUCAUAACCCUUGUUUUAGGAGAGCAUUUGGCCAUAUAAUAUGCCCGAACCCGAAUAAUGCAAACUUUAUUUGAGAUGGACUUCGUAGCCUAUCAUGACUUUAUUUGCUCAUGCCUCUCGUGGGUUUAAUUUCAAACAUUGGCGCAUAAUUCAUGUGUGAGUAUAAACUCAAGGCCAUUACUUACUAUAUUGCUUGCAAUAUUAUUCACUUCUUGGCUGUUAUCUUUCAAAACCAAGAAGCUAAGACCAUGGUGUUCAAAAAAGAAAGAAAGAAAGAAAGAAACUAGGAUCAUGUGUGAGCUUUUCUAUUAAUGUCAAAGAUGACGGUUCAAUUCUACGGUAAUUAUAUUUCCGUAGAAAUAAGAAAGUCAAAAGAAUGCGAUAUUUAAAUAAUAAUUAUGAUGGUAACUUGUGAACAUCACCUGCAAAGUAAUGUGAUCGACACCAUAAAACAAAUACGAUACAACAGUGGUCAAAGUCAACAUAUUAUUUGGGUUGAACUAUAUUCUAGCCCUUGCAAAUUCAACAAUGUUCCACUUUGAUCCCUAUGUAUUAUAUUUUUUUUAUAUUAAACCUACAAUUUCUGAGAAAUUUUAACGUAGCAUCUUACAUACAGUAAGGCCAGUGACACAAAAUGAUCAUUUUUUCCCCAACUGUUUCUUUAUAAUUUUAUUUUAUUAUCUUUUCCUCCCAAAACCUUAUUAUAUGAUAGUAAUCCACAGAAAAACACUUACAAUUCCAAAUAAAUAAAUAAAGGAUCCCAUUGUUUUUUUUAUUAAUUAUUUAUAUGGACUAAAGUAUAUAUUAUUUACACAUUAGUUUACUAUAAUAAUUAUGUUUCCAAAUUCCAACCGCUUUAUAUAAUCAAACAAACAAACAACUUGCAUAUAUUCUGGGAUGGUGACAUUGAAAAGCCCUUUCACAAAUUUGACACCAUCAAUUAUUUGACUCUGGCUCCAGGGAAGUCUUCACUCUCCUUUCAGAAUUCAAAGUAUAUAAUGCAUUGAAAUAAUGGCAAAUUAACUCCAAUUAAAAAUAAAUAAAUAAAACAAACCUUAUCUAUCUCUCUGGCAUCUUUUACAUUAAUCAAAGACAAGAAGAAUGUGACUGCGAGGACCACUAGACUCUGAAAACACGAAGUUAGCAUCUUCUUUCAAGAAAUUCUGAUAUUAACACUAUAAUAAAGAGGCUUGCUUUUAAUAAAGAUGGUUAGCUAAAUAAGCUUGGCCGAAGUCUAUCUUUUUGCCCCUUUCUUCUUGUUCUACCAGGUAUGGUUAAAAAAGCUACUGCAUGCAUGCAUCACAAAUCAAGCACCAAAAUAGUACACCACCGGAUGAUAUUGGAUAACACCGAUGAAAUAUUUUAUCUAUAUUUAAAUAUUGAUUUUAUCAACAAAAAAACAUAUUGAUAAAAUCACAAAUUAAAAGUUUUUAUCAAAAAAUAUAUUUGUCAUUAUUUUAUAUGUUGUUGGUCAUUCUUUAAGUAGAAUAAUCACUGAUGGAUUUACAAAAAAAAAUAAAUACACGCGAAACAAAAAACUUAUUAAUAUUCAUUUCUUUGGUAAAUUCAUCAGUGAUUAUGGUAUAUUACUGACAAAAGAAACUAUUGAUAAUUUCAUCGGUAAUAAUAUGCAUAUUACUGAUGGAAUUAAGUCUUUAAAGAAUUACAUCUAACUUAAUUUUUUUAAACUCUCUAGAAUAUUUUGAUGGAUUUAGUUCAUUGGCUAUUCGAUCUAUAAUAAUCGGUGGCAAAGUCCUGUAGUUUUUUUAUUUUCAACUCUCUGGAACUCUCUGAGGGACUUAGCCAGUCAUUCAGUUGGUGAUGUAAAUUCCAUCGGUAAUUCUCGCAGUAUAUUCUUUUAAUAUUAAAAAAGCUGGAGGAGAAGGAGGCGAAUCUUCAUCGAAACCAAAAGGAUAACAAGGUUGACCAUAUGUACUAACAACGAUUGACAACAACUGUUCAAGGACACUCACUUUAUCCCUUAGGUCGUUCGUCUUGGAUCUAAGUUUGGGUCCUCUCAAUACUAAUUAGUCGGGUCUUUUGAACUUCAACCUUUGCUUAUACAAUCGCCUAGAUAACUAGAGAUUGUUGGCUCGAACUCGAUUGUGAGGAACCAAUAAAAUUACAUUAGUUCAUUGAAAUUAAUUAGUCAAAUAUUAUCCAAUGUUUUUUAUUGUUUUUAUGGUGCAGAAAAAGAAAAUAAACUUACAUGUUGUGGUCGGGCUUUCACCGAGCAAUAUACUUUUUAGUGUAUACAUUCUGCUUAGAACGGACAUCCCCUUUGCAAGUUGGUCUCGCACUCGAUGAGCCUGCAUUGAGAGAGGAUGCUUGUAUCUAAAGUGUCUAGUCAUGGCUGUCACCUAAUGAUUUAUGGUCAUUAGAAGCGUUGCCAGAAGAACUGGCAGCACUCCUAUAUGUAUUACUCUCUAAUGACCUUCUAUUCGUUAAAUGAACAUUAAAUGAAUGGUUAUAACGUUAUUAUUAUAUUUUAUUUUAAAAAAAAUUAAGUAGCACCUCUUUUAUAUGUGAGACUAUUCAAAAUUUUAUUACCUGUAAAUACACCAAUAAAUGAAGUUAUAAAUAAAUAAAUUUUAUUUAUGACUAUUAUUUAUCUUAAAAAACAUUUUAAAAAUUCAAUUAAUAUCUUAACUUCCUAAUAUAUUUUACAAUUAUUCCACGUUAUUGCUAUCCAUUAAGAAAAAAAAAGAAGACACAUGUGUGAUAGCAUCCACAGAGAAUAGAUAAGGAUGCAAGCUCAUAAUAAAAAUAGCACAUUUAAAGCAUCCAAACAUAAUCAAACUUUGCAUAAACAACUAAAAUCCAACAAUAUUUCUCUCUAAUUAUUACAAAGCAAACUUUCUCCGUCCGAAUCAUAGAGUUCCCAACCAUGUUAUUUCAUCUCAAGUAAUAAACAAACACGUACACACUUCUCUCUUUUUUUGUUUAUGGUCAUUGACUUUUUUGUCCCUGUCCCAUAUUAUAUGAGUGGGAAAAACAGUAAUUGAAACUCUAUAACAUAAUUUCAUUAAAUAGCAGACUAAGUGAGUGAAAAGGGGUUUUUCUUCUGAAACUAGGAAUUUUGAUUUUUUUAUUUAUUUUUUUACUAACAAAAUUACCAAAAAAACAAUUAAAUAUUUAUUAGUUUUAAAAUUCAUUGUUAAUUUCACGGGUAGCUGAAACGGGGAUUUUUUUAAUAAAUCUCGAAACUUCCUAAAACCCCCUAAAAUUCUCGAAUGAAAUUUUAUUUCGUCAGCGACAUGUAAUUGUCAGCAGCAAGGUACUACCGCCCCCGGUGCUACGAAUUCCAGGGAAAUGACAUCCUUUUUUACAUCAUCGCACGUCAUCCUCACCAAUUUCAAACUCCCUUUUUUUCAGUCACAUUUUUAAUUAUUUCAUAAAGCCUUUUUAAAUCAUGUAAAAGGAAAAUCCGUCUCUCCUUCGUGACUCAUAAACAACUGAAAUUAUAACGAGGAAAUCCUGUCAGCUGAUGUGGCCUUUGACUUUCGGGCAUAAAAUAUUUGGACUCCCCGAGCAAAAAAAGCUCUCUCUCUCUCUCAAGUGAUGAUCCCUUCAUUUUAUACAUUUGGUCAAAUCAAACCCCUUUCUCUGAAUCAAACUAAUUAACCCGUCAAUUUCCAAUUAAAGACAAAUUGAGAUCGUUUUACCUCUUUUUUUUUAAUGGAAAUCAUGUUUCCCAUGAAUCAACGCCGAAAAUGUGAUGCUCCUCUUGGCACUGUUGACUAGCUGGCUAUAUAUCAUCAUUUUCUGCCUCCAGACAUAACCAAAAGCUCCGCUCAUCUCAUCAUUGUUUUUUGUCUACACGAGCUUGUCAUUUGCUUCUCGUCACUGAAGCAGUCUUUGUUAUAUAUUUCAAAAUAAAUCACUGGGUAGGAAGAGCUAGUUAGAUUCAUUAUAUCAAUAAUUGAUAUAAUCUUAAAAAACUCAAUGUUUGAUAUUAAUAUUAAGAGAUGGGAUAGCAGUGCUAAAGCAACAACAACAUAAUUAACAUUGAGGUUUCUCUAAGAGGAAACAAAAGGUUCCCUUAAGGCAAAAUCAAUCGGUGUUGUCGCCAGAAGAAGUGCAUUAAACUCUUUGGUAAAAUCCAGCCAUAUUGGCACUGCCCAACAAAUGCCUCGGCGGAGGGAGAAAGGAAAAGGAAAAAACACAGGAUCCCAGUGUUUGAGUGUGCCUACCAGAUAUAUUACAGGUUGCAAUAAACCUGCCGGAAAAUCCUAAUUAUGCAGUAGGCAUCUUUUAAUGUCGAAUUAUCAAUAACUCAGAAGCAAGAACAUGUGAUGAAGCUAGGCACCGGAGUACAGAGAACGUGUGAGCCACUUGUCACGGUAGUCAUGUGGCACGCGCACGUGUCUCUCAACCUACCUCAAGUCUUCACCAAUAAGGAAUUGCAGACACGGCUAAAGCUUGGCUUAAUUAUCAGAACAUGAGAAUAAGAAGAGAGAUCCCAACUCAUGUAAAGUCAACGUUCUUCACCAGAACAGUGUUUCAAAGUAGCACUCAAAAGGGUUUCGAAGGACCAAACUAGCCUCUAUAAUUUCCUACUUCGUGUAACCUGAGGCUGUAAUGACAAAAGAAAAACGUUGCUAUAUAUGUACAAUUUGAAUGACUUCAAAGAGUAAACAGCUUACCAUUCUUGAGGUAUUCGCAAUGACUACGAACAAAAAGGGUUUAAUUUAAAAGAGUGCAUAGUUUAUAUGUUGUAAUUAGUGCUUGUAAGUGGUCAGUGUUCCAAAAAAACAAGAAAUAAACAUAGAAAGGAUGAAGAUGUUUUGGUUAAGAUGGAAAAUAAAUUUGUUAGUUUUUAAAAUAUAUAGUUUUAGAAUGAAUUUGAAUAAUUUUAAAAUAGAAAGUAUAAAAAUAUUUUAUCUGUCUUUACUCUCUUUAUAUUUAUCUUGAGAAAAUAAAGAACGUUAUCGAUAAUAUAUAGAUAUUUUGAUAAAUAAAAUUAGUUUAAGAUUAUAUGAUUUAAAAAAAAAAAAAAAACUAUACUCACCAAUAAACCGAGCAAUGAGACAAGUUGUGGAAUAGAUAUGUGCAUGUAGAUUAGAUCCUAAUAUAAAGAUAAAAAUAUUUCUAUUGAAUUUAAUUAGUAGUAGUUGUUCUUCCAGUGAUGUGACAUUUAAAGCAUUACCUAGUAAAGGGCAUUCAUGCCAUUCGAAAGAAGAUUAGUAGAGAGUUUUGGCUGUAUCUUCACCACAGGUGCUUGAUCCCAUAAGACUUCACACCUCUCCCUCCCUCUCUGGCUAUUUAGUACAUAAGCUCUAAUAUUUCAACUGGCUGCUGCUAAUUUUCUGCUAUAUAUCACCUCUUCUGCUGUAUUCUCCUCAUCAAAACCAUGAGGAUUCCAAAUCCAAGACUCUUAUUUCUUUUCUUGAUGAUCAUCCUUGCUAUUAGCCAGCUCUCAAGUUGCCGCUACCUCCACAUAAAUAUAGGAGAUCAAACAAACCAAACAGUUGAAACAGAUGUCUCUACUCAGUUUUCAUGGCAUUUCACUGCAAAAGCUCCUGAAGGAUCCGACAAAGAUGAGAUCGAUGACCCAGUUUUUGGAGCUUCGUUUAGAACAGUUCCAGGUGGGCCAAACCCACUUCACAACUGAUUAGAGUCUUGUGGUUAGUUAAUUAGUCUUAUUUUUGUAUUCAGUCGUAUAGAUAUCUUUUUUGCAGUUUAUAUUGCUCAUCUUUUUGCUUCUUUUUUUCUCUCUUCGCUUCAAAUAUGUAUAAUUGAAUACAGAUGAAAAGGAUUGAAAAUCUGACACCAAGUGUUUUUCUAUGCAGUUGUGAUUUUACUUGAUUGAAUUGUAGAAAUUAUGAUGAAGUAUUUCGUACAUGAAGAAAUCUUCGGAUAGUUUCGUGUUAAUUUCUCUGCUUUCUUUCGUGUUCUUCUACAUCUACCAGUAUCAAGCUACAGCAAAAUUUUAGGAGAUGAGAAAGGUAAAAAAAUAAUAAUUGUGAAAUGGGGAGUGAAUGCCUAUAAACUAUAGAUAAAGUACAAGGAACGGCCUAGUAAGUUGGCUGUAGUCACCGACUAUAUGUGUGAAAACCUGCAAGAUCCUGUGCUGGCUUACAGAAGAAGUCAAACCAUAAGUAGCAGCUAAUAUAAAACAACAAUUGGCCAACUGAUUUUGGAUUCACUAUUACUUUAUUGCUAUUACAGCCUCGAGAGUGGGGAAAUCUUUCCAUACAUGAAUAAAAGAGAGCAAAGAAGAACAAAGCAAUAUUUAGGGUUCAUAUGAGUGCGCAUGCUAAGUGUUUUACGCUCAAGAAGUCAACCUUCCAUUAUAUUUUGCAAGGAUUCCGAGAUGUAUCUUCCGUUACUAAAAAUGAAGGAUUUUAACGCAUAUGCAAACUGCCACCUGUGGAAUUUAUUUCUCCACUUUAUAUAAGAAUAGAUAAGAGGUAGCAUAAGGCCAAAAGUUAGCGUUGGCAAGUAGUCGAGCAAAGCAUGCAGAAGCGAAACCACCAUGGAGACAGAUCAGAAUGAUCGAACCACUUGCAUGGGUCCCUGAAAAUAAGAGAAGGAUAUAUCAUAACGUAUGGUACACCACUUUAAUUUCCCGGCCAUUAAUAUAUCUUCGAGAAUAGAUUUAUGAGAUCGCGUUAAUCAUCAAGAAAAGUUGCUUCUGCUUUCUUACGAAAGGAUUUUGUAGAAGAGAUGCCAAAUACAAUAUGACUCUUUUUUUGGCUUAAGCAAGAAAGUGAUUUUUUUUUUUUUUGUGUGUGGGUGUUUAAGCAAUACAUAUAAUGUGUUUGUGCUUGUAAACGUGAGAAACGGCAAGGACGAAUCAGACAAGGCUUGAUUACAAUUUAAGUCAUUUCCGAUUAAAUGCAAUAAUCUAUAACUCACAUAUAGAAUUCAAGCUUGUUUUAAAUAGCCAAAUAUGACGCCUGGGAACAUCUGCAUAGUGCUUGGUUGGUGUACUUGUUUUUCAGCUUAAACACGGUUUAUACGGUCCAAGUUUAAAGACAGAAAUUUCGUUGGCACACAGACCCACCAUAGGUCCAUAGUGGGUUACCAACGAAGGGCCUGGCACCAAGGCAAGUAGGCGACUAUGGACUAUAAAGCACCAUCUAGAGGUUGCCAAUCACAAGCCUUUUUUUAAGGCCCUGGCACAAGAAGGGCCAGGAGCUUAGGCUCACCACCUAAAUUCAGCACGUCAAUAGUCCAUUAGGCCCAAUUUGUUAUUCUAAUCAUAAUAUCCAUGUCGACCUCUUUACGAAUAUUUCACCCAAAAAAAGAAGAAAUCUUGAGCAUUUAGAUUUUAGAACCCUUGUCCAAACAAGAAAGGAAAGAUACCAGAAUAACGAACUUUGCAAAUUAUCCUCCACUAUAUAAUGGGUGUUGUGUCCAACGUGAACAACGCAACACUGUUUUAUGGGCAAAAUCACAAUGGAAUAAAAAUAUCAGACCAACAACUGGUAUUUAGAUGAUGAAAGUACAUAAAAUUCUGACGGGCCCGACACACUGAUAUGAACUCCAGAGCACAAAGGCAUCCGGCAACUUUGCAUAAGAGUAUAGUGCACCUCAGCUAUAAAUGAUCAUCUCAGAGACUCAACAACAGAACAUUCUAGCCCCCAAAGUAUCAAGAACCAAGGUUUUUAAAAAGUUCUGGAAGAUGUGCAUUGGUGAGCUUAGUUCUCUUGCUGAUCUCAUGCUUCUUCUUCUUGGCCUUUUGCUUAGUGGAAAUGCCCUGCACCUGAGCUGCAGCCCUCCUCUUUGCAGUAUUGGUCGCAGGUUUCAUCCCAUUCUUCUGGAGAUCCUUCUCAAUGUCAAGCAUAUCGCGAGGCAACUCAAUCCCUCGAAAAAGCUGUUUAAGGUCAUCAUCCACCUUAAUGACCAUCCUAGGGUCAUUUGGGUAGGCAAUAUCCUCCUGCGAAUCGAAGUUCGACAGCAGCCAAAUCUGGCCUACAGCUUUCAAAGCCUAGAGUACAAGUACAAUUUUGUUCAAAUAUCUGCUUAGCACACUGAGUUAACAUCAAUAUUCAUCAUACAGACAGACAAGAGAGGAUGCGGUGCUCAAAAAACUAAUUCAGGCUCUACUAAUUUUCAAGAGGAAAAAUUGUGCCAAUCCGAGCCACACCUUUAAGCUUGUUUGGGAUCAGCUCAAAAUCCUUAUGGUCAGACCAAGUUCUUCUCUACUGGGCUUAUCUAUCAAACAAGCCCAACUAAAUAACCAUGUGAACUUUUUGAAGAUUUUGCUACCAUCAAAUUGAGGAAAAGAGCUCUCAAUUGUUCCCUACUAGCCUCAGCAACAAGCAAGGACCACAAAAGGCAAUACUAUAUAACCCACCAAUAUUUCCAGUACAAGGUUACAGAUUUCAUUUAGUUUUCAUUUAUGCAGACAACCUUCAAAAGUUAUGGAAAAAGCAUUGCAUAUGUGCCUUCUCUAUAAGGAUCAUGUAAAUAUAUGCAUAAACCAACCAAAAUAAAAAAACAAAUUGUUCAGCAAAUAGAGAUACCUGCAAGUCAUCCAUCACAGUUGGGUAUGCAUCCUUGAGGUCAAUGACAGCGAUGCCCUCUGGAAAUUUCCGUAUCAAGACAAGGAGUUGACUCUUGUCCUUCAAAUCAUGCUUGGACUAUAGACAAUCAAAACCCAGAAUGUCAUCCUCCAUUAGAGAGGAAAAGGAAGGCAGUUAUUAAAUCAGUAACAAUGAUUUAAUUACUGAUCCAAAAGUGUGCCAAUCUAUCAGGGUUUGCAGGUGCAUAAUACUGAGAGUCACCUUGUAAGAGAAGCGUUUCCCAUCAUAGUGCACUUUCGGGUUGUUCCUCAAACUGUCAAACACGGCUUUGUUGGAAUUCAUAUCAACGUAACAGUGGCCAUUUAUUUGUUCUGGAGUAAAGGCUUGCCUUGUCUGCAAGCAAGCAAAAAUAGAGAAGUCAUAAGGAAGGUGAACCUUCACAACUCCUCUCAAAACAGGACUAAAAUACCUUAUCAUGAGAUUUGAGAUUUAACAAGGAAGAUCAGACGGGAGAGAAAAAUGAAAGCAGAGAAGUGAGAAACAUAAUUCCUGCCACUAUGAUGCGUGACGGGCAAUUUUCUUUUCCUGGAGCAUGAUGCAUGAAAAGGAGCCAAAAUGAAGGGGGUGGAACAACCUAACUCGUGGUGCAGGAUAAGCUAUGAAGACAUGAUCCUCUAAAAUCUAAAAUAUCAGUAAUUUCAAAAGAUUAACCAAAAAUUAAAGCAGGGGAACUUGUCAAACAGUACAAAAAGCUUCACUUGCCUUUUCAUGACAUCUAAAAUCUCACAAGAGAGCUGGACAGAGAAAGUGCAAAAUACAGCAUGUCAUAUGUUAAUAAAAUGGUGUUCUAAAAGUGCCUGAAAAAUAGAGCAGCACAAUCCUAGGACAUGGUCCAAAAAAAAGCACCAACAUGAAUAGGAAAAUAAAACUUUCACCCCCUCUCAUCAAGUAAUGCAACUUUUAACACCUAUUCUUUAUCCUAGCUUCUUUCUUAGGCAGCCAACAUCCGCCCAGGAGCCUUAACCUUUCACUCCCAGACAUAAUCCACUCAGCAGUGAAGACCAUCAACUAUAUCUCCCCCAACAACCAAACAUUGUAGAAUAAAUGACCAAUUAAAUCCCCAUGUCUCAUUUAAAUCAUCUAUCAUCCAGGUCCAUGAAAGUAAAUACCAGAAAACAUUAUUUUAAAGUCUUGCAAAGUUAUUCCAACACUCUGCACUAUUUUUUUAACCAAUUUCUUCCACAAAAGCACCAUAGUUCACAUUAACAGAAUUCGUUCGCAACUAAUAUUUGCAUACAUUCCAUGUUUUGCAAUGAUCAUAGGCAAUCACAUACUCAAAAAUUCGAAAAUACCAAACACCCCCAGCUUUUUUUUUAAUACAAGGCAGAUGAUUCAUUAUCUUGAUUGACCCAAUAACUUACAUUCACCUAAUCCUUAUCUUAAAUUUUGCUAUGCAAACAAUGUUCAAUAAGACCACACGAACGUCAUGCAGGACGCUGAAAGGAAAUCAAAACAACAGUUAAGAAUUCAAGAUUACCUCUAGAAGCAGGUCUAUGACACGCUUGAUUUGAGCCCCGGCAGGGGCUUUUCGAAUGCUAUUAAUAUGCUGAAGCCUCUCCGUAUCAUUAGAAAAUUUGACAGCAGGAGCAGGAGUCCUCGCACUGGUCGGUGGCGAUGGAGCUACGGCAACCGUUUUUUGAGUCAGACUGGAUUUAGACGGCCUUGAUUUCGCAAUACUUGUGAGCGUAGACUGACACUUCUCUUGCUGCUUCUUGAAUCGAUCUAAUUGUUCUUGCAGCGCCAUCUAAACAUAAUUUUUAAAAAAAAAAAUGCUUCGAUAUCAGAAUUUCUAUGAAUUAGUCUUAUAAUAACAAUCUCUUUUAUGCAGUUUUCUUAAUAUAAGAAUAUGAUUAAACACAGUCGAUUGGAGAAAAAGCCAAACGCAAACCCUAACUCUUUUUAUUUUGAAUCAAUUGGGAUGGAUUCAUCUUAAGAUUUACAGGAAAUCGAUGAUGGUUUUGGAAUUUAGAAGUAAGCGUGUUUGGAUUGCAAUACAGGGGAGAGGGAGGUAGAGAGAGAACCUUUGCGUUUUGCAGUGCUAAACUCGGCGUUUCGAGAUGCUUUUCUCUCUCCCUCUACCUGCUGCUGCUUCUUGGAAAAAAGAAUCCAAUUGGAAAACGAGUGCUGCUAAAAGACGGAGAGAGAAACUUCAUGUAUAUAUAAUUGCUACUCUGAAUUCCUAAAAUGCCCCUCUCUCGUGUAAAACUUACAACUACUACUCGGCCAUGGAAGGGGGGCCCAGUAAACUAUAUAUUUCUCUUGACUGGAUGGGUGCAUUUUAUGAAACCCAGAAGAAAUAUGAUAUAUUUAUUGGGCUGAUCUCCGGCCACAUGGGAGUGGCCUUUUGUCUAUAGUUUUAGCAUGGAUUCAAUGUGCUUUCAACCGUAUUAACACAAGUUUUUUUAUUUUAUUUUAUUAUUAUUAUUUACAACCAAAUUAUAAAUUCACGGUUCUCUUUCAUCUUUCCCUAAACUAGUGUUGAGAUUAUGUGAUUCUUAAGCAAUAACAGAAGAAUUCAUUCCCAACUUCUCCUCUCUUCUUCUUCUGCUACUUCUUCUCCGCUUCUUCUUCUAUCUCCCUGGGCACUUGCUAAGCUACACCUUCACAAUUGGUAUCAGAUCCAAAUUCAAGGCCAUUAACUAGCAGCAAUCACUCAAAAUCUUACAAUAAUGGUAGAAAAUAACAAGUUAAAGGCUGUUGAGGAACCCUACAGGAAGCUGGAUGAAAAGCUACAGAACAACCACUAAGAAUGGCAAGAAUUUGUGGUUAAAAACAAAGAACAAUGGUUAGAGAAAGAUAGAAAGAUCGAUCAGAUGAAUCUGCAUUGAAUCUUUGAUGACCACUCAAUUUCAAACCUUAUUUGGCUAGUCAAAUGGUAGGAAUAGAAGUAGGUGCUAACUCAAAAGGUAUUUUGGCGACACCAAACAUAAGAAAGGAUGCAGUAACUAAUACAUCUCACGAAGAAAUUGUAUCUAGAUUUAGAAGUCAGAAUCAUGGUGAUAGUUUGAUAGGUCAGGAGUAAAGUAAGAUGAGGAACAUUCCAACACUGUCAAUGGUUGAUUUACCAAUGUUACGGGGAGAUGAUCCUUGGAGCUAGUUAAGAAAAUACAUGAAAUAUUUCAAGUUCAAUCUAGUUCAUACACAACAAUGAAUAUAUAAUUAGCUUUAUCUUAUCUCGAUGGCAAGGCAAAAGUAUGGUAUAAAGGGUUUGUGCAUGGAAAUAAGCACUUGGUUAAUUGAGAUAAAUUCUCCCAAGUCAUUUAUAAAAGAUUUGGUAGUAAAGAUAAUAUAGUAUAAGAGUUCAAUUAGCUUUUGCAGCAAAGAAGUGUGAAAGAAUAUGUGGAAAAGUUUGAGAAGCUAAAGUAUUUUAUGAAUGUUUUGAUCCUUUCAUUGCUUGAAAUAUACUAGAUAUCAUGCCCGCGCGAUGUCGCGUGCUUGUAGCAUGCUUGUACGUUGUCAUAGGUUUGUGGAAAAAAUAAAAAAUAAAAAGAUUACAUGGAGAAAAACUACUGCAAUCCACAAUGUUUUCAACAAAAAAAACUACAAAGCUAAACCAGCUUAAUAUUUAAAAAAUAAAAUAAACAAAGAAAAUUUUGAAAAAAAUCAUAAAAAAAAAAAACAAAAGGAAAAAAAAUCAUGCAGGAAAAUACUGAAGCAAUCUAUAGUACUUCAUUAGGAAAUCUACAAUUGUAAUUCUUAACCAACUGAAUAUUAAAAAUAAUAAAAUCAAUAAAGAUAAUUUUGAAAAAAUUCAUAACAAAAAAAAAAUCAUGUGGUGGAACACUGUAGCAAUCCACAAUGUUUUAAAAAAAAACACGAAGUUAAAUUCUCAAUCAACUUAAUAUGAAAAAAAUAAAAUCGAUAAAGACAAUUCUGGAAAAAAAAAAAACAAAAAAAAUCAUUUAAAAAGGGGAAAAAAAAGCCAUGUGAGGAAACACUGUAUCAAUCUACAGUGUUUUAAGGAAAAAAACUAUAAAGUUAAAUUCUCAACCAACUCGAUAUUAAAAAAAAAUCAACAAAAACAAUUAUGAAAAAAAACAAAAAAAGAGAAAAUAAUGGAAAAAAGAAGAAGACAAUUUUGAGGGAAAAAAAGCAAAAAAAAAUGAAAAAAAAAACAUCGGGGAAAGUUAAAGCUAAAUUCUCAACCAGCUUCAAUAUAAAAAAAAUAUCGACAAAGAUAAUUCAAAAAAAAAAACAUGUGGAUAAACAUUGUAGCAAAACAAAAACCAUAUGGGAAAACAUUAUAACAAUCCAUGGUGUUUUAAAGAAAAACACUACGAAGCAAAAUUCUCAACCAGCUCAAUAUGAAAAAAAAAAAUUGACAAAGACCAUUUAAAAAAAAAUUCAUAUAAAAAAAACCAUAUAUAAAAACAAUGUAGUAAUCCAUAAUGUUUUAAAAAGAAAAACUACAAAAUUAAAUUUUCAACUAGUUCAAUAUUAAAAAAAAUCAACAAAGAUAAUUUUUAAAAAAACAAAAAUAAAAGAAAAGGAUAAAUUUGAGAGAGAGAAAAAACAUGUAAAAUCCAAAAAAAAGAGAAAAAACAAAAAAAAUACAGGGAAAGACAAAAAAAUAAAAAUAAAAAGACAACAUAAAAAAAUGAAAAAAUGAAAAAAAAAACAAAAAAAAUAUGUGAAAAAAGCUACAUUAUUUUCUCGUUUUAUUAGAGUAUUUGGUAAUUUGUCUUGGGUUUCGCUGGAUAUUGAUUGAGGGUUAAGCUAUUUAGCAUUUAAAGCAACGUUCCCCUCCCCUGUCUCAGCUCAAUUUCAAUUCUUAAAAACUAACCAUUUGUUCUUGCUUUUGAUAACUUGUAGUUGUAAUCUGAAUUGGAGAAGAUAUUUAUAUAAAAAGAGCUCAUGCUUUUCAUUAAAGCUUGAUUAACAUAUACUCUUUGUGCCAAUGCUUGGUUUGGUUGCUAGUAGAAUUCUUCAAGAAACAAAGAAAAUAUGCAGAUGUGGCUCAUUGUUUCUAGUAUUAAUUAGUACAACAAAAAUAAAAGGUAUGGGAAAGCUAUAAUAUUUUUUUAUGUUUUUUUAGAGUAUUGUUAAUUAUAAUAAUAAUAAAAAAAAGGCAUCCAUAGAUUCAAUCCUUCCUUCAAUAGUGACAGACCAGCAGGUAAUUAUGUUAAAAAAAUAAUAAAAUUAACAUCACCCACAGCAUGGCACAACAUAAAUGAAUUAUAUAUCCAGUGCUUUAUUCUAAAUUAAGUUGGGGGGUACUGUUCUUGGAGUGACCCAUUCUUGUAAGAUAUUUCUUUAGCUUUUCUAGAUGCAGAAAGUCGUGAAGAUAAUCUGUGGUUUAUAUAUGUUUUAGCUUGGACCCUUAGACUGAUAAAUAUUAAAGAAAUUAACCUAUGCUGAUAUUUGAUGAUACCUCUGAUGCGAUAGCAUAUUCAAGAAGAUAUUUUAGCGAUGAGGACUUCUGCGUGGAAUAGUAUUUGCCUUCUCCAUUCCUUCACCGCACAUCCAUUGCAUCUGCCUUGUAAUUUUGUUGGAGAAAACUUUAAUUGAUGUCAUAAUAUAAGAUGGUGCAAUAUAUUUUUUAUUUAAAAAUAUAUUAAAAUAAUAUUUUUUAUAUUAACAGGUCAAAAUAAUUUCAUUAAAAAAUUAUUAAUUUAAAAUAAAAAAAUAAAAAGAUCAGACCAUCCAAGGCUAAACAAUUAAUAUGGUGAUCUUACUGGAGCUGGUGAGGAAAUUGGAAAAAAAAAAAAACUGGAAUAAGAAAAUUUUGUUUUACUUGUCAAUAGUAACGAAUUCGGUCACUGAAAAAUAUGCGGCAACUCGGUCAUCAAAUUAAAGUUAACUCAUAGACAUGUUACUAAACAUCUCUUUAUUUCACUCUUACUUUUAUUACAGUAACAGGCAGGAACGAAACACACAGACUUGUGUGUUUUGUCCUUUUAGGAGGAAAACAAAAAACAUUACGUAAUACAUAAUACACGGACCUCAUUUCACCAGAUUUUAGAGGCACCACAUAGUAUUAUUAUACAUCAAUUCGUCAACUAUGUUCUUAGCUUCUUACUUACUCUGCGCUCUUUUCUUCAACCAUCUCCAAGGGGAAAUGAGGAGACCCCCGAGGGCAAAAGAUAACCCUAUAGUUGGUCCCGCCAGGGCAUGUAAAUGUACUUGAAGGGUCAUCCUGGGGAUAGCUGUAAGAAGUAGGGCACCUAUCCUUAAAAAACCUUGAGAAAUUGGUAGGGCCACAGCUCCCCUGCCCAUUAGUGCAGCAGUAUUCGUUGGUUUUGAACACGGAACAUGGGUUAUUACACCCACCAGGAGCCCUCAAUUCAUUAGGACAUUGCCCAUUAAUAUCUGCUGUGCAAAGAAGCGCCUGACACUUCCCUGAGCCACCGCCUGAUGUUGGACUGAAUUCUAUAGGGAUAUUAAAUCCAUCAACAAGCGAUAUAUCAUAAAAAUCCAAGUUACCAAACUGAUUCAAUGCAUAUUCAGCUAGAGUGUUGGGAGGGACACCCCAGCCUUUGCACUCUAGGCCACCGGUACAAUCCCCAGUUUGGCAACGACCCUGACCACCACCAUCGAAGUUACAAUUUGUCCGGCCCCAAAUACGAGCCAUGGACGUGCCAGCAGGAACAUUAAGAUUCCAAGUUUGGCCACGUUCUAGACGGCGUCCACCACCAGGUGAGGCUGCGGCCCACACAGUGUAAGGACAACUAUUUCGGAUUUCAAAGGUGGCUGCAUUAGUAGAGAUGAAGAGAAGGCUAAAGAUCAGGAGGGAGGAGGUCAGAAAUUUGGUUAAGUGGCUCAUGGUUGAUUACUGGAUACUAGCUUAUGUGAAUCUGUGAUUUGAUUCAUGGUGUCAUUUAUGGUCUUUAUAUAGGGGAGGGGCGGCUUUUGGAUUCCUGUACAUUAUGGCAAGUGCACAGUAUUAAAUUUA